Molecule: long non-coding RNA, 425041 nt
Filed under: Triticum aestivum (bread wheat)
Lineage: Eukaryota; Viridiplantae; Streptophyta; Magnoliopsida; Poales; Poaceae
Description: long non-coding RNA (TAES_LNC014604)
Rfam family: MIR1120/MIR1122 microRNA precursor family (bases 194387-194521)
Source: RNAcentral
AAAGCCCCCUUUUUUAUUAACUUGCAAUAAGCCCACAUGGAAAUUAUUGGUACCUGUGAUUCUGUCUGCUGUAUGUCUCAGGUUGUAUUUCCUGGCUACCUGGUGGUAUGAGAACCUUCUGAAUUUAGUUUUUUGCCCUGCAGUUUUCUUAUCUUAUCUUAUGCUUCCUUCAUAUCAAAAUAUAAGACAUUUUUUGACAUUAUGAUAAUGUAAAAAACGUCUUAUAUUUUGAUAUGGAGGGGGUAUUAAAGAAAGGACGAACGAAGCGAGCGGUUUUUACUGCGUUUAGGGGGGCAGGGGUGACAGUUUCUGUCAUGGCAGUUCGUUUGGAUUUUUGGAAUAAGACCCUGCCUUGUGGACAGAACACGGUUGGAUUAAAUUGGUUACAUUUUUGGAAUAAUACCCUGCCUUGUGGACACAACAAGGUUGAAUUUUUGUAUCAGAGGAAGACUAUUUGUUAAUUAUAUAUGCUUGUGUGAUGUCUUAAUAAGAUAUCCCCAACUAACAUCAAAAAACAUAAAUAAGAGUGCUACAGGAGUGCAUGUUUAACGGAGUAACAUGGUUGUUGGGAUUGGGGUGGGGUGGGGAGAAGCAUUUCCUAACAUAUCAUGAACAACUUAAAAUGACAUUUUUGCAGUUCAUAAUAUAAGACGGACGUUUUUGCAGUUCAAUAGAGGUAGUAUAAGUUACAGGACAACUUAAGUAAAUAGUGAUAACUGUGGCACACACAAACGUACGCAGCCGACAACAUAUGAACUAACAACAGGUAGUCCAUAUCACUAGCAGUACAACACAUUCUAAACCAAGAUAUAUCCAGUGAAACCAUCCGGUCCAUCAAUCCGUGUUUUUUUUUGCGGGGGCCAUCAUCCGUGUUCAUCAUGACUAUAUUGCUAAUCAGUUGAUCUACUAAUACCAUCUAAAUUCAGCCAAAAAAGCGAAUAUGUUCUACCAUUUGUCGUACUUUUUCUUCUUCCUUCUGAGCUAUGCCACUCCGAGUUAGGGUUAGAGAUCGCCCCAAGGUUAAGGGGGUGUGUGUGAGGUAAGUGCCUGCCCUUUCAAAUGAAAAAGAACUACCAAUGCAAAAAAAUGAAAUGAAAUGAAUAAUUGCUAUUUCUUUAUUAAAUUAUACACAAAAAGAAAGUUCUGAAUGCAUUAGGCAGAGCCCUUAUUUGCUAUUAAAAAACAUUUCCAACAAGGACUUUGAGCCUGAUUGUGAAGGAUCAUACGUCUGGUCUCCUAAAUCGGCCAAAUAGGCUUCCUUUGUUUAGUGAAAUAGCCUUUUCCCUUAAGGAUUAUCAUCUGUAUGCCGCUCAAUCUUUUUCUUCUUAGUGAACUUGUUGUCCAUACCAAACUCUUCUGCAAACGUCUCGAUGUCAAAUGCAAUUUCAGAGCAACCCUUUCGAUCGACAAAAUGUGAAGGUUUUGUGCCGCAUCGCUCAAGCCCCAUAGAACUGCCGGACCGAGAUCAGGUGACUCGCCUCUUGGCAGUCACCGCGUAACAUGCGGGCUUACAUCUGGCAUGCAUUCCUGAUCGGAGGGACAUUAACAAGUGAAGGCCAAAGCUGCGCACUUAGCAACGCUCGGGUUGACCAUGGCGGAAAGACGAUUCAGACUUUGCAUGAGAAAACUUUUAUUGUACUGGAGUAUGUGAGAAAAUAUACUGGAAUAAAACAAAUAUGUAAAUUGAUCUGUCCAGAUUUAUUUUACCUUACCCGUUUAUGUUAUACUUCCUUCGUUUCUGAAUAUAAGUCUUUUACAGAUACUAAUAUGGACUAUAUACAGAGCAAAAUGAGUAGAUAUAUACUUUAAACUAUGUUUAUAUAGAUCCAUAUAUAGUCCAUAUUGAAAUCUCUAGAAAGACUUAUAUUUACAAAUGGAGGGAGUAUUUUUUUUCAUUUUUCAUUUUAUAUUUUGAAAUAAAAUUUAUAGUUUGAGAAUUGUUCUUCUCACAUUGUAAGAGCAUCCACAGCCGGACUUUGCAAAUCUGGCCCAGCGGCCACGCCCAGACGUGUCCGUGGACACUGACCGGUCAAGCCUUAAAUUUGCGUUCUCACAACCAGACACCUUCAAUUAUCAUAUCUCAAAUCGGAUCGAGCCGAAUCUACUCGUCGCCGGAGCAGUACUCACCGUCGCUGUCCGCCUUCUCCUUCUUCGGUGGCAGUCUGGCCAUGCACGGACCACCCGAUUAUGCUCUCUGGCAAGGGCGUGUGUGUUCCUCCGCUGCCGUUUCUUCACAAUGCGGGUGCGGACGGUAGCCCUGUGCGUUCGGUUUAUUCGGUUUACAUGAUUCGGUUUAUACGGUUUUUCGGUAUGUACGGUAUUAAUACUUCGGUAAAUACGGUAUGAAAUUAAAAUACGGUUCGGUUUCGGUAUAUACCAAAUUAUUUCGGUAUGGUUUCGGUAUAUACCAUAAAAACCAAAGUUGACGCGAAUUUGAAAAUGACGUAAUAAUAAUUUGCAAAUUUAUGACUCAAAACACAUUCUAUUUUACACAAAUAGUAUAUGACUAUAUAUAUAAGUAUAUAUGCAUGCAUUGAUUCAUCUGUUGAUGGUUAUGGACGUGCUUAGCAUUUUAAAAAGAGAAAAAUGACAAUGUUACAAGAAAAAUGUAGGUGCUUAGUAGUGAAUUUGACUCAUGUACAAGAAAAAUGACAACUUGUACGGUUGUUCAUCUCAAGAAAUAUAAAUUUAUCUUUACUUCGGUUUAUUCGGUUAACCAUUCGGUUUUUCGGUAUAUACCAUAAAAACCAAAGUUCAAAUCGGUAUGAAAAGUUCAUACCAUACCGAAACCAGAAACCAUAAAAACAAAAAAAUCGGUUCGGUUCGGUUUUAAAAUGCACAGAGUGAGCGGACGGCUUUCUCCAGAACCGCGCCCGCAUUGCGAAGAAACAGCAGCGGAGGAACAUGCAUGCCCUCGCCAGAGAGCAGAAUUGUGCGGUCCUGCUGUGGAUGCUCUUACAAUGUGAGAAGAACAAUUCUUAAACUAUAAAUUUUAUUUCAAAAUAUAAAAUGAAAAAAUACUCCCUCCGUGCGUAAAUACAAAUCUUUCUAGGGAUUUCAAUAUGAACUACAUAUAGAUGUAUAUAGACAUAGUUUAAAGUAUUUAUUCACUCAUUUUGCUCUGUAUAUAGUCUAUAUUAGAAUCUAUAAAAAGACUUAUAUUUAUUUAUUUUGGUGAAUACGCUUAGCAGCGUAUCAUUUCAUUGAUAGGUGGGAGGGUUGGAAAGUACAAGGUACAGUUAGCAUCCGUACAGACGUACGCUGGAAGGCGUCUGGAGGGAUGCAUCGAGCAGAGGGAGGAGGGUGCUCAGCCUCGCUACAAUGAUCAGGUUACAGGAAUAAUAGAGGCUAGUCCCUUGGCGCCGGCCUUAGCCCAUAGGCGAGCGUCAUCCUGGAUGGAGACCACCAGAUCAUCAGUGGAGGGUUGUACGCCGUCGAAGAUGGCGGCGUUGCGAUGCUUCCAGAUGGCCCAAGCGGUUAGAGCGACGAUGGAGUUGAGCCCUUUACGGAGUCCGCUCGGCGAGGUGGCGGACGCAAGCGCCCACCAAGCGAAGAAGGUCGUCGCGCCGUCCAUCGGAGGAGUGGUGAGCCGGCACGAAGCCAGGGUCUCAUGCCAGGUUAUCCGGGCAAAGACGCAUCCCGCAAGGAGGUGGUCGAUGGAUUCUGUCUCCUGGUGACAUAGGACGCAGGCGGCGUCGAGCGUGAGGCCGUGACGAGCGCGGCGCUCAGCCGUCCAACACCUGUCCAGAGAGGCGAGCCAGAGGAAAAACUUGGUGUUCAGGGGGGCCCAGCUCCUCCAAAGAAGCUUCCAAGAGGGCGGCGUAGUGGAUCCGUGGAAGAGAGCGUGAUAGCAGGAUUUGGCCGAGUAAAUGCCGUUUGACGUCCAACGCCAGGAUAUCUUGUCGGGUGUGGUAGUGAGGGCCACACCUUGGAGUUUGCGCCAGAGGUGGAUGUACUCAAGGGCCUCCGGGAUCCCGAGCGUGUCGUGGAUGUCACGAAUCCAGGCAUGCUGCUCAAGGCCCUCGCAGACCACGGUGCGUCGCUUGCGCCAGCUCGGUACGAGGGAGAAAAGGCCAGGGGCGAUCUCGGAUACGGCCUGGCCCUCAAGCCAGUGAUCGGUCCAGAAGAGGCAGGUCUUCCCAUCUCCAAGAUGCCAGGAUAUGGAGGCACGGAAGAAGCGAGAUGUCACAUCGUCCGUGAGGAGCUGUAGAUGAUGCCAAGGCCGCGUGGGGUCGGUGGCUUUGAGCCAGAGCCAGCGGCAGCGCAGGGAGAUCCCAGUGAGGUACAAAUCGCGCACACCAAGCCCGCCGAACUCGAUGGGUUGACAUACGCGGGGCCAGCUCACCAAGCAGCUCAAAAAGACUUAUAUUUAGGAACGAAGGGAGUAGAACAUAAAUGGGCAUGCAUAAAAUAAAUCUGAACAGAUCAAUUUACAUAUUUGUUUUAUUCCAGCAUAUUUUCUCACAUACUUCAAUACAACAAAAGUUUUCUCAUGCGAAGUCAUGAAUCGUUUUUCCACCAUGGUCAACCUGUGCGUUGCUAAGUGGGCAGCUUUGGCCUUCACUCGUUGAUGUUCCUCUGAUCAGGAAUGUAUGGCAGAUGUGAGCUCGCAUGUUACACGGUGACUGCCAAGAGGCAAGUCACCUGAUCUCGGUCCAAAACUGCAAGUCUGGCUGUGUAAGUCCUUCAUGUCUUCUGCACCCACAGCUUGUCUCUUCGUGCCCAUCUCAAGGUCCAUGCUUUGAGGGGUCUACAUCCAUUAGUUCAUGCCAUACCAAUCAUUGAUCUUUUCUAAAAUCUAUUAUCAAUGUUCAUUAGAUCAAUGACAUAUAUGUUGUUAUUAAUUACCAAAACCACUCGGGGAUUAGUUGUUCACAACUCAAACCAAUCAAGAUCACCAAUCAAUCCAAAGGACAAAAGAAAUCUAUUCAAACAUCAUAGGAUGUCAACACAUCAUUGGAUAAUAAUAUUUGGCAUAAAGCACCAUGUUCAAGUAGGGAAUUACAGCGGGGUGCGGGAGAGUGGACCAUUGAAAAGAUAUGAGGGAGGUGAUGAAGACAGUGAUGUUGAUGAUGACGAUCAUCGCGAUGAUUGUUCCCCCGGCGGCACUCCGACGCCACCGAUAGAUAGGGGAAGAGAGGCUCCUCCUCCGGCUUGAUCCUCCAUAGCCUCCCCCCUAGAUGGGGAGAGGUUCUCCCUCUGGUCCUUGGCCUCCAUGGUGCCUCGGAGGGGCGAGAGCCCCUCUGAGAUUGGACCUCUUUAUCUGUUUUCUUCUGUUUCUAGGCCCCUGUUUCUGACCGAAAACCGUUUCUUAUAUUCCCGGAGAUGUGUAACUCAGAUAGAGCUGAAAUUUUGAGGGAAUUUUUAUUUGGAAAUUAUCUUCCUUGCGGCUAAAGAAGAGCAUCAACCGACCUACGAGGUGCCCACAAGGCAGGAGGGCGUGUCCAGGGGGUAGGUCGCGCCCUCGUGCCUUGUGGGGCCCUCAAGCACCGUCUUGGGUUGAUUCUUCCUCCUAAAAUCACAUAUAUUUCAAAAUAAUUAUUCGUAAAUUUUUAUCGUGUUUGGACUUCGUUUGGUAUGGUAUUUCUGCAAAACAAGAAACAUACAAAAAAACAGGAACUGGCACUGGGCACUAGAUUAAUAAGUUAGUCCAUCAAAAUAAUAUAAAGGUGCACCAAGACCAUAAAAAAUUAUAAUAAACAUGGCAUGAAUAUUUUAUAAAUUAUAGAUACGUUGGAUACGUAUCAACCACCAAGACGACCGCUGUGGUCGCAUCGAAGCCCGUCUUUUGAUCUCUUUCUUUUGAAACUUCUUCUUUUCUUUGUUUUCCUAUGGUUAGUUCCAACACAAGAGGAGUCAAAGAAUAUUUGCAAGUAUUAGCAGUUGAAUUGUCAAUUCAACCACACAUGAGACUAAAUAUCUGCAGUAAAAUGAUCAGUAGCAAAGUAGUAUGGUAAUAUGAUGGUAGUAGUAAUGAUAGCAAUAGUAACAAUACCAGAAGUAGUGGUAGUUUUGUAGCAGUUGUAACAGUAGCAGCAAUAGUAGUAACUUAGCAAGAACAAUAUGUGAAAAACUCGUAGGCAUUGGAUCGGUGAUUUUGUUGGAUAAUAUUCAUCAUAUAACAGUCAUAACCUAUCUAGGGCGACAUAGAACUAGCUCCAAUUCAUCAAUGGGAUGUACGCAUGUAUUUCGUAAAUAAUCAUAUGUGCUUAUGGAAAAUAACUUGCAUGACAUAUUUUGUCAUACCUUCCCAUGGAAGCGGGGUCCAUAAGGAAACUAAGGGAUAUUAAGGCCUCUUUUUAAUAGAGAACCAAAACAAAGCAUUAACACAUAGUGAAUACAUGAACUCCUCAAAUUUUGAUAAUCACCGGAAAUAAUCCCAAUUAUUGUCACCUUAGGGUAUGCGGAUCAUAACACGUAAUAGGUACAUAUAACUUGCAAGAUCGGAUCAUGUACACAAAUAUAUUGGUGAAACAUAAACGGUUUAGAUCUGAAAUUAUGGCACUCGGGCCCUAGUGACAAGCAUUAAGCAUAGCAAAGUCAUAGCAACAUUAAUCUCAGAACAUAGUGGAUACUAGGGAUCAAGACCUAACAAACUAACUCGAUUACAUGAUGAAUCUCAUCCAACCCAUCACCGUCCAGCAAGCCUACGAAGAGAUUACUCACUCCUAGCGGUGAGCAUCAUGAAAUUGGUGAUGGAGGAUGGUUGAUGAUGACGAAGACGGAAGACCUCCCCCUCUCCGGAGCCCCGAAUAGACUCCAGUUCUGGCCUCCCGAUGAAGAACGGGAGAUGACGGCGGCUCCAUGUCAUAAAGCGCGAUGAAACUUCUUGAUUUAUUCUCGGGAAAUAGGAAUUUAUAGGAUCGACAUUAGGGUCAGCGGAGCCUCGUGGGCCCCACUACCCACCAAGACGCGACAGAGGCGGUGGCACACCCUGGUGCCUAGUGGGAAGUUGGGCCCCCUCUAGUGGGUCUUGGUUCCAAUAUUUUUCUUUUAUUCCAAAAUAAAUCUCCAAAAAGCUUCGUCCAAUUCCGUGAACUUAUAUUUCUGCACAAAAAACAACACCAUGGUAGUUCUGCUGAAAACAACAUCAUUCCGGGUUAGUUUCAUUCAAAUCAUGCAAAUUAGAGCCUGAACCAAGAGCAAAAGUGUUUGGAAAAGUUGAUACGACGGAGACGUAUCAACUCCCCCAAGCUUAACUCAUUGCUUAUUGUCAAGCAAUUCAGAUGACAAACUAAAAGUGAUAAAGAACAACUUUUACGAACUCGUUUGUUCUUGUGUUCAUAUAUAUUCUUAAAUAAUACCUAGGUUUUCAGCAAAGAUCAUAACUAAUCAUGCAAACAAUAACUCCUAGAAAUUAUAUUCACUCAUAUCAAUGGCAUAAUCAACUAGCGAGCAAUAAAAAUAUCUCAAAUGCCAACACUUGUCAAAACAAUCAUGAUAUAAUAUGGCAAUAAUGGUAUCUCUCUAGCCCUUUCUAAGACCGCAAAACAUAAAUGCAGAGCACCUCCAAAGUUCAAGCAGCGACUAAACAUUGUAAUUCAUGAUAGAAGAGAUCCAGUCAUGAUGCACAGAACAUUAACUAUACACAAUGCAUGAGGAUGACAAUAGUGCUCUGAGGACUGGUGCUUAUUUGAGAAGGUGAUGACUCAACAUAAAAGUAAAUAGAUAGGCCCUUCGCAGAGGGAAGUAGGGAUUUGCAGAUGUGCCAUAGCUCGAAGCAUAAAUCAGAGAUAAAUAUAAUUCUGGGAGGUAUACCUUUCUUGUCAACAUUAUGACCAAAAAAUUUCAAUAUCUUCCAUGCUAAACACAUUAGCGGCAGUCCCAAGUGGUAAAAGUAAAGUUUACCCCCCGUCCAACCAAAAACACAAGCCAUGGCUAGCCGUAUCCUCGGGUACCCUCCAUACCAAUAAUAGUACGACAAAGUUUUGUUUAAUUAUUUGCAAUUUUGAUCAUGGGACCGGGCAUCCCGAUUACCAGCCCCUCUCAUGCGAGGAUGAGUGAAUAGACACUCAACAUGAGAAUAAACUGCUUAGUAUGGAAUAUACUGACCACCCCCUGUCACUCCAUGAGCGGUACGGGCACACAAAACAGAUGUUCAUUUGAACUUUUAGAGGUGGCACAUGCAAAUUUACCUGCAAUGGCAGAGUAAUACCGCAUAUAGGUAGAUAUAAUGGACUCAUCUGGAUAAAUUUGGUUUAAGGGUUUUGAUGCACAAGCAGAAUUCCUGCUUAGUAUAGGCGAAGGCUAGCAAAUAGGUUGAGAAGCGACCAGCUAGAAAGCGAAAACAGUUAUGAACAUGCAUUGUGAAUAAUUAACAUUGAAUACUAGUAUGAGUAGGAUAUAAAAACCAUGAACAUAAAUAUCGUGGAGGCUAUGUUGGUUUUGAAUCUACUACAUAUGUGAACAUGGGCCAAGUCAAGCCACUUGAAACAUUCAGAGGAGGAUACCAUAUCAUCAUACUACAUCAUAACCAUUUUAAUGCAUGUUAUAUCUAAAAUAAAUCAUUAUCCACUCCUAGCUACUUAGGCAUGGCAUGAGCAACUAUAAUCUCCAAUUGCCAUUGUAACAUGUUUGUGUUGGAAAUAUGCCCUAGAGGCAAUAAUAAAAGUGUUAUUAUUAUAUUUCUUUGUUCAUGAUAAUAGUCUUUUAUUCAUGCUAUAACUGUAUUAUCCGGAAAUCGUAAUACACGUGUGAAUACAUAGACCACAAUAUGUCCCUAGUGAGCCUCUAGUUGACUAGCUCGUUGUGAUCAACAAAUAGUCAUGGUUUCCUGGCUAUGGACAUUGGAUGUCGUUGAUAACGGGAUCACAUCAUUAGGAGAAUGAUGUGAUGGACAAGACCCAAUCCUAAGCCUAGCACAAAGGUCGUGUAGUUCGUUUGCUAGAGCUUUGCAAAUGUCAAGUAUCUCUUCCUUCGACCAUGAGAGCGUGUAACUCCUGGAUACCGUAGGAGUGCUUUGGGUGUAUCAAACGUCACAAUGUAACUGGGUGACUAUAAAGGUGCACUACAGGUAUCUCCGAAAGUAUCUAUUGUUUUAUGCGGAUCGAGACUGGGAUUUGUCACUCCGUGUAAACGGAGAGGUAUCUCUGGGCCCACUCGGUAGGACAUCAUCAUAUGCGCAAUGUGACCAAGGAGUUGAUCACGGGAUGAUGUGUUACGGAACGAGUAAAGUGACUUGCCGGUAACGAGAUUGAACAAGGUAUAAGGAUACCGACGAUCGAAUCUCGGGCAAGUACAAUACCGCUAGACAAAGGGAAUUGUAUACGGGAUUGAUUAAGUCCUUGACAUCGUGGUUCAUCCGAUGAGAUCAUCGUGGAACAUGUGGGAGCCAUCAUGGGUAUCCAGAUCCCGCUGUUGGUUAUUGACCGGAGAACGUCUCGGUCAUGUCUGCAUGUCUCCCGAACCCGUAGGGUCUACACACUUAAGGUUCGAUGACGCUAGGGUUAUAAAGGAAGUUUGUAUGUGGUUACCGAAUGUUUUUCGGAGUCCCGGAUGAGAUCCCGGACGUCACGAGGAGUUCCGGAAUGGUCCGGAGGUAAAGAUUUAUAUAUGGGAAGUCCUAUUUUGGCCACUGGAAAAUGUUCGGGAUUUUUCGGUAUUGUACCGGGAAGGUUCUAGAAGGUUCCGGAGUGGGGCCCACCUGCAUGGGGGGACCCACAUGAACGUGGGUAGUGGGGGAAAGGCCCCACACCCCAGGUCAAGGCGCACCAAGAUCCCCCCUUAGAAGGAAUAAGAUCAUAUCCCAAAGGGAUAAGAUCAAGAUCCCUAAAAAGGGGGGAUAACAAUCGGUGGGGAAGGAAAUAAUGAGAUUUCUUUCCUCCCACCUUGGCCAACGCCCCAAUGGACUUGGAGGGCAAGAAACCAGCCCCUCCACCCCUAUAUAUAGUGGGGAGGCGCAUGGGAGCUACAGACGAAGUUCUGGCACAGCCCUACCUCUCUUCCUACUCCUCCUCUCCCAUGGUGCUUGGCGAAGCCCUGCAGGAUUGCCACACUCCUCCACCACCACCACGCCGUUGUGCUGCUGUUGGAUGGAGUCUUCCUCAACCUCUCCCUCUCUCCUUGCUGGAUCAAGGCGUGGGAGACGUCACCGGGCUGUACGUGUGUUGAACGCGGAGGUGCCGUGCGUUCGGCACUUGAUCAUCGAUGAUUUGAAUCACGACGAGUACGACUCCUUCAACCCCGUUCUCUUGAACGCUUCCGCUUAGCGAUCAACAAGGGUAUGUAGAUGCACUCUCCUUCUACUCGUAGCUGGUUUCUCCAUAGAUAGAUCUUGGUGACGCGUAGGAAAAUUUUGAAUUUCUGCUACGUUCCCCAACAGUGGCAUCAUGAGCUAGGUCUAUUGCGUAGAUUCUUUGCACGAGUAGAACACAAAGUAGUUGUGGGCAUUGAUGUUGUUCAAUAUGCUUACCGUUACUAGUCCAAUCUUGUUUCGACGGUAUUGUGGGAUGAAGCGGCCCGGACCGACCUUACACGUACUCUUAUGUGAGACAGGUUCCACCGAUUGACAUGCACUUGGUGCAUAAGGUGGCUAGCGGGUGCCAGUCUCUCCCACUUUAGUCGGAACAGAUUCGAUGAAAAGGGUCCUUAUGAAGGGUAAAUAGCAAUUGGCAUAUCACGUUGUGGUCUUGCGUAGGUAAGAAACGUUCUUACUAGAAACCCAUAGCAGCCACGUAAAACAUGCAACAACAAUUAGAGGACGUCUAACUUGUUUUUGCAGGGUAUGCUUUGUGAUGUGAUAUGGCCAAGAAGAAUGUGAUGAAUGAUAUGUGAUGUAUGAGAUUGAUCAUGUUCUUGUAAUAGGAUUCACGACUUGCAUGUCGAUGAGUAUGACAACCGGCAGGAGCAAUAGGAGUUGUCUUUAUUUAUUGUAUGACCUGCGUGUCAUUAAACAACGCCAUGUAAAUUACUUUACUUUAUUGCUAAACGCGUUAGCCAUAGAAGUAGAAGUAGUCGUUGGCAUGACAACUUCAUGAAGACACGAUGAUGGAGAUCAUGAUGAUGGAGAUCAUGGUGUCAUGCCGGUGACGAUGAUGAUCAUGGAGCCCCGAAGAUGAAGAUCAAAAGGAGCAAAAAUGAUAUUGGCCAUAUCAUGUCACUAUUUGAUUGCAUGUGAUGUUUAUCAUGCUUAUGCAUCUUGUUUACUUAGGACGACGGUAGUAAAUAAGAUGAUCCCUUACAAAAUUUCAAGAAGUGUUCUCCCCUAACUGUGCACCGUUGCUACAGUUCGUCGCUUCUAAGCACCACGUGAUGAUCGGGUGUGAUGGAUUCUUACGUUCACAUACAACGGGUGUAAGACAGUUUUACACAGCGAAAACACUUAGGGUUAACUUGACGAGCCUAGCAUGUGCAGACAUGGCCUCGGAACACGGAGACCGAAAGGUCGAGCAUGAGUCGUAUAGUAGAUACGAUCAACAUGAAGAUGUUCACCGAUGAUGACUAGUCCGUCUCACGUGAUGAUCGGACACGGCCUAGUUGACUCGGAUCAUGUAAUCACUUAGAUGACUAGAGGGAUGUCUAUCUGAGUGGGAGUUCAUAAGAUGAACUUAAUUAUCUUGAACAUAGUCAAAAGACCUUUUUGCAAAUUAUGUCGUAAGCUCGCGCUUUAGUUCUACUGUUUUAGAUAUGUUCCUAGAGAAAAUAUAGUUGAAAGCUGACAGUAGCGAUUAUGCGGACAGUAGAAAGCUUAUGUCCUUAAUGCACCGCUCAAUGUGCUGAACCCCAAACGUCGUAUGUGGAUGUUGCGAACAUCGGACAUACACGUUUUGAUAACUACGUGAUAGUUCAGAUAAAUGGUUUAAGUAGAGGCACCGAAGACGUUUUUCGAAACAUCGCGGAACAUAUGAGAUGUUUCGAGGGCUGAAAUUGGGAUUUCAGGCUCGUGCCCACGUCAAGAGGUAUGAGACCUCCGACAAUUUUCUUAGCCUACAAACUAAGGGAGAAAAGCUCAAUCGUUGAGCUUGUGCUCAGAUUGUCUGAGUGCAACAAUCACUUGAAUCGAGUGGGAGUUGAUCUUCCAAAUGAGAUAGUGAUGUUUCUCCAAAGUCAUUGCCACCAAGCUGCUAGAGCUUCGUGAUGAACUAUAACAUAUCAGGGAUAGAUAUGAUGAUCCUUGAGGUAUUCACGAUGUUUGACACCGCGAAAGUAGAAAUCAAGAAGGAGCAUCAAUUGUUGAUGGUUGGUGAAACCACUAGUUUCAAGAAGGGCAAGGGCAAGAAGGGACACUUCAUGAAACGGCAAAUCAGUUGCUGCUCCAGUGAAGAAACCCAAGGUUGAACCCAAACCCGAGACUAAGUGCUUCUGUAAUAAGGGGAACAACCACUGGAGCAGCAUUACCCUAGAUACUUGGUAGAUGAGAAGGCUGGCAAAGUCGAUAGAAGUAUAUUGGAUAUACAUUAUGUUAAUGUGUACUUUACUAGUACUCCUAGUAGCACAAGGGUAUUAGAUACCGGUUUGGUUGCUAAGUGUUAGUAACUCGAAAUAAAAGCUACGGAAUAAACGGAGACUAGCUAAAGGUGAGCUGACGAUAUGUGUUGGAAGUGUUUCCAUGUUUGAUGUGAUCAAACAUCGCACGCUCCCUCUACCAUCAAGAUUAGUAUUAAACCUGAAUGGUUUAUUGAAUCUCGAUCGUAGUGAUACACAUUUUCAUGCCAAAAGAUAUAAGAUAGUAAUGAUAGUACCACUUACUUGUGGCACUGCCAUGUAAGUCAUAAUGGUAUAAAACACAUGAAGAAGCUCCAUGUUGAUGGAUCUUUGGACUCACUCGUUUUGAAAAGUUUGAGACAUGCGAACCAUGUCUAUUGGUGUAUAUGCAUGAAGAAACUCCAUGCAAAUGGACCGUUUGGACUCACUUGAUUUUGAAUCACUUGAGAUAUGCAAAUCAUACCACAUGGGCAAGAUGACUGAAAAGCCUCGUUUUCAGUAAGAUGGAACAAGAUAGCAACUUGUUGGAAGUAACACAUUAUGAUGUGUCCAAUCCAAUGAGUGCUGAGGCAUGCAGUGAAUAUCGUUAUGAUCUUACUUCACAGAUGAUUCGAGUAGAUGUUGAGAAUAUUUACUUGAUGAAACACAAGUCUGAAUUAUUGAAUGGUUCAAGUAAUUUCAGAGUGAAGUAGAAGAUCAUUGUGACAAGAGGAUAAAAUGUCUAUGAUAUGAUCAUAGAGAUGAAUAUCUGAGUUACGAGUUUUGGCACACAAUUAAGACAUUGUGGAAAUUGUUUCACAAUUAAUACCGCCUGGAACACCAUAGUGUGAUGGUGUGUCCGAACAUCAUAACUGCACCCUAUUGGAUAUGAUGCAUACCAUGAUGUCUCUUAUCGAAUUACCACUAUCGUUCAUGGGUUAGGCAUUAGAGACAACCACAUUCACUUUAAAUAGGGCACCACAUAAUUCCGUUGAGAUGACACCGUAUGAAUUAUGGUUUAGAGAAACCUAAGUUGUCGUUUCUUAAAAGUUUGGGGCUACGACGCUUAUGUGAAAAAGUUUCAGAUUGAUAAGCUCGAACCCAAAGCGGAUAAAAUGCAUCUUCAUAGGACACCCAAAACAGUUGGGUAUACCUCCUGUCUCAGAUCCGAAAGCAAUAAGGGAUUGUUUCUUGAAUCGGGUCCUUUCUCGAGGAAAGGUUUCUCUCGAAAGAGUUGAGUGGGAGGAUGGUGGAAACUUGAUGAGGUUAUUGAACCGUCUCUUCAACUAGUGUGUGGCAGAGCACAGGAAGUUGUUCCUGUGGCACCUACACCAAUUGAAGUGGAAGCUUAUGAUAGUGAUCAUGAAGCUUCGGAUCAAGUCACUACCGAACCUCGUAGGAUGACAAGGAUGCGUACUACUUCAGAGUGGUACGGUGAUCCUGUCUUGAAGGUCAUGUUGCUAGACAACAAUGAACCUACGAGCUAUGGAGAAGCAAUGGUGGGCCCAAAUUCCGACAAAUGGUUAGAAACCAUGAAAUCCGAGAUAGGAUUCAUGUAUCAGAACAAAGCAUGGACUUUGGUGGACUUGCCCGAUGAUCGGCAAGCCGUUGAGAUAAAUGGAUCUUUUAAGAAGAAGACGGACGUGGAUGGUAAUGUCACCAUCUAUGAAGCACGACUUGUGGCGAAGAGUUUUUCACAAGUUCAAGGAGUUGACUACGAUGAGAUUUUCUCAUCCGUAGCGAUGCUUAAGUCCGUCGGAUUCAUGUUAGCACUAGCCGCAUUUAUGAAAUCUGGCAGAUGGAUAUCAAAACAAGUUUCCUUACCAGUUUUCGUAAGGAAAGGUUGUAUGUAAUACAAUCAGAAAGUUUUUGUCGAUCCUAAGGAUGCUAAAAGGUAUGCUAGCUCCAGCGAUCCUUCAAUGGACUGGAGUAAGCAUCUCGGAGUUGGAAUGUACGCUUUGAUGAGAUGAUCAAAGAUUUUGGGUUUAUACAAAGUUUAUGAGAAACUUGUAUUUCCAAAGAAGUGAGUGGGAGCACUAUAGAAUUUCUGAUAAGUAUAUGUUGUUGACAUAUUGAUGAUCAGAAAUGAUGUAGAAUUUUCUGUAAAGCAUAUAGGGUUAUUUGAAAGAUGUUUUUCAAUAGAAAGCCUGGAUUAAGCUACUUGAACAUUGAGCAUCAAGAUCUAUAAGGAUAGAUCAAAAUGCUUAAUAAUACUUUCAAAUGAGCACAUACCUUGACAUGAUCUUGAAGGUGUUCAAGAUGGACCAGUCAAAGAAGGAGUUCUUGCCUGAGUUGUAAGGUACGAAGUUAAGACUUAAAGCUCGACCACGGUAGAAGAGAGAGAAAGGACAAAGGUCGUCCCCUAUGCUUCAGACGUAGGCUCUAUAGUAUGCUGUGCUGUGUACCGCACCUGAAGUGUGCCUUGCCAUGAGUCAGUCAAGGGGUACAAGAGUGAUCCAAGAAUGGAUCACAGGACAGCGGUCAAAGUUAUCCUUAGUAACUAGUGGACUAAGGAAUUUUCUCGAUUAUGGAGGUGGUAAAAGAGUUCGUCGUAAAGGUUACGACGAUGCAAGCUUGACACCUAUCCGGAUAGCUCUGAGUAGAGAGACCGGAUACAUAUAAUGGAGCAAUAAUUUAGAAUAGCUCCAAGUAGAACAGUUGUUUGGAAUAGCUCCAAAUAGAGCGUGGUAGCUGCAUCUAGGAGAUGACAUAGAGAUUUGUAAAGCACACACGGAUCUGAAAGGUUUAGUCCCGUUGACUAAAACCUCUCUCACAAGCAACAUGAUCAAACAUAAAACUCAUUGAGUGUUAAUCACAUAGUGAUGUGAACUAGACUACUGACUCUAGUAAACUCUUGGGUAUUAGUCACAUGGCGAUGUGACCUGUGAGUGUUAAUCACAUGGCGAUGUGAACUGGAUUAUUGACUCUAGUGCAAGUGGGAGACUGUUGGAAAUAUGCCCUAGAGGCAAUAAUAAAAGUGUUAUUAUUAUAUUUCUUUGUUCAUGAUAAUAGUCUUUUAUUCAUGCUAUAACUGUAUUAUCCGGAAAUCGUAAUACACGUGUGAAUACAUAGACCACAAUAUGUCCCUAGUGAGCCUCUAGUUGACUAGCUCGUUGUGAUCAACAGAUAGUCAUGGUUUCCUAGCUAUGGACAUUGGAUGUCGUUGAUAACGGGAUCACAUCAUUAGGAGAAUGAUGUGAUGGACAAGACCCAAUCCUAAGCCUAGCACAAAGGUCGUGUAGUUCGUUUGCUAGAGCUUUGCAAAUGUCAAGUAUCUCUUCCUUCGACCAUGAGAGCGUGUAACUCCUGGAUACCGUAGGAGUGCUUUGGGUGUAUCAAACGUCACAACGUAACUGGGUGACUAUAAAGGUGCACUACAGGUAUCUUCGAAAGUAUCUAUUGUUUUAUGCGGAUCGAGACUGGGAUUUGUCACUCCGUGUAAACGGAGAGGUAUCUCUGGACCCACUCGGUAGGACAUCAUCAUAUGCGCAAUGUGACCAAGGAGUUGAUCACGGGAUGAUGUGUUACGGAACGAGUAAAGUGACUUGCCGGUAACGAGAUUGAACAAGGUAUAAGGAUACCGACGAUCGAAUCUCGGGCAAGUACAAUACCGCUAGACAAAGGGAAUUGUAUACGGGAUUGAUUAAGUCCUUGACAUCGUGGUUCAUCCGAUGAGAUCAUCGUGGAACAUGUGGGAGCCAUCAUGGGUAUCCAGAUCCCGCUGUUGGUUAUUGACCGGAGAACGUCUCGGUCAUGUCUGCAUGUCUCCCGAACCCGUAGGGUCUACACACUUAAGGUUCGAUGACGCUAGGGUUAUAAAGGAAGUUUGUAUGUGGUUACCGAAUGUUGUUCGGAGUCCCGGAUGAGAUCCCGGACGUCAUGAGGAGUUCCGGAAUGGUCCGGAGGUAAAGAUUUAUAUAUGGGAAGUCCUAUUUUGGCCACUGGAAAAUGUUCGGGAUUUUUCCGUAUUGUACCGGGAAGGUUCUAGAAGGUUCCGGAGUGGGGCCCACCUGCAUGGGGGGACCCACAUGAACGUGGGUAGUGGGGGAAAGGCCCCACACCCCUAGUCAAGGCGCACCAAGAUCCCCCCUUAGAAGGAAUAAGAUCAUAUCCCAAAGGGAUAAGAUCAAGAUCCCUAAAAAGGGGGGAUAACAAUCGGUGGGGAAGGAAAUAAUGAGAUUUCUUUCCUCCCACCUUGGCCAACGCCCCAAUGGACUUGGAGGGCAAGAAACCAGCCCCUCCACCCCUAUAUAUAGUGGGGAGGCGCAUGGGAGCUACAGACGAAGUUCUGGCACAGCCCUACCUCUCUUCCUACUCCUCCUCUCCCAUGGUGCUUAGCGAAGCCCUGCAGGAUUGCCACGCUCCUCCACCACCACCACGCCGUUGUGCUGCUGUUGGAUGGAGUCUUCCUCAACCUCUCCCUCUCUCCUUGCUGGAUCAAGGCGUGGGAGACGUCACCGGGCUGUACGUGUGUUGAACGCGGAGGUGCCGUGCGUUCGGCACUUGAUCAUCGAUGAUUUGAAUCACGACGAGUACGACUCCUUCAACCCUGUUCUCUUGAACGCUUCCGCUUAGCGAUCUACAAGGGUAUGUAGAUGCACUCUCCUUCUACUCGUAGCUGGUUUCUCCAUAGAUAGAUCUUGGUGACGCGUAGGAAAAUUUUGAAUUUCUGCUACGUUCCCCAACAGUUUGAUCAUAAUAUGCUGAAUCAUGGAUAUUGAGUUAAACAUAUUUAUAAAAGCAAGAACAAGUUGAGUUCAUACCCGCUUUUCCUUGCCAUAAUCACUUCAUCAAAUUUUUUCAUUAUUGCCUUUCACUUGCACGACCGAAUGAUAUGAAAAUAAUAACAAUGCAAGAGUGCCGUUGACUAAGCAGGAAUCCGCAACAUUUUAUUCAAAUGAGAAGGCAAAAUAAUACAGGCUCUUUGUCGGCUCAACAAUACUGCAUAUGAGAGGCACUCAACAUUUUCAUCAUGGUCUUCUCAUACCGACUCAACAAAAGAAAAGAAUUUCAGAGAAACAUAUUGAAAUAUUAUUGGAGUUUUUGAUUUUUGUUGAAGAAAGAAAAUUAAAAGAAGAAAAACAAAAAGAGAAAAAGUAUUUAUACGGGAGAGCUCCGAACAGGCAAAAAAUUGAGAAAUAUUUUUGGGUUUUCUUUUAAUACUACAACUGAUUUAAACUAGAAAGAAAAAUUGAAAAUGAUCGAGAAAUAUUUUUGGAUUUUUUUCAAAGUUUUUCAAACACACAAGAAGAAAGCAAAAAAAUAAAUAUGACAUGGAUUAUAUAAUGAAAAAGUAUGAACGCCGACAACUGGAAUGAAGUGUGUGAUCAUGAAUGUAAUGUCGUUUUAAAAUACGUAGUCCCCCAAGCUUAGGCUUUUGCCUAGCUUGGUAAUCACCAUCCGUAGCCUGGGUAAUAGUCAGAAUGAUAGCUCGUGGAGGCUCUCGAUGCAGCCUCCUCAGCCUGGCGGGAAGCCUCUACUGCCGCGUUUGUACUCACGCCUCUCUCUCAUAGAUGUAAUAUCUUCCUUUAGUCUCGUAAUCAAAGAGAGUAGGUGCAUGGAAAAUAAUAGGUACAAUGGUUUUUUUAUCGAACAUCAAGUUGUAAUUGUGAUUUUGAGCUCCAUACUUAAUGAACUUAUGACACUGCAUUGCAUCAAAGUCUAGGUAUUGGGUAGGUAAAAUAGGAUCAUUGGGUAUAGGUGUCACACCUAGACUUCUUGCUACAUGCGGGGCAUAAAUUCCUCCAUAAAAAUGACCACUAUAAGCAUUGCAUUGCAACCUCCGUGCAACGAUUGCACCAGGAUUAUAAUGUUUAGUCCCCGUUAGAGCAAUGUGUAUGAGGCUCAAGUCUGGGGCACUGUAACGCCCUCGAUGCGGCUAUAUCUCCCACGUGUCUAAGCACGACUUAGAGGCAUAACCGCAUUGAAAGCAAUGUCGCAAGUGAGGUAAUCUUCACACAACCCAUGUAAUACAAUAAGGGAAAAAGAUACAUAGUUGGCUUACAAUCGCCACUUCACACAAUUAGAUGAAUAAAGCAUUACAUCAACCAGAUACAAUCAAGGUCGGACUACGGAAGCAAAAUAAAAGAAGAACCCCAAAUGCGACAAGGUCCCCGAUCGACCCCAACUGGGCUCCACUUCUGAUCAACUAGAACGAAAUAACACAAAGGACAAGAUCUUCAUCGAGCUCCUCCUGAGCUUGGUUGCGUCAACUGCACGGUCUCGUCGGCACCUGCAAGCUGGUUUUGGAAGUAUCUGUGAGUCACGGGGACUCAGCAAUCUCACACCCUCGCGAUCAAGACUAUUUAAGCUUAAGGGUAGGAAAGGGUAGUGAGGUGGAGCUGCAGCAAAGCACUAAGCAUAUAUGGUGGCUAACUUAUGCAAAUGAGAGCGAGAAGAGAAGCAAAGCACGGUCGAGAAGCUAAUAGUGAUCAAUAAGUGAUCCCGAAGGUACUUACGUUCAAGCAUAACACGAGACUGUGUUCUCUUCCCGGACUCCGCAAAAAAGAGACCAUCACGGUUACACACGCGGUUGAUUCAUUUUAAUUAAGUUAAGUGUCAAGUUCUCUACAACCGGAUAUUAACAAAUUCCCAUAUGCCCAUAACCAUGGGCACGGCUUUCGAAAGUUUAUACCCUGCAGGGGUGUCCCAACUUAGCUCAUCACAAGCUCUCACGGUCACCGAAGGAUAUUCCUUCUCCCAGGAAGACCCGAUCAGACUCGAAAUCCCGGUUACAAGACAUCUCGACAAUGGUAAAACAAGACCAGCAAAGCCGCCCGAAUGUGCCAACAAAUCCCGAUAGGAGCUGCACAUAUCUCGUUCUCAGGGCACACCGGAUGAACACUACGUACAACUAAAACCAACCCUCAAGUUUCCCUGAGGUGGCGCUGCAAGUGGAUCUGUUUUGGACCAACACUCAGAGGAGCACUGGCCCAGGGGUUUAAAAUAAAGAUGACCCUUGAGUCCACGGAACCCAAGGGGAAAAGGCUUAGGUGGCAAAUGGUAAAACCAAGGUUGGGCCUUGCUGGAGGAGUUUUAUUCAAGGCGAACUGUCAAGGGGUUCCCAUAACACCCAACCGUAUAAGGAACGCAAAAUCAAGGAACAUAAUACUGGUAUGACAGAAACUAAGGCGGCAAGAGUGGAACAAAACACCAGGCAUAAGGCCGAGCCUUCCACCCUUUACCAAGUAUAUAGAUGCAUUAAAGUAAAUAAGAGAUAAUAAUGAUAUCCCAACAGAAUCCAUGUUCCAACAUGGAACAAACUUCAUCUUCACCCUUCGCCACUUCACACAAUUACAUGAAUAAAGCAUUACAUCAACCAGAUACAAUCAAGGUCCGACUACGGAACCAAAAUAAAAGAAGAACCCCAAAUGCGACAAGGUCCCCGAUCGACCCCAACUAGGCUCCACUACUAAUCAACUAGAACGAAACAACACAAAGGACAAGAUCUUCAUCGAGCUCCUCCUGAGCUUGGUUGCGUCAACUACACGGUCUCUUCGGCACCUGCAAGCUGGUUUUGGAAGUAUCUGUGAGUCACGGGGACUCAGCAAUCUCACACCCUCGCGAUCAAGACUAUUUAAGCUUAAGGGUAGGAAAGGGUAGUGAGGUGGAGCUGCAGCAAAGCACUAAGCAUAUAUGGUGGCUAACUUAUGCAAAUGAGAGCGAGAAGAGAAGCAAAGCACGGUCGAGAAGCUAAUAGUGAUCAAUAAGUGAUCCCGAAGGUACUUACGUUCAAGCAUAACACGAGACUGUGUUCUCUUCCCGGACUCCACAAAAAAGAGACCAUCACGGUUACACACGCGGUUGAUUCAUUUUAAUUAAGUUAAGUGUCAAGUUCUCUACAACCGGAUAUUAACAAAUUCCCAUAUGCCCAUAACCAUGGGCACGGCUUUCGAAAGUUUAUACCCUGCAGGGGUGUCCCAACUUAGCUCAUCACAAGCUCUCACGGUCACCGAAGGAUAUUCCUUCUCCCAGGAAGACCCGAUCAGACUCGAAAUCCCGGUUACAAGACAUCUCGACAAUGGUAAAACAAGACCAGCAAAGCCGCCCGAAUGUGCCAACAAAUCCCGAUAGGAGCUGCACAUAUCUCGUUCUCAGGGCACACCGGAUGAACACUACGUACAACUAAAACCAACCCUCAAGUUUCCCUGAGGUGGCGCUGCAAGUGGAUCUGUUUUGGACCAACACUCAGAGGAGCACUGGCCCAGGGGUUUAAAAUAAAGAUGACCCUUGAGUCCACGGAACCCAAGGGGAAAAGGCUUAGGUGGCAAAUGGUAAAACCAAGGUUGGGCCUUGCUGGAGGAGUUUUAUUCAAGGCGAACUGUCAAGGGGUUCCCAUAACACCCAACCGUAUAAGGAACGCAAAAUCAAGGAACAUAAUACUGGUAUGACAGAAACUAAGGCGGCAAGAGUGGAACAAAACACCAGGCAUAAGGCCGAGCCUUUCACCCUUUACCAAGUAUAUAGAUGCAUUAAAGUAAAUAAGAGAUAAUAAUGAUAUCCCAACAGAAUCCAUGUUCCAACAUGGAACAAACUUCAUCUUCACCCUUCGCCACUUCACACAAUUACAUGAAUAAAGCAUUACAUCAACCAGAUACAAUCAAGGUCCGACUACGGAACCAAAAUAAAAGAAGAACCCCAAAUGCGACAAGGUCCCCGAUCGACCCCAACUAGGCUCCACUACUGAUCAACUAGAAUGAAACAACACAAAGGACAAGAUCUUCAUCGAGCUCCUCCUGAGCUUGGUUGCGUCAACUGCACGGUCUCGUCGGCACCUGCAAGCUGGUUUUGGAAGUAUCUGUGAGUCACGAGGAGUCAGCAAUCUCACACCCUCGCGAUCAAGACUAUUUAAGCUUAUGGGUAAGGUAAAGGUAUGAGGUGGAGCUACAGCAAGCGACUAGCAUAUAUGGUGGCUAACAUAUUCGCAAAAGAGAGCGAGAAGAGAAGGCAAACCAUGAACGAAGAACUAUGAUCAAGAAGUGAUCCUAGAACAACCUACGUCAAACAUAAAUCCAACACCGUGUUCACUUCCCGGACACCGCCGGAAAGAGACCAUCACGGUUACACACGCAGUUGACUCAUUUUAAUUAAGUUAAGGUUCAAGUUAUCUACAACCGGACAUUAACAAAUUCCCAUCUGCCCAUAACCGCAGGCACGGCUUUCGAAAGUUCAAAUCCCUGCAGGGGUGUCCCAACUUAGCCCAUGACAAGCUCUCACGGUCAACGAAGGAAUAGACCUUCUAGCGGGAAGACCCGAUCAGACUCGGAAUCCCGGUUACAAGACAUUUCGACAAUGGUAGAACAAGUCCAGCAAGAGCGCCCGAUGUGCCGACAUCCUGAUAGGAGCUGCACAUAUCUCGUUCUCAGGGAAACACCGGAUGAGCGCUCCGUACAACUAAAACCAGCCCUCAAGUUUCCCCGAGGUGGCGUUGCAAAGGACUCUAGUUCGGACCAACACUUAGACAAGCACGGGCCCCGGGGGGGGGGUUAAAAUAAAGAUGACCCUCGGGAUGCGCGACUCCCAAGGGAAAAGGCUAGGUGGCGAAUGGUAAAACCAAGGUUGGGCCUUCCUGGAGGAGUUUUAUUCAAGGUGAACUAUCAAGGGGUUCCCAUUAUUACCCAACCACGUAAGGAACGCAAAAUCUGAGAACAUAACACCGAUAUGACAGAAACUAGGGCGACAAGAGUGGAACAAAACAGCAGGCAUAAGGCAGAGCCUUCCGCCCUUUACCAAGUAUAUAAAUGCAUUAAUUAAAUAAGAUAUAUUGUGAUAUCCCAACAAGUAAACAUGUUCCAACAAGGAACAACAUCUCCAUGUUCCAACAAGGAACAAAACUUCAAUCUUCACCUGCAACUAACAACGCUAUAAGAGGGGCUGAGCAAAGCGGUAACAUAGCCAAACAAUGGUCUGCUAGGACAAGGUGGGUUAGAGGCUUGGUUCAACAAUAUGGGUGGCAUGAUAAGCGAGUGGUAGGUAUCGCAGCAUAGGCAUAGCAAAAGAGCGAGCAUCUAGCAAGCAAAGAUAGAAGUGAUUUUGAGGGUAUGAUCAUCUUGCCUGAAAUCCCGCAAGGAAGAAGAAUGAGUCCAUGAAGAAGAUAAACGGGCGUAGACGAACGGGUCCUCACAAACGCGACGUUACUGGAACCAACCCGAAGAAGCAAACACCGGAAAGAAGCACACAACAUAGUAAACAACCAACUCAAGAAUAUGGUAUGAUAUGCGGGAUGCGGUAUGCGAUGCAUAUGCAUGAUUUGACAAGGAAUGCAUGAACCUGGCCUCAACUUGGAAAUCCAAGUGUGCCACUGGAAAGAUGAGAUGAAAUCGCUUGAAAACGAUAUAAAGAUCACCGGAAUUGGAGUUACGGUUUGGAAAUGGCAAGCGAUUCAAAUAUAGCCACGGUCUGCGAUAUACAGCAAGUAGCCAUCUAAAUGCAACGAGACGAACAUGCUACAGCACUCAAACAUGACAACAAAAUACAUGGGAGGGAUCCAUUCAUGAUGCUUGACAAAAGAGGAACACUGAGCUACGGCCAAUUCACCCAUUAACAGGUUCAAACAAGCAUGGCAAAAAUGCAUUUGGUAAACAGAUUUCAGACUUAGUGAAAUUAACACUUGUCUGGAAUUUCAGAUCAGAUAGCACUCUUUGGAGCAACAAAACUACAUGCUACAGGACCUACACAUGGCAAAGUAAAGCAUGUAAUAGAGCUACUCAAGGAGCUUAACAAAAGUUCCUUAGUGAAAUUGAGCCAAAAGGGAUCAGAAAAUACAAUUGCAAGCAUGUGAACAUGGCAAAAACAUAAUCAGAUCUCAGACUUACUGAAAACUGGAGCAUGCUGAAACAGAUAUCAAGUAGGCAUGUUUACGAGCUCGAUGCACUCACUACAGAGCAAGUCAUGACAAGCUAAGCAUACACCCAUCAAUAAUACACAAAAUGCAAGCUAGACAUGGCAAGAACAAUAGCAUAGCAUGCACGUAUCAACUACAACAUCCUCGGCAAAAUCGCUAACAAGUAGACAAUCUGCCCAGAUUCACGAAAUGACAAAAGUAGAGCUCGAUUGACUCAAGCUAGGGUGCUCCAUAAUUGCAAACAAAGACAUGGAUGGAUAGAGCACUACAAGAUUAACAAAAUAUCCUUACUGAUCAUCCUCAAAAGAGGCACGGAUCACUAGGAAACAACAUGAACAUAUGACCAUAUGAGAUAAACAGCUCAAGGACUUAGUGGAAAAGCUAAGUCCCUGAAAUCAGCAUUAGCAAAUGCCUCACUUUACAAGCUCGUGCUAGUCACCACACACAUCACAAAAAUACAUGGGUUGCACCUCUGGAAAGAUGGCAAAACCCUUAACAAAACAUAUGUAGAGCUCAAGGGCAUAUCAUGCACACAAUAAUCAUGGCAAAAAUGACAAAUAACUAAAUGGAGCAGCAGAUCUGACAAUUAUCUCAAGUAGCACUCUUCUAACAGCAUUUCGGUCAUCAAGAUGAACUCAAAUGAAAAUGAUGCAGUGAGAUGAAAUGAUGUACUCUCUGAGAUGAACAUUUUGAUAUGCUAUAUGCCAAAAAUGGAGCUACGGAUGCAGAGUUAUUGCAUGUUGAACAGGGCUCCAGAGAGUAAAUAUUUUUGGGACUUAGGGAAAAACGAGGUCAACCUCUGUCAGAUCCAGAUCUGGUGCGGAGUUCGAGGUUCAACAAAAGUCAUCGCCAGAGAGGAGGGAGAUUGCCGGAGUGGAGGGGUCCGGCCAGAUCCUGGCGCGGGUCGCCGGAUCGGCGUCGGCGGCGUGCUGGAGAGGCGCGGGCGACGUGCGGAGAGAGCUCGGGCGNNNNNNNNNNNNNNNNNNNNNNNNNNNNNNNNNNNNNNNNNNNNNNNNNNNNNNNNNNNNNNNNNNNNNNNNNNNNNNNNNNNNNNNNNNNNNNNNNNNNNNNNNNNNNNNNNNNNNNNNNNNNNNNNNNNNNNNNNNNNNNNNNNNNNNNNNNNNNNNNNNNNNNNNNNNNNNNNNNNNNNNNNNNNNNNNNNNNNNNNNNNNNNNNNNNNNNNNNNNNNNNNNNNNNNNNNNNNNNNNNNNNNNNNNNNNNNNNNNNNNNNNNNNNNNNNNNNNNNNNNNNNNNNNNNNNNNNNNNNNNNNNNNNNNNNNNNNNNNNNCGGGGCGGGCCGGCCUCGGGCCCCGGCGGGCCUGGCGGUUGGCGCGGUGAAGUAGGGCGCGGCGCGGGCGACGUGGCACAGCGGGAUUGGAGGAGGGAGUCGGCGGAGCUGAUGUGUCACCUCGCCAUUGGCCGGGCGACGUGGCGGCUGGGUGGACGCGUCCGACCACUGGGCGGACAUGUCCGGUGGCGCGGGGAGGAGUGGAUCUAGGGUUCAUCCGCGAUUUUUGGGGAGGGGAUCACAUAUUUAUAGGUAGAGGGAGCUAGGAGAGUCCAAAUGAGGUGCGGUUUUCGGCCACGCGAUCGUGAUCGAACGACCGAGAUGAUGGAGAUGUCUUAGGCGGGUUUUGGGCCAAGAUGGAGGGGUGUUGGGCUGCAACACACACGAGGCCUUUUCGGUCCCUCGGUUAACCGUUGGAGUAUCAAACGAAGUCCAAAUGGCACGAAACUUGACAGGCGGUCUACCGGUAGUAAACCAAGGCCGCUUGGCAAGUCUCGGUCCAAUCCGGAAAUUUUUAAUCCCCACACAUGAAAGAAAGGUAGAAAUGACCACCGGAGGAGAUAGGAGCACCGGAAUGCAAAACGGACAACAGGGAAAAUGCUCGGAUGCAUGAGACGAACAUGUAUGCAAAUGAAAUGCACAUGAUGACAUGAUAUGCAAAUGCAUGACACGCAAGCAAUGACAAGGAAACAACAUCAAAUAACUGGAGGACACGUGGCACAUCAGUCUCGGGGCGUUACAACACUCCACCACCACGGGAGGAUCUCGUCCCGAGAUCUAGAAUGGCAUCGGAGGGACAACGGAAGAGAAAGAGAAGAGGUAAAACUAAGUUGCUCCUUUGACAAACGAGUGAAACCAAAUAACCUUGAGAGGUUGAACAAAUUGAAGAAAAGAAUACAACGAAGGUAAACAAAGUCGAAAACACUCCGUUAGCAAGGAGGGACAAAGAACAUUGCGAAAAACCCCGAUGUUGAAGGGCAAGAUAUAUAUUGAAAGCACUCCAGUUAAGAAGUUAUGCAAGACUUGAUACGGUGAAAAGAACUUGAGCAGAGGACACGACACUCCGGUUAAAUGGAUAGGCAUGAAAAGAACAUGAUAUUUGAGAAAACGAGAUGAUGGGUGAAUAUUGCAGCAAUACAAAGCCUCGGGAAUAAAUGAAAGAAUGCAAAGAAAAGAAUGGAGAAGAAAAACAACAUGUUCUACCUCAAACGAAUUUGAGAGAGCAUCCUUAAAAGAGAAGGAUUGAACGGAGUUGUUGGGAAAUCAACAACGAAAAGAACAGGCUUGUUGAGGCUUAUGGAAAACAUCUCGAGAUUAUGAGGUGAAAUUCUGCCACUAAUGGAAACAAUAGAUUGGGUUGAUAUGAACAAGACGAGAAACUUAUUUCACCGGGAGGAUAGAUGAAGAACUUGGGUCAUUUGUGAGCACCAUAAAUAGCAACAAACCUUAGGGAAGGCUUUAGGUGAAAUCUAACCCAAGAUAACUCUAAAGAAGAGAUUGAUGGAUUUAAAAUACCUCAUUCCUAACAACAUGUGAAUCAUGGAACAUGAACUCAAAUUAUCAAGAAUGACGUAAUACCACCUUCAAUGAUAUGGAAGAAAGAAUUGCACUUUAAAAUGCCAGAUAAAGAAUGCUUGAGCUCCACUGAAAAGAAUCUUGAUGAGCACUUGAAACCAAGAAUUAAAUCAUCGUGAACAAACUCCGGAAGAAAAGAUUAACAUAUGGAUGAAACAAGAAUAAGAAUUACAUUAUGCUUAACCUUCACCAAUUUAAUUGAUGACAAGCAACGGAUUUGGCAUACUACUUAUUCUAGUUGCAACGGAUUGAAGAGAGAUAUAGCAUGAACUUGGGAAGGUCUUCAACGAUCCACUGGUAGAAUUUGAAAAGCACGAAUGCAUAGAUAUGAUACACGAAGGAAGAAAAACUCUUGAACGAACCACCGUAAGAAUUGAAAAAGAAUGAUUAAAACAUGAAGAAACACCGGGAAGAAUUAGCAAAUGAAUGAAGAUGCUUGGGAGAAUUUAGAUAUAUGAGAACGAAGAGAUCACGAGCCGAUUAAAGAUCACUUGCACGAAGCACCGGUAAAAUUGGGAGAAUGAUAGCUGAAAGCUGAGAAUGAAUAAACCUGAAUUGAUGGACUCCGGAUGAACAAACUAAAAAGGCUCCUGAAUUGCUCCGGAUGUAUAAAAAGAAUUCUCACAAUCGAACAAUUAUGAGAGGAUGGCAACAAGCUAGAAUCACGAAUCUUGAAGAGAAUGGAGCAAGAUUGAAAGAAGAAUCUUCUUAGGUCUUCCAAACUGAGAAUGACAACGAGAAAUACCACCAUGAAUUGUUUAGACCCUCCGGAAGAAUCAAAACAAAGAGGUUGAGCCAAUGAUGAAAAGAAUUUGGAAGAUCUAGGAGAAAGGCAUUUGACUGAUGAUAACUCAUUCGUACGUCAAACUUGGAAAAGAAUUUGAGAGUAACGCCGGGAAAAUAAGAAGAGUUAGGUAAGAUCCUGGGAAAAGACCUGUGGGUUAGGGCCCACUCAAAAGAUACACCGUUGAAAAUAUUAAUUGAAAAGGAGAAUGCACCGGUUCAAUUAAAUGACUUGAAUGAGAUAACAUCCUCGAAAGAGCUUGAACGAAAGCAGAGUGAAAACACGAAUCUUCGGGAUAUCUUGAGCACUCCGGAACAAAUGAAUAGCAAGUGGGGAAUGAUUAUGAGGUGCACCGGCAUAAGAAAAGCAUUGGGAAAAAAGAAAAGACUAUGCUCAAUACCAAAGCUUGAAUUGAAUCCACCGGAGAAGAAAGAGAACGAAUAAUGAUGAACUUGAAACUCUGCUACUAUCUUCCUGAUAUUCACCGGAUAAGAAUAUUGACGGAAAAGAAUGGAGAGGCUUCACAUCAAUAACAUGAUAGUUGAAUAAGAAAUCCGAAUCCUUGAAGGAAAAAGGGUUGGGAGGGUGGGGAAAACAAAGACAACUUGGGACGGAUGAAACAACCAAUGUUGAGAUCUUAGAUUGAAUCUUGCGGAUGUGGAAUGAUCGGAUCCACUUGGAAAGAAACACACCGGUUGAAAAGGAUUGACAUGACAAUCUCGAUUAUCAUGAAGGAUUAGUAUUCCCAUAGGAAUAUGAGAACACCAUUUGGGGAAGGUAUGGAGUCAACAUUUGACUUCGAAGCAACUCGAAUACCACCACUCAAAACAAAACGAAGGAUUGGCUUGUAGAAUAAGCCGGAACAAACAUAUGAUAGAGAUUUUGUCCAAAGUUUUUGUGGUGGGGCCUACACGGGCUCGAUCGUAUAGCACCAUCAUGUACAAGGCAGUGCACAUGACAUACGAAGCGUCCCCGAGUCGGCAUAGCCAAGGACUCUUUAAGACACAACGAGACCACUGUAAAACCAACCGUGAAUAGGCGUACCACUAGACGUCGAAUCCCAAUUUCAUAUCAUACAUCUGUCGGAAAGAUAUCCUAAGAGCUACUUGAAUUCCCACCUAUGAAACUCCCGAACCUUUCCGGUUAUGCAAUCAGGUGUUGGGGAUACAGGGGAAGCAUAAUAUCUCACCCAAAACUAGCAAAUCCUACAUCCAGCUGUAUCCAUCCUUUAACACAUAACCAAGAAACCUUCAGAAAUCAUCUACCUCAACCUUCGAAAAGCAUUCGUUAUACAAGUUAUGGCAAUACUCCCAAACUCCCGCCCCAGUACUGGGUGGCGUCGAGGUUAUCUCACCCACGAACUGCAUAAAAGAGAUUUUCGAUGUCGGUGUACUAAACUCAGGUAUUCCAGAAUUGCAAUGAUAAAAUUAUGGUGACAACACCUCAGAGAUCAACUCCCCGGGACACUUCCAGGAAACCCCUGACAGGAGGCACCAAGACAAUGUUCUCGUCACAAAACCAUUGGAACGAUUCCAAGAUACCCGCGUGGUCCUAAAUUUUUUUUAGUGAAAUUUGAGAAGAGAAGAGUCAAAACUCUACGUCAGGAUGCCUUACCAGAGCGAUGAGGAGACUGGGGAGUAAAAAGAAUUCCUAAACUCUCCGAUAUAUAAUUCCUAAAUGACUCAAAACAUUUUUCUAGACACAACUCGACUGCUAAAAACAAUCAAGCAAUGGGUCUCCUAAGGUCGGGGAAGGCUCUGAUACCAAAUUGUAACGCCCUCGAUGCGGCUAUAUCUCCCACGUGUUGAAGCACAACUUAGAGGCAUAACCGCAUUGAAAGCAAUGUCGCAAGUGAGGUAAUCUUUACACAACCCAUGUAAUACAAUAGGGGAAAAAGAUACAUAGUUGGCUUACAAUCGCCACUUCACAAAAUUACAUGAAUAAAGCAUUACAUCAACCAGAUACAAUCAAGGUCCGACUACGGAACCAAAAUAAAAGAAGAACCGCAAAUGUGACAAGGUCCCCGAUCGACCCCAACUAGGCUCCACUACUGAUCAACUAGAAUGAAACAACACAAAGGACAAGAUUUUCAUCGAGCUCCUCCUGAGCUUGGUUGCGUCAACUGCACGGUCUCGUCGGCACCUGCAAGCUGGUUUUGGAAGUAUCUAUGAGUCAUGAGGACUCAGCAAUCUCACACCGUCGCGAUCAAGACUAUUUAAGCUUAUGGGUAAGGUAAAGGUAUGAGGUGGAGCUGCAGCAAGCGACUAGCAUAUAUGGUGUCUAACAUAUUCGCAAAAGAGAGCGAGAAGAGAAGGCAAAGCACAAACAAAGAACUAUGAUCAAGAAGUGAUCCUAGAACAACCUACGUCAAACAUAACUCCAACACCGUGUUCACUUCCGGACACCGCCGGAAAGAGACCAUCACGGUUACACACGCAGUUGACUCAUUUUAAUUAAGUUAAGGUUCAAGUUAUCUACAACCGGACAUUAACAAAUUCCCAUCUGCCCAUAACCGCGGGCACGACUUUCAAAAGUUCAAAUCCCUGCAGGGGUGUCCCAACUUAGCCCAUGACAAGCUCUCACGGUCAACGAAGGAAUAGACCUUCUAGCGGGAAGACCCGAUCAGACUCGGAAUCCCGUUUACAAGACAUUUCGACAAUGGUAAAACAAGUCCAGCAAGACCGCCCGAUGCGCCGACAUCCUGAUAGGAGCUGCACAUAUCUCGUUCUCAGGGCAACACUGGAUGAGCGCUCCGUACAACUAAAACCAGCCCUCAAGUUUCCCCGAGGUGGCGCUGCAAAGGACUCUAGUUCGGACCAACACUUAGACAAGCACUGGCCCGGGGGGGGGGGUUAAAAUAAAGAUGACCCUCGGGAUGCGCGACUCCCAAGGGAAAAAGGCUAGGUGGCGAAUGGUAAAACCAAGGUUGGGCCUUGCUGGAGGAGUUUUAUUCAAGGUGAACUGUCAAGGGGUUCCCAUUAUUACCCAACCGCGUAAGGAACGCAAAAUCUGAGAACAUAACACCGAUAUGACAGAAACUAGGGCAACAAGAGUGGAACAAAACACCAGGCAUAAGGCAGAGCCUUCCACCCUUUACCAAGUAUAUAGAUGCAUUAAUUAAAUAAGAUAUAUUGUGAUAUCCCAACAAGUAAACAUGUUCCUACAAGGAACAACAUCUCCAUGUUCCAACAAGGAACAAAACUUCAAUCUUCACCUGCAACUAACAACGCUAUAAGAGGGGCUGAGCAAAGAGGUAACAUAGCCAAACAACGGUUUGCUAGGACAAGGUGGGUUAGAGGCUUGGUUCAACAAUAUGUGUGGCAUGAUAAGCGAGUGGUAUGUAUCACAGCAUAGGCAUAGCAAAAGAGCGAGCAUCUAGCAAGCAAAGAUAGAAGUGAUUUCGAGGGUAUGAUCAUCUUGCCUGAAAUCUCGCAAGGAAGAAGAACGAGUCCAUGAAGAAGAUAAACGGGCGUAGACGAAUGGGUCCUCACAAACGCGACGUUACUGGAACCAACCCGAAGAAGCAAACACCGGAAAUAAGCACACAACAUAGUAAACAACCAACUCAUGAAUAUGGUAUGAUAUGCGGGAUGCGGUAUGCGAUGCAUAUGCAUGAUUUGGCAAGGAAUGCAUGAACCUGGACUCAACUUGGAAAUCCAAGUGUGCCAAUGGAAAGAUGAUAUGAAAUCGCUUGAAAACGAUAUAAAGAUCACCGGAAUCGGAGUUACGGUUUGGAAAUGGCAAGCGAUUCAAAUAUGGCCACGGUCUGCGAUAUACAGCAAGUAGCCAUCUAAAUGCAACGAGAUGAACAUGCUACAACACUCAAACAUGAAAACAAAAUACAUGGCAGGGAUCCAUUCAUGAUGCUUGAAAAAAGAGGAACACUGAGCUAUGGCCAAUUCACCCAUUAACAUGUUCAAACAAGCAUGGCAAAAAUGCAUUUGGUAAACAGAUUUCAGACUUAGUGAAAUUAACACUUGUCUGGAAUUUCAGAUCAGAUAGCACUCUUUGGAGCAACAAAACUACAUGCUACAGGACCUACACAUGGCAAAGUAAAGCAUGGCAUGGAGCUACUCAAAGAGCUUAACAAAAGUCCCUUAGUGACCUUGAGCCAAAAUGGAUCAGAAAAUACAAUUGCAAGCAUGUGAACAUGGCAAAAACAUAAUCAGUUCUCAGACUUAGUGAAAACUGGAGCAUGCUAAAACAGAUAUCAAGUAGGCAUGUUUACGAGCUCGAUGCACUCACUAUAGAGAAAGUCAUGACAAGCUAAGCAUACACCCAUCAAUAAUACACAAAAUGCAAGCUAGACAUGGCAAGAACAGUAGCAUAGCAUGCACGGAUCAACUACAACAUCCUCGGCAAAAUCGCUAACAAGUAGACAAUCUGCCCAGAUUCACGAAAUGACAAAAGUAGAGCUCGAUUGACUCAAGCUAGGGUGCUCCAUAAUUGCAAACAAAGACAUGGAUGGAUAGAGCACUACAAGAUUAACAAAAUACCCUUACUGAUCAUCCUCAAAAGAGGCACGGAUCACUAGGAAACAACAUGAACAUAUGACCAUAUGAGAUAAACAGCUCAAGGACUUAGUGGAAAAGCUAAGUCCCUGAAAUCAGCAUUAGCAAAUGCCUCACUUUGCAAGCUCGUGCUAGUCACCACACACAUCACAAAAAUACAUGGGUUGCACCUCUGGAAAGAUGGCAAAACCCUUAACAAAACAUAUGUAGAGCUCAAGGGCAUAUCAUGCACACAAUAAUCAUGGCAAAAAUGACAAAUAACUAAAUGGAGCAGCAGAUCUGACAAUUAUCUCAAGUAUCACUGUUUUAACAGCAUUUCGGGCAUCAAGAUGAACUCAAAUGAAAAUGAUGCAAUGAGAUGAAAUGAUGUACUCUCUGAGAUGAACAUUUUGAUAUGCUAUAUGCCAAAAACGGAGCUACGGAUGCAGAGUUAUGGCAUGUUGAACAGGGCUCCAGAGAGUAAAUAUUUUUGGGACUUAGGGAAAAACAAGGUCAACCUCUGUCAGAUCCAGAUCUGGCGCGGAGUUCGAGGUUCAACAACAGUCAUCACCGGAGAGGAGGGAGAUGGCCGGAGUGGAGGGGUCCGGCCGGAUCCUGGCGCGGGUCGCCGGAUCAGCUUCGGCGGCGUGCUGGAGAGGCGCGGGCGAUGCGCGGAGAGAGCUCGGGCGNNNNNNNNNNNNNNNNNNNNNNNNNNNNNNNNNNNNNNNNNNNNNNNNNNNNNNNNNNNNNNNNNNNNNNNNNNNNNNNNNNNNNNNNNNNNNNNNNNNNNNNNNNNNNNNNNNNNNNNNNNNNNNNNNNNNNNNNNNNNNNNNNNNNNNNNNNNNNNNNNNNNNNNNNNNNNNNNNNNNNNNNNNNNNNNNNNNNNNNNNNNNNNNNNNNNNNNNNNNNNNNNNNNNNNNNNNNNNNNNNNNNNNNNNNNNNNNNNNNNNNNNNNNNNNNNNNNNNNNNNNNNNNNNNNNNNNNNNNNNNNNNNNNNNNNNNNNNNNNNNNNNNNNNNNNNNNNNNNNNNNNNNUGCUCCAGCGGGGGUGCGGCCCGGGGCGGGCUGGCCUCAGGCCCCGGCGGGCCUGGCGGUUGGGGCGGUGAAGUGGGGCGCGGCGCGGGCGACGUGGCGCAGCGGGAUUGGAGGAGGGAGUCGGCGGAGCUGAUGUGUCGCCUCGCCAUUGGCCGGGCGACGUGGCGGCUGGGUGGACGCGUCCGGCCACCGGGCGGACAUGUCCGGUGGCGCGGGGAGGAGUGGAUUUAGGGUUCAUCCGUGAUUUUUGGGGAGGGGAUCACAUAUUUAUAGGUAGAGGGAGCUAGGAGAGUCCAAAUGAGGUGCGGUUUUCGGCCACGCGGUCGUGAUCGAACGACCGAGAUGAUGGAGAUGUCUUAGGCGGGUUUUGGGCCAAGAUGGAGGGGUGUUGGGAUGCAACACAUACGAGGCCUUUUCGGUCCCUCGGUUAACCGUUGGAGUAUCAAACGAAGUCCAAAUGGCACGAAACUUGACAGGCGGUCUACCGGUAGUAAACCAAGGCCGCUUGGCAAAGUCUUGGUCCAAUCCGAAAAUAUUUAAUCCCCACACACGAAAGAAAGGUAGAAAUGACCACCGGAGGAGAUAGGAGCGCCGGAAUGCAAAACAGACAACGGGGAAAAUGCUCGGAUGCAUGAGACGAACAUGUAUGCAAAUGAAAUGCACAUGAUGACAUGAUAUGCAAAUGCAUGGCACACAAGCAAUGACAAGGCAACAACAUCAAUUAACUGGAGGACACGUGGCACAUCGGUCUCGGGGCGUUACAGGCACAUAGUGUACUGCAAUCUUGUUUACCCACGAUCCAUUUGCCAUUAAAAGUGCAAAGUAACGGAUAGAUGGAAAUUGUAUACUUUUUAUUAUAGUUUGUGUAACUCCUCUAUCCUCACCACAACAGAGGCUAGUUAAGAACAUCUCAUACUCAGAUUUUGAUGGUUCGUCUAGCGAACCCCAAUAUGGAAUUUUGCAUGUACCACCGAAUUCUUGUAGAGGCAUGGUAAAGGCGCUAUCAUAAAGGCAAAAUGAAACUCUAGAAUCACGAGAAUGAUACCUAAAUAUCUUGGUGAAUGAUUGGGUGAGGUGGUGAUGCUAGAUACACUUAUCUGCGACGAAGGGAGCGAGCUUGGUGUUAUGACCAUACUGAUCAAAUUCUUCCUUAAUACCCGCACCUAUCAUGAACUCAUCACAUGGGCAGAGGCACGAUUUGGUAUGGGCAUCCCUUACUGAGCUUGCGCUUGGCUCAUUAUAGGCCUGUCGUAUCGAGCUCUCACUCGAUGAUGCCUCCGAGGACCACCGCCUCGAAGAACUCCUCCUAAAGAGGUACGCUUUAUCUAUGAAGAAUUUCUGAAAUUUUUGAGCCAUAAAAUAAUGUCAACAAAACUUCACAAAACUGAUAGUAACUACUCAUAUGGAUGUUUAGAGGCUAUAUGAAGCAUUCAAACUACUUGGAACUCAAAUAAUUCAACAUGCAAGCUCAUUUUCAGUAGCACCAAGAGUAGCUAAUUACUCAAAAUAUAGACCACUAAAGCAAAACUAAUUGGAGCAAUGGAGGAGUCACAUACCAAGUAGCAAUCCCCCAAAACAGUUUCAAAAAUGGAGCUCCGAGCAAGGAGAUUGAAAUUUGUGGGUUUGAGAGCAAGAACACGAGAGAGAGAGAGAGAGAGAGAGAGAGAGAGAGAGCUACAUUGAUUUUUUCUGGAGGUAGGUGACGAAGUGAGCUAAAGGAGUGAGUGAGGGGGUGCUUGUGGGGCCCACUACCCACCAGGGCGUGCCAGGUGGGUGUGGCGUGCCCUGGUGCCUAGUGGGCACCUGGGGCACCCCUAUGUUGUUUUCAGUGCCAAAAAAUCUCAAAUAUUCAGAAAAAACCGUGUUAAAUUUUUAGGUCAUUCUAAGCACUUUUAUUUAAUAUAAAGUGGGUACAGAAAGUUGUGCCUACUAAAUUCAUCGACCACAUGCCUCUCAAAAAUAAUCCAUUAAUAAGGUUGAUCAAGUCUUAUUAACAACCACUUCCGAUUAGCAUGAACCCGAAGAACUUUCAUAAAACACUAAGUUACCUCAACGGGGAUAUGCAUCUCCCCAACAAUAAAUGUUUCAUAUUUCUUUUUGAUAGCAGGUAGAGGGAGUUGAAAACUUCCAAUAGUAAUAGUCGGAGUCUCUUCAAUAACGUUAAUACCAUUCACUUAAAAUUGUUUCUACGAAAAGUGCACCGUAUGCUCAUUACCAUUGAUAUGAAAAGUGACCUUGCUUUUAUUGCAAUCAAUAACAUCCCCUGCAGUAUUAAAAAAUGGUCUACAAAGGAUAAUCAACAUGUUGUCGUCGUCGGGCAUAUCAAGUAUAACAUAGACUGUUAAGAUAGUAACAUCCGCAACCACAACAAGCACAUCCUCCCAAACACUGAUGGGUAUGGUAGUUGAUUUGUCAGCCAUUUGCAAAGAUAUUUCAGUGGGUGUGAGUUUAUUCAAAUCAAGACUUUUGUAUAAAGAGAAAAGCAUAACACUAACACUAGCUCCUAAAUCACAUAAGACAGUUUUGACAUAACUUCUUGUAAUGGAACAUGGUAUAGUUGGUAUUCCUGGAUCUCCUAGUUUCUUAGGUACUCCCACCUUAAAAUAGUAAUUAGGAAGCAUGGUGGAGAUUUCAUCUUCAGGUAUUUUUAUUUUAUUAGUGACAAUAUCUUUUGGGACAAUUAAUAUUAUGCCCGUAGUUGUGUCACACUGGACAUGUUUACUCAUACUUUCCAAAAAUACUCGUUCCUCCCCAGACCACUUUGCUUCUCUUGUAUUUUUGCCCUUCCGUCUCAAUUCCGCCAGGUCAAAGGUGCUUGACUAUUAGAGAGACAUUUUCUGGACCAUUUUGCCCCUCCUUACAACUCUAGUUAAAAAUCAAAGAAAAAACAAUGUUACACUUACAUGUGGGACCCAAUUUAAAUGCAAAAGAAAAAUCCUUCCCUCUCUCUUCCCUGUGGGACCCACACCCCCAUCCACCUUCCUAUCUUCUUCCUCCCGCAGCUCCGGCAUGGCUUGCUCGCUCACCCUGCUGCCGAUCACCCGCACCAGUACCUCCUCGACCUUGAGCCCUGGGACAAGAAGUUGUUGCCCACCUGCCCGCCGUCGGUCGCCAAUGCCUCCCCAACCUCCAUCCCGGCCAGAUCCGGUCCAGUCCGAGCCUCUUGCGGCUGGAUCUUCCGUCUCUGCCGCGCCCACGCCCCGGGCCGAUCCUGGCCUCCACUACAUCACGUUGCCCCCCUUGCCCAAAGAUCCUCGCCACCCAUCCCUGGACCUUGUCACGGUGGCUCUAGCCAUCCGCGUCGAAUCUCGGGCACUCCAGCCAAACCUCGCCGCCACCUACCUCCAGCGACGCAUCGAAUCGAGAUCUCCUGCAUGCCUUGCGAUGGCGCUGCCUCUGCCACACAUAUCACGGACGAACACCGUGGCCUCGAGGUCCAACCUGUGCUCAGGCGCCCGCUGGCGAGAGGUCGGUUGCCCCCGCCAUGCAGUCCAUCAGCGGGCCGGUUGACAGAGUUGGGCGGUGCCUGGGGUGGGAGAGGGAUGUGGUAGUGGGGGCGCCGAUGGCAGGUCAUGCGACACCGGCAGCGCGAGUGCGGCGAUACCAGGAUGGGGAAAGUGAGGUGUUUCAGGAGGGGAGGGGAGAUAGUGUAUGUUUUUCUAUUUUUUCUUUCUUUUGCAUUUAGUCGGGUCCCACAUGUAAGCAUCACAUUGUUUUUUUUCUUUGAUUCUGAACUGAAGUUGGAAGGAGGGGCAAAAUGGUCCAGAAAAACAUUGCUCUGAUGGUCAAAUGCCUUUGACUGGACAGAGCUGAGAUGGAAGGGAAAAAACACAAGAGAAGCAAGGUGAUUUGGACAGGAAUGAGUAUUUUCAAAAAGUAGGGGUAAACCUGUCGAGUGUGACCCAACUAGGGGCAUACUAUCAAUUAUCCCAUAUCCUUUAUAUAUUUAGCAUAAGGGGCCAUCUUUAAAAUAUCAGUCGAAUGAGUACGCAAAAAAACCGGCCUAAGCAUUUCAGGAAAGCAUUCAAAUUCUUCCUCAUCCUUUUUCUUAGAAGGUUUAAGUGGAAAGGGCAUGGGUUUCUGAAUCCAUGGUUCCCUUUCUUUACCAUGUUUUCCAGAAACAAGAUCUCUCUUAUCAUAAUGUUUAUUUUUAGAAGGUGGGUUAUCAAGAUCUACAUCAUGUUCUAUUUCAACAUCAUUAUCUGGUUCUUUAUCAUUGUCUGGUUGAACAUCUAUAUGAACAUUGUCAUUCUCAUUAUCACUAGGUGAAUGUCCAUUACCAGAUUGUGUUUCAGCAUCAGAAAUAGAAACAUCAUUAUCAUCCUCUGAAGGUUUUUCUACCUCAGGUUCACUAGAAGUAUGCAAAGUCCUAUCAUUUUUCUUUUACUCUUUAGACGGACUAGGUGCAUCAACAUUAAUUCUUUGAGAGUCUUUUUCAAUUGUUUUAGGGUGUCCCUCGGGAUAAAGUGGGUCCUAAGUCAUUUUACCUCCUCUAGUCAUUACUCUAACAACAUGAUCAUUCAUAUUAUUAUUCAUUUCAUUGAGCAACUCACUUUGAGAUUUAGCAACUUGUUCUAACCGAGUCCGGACCACAGAAGCAUGUUUUCUUACUCCUUUAAUAUAAUUAGUGAUUCUAAAUACCAAGUCACUCAAGCGAGCAAUUGUAUCAGCAUUUUGCGUUAAUUGUUUUAUAACAUAGUCAUUGAAAUGAUCUUGCUCGAUAAUGUAAUUGUGGGACUCAUACAAGCAUUGACUAGGAUGUUUAUUGUAAGGGAUAUCACCUUCAUCAAACUUUAUAAAAGAUUUUACCUCUACCACCUGUGGUGGUGUGUCGAGACUGUGUAUUUCUUCAAUAGGUGGUAAUUUUUCAACAUCCUCAGCUUUAAUACCUUUUUCUUUCAUACAUUUCUUUGCUUCUUGCAUAUCUUUAGGACUGAGAAAUAAAACACCCCUCUUCUUUGGAGUGGGUUUAGGCGGUGGUUCAAGAAGUGUCCAAUCAUCAUAAUUCAUCAACAUAUUAUUCAAUAGUUCCUUGGUUUGUUCAAUAGUUCGUUCCCUAAAAACACAACCAACACAACUAUCUAGGUGGUCCCUAGAAGCAUCGGUUAGUCCGUUAUAGAAGAUAUCAAGUAUUUAAUUUUUCUUUAGAGGAUGAUCAUGCAAAGCAUUAAGUAAUUGGAGAAGCCUCCCCCAAGCUUGUGGGAUACUCUCUUCUUCAAUUUUUACAAAGUUAAAUAUUUCCUGUAAUGCAGCUUGUUUCUUAUGAGCAGGAAAAUAUUUUUCCAGAGAAGUAAUAAAUCAUAUCCUGGGGACUACGCACACAACCAAGAGCAAGAGUAUUAUACCAUAAUUAGCACCACCCUUUAACAAGAAAGGAAAUAACUUGAGAAUAUAGUAGUAGCGAAUUUUUUUCAUCAUGAGCAAAUAGGGUGGCUAUAUCAUUUAAUUUAGAAAGAUGUGUCACAACAGUUUCAGUUUCAUAGCCAUGGAAAGGAUCAGAUUCAACCAAAGUAAUUAGCUCUGGAUCGACAGAGAAUUCAUAAUCCUUAUCAGUAAUAAAUAUAGGUGAAGUAGCAAACUUAGGAUCAUAUUUCAUUCUAGCAUUCAAAGAUUUUUCUUUCAACUUGCAUAGUAAUUUCUUAAAUCGUCUCUAUCCUUACAAGAAAGUCCCUAGCUACCUCUCCAUCCAUAACAUAACCUUCAGGAAAUUCAUAGCUAGGAGAGCUAGUGUGACGCCCGGAUGAUUAACCUACAGUAAUCCUAUGCUAAUGAGGCUACGUCACCCAUGUUACUGUUGCUAAUCUCACUUGAUUCAAAAAUGAUUCAGAUUCAAAAUUUAAAAAUAAAGUCAAACAAAUAAAGUUUUCAAAUGUCGAAACAAAAAUGUUUGUUAGGUUGCAAAUAUUCACUAGCUAAUUAUCAUGUGGCAACCAACAUCAAUUGGCUCUCCCUUUAAUCCCUAGGAAAAUAUAAAGUGGCCCAACCGCAUAUUAAUUAGCUUAUUGAAAUUCCAAAAAUGCUUGAACAAUUCCGUUGGCUCUCAAACUUUCUAUGCAACACCACAAUGUUGUUCUCGAAUUGUGUGCCAAAUUUCAAGUUUGACUAAAUUAAUAUUCUAUAUACCUACUAAUAAAGCAAGGUGAUAUUCUUGGUUUCGUCCCGCAUCUGAUCCUAUGUUACGUGUAUUAUAAAAAUACACAAUCGAGGUGGUACUAAUUACCCGCAGAGAAAACGGUUGACGUCUAAAGAAAUUGUCCGCGUGCAGACAGCCCACUCGGGCCUUAUCUGCCAAUGAAGCAGGCCCAAUAGAAAAUAGAAAAGUAGGCAAAGGCCUUACCGCCAAUGAAGCAGGCCCAGUAGAAAAUUAGGCAAAAGAUAUUGCUAAGGAGUCGAACCUGCAAUCUCACGAUCUUUCCUUACCGCUGCAACCACUGAGCUAUACAAAGUUUGUGCCCUUAAUGGAAGGUUCAACCUACUUAUAUGCAUGCCAGUGCCAUGUAGCCUUUCUUUACAGCAUUGCCACUGACGGACAUGUUCAACUGGGCAGGAUGGUGAGUCGAUUCAGCCUCUUGGUAAAACGAUUGGACGGAGGGAUUUGUAAGCUGCUAAACUUUAAAUGAUGCUAGAGCAUGCGACCUGUUGGACAGGUCAGCCUCUCCGUGGAUUGAACAGAUUGAUUCUUAUAAACAUAAACAUGCAGAUUACAAACAACAAUUGAAUGCACACGAACGCGGAAGUUCGGCCGGCGCUGGCCAUCGGCCGACCACAUAAUAUAUAAUCUAUAUCUAUAAUACAUGUUCCAAUUAUGAAUCGAACUCCCAACCUCUGAUUUGGUUCACGUAGUUGGUAGCCAACCGAUAUAUAUUCAGCCUAUGCUAAAGACAUGAUUUGAUAUUUAUUAGUCCAACCUCGCUCUUUUAAAUCAAAUCCCAUCAUUUUAGAUACGCACGUGAGUUGUAUUAAAAUCAACCAGCCAAGAGAGAUCCAUUAAAUCCAAGUCAAAAAGAAAGAAAGAGACCACAUAAAGGCAAGGAGUGGGGGGACGAACAUGCUGAUCAGUAUGCUCGUGAUCGAGUGAUGGCCUGCAGGAGAGGCCGGAGUUCAUGGGGUCGUCGCUGCAGUACUUGCAUAAAUUCGUGAACAAAUAUCUGCAUGCAACGUACGUGAAGAUAAACAUGCAUGCUAGGCAUCAGGGCCACUAUUAGCCGGUGGCAUUGACCACUUUUGGCUGCGCUAUUCUAAUUUAACAUGAACACAUGACAUCAAUGGUCUUAGAUACAACUUCUAAUCUCCCUCAAGAGAAAAGGUAGAUACAAGUUCUAAUAUAAUCAUCUGGGACCUACUGCUCCAAUCAGUUUUCUCCUCCACCGGAUUUUCUUUUAAGUUUACCCAUGAAUUCUUAAUUAGAAAACGAUAGAUCAUGCUGAGAUGCCCUUUUAGUUUGCAUAAAAUACCUCUAUUUAAUAUAUUUUUCAUUUGAGAUUUUCAUGAGUUAUAGGUAACAAUGCUUCAUCGUUUGGAUAGAGAUUUAGCUACAUAUGAUCAUGUCAUGUGGCAUCAUGAGCAUUCGUUUAUCCAAAAAUCCAAAGGUACCAAUGUGCAUUCUCUAUAAAGAAUUGUCAGAUCUCUCUUCUCCGUGUGCGUAUAUAUAAAAGAAGCGGCUAUUUAUUUUUUGGAUAUUGUGUUAUUGCACGGAAAAAUGAGCUAUUAUGCAUAAUUUGUUUAUCUAGAUAAUAUGGUAUUGUGGAUUGUGGAUUGUGCUUCUUUUACUUAAAUGUUGUAGUUAAAACAAGUAAAUGUCUAACCAUUUUCCCAUAACAAAGCAACCCUAGCGGCGGAAUUGAAAACUUGUGGCCGUGUGAGCAUCCAAGGCGGUGGGCAUGGAAGCUUUCGGUAGAAGAUUUUAAGCACUAUCAAGCAGCUAGCCCUUGAACCAACAAACUAAAUGACAUAGUUCCUCUCCCUGGCCAACCUUGAUUGAUAAAAAUCAUUGUGUUUCCCCGUUCCAACGCACGGGCAUUUGUGCUAGUUGUCACUCAAAUAAAUACGAACAAUGGCUAACUGAAAUACAUAAAAGGAAAAAUAGAAAAUGGCCUAACUAACUGUUGUGCCACUGGGCCUUUGAUGACCACAGUACUUUUGGCCCAGCCCACCCCCUUGUCAUCCCCAACCCCCUGUAGCUACAGGGAGACAUGGGAUGGUGGUGCCCAUCCGCCGGCCAUGCCGUGCGUGGCGGCCAUCCCCCUGUUGGGGAACACAGUAAUUUCAAAAAAAAAAAAAAUCCUAUGCACACGCAAGAUCUAUCAUGGUGAUGCAUAGCAACGAGAGGGGAAGAGUGUUGUCCACGUACCCUCGUAGACCGUAAGCGGAAGCAUUAUGACAACGCGGUUGAUGUAGUCAUACGUCUUCAUGAUCCGACCGAUCCUAGUGCCAAAAGUACGGCACCUCAAUGAUCUGCACACGUUCAGCUCGGUGACGUCCCACGAACUCUCGAUCCAGCUGAGUGUCGAGGGAGAGCUUCGUUAGCAUGAUGGCGUGAUGACGGUGAUGAUGAUGCUACCGGAAUAGGGCUUCGCCUAAGCACCACUAUGAUAUGACCGAGGUGGAUUAUGGUGGAGGGGGCACCGCACACGGCUAAGGGAUCAACGAUCAACUUGUGUGUCUAUGGGGUGCCCGCUGGCCACGUAUAUAAAGGAUGGAGGGAGGAGGAGGCCGGCCCUCAUAGGGCGCGCCCAAAGUGUGGAGUCCUACUAGGACUCCCUAGUCCUAGUAGGAUUCCACCUCCCACAUGGAAUAGGAAAAAGGGAAGGGAGAAGGAGAAGGAAGGAAGGGGCGCCCCCUUUCCCUAGUCCAAUUCGGACCAGUCCAUGGGUAAGGGGAGCAGCCACCCUUGAGGCCUUUCUCUCCUUUCCCGUAUGGCCCAUUAAGGCCCAAUACGAAUUCCCGUAACUCUUCGGUACUCUGAAAAAUACUCGAAUCACUCGAAACCUUUCCGAUAUCCGAAUAUAGCCUUCCAAUAUAUCGAUCUUUACGUCUCGACCAUUUCUAGACUCCUCGUCAUGUCCCCGAUCUCAUCCGGGACUCCAAACAAACUUCGGUCAUCAAAUCACAUAACUCAUAAUACAAAUCGUCAUAGAACAUUAAGCGUGUGGACCCUACGGGUUCAAGAACUAUGUAGACAUGACCGAGACUCAUCUCUGGUCAAUAACCAAUAGCGGCACCUGGAUGCUCAUAUUGGUUCCUACAUAUUCUACGAAGAUCUUUAUCGGUCAAACCGCAUAACAACAUACGUUGUUCCCUUUGUCAUCGGUAUGUUACUUGCCCGAGAUUCGAUCAUCGGUAUCAUCAUACCUAGUUCAAUCUCGUUACCGAUAAGUCUCUUUACUCAUUCCGUAAUGCAUCAUACCGCAACUAACUCAUUAGUCACAUUGCUUGCAAGGCUCAUAGUGAUGUACAUUACCGAGAGGGCCCAGAGAUACCUCUCCGACAGAUGAAGUGACAAAUCCUAAUCUCGAUCUAUUCCAACUCAACAAACACCAUCGGAGACACCUGUGGAGCAUAUUUAUAAUCACCCAGUUACGUUGUGACGUUUGAUAGCACACCAGGUGUUCCCCCGGUAUUCGGUAGUUGCAUAAUCUCAUAGUCAGAGGAACAUGUAUAAGUCAUGAAGAAAGCAGUAGCAAUAAAACUGAACGAUCAUUAUGCUAAGCUAAUGGAUGGGUCUUGUACAUCACAUCAUUCUCUAAUGUGACCCCGUUCAUCAAAUGACAACACAUGUCCAUGGCUAGGAAACUUAGCCUUCUUUGAUUAACGAGCUAGUCAAGUAGAGGCAUAGUAGGGACACUCUGUUUCUCUAUGUAUUCACACAUGUACUAAGUUUUCGGUUAAUAAAAUUCUAGCAUGAAUAAUAAAGAUUUAUCAUGAUAUAAGGAAAUAUAAAUAACAACUUUAUUGUUGCCUCUAGGGCAUAUUUCCUUCACUCCGGGCUCCCCUAUGACUACAAGAGCACCUCCAGCCCCUCCUCUCUCCCCGAGGAACCCUAGCCACUCCUCUUCCCCCCCUUGCCCCUUCCUGGAUCUGGAUGCCGCAGCCUUCGACACCGUUGCACGUAGCCGCUCGCCAUCACCCAUCGCUCGCCAUCAUCGCCCCGUGCCCUCCUCUGUGCAACAGAAGUGAGAACUCCGUCUCCCUCUUUCCCCUCGGUCGCCGACACCAUCCACCGCAUCCUUGCCGUACUCCUCGCCUCUCUUGACACACCAGCGUGCGCCCGUGUCCGCGCGUGUGGCUCUGCCUGCGCCCACCCUGCCUGUGUCCGCUGCCCGCGCUCGCACACCCCCCAUGGCCACACACCACGCCCUUCCAAGCGCCGGCUGCGCCCACCGAGGCCCCGUCCCACCCCUUCUCGCUAUCGCCAUCACGACCACAUGCCCCGCCACGCCCGAGAUGCGUUGCUGCCCACCGCUCGGGCCUGCUGCUCGCCCCGUUGCUUCCCCCCAUAUAGCCGUCGCAGCCCACGCCCGCCACCGGCUGUUGGGGAACGCAGUAUUUCGAAAAGUUUCCUACGAUCACGCAAGAUCUAUAUAGGAGAUGCAUAGCAAUGAGACGGGAGAGUGUGUCCAUGUACCCUCGUAGACCGAAAGAGGAUGCAUUUAGUAACGCGGUUGAUGUAGUCGAACGUCUUCAUGAUCCAACCGAUCCAAGUACCGAACUUAUGGCACCUUCGCGUUCUGCACAUGUUCAGCAUGAUGACAUCUCUCGAGCUCUUGAUCCAGUUGAGGACGAGGGAGAGUUCCGUCAGCACGACGGCGUGGCGACGGUGAUGAUGAAGCUACUGGCGCAGGGCUUCGCCUAAGCACUAUGACGAUAUGACUGACGUGGUAAACUGUGGAGGGGGGCACCGCACACGGCUAAGAGAUGUCUGUUGUACCUUUGGGGUGCCUCCCGCCUUCAUAUAUAAAGGGGGGAGGAGGAGGUUGAAGGAAAUAUACCCUAGAGGCAAUAAUAAAGUUAUUAUUUAUUUCCUUAUAUCAUGAUAAAUGUUUAUUAUUCAUGCUAGAAUUGUAUUAAUCGGAAACAUAAUACAUGUGUGAAUACAUAGACAAACAGAGUGUCACUAGUAUGCCUCUACUUGACUAGCUCGUUAAUCAAAGAUGGUUAUGUUUCCUAGCCAUAGACAUGAGUUCUCAUUUUAUUAAUGGGAUCACAUCAUUAGGAGAAUGAUGUGAUUGACUUGAUCCAUUCCGUUAGCUUAGCACUUGAUCGUUUAGUAUGUUGCUAUUGCUUUCUUCAUGACUUAUACAUGUUCCUAUGACUAUGAGAUUAUGCAACUCCUGUUUACUGGAGGAACACUUUGUGUGCUACCAAAUGUCACGACGUAACUGGGUGAUUAUAAAGGUGCUCUACAGGUGUCUCCGAAGGUACUUGUUGAGUUGGCGUAUUUCGAGAUUAGGAUUUGUCACUUCGAUUGUCGGAGAGGUAUAUCUGGGCCCUCUCGGUAAUGCACAUCACUAUAAGCCUUGCAAGCAUUGUAACUAAUGAGUUAGUUGCAGGAUGAUUCAUUACAUAACGAGUAAAGAGACUUGCCGGUAACGAGAUUGAACUAGGUAUUGAGAUACCAACGGCCGAAUCUCAGGCAAGUAACAUACCGAUGACAAAGGGAACAACGUAUGCUGUUAUGCGGUUUUACUGAUAAAGAUCUUCGUAGAAUAUGUGGGAGCCAAUAUGAACAUCCAGGUUCCGCUAUUGGUUAUUAACCGGAGACGUGUCUCGGUCAUGUCUACAUAGUUCUCGAACCCGUAGGGUCCGCACGCUUAAAGUUCGGUGACGAUCGGUAUUAUGAGUUUUUGUGUUUUGAUGUACUGAAGGUAGUUAGGAGUCCCGGAUAUGAUCACGGACAUGAUGAGGAGUCUCGAAAUGGUCGAGACGUAAAGAUCGAUAUAUUGGAUGACUAUAUUCGGACACCGGAAGUGUUCCGGGUGAUUUCGGAGAAAACCGGAGUGCCGGAGGGUUACCGGAACCCCCCGGGAGAAGUAAUGGGCCUUAUGGGCCUUAGUGGAGAGAGAGAGGGCUGCCCAGGGCAGGCCACGCUCCCUCCCCCUCUGGUCCGAAUUGGACUAGGAGAGGGGGGGGGGGGGCGGGGGCGGCGCCCCCCUUUCCUUCUCCCUCCCCCUUCCUUUCCCCCUCUAGUAGGAGUAGGAAAGAGGGGAGUCCUACUCCUACAAGGAGGAGGACUCCUCCUCCUGGUGCGCCAUAGAGGGCCGACCAGCCUCCCCCCUUGCUCCUUUGUAUACGGGGGCAGGGGGCACCUCUAGAUACACAAGUUGAUCAGUUGAUCUAUUCCAGCAGUGUGCGGUGCCCCCCUCCACCAUAUUGCACCUCAGUUAUAUCGUAGCGGUGCUUAGGCGAAGCCCCGCGUUGGUAGCAUCAUCAUCACCGUCACCACGUUGUCAUGCUGACGAAACUCACAUGUGAAGCUUUGCUGGAUCGGAGCUCGCGGGACGUCAUCAAGUUGAACAUGUGCAGAACUCGGAGGUGCCGUGCGUUCGGUACUUGGAUUGGUCGGAUCGUGAAGACGUACGACUACAUCAACCGCGUUGUGCUAACGCUUCCCCAUUCGGUCUACGAGGGUACGUGGACACACUCUCCCCUCUCGUUGCUAUGCAUCACCAUGAUCCUGUGUGUGCGUAGGAUUUUUUUGAAAUUACUACAUUCCCCAACAGUGGCAUCUAAGCCAGGUUUUAUGUGUAGAUGUUAAAUGCACGAGUAGAACACAAGUGAGUUGUGGGCGAUACAAGUCAUACUGCUUACCAGCAUGUCAUACUUUGGUUCGGCGGUAUUGUUGGAUGAAGCGGCCCGGACCGAUAUUACGCAUACGCUUACGCGAGACUGUUCUACCGACGUGCUCUGCACAUAGGUGGCUGGCGGGUGUCAGUUUCUCCAACUUUAGUUGAACCGAGUGUGGCUACGCCCGGUCCUUGAGAAGGUUAAAACAACACUAACUUGACGAACUAUCGUUGUGGUUUUGAUGCGUAGGUAAGAAUGGUUCUUGCUCAGCCCGUAGCAGCCAUGUAAAACUUGCAACAACAAAGUAGAGGACGUCUAACUUGUUUUUGCAGGGCAUGUUGUGAUGUGAUAUGGUCAAGACAUGAUGCUAUAUUUAUUGUAUGAGAUGAUCAUGUUUUGUAACGAAGUUAACGGCAACUGGCUGGAGCCAUAUGGUUAUCACUUUAUUGUAUGCAAUGCAAUUGCCCUGUAAUUGCUUUAUUUUAUCACUAAGCGGUAGCGAUAGUCGUAGAAGCAAUAGUUGGCGAGACGACAACGAUGCUACGAUGGAGAACAAGGUGUCGUGCCGGUGACGAUGGUGAUCAUGACGGUGCUUCGGAGAUGGAGAUCACAAGCAGAAGAUGAUGAUGGCCAUAUCAUAUCACUUAUAUUGGUUGCAUGUGAUGUUUAUCUUUUAUGCAUCUUAUUUUGCUUUGAUUGAUAGUAGCAUUAUAAGAUGAUCUCUCACUAAAUUUCAAGAUAAAAGUGUUCUCCCUGAGUAUGCACCGUUGCCAAAGUUCGUCGUGCCGAGACACCACGUGAUGAUCGGGUGUGAUAAGCUCUACAUUCAUCCACAACGGGUGCAAGCCAGUUUUUGCACACGUAGAAUACUCGGGUUAAACUUGACGAGCCCAGCAUAUGCAGAUAUGGCCUCGGAACACUGAGACCGAAAGGUCGAGCGUGAAUCAUAUAGUAGAUAUGAUCAACAUAGUGAUGUUCACCAUUGAAAACUACUCCAUCUCACGUGAUGAUCGGACAUGGUUUAGUUGAUUGGGAUCACGUGAUCACUUAAGAUGAUCAGAGGGAUGUCUAUCUAAGUGGGAGUUCUUAAGUAAUAUGAUUAAUUGAACUUAAAUUUAUCAUGAACUUAGUACUUGAUAGUAUUUUGCUUGUCUAUGUUGAUUGUAGAUAGAUGGCCCGUGCUGUUGUUCCGUUGAAUUUUAAUGCGUUCCUUGAGAAAGCAAAGUUGAAAGAUGAUGGUAGCAAUUACACGGACUCGGUCCGUAACUUGAGGAUUAUCCUCAUUGCUGCACAGAAGAAUUACGUCCUAGAAGCACCGCUGGGUGCCAGGCCUGUUGCAGAUGCUACUGAUGACAUUAAGAAUGUCUGGUAUAGUAAAGCUGAUGACUACUCGAUAGUUCAGUGUGCCAUGCUUUACGGCUUAGAACCGGGACUUCAACGACGUUUUGAACGUAAUGGAGCAUAUGAGAUGUUCCAGGAGUUGAAGUUAAUAUUUCAAGCAAAUGCCCGAAUGGAGAGAUAUGAAGUCUCCAAUAAGUUCUACAGCUGCAAGAUGGAGGAGAAUAGUUCUGUCAGCGAACAUAUACUCAAAAUGUCUGGGUAUCACAAUCACUUGACUUAAUUGGGAGUUAAUCUUCCUAUUGAUAGUGUCAUUGACAGAGUUCUUCAAUCACUGCCACCAAGCUACAAAAGCUUGGCGAUGAACUAUAAUAUGCAAGGGAUGAAUAAGACAAUCCCCGAGCUCUUCACAAUGCUAAAGGCAGCGGAGGUAGAAAUCAAGAAGGAGCAUCAAGUGUUGAUGGUCAACAAGACCACCAGUUUCAAGAAAAAGGGUAAAGGGAAGAAGAAUGGGAACUUCAAGAAGAACAUCAAACAAGUUGCUGCUCAGGAGAAGAAACCCAAGUCCGGACCUAAGCCUGAGACUGAGUGGUUCUACUGCAAAUAGACUAGUCACUGGAAGCGAAACUGCCCCAAGUAUUUGGCGGAUAAGAAGGAUGGCAAGGUGAACAAAGGUAUAUGUGAUAUACAUGUUAUUAAUGUGUACCUUACCAGAGCUCGCAGUAGCACCUGGGUAUUUGAUAAUGGUUCUGUUGCUAAUAUUUGCAACUCGAAACAGGGACUACGGAUUAAGCGAAGACUUGCUAAGGACGAGGUGACGAUGCACGUGGGAAAUGGUUCCAAAGUCGAUGUGAUCGUCGUCGACACGCUACCUCUAUAUCUACCUUCAGGAUUAGUUUUAGACCUAAAUAAUUGUUAUUUGAUUCCAGCGUUAAGCAUGAACAUUAUAUCUGGAUCUUGUUUGAUGCGAGACUGUUAUUCAUUUAAAUCCGAGAAUAAUGGUAGUUCUAUUUAUAUGAGUAAUAUCUUUUAUGGUCAUGCACCCUUGAAGAGUGGUCUAUUUUUGUUGAAUCUCUAUAAUAGUGAUACACAUAUUCAUAAUGUUGAAGCCAAAAGAUGCAGAGUUGAUAAUGAUAGUGCAACUUAUUUGUGGCACUGUCGUUUGGGUCAUAUUGGUGUAAAGCGCAUGAAGAAACUCCAUACUAAUGGACUUAUGGAAUCACUUGGUACUUGCGAACCAUGCCUUAUGGGCAAGAUGACUAAAACGCCGUUCUCCGGAACAAUGGAGUGAGCAACAGAUUUGUUGGAAAUCAUACAUACUGAUGUAUGUGGUCCGAUGAAUAUUGAGGCUCACGACGGGUAUCGUUAUUUUCUCACCUUCACAGAUGAUUUGAGCAUAUAUGGGUAUAUCUACUUAAUGAAACAUAAGUCUGAAACAUUUGAAAAGUUCAAAGAAAUUCAGAGUGAAGUGGAAAAUCAUCGUAACAAGAAAAUAAAUUUUCUACGAUCAGAUCGUGGAGGAGAAUAUUUGAGUUACGAGUUUGAUCUACAUUUGAAACAAUGCAGAAUAGUUUCACAAAUCACACCACCCGGAACACCACAACGUAAUGGUGUGUCCCAACAUCGUAAUCGUACUUUACUAGAUAUGGUGCGAUCUAUGAUGUCUCUUACUGAUUUACCGCUAUCGUUUUUGGGUUAUGCUUUAGAUACGGCUGCAUUCACGUUAAAUAGGGCACCAUCAAAAUCCGUUGAGACGACGCCUUAUGAACUAUGGUUUGGCAAGAAACCAAAGUUGUCAUUUCUUAAAGUUUGGGGCUGCGAUGCUUAUGUGAAAAAGCUUCAACCUGAUAAGCUCGAACCCAAAUCGGAGAAAUGUGUCUUCAUAGGAUACCCAAAGGAAACUGUUGGGUACAAAUUCUAUCAUAGAUCUGAAGGCAAGACAUUUGUUGCUAAGAAUGGAUCCUUUCUAGAGAAGGAGUUUCUCUCGAAAGAAGUGAGUGGGAGGAAAGUAGAACUUGAUGAGGUAACUGUACCUGCUCCCUUAUUGGAAAGUAGUUCAUCACAGAAACCGGUUCCUGUGACACCUACACCAAUUUGUGAGGAAGCUAAUGAUGAUGAUCAUGAACCUUCAGAUCAAGUUACUACCGAACCUCGUAGGUCAACCAGAGUACGAUCCGCACCAGAGUGGUACGGUAAUCCUGUUCUGGAGGUCAUGUUACUUGACCAUGACGAACCUACGAACUAUGAGGAAGUGAUGAUGAGCCCAGAUUUCGCAAAAUGGCUAGAGGCCAUGAAAUCUGAGAUGGGAUCCAUGUAUGAGAACAAAGUUUGGACUUUGGUUGACUUGCCCGAUGAUCGACAAGCAAUAGAGAAUAAAUGGAUCUUCAAGAAGACAGACGCUGACGGUAAUUUACUGUCUACAAAGCUUGACUUGUUGCGAAAGGUUUUUGACAAGUUCAAGGAGUUGACUAUGAUGAGACCUUUUCACCUGUAGCGAUGCUUAAGUCUGUCCGAAGCAUGUUAGCUAUUGCCGCAUUUUAUGAUUAUGAAAUUUGGCAAAUGGAUGCAAAGACUGCAUUCCUGGAUGGAUUUCUAGAAGAAGAGUUGUAUAUAAUGUAACCUGAAGGUUUUAUCGAUCCAAAAGGUGCUAACAAAGUGUGCAAGCUUCAGCGAUCCAUUUAUGGACUAGUGCAAGCCUCUCGGAGUUGGAAUAAACAUUUUGAUAGUGUGAUCAAAGCAUAUGGUUUUAUACAAACUUUUGGAGAAGCCUGUAUUUACAAGAAAGUGAGUGGGAGCUCUGUAGCAUUUCUAAUAUUAUAUGUGGAUGACAUAUUGUUGAUUGGAAAUGAUACAGAAUUUUUGGAUAGCAUAAAAGGAUACUUGAAUAAGAGUUUUUCAAUGAAAGACCUCAGUGAAGCUGCUUACAUAUUGGGCAUCAAGAUCUAUAGAGAUAGAUCAAGACGCUUAAUUGGACUUUCACAAAGCACAUACCUUGACAAAGUUUUGAAGAAGUUCAAAAUGGAUCAGGCAAAGAAAGGGUUCUUUCCUGUGUUACAGGGUGUGAAGUUGAGUAAGACUCAAUGCCCAACCACUUCAGAAGAUAGAGAGAAAAUGAAAGAUGUUCCCUAUGCUUCAGCCAUAGGCUCUAUCAUGUAUGCAAUGCUGUGUACCAGACCUGAUGUGUGCCUUGCUAUUAGUUUAGCAGGGAGGUACCAAAGUAAUCCAGGAGUGGAUCACUGGACAGCGAUCAAGAACGUCCUGAAAUACCUGAAAAGGACUAAGGAUAUGUUUCUCGUUUAUGGAGGUGACAAAGAAUUCAUCGUAAAUGGUUACGUUGAUGCAAGCUUUGACACUGAUCCGGACGAUUCUAAAUUGCAAACCGAAUACGUGUUUAUAUUGAACAGUGGAGCUGUCAGUUGGAGCAGUUCUAAACAGAGCGUCGUGGCGGGAUCUACAUGUGAAGUGGAGUACAUUGCUGCUUCAGAAGCAGCGAAUGAAGGAGUCUAGAUGAAGGACUUCAUAUCCGAUCUAGGUGUCAUACCUAGUGCAUCGGGUCCAAUGAAAAUCUUUUGUGACAAUACUGGUGCAAUUGCCUUGGCAAAGGAAUCCAGAUUUCACAAGAGAACCAAGCACAUCAAGAGACGCUUCAACUCCAUCCGGGAUCAAGUCCAGGUGGGAGACAUAGAGAUUUGCAAGAUACAUACAGAUCUGAAUGUUGCAGACCCGUUGAUUAAGCCUCUUCCACGAGCAAAACAUGAUCAGCACCAAGGAUCCAUGGGUGUUAGAAUAAUUACUAUGUAAUCUAGAUUAUUAACUCUAGUGCAAGUGGGAGACUGAAGGAAAUAUGCCCUAGAGGCAAUAAUAAAGUUAUUAUUUAUUUCCUUAUAAAUGUUUAUUGUUCAUGCUAGAAUUGUAUUAACCGAAAACAUAAUACAUGUGUGAAUACAUAGACAAAUAGAGUGUCACUAGUAUGCCUCUACUUGACUAGCUCGUUAAUCAAAGAUGGUUAUGUUUCCUAGCCAUAGACAUGAGUUGUCAUUUUAUUAACGGGAUCACAUCAUUAGGAGAAUGAUGUGAUUGACUUGACCCAUUCCGUUAGCUCAGCACUUGAUCGUUUAGUAUGUUGCUAUUGCUUUCUUCAUGACUUAUACAUGUUCCCAUGACUAUGAGAUUAUGAAACUCCCGUUUACCGGAGGAACACUUUGUGUGCUACCAAAUGUCACAAUGUAACUGGGUGACUAUAAAGGUGCUCUACAGGUGUCUCCGAAGGUACUUGUUGAGUUGGCAUAUUUCGAGAUUAGGAUUUGUCACUCCGAUUGUCGGAGAGGUAUCACUGGGCCCUCUCGGUAAUGCACAUCACUAUAAGCCUUGCAAGCAUUAUAACUAAUGAGUUAGUUGCGGGAUGAUGCAUUACAAAACGAGUAAAGAGACUUUCCGGUAACGAGAUUGACCUAGGUAUUGAGAUACCGACGAUCGAAUCUCGGGCAAGUAACAUACCGAUGACAAUGGGAACAACGUAUGCUGUUAUGCGGUUUGACUGAUAAAGAUCUUUGUAGAAUAUGUGGGAGCCAAUAUGAACAUCCAGGUUCCGCUAUUGGUUAUUGACCGGAGACGUGUCUCGGUCAUGUCUACAUAGUUCUCGAACCCGUAGGGUCCGCACGCUUAAAGUUCGGUGACGAUCGGUAUUAUGAGUUUUUGUGUUUUGAUGUACCGAAGGUAGUUCAGAGUCCCGGAUAUGAUCACGGACAUGAUGAGGAGUCUCGAAAUGGUCGAGAUGUAAAGAUCGAUAUAUUGGACGACUAUAUUCGGACACCGGAAGUGUUCCGGGUGAUUUCAGAGAAAACCGGAGUGCCGGAGGGUUACCGGAACCCCCCGGGAGAAGUAAUGGGCCUUAUGGGCCUUAGUGGAAUGAGAGGGCUGGCCUAGGGCAGGCCGUGCACCCCUCCCCCUCUGGUCCGAAUUGGACUAGGAGAGGGGGGGGGGAUCCCCCCUUUCCUUCUCCCUCUCCCCCUUCCUUUCCCCCUCCUAGUAGGAGUAGGAAAGAGGGGAGUCCUACUCCUACUAGGAGGAGGACUCCUCCUGGCGCGCCAUAGAGGGCCGGCAAGCCUCCCCCUUGCUCCUUUUUAUACAAGGGCAGGGGGCACCUCUAGACACAAGUUGAUCAGUUGAUCUAUUCCAGCCGUGUGUGGUGCCCCCCUCCAUCAUAUUCCACCUCGGUUACAUCGUAGCGGUGCUUAGGCGAAGCCCCGCGCUGGUAGCAUCAUCAUCACCAUCACCACACCGUCGUGCUGAUGAAACUGACCUGUGAAGCUUUGCUGGAUCGGAGCUCGCGGGACGACAUCGAGUUGAACGUGUGUAGAACUCGGAGGUGCCGUGCGUUCGAUACUUGGAUCGGUCGGACCGUGAAGACGUACGACUACAUCAACUGCGUUGUGCUAACACUUCUGCAUUCGGUCUACGAGGGUACGUGGACACACUCUCCCCUCUCGUUGCUAUGCAUCACCAUGAUCCUGUGUGUGUGUAGGUAUUUUUUUGAAAUUACUAUGUUCCCCAACAAAGGUGGCUAUCCUAAGGGGGCACACCAUAAGGGGGGAGUCCUACUUGGACUCCUAGUCCAAAUAGGAUUCGGCCCCCCUCCUUCCUUCCACCAGAGAGGGCAAAGGGGAAGGGAGAGAGAGGGAGAAGGAAAGAGGGGGGCGCCCCCCUCCCCUAGUCCAAUUCGGUUUGGGCAAGGGGAGGGGCGCCCCUCUAAAGUGGCCUUUCUCCUCUCCUCCAAUAAGGCCCAAUAGGCACAAUACUUCUCCCAGGGGGUUCCGGUAACCUCCCGGUACUCCGGAAAAAUGCCCAAACCACUCAGAACCAUUCCGAUGUCCAAAUGCAACCUUCCAAUAUAUGAAUCUUUACCCGUCGACCAUUUAGAGACUCCUCGUCAUGUCUGUGAUCUCAUCCGGGACUCCGAACAAACUUCGGUCAUCAAAUCACAUAACUCAUAAUACAAAUCAUCAUCAAACGUUAAGCAUGCGGACCCUACGGGUUCGAGAACUAUGUAUACAUGACUGAGACACAUCUCCGAUCAAUAACCAAUAGCGGAACCUGGAUGCUCAUAUUGGCUCCUACAUAUUCUACGAAGAUCUUUAUCGGCCAAACCGCAUAACAACAUACGUUAUUCCCUUUGUCAUCGGUAUGUUACUUGCCCGAGAUUCGAUCAUGGGUAUCAUCAUACCUAGUUCAAUCUCGUUACCGGCAAGUCUCUUUACUCGUUCUGUAAUGCAUCAUCCCGUAACUAACUCAUUAGUCACAUUGCUUGCAAGGCUCAUAGUGAUGUGCAUUACCGAGAGGGCCCGAAGAUACCUCUCCGAUACAUGGAGUGACAAAUCCUAAUCUCGAUCUAUGCCAACUCAACAAACACCAUCGGAGACACCUUUAGAGCAUAUUUAUAAUCACCCACUUAUGUUGUGACGUUUGAUAGCACACAAGGUGUCGUGGAAAUAUCACGUCAGAUGUCCUAGAGAGAGGACUUAGUCGUGGAGCCAUCGCUUGAGGUUAGCUUAAAGGGGUUAAUCAGGACAAAGGACACAAGGAGUUUAUACUGGUUCGGCCCCUCACGGUGAAGGUAAAAGCCUAAUCCAGUUGUAUGUGGAAUUGCUAGGGUUUGGAUGAGCGAGGAGCAAAUACGCUUGACUAGCUCUCGAAUCUGUUGUUUCUUGUCCUUAGCCGCCGCUGGGUCGUCCCCUUAUAUACACGGAUCGACGCCCCGUGGCUUACAGAGUCCCGGCCAGCUCCUACAACGUGUCCAGCUCGGUGACAUAUCUUACAUGCCUUACUUUACAAGUUUUACAUACAUGACGGUUUAUGCUUACGUUCCUUAAGCCUCCUUCGGGUCUGGGCCCGCUACUAAGCCUAUCUAUGAACCUUCGUGUGACCUUGGGAUUUAUAAUCGAUAACUCUUCAAGGGGAUGACCCGGGCCCUCCUGGGCGGGUCAUACCUAAUAGUUAUAUCCCCAACAUUAGGCCCCAGUUUGAUUUGAACUUGUUCAUGUCAAUCUUCAAGACUUAGAAAAAAUCCUUCUUCCUUUUGUCUAUGAAAACCUCAUAACCCGCCAUGACGUUACUUCCCAAUGUUUCCAGAAAUUGCAAUGACAUCAUCUUCAACGGAUCUUUGCCUUAAUGUCUUUCCAAAAAUCGAGGCGUUCAUCCAGCUGGAUAACUUUCAUUUGCCCUCCUCAUUUUUCGCGCCUGCCUGUUCGCUUGUCUCCUUAUAAAUAGGCACAGCCGGUCUUCCUCAUUCUCCCCUUUACAACAUCUUCUUCCUCUCGCAACCUCCUCUACCACUCGAACUCCGCCGCCGUUGCAGAGCACCUUAUAUUCCUCAAGCUCGGUCGCUGGGCGGCGACCCUUCGUGGUAGAUCUAUAUAUACCUGUAAGUUUUGGCUUUUCCAUACCUUAGAUCCAUACUAGGGUUCGCGAGCUCCUCUGUGUUCUUCAUAUUAUGUCGUAGUUCGUCACAGUUCAUCUUCCAUGCUGUGUUCUGAGCUUCUUGAUCUGAAAAUGGCAUAAAACCAAUGCGGUAGUUGUUUUACUUCCACUUUCAAUACCUGUAGAUCCCCUUUCCUUGGAAGAAAAACUCUUGCGCUAGCUUAUGAAUUCAUCUGUACUGAUUUUUAGGUCUAGAUUUAUUUUUCUUUUCUGAACGGCCGUUGAUCCAAAAUAAUAUCCGCCGUCUGUGAAACUUGUUUGCUUUAGUACUUAACCAAUUUUUAUCGCUGGCAAUUUUUGAAUCUCCUUAAUCAUGGCGGCUUAACAUGCCGACUUUUUUGUUUUCUUCAUAUACCAUUAGCCCUUAUUUAAGCCGCCAUUACGCAUCUGUAUUGCAAUCAUUAACCUGUAAUUCCACGAAUUAACUUGAACCGAUAAAUUACUUCCUUUUUAGCUUGUCCUUUCGCCAUGCCGCCAAAGACAAUGAUGGUUUGCAACUGGGUCCCUUCCACAGUCACUGAUGACACUCUAAAGGAUUUUGUCACCAUUGGGUAUUUACCAAAGAAGAGCAUUAUGUCCUAUCGCGCCCUUGACCCGGCCGAAGAAAGACCUUAGCCCAAUGAUGGUGAAGUCAUCGUUUUACUGACCAUAUGAACCGGGGCUUUUCAUUGCCCGACUCAAAAUUCUUCAGAGAUAUUCUACACUUUUUCAAGCUUAAUCCACAAGAUCUGGGACCCAAUUCCAUAUCAAACAUCUGUAGUUUCCAAGUUUUCUGCGAGGUUUAUCUUCAAGAAGCACCCACUGUUGAAAUCUUCCGAGAGUACUUUUACUUGAACCGCCAGAAUGAGUAUACCAACGGCCCCAUUUUAGAACUUGGUGGGAUUUCAAUUCAACACAGACGGGAUGCUGUUUUUCCUCUAGUAGUAUUGCCAAACCAUCCCAAGGACUGGAAUCAAACCUGGUUCUAUUGCCAAGAUACGUAACCAGCUGAUGAAAAACCAAUGUCGGGUUAUCGUGUUGAGCGUCUUGACGCUAAAUACUCGCUCCUGACAAACUCUCUACCGCUGAGCGCAAGAAACUUCAAACAACCAUGGGUUCAAGCUUUACUAGGGAACGGCUUGACAUGAGUUGACUUGAUCCGCUGUUGGAUCGCAUGACAGAUCAUCCCUCUAAGCCGCCGAUCUGAUUUGAUGUGCAACUACACCGGAGGAACGGACGAUCCAUUACAUCAUAGUUCCCUUCAUCUGACUGAAGAAGCUAUUGUUGAGAUGUCAACCACUCUUGUCAACAGCAAAUAUGAAGACUACAGCAAAGUAGGAUUGAAUCCUUUCUGCAAACUUAACCCGGCACCAGAGGUAAAUCCCCUUGACUCCUUUUUUCUUUAGUAGUUAAGUAAUUGCAUGAUUUUCAACCUGUUAUUUGCCUAUAGGCCAAAUCUGACUUUUGGAAAGCCAAAUAUGAUCAUGAGGCUGCCAAAAAAGCUAGAGCCGCUGCAAUAGCCACCAAGAAGACAACUAGAAAAUCCAAAAAGAAACCAACUGCUUCUGAUCUCCUCAAGCUGGAUGAUGCAUCUGAGUCAAAGGUAGCCCUUGACUCUCUUGGCCUGCUUUUUAACAACCUUAUUGACACUGACUAUUACCAGGAUGACACGGGGGCCAGCCAGGCAGUAGAAGAAGAGGUAAUUAUUUCCUCCGAUUUAGAACCUUUGCCAAGGCAGAAACCUCGAUGGGUAACCAGGAAAGUAAGGUUUUCACACCCCUUGGCUUAUUUAGAUCCUCAUUUUCUUUUGGAAAAACAGCAACAUGAGAGCCGCCGUCAGACCCGGACCAGUGACGACAAUGAGCUGCCCUCUGGAUUACCGAAAACUCCUCGGAAACGCCGGAAUGAGGUUCCUUUCAUUUUUGACUUUUGCCUUUAUCAAUGAAUCUAUUUCCUUGCUCUUUUAACUGUGAUUUCACUUUUGUAGGAGGUCUCCCGUUCUUCUGGUGACUCUUCACAAACUCAACUUCCGGCUUUCAAGACUGCCCCUGGGUAAAGAUAGUUAUCCUUCUUCUACAUCUUUAUGUCCGUAUCAUUAUACUGACUCGUCAAAUUCUUCUUAGUGGUCAAGAAAAUUCCAAGAAAGCCAGGGUGGCUAAGCCGACUGAAGACCCGAAAGACGCUGAACCGGCACUGCCGACUCCUGCCCCGGGGCAACCUGAAGCACCAGAAGACCCCGCUGUCAAUGUUCGAUCAGAUCCUCCUGAGCCGUGUGUUGAUCAAACCGUUCUCAAUCCAUCUAAUGUUGAACCGUUAAGCUCAGCUAACCUGCCGGAGACUUAUGACAAUGAUGUUUUAAUCACUGGUACUAGAUUCGUUGAGCCGGGCAAUCCAACUAUGCUAGCAAGACACUCCGCCAAGUAAGAGGCUUUGGAGAAGCAAAAAGUGCGGUUUCACAUCUCUCACUAUGCUCACAUGAGUAUUAGUGACGUGCUAUCUGGCUACCUUAGUCACGUGCAUUCCAGCCGCGACUCUGAAAUUGAUAUGGUCAAACAGGUGCAACUAAAAUAUGAGGUAUGCUCUCCGGCUUUCAUUAGUUUAUAUGCUCUGCCAGCCCCCAAGUCUCCUGAUUAUGAUAAACUUGAAUGAUUUGUAGACUUGUGAUAUAGGUUGAUGUUCUGACCUAGAUUUUCCCCAAGUCUGGUUUAAAAUGUUUAACCGGAUUUAUCUGAUUAGCAUAAUUUCGCACCUACAGUCCCCAAGGGCCGGCUUAAUUCAUCAUGAAUGAGACGGUACUUAACUUCAUAACUUUCAUGAACCAGUCAAAACUAAUAUUGUUAUCCGGCCCAAGAGGGAAAACUUUCUGAAUACCAUGUAUUAGCCCCCAUGUGCCAAGUGUUGUUACCUGUAAAACACUUGGGACUUUUUUAGAAGAGUCAUUUCUACAUUUAAGAAUUGCUUUGGCAUACAUUAGCCCCCAAGUGCAAAGUGGUGUUGCUUUGCAAAGUGCUUGGGACUUUAAUCAUUAUGACCUCUAUUGGAAUAAACUUUGACACAUCUGUGCGUGUCUGUAGACCACCAUAACUGACUUGGAUUCUCAACUGACCGACGUGAAAACCCGGCUGGCGGCUCAAGAAACUGAGGCAAAGAAGACUGAAUCCAAACUCCAGUUGAGCAUAUCUGAAGCAGAGAAACUAAAGACCAGUUUUAACGCAGAGAAAAAAAAUCUUAGGCCGACAAAAAGACUUCACUGACACAGCAUGCUGAAACGGCCGAGGCGGCUCUCAAGGAAGUUACCGCUGAACUCAUCGGUUUAAAGAACCGUGUGUCUCAGAUGGUCUCUGCAAUCUUUGGUGAGUCACCGUAUUAUUUACUUAAAUUCUAUUUUUGUCACCAUACUGUGAGCCGCCUACUUAACCUUUUGGAAAUACCUCAUAGGUCCACGGAGCAGCAAUCUAAGUAAAAACAGCUUAAUAAAGCUCAAGGCGGUUUAUACACUUGUGGAGCAACUGUAUACUGGAGCUCAAUGGGCUCUUGCCAUUAUUUCCCCAGCUAACCAAGGACCAAACCUAUUGAGUGAUGUCUUGAAGAAGCUAUCCAUCUUACUCGCCAGGUUUCAAGAAGUCAAGCGUUCCUGUGCGAGAGCCGGAGCCCUAACUGCUCUAAGCCGCUCCAAAGCCUGGGUACCCCAGCUUUAAGGAAGACGGGACUCCUUUUGAUCAAGAAGAUUUUGCUGCUUGCGUGAAGGAAAUUCGUCCUCAUGCUACCAUCCUGGGCGAAGAAACCAAUGUUGAUAAGUACCAGCCGGGUUUUGAUUCUGGAAAUAAGAAGAUGGCGACUCCCAAUUAUAAAGUGAUGGAUUUAAUUCCGCCAAUUCGGGAGCACACCUUCACCCCUGAGAUUAACCCGGUUGGUUUAUUUCAUGAGGAAGCUGAAUUUGUCGCCUUUCAAGGCUUUGAUUGGUCAAAACCCAAUUUUCAAGCUGGGGAUGAACCGGCAAGGGAUGAUGUAGAAAUGUCGAAUCAGCCAAGCCAAGAUGCAUGAUCCGACUCUGGUUUAUCAUAAACAAUUUAUCCUUCUCUGGGCUUGAUAUGCCUUGUAAUAGGCUAAUACUUAAACUCCUUGUUCUGUUAUGCCAUCGUGCAUAUUUGUGCUUCUCACCUAUCCAAUGACAUGAAUGUAUGCGAUUUAGCCCUUGUGGGUACUUUCGAAUUUUCUCCUGCAUAUAACAUAAAAAAUGUGUCCUGGCGGUUUACCGCUGGACGGGUCAUAAUGCCCAAAGACAAACCUUAUCAUGAAUUUUAACCCAAGCUGGUUAGAAUAUAUAUACCUAAAAAAUAUUUCAUACCUGUUGAUGUCUACUACACAACCUUCUUCUUGUAGACAUUGUUGGGCCUCCAAGUGCAGAGGUUUGUAGGACAGUAGAAAAUUUCCCUCAAGUGGAUGAACUAAGGUUUAUCAAUCCGUAGGAGGCAUAGGAUGAAGAUGGUCUCUCUCAAGCAACCCUGCAACCAAAUAACAAAGAGUCUCUUGUGUCCCCAACACACCCAAUACAAUGGUAAAUUGUAUAGGUGCACUAGUUCGGCGAAGAGAUGGUGAUACAAGUGGUAUAUGGAUGGUAGAUAAAGGUUUUUGUAAUCUGAAAAUAUAAAAACAACAAGGUAACUAAUGAUAAAAGUGAGCACAAACGGUAUUGCAAUGUGUUGAAACAAGGCCUAGGGUUCAUACUUUCACUAGUGCAAGUUCUCUCAACAAUAAUAACAUAAUUGGAUCAUAUAACUAUCUCUCAACAUGCAACAAAGAGUCACUCCAAAGUCACUAAUAGCGGAGAACAAACGAAGAGAUUAUGGUAGGGUACGAAACCACCUCAAAGUUAUCCUUUCUAAUCGAUCUAUUCAAGAGUCCGUAGUAACAUAACACGAAGCUAUUCUUUUCAUUCAAUCUAUCAUAGAGUUCGUACUAGAAUAACACCUUAAGACACAAAUCAACCAAAACCCUAAUAUCACCUAGAUACUCCAAUGCCACCUCAAGUAUCCGUGGGUAUGAUUAUACGAUAUGCAUCACACAAUCUCAGAUUCAUCUAUUCAACCAGCACAAAGAACUUCAAAGAGUGCCCCAAAGUUUCUACCGGAGAGUCAAGACAAAAACGUGUGCCAACCCCUAUGCAUAGGUUCAUGGGCGGAACCCGCAAGUUGAUAACCAAAACAUAUAUCAAGUGGAUCAAUAGAAUACUCCAUUGUCACCACGGGUAUCCCACGCAAGACAUACAUUAAGUGUUCUCAAAUCCUUAAAGACUCAAUCCGAUAAGAUAACUUCAAAGGGAAAACUCAAUCCAUUACAAGAGAGUAGAGGGGGAGAAACAUCAUAAGAUCCAACUAUAAUAGCAAAGCUUGCGAUACAUCAAGAUCGUACCACCUCAAGAACACGAGAGAGGGAGAGAUCAAACGCAUAGCUACUGGUACAUACCCUCAGCCCCGAGGGAGAACUACUCCCUCCUCGUCAUGGAGAGCACUGAGAUGAUGAAAAUGGCCACCGGAGAGGGAUUCCCCCUCCGGCAUGGUGCUGGAACGGGUCUAGAUUGGUUUUUGGUGGCUACGGAGGCUUCUGGCGUCGGAACUCCCGAUCUAUUGUGCUUCCCGAUGGUUUUAGGGUAUAUUGGUAUAUAUAGGAGGAAGAGAUACGUUAGGGGAGCCACGAGGGCCCAUGAGGGUGGAGGGCGCGCCCCCUGCCUCGUGCCUUUCUCGCUGCUUCCCUUACGUACACCCCAAGUCUUUUGGAAUGCUUCCAUUCCAAAAAUAACUCUCCCGAAGGUUUCAUUCCGUUUGGACUCCGUUUGAUAUUCCUUUUCUGUGAAACACUGAAAAAAGGGGAAAACAGAAACUGGCACUGGGCUCUGGGUUAAUAAGUUAGUCCCAAAAAUAAUAUAAAAGUGUUUAGUAAAGCCCAUAAACAUCCGAAACAGAUAAUAUAAUAGCAUGAAUACUUCACAAAUUAUAGAUACGUUGGAGACGUAUCACCUGUGAUAUUUGAUCACAUGGUUGAUUUCAUCAAACCAGUGUAGUAACGGCCAUAACCCAAGACUUUGGAUACUGGUAGUUAUCAUACUUUGCCGGUUUACGAACGAAUACCGGGCUGGGUUAAUAAGCACCAGAUAUUGACUUUGAGUCUUUACUGGCGACUUGUAGUCGAAAAAAUCAGGCCGGGUCAAUAAACACCGGAUUUUUAACUCAUACUGGCGACUUAUGGUCAAAACCAGACCGGGUCAAUAAACUCCGGAUAUUGUCAUAUAUGACUCAGAAGGUAUUAUAAUCCUUAAUGGCUCUCAACCAGGUAUUACCAAGAGAAAAAAAAUUCAAAAAGAUAUUCAAAUCAAAAACAACGGAAAAAAUCCAAGGCGCCAAGCCAAAAUAUCUUCUUCAAUGAAACUAGCGUUAGCCACUGGAAGGUACGCGCUUUCCGUGAGCCGGCACUCACAAUACCCAAUCGACAUUUUAACCCGGACAAGUUCAGUUCUUAUUGAAAGAUAGACUUGUCAGGAGUACGCGGGGUCAGAGUCGCUAUCGGGCAUCACAGGCCGAUUUAUCCAAGUUCCAAGGAAGGCGGCUUUACAGCCUGAGCUUCUCCUUGCUAUCUGUAAAACCAUGCUCUCUCAUAACAUCCAUCGUUUUAACCUUAACAAAUUCAAAUAUGACUGUUAAGAGUUCGAUGGGUCAAUCAGGAUUACCUGAUGGAGAAGCAACUGUCAUACAUGUAGGAUAACCCGGGUUUUUAGGUGAAUACACCUGGCUUGCAAGCCUGGCUUUUAUAGCCUACCACAAGGUUAUGAACUCAUUGUUCUUUAGAACAAAAAACUCCCCUAGUGAUAUUGUGAGCUGUGCUCAAGGGGUACCCAUGUUUGAGCCGUGCUUUUGCCACAGACCCUCUUUGGUCCCAAAUUCUUCUUCACAUAUAUAUGCGGCUUAUAAGCCGGAUCAGAGGGUUAUUAUAAUUGUGCUAUAUAAAGCAAAAGACACCAAGUCAUGGAAGAAUUAUUAAUCAGAGAUGAAAAAACGAUAGAGGCCCUGCUUGAGCAGGGAUGCCAACUUUAUUAUAUUGAUCAUAGUAUAUACAUUGUCAAAAUAUGUAGAUUGGAAGAGCCGGUGGCUCAGGUAUAGUAAGCCCUAAGUUGAGCGAUAUUCCAGGGCCGGCGGGUCUCCUCCUCCGACGUGCGUGAGUCCUUGUGGUCUCGAACAUUGAUAAGAUAGUAUGACCCGUUGUUCAGAUUCUUGCUGACCACAGAGGGUCCUUGCCAAGGCAGGGAUAACUUAUGCAUAUCUGUCUGGUCUUGGAUAAGCCCGAGUACUAGGUCACCUUCUUUAAAAGCUCUAAUUUUAACCCGGUGGUUGUGAUAAACGCGUAAGUCUAGCUGAUAAAUCGCCGAACGAGCUGCUGCUAUAUCAUGCUCCUCAUCCAACAGAUCCAGCGCAUCUUGACGUGCUUUUUCAUUGUCAGCUUCCACAUAAGCCGCCACACGAGGCGAGUCAUGACGGAUGUCACUAGGAAGAACUGGCUCUGCUCCAUAAACCAUGAAAAAAGGUGUGUAGCCCGUAGAUCUAUUUGGGGUGGUGUUGAUGGUCCAUAACACAGAGGGUAACUCCUCUACCCAACAACCCGGCGUCCUCUGCAAGGGAACCAUAAGCCGGGGCUUGAUACCCUUCAAGAUCUCCUAAUUUGCUCUCUUAGCUUGACCAUUGGAUUGAGGGUGAGCCACUGAUGAGACAUCGAGCCGGAUAUGCUCUCGCUGACAAAAUUCCUCCAUAGCACCUUUAGAAAGAUUAGUGCCAUUAUCUGUUAUAAUGCUGUGUGGAAAGCCAAACGAAAGAUCACCUUCAUGAAUUGAACCGUUGUUGCUACGUCACAUUUACUAGCCGGCUCUGCCUCUACCCAUUUAGUGAACUUGUCAACUGCCACUAAUAGGUGAGUCUUAUUAUCCUUGGAUCUUUUGAAAGGUCCAACCAUAUCAAGCCCCAAGACUGCAAACGGCCAAGUAAUUGGAAUCAUCCUCAAUUCUUGAGCCGACACAUGAGCUCGUCUUGCAAAUUUUUGACAUCCAUCACACCUACUAACAAGGUCCUCCACAUCGGCAUGAGCUGUUAACCAAUAGAGCCCAUGAAGGAAAGCUUUAGCCACAAGGGAUUUUGAACCGGCAUGAUGACCACAAUCUCCUUCAUGGAUCUCUCGUAAGAUCUCACAGCCCUCUUCUAGAGAAACACAACGUUGAAACGCCCCUGUAACACUGCGGUGAUGUAACUUUCCAUUAACAAUUGUCAUUGAUUUAGACUGCCGAGCUAUCUGCCUGGCUAAAGUUUCAUCCUCAGGUAACUUGCCUCGGGUCAUGUAAGCCAAAUACGGAACUGUCCAAUCUGGGAUCAUGUGCAGAACCGCCACCAACUGAGCUUCCGGGUCAGGAAUAGCUAAUUCCUCCUCCAUAGGUAACUUGACCGAUGGGUUAUGCAAGACAUUAAGAAAUACAUUAGGCGGCACCAGUUUACGUUGAGAACCUAACCGGCUUAAAGCAUCUGCCGCUUCAUUUUUCCUUCGAUCAAUGUGAUCCACUUGAUAACCCUUAAAGUGACCAGCGAUGAUAUCCACCUCUCGCCGAUAAGACACCAUGAGUGGAUCUUUAGAAUCCCAAGUACCAGAAACUUGCUGAGCCACCAAGUCCGAAUUACCGAAACAUUUAACCUGGCUUAAAUUCAUCUCCUUAGCCAUCCGAAGGCCAUGGAGCAAAGCUUCAUACUCAGCUGCAUUGUUAGUACGAGGAAACAUCAAACGGAGAACAUAACAAAAUUUAUCACCUCGAGGGGAAGCAAGAAUAACUCCAGCCCCCGAGCCCUCCAAUUGCCUGGACCCAUCAAAGUGAAUUGUCCAAUAUGUGUUAUCCGACUUUUCCUCGGGCAUCUGCAGCUCUGUCCAAUCAUUGAUGAAAUCCACCAACGCCUGAGAUUUUAUAGCUGUGCGAGGCACAUACUUCAACCCAUGAGGUCCAAGCUCAAUAGCCCACUUGGCAACCCGGCCAGUUUCUUCUCUGUUUUGGAUGAUGUCUCCCAAAGGAGCAGAACUGACCACAGUGAUGGGAUGAGCCAGAAAAUAAUGCUUAAGCUUCCGGCUUGCCAAGAACACCCCAUAUACGAGCUUCUGCCAAUGUGGAUAUCUCUGUUUGGACUCAAUAAGAACCACACUGAUAUAAUAAACCGGCCUUUGAACCGGAUGCUCCUUGCCUGCCUCCUUUCGCUCCACUACAAUAGCCACGCUGACGGCCCGGGCAUUGGCAGCCACAUAUAACAACAAUGGCUCCUUAUCAAUAGGGGCAGCAAGCACGGGCGGCUCAGCCAGCUAUUUUUUUAGAUCCUCAAAAGCUUGGUUAGCAACGUCACUCCAAACAAAAUGAUCUGCCUUCUUCAUCAUCUGAUAAAGAGGCAGGGCCUUCUAACCGAGCCGGCUUACGAAUCGGCUCAGAGCCGCAAUACGCCCCGCCAGUCGCUGAACAUCGUUGAUACACGCCGGUUUAGCCAGAGAGGUAAUGGCCUUGAUCUUCUCCGGGUUUGCUUCAAUGCCUCUGUCUGAAACCAGAAAACCCAAGAGCUGACCUGCUGGCACACCAAAAACACACUUGACCGGGUUAAGCAUCAUCUUGUAGACCUGGAGGUUGUCAAAUGUCUCCUUUAAAUCAUGAAUCAGGGUCUCUUUCUUUCUUUACUUUACUACAAUGUCAUCUACAUAAGCGUGAACAUUGCGCCCAAUCUGGUUAUGUAAACAAUUCUGCACAUAUCUCUGACAAGUCGCCUCGGCACUCUUAAGCCCAAAAGGCAUUGAUACGUAGCAGAAGGCUCCAAAAGGAGUUAUAAAUGUUGUCUUCUCCUGGUCCUUAACUGCCAUCUUGAUCUGAUGAUAACUAGAAUAAGCAUCCAAAAAGCUCAAAUGCUCACAACCCACCGUAGCAUCAAUGAUCUGAUCAAUAUGAGGGAGAGCAAAAGGAUCAGCUGGACAAGCUUUGCUUAAAUCCGUGUAAUCCACACACAUACGCCAAGUGCCAUUUUUCUUAAGCACCAGCACCGGGUUAGCCAACCACUCAGGAUGAAAAACCUCAACAAUAAACCCAGCCGCCAGAAGCCGGGCUACCUCUUCUCCAAUAGUUUUCCGCCUCUCCUCAUUAAACCAGCGAAGAAACUUCCUAACCGGUUUAAAUUUCGGAUCAAUAUUAAGAGUGUGCUCAUCCAGUUCCCUCGGUACACCUGGCAUGUCAGAAGGCUUCCAUGCAAAAAUGUCCCAGUUCUCACAGAUGAACUCGAUGAGCACACUUUCCUAUUUUGGAUCUAGAUUGGCACUAAUUGUGAACUGCCUGGAUGAGUCGCCAGGAACAAAAUCAACCAUCUUGGUAUCAUCUGCCGAUUUAAACUUCAAAACCGUGCCAUGCUCUAUUAUGGGAUUCUUCAGGGAUGUCAUAUCUGCUGGGUCAACAUUGUCCUUAUAGAACUUUAACUCUUCUAUCGCACAAACUGACUUGGCGUAAGCUGCAUCACCCUAUUCACACUCCAAAGCUAUCUUCCGACUUCCAUGUACUGUGAUGGUCCCCUUGUGACCCGGCAUCUUGAGCUAUAGAUAAACAUAGCGGGGCCUAGCCAUGAACUUAGCAUAAGCCGGUCGUCCAAACAAAGCAUGAUAUGGGCUUUUGAUUUUCACCACUUCAAAGGUCAAUGUCUCCGACCUGGAAUCAUGGUCAUCUCCAAAAGCAACCUCCAGAGCUAUCUUACCCACUGGAUAUGCCGACAUACCAGGCACCACACCAUGAAAAAUGGUGUUUGAUGGCUUAAGAUUUUUGUCUGUCAACCCAAUGCGAUGAAAGGUCUCAUAAUAGAGAUAUUAAUGCUGCUUCCUCCGUCCAUGAGUACCUUGGUGAACUUGUACCCCCAACCCGAGGUGCCACCACCAAUGCUAAGUGACCCGAAUUAUCAACUCGGGGUGGAUGAUCCUCCUGGCUCCACACAAUGGGUUGCUCGGACCAACGCAAAUAACGAGGAAUCGCCGGCUCAACAGCAUUGACUACCCUUUUAUGAAGCUUCUGGUCAUGUUUACAUAAGCUAGUGGUAAAUACAUGAUAUUGCCCACUAUUCAACUGUUUUGGGUUGCUCUGAUAGCCAGACUGCUGCUGCUGACCCCCCUGAUUACUUUGCUGGUUGUAACCACCCUGGCUGCCAUGAUUAUUCUGAUUUCCCUGAAACCCAGAAUUAGAACCACCACCGCCGUGACCCGGGCCGUAAGAGCCGCCGGGACCGCCACCAGGCCCGUGACUGUUAUGAAAGAAGUUUGAAUUCUUGAACUCCCUCAUGAUGUUACAAUCCUUCCACAAGUGCCCAGACGGUCUUUCCUUCGUUCCAUGUCGUGGGCAGGGCUCAUUCAACAUUCGCUCAAGAUUAACACUAGACCCGCCAGCUCUUGGCAGCAGUCUGCCCUUACGACGCUGUCCAUUAUCUUGUGUAUUGGUGUUAGCUACAAAGUCGAAACUAUUAUCAGCCUUGCGCUUACCGUUGCUUCCCGGGUUAUACUGCUGACCUUUGACAUUGCCGGUCGUCUUUCCCUUCCCUACUUUUUCAUCAUUAGACACGGGAUCUUUAGUACUAUCGGAGUCAGCGUAUUUAACCAAGGCCGCCAUGAGCGUCCCCAUGUCAUUGAAGUGACGCUUGAGCCGUCCUAAUUUAUGUUUCAGAGGCAGAAAACGGCAAUUGUUCUCCAACAUCAAUACCGCUGAAUCGGCGUUAAUACGAUAUGAUGAAUGUAAGAUUGUCGAGACCCGGCGCACCCAAUGGGUUGUUGACUCGCCUUCCUCUUGGACACAGGAGGCCAGAUCCACAAUGGACAUGGGCUGUUUACAUGUAUCCUUAAAGUUCUGGAUGAACCGGGCCUUUAAUUCGGCCCAUGACCUGAUGGGAUUAGCUGGGAGCCCCCUUUAACCAAGUACGGGUCGUUCCUUCCAACAUCAAAGGAAAGUAUUUAGCACAUGCUGCUUCACUGACAUCUAACAACUCCAUAGCCAUCUCAUAACUCUCAAUCUACGCUUCAGGACUUAAAUCAGUGGUGUAAUUGGGCACCUUACGAGGCCCUUUGAAAUCCUUGGGCAGACGCUCAUUCCACAGAUCCGGUGCUAAACACGGUGCCCCCAAGUUUCUAAAGGUCAGACCCGGCUCCACCGAGGUGGUUGGACGAAUCGGAGUUGGUUGGUGAGCUGCAUACUGAGCUGCCAGCUCAGCCUCUCGACGGGCUCUUCCUUGAUCCACCACAUUCUGAGCAUUAGCAACACCGCCCGCCGGGUCAUUACCACGCGGCGGGUUAUGAUUCCGUACACUACUUGACACCGUCGGCUCAUCUAAAUGCCUGCUGUAGCUUCUGCUCGGGCGAGGUGUGGAAUGAAUCCUAUCAUGGCUGUAAGAGUAUGCUUGAUGCUGCACCAAUGUCGUCUGAAGAAACUCUCUAGCCCUCCGUGUCUCAACCGCCGCUGGUGAGUCACCUUCCACAGGGAUAGCUGCCAGUCGGGAUGCUGUGGCAACCAUGUUAUCCAAAGGGUUGGAGUAAUGACCUGGUGGCGUCGACAUGUGUUGUGGCGAGUUAUUGUUCUAUCGAGGCGGAUCCAUUAUACGUGGCUGAGAUGGCGUCCCUGUCCUAGGCGCUCCGGCUGGUUUACGGUUGCCGGGUUACUGGUCCCUGCCCCUAGCGUAUCAAAAAGAUUCCUUGCUUCAAUAGUCACCGGCAGGCGGCUCUGAUGCCUUCUCCUCGGCACUUCAUUUGAGGCGUUCUGAUCUAACAUGAGCCAGUAGAUUCCGCUUGGACUCGCUAUGCCUGUGCAUCCAAAGCAUCCCGCUCCUCAGCCAUCCUGGUAUUUUCAGCGUUCAACGCCUCCCUGGCCUAUGCUAUAUCACCACACACCUUUGUAAUCGUCGCAUUAUGCUGAUCUUGAUCCGCCGGGUUAACAGCUGUUGUAAUCAGCGUAGUCAGUUUGUCCAAUAAGUCAGUUAAAACUUGAGCCAGCGGGUGCUCAGGGCCUCCUGCCCAGGCAGCCGCCGCCGCUCCUGACCCAAAAACCAGCUCUGCCGACGUUGAUGAGUGGUGUACAAGCUGUGUACCAGCCAUGAAGAUUGCAACCCGGUUUGGCGGCUCACAGGGGUCCGGAAUACUGUUGCCAUCGGAACAGCCCCCAAGCCAGCCGUCUUGCAACUGGUACAAUGAUUCUGUCUCGUCACCAGUGGAUGACCCGCCACCGGAAUAGACGACGGUCUCGUCACCAGAUGGUGAUCUGUCCUCAGAUCCCUCUCCAUGGAUGAAUCCCACAAAGGCACGUUUCAUGGCCGGCCGAAUCCGGGUGGGUCCCGCGCGUUGUGCCGUCGACGAUGUUGGUGCAUAUGUCCGGCUCAGGGCCCGGUUCGCCAAUCUUGCCGAUGAAAACGUGAAUUCUGCCAAAGGGGGCCCGAUACCCGUACUCUAUUGAGCCGACCUCGGGGCCCUAGCCUGCAUCAUCGAUGUAGAGCCUGCCGUGGCGACUCUUGGUCAUCUGGCCCAUGGCGUAUCCCUUGAUCCCUUCGAAGUUGCCCUUCAAGAACUCGAAACCAUCUUGAGAUUGCCCCACGGUAGGCGCCAACUAUCAUGGAAAUAUCACAUCAUAUGUACUAGAGAGAGGACUUAUUCGUGGAGCCAUCACUUGAUGUUAGCUUAAAGGGGUUAAUCAGGACAAAGGACAAGAGGAGUUUAUACUGGUUCGGCCCCUUACGGUGAAGGUAAAAGCCUAAUCUAGUUGUAUGUGGAAUUGAUAGGAUUUCGAUGAGCGGGGAGCGAAUUCGCUUGACCGACUCCGCCGGGUCGUCCCCUUAUAUACACGGAUCGAUGCCCCGCGACUUACUAAGUCCCGGCCGGCUCAUACAACGUGUCUGGCUCGGUGACGUAUCUUACAUGCCUUACUUUACAAGUUUUACAUACAUGACGGUUUAUGCUUAUGGGCCUUAAGCCGCCUUUGGGUCUGGGCCCACUACUAAGCCUAUCUAUGAACUGUCGUGCGACCUUGGACUUUACAAUCGAUAAAUCUUUAGGGGGAUGACCCGGCCCCUCCUGGGAGGGUCAUACCUAAUAGUUAUAUCCCCAACACAAGGUGUUCCUUCGGUAUUCGGGAGUUGCAUAAUCUCAUCGUCAGAGGAACAUGUAUAAGUCAUGAAGAAAGCAAUAGCAAUAAAACUAAACGAUCAUUAUGCUAAGCUAACAGAUGGGUCUUGCCCAUCACAUCAUUAUCUAAUGAUGUGAUCCCAUUCAUCAAAUGACAACACAUGUCUAUGGUCAGGAAACUUAACCAUCUUUGAUUAACGAGCUAGUCAAGUCGAGGCAUACCAGGGACACUCUGUUUGUCUAUGUAUUCACACAUGUACUAAGUUUCUGGUUAAUACAAUUCUAGCAUGAAUAAUAAACAUUUAUCAUGAUAUAAGAAAUAUAAAUAACAACUUUAUUAUUGCCUCUAGGGUAUAUUUCCUUAGGUCUCCCACUUGCACUAGAGUCAAUAAUCUAGAUUACAUAGUAAUGAUUCUAACACCCAUGGAGUCUUGGUGCUGAUCAUGUUUUGCUCGUGAGAGAGGCUUAGUCAACGGGUCUGCAACAUUCAGAUUCGUAUGUAUCUUGCAAAUCUCUAUGUCUCCCUCCUUGACUUGAUCGCAGAUGGAAUUGAAGCAUCUCUUGAUGUCUUUAGUUCUGUUGUGAAAUCUGGAUUCCUUCGCCAAGGCAAUUGCUCCAGUAUUGUCAUAAAACAUUUUUAUUGGACCCUAUGCACUAGGUAUUACACCUAGAUUGGAUAUGAACUCCUUCAUCCAGACUCCUUCAUUUGCUACUUCCGAAGCAGCUAUGUACUCCACUUCACACAUAGAUCCUGCCAUGACGCUCUUCUUCGAAUUGUGCCAACUGAAAGCUCCACCAUUCAAUAUAAACACGUAUCCAGUUUGUGACUUAGAGUCACCCAGAUUAGUGUCAAAGCUUGCAUUGACGUAACCAUUUUACGACGAGCUCUUUGUCACCUCCAUAAACAAGAAACAUAUCCUUAGUCCUUUUCAGGUAUUUCAGGAUGUUCUUGACCGCUGUCCAGUGAUCCACUCCUGGAUUACUUUGGUACCUCCCUGCUAAACUUAUAGCAAGGCACACAUCAGGUCUAGUACACAACAUUGCAUGCAUGAUAGAACCUAUAGCUAAGGCAUAGGGAAUGACUUUCAUUUUCUCUCUAUCUUCUGCAGUGGUCGGGUAUUGAGUCUGACUCAACUUCACAGCUUGUAACACAGGAAAGAACCCUUUCUUUGACUGGUCCAUUUUGAACUUCUUCAAAACUUUAUCAAGGUAUGUGCUUUGUGAAAGUCCAAUUAAGCGUCUUGAUCUAUCUCUAUAGAUCUUGAUGCCUAAUAUAUAAGCAGCUUCACCGACGUCUUUCAUUGAAAAAUUGUUAUUCAAGUAUCCUUUUAUGCUAUCUAGAAAUUCUGUAUUAUUUCCAAUCAAAAAUAUGUCAUCCACAUAUAGUAUUAGAAAUGCUAUAGAGCUCCCACUCACUUUCUUGUAAAUACAGGCUUCUCCAAAAGUUUGUAUAAAACCGUAUGCUUUGAUCACACUAUCAAAGCGUAUAUUCUAACUCCGAGAGGCUUGCACGAGUCCACAAAUGGAUCGAUGAAGCUUGCCCACUUUGUUAGCACCUUUAGGAUCGACAAAACCUUCUGCUUGCAUCAUAUACAACUAUUCUUUAAGAUAUCCAUUAAGGAAUGCAGUUUUGACAUCCAUUUGCCAAAUUUCAUAAUCAUAAAAUGCGGCAAUUGCUAACAUGAUUCGGACAGACUUAAGCAUCGCUACAGGUGAAAAGGUCUCAUCGUAGUCAACUCCUUGAACUUGUCAAAAACUUUUCGCAACAAAUCAAGCUUUGUAGACAGUAACAUUGCCGUCAGCGUCUGUCUUCUUGAAGAUCCAUUUAUUCUCUAUUGCUUGCCGAUCAUCGGGCAAGUCAACCAAAGUCCAAACUUUGUUCUCAUACAUGGAUCCCAUCUCAGAUUUCAUGGUCUCUAGCCAUUUUGCGAAAUCUGGGCUCAUCAUCACUUCCUCAUAGUUCGUAGGUUCGUCAUGGUCAAGUAACAUGACCUCCAGAACAGGAUUACCGUACCAAUCUGGUGCGGAUCGUACUCUGGUUGACCUACGAGGUUCGGUAGUAACUUGAUCUGAAGUUUCAUGAUCAUCAUCAUUAACUUCCUCCCUAAUUGGUGUAGGAAUCACUGGAACAGAUUUCUGUGAUGAACUACUUUCCAAUUCAGGAGAAGGUACAAUUACCUCAUCAAGUUCUACUUUCCUCCCACUCACUUCUUUCGAGAGAAACUCCUUCUCUAGAAAGGAUCCAUUUUUAGCAACGAAUAUCUUCCCUUCGGAUCUGUGAUAGAAGGUGUACCCAACCGUCUCCUUUGGAUAUCCUAUGAAGACACAUUUCUCCGAUUUGGGUUCGAGCUUAUCAGGUUCACGCUUUUUCACAUAAUCAUCGCAACCCCAAACUUUAAGAAAUGACAGCUUAGGUUUCUUGCGAAACCACAGUUCAUAUGGUAUUGUCUCAACAGAUUUAGAUGGUGCCCUAUUUAACGUGAAUGCAACCGUCUCUAAAGCAUAACCCCAAAACGAUAGUGGUAAAUUAGUAAGAGACAUCAUAGAUCACACCAUAUCUAAUAAAGUACGGUUACGACAUUCGGACACACCAUUACGCUGUGGUGUUCCAGGUGGCGCGAGUUGCGAAACUAUUCCACACUAAUUCAAAUGAAGACCAAACUCAUAACUCAAAUAUUCACCUCCACAAUUAGUUCGUAGAAACUUUAUUUUCUUGUUACGAUGAUAUUCCACUUCACUUUGAAAUUCUUUGAACUUUCCAAAUGUUUCAAUAUUAUGUUUCAUCAAGUAGAUAUACCCAUAUCUGCUCAAAUCAUCUGUGAAGGUCAUAAAAUAACAAUACCCGUUGCGAGCCUAAACACUCAUCAGACCGCAUACAUCAGUAUGUAUUAUUUCCAAUAAGUCAGUUGCUCGCUCCAUUAUUCCCGAGAACAGAGCCAUAAUCAUCUUGCCCAUGAAGCAUGGUUUGCAAGCAUCAAGUGAUUCAUAAUCAAGUGAUUCCAAAACCCUAUCAACAUGCAGUUUCUUCAUGCACUUUACACCAAUAUGAUCUAAACGGCAGUGCCACAAAUAAGUUGCACUAUUAUUAUUAACUUUGCAUCUUUUGGCUUCAACAUUAUGAAUAUGUGUAUCACUACAAUCAAGAUUCAACAAAAAUAGACCACUCCUCAAGGGUGCAUGACCAUAAACGAUAUUACUCAUAUAAAUAGAACAACCAUUAUUCUCUAAUUUAAAUGAAUAACCGUCUCGCAUCAAACAAGAUCCAGAUAUAAUGUUCAUGCUCAAUGCUGGCACCAAAUAACAAUUAUUUAGGUCUAAGACUAAUCCCGAUGGUAGAUGUAGAGGUAGCAUGCCAACGGCAAUCACAUCGACUUUGGAACCAUUUCCCAACGCAUCGUCACGUCGUUCUUAGCCAAUCUUCAUUUAAUCUGUAGCCCCUAUUCCCUUUGCCCUUUUUCUUGAAACUAGUGGUCUUGUUCACCAUCAACACUUGAUGCUCCUUCUUGAUUUAUACCUCCGCGGCCUUUAGCAUUGCGAAGAGCUCGGGAAUUGUCUUUUCAUCCCUUGCAUAUUAUAGUUCAUCAUGAAGCCUUUAUAGCUUGGUGGCAAUGAUUUAUAAACUCUUUCAAUGACACUAUCAUUAGGAAGAUUAAUUCCCAGCUGGGUCAAGUGUUUGUGGUACCCAGACAUUCUAAGUAUGUGUUCACCGACAGAACUAUUCUCCUCCAUUUUGCAGUUGUAGAACUUGUUUGAGACUUCAUAUCUCUCAACUCAGGCAUUUGCUUGAAAUAUUAACUUCAACUCCUAGAACAUCACAUAUGCCCCAUGACAUUCAAAACGUCUUUGAAGUCCUGAUUCUAAGAUGUAAAGCAUGGCACACUGAACUAUCGAGUAGUCAUCAGCUUUGCUCUGGUAGACGUUCAUAACAUUCAGAGUUGAUCCUACAGCGGGUCUUGCACCUAGCGGUGCUUCCAGGGCGUAAUUCUUUUGUGCAGCAAUGAGGAUAAUCCUCAUACGGACCUAGUCCAUGUAGUUUCUACCAUCAUCUUUCAACUUAGCUUUCUCUAGAACGCAUUAAAAUUAAAGGGAAUGGUAGCACGGGCCAUUGAUCUACAACAACAUAGAUAUGCAAAUACUAUCAGGUACUAAGUUCAUGAUAAAUUAAAGUUCAAUUAAUCAUAUUACUUAUCCCACUUAGAUAGACAUCCCUCUAGUCAUCUAAAUGAUCACGUGAUCCAUAUCAACUAAACCAUGUCCGAUCAUCACGUGAGAUGGAGUAGUUUUCAAUGGUGAACAUCACUAUGUUGAUCAUAUCUACUAUAUGAUUCACGUUCGACCUUUCGGUCUUAGUGUUCCGAGGCCAUAUCUGCAUAUGCUAGGCUCGUCAAGUUUAAACCGAGUAUUCUGCACAUGCAAAACUGGCUUACACCUAUUGUAUGUGAAUGUAGAGCUUAUCACACCCGAUCAUCAUGUGGUGUCUCGGCACGACGAACUAUAGCAAUGGUGCAUACUCAGAGAAAACACUUGUACCUUGAAAUUUAGUGAGGGAUCAUCUUAUAAUGCUACCACCUUACUAAGCAAAAUAGGAUGCAUAAAAGAUAAACAUCACAUGCAAUCAAAAUAUGUGACAUGAUAUGGCCAUCAUCAUCUUGUGCCUUUGAUCUCCAUCUCCAAGCACCGUCAUGAUCUCCAUCGUCACUGCCUUGACACCUUGAUCUCUAUCGUAGCAUCAUUGUCAUCUCGCCAACUAUUGCUACUACGACUAUCGCUACCGCUUAGUGAUAAAGUAAGCAAUUACAUGGAGAUUGCAUUUCAUAGAAUAAAGCGACAACCAUAAGGCUCCUGCUAGUUGCCUAUAACUUUUACAAAACAUGAUCAUCUCAUACAACAAUUUAUAUAUCAUCACGUCUUGACCAUAUCACAUCACAACAUGCCCUGCAAAAACAAGUUAGACAUUCUCUACUUUAUUGUUGCAAGUUUUACGAGGAUGCUACGGGCUUCUAGCAAGAACCAUUCUUAUCUACGCAUCAAAACUACAACGAUUUUUCGUCAAGUGUGUUGUUUUAACCUUCAACAAGGACCAGGCAUAGUGAAACUCGAUUCAACUAAAGUUGGAGAAAUAGACACCCGCCAGCCACCUGUGUGCGAAGCAUGUCGGUAGAACCAGUCUCAUGAACGUGUUCAUGUAAUGUCGGUCCGGGCCGCUUCAUCCAAUAAUACCUCCAAAUCAAAGUAAGACGUUGGUGGUAAGCAGUAUGACUAUUAUCGCCCACAACUCUUUGUGUUCUACUCAUGCAUAUAACUUCUACGCAUAGACCUGGCUCUGAUGCCACUGUUGGGAACGCAGUAUUUCGAAAAAUUUCCUACGAUCACGCAAGAUCUAUCUAGGAGAUGCAUAGCAACGAGAUGAGAGAGUGUGUCCACGUACUCUUGUAGACCGAAAGCGGAAGCGUUUAGUAACGCGGUUGAUGUAGUUGAAAGUGCAACUAUCCCUAGGUGGUUUUGGUAAUUCCUAAUGACAUAUAGUUCAUUGAGCUAAUGCUAUUUCAAGACUAAUAUUUCAGGAAAGCUCAAUGAUUGGCAUGGCAUGGAUGAGAAAAGUGGACCCCUCAAAACACUAAGGACAAAAGGAUUGGCUCAAGCUCAAAAGUUCAAGACUCUACAUUUUCUAUUUUAGUGAUCCAAGAUCACAUUGAGUCUAUAGGAAAAGCCAAUACUAUCAAGGAGGGAUGAUGUGUUUCUUAAUGAGGUUCUUGCUCAAAAUGCUUAGUGAUAUGCUCCAAAACCCUCAACUACUUUCUCACAUCCACAUAUGACCUAAACCAAAAGUCAAACUCGGCCCCACCGAUUCUUCCUAUCCGGAGCCAUCGAGUUUCAAAUGUCAUAGCCACUGCCACAAACCCUAGGCAAAUCAGUCUCACCGAUAGGGAUCUCGGUCUCACCGAGAUGGGGUUGUAAUCUCUCUGUCUCCCUUCAUAACGUUUUGGUACCACCGACAUUGCAAUGUAAACUCUCUGUUUCCCUUCAUAACGUUCUCACCGAAAUGAGUGAUCGGUCCCACCGAGUUUACCUGACCAACUCUCUGGUUAGCUUAUUACCAAAAUUGGUUUCACCAAGUUUGUGUAGUCAGUCUCAGCGAGAUUAUGUUAUGCCCUAACCCUAAUCAUAUCAGUCCUACCGAGUUGCAUGUAGGUCCCACCAAAAACCCUAACGAUCACUAGCUUUGCUGAAUCGGUCCGACCGAGUUUAACUAUCCGGUCCCACCGAGUUUGGGAAGUUAUGUGUAACGGUUAGAUUUUGUGUAGAUGCUAUAUAUACCCGUCCACCACCUCUUCAUUCAUGGAGAGAGCCAUCAGAACAAACCUACACUUCCAACUUGUUUUUUCUGAGAGAACCACCUACACUUGUGUUGAGACCAAGAUAUUCCAUUCCUACCAUAUGAAUCUUGAUCUCUAGCCUUCCCCAAGUUGCUUUCCACUCAAAUCUUCUUUCCACCAAAUCCAAAUCCUGUGAGAGAGAGUUGACUGUUGGGGAGACUAUCAUUUGAAGCACAAGAGCAAGGAGUUCAUCAUCAACACACCAUUUGUUACUUCUUGGAGAGUGGUGUCUCCUAGAUUGGCUAGGUGUCACUUGGGAGCCUCCGACAAGAUUGUGGAGUUGAACCAAGGGGUUUGUAAGGGCAAGGAGAUCGCCUACUUCGUGAAGAUCUACCGCUAGUGAGGCAAGUCCUUCGUGAGCGAUGGCCAUGGUGGGAUAGACAAGGUUGCUUCUUCGUGGACCCUUCGUGGGUGGAGCCCUCCGUGGACUCACGCAACCGUUAUCCUUCGUGGGUUGAAGUCUCCAUCAACAUGGAUGUACGAUGGCACCACCUAUAGGAACCACGACAAAAACAUCCGUGUCUCCAAUUGUGUUUGAAUCCUCCAAACCCUUCCCUUUACAUUCUUGCAAGUUGCAUGCUUUACUUUCCGCUGCUCAUAUACUCUUUGCAUGCUUGCUGAAUUGUGUUAAGAUUGCUUGACUUGUCCAAAGUUGCUAAAAUCUGCCAAGAACUAAAAUUGGGAAAAGGCUAGAUUUUUAUUUGGUCAAGUAGUCUAAUCACCCCCCUCUAGACAUACUUUCGAUCCUACAAGUGGUAUCAGAGCUUUGGUCUCCAUUUGCUUUGAUUUCCAUAGUUUUUGGUGGUCAUAGCCUUGGUUUCACAACCUAGGAGAGUAUGGCGUCUAGCAAGGGAAAUUACCACCAUAGAGGUCCUUACUUUGAUGGCACUAAUUUUGCUAGUUGGAAGCAUAAGAUGAAAAUGCAUAUUCUUGGACAUAACCCCGCCGUUUGGGCUAUUGUGUGUAUUGGCUUGCAAGGUGAAUUUUUUGAUGGGAGAGAACCAAACCGUGAAGCUACCGCGAAAGAAUUGAAGAUGCUACAAUACAAUGCUCAAGCUUGUGAUAUCCUCUUCAACGGAUUGUGCCCCAAAGAAUUCAACAAAAUCAGCCGUCUUGAGAAUGCAAAGGAAAUUUGGGAUACUUUAAUUGAUAUGCACGAAGGUACCGACUCCGUCAAGGAAUCCAAGUUGGAUGUGCUUCAAAGUCAACUUGACAAGUUCAAAAUGAAGGAUGGUGAAGGUGUCACUGAAAUGUACUCUAGGCUUGCUCUUAUCACAAAUGAGAUUGCCGGCUUAGGAAUUGAAGAGAUGACCGACAAAUUCAUCAUUAAGAAGAUCCUAAGAGCCUUGGAUGGAAAAUAUGAUACCGUAUGCACAUUGAUCCAAAUGAUGCCAAAUUACAAAGAUCUCAAGACAACAGAAGUCAUUGGAAGAAUUGUUGCUCAUGAGAUGUCACUCAAGGAUAAGGAGGAGCUUCAUAACAAGUCAAGUGGUGCUUACAAAGCCUCAUGUGAAGCUGCCACAUCAUCAAGUGAGAAACAAACCAUCAAUGAAGAAUUGAGCCUAAUGGUGAAAAACUUCAACAAGUUCUACAAGAUUAGAAGCAAAGAGAGAAGUUCCAAGUCAAGGUCCUACAAUGACAAAAGAUCUUCUAGUCGAGAGCGAAACUUCUACAAUUGUGGAAGACCCGGACACUACUCCAAUGAGUGUACGGCCCCCUACAAGAGAAGAGAAGAUUCUCCCAAAAGAAGAAGUAGAAGAGAAGAAUCACCAUCGAGGGAGAGAAGGAGUAGGGAUGAUCGUUAUGAACGAAGACCCUCUCGGAGAAGCAAGGAUUCGGAAAGGAAGGACAAGUCAUCAAGGAGCUACACAAAAUGAAGACAUCAAGCUCAUGUUGGUGAAUGGGUAUCCGGAUCCGACUCCGAAAAUCACUCCGAGAGAAGCUAUCACUCCGACUCCGAAUAUACUCAAGAUGAAGGUGUUGCCGGUCUAGCACUUGUGUCAACCAACUCCUACGACAUAUUUGAUUCACCAAAUGAAGGAAUUGGAAGAUGCUUCAUGGCCAAAGGUCCAAAGGUAUCACACCCCGAGUAUGUUGAUUUCAAUAGUGAUGAAGAUGACUUGUUAGGUGAUGAUGAUUUACUUGUUGACAACUCUAGUGAUGAAUACUAUGAUGAAACAUCAACUAAUCAUGCUAAUCAAGAUAAAACGAAUGACAAUGAUAAGGAGAAGAUUGAGUCUCUAACUAAAGAACUAAACACUCUUAAGUUAGCUCAUGAAACUAUCUUAGGAGAUCAUCGAGAACUUUUAAGGACUCAUGAGAAAUUACGUUUUGAGAAGCUCAAUCUUGAGCAAGAGCAUGAGUUCUUAAAGGCAAUCAAUGAUGAUAUUCGCAAGAAAAGUUCUUCUUACAUUGCCAAGCAUUUACUCUUAUCCACUUACAUGCCUUAAGUCAAGUCUAGUAACAAGAACAAGAAGGAUUCUUCCUCUAGUAGUAACAAUAAUCAUGCUAAAUCCAAUAUUGUUGCUUCUAGUAUUUCUCUUGAUUCCACUAAUGAUUCUCUUAGCCAAGUUACACUUGAGCAAGAAAAUAGCUUAUUGAAGGGAAUCAUAGAGAAAGGUGUUUACAAGAGCCUUGCCGGGAGUAAGCAAUUCGAGGAAAUUGUACGCAAGCAAGGAAGGCAACAAAAAAAAUCAAGGUAUUGGUUUUGAACGAAAGUUCAAUGCCAAUGGAGUUGAGUGGGAAGAAGAUCAAUACCCCAAGACGAAGUUUGUUCCUCAACAAGAGAAGUAUGAUCCUACUUAUUUCAAAGGGACACAAGCUCAAGAUGAUCUUCCACCACAAUACCACAAUGAAAAAGGCAAGGACAAGCUUCAAGAGGAAAUUGAUGCACUUGAAGAAGCUCCUAAGGCCUUGGUCAAGUGGGUUCCCAAGACUACAUCAAGUUCCACUUCAUCAAGUACAACUACAACUCCGAGGAUUCCCAUCAAGAUGGUGUGGAUCCCGAAGAAGAAGAACUAGAGAGUUCUUGAGGGUGACUCCGCCAACAUACUUCACUCUUAUCAUUUUGGCAAAAAUAAGCGCAAUCAACUUCCACAUCUUGCUCUAGUUCAAGGAGUCACAAACCCUCUUGUUGGUAAGACAAGGGACAAGGUAACCUAAUGCUCUCAUAGAAAUCAUAUUGUGUGUGCAUCACUCUAUGUCUAUGGAUAUCCUUGUUUGUUCCUUGUGGGACUAACCCGUGUAGGUAUUGAAAGUGCAACUCACUCCAAAGGAUAGCUCCGAAUGAUCUACAUCAACUUAGAGCAUCCACAUCUUCAACACCUACAUGAAGUCAUCAUCGACAAAACCCAAGGUUAGUUCAUCCCUCUUAGGGGGGAUCUCACAUCUAGGGGGAGCCUUACUCUAAGAAUUGAGCUAAAGAAACUCUAAUGGUGUGAACACAACAUCGCUUUAUGUAAAAGUGGUAACUCCACUUGUGCUUAAACGAUGAGGAUGACCUAUGAUCAAAUGUUCUCAUUUGACUCCUAAGUCAAUAUACUCAUAUAUAGAUGACCUAGUCAUCGCCAAUUGCUUGAUAGAUGCUAGAAUUGUUUGUGCAUGCUUUGCCACAUAUUUCAUUUGUCAUUUUAUUGUGUGAGCAUGUUGGUUGCAUAAUUUACUCAUUCGAGGACAUCCACUUGUUGUUUUGAUUGGUUGGUUUCUUUUUCUCUUGCCAAGUGGAUGGACAAGAAUGCCUAAGAACCUUCUCUAGCUAUCUAUGCUCUUCUCGUCUCAAACUCUAUUCAUGCCGCAUCACAAAGUUUGAUCAAGUCAGAUUCGAACCACUCUGUGUGAGGAGCACUCGGAGUCCCUGAUUCGUCAUAGGCUUAAACUUCCAAAACUUCUUUUUGCGUUUUGGUCUAACCGAUUCAUCCAUUUCGGUCAUACCGAGAUCACUAAGUCGAUCUAGGUCUUUAAUCUCGGUGUAACCGAUUUGAAGUUUUCGGUCACACCGAGUUGCAGUAACUGCUUGCAGUUAUGCAUCUCGGUGACACCGAGUUGUUCCACUCGGUCACACCGACAGGGUCAGGCUAUAUAUACCCACAGGCGAAAAUUUGGAAAACUUUCCGAACCUCUUCGCCCGCGCUCAGCUUGCUCUGCCUCCCUGGGUCUCCGAAUCAUCCUCCUCGUCGCCAGCCGCCUCCAGUCGCUGGUCUCCGCCGCUGUCAAUGAGAUCGGCUCCGCCGUUGCCGCCGUAGCAAGUCCAUUGCCGAACUAGGGUAUGGACUUGAUCUUUGUGCUGUUCUCACUCCGAUUCCCCAGCACAUUGUUUUGCCAUGUAUCUUGCCACGAUUGAGAUUACUCUAUCCAAUGAAAACACUCCGUAGUUUAGUUGUGGAUUGAAAAUUUAGGGUUAGGUUUCUGCCGAAACCAUCUCGGGCCGACCGAGUUGUUGAAAUUGGUUUCACCGAUUUGGCUUAGGCCAUUGCACAUGUGAUUCUUGGUCUAACCGAGAAUUGCAAAUCGGUGUGACUGAGUUCGAGUCUUUGUGAAACCCUAGCAGUCUCGGGGCCACCGAACUAUGACUCGGUCUGACCGAGUUCACUAGUUUAGGUUCCAACAGCUGCUUCGGUAUCACCGUGAUUUCAAAUCGGUAGAUCCGAAAUGCUUUCUGUGGAAAACAAAAACUAAGUUUUUGAUUCAUUCUUUUCUAAAACCUCUGCACUUUGUGAUGCUCAUCGACUCUACCUCAUCUAUAAUCUAUUCACAAGGUCUGCUGUCAGUGUUUGCAUCAUGUGAGAUCAGAGUGACAGUCAGAACAAGUCUAAGGAGCAAGCGAACUUGAGUGAGGGCACUAGUCCCUCCAGUAGCUCAGAUGAUGGAAGCAGGAGCACACCCAGCAACUUGCCUAAGGUAGCCACCAGGACCAGAAAGAAGAAAACCUCAGAUUCUGAGGAUGAGGACUAUGUGUCUGCUGAGGAAGAGGCCACCUCAAAAAGGGAAGUCCUGAAAAAGGAAUAUGGCACAGCUGCAGCCACUAAGCCAAGAGAGCUCCCAUGUCAAAAGCCAGAACAUCCACUCAAGAGACUUUGGGAUCUGCACCCAAAGAGCAGGUUGUGGCAGAAAAGAAAAGGAAAGAGAGGGUCAAGAAGACCACUGCCAGAGUGCUUGGGAGAUCUUCAAUAAUGAAAGACUCUAAAGAAGAGGAAGAGGAAGAGGAUGCAGCACCAGCACCCAAAGCUCAGAAGCUUAUGGGAGAUGCUAUAAGGGCAGGGGCUGCUCCAUCUAAGCCCAAAGGAACUCCUAAGCCAGCAGUUCCAAAGCCAAAACCAAGGAGGAGCACCAGGAACAUCCCAACAGCAGAGAAGAACAAGGCCCCAGUGCCUGAAGCUGCAAUGGAAGAAGAAGAUGAUGAGUCACAUGUCUUUAGGAAGUUGAAGCCAAAAAUUCCAGAUCACAAUGAUGCUCAUCCAAUAGCUGAGAACAUGAAGAUAAGGAAGGAUUCAGGAUUGAGGCUAUGGAGAGAAUCAGAUCCAUAUGCCACCAAAAGAAGAACUGCUGUGGACUACAGGUUCCAUACUAAGGAACACCGGGACUUCUAUGAGACAGUGUUGCUUGACAAGAAGCCAAUAGUGUGUGACAUGAGAUGGGUCGAUUGGACAUUCAUUGAGGAAAAUGAGGAUCACUUUCCUGGUAUAUAUGACAGCUUCAAGGCAUGUGGAGUCGAUGAGUUUGUGGCUCAGAAGCUCACAAAGUGGAAUGAUGAGCUCAUCAUGCAGUUCUACUCCACAACUCAUUUCUACCUAGAUGGAAGGAUUGUCUGGAUAUGUGAAGGCACUAGGUACCAGUCAACGGUUGCUGAAUGGGCAAAAUUGAUUAAUGCUCCUGAGGAGAGUGAAGAUAACUUGGAUGUCUAUGCCAAGAAGAAGAAGGAUCACAACACCAUGGCACAUAUGUACAAAGAGAUCCCAGAUGCUGCUCUUGAGACACACAAGUUUGGAUCAGUACAUUACCUUCUGUCAGGCUUGCCAACAAUCAACUGGAUCCUCAGGCACACUUUCUUGCCAAAGUCAGGUGAUCACAAGACGAUCAGAGGUCACUCCAUCAACUUGUUGCACAUUUUUGAUGUUCCACAGAAGUUCAAGGUCAUGAGCCUAAUUGUGGAAACCAUAAAGAGGACAUCUGCAGAUCAGAAGAGGAGUUGUGGGUAUGCCCCACAGAUCCAGGAGCUGAUCAAGUCCAAGAUGGGCACUGGCACAUAUUUGCUGGACAAGGAGCACCUGCCCAUCUACCCAGACUUUGAGGACAACACUGUGGUGAUGGAUGAAAAUGAACCAUCUUCUGUGCAUGCACAAGCCAAGAAGGAGAAGGCAAGGGCUGAAAAGGCUGCAAAGAUACCAACCACUAAGAGGCAUCCCAGUAUCUUCUGAAGAGCAAGCAAGAUCAGCUUGGCUACUUGAUUGCCUCCACUCUGAGGAUUGAGAAGGGAUUGGCUACCCUGACCCAAAACCAGGAGAGCUUGGAGAGGAUCGUGGAGCAUAAGUUCUAUGACUUUGAUGUGAAGGUCACUGAGAUCCAGUCAGUCGUUGAGCAACUUCAAGAUGAAGUGCAGGAGAAGAAGGGCAAGUCUACCACUGAUGCUUUUGCUAGAAUGCCCAAAGGACAAAGAUCUGCUGCAAUGCCUGUUCCAGACACCAGAGCAACUUCAUCUGCACCAGCUACAGCUUCAGUGCCACCAGCUCCAGCACCUACUCCAGUCAAAGCGACAAUGUUUUUUACUCUUAUUAUCAUUUGUUGAAGCUUUGAUCUAUAUGUUGUCAUCAAUUACCAAAAAGAGGGAGAUUGAAAGUGCAACUAUCCCUAGGUGGUUUUGGUAAUUCCUAACAACAUAUAGUUCAUUGAGCUAAUGCUAUUUCAAGACUAAUAUUUCAGGAAAGCUCAAUGAUUAGCAUGGCAUGGAUGAGAAAAGUGGACCCCUCAAAACACUAAGGACAAAAGGAUUGGCUCAAGCUCAAAAGUUCAAGACUCUACAUUUUCUAUUUUAGUGAUCCAAGGUCACAUUGAGUCUAUAGGAAAAGCCAAUACUAUCAAGGAGAGAUGAGGUGUUGCUUAAUGAGGUUCUUGCUCAAAAUGCUUAGUGAUAUGCUCCAAAACCCUCAACUACUUUCUCACAUCCACAUAUGACCUAAACCAAAAGUCAAACUCGGCCCCACCAAUUCUUCCUAUCCGGCGCCACCGAGUUUCAAAUGUCAUAGCCACUGCCACAAACCCUAGGCAAAUCGGUCUCACCAAUAGGAAUCUCGGUCUCACCGAGAUGGGGUUGUAAUCUCUCUGUUUCCCUUCGCAACGUUUCGGUCCCACCGAGAUGAGCGAUCGGUCCCACCGAGAUUGCAAUGUAAACUCUCUGUUUCCCUUCGUAACAUUUCGGUCUCACCGAAAUGAGCAAUCGGUCCCACCGAGUUUACCUGACCAACUCUCUGGUUAGCUUAUUACCAAAAUCGGUCUCACCGAGUUUGUGUAAUCGGUCUCACCGAGAUUAUGUUAUGCCCUAACCCUAAUCAUAUCGUUCCUACCGAGUUGCAUGUCGUUCCCACCGAAAACCCUAACGGUCACUAGCUUUGCUGAAUCGGUCCGACCGAGUUUAACUAUUCGGUCCCACCGAGUUUGGGAAGUUAUGUGUAACGGUUAGAUUUUGUGUGGAAGCUAUAUAUACCCCUCCACCACCUCUUCAUUCGUGGAGAGAGCCAUCAGAACGAACCUACACUUCCAACUUGUUUUUUCUGAGAGAGAACCACCUACACUUGUGUUGAGACCAAGAUAUUCCAUUCCUACCAUAUGAAUCUUGAUCUCUAGGCUUCCCCAAGUUGCCUUCCACUCAAAUCUUCUUUCCACCAAAUCCAAAUCCUGUGAGAGAGAGUUGAGUGUUGGGGAGACUAUCAUUUGAAGCACAAGAGCAAGCAGUUCAUCAUAAACACACCAUUUGUUACUUCUUGGAGAGUGGUGUCUCCUAGAUUGGCUAGGUGUCACUUGGGAGACUCCGACAAGAUUGUGGAGUUAAACCAAGGAGUUUGUAAGGGCAAGGCGAUCGCCUACUUCGUGAAGAUCUACCGCUAGUGAGGCAAGUCCUUUGUGGGCGAUGGCCAUGGUGGGAUAGACAAGGUUGCUUCUUCGUGGACCCUUCGUGGGUGGAGCCCUCCAUGGACUCACGCAACCGUUACCCUUCGUGGGUUGAAGUCUCCAUCAACGUGGAUGUACGAUAGCACCACCUAUCGGAACCACGACAAAAACAUCCGUGUCUCCAAUUGCAUCUGAAUCCUCCAAACCCUUCCCUUUACAUUCUUGCAAGUUGCAUGCUUUACUUUCCACUGCUCAUAUACUCUUUGCAUGCUUGCUUGAAUUGUGUUAAGAUUGCUUGACUUGUCCAAAGUUGCUAAAAACUGCCAAGAACUAAAAUUGGGAAAAGGCUAGAUUUUUAUUUGGUCAAGUAGUCUAAUCACCCCCCCUCUAGACAUACUUUCGAUCCUACAGUAGUCAAAUGUCUUCACGAUCCAACCGAUCCAAGUACCGAACGUACAACACCUUCGUGUUUUGCACAUGUUCAUCAUGGUGAUGUCUCUCGAGCUCUUGAUCCAGUUGAGGACGAGGGAGAGUUCCAUCAGCACGACGGCGUGGCGAUGGUGAUGAUGAAGCUACCGACACAGGGCUUUGCCUAAGCACUACGACGAUAUGAUCGAGGUGGUAAACUGUGGAGGGGGGCACCACACACGGCUAAGAUAUGUCUGUUGUACCUUUGGGGUGCCCCCGCCUCCGUAUAUAAAGGGGGAGGAGGAGGUGGCCAGCCUAAGGGGGCGUGUCAUAAGGGGGGAGUCCUACUUGGACUCCUAGUCCAAGUAGGAUUCGGGCCCCCCUCUUUCCUUCCACCGGAGAGGGAAAAGGGGAAGGGAGAGAGAGGGAGAAGGAAAGAGGGGGGCCGGCCUCCUCCCCUAGUCCAAUUCAUUUUGGGCAGGGGGCCCUCUCACAUGGCCUUUCUCCUCUCCUCCAAUAAGGCCCAAUAGGCCCAAUACUUCUCUCGGGGGGGGGGGGUUCCAGUAACCUCCCGGUACUUCGGAAAAAUGCCCGAACCACUCGGAACCAUUCCGAUGUCCGAAUGCAACCUUCCAAUAUAUGAAUCUUUACCUCUCGACCAUUACGAGACUCCUCGUCAUGUCCGUGAUAUCAUUCGAGACUCCGAACAAACUUCGGUCAUCAAAUCACAUAACUCAUAAUACAAAUCAUCAUCGAACGUUAAGCAUGCGAACCCUAUGGGUUCGAGAACAAUGUAGACAUGACCGAGACACAACUCUGGUCAAUAACCAAUAGCGGAACCUGGAUGAUCAUAUUGGCUCCUACAUAUUCUACGAAGAUCUUUAUCGGUCAAACCGCAUAACAACAUAUGUUAUUCCCUUUGUCAUCGGUAUGUUACUUGCCCGAGAUUCGAUCGUCAGUAUCAUCAUACCUAGUUCAAUCUCGUUACCGGCAAGUCUGUUUACUCAUUCCGUAAUGCAUCAUCCCACAACUAACUUAUUAGUCACAUUGCUUGCAAGGCUCAUAGUGAUGUGCAUUACCAAGAGGGCCCAGAGAUACCUCUCCGAUACACAGAGUGACAAAUCCUAAUCUCGAUCUAUGCCAACUCAACAAACACCAUCGGAGACACCUGUAGAGCAUCUUUAUAAUCACCCAGGUACGUUGUGGCGUUUGAUAGCACACAAGGUGUUCCGCCGGUAUUCGGGAGUUGCAUAAUCUCAUCGUCAGAGGAACAUGUAUAAGUCAUGAAGAAAGCAAUAGCAAUAAAACUAAACGAUCAUUAUGCUAAGCUAACAGAUGGGUCUUGUCCAUCACAUCAUUAUCUAAUGAUGUGAUCCCGUUCAUCAAAUGACAAUACAUGUCUAUGGUCAGGAAACUUAACCAUCUUUGAUUAACAAGCUAGUCAAGUAGAGGCAUACUAGGGACACUCUGUUUGUCUAUGUAUUCACACAUGUACUAAGUUUCUGGUUAAUACAAUUCUAGCAUGAAUAAUAAAUAUUUAUCAUGAUAUAAGGAAAUAUAAAUAACAACUUUAUUAUUGCCUCUAGGGCAUAUUUCAAUCACCGGCCGCCCGAGUUGCGCUCACCGGUGCCCCAGCUACCGCCUGCUGCUUCUGCUCUGCUUCGCUGCCCCAUGUCGUGCGCUCCUCCCCUAACCCCGCUGCACCCGCGCUGCUCCUACCGCUACUUGUUGUCGUCGCCGCUGCCCACUACAGCAUGCCACCGCAGCCGAGCUGCCCCGCUCCGUCCCUGUUCCACGCGCCCCCUAGCCGUUUUGGCCGCACCCAUCGCCGUGCCUUGCUCGCUGUACGUGCGUGCCCGCGUGCCCCAGCCUCCUCGCCUGCUUCCCCCGCAAUCAUUGCUUCCGGCCGCCGCUGCUGCAGCUCGCGCCCCGCUCGCCCGUGCGUACACACCAUGGACGCGCUCGUCUCCCGCAUGCCGAGCAGCAUCGACGCCUCCCGCUGCCCCUAUGCUGCUGCUCCACCACCGCCCCGCGCCGUCUCUCCGUCGGUGCCGUAGCUCGCCGGUCCCGCCGCCCGCUACCUGUUGAGCCAGCCCUGCCUGCUUCCCGCUGUGGCCGCUGGCCAACUCCCCCGGUGGCCUCAGGCACGGGCGCCCACGCUCACGCCCAUCGCCCGUCACCCGCCCCACUAAGGCCCCCAUCGGGCCACUCACCACUGAGCCAGCCCCCCUUUUUAAAAAAAUGUUAAUUAAUAAUAGUAAUAAAAUAUAAAUAUAAAUAUUAUUAUUAAUUAAUUAGGUAAUUAAUUAACCUUGCUUAAUUAGUCUAAUGAACUAGAUGUCUAAUUAAACCUGCUUAAUUAGUUGAGUCAAUGACAUACGGGCCGAGCUGUCAGUUUGACCAGCCAAUGCUCUGUUGACUGCUGACAUCAUGAUGAUGUCAGGCUCACGUCAUGAUUCCUUUUUUGAAUUAAGGAUAACUUCAGAAUAUUGCUAAAACUUUCGAAAUACAUAGAAAAUAAAGCGUAACUCCGAUGAAAAACCUUUGUACAUGAAAGUUGCUCAGAAAAGCGAGACGAAUCCGAAUACGCCAUCCGUUCGUAUGUCACAUGCCCCUAGCAUAGCUAACAUGCAACCGUCUCCCUCCGUUUCAUCUGUUUGAAAAUGCCAAACUUCGGGAAAACUUUCCCGGAUGUUAUCCCCCUUCGCUGGUAUUGUGUAACACUGUGUUAGAACACCCCUAGCACCGCUUUUUGUCAUGUCAUGCAUCUGUGUGCUUUGUAUUUACUGGUCCCCCCUCUUCUUCUCCAGUAGACCCUGAGAGCGCGCCGAUGCCGCCCCUGUGAUCGACUGCGUCGGCGACGACUCUUCUUCCAUUUCACCAGAGCUUCCAGGCAAGCCAACCCCCCUUGAUCAUUUCGAUAUCACCCAUUUCAUUCUCUCUCAUGCUUGCAUUAGAUUUUUCUACUGUAAUUGUUUGCUCCUAUUCUGAUGCAUAGCCUGCUUUUGUAACCCGCUAUUGUUACCUACCUGCUUAUCCUAAACUACUUAGUGUAGGUUGGUUAGUGAUCCAUCAGUGACCCCCACCUUGUCCUUGUUGCCACUGCUUCAUCAUCGACGACUCGAUCAAUGUGAUCGACGAUCAUAGCCCGACACAUCACAUCACCACCUUAGUUGCUCAGCUCCGCAGAGCUACUAUCGAGUGUCGAGGGUGAUACCUCAUAACACACUCCUUGUGAUAACUCUAUAGUGUAGCUAUUCGGUCAUGGUCAAUGAGGGUGAUUCCUCCUCCACCACUCCCAAUACGACUCUGUCAUGCAACCCCUCAAGUGUGGACCUCGAGCGUGAUUCCUCCUAAGUUCACCUUGACGAUUACAUCAAGUGGAAUUCCUCGAGGGUGAUUCCUCGAGUUUUCACCAUUGAUGUUUGGACACACGGUUACCCUGACUUUACUUCAGACCUUUGUUAAAGUUGGGUCGGCCCUGAGGGGUACCGACGAGUUGAUGUGAAAGCCGGGCGGGCCCGAAGAGCACCUGUGAGAUAAUUACAUGGCACGGUCAUGAUUUCUGGGCCCUUGCAAUAAGUCCACGAGAUGGGGCGAUGGGGUCACAUCGACCGUGAGUCUCUGCUCCUCUCCGCGAGCUUGUUAUACACCAAGGUUUGGGCAUUUGUUCUGAGUUGCCCUCUGGCCUUUACACACUAACCACCACGCGAGAAUAUUUAUGGGCCUUGGCGUCGUGGUAUCAGCCGAAGCUUUGUCCAACGUCCAUUUCAGCAUUGCGGCAUGGUCGGUUCGCGUUGACCAUCCGCGGUGGCGUUGGUGUUCAUCCUACACGCAAUGACCCGGAGUGCAACGAGUGAUGGGCCCAAGACCCGGGAGCGCUUAGGAUGUAGACCGGCGAGGACCUCUCUACUGAGCCUAGGUAGGGCUGUGACGUGUUGUUCUUCCAAGGCUGGGCAUUGACUCAUAAAAGUGUAUCCGGCCAGAGUAAUCAAGCAUGUUGGGUAACGUGGUGCACCCCUGCAGGGAAGAUUAUCUAUUCGAAUAGCUGUGUACAUGGUAACGGACGUUCAGACUUGUAUCCUGAUCUAUUACGACUAGAAAUGGAUACUUGAGAUGUGUGAUGGAUAUGUGGCUCCGGGAUUGCUUUCUCGCAGGGAGUCUAGGUAGGAUCUCUGGGUAUUAAUGUUACAACAUGUUUGUUAAAUAAAAACUGCUAUUCUAUACUCUUCUGAAUGCUGCAAAACACUUGAAGAUGGUUGAAGAUGCUAGUCUUCGAUAGGCUAGGCUUUUCCCCUUCUAUUCUGGCAUUCUACAAUAUAGUCCACAGAUACAACCGUUCCAUUUGAUACCAAUGCAUACUUAGUAUAGAUCCGAUGCUUGUGAGUACUUUGGAUGAGUAAUCAUAGUUGCUUUGCCACCCCUUUUGCCCCUUCUUUCUUCUUUUUGGUUGUUGCAACCAGAUGGUGGAUCCCAAGAGCCAGAUGCCACCCUCGUUGACUACUACUACUACCCGGAGGGUGCCUACUACUACGUGGAGCCCGCCAAUGACCAGGAGUAGUUAGGAGGUCCCAGGCAGGAGGCCUUGCCUCUUCGACCGUUGAUGUUUGUGCUAGCCUCACUGGUACACACUAGUGCUAUACAAACGGUUUUUAACCCCUUUCCACGAUGGCAUUUGGAACCGUUGCCUAGUGAGUGAUGGCGAUAGGGGGGGUCCUUCCCACACAACCCAGAAACCGUCGAGGAUAUGCCCUCCUGGCACACACACUCAACAAAAUGAGGUCGUGUGCGACCGAUGAGCGCUCAAAUACGGUAAUACGUGCAGUAGAGCUAAAAAAUACAAUUAUAGAGGAAAAAUUGUUUCCGGUUGUAAGUACAUCCCACACAGUCAGUCCCCGCUAAACUUUUCCGUUCGUAUGUACAUCCCACACAGUCGCUCCAAGGAAAACGUUUCCGUUCACAGGUACAUCACACACAAUUUUCCCCGUUAGAUCGUUUGUGAUAGCGUUGCCAUUGCACAUGAUAUUAACAAUUUUAUCAUUUGCGUUAUUGAAUGCAUCACACACGGUGCGUAGAAGAAACUAUGUGGCAAAGGCUGUCCAUCACACACGGUUUUUAUGUGGUAAACAUUUGCGCAAGGUGGCCUAACACAAACAAUUUUCAAGAGAAGGUCGUGUGUGAUUGUUCAUUUAUCCAACACGGUUUAUUCCUAGAAACUGUGUGCAUUGCGUGAGGUUAUAACCCACGGUAUUUUCUGAAUAACCGUUUGCAAUAGCAAAACCAAAUUAGCAGGCUAAUUCGCCAUUAGCAGGCUAAUUUCCCUAUUAUUUACAAUCCAUUUAUUAAUCUAAUUGACAUUCAUAUUAAGCACAUAAUAUAUUUCAUUUCCACAUUAAGGAAGCAUGAUUUCAUAAUUGAAAUACAUCAGAGUACAACAUGAUAUAGCUUCAGCACUCAGCUACCCCAUUACACAACUGCACCAGCAUCAAGUUUCACAUGCAACAUGUAGAACCUUUCAAAAUUAGCAUCAUAGAUGGUAUAUAGACAGAUGCAUCUAAUCUGGAAAACUGCUGAAGUGGAAGACGAAUAUUGAGCCUUCAUUCAUGUUGAAGGUCUUUGCAACUUUAGGCCAGUGCCUGUGGAUGAUUGACUGUCUGUCCUUCGUCCUCUUCAGGAACACUUCAAUAUUGAACCGUGGGUGUUGUAUGAAAACCUUCCUUGCCUCCUAACCAUAGAGGUGGUUUGAGAGGUAAUCAUCAGUGAACUACUUUGGAAAGGCCUGAAAACAAGGAUGUGCAUAAAUAUCUUCUCUAUAUUGGAAAUGGGGCAAAGGAAUAAAAAAGGCAAUGUAUAAUAGUUAGUACCAUCUUGUAGUGAACUGAUGUCUUCUUCACUGUGCAGACAAAGAUCUUGUUGUUUUUUGUCACUAAUUUCUUUAUCCUAACAAUCUUUCUGAGUUUCUUGACUUGAUUGAUAUUCAUGGACAAACUCAUUUCCCCAUAUGCAAAAAGGGUCGAACAGUGGGUCAAAACCUCUGACAGUAGGACCUACAUGUGCAAGACCAAAUUGUUAAAAACCUAAAUAUUAGAAUGGUUCCUGCAAUUGCACAAUAAUGUGCUAUUAGACAACGGACCAUGCACAUCUAACCUCAAUUGUAAACCUAAGUGCUUCCCAUUAUUUCCCUGCAACACAUAUAAGGUAGUUAGUCAUCAGGUUAAGUAAGGGUUCGCAUGCUAUCAGUAAAAUAUGUUGAUGAAAAAUAAGCACAUUGCAGAUUCAUCAAAUUAAUUCAAGCCACAUGGAAAACCCAUUUAUCCAAACCAAGCAUGAUUAAGAACUAGGAAAUAUAGCGCUUGUAUAUGUUUCUCGUGUAUUAAGUGCAGCCAAAUUCGAUUUAUUCCUCACAUGCACAACAAUAUAAAAUUCUACCCAUGAUAAUUGGACAUCGCAUUGCAGAAUUGAACCAAGCAGUUAACUAAACACCACAACAAAUGAACCAAACAUUAACUGAGCACCACAUUGCACAAUAUAACAUACUCCUAAUAGAAGAUCAGACAGUUAACAAAACCAAGAAUGCUUAACAACAUGGAAAUAUAGCAAUUGUAUUCGUUUCUCAUGUAUUUACUACAGCCAAAUUCAAUUUAUUCCUCACAUGGUAUACAGUAACAGAAUGCACCCAUAACUGUUGAACAUCGCAUUGCAGAAUUGAACCAAAUAGUUAACUAAACAUCACAACACAAAUGAACCAAAUAUUAAUUGAGCACCACAUUGCACAAUGUAUAACCAAACCAAGCAUGCUUGACAAUUUGGAAAUAUAGCAAUUGUAUUCGUUUCUCAUGUAUUUUGUGAAGAUAAAUUCAAUUUAUUUCUCACAUGGAAGACAAUACAAAAUUGCAGCCUGAAGAAUUGAACAUCACAUUUGCAUAAUUGAACCAAACAGUUAACUAAAGACGACAACUAAUUAACAAAAUAGUUAAUAAGUGAGCACCACACUGCACGACAUAUAGAACAUAUACACUAGAGGAACAUAUUGCAUGGUAAAAUUAGAUAGCACAAUUCACUAGAAUUUGUGAAGUAAAGGCAGGAGCAGCACACGCAAUGGGUAAACCGAGCAUGCAUAAUUGGUGUAGCUAGCAAAUGGCAAGGUGUUCCUCCAAGAUCUGGGGGUCGGCACGACUAGCACCCAUCGCGACCUCAUCUACGCGUGUGGCCGCGAUUUCCUUCUCUGCUACCAAAUGCUCCUUGAGAUCUUGGCUAUAGUGCGUGCACCAUGGCUUAGGGAAGCACUUAUUUGGUGGAGGGCUCAGUGAUUUGGGUGGAAGGUGUCGCACCGGCGGCCGGGGCAGGUGGGAUGUGGAAGGAGGAGGAGGAUGGGGAUCGGGUGUGGAUUACCUGCCUGGAUAGACGAGGCCGAGCAGCGUGAAGGUGGGUAGCUGGCGACGAGGCGGCGCUGCAAGCAAGGAGUGAAGGUUUCAACUUGGAAAUGAAGGCGGAAAUAGGGGAAAUGUAGAUUUUGGUAAGGGGGAGGGGGUCGGGAGGUAGAUAUUUCCGCGGAAGCCGAAAAUUUGGAAUCGCUUCAGCGAAAAAACUGGCGCGCAAAGUGUCAUCAGACACGGUCCCUUAUUUAGAACUGUGUACGAUAUGUGAACAUCACAAAUGAUUCAGAUAGCUUAACCCAUGUGUGAUAAGUUUGAACGUCAAAAUUUUUCGUUCGAAUUUCCGUGGUUACAGUGGUCAUCCAUGUCAUUGCGUAAUUUGGGUACACAAAGGAGACUAUAUCACACCCACACUUCUUAAUUGAGCAAGUUCAGCAAUUAAACAAAGCUAGCUAACCUAAACAUUACUCUAACAAAUCAAAGAACGACACUCUUAAUUAAACAAAACAAAGAGUACUACUAUGGCCGGUGCUCGUCGAUCUCCGCCGCCGCCUCCAUGUCCAGCUCACGCCCGCUGGUCUCCCGGGGAAGGGGCUCCAUGGCAUCCAUCGCACCAUAUUCGGCAAGCAUCUCACCAUCCGCGUCUGCCAUCUCUUUGGAAAAGGCUGCCACGAGCUGGGCGUGGGCGGCCGCGAUCUGGGCUUGCACGGGUUCCAUCGUCGCAAGGUAUGCGGUGGAGGAAAUGACGGCUGCUCGAACGCUCUCGGUGAUUGCCAACUCUUCGGCCGUGGGUUGCCGACUGUUGUAGGAGAAGCUUCAUUCGAUUUGUGCAGUGACCGCCAUGAGCUAGGCGUGGGUGGCCUCCAUCAGGGCUAAGGACACCGCUGCGGAAUAGGCAACUACUGUGCCGCUCUCACCAGUUGCUAUCUUCGAGGCAGAUGUUGCCGCCAGCACCUGAGAAGCAACAACGGCAGUUUGGGCUGCCUUGGCUGCCCGGUCAUAGAUUGCCGCCGCGCUCAUGCACCUUGUUAGCAUGCGCAUGGCGGCUGCGGCCGCGCUCUUAUCGGAGUGGGUUAUCGAAGUUGCCCUCACGACGCGGGUCAAUGCGCCCAUCUUUCAUCAACGACGAUUGAACAGUGACAUGAUAUUUGGGGAGCAAGCUAGUGUGCUUGAGACGCCUGCUAUGGAUUGUAGCCGAUGCACCUUCUCGCGUAAGCCAUAGAUGUAGUAUACAUCGACAGUGCUCCAGGAUAUUUUGUGCUGCAUCUCAUACGGUUGGUGAUAAUAAACUGUGUGGGAUCUACUUGAUUUUUCAUCUUGAUUUGAAUUACAUAAUGGGGUCAUAGUGGCAAUGGACCGUGUUUUAAUUGCUACACCUUUUAUCUGCAGUGAACAUGAAACUAUAUGUGUGUCGUAAAAGAAAUGGAAUUAUUCAGGGUUCGCUUGAAAAUUUUACACAUUAAAUUGGUUUUUUAGCCAUUUCAGGUGCACAAUUCAAAAUUAAACUACAUGCACAUGCUCCUGUGCACCAACGUGGGUUGUAAAAUCAUAUAUGUGUCCAUGGGUUUAUGGUUAUGUCCCAUGCAAGAAAAGGGGAUGAAAUUCGAACACCGCGACACCGUGGCUCUCCGGCAAACGUCGACGUACUUGCUUUUGUAAUACUAGUAAAUCCAAAAUUCAUCUGAAAUUCAUGAAACUUGGCAUGCUAUCAUGGAGCGGCAUCAACAUGCUGUGGUAAAUGUUUUGUCCCAUUCGGGGCAGGUUUGGGUAUAAGCUUCUCCUAAACCAGAGCUUCACACAAGUGUGAUGGUUUUGGUAGGUAACGUUUCACCUUUCUGGACAAAACGAUAUCUGUUGCCGCUUCUUGAUUUCAAUUUUUUUCCUAAUGUCAACAUAGAACAACAGGAGUGUUGUGUCAAUUUUUGGGAUUUUUCGGGGUUCGCUUGGACAUUUUCAUACAUUAACUGAGUUUUCUAUGCAUUCAUGUGCAUAAUUCAAAUUUGAACUACAUGCACAUGAUCUAAUGCAUAUAAAUUAGUUGAGAAUUAAAAUAUGUGUCCUUGGUUGCAUGCUUAGGUCCCAUGCAAGAAAUGGGAAUGAAAGUCAAACACCCUGCCACCGUCCAUCGGCCGCAAACAUUGAGAUACCUGGUUUUUAAAUUCUAGUAAAUCCAAAGCUCGUCUGAAAUUCAUGAAACUUGGCAUGCUGUCAUGGAGCGGCAUCAACAUGCCGUGGUAUAUUUUUUUAUCCCUUUUGGGGCAGGUUUGGGGAUAUGCCUCUCAACAACCAGAGCUUCUCACAACAAGCCUGAUGGUUUCGGUAGGGAACGUUUCACCUUUCUAGAUGAAAGGAUAUACAUUGCCUCUCAUCGAUUUCAAUUUUUUUCCUAGUGUCAAGAUAGAACAAUAGGAGUGUUGUGUCAAUUUUUGGGAUUUUUCGGGGUUCGUUUGGACAUUUUUAUGCAUUAAUUGAGUUUUCAAUACAUUUAUGUGCAUAAUUCAAAUUUGAACUACAUGCACAUGAUCUAAUGCAUAUAAAUUGUUUAAAAAAUUCACAUAUGUGUCCUUGGUUGUAUGCUUAGGUCCCAUGCAAGAAAUGGGAAUGAAUGUCAAAGACCCUGCCACCGUCACUCGGCUGCAAACAUUGAGAUACCUGAAUUUUAAAUUCUAGUAAAUCCAAAACUCAUCCGAAAUUCAUGAAACUUGGCAUGCUAUCAUGGUGCGGCAUCAACAUGCCGUGGUAUAUUUUUUAUCCCUUUUGGGGCAGGUUUGGGUAUAUGCUUCUCACGAACUAGAGCCUCUCACAACAAGCAUGAUGGUUUCGGUAGGGAACGUCCCACCUUUGGGGACGAAACGAUAUCCAUUGCCUCUUAUUGCUUUCAAAUUUUUUCUCGUGUCAACAUAAACAACAGGAGUGUUGUGUCAAUUUUUGUGAUUUUUCGGGGUCCGUUUGGACAUUUUUAUGCAUUAACUGAGUUUUUAAUGCAUUCAUGUGCAUAAUUCAAAUUUGAACUACAUGCACAUGCUCUAAUGCAUAUAAAUUGGUUGAAAAUUCAAAUAUGUGUUCUUGGUUGCAUUCUUAGGUCCCAUGUAAGAAAUGGGAAUGAAUGUCAAACACCCUGCCACCGUCACUCGGCCGCAAACAUUGAGAUACCUGGUUUUUAAAUUCUAGUAAAUCCAAAGCUCAUUUGAAAUUCAUGAAACUUGGCAUGCUAUCAUGGAGCGGCAUCAACAUGCCGUGGUAAUUUUUUGUCCCAUUUAGGGCAGGUUUGGGGAUAUGCAUCUCACAAACUAGAGCUUCUCACAACAAGCCUCAUGGUUUCGGUAGGGAACGUUUCACCUUUCUGGACGAAACGAUAUCCAUUGCCUCUUUUCGAUUUCAAUUUUUUUCCUAGUGUCAACAUAGAACAACAUGAGUGUUGUGUCAAUUUUUGGGAUUUUUUGGGGUUUGUUUGGAUAUCUGUAUGCAUUAGCUGAGUUUUCAAUGCAUUUAUGUACACAAUUCAAAUUUGAACUACAUGCACAUGCUCUAAUGCAUAUAAAUUGGUCGGAAAUUCAAAUAUGUGUCCUUGGUUGCAUGCUUAGGUCCCAUGCAAGAAAAGGAAUGGAUGUCAAAAACCCUGCCACCGUCACUUGGCCGCAAACAUUGAGAUACCUUGUUUUGAUAUUCUAGUAAAUCCAAAACUCAUAUGAAAUACAUGAAACUUGGCAUGCUAUCAUGGUGCGGCAUCAACAUGCCGUGGUAUAUUUUUGUCCCUUUUGGGGCAGGUUUGGGUAUAUGCUUCUCACGAACCAGAGCUUCUCACAACAAGCAUGAUGGUUUCGGUAGGGAACGUCCCACCUUUGGGGACGAAACGAUAUCCAUUGCCUCUUAUUGCUUUCAAAUUUUUUCUCGUGUCAACAUAAACAACAGGAGUGUUGUGUCAAUUUUUGUGAUUUUUCGGGGUCCGUUUGGACAUUUUUAUGCAUUAACUGAGUUUUUAAUGCAUUCAUGUGCAUAAUUCAAAUUUGAACUACAUGCACAUGCUCUAAUGCAUAUAAAUUGGUUGAAAAUUCAAAUAUGUGUUCUUGGUUGCAUUCUUAGGUCCCAUGUAAGAAAUGGGAAUGAAUGUCAAACACCCUGCCACCGUCACUCGGCCGCAAACAUUGAGAUACCUGGUUUUUAAAUUCUAGUAAAUCCAAAGCUCAUUUGAAAUUCAUGAAACUUGGCAUGCUAUCAUGGAGCGGCAUCAACAUGCCGUGGUAAUUUUUUGUCCCAUUUAGGGCAGGUUUGGGGAUAUGCAUCUCACAAACUAGAGCUUCUCACAACAAGCCUCAUGGUUUCGGUAGGGAACGUUUCACCUUUCUGGACGAAACGAUAUCCAUUGCCUCUUUUCGAUUUCAAUUUUUUUCCUAGUGUCAACAUAGAACAACAUGAGUGUUGUGUCAAUUUUUGGGAUUUUUUGGGGUUUGUUUGGAUAUCUGUAUGCAUUAGCUGAGUUUUCAAUGCAUUUAUGUACACAAUUCAAAUUUGAACUACAUGCACAUGCUCUAAUGCAUAUAAAUUGGUCGGAAAUUCAAAUAUGUGUCCUUGGUUGCAUGCUUAGGUCCCAUGCAAGAAAAGGAAUGGAUGUCAAAAACCCUGCCACCGUCACUUGGCCGCAAACAUUGAGAUACCUUGUUUUGAUAUUCUAGUAAAUCCAAAACUCAUAUGAAAUACAUGAAACUUGGCAUGCUAUCAUGGUGCGGCAUCAACAUGACGUGGUAUAUUUUUGUCCCUUUUGGGGCAGGUUUGGGUAUAUGCUUCUCACGAACCAGAGCUUCUCACAACAAGCAUGAUGGUUUCGGUAGGGAACGUCCCACCUUUGGGGACGAAACGAUAUCCAUUGCCUCUUAUUGCUUUCAAAUUUUUUCUCGUGUCAACAUAGAACAACAGGAGUGUUGUAUCAAUUUUUGUGAUUUUUCGGGGUUCGUUUGGACAUUUUUAUGCAUGAACUGAGUUUUCAAUGCAUUCAUGUGCAUAAUUCAAAUUUCAACUACAUGCACAUGCUCUAAUGCAUAUAAAUUGGUUGAAAAAUUCAAAUAUGUGUUCUUGGUUGCAUGCUUAGGUCCCAUGAAAGAAAUGGGAAUGAAUGUCAAACACCCUGCCACCGUUACUCGGCCGCAAACAUUGAGAUACCUGGUUUUUAAAUUCUAGUAAAUCCAAAACUCGUCUGAAAUUCAUGAAACUUGGCAUGCUAUCAUGGAGCGGCAUCAACAUGCCGUGGUAAAUUUUUUGACCUAUUUGGGGCAGGUCUGGGUAUAUGCUUCUCACAAACCAGAGCUUCUCACAACAAGCAUGAUGGUUUCGGUAGGGAAUGUCCCACCUUUGGGGAUGAAACUAUAUCCAUUGCCUCUUAUUGCUUUCAAAAUUUUUCUCGUGUCAACAUAGAACAACAGGAGUGUUGUGUCAAUUGUUGUGAUUUUUUGGGGUUCGUUUGGACAUUUUUAUGCAUUAACUGAGUUUUCAAUGCAUUUAUAUGCAUAGUUCAAAUUUGAACUACAUGAACAUGCUCGAGUGCAUAUAAAUUGGUUGGAAAAUCAAAUCUGUGUCAUUGGGUGCAUGCUUAGGUCUCAUGCAAGAAAUGGGAAUGCAUUUCAGACAAUAGGGCACCGUUGAUUGCCGGCAAAACGUUCAAUUUUCUUUAAAUUCUAGUAAAUCCAAAACUCGUCUGAAAUUCAUGAAACUUGGCAUGCUAUCAUGGAAUGGCACCCGACAGGCUGUGGUAUUUUUGUGUCCAUUUUGAGAGAAGGUGCACUCGAAUAACAGCCAAGAAAGGCAUUUUGAAAAAACAGCUGCCACUUUAAUAUCUCAAAUGUUUGUAUAAUUCACACCGUGUGCGUUCUGUUAACCAUUCACGUGACACCAUGUGUCUUGGUUUUAAUGGCUAUAGGAGGUGCGGUGCGGACAGCUGCUUGACCUCGACUGAACGGGAGGCGUGCAAGCGCAGUCUGGUGCACAGGCUGACCGAGAGGCGUGCAAGUUGUCCUCCAAUGCGCAGGCUCACUGGGAAGCGUGCGCGUUGUACGCUUUGCAUGCUCACUUGGAAGCGAGCCCUUUGACUUGCAUGUCCGCCCGCCUUCCUCUCCAUUAAUGGCGCCUGAGCCACUACUUAAUACGGGCAGCCUUACUUUUUGCCACCCAUUUCCCUCCCCCGUAGACCUCCACCAACGCCAUGGCACAGAAGGAUCAUCUGCCACCAGUCUUUAAGUUUGGUGAAGCCGACUCCGAGUCGGAGGAGAUAGAAAAUAAGGAGGAAUGGGGCCUCAUGGACAUGGCCCAGAACGAGCUGGCCGCGACGGUUGCUGCCCCCGCUCCCGUCCCAGCUCCCAUCCCCGCGCCCUCACUAGCGACCAUCCCUGUAGCAUUGACGAGCUGGUCGCCGAGCACUAUCACAGAGCUGGAAGCCUCGGGCGUCAGCGAGGUGUCCGUAGACCCGCGCGAGCUCGUGUACAUGCCAGCGGCAGCACCCGUGCCCGUGCCCAUGCGCGCCCCUCCACCCAGCGUGGCGCCGGUCCCCGUGUGUUUGGCUGCACCCGCCGCGCCCAUGCCCGUGCACGCGCCCCCCUCAGCGGCAUGGGAUGCCGCCGUCAACUGCUACCUCUCAGCGCCGCCAGCUGCCGUCCUCCCGCGCUCCGCCCAUUGAUCGCAAAAUGACAUGAUGUUUGUUUUACAAGUGAAGAACAUUAUGUGAUCCAUUGAAGACUUCAACAACGGCAUCCCGGAGGACGACAAUGACAACGACGGUGCGACACGUGAUAACCCACAAGUAUAGGGGAUCGCAACAGUUUUCGAUGGUAGAGUAUUCAACCCAAAUUUAUUGAUUCGACACAAGGGGAGCCAAACAAUAUUCUCAAGUAUUAGCAGCUGAGUUGUCAAUUCAACCACACCUAAAAACUUAAUAUCUGCAGCAAAGUAUUUAGUAGCAAAGUAAUAUGAUAAUAAUGGUAACGGUAGCAAAAGGUUUCAUUCUAGCAUUAAGGGAUUGCUGCUUCCAUUUAGCUAAUAAUUUCUUAAGAUCACUUCUAUCAUUACAAGCAAGAAUAGCUCUAGCAGAUUCUUCAUCUAGAACAUAACCCUCAGGAACAACAUGCUAUUCGUAAGUACUAGGGGGAGAAUCUUCAUCAUCACUAUCUUCAAUAUAAUCAGUUUCAAUAAUUUCAUUCUCUCUAACCCUAGCAAGUUGUUCAUCAAGAAAUUCAUCAAGUGCCACAGUAGUAUCAAGCAUAGAAGUAGUUUCAUCAUAAGUAUCAUGCAUAGCAGAAGUGGCAUCAUCAAUAACAUGCGACAUAGAAAAACGAAUAGCAGAAGCAGGUUUAGGGGUCGCAAGCUUACUAAAAACAGAAGGUGAAUCAAGUGUAGAGGUAGAUGGCAGUUCCUUACCUCCCCUCGUAGUUGAGGGAUAGAUCUUGGUUUUUGGAUCUCUCAAGUUGAGGGAUAAAUCCCAAGUGACUCAAAGAAUAGAGCUAUGCUCCCCGGCAACGGCGCCAGAAAUUAGUCUUGAUAACCCACAAGUAUAGGGGAUCGCAACAGUUUUCGAGGGUAGAGUACUCAACACAAAUUUAUUGAUUCGACACAAGGGGAGCCAAAGAAUAUUCUCAAGUAUUAGCAGCUCAGUUGUCAAUUCAACCACACCUGGAAACUUAAUAUCUGCAGCAAAGUAUUGAGUAGCAAAGUAAUAUGAUAAUAGCGGUAACGGUAGCAAAAGGUAAUAGUAGCAAAAGUAGUGUUUUUGGUAUUUUGUAGUGAUGAUAGCAAUAGCAACGGAAAAGUAAAUAAGUGAAGAACAAUAUAUGGAAAGCUCGUAGGCAAUGGAUCAGUGAUGGAGAAUUAUGCCGGAUGUGGUUCAUCAUGUAACAGUCAUAACCUAGCGUGACACAGAACUAGCUCCAAUUCAUCAAUGUAAUGUAGGCAUGUAUUCCGAAUAUAGUCAUACAUGCUUAUGGAAAAGAACUUGCAUGACAUCUUUUGUCCUACCCUCCCGUGGCAGCGGGGUCCUAACGGAAGGGAUAUUAAGGCCUCCUUUUAAUAGAGUACCGGACCAAAGCAUUAACACAUAGUGAAUACAUGAACUCCUCAAACUAUUGUCAUCAUCGAUAAGUAUCCCGAUUAUUGUCACUUCGGGGUUAAUGGAUCAUAACACAUAAUAGGUGAAUAUAGACUUGCAAGAUAGGAUCAAGAACUCUCAUAUAUUGAUGAAAACAUAAUAGGUUCAGAUCUGAAAUCAUGGCACUCGGGCCCUAGUGACAAGCAUUAAGCAAAGCAAAGUCAUAGCAACAUCAAUCUCAGAACAUAGUGGAUACUAGGGAUCAAACCCUAAUAAAACUAGCUCGAUUACAUGAUAAAUCUCAUCCAACCCAUCACCGUCCAGCAAGCCUACGAUGGAAUUACUCACGCACGACAGUGAGCAUCAUGAAAUUGGUGAUGGAGGAUGGUUGAUGAUGAUGAUGGCGACGGAUUCCCCUCUUUGGAGCCCUGAACGGACUCCAGAUCAGCCCUCCCGAGAGGUUUUAGGGCUUGGCGGUGGCGCCGUAUUGAAAAACGCGAUGAAUCCUUCUUCUUUAUUUUUUUCUCCCCGAAAGCAAAUAUAUAGAGUUGGAGUCGAGGUCGGAGGAGCUCCAGGGGGCCCACAAGGUAGGGGGCGUGCCCUAGGGGGGGCAGGCGUGCCCCCACCCUCGUGGCUAGGGUGUGGGCCCCCUGGUCUUCAUCUUUUGCAGGGAUUAUUUAUUAUUUCCAAAAAGAUGUUCCGUGAAGUUUCAGGUCUUUCCGAGAACUUUUGUUUUUGCACAUAAAUAACACCAUGGUAAUUCUAUUGAAAACAACGUCAGUCCGGGUUAGUUCCAUUCAAAUCAUGCAAGUUAGAGUCCAAAACAAGGGCAAAAGUGUUUGGAAAAGUAGAUACGACAGAGACGUAUCAACUCCCCCAAGCUUAAACCUUUGCUUGUCCUCAAGCAAUUCAGUUGAUAAACUGAAAGUGAUAAAGAAAAACUUUUACAAACUCUGUUUGCUCUUGUUGUUGUAAAUAUGUAAAGCCAGCAUUCAAGUUUUCAGCAAAGAUUAUGAACUAACCAUAUUCACAAUAACGCAUAGGUCUCAUGUUUACUCAUAUCAAUGGCAUAAUCAACUAGCGAGCAAUAAUAAUAAAUCUCGGAUGACAUCACUUUCUCAAAACAAUCAUAAUAUGAUAUAACAAGAUGGUAUCUCGCUAGCCCUUUCUGAGACCGCAAAACAUAAAUGCAGAGCACCUUUAAAGAUCAAGGACUGACUAGACAUUGUAAUUCAUGGUAAAAGAGAUCCAGUGAAGUCAUACUCAAUGUAAACUAAUAGUAAUGAAUGCAAAUGACAGCGCUGCUCUCCAACUGGUGCUUUUUAAUAAGAGGAUGAUGUCUCAACAUGAAAGUAAAUAGAUAGGCCCUUCGCAGAGGGAAGCAGGGAUUUGUAGAGGUGCCAGAGCUCGGUUUUGAAAUAGAGGUGAAUAAUAUUUUGAGCGAUAUACUUUCAUUGUCAACAUAACAACCAAGAGAUGACGAUAUCUUCCAUGCUACACACAUUAUAGGCGGUUCCCAAACAGAAUGGUAAAGUUUAUACUGCCCCUCCACCAACAAGCAUCAAUCCAUGGCUUGCUCGAAACAAUGAGUGACUCCAACUAACAAGAGUCCCAUGGGGAGUUUUGUUUGCAAUUAUUUUGAUUUGAUUUGCAUAAAGCAUGGGACUGGGCAUCCCGGUGACCAGCCCUUUUCUCGUGAGUGAGGAGCGGAGUCCACUCCUCUUGAGAAUUACCCACCUAACAUGGAAGAUACGGAUAGCCCUAGUUGAUACAUGAGCUAUUCGAGCAUACAAAACAGGAUAUUUAUUUGAAGGUUUAGAGUUUGGCACAUACAAAUUUACUUGGAAUGGAAGGUAGAUACCGUAUAUAGGUAGGUAUGGUGGACUCAAUGGAACAACUUUGGGGUUUAUGGAGUUGGAUGCACAAGAAGUAUUCCCGCUUAGUACAGGUGAAGGCUAGCAAAAGACUGGGAAGUGACCAGCUAGAGAGCGACAACAGUUAUGAACAUGCAUUAAAAUUAAUCAACACCAAAUGCAAGCAUGAGUAGGAUAUAAUCCACCAUGAACAUAAAUAUCAUGAAGGCUAUGUUGAUUUUGUUUCAACUACAUGCGUGAACAUGCGCCAAGUCAAGUCACUUAAAUCAUUCAGAGGAGGAUACCACCCUAUCAUACCACAUCACAACCAUUUUAAUAGCAUGUUGGCACGCAAGGUAAACCAUUAUAAGCUCCUAGCUAAUCAAGCAUGGCACAAGAAACUAUGAUCUCUAGUUGUCAUUGCAAACAUGUUUAUUCAUAAUAGGCUGAAUCAGGAACGAUGAACUAAUCAUAUUUACAAAAACAAGAGAGGUCGAGUUCAUACCAGCUUUUCUCAUCUCUGUCAGUCCAUCAUAUAUCGUCAUAAUUGCCUUUCACUUGCACGACCGAAUGAUGUGAAUAAUAAUAAUAGUGCGCGUGCAUUGAACUAAGCUGGAAUCUGCAAGCAUUCAAUAAACAGGAGAAGACAAGGCAAUAUGGGCUCUUUUGUCAGAUCAACAAUUAGGCAUAUAAGAGCCACUUCAACAUUUAAUCAUGGUCUUCUCCUAUCGACCCCAAAGAAAAGAAAUAAAACUAUUUACACCGGAAAGCUCCCAACAAGCAAAAGAAGAACAUGAUAUCUUUUUGGGUUUUCUUUUUAAUUACUACUACAAGCAUCAAAAGUAAACUAAUUAAAAGCUACAACUAUUUUUUUGGGUUUUCUCAAGGUUUAUUAGACACACAAGAACAAAGCAUAAAAAGGGAAUAAACUAGCAUGGAUGAUACAAUGAAAAAGUAUGAGCACCAACAUCUAGCAAUGAGUGUGUGAACAUAAAUGUAAUGUCGGUGGGAAAUACGUACUCCCCCAAGCUUAGGCUUUUGGCCUAAGUUGGUCUAUGGCCGCGGAUGGCCUGGCGGAUAUCCAUAAUAAUAGUUGGGGUCGUACUGCGAAGAAGAAGACUCUGAUUGCCACUGGUUGUCAAUCAUCUCCGGAUCCCACUGGUAAUUAGACUGUCGUGGAGGAUCAACUUGUGGUUCCGACUCUGGCUUUGCGGCCGAUGCAGGGUUCCGGUAGGCGUGAAUAUCCUCUGGCGAGAUGAGGUACUGGCCUGCAGAUAAAUCAAACAAGGAAGGAGCAGGCAAGGUAAUAGUCUCUGGAUGAUGUUUAUCAAAGAACAAUUUGUAUUUAAGCUCCCCUUCCCUAUUCUUUAUAAUGAAAUCAUGUGCUACCAUACUCUUAUAAUCUAAAUAAACAGUAGGCAUCAGUUUUUCUUCUUUUUCAUAGUGCCUAAUAGGUAUGUUAUAAUAUGCAGCAAGGCGUGAAGCAUAGAUACCACCAAAGAUGGGUCCUUUUGUAUGGUUCAGACUUAACCGUUUAGCAAUAAUACCGCCCAUACUCACAGAGUUGUCACAUAAUAAACCAUGGAGCAAAAUAAUAAUAUCAGGAACACUAAGGUUUCCACAGUUUCCGCGACCAAUUAAGCAACGACUAGCAAAUAUUUCAAAGUAGCGUAAAAUAGGAAAAUGUAUGCUAGUGAUUCGUGCAUCGGAAACCUUCCUCGUUUCCCCUACAGUGAUGGUAUUAAUAAACCCAUCCACAUCGUCACGAUAUGGUUCCUCUAUUUUGCCCUCGAAAGGGAUCAAACAAACCUAUUGGGGAUAUAGCUACCAGGUAUGACCCGCCCAGGAGGGGCCAGGUCAGCCCCAAUGGCGGGUCACAAAGAAAGCCCGGUAAACAUUCAAGGCGAUAGUUUAUUAAGGCUUAUAGAAGGCCUAAGCCUAGAGGCAGCUUAAGGCCCAAUAUUGUAAACCGCCGUAUGUAAGGAAAGACUUGUAAGGAAAGGCAUAUAAAAGAAGUCACUCGAGCCGGACACGCUUUAUGAGCCGGCCGGGACUCCGUAGGCCGUCAGGCGUCAACCCGUGUAUAUAAGUGGACGACCCGGUGGCAUCCUAGGGCAAGAAACAAGAGAUCGAUAACCAAGCCGGCGGAUUAGCCUCUUGGUGAUUGAAACCCCAACAAUUCCAACAUAACUAGACGUAGGCUUUUACCUUCAUCGUAAGGGGCCGAACUAGUAUAAACCUCUCAUGUCCCUUGUCUCGAUUAACCCCUUUAAGCUUCCUGGUUGCGAUGGCCCUAUGACUAAGUCCUUUUGCUAGGACAUCUGCCAUGACAAUUCCACGACAGUUGGCGCCCACCAUGGGGCCAGCGCACGGUGGAUUAGAGUUCUUGAAGGGUAACUUCGAAGGGCUCACGGGAUACGUUGAGGGCCGGAUGACCAAGAGUCAUCGCGGAAAGCUCUACAUCAACGACGAAGGCUGGGGCCCCGAGGCCGGCACAAUUGAGUAUGGCUACUGGGUCCCCUUUGGCGGAAUUCAUGUCUUCAUCGGCCGGAUCAGCGAAUUGGGCCCUGAGCCGGACGUCUGCACCAACAUUAUCGAGACGGCUCAGUGCGCGAGACCCGCACGGACCCGACCCGCCGUAACGCGUGCCUUUGUGGGUUGCAUCCAUGGAGGUGAAUACUCGGACGAGUCAGUGGAUGGCGGUGAGACGGCCAUCUGUUCUGAUGCUACGUCAUCAACAGGUGAGACGGAUUCUUUGUAUCAGCUGCAGGAUGGCAUGCUGGGGGGCAGUUCCGAUGGCAGUAGUAUUCCGGACCCGUCUGAGCCACUGAAUCGAGCCGGAGUCUUCAUGGCAGGCACUCGGCCUGGGCAGAACUCCACGGCUACAACAGCAACAACCACUGGGUCAGCAGUGGCCGGGUUAGGAGACCCCACGCGCCCCCGUCUCAGAUACUAAUGGAUCUCACGGAUAAGCUGGCAGCUCUGUUGACUGUCGUGGUGGAGCCAGCAGAUAAGGUUCAACAUGACGCGGAGGUGGUACGGGUACGCGAAGAGAUGGCACCGGCCAAGGAAAAUUUAGCAGCAGAAGAGGUCAGGAUGGCCAUGGAGCGGGCGGCUUUGGACGCUCGGGCUCAGCAGCUUCAAGCGGAGACUUUCCGGAUCUCGGUAGAUCUGAACGCGUCAAACGAGGUCAUGAGGAGAAGGCAUCAGAAAACUCAGUCACGUCUACCUCUAACGCUCGAUCCUAGGAACCUUUUCCAUACACCCGGGGCCGGUUCAAGUAACCCGCCGGAGGCAAACCGGAUCACCACACCCAGAGCACUAGUUCAGGCGCGGGCCAUGGACCCACCUCGCAUGUAUACCGCUCCGCCUCAUUAUGCGCCAACACCACCGGGCCAUUUCUCCAAUCCUUUGGAAAACCUCAUCACUGCGUCGACUCGUUUGGCGGCUCUCCCGAUGGAAGGUGACUCUCCGGCAGCAAUGGAAACACGAAGGGUGAGAGAACUUCUUUAGACGGCUCUGGCGCAGCAGGAUGCGUACUCUUACAAUCGAGACAGAAUCCAUUCAACCCCUCGCCCGAGCCGGAGCCCGAGCUAUAGCAGGCAUAUGGACUCAGCUGAUAUGUCCAGUAAUGCUCAACGCGGCAAUCAACCGCGCAUGCAUGAGCCGGUACAGGCUAGAGCCCUUAAUUUAGCGGAUUAGGAGAGGCUCCGACAAGAGGCUGAGCGGGCGGUUCAACUGGCAGCUGAGCAGGCGACUCAUCAAACUUUUCUGGCUUAUGCAGCAACCUCUGUUGAGGUAGGAGUAGCCACAAGAACAGGAGGUGUCCCUUGCAUGGUGUCGGUCAUACGUAAUCAACGCUUGCCAAAAGACUUCAAGGGGCCUCGUAAGGUGCCUAACUACACGGUCGAUUUGUAGCCUGGGGCCUGGAUUGAGAGUUAUGAGAUGGCGAUGGAGCUAUUGGAGGUCAGCGAUGCAGCAAUGGCUAAGUAUUCCACUAUGAUGUUGGAUGGAACGGCUCGCACUUGGUUGAAAGGAUUACCCCCCAAUUCCAUCGGCUCAUGGGCGAAAUUAAAGUCCCGGUUCAUUCAAAACUUCAAGGAGACAUGCAAACAACCUAUGUCAAUCGUGGACCUGACUAAUUGUAAGCAAGAGGAAGGUGAAUCCAUAACCCAUUGGGUGCGCCGGGUCAAUGAGAUAAUACAUUCAUCUGAUAAGAUGGAUGCCGACUCGGCAGUCUUAAUGUUGGAGAAAAAUUGCCGUUUUGAACCUCUAAAGCAGAAGCUGGGGCGGCUCAAGCGAGACUGCAAUGACAUGGGCCAGUUGAUGGCGGCUCUAGUCAAGUAUGGUGAUUCUGAUAGUACCAAGGACCCCGUGUCUGAUGAAGAAAAAAUAGGGAAGGGAAAGAAGAACGACAAUGGCAAGGGUCACCAGCAUAACCCGACAAAUCAAGGAGGUAAUAAACGUAAGACUGAUGAAUUUGUGGCUAACACCAAUGCACAGGGCAACAAUCAAGGGUAGGCAACCCCCUCAGUCGGGUGGGUCAGGUCCCACCCUCGAGCAACUAUUGAAUGAACCUUGUCCAAGACACGACACCCGAGAGAAGCCGGCCACCCAUCUGUGGAAGGACUGUACAAUCAUGAAGGCAUUUAAAAAUUCAGAUGCAUUUGAUGGAAGUCACGGGCCUGGCGGCGGUUCAGGUGGAGGCGGCUUUCGUGGCCCGGGCACCAGUUCAGGUGGAGGCGGCUUCACAGUCAGGGCCAUACGGGUAACCAGGGAGGUUAUAAUCCACAACCCAGCCAAGGUAAUCAAAAGCAACAGUCCGGAUAUCAUAGCAACCCAAAACAGUUGAAUAGUGGGCAAUACCAUGUAUUUACCACUAGUUUAUGCAAGAGGGACCAGAAGCUUCAUAAGAGGGCUGUCAAUGCCGUUAAGCCGGCGAUUCCAUGUUAUUUAAGGUGGUCAGAACAGCCUAUUGUGUGGAGCAGAGAAGAUUGUCCUCCCCGGGUUGAUAAUCCGGGUCACUUGGCCUUGGUGGAUAUAAAUUCACUAAAGUGCUCAUGCAUGGAGGCAGUAGCAUCAACAUCCUCUACUAUGAGACGUUCCGUCGGAUGGGAUUGACUGAUAAGAGUCUUAAGCAAUCCAACACUGUUUUUCAUGGUGUUGUACCUGGCAAAUCGGCAUACCCAGUUGGUAAGAUUGAACUGGAAGUAGCCUUUGGGGAUGAAUAUGAUUCCAGAGCGGAGAAGUUAACUUUUUAGGUGGUUAAGAUCAAAAGCCCAUAUCAUGCUCUAUUUGGACGGACGGCUUACGCCAAGUUCAUGGCUCGGCCGUGCUAUGUAUAUCUGCAUCUCAAGAUGUCGGGUUAUAAGGGCACCAUUACAGUACAUGGAAGCCGGAAAAUAGCCCUGGAGUGUGAAGAAGGAGAUGUUGCAUAUGCUGAGUCUGUUUGUGCAAUAGAGGAGCCAAAGUUUUAUAAAGAUAAUGUUGACCCGACAGACAUGACGUCUUUAAAGAAGCCAACAAUGGAGCAUGAACCGAUGUUGAAAUUCAAGUCAGCUGAUGACACCAAGACGGUUGAUUUUGUGCCCGGCGACUCAUCCAAGCAGUUCAUCAUCAGUCCAAUUUGGAUCCAAAAUAGGAAAACGAGCUCAUCGAGUUCAUCCGUGAGAACCGGGACAUCUUUGCAUGGAAACCUUCUGACAUGCCGGGUGUCCCGAGAGAACUCACUAAGCACACUCUUAAUAUUGGUCUGUCAAAGGAACCAAGCAUUUCCAUGUCAAAGGGAAGCUCGCACCAAGAUUUAUCGGCCCUCUCCAAGAUCACUUCAAGACGAAGAAUAGACAGCUACCAGCAAGAGUUACCACCUGAGUCACCCACUAUGCACAACAUUUUCCAUGAGUCACAGCUUUGGAAGUGCUUCCAACUUCCUAACCAACCCGAUCCCUACAAGGACAUUGAUCACCGAGCCAUUGACCUCCAGCAUAAUAUGACUUACGCGAGAGACCCCAAUGGCAAUAUGGAUCAAGCAGGAUGUCAUACACGAAGCCACACCAUCAAGUACUUCAAGGUUCAAUGGAGCACCACUCGGAAGCACAAGCGGUAUGAGGACGUGAAGACUACCCAUGGAUCCAGUUUUCGUAUUCCUUUUCAUGACUAGUUUGGGAAUAUCGGGGACGAGAUUCUUGUAAGGGGGGUAGGUCUGUCACACCCUGAUUUUCAUGCCACAACACUUAAGCUAAUAAAUCAUGAUAAAGUGUGGUUUGACAAAAACUUUUGCAUUAUUUGGCUUUUAUUUGGAUUUGGUUUUCUCUCUGUGUUUUUCAAGUGCUCUUUAAAGCCAACACAACUCCCCCUCCCAUACUUCAUCUCCUUGCCCCAAACUUCUGCCUAAUGAUCAUGCCAUGUGUAUAGUGCAAUACAGUAUUUUCUUACAAAAAUAAUUUGGCCAAAUAAUAUUUUUCAAAAAAUAGUUUUCCAAAACCCCCUGAAUUGAGGUUUGCACUACAAGUACUUGAUUUGGGGUUUGAAAAAUAUUUCAAAGAGUAUAUUUGAAACCUAGUAGAUAUAGGACUCCCAUAAACCACAAAAAAUAUAAUUUUAAAAGUUAUUUUCCUUUUUUAUUUAAAAGCUUUUUCUUAAGGCCAGAAAUGGUCUUUAAUAGGGAAAGAUUAUUUUAUUGUUUCAAAAUAUUUGACAAAAAUCAGGGAUACUCAGUGGACAUAUAUUUUCCAUAUAUAAGAGUUUCAACACAUGGUCAUGUUCAAAAUAUUGGGCAAAAUUAUCCAAAACCAUUUCUGUCCAUUUCAAAUAUUUGAAAUAUUUCUACAAGAAAUAUUUUCAAAUAAAUCCAGGAAAAUUCUAGAAAGUCACAUAUGCAUAAUGUGAUGAUCUUGAAAAUUUUCAUAUCAAUCAAAAUAAUUUUGGUUCACAAAAGUGCCCCAAAACCCUUUCUGUCCAGAUCCAAGUUUGAACAACUCUAGAUUGCCAACUUUCUCCAUUUGAUCCCAAACUUUGUGGACAUUAUCAAAUACCCAAAUGAUGAAACUACACCAAGUGGUGCAUCAAGGAGAAUAUUUUUGGAUGACUAGAUCUUGAAAAACCCAUUUCUGUUGAUUUUUAGGGUUUACAAAAGUUGCAUUGGAAACUUUACCCAAAUGAAGUCAAAUUUGGUGGAACACCCUAUUUCUAUGUGACAUUCCAUCCUGUUAAGUAUCAUGGGAAGUGGGAUUCAUUUUCUUGCCCAAACCAGCAAUAAAGACAUUCUGACGCUUUAGCAAAAUGCCAUCUUAGACCUUUUCCAAUAAUCUCCAUGGGCUCAACUUUGUACUACAGCUACUCCUGACCCUCUUCUACCUCCAGUAACUUUCCCCUGGCCAUUGCUCAAUGAUUGAGGGGUGAAACACCCCCAUUUACAUCCCUGGACAGCAGCUUCUCUCUCUCCCUCAACCUUCCUCCUCAUUCUAGUGGCUCCCCAGGGCAUCCAAGGCCAUAGCCCACUUCUUUACUUCCCCCUAGAGCUACCAGACACCUUUGGCCGCGCCCACAUUGCAUAAAAAAUGGCCACGCCAGCCAUUUCGGCACUCUGGAGCGCACUAUAGUGUGCUCCCGCACUGUAGCCGCCCUUGCCAACCACUCCCGGCCACCUCGGGCCUCCCUAGAGCGCCCGACGAUGUGCCUCGGUGUCUGCGUCAUGCUAAACCCCUGUCCCCCUCCUCCUUCUCCCUCCUGCUGCCCUUCCUCACACGUGCACCGGCCGCCCGAGAGCUCCAAUGAGCGGCCUCACACGCGCGUCAUCUCUGGACUUACCCCGCUCUCUCCCUUAGCUCCCCUCGGCUUAGUCCACGCCCAGCAACACCCCAGACACGGCGCCAGCUCCUCUCGAGCCCUGUGGCGACGAGCAGGAGCUCGCCGACGCACGGGUCCACGGCACUCCGCCGUUCGCCUAUUUAAGGGCCUCCCCGAGCCUCUCCCUCACCACCACCCACUCCUACCUACUCCAUAUCGGCCCCCUGUGCCCUCCACUCUCCUCUAGGAACAUCCGAGCUCGAGAUCGAGCUCAAGCUCCACCGCCUCGGGCCGCCGUCGAUCUCAGGGUAAAGGCCCUCUCUGCCGCUCCUCUUCCUUGAUCUAGAACCUCCGCGGCUCACUAAUCAUUUCCACUUUCCUCCCCGCUUCUUUUGCAGCCGGAAAUGGCCGGAACCGCCGCCUCCCGAACCUCUUCUGCUGGUUUCCUCGUCGCCGGCGAACCCCUACACUCCAGAGACCACCUCCACCUCCACCCGAACGGCGUCUCCGCCCUGAGCACGCCGGUGCCCUCGGAUCGCCUUGCCAUCGACCACAGUGACGCCGGUGAGCUCGCCUCCCUCUCUGGCCCGAGGUUGAAGACGACGGCCGUGGGGCCCGUUGAUCAGCCUCACACUCUGAUGGGUGGGCCCCACCCGUCAGGUUUAAAAACGCACGCGUGCGCACCGGUUCGCUGCGCCGGCUAGAGGCGUAUUUCCCAAAUACGCCUUCGACGUGGCAGCCUUGCGCGGGCUGGAUUCCCCCUGGGCCUGCUGCACUGUGGCCGAAUAGGCCCAGCUGCACAGUGGCCUUUUUCAUUUUCUUUUUCUAUAACUUUUCCAAAAAUUCCUCAUGAUUAAAUAAUAAUCCAAAUGAAAUAAUUCCAACUCCUAAAUUCUUGUAAUAAUCCCACCUAUUUAUUGGUGCAGUUUUCACUCUUAUCAAACCAACUUUUCUUCACUUUUCAAAUUUAAAUUUGAAUUUGAGCAUUUAUGCCUGUCAUUUAAAAUUCCUAGCACUAUUUCCAUGACUCCAAAUCCAAAACUAGGAAUUUCCCCUUCUUAGUUUUUACCCUAGUAUUUAACAAAAAUGAGUUGACAUUUUUCUAAGCACUUUGGUUUUUCUGUUUUAUUAUUGCCUUAUUUUUUUCGCUAUUAUUUUGCGAUGAUAGAUUGCGUUGCUGACAAAGGAGUUGGACCAGAAGACUUCGAAGACCCAGAAUACCUUGCUGAGCUAGGCAAGUAGCCCUUUGACCAUGUCUAAGAAACCCUUUUUGUGCAUAUCAUAUGGCACUUUCAUUGCUUGCAUCGAAGUCAUGAUAAUGUGGUGACCACUUGAGGUGGUUUGCCACCGUUACUUCCUCGUUGAUACUUGCAUGGUGCACGACCCUACCUCCUUAUGAGGGUUAUGCCGGUGGGAGUAGGUAGGAUGCUGGAGUAGUUGCUACGCAAAAAGGGACGAGAAUAUGCAUGGAGAUGAAGGAAAAGUAUUUUCAAAAGACUUUUUCGGAAAACCCUGUCGGGUGCCACUUAUGCCCGAGGGAGAUAAUGAGUUGGGUAAACGCAUGAUGACGAAGUGGUGUACCGAGGCAAGUGUGUGUGUUGUUUUCGAAAACGGAUUAGAUUUAAGAUUUGUCGACUGUCCCAACCUUACAUGCGCAACCACUCUACCCUUAUAUGGGAAAGGGCAUUAUUCAUUACCUAGGCCGAUACUAGCUUGGAGCCCGCAUUACUAGUGACGAGAGAGUUGUUGUUGCGCUCUCUCGGGACGGGGUCGUGCCAGGUAGGGCGGCCAUGACUGUUUUCAGAGGGCGCCCGACACACCGUUGGUACCCCGUGCUUGUGGUAUGUGAUGAAUAUGGGAGCAAGGCUCCACAAUUUUAAGAUGUGAAAUGUUGGGCAUGGGGGUUACUACCAAUCGAGUGGACUCUAUGGUAGUGUCGUCUAGGGAAAGAUAGUGAUCGGGUUCUUACCCCGGGUACUUGAGGUACCGCGGGUCGUGGAUGACACGGAAGUUCCCCGAAUCUUGUGGGUAAAGUGUGCAACCUCUGCAGAGUGUAAAACUAUUCGAAUAGCCGUGUCCACGGUCAAGGACAGUUGGGCGGUGCUGCUUAAACUACGUCCACUUGUUUACAAACCAGUGUGUGUGGGAAGAACUACUUGGGUCAAGUCAAAGGACUUGACAUGGAUGAGUUGGGUUGGAGCCCACUCCCUUUAUGUUGAUAUGUGUAACCAGCCCCUAUGGUUACUUGAAUUCAAACGAUGCAUGAUUUAGCAGUUAUUGAGCAUGUCAUAACACAACAAAAUUAGCUUUCUGCAAAAAUUUACCUAUGUCAUGCAUUGUUGUAUCUUGAGCCAAAAUAUGGGUUGCUUGCGAGUACAUUCAAAGUACUCAUUGGCUUGCCACUGGUUAUUUAACUGGUCAGGCAUGGAAGAACAGGAGUUCGAUGAAGAGUUCUUUGGAGACGAACAUGCGAACUAGGACGUUUCUCAGUCAGAAUGCAUGUAGGGUUAAGGUAGAUGGCAUGGGUUCUACUUAUCGAUGAACAUUUCUGCUGCUUAAGUUUAUUUGGUAUUCAACCCUUGUGGCUUUAUCUAUGUAAGACUUGACCAUAAUGGUCAUAAUUUGUGUAAGACGGUAUGUAUGGAUGUAAGACUCUUGUUAUUCAGCUUCUGUGUGUUCAGUGAGCAUUGAUCUCUGGGAUCACUGUACACAUGCAUUCGGUGAUCACGACUUAUGAGUCGGGGUCCCCACAGAGCUGGUAUCAGAGCCAUCCUGACUGUAGGAAGCCUUAGUUAGCAUGGGCGUUAGAUAGGACAAAACCCAUUUGCAAGACCCUCUAUACUCCUCUUCUUUGCUGAGAUUUCCCAAACCUAAGGGAUAUUUCUCCUUAUUGACCUCCCCUAUUCAACUUUUGUAGAUGGCCGUCACCCCCUUGAGCCUCCUUAUGACAGGAUUCCCAUCACUCCUAAAAGACUGCCUCCAACAAUGCCACUAUCCCUUGCUGCCCAUGUACACCCUGCAUGAACUGAAAAAUGAUGUGCUCGAGAAGGAGUUCUACGCCAAGGUUUUUGUGCCUGCCAAGACCUCACCCCAGGGGUGGUUCUUCAUUGGACCACCCAUGCCAACAAGAGACCUGGCCAUUCAGCAAGUGGCAUAUGAAGCGUUCCUCCGUCUUCGAGACCUCCUUCCAGAAAUGAAAGAAGAACAUGCCACCCGCUACCUACCGGGCAAGAACGGAUUUGGAGCCCCAAAUCAAGUGAUGAUUUCCCCAGAAGAUGAGGAUCCAACUCUCAAGUACCAAAUCUGCUUCAUCAACACAAGAGACCACCUUCUACAUCACCUUACCGAAGCAUUCCUUAAGGCUCGCCAAGACCUCCCUUCACUUCUGCACCUCCACUGCCUCGAGAAGUAGAAGGUGGCCGAGCGAGGACAGAAAAUCACUACCUUACAAGCCCACAUUGCCAAUCAGGAGCAACAAAUCGAGGAACUUCAGAAAACCCGCAACCAAACCCCACGCAUGAGGCAUAGGAAUGAAUUUCCAUAUCCACCUCAUAGAAGAUCGUCGUCAGGCCACCAACGACAUAACCCAAGACUGAAUGACAACCUUUUUGCUUCCGUCACUUGUCACAGGUGUGGUGAACUUGGGCACAUUAAAAGGAUGUGUCCCAACAGCUGGCCGACUGUCGCAUACCCAUUGGCACCACAAGGGGAACCCAGAAACUCAAGGCUGAAUGCCCUUCUCUCCGAGCAAGCACGACUACCAAGUCCGAGAACCCCUAGGGUAGGAUGAGUUGUGUACCCCCAUAUGCGUAGUCGAGUCCGUGUGAUGGUUCGAAUGGAACCACGUUCUGUGCUGCAUGUUUUUACUUGUUUGUGUUUUGAUAUAAGUCGCACAUUUGCCCUAGGCAGCUUGUACGCGACUGUAUCACCUAUCAUGUCUUAAUGGAACUGUGUGUGGCCUUUACGGCACUUGUUUGUUUACACUUGCACCAUAAAACCCCCUUUAGGCAUCCCCCCUUCUAUGCUACUUCUCCCUCUCAUCUCUGAAGACUAGCAAGACAAAAUGCACUAAGGAUUCCACCUUGGCAAGCAACUGACACUGAGGACUUUUGCUAUAGCCUCCUCGGCCAGGUGCAAUCCCGUAGUAUUACCCCUCAUGACUGGAAACCCCAUCCCUAGACCCUUCGAGACUUCAUGAGAUACCCCAGCUCGAGUCCUUAACCAUGUGCUUAACCCACAUAAUUGCAAGAGGACCAUUUAAGCCUCUGUAAACCUUGCACAACACCGGGUUCAUUAUGGAACUAGCGGACAUAGUGAAAAGCACAUUAUCAUCCUAAUAUAGCACCAGAACUGAUGAUGCCAUAGGGAAGACCAGUUUGAGGAUAUAGGAAUAGAGGACAAAUGUCUUGAUGAGUUUAUAUCAACGACUUUGAGGAAUUAUAUGAGACUAUUUGGUGGAUUAUGAGGCUUUCAUGUUGGCAGAUGAACUUGGUGGGAUCAUGCUUAUGGAGUAGCAUAACAUUCCUUACCCUUGAGUAAACUGGAUUUAGUAGGACAAUUAUGAUCGCAAGCUGGAAUUCUUGGGAGUAUAUGGAUUUAACUUAGCCAUGGGAUAUUGAUAGGAGACAGUUAUUAUCACGUAAAUGACUUGGGGGAAACAUGUAGGAAUUCUCGUUGUACAUGAGAUUUGGAUUUAAAUAGGUGAUCCUAGUUGAGUAUAGGUGGCGAGUAAGUCUACAUGGUUCGGAGUAAAUUGGAUUUAGAAUGAUGAUCUCGAUCAUGAUACCAUGUUUCUUGGAGGACAAUAAACUAGGAGAUUGGAUUAACUGUCGAAGAUGAUAUAAGCUUGAUCUUGGAGUUUACUUGAUCGUGAUAAUGGUAAUUGGUGGGUUGACUCUAGUAAGGAUAUCCUUUCAAGUAUUUGGGGAUUAUAUGGACUUUAGGAGAUCAUGUGGAACACCAUAGACACUAGGAUUUGUAGAAUUAAAGGAUUAUGUAGUGAUUAAUGGAAGUUAACGGGUUGUUGGAGUUGAUUCAUAGGAAGGGAACAAGAUUUUGGAGUGGCAUACGACGUGUUUCCUUAGGAUAGAGAUACACCAACAUGGACCUUGGAAGAAUAGGAUGAGCACUUGGAUUGUUGUGUUUUAUUCCCGCUUGGAAGCUUGUAUGCUCUGCCCAUGGAUUUUUAGGGGUAGCCAUACAUAUGAGUUUGGGGAUCGUAGACAUAUAUGAUUUUGUUAGACCUCCUCUCGGGAGUCACGAGAAUAUGGAUCACAUGAGUGAUGAUUGGAUUUGACCUAUACGAAAUAAUGCUUUCGGUGGUAUAAGGUUAUUUGUUUGAAGGACUAGAUAGACUAUUGCCAUCUCAGGAAUUGUGCUCAAGGAUAAGAUAAAUGUUCACUCACACCCUAUAAUCCUUGAAACCCUUAAGCCCUACCAAGCUACAACAUGGUCGUAUCAUGACCAUGGGUCUUGACUCUAGAUCGAGAACACCUUGGGCCAUACUCAACCGUUACCACCACCAAUGCCCCAGCCUACCUUAUGUACCCCAUGAACAGAAACUUCAUGGAGUACUUGGUCAUGUUGGUUGUCACUUUUACUUGGUGACCUACUCGUCUAACUGAAGAUGGAAGAAGAAUCAUUUAGCUGGUUAGGAAACAUGUGAAGACCGCCAUGCCAAGGAGGAAGAACUAUCGUCAAGGAGUGAACUUUCUCGUCGAUGACCAGGUGUAUCUGCAAGCCACUUCUCUCAAAGGAACCAAGCAUUUCCAUGUCAAAGGGAAGCUCGCACCAAGAUUUAUCGGCUUUCUCCAAGAUCACUGCAAGACGAAGAAUAGACAGCUACCAGCAAGAGUUACCACCUGAGUCACCCACUAUGCACAACAUUUUCCACGAGUCACAGCUUCGGAAGUGCCUCCAACUUCCUAACCAACCCGAUCCCUACAAGGACAUCGAUCACCGAGCCAUCGACCUCAAGCCCAAUAUGAAUUACGCGAGAGACCCCAAUGGCAAUAUGGAUCAAGCAGGAUGUCAUACACGAAGCCAUGCCAUCGAGUACUUCAAGGUUCAAUGGAGCACCACUCGGAAGCACAAGCGGUAUGAGGAUGUGAAGACUACCCCCGGAUCUAGUUUUCGUAUUCCUUUCCAUGACUAGUUUGGGAAUCUUGGGGACGAGAUUCUUGUAAGGGGGGUAGGUCUGUCACACCCUGAUUUUCAUGCCAUAACACUUAAGCUAAUAAAUCAUGAUAAAGUGUGGUUUGAUAAGAACUUUUGCAUUAUUUGGCUUUUAUUUGGAGUUGGUUUUCUCUCUGUGUUUUCCAAGUGCUCUUUAAAGUCAACACAACUCCCCCUCCCAUACUUCAUCUCCUUUCCCCAAACUUCUGCACAAUGAUCAUGCCAUGUGUAUAGUGCAAUAUAGUAUUUUCUUACAAAAAUAAUUUGGCCAAAUAGUAUUUUCAAAAAUUAGUUUUCCAAAACCCCCUGAAUUGAGGUUUGCACUACAAGUACUUGAUUUGGGGUAUGAAAAAUAUUUCAAAGAGUAUAUUUGAAACCUAGUAGAUAUAGGACUCCCAUAAACCACAAAAAUAUAAUUUUAAAAGUUAUUUUCCUUUUUUAUUUAAAAGCUUUUUCUUAAGGCCAGAAAUGGUCUUUAAUAGGGAAAGAUUAUUUUAUUGUUUCAAAAAUAUUUGACAAAAAUCAGGGAAACUCAGUGGACAUAUAUUUUCCAUAUAUAAGAGUUUCAACACAUGGUCAUGUUCAAAAUAUUGGGAAAAAUUCUCCAAAACCAUUUAUGUCCAUUUCAAGUAUUUGAAAUAUUUCUACAAGAAAUAUUUUCAAAUAAAUCCAGGAAAAUUCAAGAAAGUCACAUAUGCAUAAUGUGAUGAUCUUGAAAAUUUUCAUAUCAAUCAAAAUAAUUUUGGUUCACAAAAGUGCCCCAAAACCCUCUCUGUCCAGAUCCAAGUUUGAACAACUCUAGAUUGCCAACUUUAUCCAUUUGAUCCCAAACUUUGUGGACAUUAUCAAAUACCCAAAUGAUGAAACUACACCAAGUGGUGCAUCAAGGAUAAUAUCUUUGGAUGACUAGAUCUUGAAAAACCCAUUUCUGUUGAUUUCUAGGGUUUACAAAAGUUGCAUUGGAAACUUUACCCAAAUGAACUCAAAUUUGGUGUAACACCCUAUUUCUAUGUGCCAUUCCUGUUGGGGAACGUUGCAGAAAACAAAAAAUUUCCUAUGGUUUCACCAAGAUCCAUCUAUGAGUUCAUCUAGCAACGAGUGAUUGGAUGCAUCUACAUACCUUGUAGAUCGCGAGCGGAAGCGUUCAAAGAACGGGGAUGAGGGAGUCAUACUCGACGUGAUCCAAAUCACCGGAGAUCCUAGCGCCGAACGGACGGCACCUCCGCGUUCAACACACGUACGGUCAGCGUGACGUCUCCUUCUUCUUGAUCCAGCAAGGGGCAAGGAGAGUUUGAGGAAGAUGGCUCCAGCAGCAGCACGACGGCGUGGUGGUGAUGGAGCUGCAGUACUCCGGCAGGGCUUCGCCAAGCUCUAUGGAGGAGGAGGAUGUGUUGGAGAGGGAGAGGGAGGCACCAAAGGCAAAGGUAAGAGGUCCUCCAUCCCCCUACUAUAUAUAGGGGGCCCUAGGGGGGGGGGGCGCCGGCCCUAGGAGAUGCAAUCUCCUAGGGGGGCGGCGGCCAAGGGGUGGGGGGCUUGCCCCCCAAGCAACGGGGCGCCCUCCCUUUAGGGUUUCCCCCACCCUAGGCGCAUGGGCCCUAGGGGAAGUGGCGCCCCAGCCCACUUUGGGCUGGAUACCUUCCCACUUCAGCCCAUGGGGUCCUCCGGGAUAGGUGGCCCCACCCGGUGGACCCCCGGGACCCUUCUGGUGGUCCCGGUACAAUACCGGUGACCCCGAAACUUGUCCCGACGGCCGAAAUAGCACUUCCUAUAUAUAAUUCUUUACCUCCGGACCAUUCUGGAACUCCUCGUGACAUCCAGGAUCUCAUCCGGGACACCGAAUAACAUUCGGGUUACUGCAUAUACAUAUCCCUACAACCCUAGCAUCACCGAACCUUAAGUGUGUGGACCCUACGGGUUCGGGAGACAUGUAGACAUGACCGAGAUUGCUCUCCGGUCAAUAACCAACAGCGGGAUCUGGAUACCCAUAUUGGCUCCCACAUGCACCUCGAUGAUCUCAUCGGAUGAACCACGAUGUCGAGGAUUCAAGCAACCCCGUAUACAAUUCCCUUCGUCAAUCAGUAUGUUACUUGCCCGAGAUUCGAUCGUCGGUAUCCCAAUACCUCGUUCAAUCUCGUUGCCGGCAAGUCACUUUACUCGUACCGUAAUGCAUGAUCCCGUGACCAGACACUUGGUCACUUUGAGCUCAUAAUGAUGAUGCAUUACCGAGUGGGCCCAGUGAUACCUCUCCGUCAUACAGAGUGACAAAUCCCAGUCUUGAUCCGUGUCAACCCAACAGACACUUUCGGAGAUACCCGUAGUAUACCUUUAUAGUCACCCAGUUACGUUGUGACGUUUGGUACACCCAAAGCACUCCUACGGUAUCCGGGAGUUACACGAUCUCAUGGUCUAAGGAAAGGAUACUUGACAUUGGAAAAACUCUACCAAACGAACUAUACGAUCUUAUGCUAUGUUUAGGAUUGGGUCUUGUCCAUCACAUCAUUCUCCUAAUGAUGUGAUCUCGUUAUCAAUGACAUCCAAUGUCCAUAGUCAGGAAACAAUGACUAUCUGUUGAUCAACGAGCUAGUCAACUAGAGGCUUACUAGGGACAUGUUGGUGUCUAUUAUUCACACAUGUAUUACGAUUUCUGGAUAACACGAUUAUAGCAUGAAUAAAGACAGUUAUCAUGAACAAGGAAAUAUAAUAAUAAUGCUUUUAUUAUUGCCUCUAGGGCAUAUUUCCAACAAUUCCAUCUUGUUAAGUAUCAUGGCAAGUGGGAUUCAUUUUCUCGCCCAAACCAGUAACAAACACCUUCUGACACUUUACCAAAAUGCCAUCUUAGACCUCUUCAACUAAUCUCCAUGGGCUCAACUUUGUACUACAGCUACUCCUGACCCUCUUCUACCUCCAGUAACUUUCCCCUGGCCAUUGCUCAAUGAUUGAGGGGUGAAACACCCCCAUUUACCUCCCUCGACAGAAACUUCUCUCUCUCUCCCUCAACCUUCCUCCUCACUCCAGUGGCUCCCCAGGGCAUCCAAGGCCAUAGCCCACUUCUUUACUUCCCCCUAGAGCUACCCGACACCUUUGGCCGCGCCCACAUUGCAUAAAAAAUGGCUAUGCCGGCCAUUUGGGUGCUCUGGAGCAUGCUACAGUGUGCUCCCGCACUGUAGCCGACCCCUGCCAACCACUCCCGGCCACCUCGGGCCUCCCCAGCGCGCCCGACGAUGUGCCUCAGCGUCUACGUCAUGCUAAACCCAUGUCCCCUCCUCCUUCUCCUUCCUGCUGCCCCUCCUCGCACGCGCACCGGCCACCCGAGAGCUCCAAUGAGCGGCCUCACACGCGCGGCAUCUCUGGCCUUACCCCGCUCUCUCCCUUAGAUCCCCUCGGCCUAGUCCAUGCCCAGCAACACCCCAUACACGGCGCCAGCUCCUCCCGAGCCCUGUGGCAACGAGUAGGAGCUCGCCGGCGCACGGGUCCACGGCACCCCACCAUUCGCGUAUUUAAGGGCCUUCCCGAGCCUCUCCCUCACCACCACCCGCUCCUACCUACUCCAAAUCGGCCCCCUGUGCCCUCCACUCUCCUCCAGGAGAACCCGAGCUCGAGAUCAAGCUCGAGCUCUGCCGCCUCGGGUCGCUGUCGAUCUCAGGGUACAGGCCCUCUUCGCCGCUCCUCUUCCUUGAUCUGGAACCUCCGUGGCUCACUGAUCAUUUCCCCUUUCCUCCAUGCUUCUUUUGCAGCCGGAAACGGCCAGAACCGCCGCCUACCGAAGCUAUUCUACCGGUUUCCUCAUCGCCGGCGAACCCCUACACUCCGGUGACCACCUCCACCUCCACCCGAAUGGCGACCCUGCCCUGAGCACGACGGUGCCCUCGGAUCGCCUCGCCGUCGACCACAGCGACGCCGGUGAGCUCGCCUCCCUUUCUGGCCCAAGGUUAAAGGCGGCGGCCAUGGGGCCCGUCGAUCGGCCUCACACUCUGACGGGUGGGCCCCACCCGUCAGGUUUAAAAACGCAUGCGCGCGCACCGGUUCGCUGCACUGGCUGGAGGCGUAUUUCCCAAAUACGCCUUCGACGUGGCAGCCUUGCGCGGGCUGGAUUCCCCCUGGGCCUGCUGCACUGUGGCUGAAUAGGCCCAGUUGCACAGUGGCCUUUUUCCUUUUCUUUUUUUGUAACUUUUCCAAAAAUUCCACAGGAUUAAAUAAUAAUCCAAAUACAAUAAUUCCAACUCCUAAAUUCUUGUAAUAAUCCCACUUAUUUAUUGGUGCAGUUUUCACUCUUAUCAAACCAACUUUUCUUCACUGUUCAAAUUUAAAUUUGAAUUUGAGCAUUUAUGUGUGUCAUUUAAAAUUCCUAGCACUGUUUCCAUGACUCCAAAUCCAAAACUAGGAAUUUUCCCCUUCUUAGUUUUCACCCUAGUAUUUAACAAAAAUGAGUUGACAUUUUUCUGAGCACUUUCGUUUUUCUAUUUUAUUAUUGCCUUAUUUAUUUCUCGCUAUUAUUUUGCGACGAUAGAUUGCGUUGCUGACAAAGGAGUUGGACCAGAAGACUUUGAAGACCCAGAAGACCUUGUUGAGCUAGGCAAGCAGCCCUUUGACCAUGUCUAAGAAACCCUUUUUGUGCAUAUCAUAUGGCACAUUCAUUACUUGCAUCAAAGUCAUGAUAAUGUGGUGACCACUUGAGGUGGUUUGCCACCGUUACUUCCUCAUUGAUACUUGCAUGGUGCACGACCCUACCUCCUUAUGAGGGUUAUGCCGAUGGGAGUAGGUAGGAUGCUGGAGUAGUUGCUACGCAAAAAGGGACGGGAAUAUGCAUGGAGAUGAAGGCAAAGUAUUUUCAAAAGACUUUUUUGAAAAACCCUGUCGGGUGCCACUUAUGUCCGAGGGAGAUAAUGAGUUGGGUAACCACUUGAUGAAGAAGUGGUGUACCGAGGCAAGUGUGUGUGUUGUUUUCGAAAACAGAUUAGAUUUAAGAGUUGUCGACUGUCCCAACCUUACAUGCGCAACCACACUACCCUUAUAUGGGAAAGGGCAUUAUUGAUUACCUAGGCCGAUACUAGCUUGGAGCCCGCAUUACUAGUGACGAGAGAGUUGUUGUCGCGCUCUCUUGGGACGGGUUCACGCCAGGUAGGGCGGCCAUGACUGUUUUCACAGGGCACCGAACACACCAUUGGUACCCCGUGCUUGUGGUAUGUGAUGAAUAUGGGAGCAAGGCUCCACAAUUUUACGAUGUGAAAUGUUGGGCACGGGGGUUACUACCAAUCGAGUGGACUCUAUGUUAGUGUCGUCUAGGGAAAGAUAGUGAUCGGGUGCUUACCCCGGGUACUUGAGGUACCGCGGGUCGUGGAUGACACGGAAGUUCCCCGGAUCUUGUGGGUAAAGUUUGCAACCUCUGCAGAGUGUAAAACUAUUCGAAUAGCUGUGUCCAUGGUCAAGGACAGUUGGGCGGUGCUUCUUAAACUACGUCCACUUGUUUACAAACCAAUGUGUGUGGGAAGAACUACUUGGGUCAAGUCAAAGGACUUGACAUGGAUGAGUUGGGUUCGAGCCCACUCCCUUUAUGUUGAUAUCUGUAACCAGCCCCUAUGGUUACUUGAAUUUAUACGAUGCAUGAUUUACCAAUUAUUGAGCAUGUCGUAACACAACAAAAUUAGCUUUCUGAAAAAAUUUACCUAUGUCAUGCAUUGUUGUAUCUUGAGCCAAAACAUGGGUUGCUUGCGAGUACAUUCGAAGUACUCAUUGGCUUGUCACUGGUUAUUUAAUUGGCCAGGCAUGGAAGAACAGGAGUUUGAUGAGGAGUUCUUUGGAGACUAACAUGCGAACUAGGACGUUUCCCAGUGAGAAUGCCUGUGGGGUUAAGGCAGAUGGCAUGGGUUCUACUUAUCGACGAAGAUUUCCGCUGCUUAUGUUUAUUUGGUAUUCAGUCCUUGUGGCUUUAUCUAUGUAAGACUUGACCAUAAUGGUCAUAAUUUGUGUAAGACAGUAUGUAUGGAUGUAAGACUCUUGUUAUUCAGCUUUUGUGUGUUCAGUGAGCAUUGAUCUCUGGGAUCACUGUACACGUGCAUUCGGUGAUCACGACUUAUGAGUCGGUGUCCCCACAGGUAUUGAAGCUAACCCGGAGAAAAUUAAGGCAAUCACCUCCCUGAUCAAACUGGUGUGCAUCAAUGAUGUUCAAUGGCUGGCGGGUUGCGUCACUGCUUUGAGUCGGUUCAUGAGCUGGUUAGGGGAGAAGGUGAUUCCUUUGUAUCAGAUGAUGUAAAAGACGAAUGAUUUCGUUUGGAGCGAGGCUGUAGACUCUGCUUUUGAGGAUUUGAAGAAACAACUUGCUAAGCCGCCGGUUCUUGUUGCUCCAGUUGAGAAAGAGCCGCUAUUGUUAUACGUAGCCGCUAACUCACGAGCUGUUAGUGUGGCAAUUGUGGUGGAGCACAAGGAGGCUAGCAAGGAACAUCCGAUUCAAUGGCCGGUUUACUACGUCAGUGAGGUGCUGAUUGAAUCUAAACAAAGAUAUCCACAUUGGCAGAAGCUCGUGUAUGGGGUGUUCACGUCAAGAGAGAAGCUCAAACAUUACUUUUAGGGUCACCCAGUCACUGUGGUUAGCUCUGCUCCUUUGGGAGACAUCAUCCAAAAUAGAGAAGCUACUAGACGAGUCGCCAAGUGGGCCAUUGAACUUGGGUCUCAUGGGUUGAAGUAUGUGCCACGUACUGCGAUCAAAUCUCAAGCACUGGUUGACUUUAUUAAUGACUGGACAGAGAUGCAGAUGCCAGAAGAGAAACUAGACAACACGUAUUGGACGAUUGACUUUGAUGGGUCCAGAAAAUUGGAAGGCUCGGGGGCUGGAGUUGUUUUAACUUCCCCUUGAGGUGACAAGUUUUGUUAUGUGUUGCGACUGAUGUUUCCUUGUAUAACAACGCAGCAGAGUAUGAGGCCUUGCUCCAUGGUCUUCGAGUGGCCAAAGAGAUGAGCCUGAGCCGGGUACGGUGUCUUGGCGAUUCAGAUUUGGUGGCUCAACACGUGUCAGGCAAGUGGGAUUCCAAGGACCCUCUCAUGGCGGCUUAUCGCUGUGAAGUCGAUGCUGUUUCCGGACAUUUUAAAGGUUAUUAGGUGGAACACAUUGACCGUAGGAAGAACGAAGCGGCAGAUGCUCUAAGCCGGUUGGGGUCUCAGCGUAAGACGGUGCCAGCUAACACCUUUUUGGAUGUUUUGCAUAACCCGUCUGUUAAGUUGCCUACAGAGGAAGAUUUAGCCGUUCCUGACCCGGAGGCACAGUUGGUGGUGGCUCUUCACAUCCGUGACGCCCGAAUAAUGAAGCUACAGUAAUUCUCUGCUAAUGAUGCCAUGUCACUUUGAUUACUAUCGCUAAUCUCGUGUUAGUUCGAAACCGAUUCAAAUUCAAAUUCAAUUAAAGGCAAAUAAUAAAAGUUUUCAAACAAUGAAAGCAAAAUGUUCAAGGUGGGUCAGAUAAAUCAGGUGUAAAUACGAUGGAGAAACCAAACCUUGAUAAAAUGUUUAAGGGCUCUAAACUAAUUAAAACAGUAGUGAAAACAAUUAAACAAAUACCUAUUGGAUUUUAUAAAAUAUUAAAAAUAUUUUAUUAUAGGUUAAGAAUUGAUGUGACAGCAAUUUGUUUAUAAAUACUACUUUAGGUACUAGUGGUGAUUUUUGUAAAAACUAAAUAUUAAAAGAAACUAGGAAUAAAACAGAAAAUAAAAUAAAUAAAAAGAAAAGAUCUAAACAAAAACAAAACAACAAAAAAGGAAGAAAGACCCCCCCCCACGCUAGGACUCAGCCCAGCUGGCCAUCCAACCGGGUCAGCCCACCUCUCCUCUCCUUAUCCCCCACGACCGGAACCAACCAACACCCCCACCCCCACCGACACCACAACCCCCUCCUUGAAAUAUCUCCUGGAUCGGAUCGGGAGAGGAGCUCCAGAUCCCGAUCCGCUGGCACCCCGCUCGUCGGUCGGCUGCAGCCUGGCCGGCCACCGUCUCCACCACUUCGCCUCCCCUCGCCGGUCUGUCACUCGUGCCGGCCUCAGCCACCCCGGCCCGAGCCACCACCUGUGGUGGCGUCCCCGAUCUCCGGCACCCGACGCGCCCGUCGCCACCAGGCCGUCGCCGGACCGCCGCCCCUCUCUGCCGAACUGCCUCCUCUUCGCCUCCACCCCAACGGACUCCCUCGAGCCUCGCCGACCCCUGUUCCCCUGCUCGAAUGUGAGCACGCCGCCGCUCGAACCCUCCCUUUGCUCUCUCUCCGCACGCCGCGCUCCGCCUGCUCCCCGUCGCGGUCACCCCACACCCACCACCGCCGUUCGCGCACAUCCCCUCCUCCUCGCACGCGCUCGCUGCCAUGUCCGCGCCCUCGCUGCAUGUUGCGCUCAGUGUGGCCACGCACCACGCACCACCCCCCCACGGCCGCACCCCGGCCACCAUGGCCGGUGGGCUGACACGCCACCCGAGCCACGCGCUCACCCGCGCCCCCCUCCUCUGCCGGCCUGCCCCCGCCGUGACCUCUGCUGGCCGGCAGCGCCAUAGCGACGGCCCUGCCGUCUCGCAUGCGCGUCCAGCCAGUGGCUGGCUGGCUGGGGCCACCGACAUGUGGGCCAUGGCCCAAAAGUUAUAUCAGAAAAAAUGGAAUAAAUGAAGGGUUAUUAAUAAUAAUUAAAAUAAAAUUUUAGUUAAUUAAUUAAUUAGAUGAUGGUUAGACUAAUCUAAUUUCUGUCAUUAGAAAUGUGAGAAUGACAAGGGGGGCCCACCCCCUGUUGACUAGUCAAAGUUGACUGGUCAAUAGGGACCCCCUGGACCCACAUGUCAACUGGUGCACAUUCUGUGUACACUAUGCUGGGUACCCCUAGCAAUUUAAUAUUUAAUUUAGAAUUAAAAUAAAUUCAUAAAAUUCUUUAAAACUUUGAAAAUUUAUAUAAAAUAAACCGUAGCUCAGAUGGAAAAACUUUGUACAUGAAAGUUGCUCAAAACGACGAGACGAAUCCGGAUAUGCAGCUCAUUCGUCCAUCACACAUCACUAGCAUAGUGAAGCGCAACUUCCCCCCUCUGGUUCAUCUACCCGAAAACGCAAAACAUCGGGAUACUUUCCCGGAUGUUUCCCCCCUUCGUCGGUAUCACCUCCUACCGCGUUAGGGCAUACCUAGCACCGCGUAUUGCCUCAUUAUGUUUUGUGAUGCUUUGUUUGCUUUAUAUUUAUUGUUUCUUCCCCGUCUUCUCUCGCUAGACACCGAGACCAACGACGCUGCUACCCAGUACGACUAUGGUGUUGAUGACCCCUCUCUCUUGCCGGAGCAACCAGGCAAGCCCCCCCCCCUUGAUCACCAGAUAUCGCCUACUCUCCUCUAUACUGCUUGCAUUAGAGUAGUGUAGCAUGUUACUGCUUUUCGUUAAUCCUAUCCUGAUGCAUAGCCUGUCAUUGUUGCUACAACUAUUGAUACCUUCCUUGCAAUCCUAAUUGCUUAGUAUAGGAUGCUAGUUUAUCAUCAGUGGCCAUACAUUCUUGUCCUUCUGCCAUGCUAUACUAUCGGGCCGUGAUCACUCAGGAGUUGAUCACGGGUAUAUACCUAUACUUUAUACAUGCUACAUGUCAUGACUAAAGUCGGGAUGGCUCGAGGAGUACCCGCGAGUGAUUCACGGAUUGGGGGCUGAAAUGACCUUUGUCCCGACGACCCUCUGGGUGGAUCAUUUUGGCGGAGCGACAGGGCAGGUUGAGACCACCUAGGAGAGAGGUGGGCCUAGCCCUGGUCGGCGUUCGCGGUCUCUUCAAGAUAACACGUUUAACGAGAUCUUGGUAUUUGAUCUGAGUCUGGCUACUGGCCUAUAUGCACUAACCAUCUAUGCGGGGACAGUUAUGGGCACUCGAUGUCGUGGUAUCAGCCGAAGCCUUCAUGACGUCAGCGACUGAGCGGCGCGCGCUGGGUUGGACCGCGUAACACAACUUCCUUUGUAAUGGAGGUUGCUAGGUCUGCUCACCGGCCGCGUUCGCAACAUGCAGGUGUGCAAAGGGUGAUGGGCCCAGACCCCUGCGCCAUAGGAUUUAGACCGGCGUGCUGACCUCUCUGUUGGGCCUAGGUAGGGCUGCGACAUGUUGAUCUUCCGAGGCCGGGCAUGACCCAGGAAAGUGUGUCCGGCCAAAUGGGAUCGAGCAUGUUGGGUUAUGUGGUGCACCCCUGCAGGGAAGUUAAUCUAUUCGAGUAGCCGUGAUCUUCAGUAACAUGACGACUUGGAGUUGUACCUUGACCUUAUCACAACUAGAACCAGAUACUUAAUAAAACACACCCUUCCAAGUGCCAGAUACAACCGGUGAUCGCUCUCUCACAUGGCGACGAGGGGAGGAUCAUCGGUUAGGAUUAUGCUAUGCGUUGAUACUUGGAGGACUUCAGUCUACUCUCUUCUACAUGCUGCAAGACGGAGGCUGCCAGAAGCGUAGUCUUUGAAAGGACUAGCUACCCCCUUAUUCCGGCUUUCUGCAGUUCAGUCCACAUAUAAUAGCCUUAUUCUAGUUGACACAUAUGCAUACAUAUGUAAUGUAGCUCCUUGCUUGCGAGUACUUUGGAUGAGUACUCAUGGUUGCUUUCUCCCUCUUUUCCCUCCUUUUCUAUACUCGAUUGCUGCGACCAGACGAUGGAGCCCAGGAGCUAGACGCCACCGUCGACGACGACUACUACUACUCGGGAGGUGCCUACUACUACGUGCAGCCCGCUGACGACGACCAGGAGUAGUUUAAGAGGAUCCCAUGCAGGAGGCCUGCGCCUCUUUCGAUCUGUAUCCCAGUUUGUGCUAGCCUUCUUAAGGCAAACUUGUUAAACUUAUGUCUGUACUCAGAUAUUGUUGCUUCCGCUGACUCGUCUAUGAUCGAGCUCUUGUAUUCGAGCCCUCGAGGCCCCUAGCUUGUAAUAUGAUGCUUGUAUGACUUAUUUUAUUUGUAGAGUUGUGUUGUGAUAUCUUCCCGUGAGUCCCUGAUCUUGAUCGUACAUGUUUGCGUGUAUGAUUAGUGUACGAUUGAAUCGGGGGCGUCACAAGUUGGUAUCAGAGCCGACUGCCUGUAGGAAUCCCCCUUCCACACUCCUUGGCCGAAGUCGAGUCUAGACAUUGCAAAAAAAAUUACUAACAUGGAUGUGUGUCUUACGGGCCCACGUCGCCAUUGGGUGGUAUUAGGAUAUUUUAUUCCCCAACCUAUACUCUAGGACUCUGAGCUCUCUUCUAUUCGGGUUAAAUGAUUUUGCUAAAAACAAAACUAACUUCAGGUUCUCGAUGGUACUUUCUCCCAGAGAGCCCUCACCUCAGAUGAUCGCCUGCUUCACUAGAAGAUUCCGAAGUUACUCUACAAUGUUCUCUUGAGUCUUUGUGCCAUCGCAUUUACGAUUUCCUUCCAUCGUCAACCCCUAUGAAAACUGCAUACACUUGCCAUUCAUACAAUCAUUCCCCGUUGAUCUUAUUCUUACAAGAUGUCCCGAAAUACUCUCUGUUGUCCCGAGAAUCCCUUGAGCUUACUGCCUUGCAGUUCUUUACCACAUGAGUACCCCUACGGAUAAAUCCUCGCUCUUGUCGAGUAUCCUCUCACCCCCAGUUGUUCAUGUGUUCUACAAAGUCCUCGAAAUACCAUUCGACUUUCUGAAGAUCCUCAACAGCCCAUUGCUCUUGGUUUCUCUGCCUUCCUGCAGUAUGGUUAAGUCCAUACUUCUAGUAAUCUCCAUUGACAUCCUCUGUCACUAUCAUUUCGAGUCACUUGAUUCGAUAUGUUGCGAAUGCUUGCAAUCCUCAAUCAGAUCCUAGGAUUCAUCAUUCCGGCUCAUACGUUAUUUUGAACAUGAGCUGGUCCUCGACCAAUCAAGUUGUCGUUGAAUGUACCCCUUAGUCUAUUCAACUUAUCCAUUCUUAAUCAGAGCGUUUGCUUCUGAUCCCUUGAUUUGGAAAUCAUAAUUCCUUUGCAAUUGAGCUUGGAAUUAGUCAGUUGUUCUAUAAUCGGAUCUCCUUGCAUUCUUUCUUCCUCUGGUUGUGUGCCGAUGCUCACAUCAGAUCCCUUGUGGACCACCAGACCCUUUGUCGGAUUUUAUCCGACAAUGUCCUUCAUAUUCAAUAAGCUUGUGAGCCUUUCCUCGGAUACAUAAUGCCUUUAGUAAAUUGUAUCCUCUGCUUUCUCAAGCAUGCUCUACUAUCGAGUUUGUGUUAUUUACUAUUGAAGCUUGUGGUAUAUGUUUCCAUGAUACCCUGAAGGGUUGAACCUAUGCCUUCCUUAAUAUGUGUGAACUCGAAAGUUUUCACGAGUCAUACUCUUCCGGUGUUCUACCAGAUAAAAUUCCAACACUACAGUUAUAUCAAAGUGAGAGGUGAAUGAAAUGAUCUGCAUUAAAGAAGUGGGAGUCGACCUUGAACUUUGUGUUCAUGCCCAUGAAAAUGAUGUAGACCGUCUAGGAAGCUUCUUGCAAAUGAUUAUCCAGCUCUGAUUUGUUCAGUAUUCUUGAAAUUGAUUCCUUAUAGUUAUGGUUCCGACCAUGAUGUCCUGAUCUGAUAUAUCUUAUGGGAAUUCAUUCCAGUGCCUCGUCUAUUUUUGCAAGGUUGAAGUACCUACUGUCAUAGGUCAAUGAACCGGUUCUACAUCUAUCAUGUUUAACCUUUGAGUAUUACCUCCUGGUAUCUCGGAGAUGUCUUGCCAUUGCACCACAGCUUGCUAACUUUGUUGAAGUAAUGUCUUUCCUUGUCGUAAUCACUCUACGGGUUCUGGGUUGUUAUCAACUAAGGACACCGACUAGUGAAAUUAUUCCGCACUACAAAUCAAAUACCCCUAGUAUUUUUACUAAGAAAUUGUGAACUCAAUCUGGUCAUUCCUAGACUAUCGGCUGCAUCCUAGUCUUGCUACCUUUGACUGUGCUACCUUGUCCUUCUCUGGUGCACGUAUUCUUCAGUGUGUGAGCAUGACUUGCGUCAAGCUUUCAACAUCUUGUUGCUUCCCUUGAAAGGCAACUUUGGUCCUGAGCUUGCCUCUUAUAUAUUGAUCCUAUAACUUGCCACUUCAUCAUUUCCUUGCUUGUUGCCAUUGUUAUUUGAUUGCAUCCUCUUGAAACCUCCCGACAAAUGUGUCGGACCACCUUCAACACUUGGACUUCUUUCGAGAUGUCAACUGUGUUCAUGAUGAGAAAUACCCUCCUUGCCCUCGAUGAUUUUUGUUAUCAUCGACAACACCCUUGACUUCCUUUCAUCAUGAACUUGUCCACAUAAUGAAUGCAACUUGCUCUCUAGCUAGUGUUGUGUUCUGCCUUGAAGUAUCACUGUCUAUUAUGUCGAGAAUGUUGUUGGGAUUGCUCCACCUCUUACAAAUUCUCGGCAUGAUGAUACUUCUCACCAUCACCAUUCUUCCUUGGUCCCCAUGUUUUUUUUUAACCAGGAUACCAAUAUGCUAACAAUACUGUUUGAGUUCUGUACUUCUAGCAACCCUAUUGCUUUGAAGUUAAUGAUUGACAGUUCAUUCUUAGACUAUUGGUUAUUGAGUCGUCACUCUAACAUUGAUUUUGCUGCCUAAGGUCAUACUUCGGGCACACCUUUCAACUAAUGAUUGAUGGUGUAUGUUUACCUAGAGCAUACAACAUUAUAUCAUUUGAGUUGACAAGUGUCAUCUUCUUGUUCACAUUAUUGUGGAAAGCCAUCCGUUUGGAAUUCUCGAUGAAUUGUCGGUGAGCCCAUCAGCCACCUUCUCAUCCCCUCGUGGGUUUAAUGAUGAACUAUUGUUUCAGGAACCCGCUUCCAUAGUACAUUUCCCGAGAAUCUUACAAUGUCGUCUCGUCAAUUGUGUUGCACCUUUUCUUCUCAGGCAUCCUGAGUCUGAGGCAUCUUGGCACCAAUCAGAUCUGAAUCUCGGUCAGAUAUGAUGGUUGGAACAUAUUUCCAAGAGUUAUUACAUUGGUCCUUAUAUAUCGGUAAGGUGAGGUCAUGCCUAUCACACCUGGCCGGAGGACUUGUUGUUAUAGAUUCCUUUUCAGCAAGGUUAUCCCUUCUUCCAUGAGGGAAUUGUUAUACCUAUUCUUCAAGAUUAUUCCUGAUGGAUCCUUUGUGUCUCCAGAGUCUGAUCUUCACCUGUUGACCAUGUUAAUGCUAUCGCGAAUCAUGUCUAUGGUAUUCCGAUUUUCAACAAGAACAUUGAAGGUAAUGCUAAAUGUUUCCUGCUCAAUUAUCCAAACACCAUUGUAUGGGUAAUAUCAUGAGCUUCCUCCCCUUACUUAAGUGGUGUUUCUACCUUCUAUCCAGUCUUGGAUAUCAUACUCUGCUUGUUCUUGGGAAGGAUAUACCCCUGAAAUAUGUGUUUAAACACAUUUUCCUUUCCAUUGUUCUGUUUAACCUUCUUGAGGUUUAUAUGAUCUAAGCAGUAAUACGUCACUGCUUUUAUAAGCACCUCAGUGUACAACUCUGUCAGUAAGACCCUGUUACUAUUGUUGCUGACAUUCUAGUAACCACCGAUGGACGAGAACUCUGCCUAUUGGUCCGCCUCGUUCAACGAGCAGGAAAAUGGUUCUCUUCAUCCCUCGCCCUUGGUACUGAUGUUGUUGACGACAUAACUGAUAGGCUAUCCUCUGACAUACCUUGCUUACAUGAUCGUGCACGACGUCAUCGCUCUUCCUACUUUUAACCCACAUGGUGGGCCCAUAACCCAUAGGUCCCAGGAUCGAAACCUGACUCCCCUGUACACCCUGUUGUCAAAGUUAUUCCUCGCGCUUGACUUCUUAUGUAAUUCACGAGCCACCUUCCUAGGCUCUAUUCUGGUAUCAGACGCAAUACUUACUCUCAUUACUCUGAACCCCUUUCUCACUCUGGUUCAGACUUCGAGCAACUAUCUAUCCGCUUGGAACCUCUUAUUCUACCUUUGUACCUUACUCUCGAUGUCUUUCAUACGUUCAGCUUGAGACAUAAUCUUAUACUCAUUCAUGGGUUAACCCCAGAUUGUUUCCCUCAAAAGCAUUCUGACGUAGCUGAGCUACCCCUUAUCCUUUCGUAAGUGUGAUGGAGUUCCCGAAGAAAUGAUGACAAGUUUAUCAUGAUGCAUUGGAAUAAAGAAUUGAAGACAUCAACAAAAGGGAUUAACUUCUUCGAGAAGAUCAGUUAGAAUAUCGUAACCAGAACUUUCCCCCUUACUCCCCUUCUUAAAUCUCGGGACGAGAUUUCUUGUAGUGGAGGAGAAUUGUGACGCACGGAUAAUUAAGCUACAGUAAUUCUCUGCUAAUGAUGCCACGUCAGUUCGAUUACUAUCGCUAAUCUCGUGUUAGUUCGAAACCGAUUCAAAUUCAAAUUCAAUUAAAGGCAAAUAAUAAAAGUUUUCAAACAAUGAAAGCAAAAUGUUCAAGGUGGGUCAGAUAAAUCAGGUGUAAAUACGAUGGAAAAACCAAACCUUGAUAAAAUGUUUAAGGGCUCUAAACUAAUUAAAACAGUAGUGAAAACAAUUAAACAAAUACCUAUUAGAUUUUAUAAAAUAUUAAAAAUAUUUUAUUAUAGGUUAAGAAUUGAUGUGACAGUAGUUUGUUUAUAAAUACUACUUUAGGUACUAGUGGUGAUUUUUGUAAAAACUAAAGAUUAAAAGAAACUAGGAAUAAAACAGAAAAGAAAAUAAAUAAAAAGAAAAGAUCUAAACAAAAACAAAACAACAAAAAAAAGGAAGAAAGACCCCCCACGCUGGGCCUCAGACCAGCUGGCCAUCCAACCGGGUCGGCCCACCUCUCCUCUCCUUAUCCCCCACGACCGGAACCCACCAACACCCCCACCCCCACCGACACCACAACCCUUCCCCGAAAUAUUUCGUGGAUCGGAUCGGGAGAGGAGCUCCCGAUCCCGAUCCGCUGGCACCCCGCUCGCCGGUCGGCUGCAGCCUGGCCGGCCACCGUCGCCACCACCUCGCCUCCCCUCGCCGGUCUAUCACUCGUGCCAGCCUCGGCCACCCCGGCCCGAGCCACCACCCGUGGUGGCGCCCCCAAUCUCCGGCACUCGACGCGCCCAUCGCCACCAGGCCGUCGCCGGACCACCGCCCCUCUCUGCCGAACUGCCUCCUCUUCGCCUCCACCCCAACGGACUCCCUCGAGCCUCGCCGACCCCUGUUCCCCUGCUCGAAUGUGAGCACGCCGCCGCUCGAACCCUCCCUUUGCUCUCUCUCCGCACGUCGCGCUCCGCCUUCCCCCCGUCGCGGUCACCCCGCACCCACCGCCGCCGUUCGCGCACAUCCCCUCCUCCUCGCACNNNNNNNNNNNNNNNNNNNNNNNNNNNNNNNNNNNNNNNNNNNNNNNNNNNNNNNNNNNNNNNNNNNNNNNNNNNNNNNNNNNNNNNNNNNNNNNNNNNNNNNNNNNNNNNNNNNNNNNNNNNNNNNNNNNNNNNNNNNNNNNNNNNNNNNNNNNNNNNNNNNNNNNNNNNNNNNNNNNNNNNNNNNNNNNNNNNNNNNNNNNNNNNNNNNNNNNNNNNNNNNNNNNNNNNNNNNNNNNNNNNNNNNNNNNNNNNNNNNNNNNNNNNNNNNNNNNNNNNNNNNNNNNNNNNNNNNNNNNNNNNNNNNNNNNNNNNNNNNNNNNNNNNNNNNNNNNNNNNNNNNNNNNNNNNNNNNNNNNNNNNNNNNNNNNACGGCCGCACCCCGGCCACCGUGGCCAGUGGGCUGACACGCCACCUAAGCCACGCGCUCACCCGCGCCCCCCUCCUCUGCCGGCCCGCCCCCGCCGUGACCUCUGCUGGCCGGCGGCGCCAUAGUGACGGCCCUACCGUCUCGCAUGCGCGUCCAGCCAGUGGCUGGCUGGCUGGGGCCAACGACAUGUGGGCCAUGGCCCAAAAGUUAUAACAGAGAAAAUGGAAUAAAAGAAGGGUUUUUAUUAAUAAUAAUUAAAAUAUUUUUUUAGUUAAUUAAUUAAUUAGAUGAUGAUUAGACUAAUCUAAUUUCUGUCAUUAGAAAUGUGAGAAUGACAAGGGGGGCCCACCCCCUAUUGACUAGUCAAAGUUGACUGGUCAAUAGGGACCCCCUGGACCCACAUGUCAACUGGUGCACAUUCUGUGUACACUAUGCUGGGUACCCCUAGCAAUUUAAUAUUUAAUUUGGAAUUAAAAUAAAUUCAUAAAAUUCUUUAAAACUUUGAAAAUUUAUAUAAAAUAAACCGUAGCUCAGAUGGAAAAACUUUGUACAUGAAAGUUGCUCAGAACGACGAGACAGAUCCGGAUAUGCAGCCCGUUCAUCCGUCACACAUCCCUAGCAUAGUGAACGCGCAACUUCCCCCCUCCGGUUCAUCUGCCCGAAAAUACGAAACAUCGGGAUACUUUCUCGGAUGUUUACCCCCUUCGUCGGUAUCACCUCCUACCGUGUUAGGCAUACCUAGCAUCGCGUAUUGCCUCAUUAUGUUUUGUGAUGCUUUGUUUGCAUUAUAUUUAUUGUUUCUUCCCCCUCUUCUCUCGCUAGACACCAAGACCAACGCCGCUGCUACCCAAUAUGACUACGGUGUUGACGACCCCUCUCUCUUGCUGGAGCAACCAGGCAAGCCCCCCCCCCUUGAUCACCAGAUAUCGCCUACUCUCCUCUAUACUGCUUGCAUUAGAGUAGUGUAGCAUGUUACUGCUUUCCGUUAAUCCUAUCUUGAUGCAUAGCCUGUCAUUGUUGCUACAACUGUUGAUACCUUACCUGCAAUCCUUAAUUCUUAGUAUAGGAUGCUAGUUUAUCAUCAGUGGCCAUACAUUCUUGUACUUCUGCCAUGCUAUACUAUCGGGCCGUGAUCACUCGGGAGUUGAUCACGGGUAUAUACCUAUACUUUAUAUAUGAUAAAUGUGAUGACUAAAGUCGGGUUGGCUCGAGGAGUACCCGCGAGUGAUUCACGGAUUGGGGGCUGAAAGGACCUUUGUCCCGACGGCCCUCUGGGUGGAUCGUUGUGGCGGAGCGACAGGGCAGGUUGAGACCACCUAGGAGAGAGGUGGACCUGGCCCUGGUCGGCGUUCGCGGUGUCUUCAAGAUAACACGUUUAACGAGAUCUUGGUAUUUGAUCUGAGUCUAGCUACUGGCCUAUACGCACUAACCAUCUACGCGGGGACAGUUAUGGGCACUCGACAUCUUGGUAUCAGCCGAAGCCUUCGUGACGUCAGCGACUAAGCAGCGCGCGCCAGGUUGGACCGCGUAACACAACUUCCUUUGUAAUGGAGGUUGCUAGGUCUGCUCAUCGGCCGUGUUCGCAACGUGCAGGUGUGCAAAGGGCGAUGGGCCCAGACCCCUGCGCCAUAGGAUUUAGACCGGCGUGCUGACCUCUCUGUUGGGCCUAGGUAGGGCUGGGACGUGUUGAUCUUCCGAGGCCGGGCAUGACCCAGGAAAGUGUGUCCGGCCAAAUGGGAUCGAGUGUGUUGGGUUAUGUGGUGCACCCCUGCAGGGAAGUUAAUCUAUUCGAAUAGCUGUGAUCUUCGGUAAUAGGAUGACUUGGAGUUGUACCUUGACCUUAUGACAACUAGAACCGGAUACUUAAUAAAACACACCCUUCCAAGUGCCAGAUACAACCAGUGAGCGCUCUCUCACAGGGCGAUGAGGGGAGGAUCAUCGGUUAGGAUUAUGCUAUGCGUUGAUACUUGGAGGACUUCAGUCUACUCUCUUCUACAUGCUACAAGACGGAGGCUGCCAGAAGCAUAGUCUUCGAAAGGACUAGCUACCCCCCUUAUUCCGGCUUUCUGUAGUUCAGUCCACAUAUAAUAGCCUUAUUCCAGUUGAUACCAAUGCAUACAUAUGUAGUGUAGCUCCUUGCUUGCGAGUACUUUGGAUGAGUACUCAUGGUUGCUUUCUCCCUCUUUUCCCUCCUUUUCUAUACUCGAUUGCUGCGACCAGACGAUGGAGCCCAGGAGCCAGACGCCACCGUCGACGAUGACUACUACUACUCGGGAGGUGCCUACUACUUCGUGCAGCCCGCUGACGACGACCAGGAGUAGUUUAGGAGGAUCCCAGGCAGGAGGCCUGCGCCUCUUUCGAUCCAUAUCCCAGUUUGUGCUAGGCUUCUUAAGGCAAACUUGUUUAACUUAUGUCUGUACUCAGAUAUUGUUGCUUCCGCUGACUCAUCUAUGAUCAAGCUCUUGUAUUCAAGCCCUCGAGGCCCCUGGCUUGUAAUAUGAUGCUUGUAUGACUUAUUUUAUUUGUAGAGUUGUGUUGUGAUAUCUUCCCGUGAGUCCCUGAUCUUGACCGUACAUGUUUGCGUGUAUGAUUAGUGUAUGAUUGAAUCGGGGGCGUCACAACGUCAUCCCAGAUUGGACAAUACCAUUCUUGGCUUACAUGACCCGGGGCGAGUUUCUAGAGGAUGAGACCCCGGCCCGACAGAUAACCCGGCGGUCCAAAUCAAUGACGAUUUCUGACGGAGAGUUAUACCAUCGCAGCGUCUUUGGAGCGUUUCAGCGGUGUGUUUCUCCUGAAGAAGGCCAAGAAAUACUUCGUGAGAUCCAUGAAGGGGAUUGUGGUCAUCACAUCGGGUCAAAGUCUCGUGGCCAAAGCUUUUCGUCAUGGUUUUUACUGGUUAACAGCUCACGUUGAUGCAGAGCAUCUGGUCAGUAGGUGUGAUGGAUGUCAAAAAUUUGCACGACGAGCACAUGUGCCGGCUCAAGAGUUGCUGAUACGUCUCCAACGUAUCUAUAAAUUUUGAUUGCUCCAUGCUAUAUUAUCUACUGUUUUGGACAUUAUUGGGCUUUAUUUUCCACUUUUAUAUUAUUUUUGGGACUGACCUAUUAACCGGAGGCCCAGCCCAGAAUUGCUGUUUUUUGCCUAUUUUAGGGUUUCGAAGAAAACGAAUAUCAAACGGAGUCCAAACGGAAUGAAACCUUCGGGAACAUGAUUUUCUCAUCGAAUACAACUCAGGAGACUUAGACCCUACGUCAAGCCACGUAACAGGAGGCCACGAGGUAGGGGCACGCCUACCCCCCAGGCGUGCCCUCCACCCUCGUGGGCCCCCUGUUGCUCCACCGACGUACUUCUUCCUCCUAUAUAUACCCACGUACCCUCAAACGAUCAGAUACGGAGCCAAAAACCUAAUUCCACCGCCGUAACUUUCUGUAUCCACGAGAUCCCAUCUUGGGGCCUGUUUCGGAGCUUCGCCGGAGGGGGCAUCGAUCACGGAGGGCUUCUACAUCAACACCAUAGCCCCUACGAUGAAGUGUGAGUAGUUUACUUCAGACCUACGGGUCCAUAGUUAGUAGCUAGAUGGCUUCUUCUCUCUUUUUGGAUCUCAAUACAAUGUUCUCCCCCUCUCUUGUGGAGAUCUAUUCGAUGUAAUCUUCUUUUUGUGGUGUGUUUUGUUGAGACCGAUGAAUUGUGGGUUUAUGAUCAAGUCUAUCUGUGGAUAAUAUUUGAAUCUUCUCUGAAUUCUUUUAUGUAUGAUUGGUUAUCUUUGCAAGUCUCUUCGAAUUAUCAGUUUGGUUUGGCCUACUAGAUUGAUCUUUCUUGCAAUGGGAGAAGUGCUUACCUUUGGGUUCAAUCUUGCGGUGGCCUUUCUCGAUGACGGUAAGGGCAGCAAGGCACGUAUUGUAUUGUUGCCAUCGAGGAUAACAAGAUGGGGUUUUCUUCAUAUUGCAUGAGUCUAUCCCUCUACAUCAUGUCAUCUUGCUUAAGGCGUUACUCUGUUUUUAACUUAAUACUCUAGAUGCAUGCUGGAUAGUGGUCGAUGAGUGGAGUAAUAGUAGUAGAUGUAGGCAGGAGUCGGUUUACUUGUCUCGGACGUGAUGCCUAUAUACAUGAUCAUACCUAGAUAUUCUCAUAACUGUGCUCAAUUCUGUCAAUUGCUCAAUAGUAAUUUGUUCACCCACCGUAGAAUACUUAUGCUCUCGAGAGAAGCCACUAGUGAAACCUAUGGCCCCCGGGUCUAUCUUUAUCAUAUCAAUCUCCUACUACUUAGUCAUUUACUUUGCCAUUUACUUUGCAUCUUUAUCAAAAAAAUACCAAAAAUAUUAUCUUAUCAUAUCUAUCAGAUCUCACUCUCGUAAGUGGCCCUAUAGGGAUUGACAACCCUGGUUGCGAGGAUUUAUUUGUUUUGUGCAGGUACGAGGGACUCGCGGAUAGCCUCCUACUGGAUUGACACCUUGGUUCUCAAAAACUAAGGGAAAUACUUAUGCUACUUUGCUGCAUCAUCCCUUCCUCUUCGGGGAAAACCAACGCAGUGCUAAAAGAGGUAGAAAGAAGGAUUUCUAGCACCGUUGCCGGGGAGGUCUAUGCAAAAGUCAACAUACCAAGUACCCAUCACAUACCCUUAUCUCCCGCAUUACAUUAUUUGCCAUUUGCCUCUCAUUUUCCUCUCCCCCACUUCACCCUUGCUGUUUUAUUUGCCCCCUCUCUCUCUAUGCUCCCUCUAUUUGCCUCUCUUUGCCCGCUUGCUUUUUGUUUGCUUGUGUGUUAGUUUGUUUGCUUGUCGUUAUGGCUAGUCCCUUAUCUUCUCCGUUGUCUCCCGAGAAUGAAAUUCUAAAUUUUAAGCAAAGGGAGGGUGAAAAUCUAAAAGAUGCUUGGUAUAGAAUUUGCAAUGCUCAAAAUAAAUCUACUAGGAAGAAAUCUACUACCAUUCUCCUUCGCAAUUUUUAUGUAGGCAUUACUCCUUGGCACUGUUAUGUUCUUGAUACUAUUACCAGAGGGAACUUUUUGGGUAGUCAUACUUUUGAUUCUUAUAAUGCUAUGUUAGAUUUAUCUGGCUCACCCCCUCUCUUGGUUAAUGGAACUAUAUUAACUUUGGAGCAGGUAAUGCAAAAGCUUGAGAUUAUUGAAAAUAAGGUUGCUACCGUAGAGUUAAUUGAAAAAUUGGAUAAAAAGAUCCACAGCCGAAUCUCUCAAUAUGAAUCUAAAGUAGGAGUUACUUUGAAAGAUAUUAAAGAAAAGGAACCCAUAGUUAAUGAGAAAAUAAAUCACGAUUCCGUUAGGAUCGAUAAACUUGAGAAUAUUAUUACCAACUUGGGAACCGCUUUUUCUUACAUAAAGAAUACUCCAAGUUCUUCCACUAAAGUUGCCAAGCUUAUAUAUGUCCCUAAAAAUAAGGGUGAAUCAUCUAGUAAGAAAAAUGCGGAUCUCAAAUCUAUACGUGUUCAUCCCAAUCUUUUUGCUAUCAUUAAGGAACCAUUUGUUACAAAUGAAUUUUUACAUCUUGUGCCUAAAAGCUUGAUAAUUAAUAAAAAUAAAGAAAUUCCUAAAGAUGGUAGAUGCCUCAUUGAAGAAUUGCCUACCAAAGAUGGCAAUACCUAGAUCUAUUCUUGCUUGUUAUGCCUAGCUAGGGGCGUUAAACGAUAGCGCUUGUUGGGAGGCAACCCAAUUUUAUUUUUAUUCCUUGCUUUUUGCUCCUGUUUAGUAAUAAAUAAAUUAUCUAGACUCUGUUUUGGUUGUGUCUUUUGUGUUUAAUUAGUGUUUGUGCCAAGUAGAACCGUCGGGAAGACUUGGGGAAAGUCUUGUUGAACUUGCUGUAAAAAACAGAAACUUUAGCGCUCAUGAGAACUGCUGUAAUUUUUAUUUGGAAAGUGCUAUUUAGUUAUUUCUUUUUUCAGACGAUUAAUAGAUAAAUUACUCACGUCCAGCAAUAUAUUUUAGAAUUUUUGGGGUUCCAGAUCUUGCUCUAGCUACAGAUUACUACAGACUGUUCUGUUUUUGACAGAUUCUGUUUUUUGUGUGUUGUUUGCUUAUUUUGAUGAAUCUAUGGCUAGUAAAAUAGUUUAUAAACCAUAGAGAAGUUGGAAUACAGUAGGCAUAACACCCAUAUAAAUAAAGAAUGAGUUCAUUACAGUACAUUGAAGUGGUCUUUUGUUUUCUUUCGCUAACGGAGCUCACGAGAUUUUCUACUUUAAGUUUUGUGUUGUGAAGUUUUCAAGUUUUGGGUAAAGAUUUGAUGGAUUAUGGAACAAGGAGUGGCAAGAGCCUAAGCUUGGGGAUGCCCAUGUGAUAACCCACAAGUAUAGGGGAUCGCAACAGUUUUCGAUAAGUAAGAGUGUCGAACCCAAUGAGGAGCUAAAGGUAGAACAAAUAUUCCCUCAAGUUCUAUCGACCACCGAUACAACUCUACGCACGCUUGACGUUCGCUUUACCUAGAACAAGUAUGAAACAAGAAGUACUUUGUAGGUGUUGUUGGAUAGGUUUGCAAGAUAAUAAAGAGUACGUAAAUAAAAAGUAGGGGCUGUUUAGAUAAAGAAACAAUAAAGUAAAUAUAGCGAGUGUGGAAAAGUGGUGGUAGGAGUUGCGAAAUUGCCCCUAAGCAAUUGACUACUUUACUAGACCGAUAGCAAGUCUUAUGUGGGAGAGGCCACUUCUAGCAUGUCAUCCCUGACUUGUAAUUAUAUGCACUUAUGAUUGGAACUAUUAGCAAGCAUCCGCAACUACUAAUGUUCAUUAAGGUAAAACCCAACCAUAGCAUUAAGAUAUAUUGGUCCCCCUUCAAUCCCGUAUGCAUCAAUUUCUAUGCUAGGUUGAAGCUUCUGUCACUCUUGCCCUCCAAUAGAUAGUCCUAUCAACAUACAACUAACCCUAGGGUGUGAUCCACGCGCGCAAUCAUAUGAUGGGCACCAAAGGACAACAACAUAACCACAAGCAAAUUAAAUCAAUCAUAGCAAUUCAUCAACUACCGAUAGGUCAACGAAAAUCUACUCAAGCAUCAUACGAUGGCAACACAUCAUUGGAUAAUAAUAUGAAGCAUAAAGCACCAUGUUCAAGUAGAUGAUACAGCGGUUUGCGGGAGAGUGGACCACUAUAGAUAGAGGGGGGAAGGUGAUGGAGAUGUUGGUGAAGAUGGCGGAGGUGUUGUGUAGAUUGCAGUGAUGAUGAUGGCCCCCAGCGGCGUUCUGGCGCCACCGGAAGCGAGGGGGAGAGAGCCCCCCUCCUUCUUCUUCCUUGACCUUCUCCCUAGAUGGGAGAAGGGUUUCCCCUCUGGUCCAUGGCCUCCAUGGCACGGGAGGGGCGAGAGCCCCUCCGAGAUUGGAUCUGUCUCUCUCUGUUUGUGCGUUCUGUUCUGCUGCCCUUUCACCGUUUCUUUUAUAUCCGGAGAUCCAUAACUCCGAUUGGAACGAAACAUUCGCCAUGAUUUUUUCCGAAAAUUAGCUUUCUUGCGGCCGAAGAAGGACGUCAACCGCCUUACAGGUGGGUCACGAGGGUCAGGGGCGCACCCUAGGGGGGGCUACCUCAUGCCCACCUCGGACACUGGUUCGCGUUGAUUUUUCCUCCAGAUUUUCCAAAUAUUCCGAAAAGUAUCUCCGUCUGUUUUUAUCCCGUUUGGACUCCGUUUGAUAUGGAUAUUCUGCGAAACCAAAAACAUGCAACAGACAGGAACUAGCACUAGGCACUGGAUCAAUAUGUUAGUCCCAAAAAUAGUAUAAAAAGUUGCCAAAAGUAUAUGAAAGUUGAAUAAUAUUGACAUGGAACAAUCAAAAAUUAUAGAUACGACAGAUACGUAUCAGCAUCCCCAAGAUUAAUUCCUACUCGUCCUCGAGUAGGUAAAUGAUAAAAAUAGAUAUUUUUUUAUGUGGAAUGCUACCUAGCAUAAUCUUGAUCAUAUGUCUAAUCAUGGCAUGAAUAUUAAGACACGAGUGAUUCAAAGCAAUAGUCUAUCAUUUGACAUAAAACAAUAAUACUUCAAGCCUACUAAUAAAGCAAUCAUGUCUUUUCAAAAUAACAUGGCCAAAGAAAGUUAUCCCUACAAAAUCAUAUAGUCUGGCUAUGCUCCAUCUUCACCACACAAAAUAUUCACAUCAUGCACAACCCCAAUGACAAGCCAAGCAAUUGUUUCAUACUUUUGACGUUCUCAAACCUUUUCAACUUUCACGCAAUACAUGAGCGUGAGCCAUGGACAUAGCACUAUAGGUGGAAUAGAAUAUGAUGGCGGAGAAGACAAAAAGGAGAAGAUAGUCUCACAUCAACUAGGCGUAUCAACGGGCUAUGGAGAUGCCCAUCAAUAGAUAUCAAUGUGAGUGAGUAGGGAUUGCCAUGCAACGGAUGCACUGGAGCUAUAAGUGUAUGAAAGCUCCAACUGAAACUAAGUGGGUGUGCAUCCAACUUGCUUGCUCAUGAAGACCUUGGGCAUUUGAGGAAGCCCACCAUCGGAAUAUACAAGCCAAGUUCUAUAAUGAAAAUUCCCACUAGUAUAUGAAAGUGAUAACUCAAGAGACUCUCUAUAUGAAGAACAUGGUGCUACUUUGAAGCACAAGUGUGGAAAAAGGAUAGUAGCACUGCCCCUUCUCUCUUUUUCUCUCAUUUUUUUAUUUUUUUUAUUUUUUGGUGGGAUUCUUUGGCCUCUUUUUUUAUUUGGGCUUCUUUGGCCUCUUUUCUUUUUUUGUAAAGUCCGGAGUCUCAUCCCGACUUCUGGGGGAAUCAUAGUCUCCAUCAUCCUUUCCUCACUGGGGCAAUGCUCUAAUAAUGAUGAUCAUCACACUUUUAUUUACUUACAACUCAAUAUUACAACUCGAUACUAGAACAAAGAUAUGACUCUAUAUGAAUGCCUCCGGCGGUGUACCGGGAUGUGCAAUGAUCUAGCGUAGCAAUGACAUCUAAAAACAGACAAGCCAUGGAAACAUCAUGCUAGCUAUCUUACGAUCAUGCAAAGCAAUAUGACAAUGAAUGCUCAAGUUAUGUAUAUGAUGACAAUGGAAGUUGCAUGGCAAUAUAUCUCAGAAUGGCUAUGGAAAUGCCAUGAUAGGUAGGUAUGGUGGCUGUUUUGAGGAAGGUAUAUGGUGGGUUUAUGGUACCGGCGAACGUUGCGCGAUACUAGAGAGGCUAGCAAUGGUGUAAGGGUGAGAGUGCGUAUAAUCCAUGGACUCAACAUUAGUCAUAAAUAACUCAUAUACUUAUUGCAAAAAUCUAUUAGUCAUCGAAACAAAGUACUACACGCAUGCUCCUAGGGGGAUAGAUUGGUAGGAAAAGACCAUCGCUCGUCCCCGACCGCCACUCAUAAGGAAGACAAUCAAUAAAUAAACCAUGCUCCGACUUCAUCACAUAACGGUUCACCAUACGUGCAUGCUACGGGAAUCACAAACUUCAACACAAGUAUUUCUACAAUCCACAACUACUCACUAGCAUGACUCUAAUAUCACCAUCUUUAUAUCGCAAAACUAUUGCAAGGAAUCAAACAUAUCAUAUUCAGUGAUCUACAAGUUUUAUGUAGGAUUUUAUGACUAACCAUGUGAAUGACCAAUUCCUGUCAUCUCUCUAAAUAGAUAUAAGUGAAGCAAGAGAGUUUAAUUCUUCCUACAAAAGAUAUGUCCACACUCUAACAAAUCUAAGUGAAGCAAAAGAGCAUUCUACAAAUGGCGGUUUUCUAUGUAAAGAGAAACAGGCAAUCCAAACUUCAAAUGAUAUAAGCGAAGCACAUGAAGCAUUCUAUAAAGCCAUACUCAAAAGAUAUAAAUGAAGUGCAUAGAGCAUUCUAUAAAUCAACCAAGGACUAUCUCAUACCAGCAUGGUGCAUAAAAUAAAAAUGAAAACUAAAUGCAAAAGACGCUCCAAGAUUGCACAUAUCGCAUGAACGAAACAAAUCUGAAAACAUACCGAUACUUGUUGAAGAAAGAGGGGAUGCCUUCCGGGGCAUCCCCAAGGUUAUACGCUUGAGUCUCCUUGAAUAUUUACUUGGGGUGCCUCGGGCAUCCCCAAGAUUGAGCUCUUGCCUCUCUUCCUUCUUCUCACAUAAAGACCUUCUCGAUCAUCGAACACUUCAUCCACACAAAACUUCAACAGAAAACUCGGUAAGAUCCGUUAGUAUAAUAAAGCAAAUCACUACUCUAAGUACUGUUGCAAACCAAUUCAUAUUUUGUUUUUGCAUUGUGUCUACUGUAAUAUAACUUUUUCAUGGCUUAAUCCACAGAUAUAAAUUGAUAGUUUCAUCAAAACAAGCAAACUAUGCAUGAAAAACAGCAUCUGUCUAAAACAGAACAGUCUGUAAUAAUCUGAACAUUCACCAUACUUCUGAUGCUUGAAAAAUUAUACAAAAAUUAGGAAAAAUAAAAAAUUUGUAUAGGAAGACAGUGCAAAAAUAGUCAGAACUAUUUGACGUUCCAGCUAAAAAUGUAAAAUCGCGCACUACAGACAAAGUUUCUGUCCUGCACCGUACAAACCAUCAAGCAAAUGUAAACAUCCUAAAGGCAAACCUUGGCACAUUAUUUUUAUAAUACAAUUGAAUUGUUCAAGGGGAUAAUUAUUUUUGUUGAAAAUUUUCUGUAAUCAAGAUUCAAAAAGUUUCCGUGAGCAUGAACAAAGUCCAAGGCUAGCUCCCACUUCAACAAUGCUUGUCUCUCUCACUUUCACUUUCCUUUUUGAAAAAGAUUUGGGUUCCCCUCUAUGUUUUUUUUAAACUAUAUGAAAGCACUCAACAGAAAUAAAUGACUCUCUAAAACUUCCGGGUUGUCUCCCUGGCAGCGCUUUCUUUAAAGCCAUUAAGCUAGGCAUAUAGUGCUCAAGUAAUGGAUCCACCCGGCUCCCAAGGUAUAUCAAAGCCAAUUUUAAUUAACAAUGAUUUGUAAUUUAGUGGUGAGCACAAGGUAACAUAUAUCAUGUAAUGACGAAGUCUAACUCUCUUCCUAUGCAUCGGCAUGUCAUAAAAGAACAAUUCAUGCACACAUAGUAAAGGCCAAUGCAUAGUGUAAACAGUUUCUUGCAAUUUUGUCAUAUUGGAAACAUAGAGAGGUGGAGAUAUAGUUCCUCUCUCAUAAUAAUUGCAAGUAGGAGCAGAAAGCACAUGCAUAUUAUAUUCAUCAAAAUCAUCAUGUGAAACGGUAAAAGGCAACCCAUCAAUAUAAAUCCUUAAUAAGUGCAAACUUCUCCGAUAUAGUGUAGCCAGGAGAAUUCAAAAAGAUAAUAGGACUAUCAUGCAUGGGUGCAAUAGAAAUAAUUUCAUAUUUAACAUAAGGAACUAUAGCAAGUUCAUCUCCAUAAGCAUAAUUCAUAUUGGCAUCUUGGCCACAAGCAUAGCAAGCAUCAUCAAAAAGGGAUAUUUCAAAAGAAUCAACGGGAUCAUAACAAUCAUCAUAGCAAUCAUCCUCCGGUAAGCACGAAGGGAAAUUAAAUAAUGUAUGAGUUGAAGAGUUACUCUCAUUAUAAGGUGGGCAUGGGUAGCUAAUCCGCUCUUCCUCCUUUUGUUCUUCGCUCUCCUCAUCAUCUUUUUCAUCUGAUGAGCUCACAAUUUCAUCAAUUUCUUCUUCCAUAGAUUCUUGCAAAAUAUUAGUCUCUUCUUGGACAGCGGAGACUUUCUUAAUAAGCACAUUAAUUUCGUAAUUGUAUUCAUAAUUCUCAUAACAAUAUUUCAGGACAGCUAAAUUUUCAGGUCUAUAAACAACAUCAUCAAAAUCUUCAAACUCUUUAAACAUAGAUUCAAUUUCAUAAGCACCCUUAAAAGCAACAAAUUCUUCUAUUUGUUUCACAUCAUAGUAAUCAUAUAUACCAUUAGCAUAAGAAGCUAAGGUUUCAUUAUCAUUAAAUUUGCAUAAAAAGGGAAGGUGUGGAGCCUUCAUCCUAGAGCAAAAAGUAUAAUCAUAACUCAAGCAUACUUGCCGAGCAUACCACUUCAAUAUAUGAAUUUGAUCCCAUAAUAGUUUCCCUUUUUGUGUCAAGCGGUAAUCCCUAAAGUAUUCAUGUUGAUCCAACGUUACUCCCAUUACAUAAUUGAAUGGGGUUUUCUCAGGAUUAUUAAAGUAGUACAUAAUAUCUUCCACAUAACCAGCAUUGAGGUUUUAGGAGGUUACCCAUCUCCAUGAGUAGCAAGUACACCUAAUUUUUUUGGUAUUUCGUGUUCCAUAUCCAUAACUAAAGAUAAAGAACAACUAAGAACAACAAAUAAAAAAUACCUAGUGAUAAAGCAAACAAGCACACACGAGAAUAUUCACCCCACGCUAUUGCUCCCCGGCAAUGGCGCCAUAAAAAGGUCUUGAUAACCCACAAGUAUAGGGGAUCGCAAUAGUUUUUGAUAAGUAAGUGUUUUGAACCCAACGAGGAGCUAAAGGUAGAACAAAUAUUCCCUCAAGUUCUACCGACCAACGAUAUAACUCUAUGCACGCUUGACAUUAGCUUUACCUAGAACAAGUAUGAAACUAGAAGUACUUUGUAGGUGUUGUUGGAUAGGUUUGCAAGAUAAUGAAGAGUACGUAAAUAAAAAGUAGGUGCUGUUUAGAUAAAGAAACAAUAAAGUAAAUAUAGCAAGUGUGGAAAAGUGGUGGUAGGAGUUGCAAAAUUGCCCCUAAGCAAUUGACUACUUUACUAGACCGAUAGCAAGUAUUAUGUGGGAGAGGCCACUGCUAGCAUGUCAUCCCUGACUUGGAAUUCUAUGCACUUAUGAUUGGAACUAUUAAGAAGCAUCCGCAACUGCUAAUGUUCAUUAAGGUAAAACCCAACCAUAGCAUUAAGAUAUAUUGGUCCCCCUUCAAUCCCGUAUGCAUCAAUUUCUAUGCUAGGUUGAAGCUUCUGUCACUCUUGCCCUCCAAUACAUAGUCCUAUCAACAUACAACUAACCCUAGGGUGUGAUCCACGUGCGCAAUCAUAUGAUGGGCACCAAAGGACAGCAACAUAACCAAAAGCAAAUUAAAUCAAUCAUAGCAGUUCAUCAACCACCAAUAGGACAACGAAAAUCUACUCAGACAUCAUAGGAUGGCAACACAUCAUUGGAUAAUAAUAUGAGGCAUAAAGCACCAUGUUCAAGUAGAUUAUACAGCGGGUUGCGGGAGAGUGGACCGCUGUAGAUAGAGGGGGGAAGGUGAUGGAGAUGUUGGUGAAGAUGGCGGAGGUGUUGGUGUAGAUCGCGGUGAUGAUGAUGGCCCCCGGCGGUGUUCCGGCGCCACCGGAAGCGAGGGGGAGAGAGCCCCCUCCUUCUUCUUCUUCCUUGACCUUCUUCCUAGAUGGGAGAAGGGUUUCCCCUCUGGUCCAUGGCCUCCAUGGCACGGGAGGGGCGAGAGCCCCUCCAAGAUUGGAUCUGUCUCUCUGUCUCUCUCUGUUUCUGCGUUUUGUUCUGCUGCCCUUUCCCGUUUCUUUUAUAUCCGGAGAUCCGUAACUCCGGUUGGAACGAAACCUUCGCCAUGAUUUUUUUCCAAAAAUUAGCUUUCUUGCGGUCGAAGAAGGGAGUCAACCGCCUUACAGGUGGGUCACGAGGGUCAGGGGCGCGCCUUAGGGGGGGCCCUACCUCGUGCCCACCUCGGACACUGGUUCGCGUUGAUUUUUCCUCCAGAUUUUCCAAAUAUUCCAAAAAGUGGCUCUGUCCGUUUUUAUCCCAUUUGGACUCCGUUUGAUAUGGAUAUUCUGCGAAACCAGAAACAUGCAACAGACAUGAACUGGGACUGGGCACUGGAUCAAUAUGUUAGUCCCAAAAAUAGUAUAAAAAGUUGCCAAAAGUACAUGAAAGUUGAAUAAUAUUGGCAUGGAACAAUCAAAAAAUAUAGAUACGACGGAGACGUAUCACGAUGGCACCCCAAGAUAAUCUAAGGACAUCUAAAAGCCAAAGCUUGGGGAUACCGCGGAAGGCAUCCCCUCUUUCGUCUACUUCUAUCGGUAACUUUACUUGGAGCUAUAUUUUUAUUUAGCACAUGAUAUGUGUUUUUCUUGGAGCGUAUUGUAUGAUUUGAGUCUUUGCUUGUUAGUUUACCACAAUCAUCCUUGUUGUACACACCUUUUGAGAGAGCCAUACAUGAUUUGGAAUUUGUUAGAAUACUCUAUGUGCUUCACUUAUAUCUUUUGAGUUAUAUAAUUUUGCUCUAGUGCUUCACUUAUAUCUUUUAGAGCACGGUGGUGGAUUUGUUUUAUAGAAACUAUUGAUCUCUCAUGCUUCACUUAGAUUAUUUUGAGAGUCUUAAUAGCAUGGUAAUUUGCUUAAAAUCCUAAUAUGCUGGGUAUGCAAGAUUAAUAAUAAAACUUUCUUAUGAGUGUGUUGAAUACUAAGAGAAGUUUGAUGCUUGAUGAUUGAUUUGAGACAUGGAGGUAAUAAUAUCAAAGUCAUGCUAGUUGAGUAGUUGUGAAAUUGAGAAAUACUUGUGUUGAGGUUUGCAAGUCCCGUAGCAUGCAUGUAUGGUAAACGUUAUGCAACAAAUUUGAAACAUGAGGUGUUAUUUGAUUGUCUUCCUUAUGAGUGGCGGUCGGGGAUGAGCGAUGGUCUUUUCCUACCAAUCUAUCCCCCCUAGGAGCAUGCGCGUAGUACCGAGGUUUUUGAUGACUUGUAGAUUUUUGCAAUAAGUAUGUGAGUUCUUUACGACUAAUGUUGAGUCCAUGGAUUAUACGCACUCUCACCCUUCCAUCCUUGCUAGCCUCUUCGGUACCGUGCAUUGCCCUUUCUCACAUUGAGAGUUGGCGCAAACUUCGCCGGUGCAUCCAAACCCCGUGAUAUGAUAUGCUCUUUCACACAUAAACCUCCUUAUAUCUUCCUCAAAACAGCCACCAUACCUACCUAUUAUGGCAUUUCCAUAUCCAUUCUGAGAUAUAUUGCCAUGCAACUUUCCAUCAUUCCGUUCAUCAUGACACAUUCAUCAUUGUCAUAUUGCUUAGCAUGGUCAUGUAGUUGACAUAGUAUUUGUGGCAAGGCCACCAUUCAUAAUUCUUUCAUACAUGUCACUCUUGGUCCAUUGCAUAUCCCGGUACACUGCCGGAGGCAUUCAUAUAGAGUCAUCUUUGUUCUAGUAUCGAGUUGUAAUCAUUGAGUUGUAAAUAAAUAGAAGUGUGUGAUCAUCAUUUUCUAGAGCAUUGUCCCAUGUGAGGAAUAAAUAAAUAAGAAAAAGGGGAGAAAGGCCAUAAAAAAAGAGAAGGCCCAAAAAAAGAAGAGAAAGGCCAUAAAAAGGCCAAAAAAAGAAAAUGAGAGAAAAAGAUAGAAGGGACAAUGUUACUACCCUUUGCCACACUUGUGCUUCAAAGUAGCACCAUGAUCUUCAUAGUAGAGAGUCUCUCAUGUUAUCACUUUCAUAUACUAGUGGGAAUUUUUCAUUAUAGAACUUGGCUUGUAUAUUCCAACAAUGGGCCUCCUCAAGUGCCCUAGGUCUUCGUGAGCAAGCAAGUUGGAUGCACACCCACUAGUUUCUUUUGUUGAUCUUUCAUACAUUUAUAGCUCUAGUGCAUCCAUUGCAUGGCAAUCCCUACUCCUUGCAUUAACAUCAAUCGGUGGGCAUCUCCAUAGCCCAUUGAUUAGCCUCAUUGAUGUGAGACUUUCUCUCUUUUUUGUCUUCUCCACAUAACCCCCCUAAUUAUAUUCUAUUCCACCUAUAGUGCUAUGUCCAUGGCUCGCGCUCAUAUAUUGCGUGAAAGUUUAUAGGUUUGAGAUUAAUAAAGUAUGAAACAAUUGCUUGGCUUGUCAUCGGGGUUGUGCAUGAUGAUAGCAUUCUUGUGUGAUGAAAAUGAAACAUCACUAAACCAUAUGAUUUUGUAGGGAUGAACUUUCUUUGGCCAUGUUAUUUUGAGAAGACAUAAUUGCUUAGUUAGUAUGCUUGAAGUAUUAUCAUUUUUAUGUCAAUAUGAAAUUUUUUCUUGAAUCUUUCGGAUAUGAAUAUUCAUACCACAAUUAAGCAGAACUACAUUAAAAUUAUGCCAAGUAGCACUCCGCAUCAAAGAUUCUGUUUUUAUCUUUUACCUACUUGAGGACGAGCAGGAAUUAAGCUUGGGGAUGCUUAAUACGUCUCCAACGUAUCUAUAAUUUUUUAUUGCUCCAUGCUAUAUUAUCUACUGUUUUGGACAUUAUUGGGCUUUAUUUUCCACUUUUAUAUUAUUUUUGGGACUAACCUAUUAACCGGAGGCCCAGCCCAGAAUUGCUGUUUUUGCCUGUUUUAGGGUUUCGAAGAAAAGGAAUAUCGAACGGAGCCCAAACGGAAUGAAACCUUCGGGAACGUGAUUUUCUCAUCGAAUACAACUCAGGAGACUUGGACCCUACGUCAAGCCACGUAACAGGAGGCCACGAGGUAGGGGGGCGUGCCUACCUCCCACCCAGGCGCGCCCUCCACCCUCGUGGGCCCCCUGUUGCUCCACCGACGUACUUCUUCCUCCUAUAUAUACCCACGUACCCUCCAACGAUCAGAUACGGAGCCAAAACCCAAAUUCCAUCGCCCUAGCUUUCUGUAUCCAUGAGAUCCCAUGUUGGGGCCUAUUCCAGAGCUCCACCGGAGGGGGCAUCGAUCAUGGAGGGCUUCUACAUCAACACCAUAGCCCCUUCGAUGAAGUGUGAGUAGUUUACUUCAGACCUACGGGUCCAUAGUUAGUAGCUAGAUGGCUUCUUCUCUCUUUUUGGAUCUCAAUACAAUGUUCUCCCCCUCUCUUGUGGAGAUCUAUUCGAUGUAAUCUCCUUUUUGCGGUGUGUUUGUUGAGACCGAUGAAUUGUGGGUUUAUGAUCAAGUCUAUCUAUGAAUAAUAUUUGAAUCUUCUCUGAAUUCUUUUAUGUAUGAUUGAUUAUCUUUGCAAGUUUCUUCGAAUUAUCAGUUUGGUUUGGCCUACUAGAUUGAUCUUUCUUGCAAUGGGAGAAGUGCUUAGCUUUGGGUUCAAUCUUGUGGUGUCCUUUCCCGGUGAUAGUAAGGGCAGCAAGGCACGUAUUGUAUUGUUGCCAUCGAGGAUAACAAGAUGGGGUUUUCUUCAUAUUGCAUGAGUCCAUCCCUCUACAUCAUGUCAUGUUGCUUAAGGCGUUACUCUGUUUUUAACUUAAUACUCUAGAUGCAUGCUGGAUAGCGGUCGAUGAGUGGAGUAAUAGUAGUAGAUGCAGGCAGGAGUUGGUCUACUUGUCUCGGACAAGAAGCCACUAGUGAAGCCUAUGGCCCCCGGGUCUAUCUUUAUCAUAUCAAUCUCCUACUACUUAGUCAUUUACUUUGCCUUUAUUUUACUUUGCAUCUUUAUCAUAAAAAUACCAAAAAUAUUAUCUUAUCAUAUCUAUCAGAUCUCACUCUCGUAAGUGGCCCUAUAGGGAUUGACAACCCCUAUUUGCGUUGGUUGCGAGGAUUUAUUUGUUUUGUGCAGGUACGAGGGACUCGCGCGUAGCCUCCUACUGGAUUGAUACCUUGGUUCUCAAAAACUGAGGGAAAUACUUACGCUACUUUGCUGCAUCAUCCCUUCCUCUUCGGGGAAAACCAACACAGUGCUAAAAGAGGUAGCAGUUGCGGAUGAUUCCAAUUACCUGGCCAUUUGCGGUCUGGGGGCUUGACAUGGUUAGACCUUUCAAAAGUUCUAAGGAUAGAAAGACACAUCUUUUAGUAGCAAUUGACAAAUUCACAAAGUGGGUGAGGCGGAGCCAGUGAGUAAGUGUGAUGCAGCCACGGCGGUUCAGUUCAUGAAAAAGGUGAUCUUUCUCUUAGGUUUUCCACACAACAUUAUCACUGACAAUGGCACUAAUUUAUCCCAAGGGGCUAUGGAGGAGUUUUGUCAACGUGAGCAUAUCCGGCUUGGUGUUUCUUCUGUAGCUCACCCUCAAUCUAAUGGGCAGGCUGAGAGAGCAAAUCAGGAAAUCUUAAAAGGUCUCAAGCCCCGGCUCAUGGUGCCCUUACAACGGACGCCGGGUUGCUGGGUAGAGGAGUUACCCUCGGUAUUGUGGAGUAUUAACACCACCCCUAACAGAUCUACGGGUUAUACACCCUUCUUCAUGGUUUAUGGAGCGGAAGCAGUGCUACCUAGUGACAUCCGUCAUGACUUGCCUCGUGUGGCGGCUUAUGUUGAAACUAAUAACGAACAAGGCAGCUAGGAUGCGCUUGACUUGUUAUAUGAGGAAAGAGACUUAGCAGCGGCUCGAUCAGCAAUUUAUCAACAUGACCUGCGCCGCUAUCACAGCCGUCGGGUUAAGUCCAGGACUUUUCAAGAAGGUGACCUGGUGCUCCGGCUCAUCCAAGAUCUGUCAGAUGCGCACAAGCUAUCCCCGCCUUGGGAAGGACCCUUUGUGGCCAGCAGGAACUUAACCAACGGGUCAUAUUACCUCAUUGACGUUCGAGAGCACAAAGACUCACGUAAGUCGGAGGAGGAGACUCGCUGGCCGUGGAACAUUGCUCAACUUCGGCCAUACUACACCUGAGCCACCGGCUCUCAUCAUGUACAUACUUUGACGUUGUAUAUACUAUGAUAAGUAAUAAAGCAGGACCUCUGUCCUUUUCCUUUUCAAAGAUUAUAUAUCUUUACUCUUUUUCACUAUUUAAAAUGACUAUUAAGGAGCUGAUCAUAUUGAAUCAAGUCUAACCUUUUUGGUCCGGCUUAUGAUCGUAUUCGAAUCUAGCUGUAAACCUCAUGAUCACUUGGGGCUUCCUGUUCAAACAUAGGUCGUAUUCGAACCAAACAGAACAUAGCUGUCAUAACCCUCUUGAUCGGCUUAAAGCCAAACUCACCAGGGGGCUUCUUGAUCAUAUCUGGAUCAUAACUUAACCCCUUUUGGGUCCGACUUGGAUCGUAUUAGAAUCAGGGUCGUUAAAAACCUCUCAAGAUCAUUUGGGGGCUUCCUGUUCAAACAUAGGUCAUAUUCGAACCAAAGAGAACAUAGCUGUCGGUACCCUCUUGAUCGGCGCAACGCCAAAGCCACUGGGGGCUAUAUGAUCGUAUUCGAAUCUUAGCUUAACCCCUUUGGUCCGGUUUACUGAUCGUAUUCGAAUCAGAAACCCCCAACCUUUAGUUACAAGGUUAAUUAUAUUGUUUGCCACCUGUUAUUUGUCUUUUAUUGUCUCAAUUUUAAACAAUCAGCAUGGUCUUUUUGCCGGCUUGACUAUUUGACAAUAAGCCGCCAAGGCAUGAUAAUCACCAGGCAUUCAGAAGCCUUGACUUCUCAAAAGGACUGGAUCUUCAACCUCAUCACCCGGGUCAUAUAAACCGGUGGUCCAGAGGUCAAAGAUACAGGUAUGACUGUUGUUUAUGAACAGUUUCUUUAUGUGUUAAGCCAAGGUUAUUUCAACCUUGUUUAUUUUCACGUCUAGUUCUGUUCUUCUACUAUGAUAAAACCAUUGGUCAUGUACCGGGUAUUCUGACCCGUUCGGUGCUAAACCGCCAAGCAAGUUUUUUCUUUGCUACAAGAACAGAGCUGAAACAUUACAAAGAUAACCAUGAAUGUGACGCAUAUAUUGAAAUCAAGAAGCAAAGAGUCACAAACAGCAUGUUAUGCACGAUGGCAUAGGUAAAAUAUGCAGUUGUUUCAAGCUAAUUCUAUUACAAGGCUUUCAAGAGCCCAUAAAGAUGGUUCUCACUCUUCCCUUGCCGGUUCACCUCCUUCUGUUAAUUGAAAGCUGGGAUUGGACCAGUCAAAGUCGUUCACGGCGAUGAACUCUGAUUCAUCAUCAAUCAGGCUAGCCGGAUCAACUUCUAGAGCAAACGUAUGUUGACGAACCGGCGUGAGAAGGUCUGUCACCUUGUAAGAGGGAGUCGCGAUCUUCUUAUUCUCCAAAUCAAAACCCGGCUGAUAUUUGUCAAUAUUGGUUUCAUCUCCAAGAAUAGUAGCCUGAGGUCGAACUUCCCUCACGCAAGCAACAAAGUCAUCUUGCUCAAACAGAGACCCGUCUUCCUUCACGGUAGGGUACCCCCUGGCUACGUCCGCUGGGUCUAGAUCUGGCACCCAAGCCUUGGAACGGCUCAGAGCAGUCAAGGCUCCGGCUCUAGCACAUGAUCGUUUGAACUCUUGGAACCUGGCGGGUAAGAUUGACAAUUUCUUCAAAACGUCGCUCAGCCGAUUGGGUCCUUGGUUGGCAGGGGAGAUGGUGGCAAGUGAUCGUUGAGCGCCGGUAUACAAUUGCUCUACUAAUGUAUAAACCGCCUUCAGCUUGAUCACGCUGUCUUGGCUUAGAUUUUUGCUUCGAGGACCUGCGAAGUGUUUUUAUACAGAGGCUCAUCAGGCGGUUCAUAUUCCAGGUCAAAAAGAAGGUAUAAGUGAUUAAACACAGAUAACUUACCAAAGAUGGCGGAGACCAUUUGAGACACCCGGCUCUUUAAACCAGUAAGCUCGGUGGUAACCUCCUCAAGAGCCGAUUCAGCUUUUUCAGCAUGUUGGAUAGCAGUGUCUUUUCUUCAGCCCAGGAUUUCUUCUUGGCCGUCAAACUGGUCUUCAAUUUCUCUGUCUCAAAAAGACUUAGUUGGAGUUUAGUGUCUCUGUCUCUUGUUCCGUCAGCCGGGUCUUUGCUUCAGUUAAUUGAGAGCCCAAUUCAGAUAGGGCGUUCUGCAAAACGUAUACAGGUGUGUCAAAACUUAAACUUCAGAUUCAAGUCUCAAGUACUAUGCACUGCAAGACCACUUGACACUUGGGGGCUAAUGUCUGCCAAAACAAUUUUUUACGACUCUUAUAUAUUUCAAGUCCCAAGUGCCUUACAAAGUAACAUCACUUGGCACUUGGGGGCUAAUGUAUGAUAUUCAGAAAGUUAUUCAAUAUUAAGCCGAAUUACAAUGCUUAUUGGGACAAUUCUGAAGUUAAGCACCGGUUCAUUUUGAUCCAUUGAGCCGGCCCUUGGGGACUAUAGGUGAAGUUUAUACUAUUUUAUUGGACUUUAGGAAAAUCUAAAGGUAAAGCUUUAGCCUAUAUCAUAAGUCUACAGAUCAUUCAGGUUUUAUCAUAUUCUAAAGACUUGGGGGAUGGCAGAAUAUAAGUAAGCCGGAAGAACAUACCUCAUACUUCAGCUGCAAUUGCUUCACCAUCUCGAUUUCCGAGUCACGGAUAGAGUGCACAUGGAUGAGAUAGCCAGACAAUAUUUCAUUGGCGUUCAGAUGGUUGUAGUGAGAAACAUCAAAACGCACUUUCUGUCUCUCUAGGGCCUCUUGUUUAGCGGUGUGACGAGCUAACACGGUGGGAGUCCCCGGCUCAACAAAACGGCUCCCAGUGAUCAGAACGUCAUGGGAAGACGAUGAUGGCGGGUUAGCCGAGCUGGACGGUCCGGUAGUAGAGGGUUUAACGAUGGUAUCGUCAGCUGACGGCUUAGGAGGAUCUAAUUAAGCAUUGGCAGCCGGGUCUUCUGGUGCUUCAGUUUGAGGGGGAGAAGGUGGCAUGGCCGGUUCAGGCGCAAGGACUGACGGGUCUUUCGCCGGCUUAGUCACCUUGGCUUCUUGGACUUAGCUUGGCCACUAAGAAAGAUGUUAUGAGACUGUCAAUAUAAAGUUGCAGUUUGAGAAACACGGAGGAAAGAUGAUUGUUUCCUUACCCAGGGGCAGUUUUGAAGGCCGGAAAUUGUGUCUGAGAGGAGUCGUCAGAAGAGCGAGAAACCUCCUUCAAAGGGCAAAUAAUGUCAGUAGCACAAGAGAAUAUAUUCAUUAAUGAAUGCUGAAGAGGAAUAUAAAAGAGACCUUAUUUUGGCGUUUUUAGGUGUUUGUUGUACAAUAGGAGGCGGCUCAUCAUCGUUCCGGGCUUGACGACGGCUCUCGUGUUGUUGCUUUUUCAAAAGAAAAUGAGGAUCCAAAUAAGCCAAAGGGUACGAAAACCUUACUUUCCGGGUUACCCGUCGAAGUUUCUGUCUCGGCAAAUGGUGUGAGUCGGAGGAAAUAAUUACCUCUUCUUCUCCGGCCUGGCUGGCCCCCGUGUCGUCGUGGCAAUAAUUAGUGUCAAUAAGGUUACUCAAAAACUGGCCAAGGGAGUCAAGGGCUACCUCCGACUCAGAAGUAUCAUCGUCAAGCUUUAACAGAUCCUCAUCGGUGGUCUUCUUCUUCUUCUUCGACCUCCGGGUCGUUUUCUUGGCAGCCAUGGCGGCGGCUCUAACCUUCUUGGCGGCUUCAUGGUCAUACUUGGCUUUCCAGAAAUAAGAUUUGGCCUGUAAACAAAUAAACAAGAUGAAAGGUCAUGCAGGUAUUUAAAACGGCUGAGAAAAAUACAAAGAGAGAGGUUAGAGGUUCUUUACCUCUGGUGCUGGGUUAAGUUUGCAGAACGGGUUUAACCCGACUUUACUGCAGUCUUCAUACUUGCCGUUCACCAGAAGAGUUGACAUUGAAACAAUAUCUUCUUCAGUAACUUGAACGGAGCUGUGAUGAAGAAAGUCAUUUGGGCCACCAGCAUAUUCAUACAUCAAUUUGGAUCGGCAGCUUAGAGGGAUGACCCUCCAUGAGACCCAGGAAUGGGUCAAGUCAACUCUGGUUAAGCCGUUCCCCAAUAAGGCAUUAAUCCUUUUGAUUGAUGGCAUAAGGUUCUUGCAUUCAGCGGCAGUGAGUUUGUCAGGAAGCGCAAACUUGGAGUCAAGACGAUCUGCGCGAUAACCCGGCAGUGGCGUCUCAUUUGCUGGUGAAGUGUCUUGACAAUAGAACCAAGUCUGAUUCCAGUCUUUGGGAUGACUCGGCAAGACUAUUAGAGGGAAGACGGCACCCUGUCGAUGCUGAAUUGAGAGGCCUCCAAGUUCAAAGCUAGGGUCAUUGGUACACUCGUUCUGGUGGUUCAGAUAAAAAUACUCUCUAAAGAGGUCCAUAGUCGGUUCUUCUUGAAGGUACACCUCACAGAGAACUUGGAAACUGCAGAUAUUGGAUAUGGAGUUGGGCCCGAGAUCUUGAGGGUGUAGUUUGAAAAAAAUGGAGGACAUCUCUGAAGAACUUUGAGCCGGGUGGUGAAAAGCCACGAUUCAUGUGGUCAGAAAAGACAAUGACUUCACCAUCUUUUGGAUUGGGUCGUUCCUCGUCCGGGUCAGGUGCACGGUAAGACAUAACAUUCUUCCAUGGAAAAAAAUCCUAUGGAGAAGAAGUCCUUCAAAUUUUCCUCAGUCACUGUUGAGGGAACCCGGUUGCAGAUAGUCGGUGCUUUGGACGGCAUGAUGUUCCAAAGACGAACUGAAAAGAAAGAAACAUGCCGGUUCAAUUCAAUGAUAAUGGUGAAAUUAAGUGAUGAUGGUACAGGGGAGUAAUGGUGGCUUAAGUAAGGGCUAAUGUCAUAUAAGGAAAAGUAAGCCGGCGCAAUAAGCCGCCAUGACUACAGAUUUUGAGAAAGCAGAUUCGGCUAAGUGUUGAGACAAACAAGUUUCCUAAUUGUUUGAUAUUAUUCCAGAUCAAAUGGCUAUUUAAAAUGGAAAAAAUUCUAGACCUAAAAGUUUAGCGCAGGUGAGUUUGUGAGUCCUAAUGAGGCCUUUAUACUGGGAAAAGGGAUCUACUAGUAUCAAGAGUAGGCACAAAACAGCUACCGCACAAGCAUAUAUCUCUUUUUGGAUCAAGAAGAGGUUGCAGGGGAAGAACUACGAAGAAACUGCGAUGAACUACGAAGAACAUGCAGAAACCUAGAAAGCCCUAAUGCAGAUCUGAGGAGCAAGAAGGGAAACGCUUACAGCCACAGAUCUUCCAUGGAGAGUUGCUGCCGUUCUCUCGACUGAUUCUGGUCGAUGCAGCGGCCAAAGUCGAUGGAGGUGAGGUGCUCUCUGACGGUGGCGGAGCUCGAGCCGGAGCGGGGGUUGCGAGAAGAAGAAGACGAAGAAGAGAGAAGAAUGAGAAAGACCGGGGCGUGCCUAUUUAUAAGGGGAUAAGCGAACAGGCGGGUGCAAAAUUCGAGGAAGACCCGAAUAAUGAUUAUCCAACUAAACGGACGCCUCGAUUCUCGGAAGGCAUUAAAGAAUAAAGAUCCGUUGAGAGAUGACGUCAUAAAAGUUUUUCGUGUUUUCAAGAAAUGACGUCAUGGCGGGUUACAAAUUUUUUUGCGAAGAAAGGAAGAUGGAUUUUGUCUAAGUAUUGAAGAUUGACAAAGAACAAAGUUCAAAGUCAACCUGGGGCCUAACGUUGGGGAUAUAGCUACCAGGUAUGACCCGCCGAGGAGGGGCCGGGUCAGCCCCAAUGGCGGGUCACAAAGAAAGCCCAGUAAACAUUCAAGGCGAUAGUUUGUUAAGGCUUAUAGAAGGCCUAAGCCCAGAGGCAGCUUAAGGCCCAAUAUUGUAAACCGCCGUAUGCAAGGAAAGACUUGUAAGGAAAGGCAUAUAAAAGAAGUCACCGAGCCGGACAUGCUUUAUGAGCCGACCGGGACUUUGUAGGACGCCAGGCGUCAACCCGUGUAUAUAAGGGGACGACCCGGUGGCGGCUUAGGGCAAGAAACAAGAAAUCGAUAACCAAGCCGGCGGAUUAGCCUCUUGGUGAUCGAAACCCCAGCAAUUCCAACAUAACUAGACGUAGGCUUUUACUUUCAUCGUAAGGGGCCGAACUAGUAUAAACCUCUUGUGUCCCUUGUCCCGAUUAACCCCAUUAAGCUUCCUGGUUGCGAUGGCCCUACGAGUAAGUCCUUUUGCUAGGACAUCUGCCGUGACAAUUCCAUGACAAAACCCGACAAAAAACAUAAAGUGACAUCUUCUUAACCACAUCAUAUAAAUGAAACUCUACUAAAGGAGGUGAUUCCCUAGGAUAAUAGUAGAAGUUUUGCACAAAAGUAUUGGUGAGUAAGAGAUACUGUUCGCGUUGGUCGCGGAGGAAGUCGAUAAGGCCUGCAUUCUUAGCCAAUUCAUAAAAAUCCUCAUAAAUGCCGGUUGCUCUGAAGAAUUCAUCGGAGGGCCAUUCACACGGCCUAACCUCCGCGGUGCGAGGCAAAUUAUAUUUGGGCUUCAUUGCUUCUUCAUUUUGCUUUUCCUUCGAGCUUCGGCUCGAUGAGCCCCUCAAAAAUCUCUUCACUAUUCUCUGAAAAAUUCUGAAAUUUUUAGUAACUUCAAAAUAAAAGUGAACCAAACUCAACAAAAUUGAUAGCAACUACUCAUACAAGUGCUUAGAGCUUAUAUCAUGCAUCAAAACUACUUGGAACCAUAUAAAUUUGACAUGCAAGCUCAAGAACAUUGUCACCUAGGCAGCACAAAUUUGCAAUGAAUAAAGCACUAGAACAAAAACUAAUUGGACCAAUGGAGGAGUCACAUACCAAGGAACAAUAUCCCCAAGCAGUUUUGUGAGAGGUGCUUUGAGCAAGGAGAUCGAAAAUGGCAGCAAAAUGAGCUUGGACUCGGGUUUGAGCUGGAUAUUGGUGUUUGUGGGAGGAAGAAGGAGUGUGUGGGUGCAAGGAUAAUUGGAGGAGGGCCACCAUGGGCCCACGAGGCAGGGGGCGCGCCCAGGGGGUAGGACGCGCCCCUGACCCUCGUGGCCAGGUGCCAGCUCCUCUUGCUGUGUUCUCAGUGCCAAAUAUUCUCAAAUAUUCCAGAAAAACUCAUAUUUAAAUUUCAGGGCAUUUGGAGAACUUUUAUUUUCGGGGUAUUUUUAUAUUGCAUGGAUAAUUCAGAAAACAGACAGAAAAUACUUUUUUUAUUUUAUUUAAUAUAAAUAACAGAAAGUAAAAAUGGGGUACAGAAGGUUGUGCCUUCUAGUUUCAUCCAUCUCAUGCUCAUCAAAAGGAAUCCACUAAAAAGGUUGAUCAAGUCUUGUUAACGAACUCAUUCCGAAUAACAUGGAACCGGAGAAAUUUCAAAUAACACUAUGUUACCUCAACGGGGAUGUGCACAUCCCCAACAAUAAGAAUAUCAUAUUUCUUCUUAACAGUAGGAAGAGGAAAUUCAAAACCUCCAAAAAUAAUCGAUGGAAUUUUUCCAAUAGAAUUGAUACUAUGGACUUGAGGUUGUUUCCUCGGAAAGUGUACCGUAUGCUCAUUACCAUUAACAUGAAAAUUGACAUUGCCUUUGGUGCAAUCAAUAAAAGCCCCUGCAGUAUUCAAAAAGGGUCUUCCAAGAAUAAUAGACAUACUAUCUUCCUCGGGAAUAUCAAGAAUAACAAAGUCUGUUAAAAUAGUAACGUUUGCAACCACAACAGGCACAUCCUCACAAAUAGCGACAAGUAUAGCAGUUGAUUUGUCAGCCAUUUGCAAAGAUAUUUUAGUAGGUGUCAACUUAUUCAAAUCAAGUCUACGAUAUAAAGAGAGAGGCAUAACACUAACACCGGCUCCAAGAUCACAUAAAGCAGUUUUAACAUAGUUUCUUUUAAUGGAGCAUGGUAUAGUGGGUACUCCUGGAUCUCCAAGUUUCUUUGGUAUUCCACCCUUAAAAGUAUAAUUAGCAAGCAUGGUGGAAAUUUCAGCUUCCGGUAUCUUUCUUUUAUUAGUGAAAAUCUAUUUCAUGUACUUAGCAUACGGAUUCAUUUUGAGCAUAUCAGUUAACCGCAUACGCAAAAACAUAGGUCUAAUCAUUUUAGCAAAGCACUCAAAAUCCUCAUCAUCCUUUUUCUUGGAUGGUUUGGGAGGAAAAGGCAUGGAUUUCUGAACCCAAGCCUCUCUUUCCUUUCCGUGUUUCCUAGCAACAAAGUCUUUCUUAUCAUAACGUUGAUUCUUUGAUUGUGGGUUAUCAAGAUCAAUAGCAGGUUCAAUUUCUACAUCAUUAUCAUUACUAGGUUGGGCAUCAUCAUGAACAUUUUUAUUAACAUUAUCACUAGUUUCAGGUUCAUUACCAGAUUGUGUUUUAGCAUCAGAAAUAGAAAUAUCAUUUGGAUUCUCAGGUGUUUCAGUAAUAGGUUCACUAGAAGCAUGCAAAGUCCUAUCAUUUUUAUUUUUCUUCCUUUUAGAAGGACUAGGUGCAUCUAUAUUAUUUCUCUGAGAAUCUUGCUCAAUUCUCUUAGGGUGGCCUUCAGGAUACAAAGGUUCCUAAGUCAUUGUACCAGUUCUAGUAGCCACUCUAACAAUAUAAUCAUUAUUCUUACUAUUCAAUUCAUUGAGCAAAUCAUUUUGAGCUUUAAGUACUUGUUCUACUUGAGUGGUAACCAUAGAAGCAUGUUUACUAAUAAGUUAAGUUCAACUUUAACAUUAGCCAUAUAAUCACCCAAGUGUUCAAGCAUAUUUGAAUUGUAUUUCAAUUUUCUACCAAAAUAAGCAUUGAAGUCUUCUUGCUUGACCAUAAAUUUAUCAAACUCAUCUAAGCAUGGGCUAGCAAACUUAGUAAAUGGGAUUUCAGCUUUGUCAUAUCUAUAGAGAGAAUUUACCUUUACUACCUGUGUCGGGUUAUCAAGACCAUGAGUUUCUUCAAUAGGUAAUGGAUUAAGAUCAUACGUUUCUUCAACAGGCGGUAAAUUAAGACCGUGUAUUUUUUCAAUAGGAGGUAAAUUCUUAACAUCUUCAGCUUUAAUACCUUUUUCCUUUAUAGAUUUCUUUGCCUCUUGCAUAUCUUCAGGACUGAGAAAUAGAACACCUCUUUUCUUCGGAGUUGGUUUAGGAAUAGGCUUAGGAAGUGUCCAAUUAUUUUCAUUUGUCAACAUAUUAUUCAAGAGAAUUUCAGCUUCAUCCGGUGUUCAUUCCUUGAAAACAGAACCAGCAUAACUAUCCAGGUAAUCUCUAGAAGCAUCGGUUAGUCCAUUAUAAAAGAUAUCAAAUAUUUCAUUUUUCUUAAGAGGAUGAUCAGGCAAAGCAUUAAGUAAUUGGAGAAGCCUCCCCCAAGCUUGUGGGAGACUCUCUUCUUCAAUUUGCACAAAAUUAUAUAUAUCCCUUAAAGUAGCUUGUUUCUUAUGAGCAGGGAAAUAUUUAGCAGAGAAGUAAUAAAUCAUAUCCUGGGGACUACGCACACAACCAGGAUCAAGAGAAUUGAACCAUAUCUUAGCAUCACCCUUUAGUGAAAACGGAAAUAUUUUAAGGAUAUAAAAGUAGCGAGUUCUCUCAUCUUUAGUGAUCAGGGUGGCAAUAUCAUUUAAUUUAGUAAGGUGUGCCACAACAGUUUCAGAUUCAUAGCCAUGAAAAGGAUCAACCAACGUAAUUAAAUCAGGAUCAAUCGAGAAUUCAUAAUCCUUAUCGGUAACACAGAUAGGUGAAGUAGCAAAAGCAGGGUCAGGUUUCAUUCUAGCAUUAAGGGAUUGCUGCUUCCAUUUAGCUAAUAAUUUCUUAAGAUCACUUCUAUCAUUACAAGCAAGAAUAUCUCUAGUAGAUUCUUCAUCCAGAACAUAACUCUCAGGAACAACAAGCAAUUCGUAAGUAUUAGGGGGAGAGUCUUCAUCAUCACUAUCUUCAAUAUAAUCAGUUUCAAUAAUUUCAUUCUCUCUAACCCUAGCAAGUUGUUCAUCAAGAAAUUCACCAAGUGGCACAGUAGUAUCAAGCAUAGAAGUAGUUUCACCAUAAGUAUCAUGCAUAGUAGAAGUGGCGUCAUCAAUAACAUGCGACAUAUCAGAAUGAUUAGCAGAAGCAGGUUUAGGUGUCGCAAGCUUACUCAAAACAGAAGGUGAAUCAAGUGCAGAGCUAGAUGGCAGUUCCUUACCUCCCCUCAUAGUUGAGGGAUAGAUCUUGGUUUUUGGAUCUCUCAAGUUGAGGGAUAAAUCCCAAGUGACUCAAAGAAUAGAGCUAUGCUCCCCGGUAAUGGCGCCAGAAAUUAGUCUUGAUAACCCACAAGUAUAGGGGAUCGCAACCGUUUUCGAGGGUAGAGUAUUCAACCCAAAUUUAUUGAUUCGACACAAGGGGAGCCAAAGAAUAUUCUCAAGUAUUAGCAGCCGAGUUGUCAAUUCAACCACACCUGGAAACUUAAUAUCUGCAGCAAAGUAUUUAGUAGCAAAGUAAUAUGAUAAUACUGGUAACGGUAGCAAAAGGUAAUAGUAGCAAAAGUAGUGUUUUGGGUAUUUUGUAGUGAUGAUAGGAGUAGCAACGGAAAAGUAAAUAAGCGAAGAACAAUAUAUGGAAAGCUCGUAGGCAAUGGAUCAGUGAUGGAUAAUUAUGCCGGAUGUGGUUCAUCAUGUAACAGUCAUAACCUAGGGUGACACAGAACUAGCUCCAAUUCAUCAAUAUAAUGUAGGCAUGUAUUCCGAAUAUAGUCAUACGUGCUUAUGGAAAAGAACUUGCAUGACAUCUUUGUCCUACCCUCCCGUGGUAGCGGGGUCCUAACGGAAACUAAGGGAUAUUAAGGCCUCCUUUUAAUAGAGUACCGGACCAAAGCAUUAACACAUAGUGAAUACAUGAACUCCUCAAACUACGGUCAUCACCGGUAUGUAUCCCGAUUAUCGUCACUUCAGGGUUAACGGAUCAUAACACAUAAUAGGUGAGUAUAGACUUGCAAGAUAGGAUCAAGAACUCUCAUAUAUUGAUGAAAACAUAAUAGGUUCAGAUCUGAAAUCAUGGCACUCGGGCCCUAGUGACAAGCAUUAAGCAUAGGAAAGUCAUAGCAACAUCAAUCUCAGAACAUAGUGGAUACCAGGGAUCAAACCCUAACAAAACUAACUCGAUUACAUGAUAAAUCUCUCCCCUCUCUGGAGCCCCGUACGGACUCCAGAUCAGCCCUCCCGAGAGGUUUUAGGACUUAGCGGCGGCUCCGUAUCGUAAAAUGCGAUGAAUCCUUCUUCUUUAUUUUUUCUCCCCGAAAGCAAAUAUAUAGAGUUGGGGUCGAGGUCGGAGGAGCUCCAAGGGGCCCACGAGGUAGGGGGCGCGCCCUAGUGUGUGGGCCCCCUGGUCUUCAUCUUUUGCAGGGAUUUUUUUAUUAUUUCCGAAAAGAUGUUCCGUGAGGUUUCAGGUCAUCCCGAGAACUUUUGUUUCUGCACAUAAAUAACACCAUGUUAAUUCUGCUGAAAACAACGCCAGUCCGGGUUAGUUCCAUUCAAAUCGUGCAAGUUAGAGUCCAAAACAAGGGCAAAAGUUUUUGGAAAAGUAGAUACGACGGAGACGUAUCAGCACGCCGCCUCCGCCGUCGUUGGAAAUAGGUGUCCGGCACGCAGAUUGUCUUCGGCAUUGCAAGGCGGGUUCCCCCUCCGAUUACUUCAAAGUCCCUGACUUAAAGAGCGGUAUUCGGCUUUUCCAUUUAAUGUCGCGCCCAUCGGCUUCCACGCCUUCCUGACUUCAGCUUCCACGCGGCGAGCGAAUACGAGAGGUCGGGCUAUUUUUGCACAUACCACCCUGACCAUACAAGAGAGGUGACUAUUUGAAGAGAAUAGAUCUCAGAUCCAUUCCAGACCCUGCAAAAAAAAUCCUCAGAGUUCGCUAGGAGGAACCACUCCAACAUGGCUAGCGCUCCCAGCUCUUCCUCUCGUCCCCACGGCUCUGAAAAAGGUGAUUGGGAGAGAUGUUCCAUAUCUCACGGUCAGCUGACGAAGCUGCAAAAUUAGGGCUUUCUUCCUCCCGCAGAUCUAGUCCACAUCUGAGCAGGAUGGACAUCCUUCAAGGGUGAGGUUCAGGCGGAGAAUUUCCCCAAUCCGUCCAGGGGGAACGAGUAUGCUUCGUUCCCUUCUUGCUAAGAGGCUUCAGAUUUCCAAUCCAUCCCUUCCUCCGAGGACUUCUGGAGUAUUAUGGCCUCCAACUACACUGUUUCACUCCCGCCUCCAUCCUGCACAUCGCGGAUUACGUUGCUCUAUGUGAGUUAUUCCUGGUCUGUGAGGCCCAUUUUGAAUUAUGGAGAAAACUGUUCUGCCUCGUCCCUCGUAAUCAAGGGGGAUCAAUAUUCGAAGUGGGAGGAGCCGAGGUAUGGUGCAUCACCGGGACCGGAUACCGGUCCGGCACGCCAAAAAGGCUUCCAAAGAGUGGCCUUCCGAAUGGUUCUAUAUUGACAAUGUUGCUCUUCCUGACCCAGUCCGAAUGGGUCUCCCUGAAUUUUCAAGUGCUCUGUUGAAGAAACGGCACAGCUGGCGCCCUCGGAACCUCGAGGAGGAGGACAACGCGGAAGUUAGUCAGUUGAUGGGCAAGAUUAAGAUGCUCGCCCAGUCCGGAUUAUCAAUAAUCAAGGUAAUGGCGAUCUCCAUAGUGCGGGGGUCCAACCACUCCAAUACAGAGGGCUUCCCAUGUGGCACUAUAACGGGGAAGAUGACGCCUCACGUUGUGGUCGGACGGGUCCGAAAACUCCCGCCGCUUUGGCCAAAAUAUUGGUCGAAUAGUACAAAGGGGAGAAGGAGGAGCUCACUCGUCUCCAAUGUCGAGGCAGAUUUUCCAUGUAUAAUCCUCCUAGCUGGGUGAGCUCCAAUCCCACCAUUUUACUCCUCUCCCUGAAUCAUUUUUAAUGGAUAGUAACCUAUCCACUCGCAACAGGAAUGGCGGAAGGCUACCAAGGGGAUCCAUAGCCCCGCCCCCCAGCCGGAGGGUCACAACCGGGACCUUGACCCCGGAUUUGAAGAAGAUCCGGACAUAUUUGUAGAGCUCGAGAAUGGAGUAUUCUAUUAGACGAGCUACGAUGGUACGGAAGUACCUAUCAUCGCCAAUUAUCCCAGCCUCCUCCCUGCUUCACAUGUAAGUAACUUAAAAGACACCUUCUUCGAAAGAGUUUCUUUAUUAUGCCUCACCCACGUCACUAUUUCGUGUUCCAAAGGGGAGGCGCUCGAUGUCACAACAUGCACCAGAAGCAUCUCCGAGGAGAGCGGCUCCCAUGCCGAGCACGUCUUCGAAGGGAAAGGCAAACGACAAUAUAAUAGAACCUUCAUCAAAGAGGUAAGGCUUUCUUUUUGAAAAUACAUCUCCUGAUCGCCACAUCAAAUCGUGAUGCCAUUCGCCGCAUUCUAUCAAGAAAAGUGCCCGCCGGACAAUGUCCGGGGAUCCUGUCAGUCGUUCUUCCACCAGUCAGGUUCCAGACCCUACCCUGAGGAUGGGGGCUGACACAGGAGUGGCACCGAACUGUCCUUCCGCAGAGGAUUCGGACGAUGUGUACAUCACGAAUUCUGAAGUGGAGAGCGCCAUGAAUCAUCGUCAUGGGAGGGACGCUCUCCGCGACCCUGGCUUUUCAAAGGAGGCAUUCAAUGCCUUCAGCUCGGCCGAUGCAUAUAUACGAGAUGCUCGGGAUGGGCUUGCCAGGGCCACAGACCAGCAUCUAAAAGAUAUGCGAGUAAGUGUAGAUUUAAUAAUCAUACACCAGUAGCCCCCGAGACUUAAAGCAGGUGAUACAGUUGAUUUAAGGAUCAUUGUAUAAUCAGGCACUUAUGGAGAAGAAUAGCCUGAUGUCUCAAGAGCUGGAAAAAUGUCAGACUCAACUAACUGUGGCUACCACCAAAUUGGAAAAAUCCAAGGAGGCACCACCUGGUAAUGUUUCUCCCCAGCGGAAAGAAGUAUAAUCCUACACCAGUUAUAUUAACACUGUUGUGUUUCUGCUGACAGAAUCAGUAGAGCAACUGAGAGAGAAACUGAAGGAAGCCCAGGCUUGUGAACAAGAGGCCAAAAGGCAACAUGCGGCAACCGAGCGUGUGCUGACACGGGUCAGGGAUGAAAGGAACUAGCUGCAGGAUUCCCAUACCCAACUGGGCGAAGGACUAAAAGAUGUUCGAGCUCAGCUAGCUGAUGCCGUCAAGGAGAAUAGGAGGCUACAAGGCGGCAUAUUCAGUAUGCUUUUCAAACUUGCCUCCCUAUGAUUCGGCGAAGGCCGGAACUGACAGAUUUAUGUCUGCAGGUACGCUGAGCGGCCGGUCCAAGGAAGAAAUGUCCGGAUCUCAAGGCGACCUGCUACAAGAGCUGUCCCAGAUGCACGAGUGAGUUUGGCAAGCAAUGCGUAGUGUUCCCAAGGCUUUAUGGACAUCUGCCUCUCCUCCAGGAGGUAUGGCGGAGCGCAUGGAGUUGUUCAAAGGGGCACGACAUCGUAUUCGAUUAUGGAAGAUAUCAGCCUGCUGGGAAGGUGCGCGAGAGGCCUAGGCCAUGGUAAAAACACGGUAUACCAAUCUUGAUCCGAAUCAUAUGGCCCGCGUCGGAACGCUAGGGUCAGAUGGGAAAGAAAUUCCCAUUAAUUUGGUAUAUGACCAAGUAGAAUUAGCCGCCAAAUGUUCCCAAAAGGAUUGUAAGCUAGACAGCAUGUCGGACGGUAUAGAGGAGGAAGUUUUUGAGUCCAAGUGACUAUGUACUUUCCUUGAUAUAUUUGUUCCUAGCUGGAUUGUAAAACGAUUGUCAUGGCCGACCUUUUCACUUCGACCUCUGGAUCCAAAGGUGCGGAGUGUUUCCAAAUACUCGAGCAAUAAAAUAGACGGGGUAUGCAUGGAAACCAGGUGUAGGGGUCAUAGUUGCUUGAACAGACAAGUUGUAUCCGGCUAGCUAUGUUAUAUUACAUUGUGAUUGUAAGAAUCAUCUUCCAGAGAGAAUAGUUCCGUUAAGGGUUCCUUUCCCUGGGUGUGCAUGCGUUAAUGUGCAUGUCCGAACUGUGAUUGAAAAAAUCGCAGUACAGGUAACAUCUAGGGGUUCAUAGUGGAAGAAAUUUAAAGCAUCUUUAGUCCGCCGACCGAAUAUUCCCUUAAGAACACUAGCUUUCGGCUUCACCCAGUCUGAGGUACAUAUCCGGAUAACCCGGCAGUAACAAUCGCAGAGGUGCUCCCUUUAUGCCCUAGCCGAACUAAUGGGAACGUAGGGCAUAAGCACAGGAGCCAGGCAACCCAGCUUGGCCAAAACUUAAGUCAUAUCGAUGCAUAUAAUGGCGAAGAAAAGGUACAUAUGAGGAAAAAACACAUAUGUGAUGAGAUUGAUGCUCAAAAAAUAACAAUAAUAAGCUUCUGUGCAAGAAGCCCCCAGGUAUAAUGGGCGUACACAUUUGAGAAUAUGUAUGUCAUAGGUGUAUGGUUUAGCCGCACGAAAGCUUUAAGGCUAAUAAGAGAGGGCGAAAAGAGAGGAUAAAAAAUAAUGUAAACAAUUGGGACGAGGAAACAAACGAAGGGUUCAACGCUAGGCAUAGAAUCUUCAGAGUCUGGCCGCAUUCCAGGGGUUUGGUUCUAGGCGGUCGUCUGAUGCAUCACACAGGUGGUACGCUCUUCCAGUGAGAACUUCGUCAAUGAUGAAGGGACGCUCCCAUUUGGGCUUGAGUUUGUCCUUUUUCUUCUCCGGCAAGCAUAGAACGAGUUCGCCAACAUUGUAAGUCUUGGCCCGUACUUCUCUGAUUUGAUAUCUGCGGGCCUGCUAUUAAUAAAAUGCGGAACAGGCUUUUAAAACAUCGCGCUUGUCCUCCAGGGCAUCUAAGCUGUCCUGCUGUUCAAGCUCAGCCUCUCUCUCUUCAUACAUGCGCACUCGAGGUGAGUCAUGAAUAAUGUCGCAGGGUAACACAACCUCUACGCCGUACACCAUGAAGAAAGGUGUAUAUCCGGUAGUGCGAUUGGGCGCGGUCCGCAGCCCCCCAGAGUACGGAGUCGAGCUCCUCAACCUAGUGCUUGUCUGAUUCUUUCAAAGUCCACACUAGUUUGGGUUUGAUGCCGCUCAUAAUAAGACCAUUGGUUCAUUCGACUUCACCGUUUGUUUGAGGAUGACAGACGAAGGCAUAAUCGAGCUUAAUGCCUAGAUUAGCACACCAGGCCAAGUGAUGGGGAUUGUUUGUAGAGCAGUUGGUGGCAUAUGGCUUUGGUUGGCGAAAAGCUGGCAUCCGACGCAACAUUGGACAAGGUCCUGUGCAUCAGCUCGGGCCGUCGUCCAAUAGAAACCUGUACGGAAGUCCUUGCUUACAAGGGACCGAGCUACGGCGUGGUGACUACCAAGAUCGGCAUGAAUUUCAGCCAAGAGUUGCCGCCCCUCUUCCUCGGAGAUACAUCUUUGAAGUACUCCGGUAGCGCUUUUCUUGUAGAGUUCUCCUUCGUGGACCUUAUAGGCUUUCGAACGCCGAACAAUGCAGCAAGCCUCAUUCUGAUCCUCAGGGAGCUCUCGCCUAUUGAGGUAGGCCAAGAAGGGUUCGGUCCAUGAGGCAAUGAAUGCCAUAAUAAGAUGUGCCGACGGUGUUAUUUUGGUGGCUGAGCCUCCGAUGAUAUUGGUAUGUUCGGAAUCUGGGGUUAUGGUCGGAUCCAGACUAACAUUGCCGCUCUCCCCUUGCCACACCAGGGAUGGCUUGAAAAGCCUUUCCAAAAAGAUGUUAGGUGGGACGGGGUCGCGCUUGGCGCCGAUGCGAGCAAGGACAUCCGCCGCUUGAUUACUUUCUCGAGCCACAUGGUGAAACUCGAGCCCCUUGAACCGAGCCGACAUUUUGAGAAUGAUGUUACGGUAAGCCACCAUCUUCGGAUCCUUGGAAUCGAAAUCUCCACUUAUUUGAGAUAUCGUGAGUUUCAAGUCCCCGCGCACUUCCAGGUGAUGUAUGCCCAUGGAGACAGCCAUCCGAAGACCAUGCAAUAAGGCCUCGUAUUCGGCUGCAUUGUUGGAGUCUGUGUAUAAUAUUUGGAGUACGUACUGAACUGUAUAUCCAGUGGGGGAUGUUAAGACAACGCCCGCCCCUAAGCCCGCCAGCAUUUUGGAACCAUCAAAGUGCAUGACCCAGUUAGAAUAUGUGUUGUACUCUUUAAGGAGUUCAGCUUUUGUCCAUUCGGCGACGAAGUCUGCCAGUACUUGGGAUUUGAUGGCCCGGUGUGGCUUAUAUGUUAUAUCGAAUGGAAGGAGCUCAAUGGCCCACUUGGCAGUCCGGCCCGUGGCGUCGCAAUUUUUUAUUAUAUCGUUCUGUGGAACUUCGGAAGCCACCGUGACCGAGCACUCUUAGAAAUAGUGUCGUAGCUUCCGCGAUGCCAUGAAGACCGCGUAUGCUAUCUUUUGAUAAUGAGAGUACCGGGACUUGCAUGGAGUUAGGACAGUGGAUACGUAGUAUACCGGCUUCUGGAGCAGGAAUUUGUGUCCGUCCUCCUCUUGUUCGACGUGUAAUUCAUCGCCAUUGUGGAGGACUUAACUAACAUGCUCGAUUAUGGCUCCGAAGACAUCGACGGUAUGGACGAGAUGCCGGAGAAGAGCAGGCCCAAAACCCACUGUUUACCGGACACUGGACGGCCACCUCUUCGUAUGACAUGUACAUGGUGGAUACACCCAAGGAGGGUGACAACGAUAAUGAGAAAAAUCCAAUAGAGGAUAAGCCUCCUGAGAUACAAUAAAAACGCCGACGGCGCCGCUCUAAAUCAUGCCGCAGCAAAGACAGCAAUACCGGCACGAGAGACAACAAUACUCCGGACGAUACCGAAGACCAAAAAAACCCCGUCGAGCAAAACUCUGAACAAGACGAUCAGGGAGAUGGGCAAGUUAGCCCCGAUGAACAGGCUGAAAAUGAAGACUAGGAGGACAACAAUUAUCUUCCUCUCUCUAAGGAUGGGGUGAGCCUCGGCAACAAGGAUUUUAUCAUGCAUGAGGAACCUCUCGAGCAGGAGCGCUUUAAGCGCCGGCUAAUUGCCAGUGCAAGGAGCCUAAAAAAGAAGCAGCGGCAGCUUCAAGCUGAUCAAGAUCCGCUCAACGAUAGGUGGACUAAUGUCCUGGCAGCCAAGGAAUACGGCCUUGAGCGCCCAAUCAAAAGUUACCCAAAGCACAAACUGCUACCCCAAUUUGAUGGCGAGGCCCUCGAGCACGCGCCAUCAGCGCAUAAUGCGGCAAACCGACCACCUCGUGGCCGGGACAAAACAGCAACUAAUGCCGAACACCAGCCCAUACUACCUCGCCGUAAAAGUAGAGACAUAAAAGCUCGGGGUAUACAUAUGACAUGCGACAAGACAUGGACAAUAGAGCAGGCUAGACCAGAUCGAUCUACGGAUCGCGGGGGCGUGCACUGACGUGCGAUGAUGGCUAUCUAGCCGGACAUGACGAGCAUAAUCACGCCCGGGCCGAAAACCGCAGACGGACUCCAUCCGAGCUGCGUCGCGACUUGGCCUGAUAUAGAGGCGUCGCACACCCCCUCUGCUUUACUAAUGACUUAAUGGAGCAUGAAUUCCCAAAAGGGUUCAAACCUAUGAAUAUCGAAUCAUAUGAUGGAACAACAGAUCCCACGGUAAGGAUUGAGGAUUUUCUUCUCGAUAUUCAUAGGGCCCGCGGUGAUGAUCUUCAUGCCAUCAAAUACCUCCCACUAAAAUUAAAGGGACCACCCCGGCACUGGCUAAACAACCUCCCAGAAAACUCUAUUGGCAACUGGGAAGAUCUGGAAGACACCUUUCACGACAACUUCCAAGGUACAGAUGUCCGGCCUCUAGAUGCCGAUGACCUCAGUCACAUCAUCCAACAGCCCGGAGAGUCCGCCAGGAAGCUCUGGACUAGGUUCUUAAUUAAAAAGAACCAAAUCGUCGACUGUCCGGAUGCCAAAGCCCUAGCGGCUUUUAAGCAUAGCAUCCGAGACGAAUGGCUAACCCAUCACCUCGGCCAAGAAAAACCAAAGUCGAUGGCAUCUCUUACCGCAUUGAUGACCCGCUUCUGCGCGGGAGAAGACAGCUGGCUGGCUCGCCAAAACAAUAGCACCACCGAUCCUAGCACCUCUGAGGUCAGGGAUGGCAAUGGCAAGCCUCGACGCAAUAAAAACAAGCGUCAAAACAAUAAUGUAGGAACCCUAGACAUGGCAGUCAACGCUGGUUCAGUGGUUCCAAAUCCGGCCAAUGGAAGAAGCCAUUCAAGGCAAACAAAGAUGGCCCAUCUAGUUUAGACAGGAUACUGGAUCGGCCCUGUCAAAUUCAUGUCAGCCCUGACAAACCCGCCAACCAUACCAAUAGAAAUUGUUGGGUUUUUAAACAAGCAGGCAAGCUCAAUGCCAAACACAAAGGGAAGGGUCCGCCUAGCAACAUCGAAGACGAGGAAACUCGCCAGCCAAACACCGGGGGACAAAAGCAAAUUCCCCCCGAAGUAAAAAUAGUAAACAUGAUAUCUGUGACGCAUAUCCCUAUGAGGGAGCGCAAACGCGUACCACAAGAUGACUACGUCAUAAAGCCGGUCAUACCAAAAUUUAACCCAUGGGCAGCCUAUCCGAUCACUUUUGAUCGCAAUGACCACCCAACAGAUAUCCGUCACAAAGGUUCGACAUCUUUGGUCCUCGACCCAAUAGUCGAUGGAUUCCAUCUCACACGAGUCCUUCUAGACGGUGGCAGUAGCCUUAAUUUGCUCUAUCAAGACACUGUCUGCAAAAUGGGCAUUGAUCCCUCAAGGAUCAAACCCACCACAACCGCCUUCAAAGGUGUAAUACCUGGCGAAGAAGCUCACUGUACAGGCUCAAUCACACUGGAAGUCAUAUUCGGUCCGCCGGACAACUUCCUAAGCGAAGCCUUGAUCUUCCAUAUUGUUCCAUUCUGUAGUGGAUACCAUGCAUUGCUUGGGCGGAUCGCGUUCGCUCGUUUCAAUGCGGUACCACACUACGCAUAUCUAAAGCUUAAGAUGCCUGGUCCACGCGGUGUGAUAACGAUCACUGGAAAAAAGGAACAACCCCUCCGUUCCAAGGAGUAUACCACGGCCAUCACAGCCGAAGUACAAAGCAUACUCGUUAAACCACAUAACUUAUCAGCCAUUAAGCCAACAACCUCUACUGCACAAGACCGGUGAAUUUUCGAGCUGGAUUAGUAGUCCCGCCUCCUUCAUUCGCCGCAUAUGCCCAUUAAGUUCGCAUUGCACAUGCAUAAUUAUGCACUUAAAAUACCUUGGUCGUCGGCGGAGGCACAAUGCGGACGGACCUAUGGCAUGGUUCGUCCUCAUACAACUUUUCUCCCUUCUUUUUAAAUUAUUUCUUAUCUUUUGUCACAGAUGAAUCAAAACCUGCUCAUCCUAUGGACCUGCAAGGACUCUUUCGAAGCCCAGUUUCAUCCAAGCAACCAAAGAUUGCUCCUUUUAAGGAAUCCUCUUCCCUAAGGGAAAGGCAGCAGACGUGCGACAGGAGGUCCAAAAGAUUUUUUGUAGACCAAACACUCUAUUUAAAACCUGGAUACAACCUUUUUCCUUAGCCUUCGACCCCUGGCAUGUAAAAUGACUCGGGUAGAGGUGCUAUAAUCUGUAAGAUUGCGGUCGAUGUAUGAAUCAGAUUUUGGUGGACAUAAUCCAUCUUUAGUACUUAUUUUUUCCUCAUAGAAUUGUAUUUUACCCUUUCGGUGGUUUCACAUAUACACCUUGGCACCAAUUGCCAGGGGCUCGAUAUGGCAACAUAUUAAAUUGCCAGCAAGUCCGAACAACUCUACAACAUACUUCAGCGUCACGAGUUUUGGCCUUAUAUGCAUCAGCUCCGAAUCAUGUCUUUGGUCAAUAGUUGGGUUGCCUGGCUCCUGUGCUUACUACCUUACGUUCCGCUCUAUCGGCUAGGGUAGUAAAGGGAGAACUACUGCGAUUGUGUUUCCGGUUUACCUGGUUAAGAACCUCAGUAGAGAAAGCCAAAAACUGACUGUCAUGAUGCAGCAAGAGUUGGUCAACCACUCGGUGACUUAUUAAAAUCUUUUUCGAUUUUUGUUGUAUAACAUGAAGGACCGUUUCUCGGUCACCAAUGUAGCGCAGCCGUAUUCGGAUAACCGCGUACAUACAAGGGGCUAUAUCGUAGACCCACCGUCAAACUCCUAUGGCUAAGUGAAGGUGUUAAAGCCCUAUAGUCCAAUUGCCUAGUUCGCCGCACUGACACCUCCUUCACGGACCAAGACGUUGGGUCAAGUGCAGUCAGUUGCUAUUUCGAACACCCCCCACAUUAUAUGCGAGGGGGCUGAAGCCGACGAUUGGCAAACCUUCAGAUCAUAUAAAAAAACGACCGCACAGGAGGAAAUGCCUUUCAGGCAAAAGGCAUAAAUAUGACACAGCCUUAAUAUAUCAUAAUAUUGUUAUCACAAUUCUGAUACAUUCACUCGAACAUAAUAUUCUUCAAGCACUGACCCUCUAUCAAGCGGGCACCCUCUAGGACAUCUUCAAAAUAAUGCUCCGGCGUGCGAUGAUCCUUGCCCUCGGGUGGACUAUUUGCUACAACAUCGAUGGCCUUCAUUUUCGCCCAGUACGUCUUGACGCAGGCAAAGGCCAUCCGUGCACCUUCAAUGCAUGCUGACCGAUUUACGGCGUCGAUACGCGGCACCGCAUCAACAAAUCGCUGCACCAAACUGAAAUAUCUGUUCGGAAAUGACUCGUUUGGCCAUAGCCGAACCACGACUUCCUUCAUGGCAGCUCCGGACACCUUGUGGAGCUCGGCCCACUGGGCCAUUUGUUCGUUCAGCAAUGAACGCUUUGGUACAUUGAACUGUGACCAGAAAUGCUUCUCCACUGCAUGUCCGUCUUGCGCUUGAUAAAACUACGCCGCAUCGGCGAGACUCUUCGGCAGGUCCAAGAAUGAGUCUGGAGAACUCCACAAUUGAUCAAGCAGGGCAUACUUCGGGUCGCCGAAUUUAGUCUGUAAUAGAAAGGGCUUACCAACUGCUAUCUCCCCAGCUUGCCUGAUCUCCUCCUGAGCCGCUCUAGACUCGGAUCGUGCCUCUCGUGCCUCUUGUAAAGCCUUGUUGAGUUCGGCUGCCUUGGCUUUGUUAUCCUUCUCAAGUGAUUCGCAUUGGCUUUUGGCAUCCUUCAGCUCUCGCGAUAUGGUAGAUAUUCUCUCCUCACACUGGCGCCGAACGACUUGUUCGGCCUUUAACUCAACAGCUGCCUUCUUGACAGCUGCAUUGCUCACUCUGUCUUGCUCCUUGGCCCGGGCAAGUUCAGCCCGAAGGGUCUCAACCGCAGCAGCACUAUCUGCAAUUAUGCAUGUCCUAGUAUAUAAUUUUCAGCUUUGUGCUAAUAUUAGUAUACAUGCAUAAGAUGACGGCCCCAAAACAUACAUUGUGCCUCGUCGAGCUGCCUGUUGAUAAGAGUAAUAUCCUCAUCCCCUGACUCAAGUUUCCGCUUUAAAUCUACAACUUCCUUAGCAUGGGCAGUCGUCCUUGAUAUACCAGCCUAUUUUCAAAUUAAUCAUGUCAUUUCCUGAGCAUGCCUUUUUGAUCCUCUGAUCGCCUCCCUGUGGAGGCCGACUAGAGUCUCAGGGGAUACUAUCUAUACACAGGCACAUUCUGCAUGUAAAGAGCGGUUAAGAUAUUACAUUACAUACAUCAAAGCCUCUUAGCAGGCCCGUGAAGGUUUCAUUCAAUCCGCUUCUUGCGGACAGAAUCCUCUCAACUACCAUACCCAUUAAGGUAUGAUGUUCCUCUGAGACGGACGCAUCCUGCAACAUGCCCAUUAAUGUAUCUGGCGCCUUCGGACUCCUGGAAGCGGCUGCGGGAGUACGAACUCCCUUCGAAGGGAUAUGUUCACUAUAUCCUAGAGUCAUCCUCGGUUGUAAACCGGAUAGUCCGGGGCCUUCAUUGUUGAUCUCCGUAGGGGCUGCAUACCCUGGACCAUUGACGACCGAAGUAUCACCUUUGGGCGCUGCCUUCAUUGCCCCCCAUGCCACUUGAUGAUCGGGGGAAACCCUCUGGGAUGACACCUUGAAGUCGUCCGCCCUAAGGGGCGAGGAAGCAUGUGGAGGCGUCUUGCUUUCCAUCAUCUCCGGAAGCAGGUCUCCUAAGGAGGAGAACUGUUGAGGAAGACUGCGGGCCGGACUGCAAACAUAUAUUUAAGAGGUUACUCUUGUGACCUGGAAAGAACGGGAUAUGUCUAGAAUACCCUUGUUCACUUACGAUUCGGCGAAAGGCUUGUCCUUACGGAGGAACUGUGCGGUAACAUCGUUUCCGAACCCGAACCAUUUGACAGGGACAUUUUCCCUCUCUUGGAAGCCUCCGCCUUCAAAUCUUCGGAGGCAGUCCUUUUCUUCCCAUGGGGAGAAGGGAUAUCAACUUCUUCUUCCCCUUCGUCUUCAGAAGAGGGAGUUCCGGUCUUCCUGGACAUUGCGUCCGGUGUACCUUUAGAGUGAGAGCCACCCCUGGCCUUUUUGCUCUCCUCUUUGUCCUCCUUCGCCGACACUUGAUACACCGCCGGGGCCAGCAUCCUUGCUAACACGGGAUCGGCUAAGUCUUCGGGAAAUGGGGCCGAACAACUAAUUCGUUCCGCUUUCUUUAUCCAUCCCUGGCCAAAGACAGGUUUCUCAGUAUAUUGAUACGGGAUAAUCAACUAAGUUGUGUUCAGGAAUCGAGUGCUUAACGAGGUAUCCGGAUGGUUGCAGUCGAGGCCGAUGUCCUCGGUUGUAUCCGGCCACUGAUUUCGGGUCCCGAAGAAUAACUUCCACAUCCCUCUGUGCGUUGUGCCAAAGAAGUGCUGAAGAGUCCAUGGUCCUUCCAGAUUGAACUCCCACAUGCGAAGAGGCCGUCGCUGGCACGGUAGGACCCAGUGGACUAGCAUUACUUAGAUCACAUUGAUGAGGACGGUGUCCUUUUCAAGGAGGCUCCGGAUACGGCUUUAUAGCGUCUGCACUUCGUCAAUCGAUCCCCAGUCCAGCCCCAUAUCAAUCCAUGAUGCGAGUCAUAAUGGAGGGCCAGAUCGGAACGCAGGUGUAGCUGCCCACUUGGUACCAUGGGGUUCAGUGAUGUAAAACCACUCCCGCUGCCAUAGGUUGGAAGUUUCCAUGAAGGAGCCCUUUGGCCAAAGAGUAUUGGAGAGCCUGCUCACCGUAGCGCCGCCACACUCCGCUUGCUCCCCAUCGACUACCUUCGGCUUCACAUUAAAGGUCUUGAGCCACAAGCCGAACUGUGGGGGAAUGCGGAGAAAGGCCUCGCACAUGACAAUGAAUGCUGAGAUGUGAAGAAAGGAGCCCGGAGCCAGAUCGUGAAAAUCUAGCCCGUAAUAGAACAUGAGACCACGAACGAAGGGGUGGAUAGCGAACCCUAGCCCCCGGAGGAAGUGGGAGAUGAAUACAACCCUCUCGUCGGAUCUGGGUGUAGGAAUAACCUGCCCCUUAGCAGGGAGCCUGUGGAGGAUUUUCGCGGUCAGGUACCUCGCCGCUUGAAGCUUCGCGAUAUCCUCCUCUAUGACAGAGGAGGCCACCCACCAGCCUUGAAGGCUGGGUCCGGACAUGACUGGGAGGCUUGGAAUGAUUAAGUUGAAACAGGUGUUGGAAGCUCGAGGUUGGAAAAGUUGAGGAAGAGGUGGCCGUAGAGGAGGAGGACGGGUCUGCACCCCUUUAUAAAGGCCAUGAAUAUCGAACGCCUCCUCGUAAGCCUUAAAACAUGCCUAUUUCCUAAGAAUUGUACCGACGGGACGGUUGAAUUACCCACGCCGGUAUUGAUGAAAAUCCCGCAAUAAGGGGACACGAUCUCUCUUUGACAAGACAUGUCAAUAAAACCGCGUCUUGAAACAUGGAGCGGGAGGCUAAAAACGGUUUGAAAUAAGGAUCGGGCAGUGACGUGAUGUCACGCUACAAAAGCUAUCAGUAGAUUGGACUCAUGAAAUAUUAUGCUCUCUGUGGUUGUGCGUGGUAUUUUCUUUGAAGAGCCGGACACGUGUCUGUGUUCAAAAGCUAAUUUGAAGUAUUUGGAGGAGGAACCCGCCUUGCAAUGCCGAAGAAAAUCUGCGCGUCGGACACAUCGUCAUUGAAGCCUGGUUCAGGGGCUACUGACGGAGUCCUGUAUUAAGGGGCCCUCGGGCGUCCGGGCUAUGCAACAUGGGCCGGACUGAUGGGCUAUGAAGAUACAAGACAGAAGACUUCCACCCGUGUCCGGAUGGGACUCUCCUUUACGUGGAUGACAAGCUUGGCGUUCGGAUAUGUAGAUUCCUUCCUUUGUAAACCGACUCUGUAUAACCCUAGGCCCCUCAUGUGUCUAUAUAAACCGGAGGGUUUAGUCCGUUGAUACGUCUCCAACGUAUCUAUAAUUUUUGAUUGCUCCAUGCUAAAUUAUCUACUGUUUUGAAUGUUUAUGGUCUUUAUUAUACACUUUAUAUAAUUUUUGGGACUAACCUAUUAACCUAGAGCCCAGUGCCAGUUUCUGUUUUUACCAUGUUUUAGGGUUUUGAAGAAAAGGAAAAUCAAACGGAGUCCAAUUGACCUGAAACUUCACGGAACUCAUUUUUGGAAGGAAAGAAGCCCAGAAGACUUGGAGUGCACGUCGGGGGAUCUGCGAGGAGGUCACGAGGCAGGGGGGCGCGCCCACCCCCCUGGGCGCGCCCUCCACCCUCAUGAGCCCCUCGUGGCCCCCCUAACGUACUUCUUCCGCCUAUAUAUCUCCAUAUACCCUAAAACAUCCGGGGGCACAAUAGAUCGGGAGUUCCGCCGCUAGAAGCCUCCGUAGCCACCGAAAGCCAAUCUAGACCCGUUCCGGCACCCUGCUGGAGGGGCAAUCUCUCUCCGGUGUCCAUCUUCAUCAUCCUGGUACUCUCCAUGACAAGGAGGGAGUAGUUCUCCCUCGGGGCUGAGGGUAUGUACCAGUAGCUAUGUGUUUGAUCUCUCUCUCUCUCUCUCUCUCGUGUUCUUGAUGUGAUACGAUCUUGAUGUAUCACGAGCUUUGCUAUUAUAUUUGGAUCCUAUGAUGUUUCUUCCCCCCUCUACUCUCUUGUAAUGGAUUGAGUUUCCCCUUUGGAGUUAUCUUAUCGGAUUGAGUCUUUAAAGAUUUGAGAACACUUGAUGUAUGUCUUGUCGUGGAUAUCUGUGGUGACAAUGGGAUAUCACGUGAUUCACUUGAUGUAUGUUUUGGUGAUCAACUUGCGGGUUCCUCCCAUGAACCUAUGCAUAGGGGUUGGCACACGUUUUCGUCGUGAUUCUCCGGUAGAAACUUUGGGGAAAUCUUUGAGGUCCUUUGUGUUGGUUGAAUAGAUGAAUCUGAGAUUGUGUGACGCAUAUCGUAUAAUCAUACCCAUGGAUACUUGAAGUAACAUUGGAGUAUCUAGGUGACAUUAGGGUUUUGGUUGAUUUGUGUCUUAAGGUGUUAUUCUAGUAUGAACUCUAGGGCUGUUUGUGACACUUAUAGGAAUAGCCCAAUGGAUUGAUUGGAAAGAAUAACUUUGAGGUGGUUUCGUACCCUACCAUAAUAUCUUUGUUCGUUCUCUGCUAUUAGUGACUUUGGAGUGACUCUUUGUUGCAUGUUGAGGGAUAGUUAUAUGAUCCAAUUAUGCUAUUAUUGUUGAGAGGACUUGCACUAGUGAAAGUAUGAACCCUAGGCCUUGUUUCCUAGCAUUGAAAUACCGUUUAUGCUCACUUUUACCAUUAGUUACCUUGCUGUUUUUAUAAUUUCAGAUUACAAAAACCUUUAUCUACCAUCCAUAUUGCACUUGUAUCACCAUCUCUUCGCCGAACUAGUGCACCUAUACAAUUUACCAUUGUAUUGGGUGUGUUGGGGACACAAGAGACUCUUUGUUAUUUGGUUGCAGGGUUGCUUGAGAGAGACCAUCUUCAUCCUACGCCUCCUACGGAUUGAUAAACCUUAAGUCAUCCACUUGAGGUAAAUUUGCUACUGUCCUACAAACCUCUGCACUUGGAGGCCCAACAACAUUUACAAGAAGAAGGUUGUGUAGUAGACAUCCAGCUCUUUUCUGGCGCCAUUGCCGGGGAGGUUAGCGCUUGAAGGUAUAUCUUUAGAUCUUACAAUCAAGUCUUUUAGUUUCUUGUUUUAUCACUAGUUUAGUUUAUAAAAGAAAACUAUAAAAAAUGGAAUUGAGUUUGUCCCAUACGCUUCACCUUUUUAAUAUCUUUCAUGAGUAUCAUGGAAAGGAAAAUUGUGCUCAAAUGCUAGAAGAAGAAUUACAUAAAAUGUUUGGAACUAAAUAUUUGAAUGAUGAGCAUGAUUGCAAUGUUGUUAGUAUGAAUUCCUUGAAUAUCUAUGACGCUAAUAAUAUGCAAAGCCACAAGCUUGGGGAAGCUAUGUUUGAUGAAGAUGAUAUUUUUUGUCCUCCAAGUUUUGAUGAGCAAAUUUAUUAUGAUGAAAGCAUGCCUCCUAUCUAUGAUGAUUAUUGUGAUGACACGUAUGCUUUAAAGAAUAAUGAUAACCAUGAAACUUGUCACCUUGAUCUUAAUUUUCAAGCACAUGAUAGUUAUUUUGUUGAGUUUGCUCCCACUAUUAUUCAUGAGAAGAAUUUUGCUCAUGUGGAGAGUAAUAAAAAUUCUAUGCUUAUAGAUCAUGAAAAGAAUGCUUUAGGUGCUGGUUAUAUUGUUGAAUUCGUUCAUGAUGCUACUGAAAAUUAUUAUGAGGGAGGAAUAUAUGCUUGUAGGAAUUGCAAUAAUAUCAAGUUUCCUCUCUAUGUGCUUAAAUUUUUGAAGUUAUGCUUGUUUUACCUUCCUAUGCAAGUUGAUUAUUGUUACCAUAAGUUGUUUGCUCACAAAACCCCUAUGCAUAGGAAGUGGGUUAGACUUAAAUGUGCUAUUCAUAUUCUUCAAGAUGUUCUCUUUAUGUUACAAUUCUUAUCCUUUAUGUGAGCAUCAUUGAAAUCAUCAUGCCUAGCUAGGGGCAUUAAACGAUAGCGCUUGUUGGGAGGCAACCCAACUUUAUUUUAGUUCCUUGCUUUUUGUUACUGAUUAGUAAUAAAUAAUUCAUCUAGACUCUGUUUAUAUGUGGUUUUAUGCUUUUAAUUAGUGUUUUUGCCAAGUAGAACCUUUGGGAAGACUUGGGGAAAGUCUUGUUGAUCAUGCUGUAAAAAACAGAAACUUUAGCGCUCACGAGAAUUGCUGCCAUUUUUAUUUGGAGAGUGAUAUUUAGUUAAUUCUUUUUGCAGAUUAUUAAUAGAUAAAUUCCUCAGGUCCAAAAAUUUAUUUGAGAACUUUAUGAGUUCAAUAAGUAUAAGUUUGAUCCAGAUUACUACAGACUGUUCUGUUUUUGACAGAUUCUGUUUUUCAUGUGUUGUUUACUUAUUUUGAUGAAUCUAUGGCUAGUAAAAGAGUUUAUAAACCAUAGGUAAGUUUUAAUACAGUAGGUUUAACACCAAUAUAAAUAAAUAAUGAGUUCAUUACAGUACCUUGAAGUGGUGAUUUAUUUUCUUAUACUAACGGAGCUUACGAGUUUUCUGUUAAGUUUUGUGUUGUGAAGUUUUCAUGUUUUGGGUAAGGAUUCGAUGGACUAUGGAAUAAGGAGUGGCAAGAGCCUAAGCUUGGGUAUGCCCAAUGCACCCCAAGCUAAUAUUCAAGGAUAGCCAAGAGCCUAAGCUUGGGGAUGCCCAAGGCAUCCCCUCUUUCGUCUUCAUUCAUCUAUAACUUUACUUGGAGCUAUAUUUUUAUUCACCACAUGAUAUGUGUUUUGCGUGGAGCGUCAGUUUAUUUUGUUAAGAUUUGCUGGAUGUUAUUUAGAACAAUGUUUUGCAUCUUUUAUUUCAAUAAAAGUGGCAUUGAUAGCCUUUACUAUGACUAUUUUAGAAGUCCACAUGUUGCUGUUUGAAAACAGAAAGUUUACCGCUGUUGCAAUAAUUCCCUAGAAAAGUCAGAAUGUGAUAAAAUGUUGAAACCUUUUGCAUAUUAAGGUCUGAGAAAUUUACUACAGUGGGAAUUUUCUUUCAUAAUUUUGGAGCUAGGUAAGUAUGGAUGUCUCUGCAUUCUUUACAGACUGUCCUGUGUAGGCAGAUUGCUGUUAUGUUUGCAUUGUUUGCAUAUGUUUGCUUCUUUAAUGAUUCUAUUUGAGGAUAGGACUAUUAAAUAUGCAGAGGCAUUUAGUAUGCAAUGUUGAAUAAUAAUUUUAGUGAUUUGCUACAGUAUAUUAUGAUAAGGUUUUGGCAAUGGUUUAUACUAACUUAUCUCACGAGUCCUUGUUGAGUUUUGUGUGGAUGAAGCUUUUGAGAUUUAGGGAGACCGUGAUAUGAGAGGAAUUAAGGAGACAUAAAAGCUCAAGCUUGGGGAUGCCCAAGGCAUCCCAAGAUAAUAUUUCAAGGUGUCUCAAAUGUCUAAGCUUGGGGAUGCCCCGUUUGGCAUCCCACCUUUCUUCUUCAACAACUAUCGGUUAGUAUCGGUUGAUCCUAAGUUCUUGCUUCUUCACAUGAUGUUUGCCAUUCUUAGAAUGUUAUUUUAUUUAGUUUUGCUUGCUGUAUGAAUAAAAUACCAAGAUCUGAAAUUAUUAAAUGUUAGAGAGUCUUCACAUAGUUGCAUAAUUAUUCCACUACUCAUUGAUCUUCACUUAUAUCUUCUGGAGUAGUUUGUCGUUUGCUCUAGUGCUUCACUUAUAUAUUUUUAGAGAACGGUGGUGGUAUUAUAGAAAUAGAUGAACUCUCAUGCUUCACUUAUAUCUUCUUGACAGUUUCAAAUAUCAUGGUAAUUUGCUUAAAUAAUCCUAAUAUGCUAGGCAUCCAAGAAUAGUAAAAACUUUCAUAUAGAAUAUUGAAUACUAAGAGAAGUUUGAUGCUUGAUGAUUGUUUUGAGAUAUGGAGAUGGUGAUAUUAGAGUCAUGCUAGUUGAGUAGUUGUGAAUUUGAGAAAUACUUGUGUUGAAGUUUGUGAUUCCCGUAGCAUGCACGUAUGGUGAACCGUUAUGUGAUAAAGUCAGAGCAUGAUUUAUUUAUUGAUUGUCCUCCUUAUGAGUGGCGGUCGGGGACGAGCGAUGGUCAUUUCCUACCAAUCUAUCCCCCUAGGAGCAUGCGCGUAGUACUUUGUUUCGAUAACUAAUAGAUUUUUGCAAUAAGUAUGUGAGUUCUUUAUGACUAAUUUUGAGUCCAUGGAUUAUACGCACUCUCACCCUUCCACCUUUGCUAGCCUCUCUAAUACCGCGCAACUUUCGCCGGUACCGUAAACCCACCAUAUACCUUCCUCAAAACAGCCACCAUACCUACCUAUUAUGGCAUUUCCAUAGCCAUUCCGAGAUAUAUUGCCAUGCAACUUUCCACCGUUCCGUUUAUUAUGACACACUCCAUCAUUGUCACAUUGUUUAGCAUGAUCACGUAGUUGACAUAGUAUUUGUGGCAAAGCCACUAUUCAUAAUUAUUCAUACAUGUCACUCAUGCAUCAUUGCACAUCCCGGUACACCACCGGAGGCAUUCAUAUAGAGUCAUAUCUUGUCUUAAGUAUCGAGUUGUAAAUCUUGAGUUGUAAGAAAAUAAAAGUGUGAUGAUCAUAAUUAUUAGAGCAUUGUCCCAGUGAGGAAAUGAUGAUGGAGUCUAUGAUUCCCCCACAAGUCGGGAUGAGAGUCCGGGCGAAAAAUAAAGAAAAGAGGCCAAAGAAGCCCAAAUAAAAAAAGAGAGAAAGAAAAGAGGCCAUAAAAACAGAAAAGGCCCAAAUAAAAAAAUAAAAAAUGAGAGAAAAAGAGAGAAGGGACAAUGCUACCAUCCUUUUACCACACUUGUGCUUCAAAGUAGCACCAUGAUCUUCAUGAUAGAGAGUCUCCUAUGUUGUCACUUUCAUAUACUAGUGGGAAUUUUUCAUUAUAUAACUUGGCUUGUAUAUUCCAAUGAUGGGCUUCCUCAAAAUGCCCUAGGUCUUCGUGAGCAUGCGAGUUGGAUGCACACCACUAGUUUCUUUUGUUGAGCUUUCAUACAUUUAUAGCUCUAGUGCAUCUGUUGCAUGGCAAUCCCUACUCACUCACAUUGAUAUCUAUUGAUGGGCAUCUCCAUAGCUUGUUGAUAUGCCUAGUUGAUGUGAGACUAUCUUCUCCCUUUUUGUCUUCUCCACAACCACCAUUCUAUUCCCCCUAUAGUGCUUUGUCCAUGGCUCACGCUCAUGUAUUGCGUGAAGAUUGAAAAAGUUUGAGAACAUUAAAAGUAUGAAACAAUUUCUUGGCUUGUCAUCGGGGUUGUGCAUGAUUUAAAUAUUUUGUGUGGUGAAGAUAGAGCAUAGCCAGACUAUAUGAUUUUGUAGGGAUAACUUUCUUUGGCCAUGUUAUUUUGAGAAGACAUGAUUGCUUAGUUAGUAUGCUUGAAGUAUUAUCAUUUUUAUGUCAGUAUGAACUUUUGUCUUGAAUCUUAUGGAUCUGAAUAUUCAUACCACAAUUAAGAAGAAUCACAUUGAAAUUAUGCCAAGUAUCACUCCGCAUCAAAAAUUCUGUUUUUAUCAUUUACCUACUCGAGAACGAGCAGGAAUUAAGGUUGGGGAUGCUGAUACGUCUCCAACGUAUCUAUACUUUUUGAUUGCUCCAUGCUAUAUUAUCUACUGUUUUGAAUGUUUAUGGGCUUUGUUAUACACUUUUAUAUCAUUUUUGGGACUAACAUAUUAACCCAGAGCCCAGUGCCAGUUUCUGUUUUUUACCCUGUUUUAGGAUUUCGAAGAAAAGGAAAAUCAAACGGAGUCCAAUUGACCUAAAACUUCACGGAACUCAUUUUUGGAAGGAAAGAAGCCCAGAAGACUUGGAGUGCACGUCGGGGGAUCUGUGAGGAGGUCACAAGGCAGGGAGCGCGCCCUCCACCCUCGUGAGCCCCUCAUGGCCCCCCUGACGUACUUCUUCCACCUAGAUAUCUCCAUAUACCCUAAAAACAUUCGGGGCACAAUAGAUCGGGAGUUCCGCCGCCAGAAGCCUCCAGAGCCACCGAAAGCCAAUCUAGACCCAUUCCGGCACCCUGCCGGAGGGGGCAAUCUCUCUCUGAUGGCCAUCUUCAUCAUCCUGGUACUCUCCAUGACGAGGAGGGAGUAGUUCUCCCUCGGGGCUGAGGGUAUGUACCAGUAGCUAUGUGUUUGAUCUCUCUCUCUCUCUCUCUCGUGUUCUUGAUGUGAUAUGAUCUUGAUGUAUUGCGAGCUUUGCUAUUAUAUUUGGAUCCUACGAUGUUUCUUCCCCACUCUACUCUCUUGUAAUGGAUUGAGAUUCCCCUUUGGAGUUAUCUUAUCGGAUUGAGUCUUUAAAGAUUUGAGAACACUUGAUGUAUGUCUUGCCAUGGAUAUCUGUGGUGAUAAUGGGAUAUCACGUGAUUCACUUGAUGUAUGUUUUAGUGAUCAACUUGCGGGUUCCGCCCAUGAACCUAUGCAUAGGGGUUGGCACACGUUUUCGUCGUGAUUCUCCGGUAGAAACUUUGGGGAACUCUUUGAGGUCCUUUGUGUUGGUUGAAUAGAUGAAUCUAAGAUUGUGUGACGCAUAUCGUAUAAUCAUACCCACGGAUACUUGAGGUGACAUUGGAGUAUCUAGGUGACAUUAGGGUUUUGGUUGAUUUGUGUCUUAAGGUGUUAUUCUAGUAUGAACUCUAGGGCUGUUUGUGACAGUUAUAGGAAUAGCCCAAUGGAUUGAUUGGAAAGAAUAACUUUGAGGUGGUUUCGUACCCUACCAUAAUCUCUUUGUUCGUUCUACGCUAUUAGUGACUUUGGAGUGACUCUUUGUUGCAUGUUGAGGGAUAGUUAUAUGAUCCAAUUGUGCUAUUAUUGUUGAGAGGACUUGCACGAGUGAAAGUAUGAACCCUAGGCCUUGUUUCCUAGCAUUGCAAUACCGUUUAUGCUCACUUUUACAAUUAGUUACCUUGCUGUUUUUAUAAUUUCAGAUUACAAAAACCUUUAUCUACCAUCCAUAUUGCACUUGUAUCACCAUCUCUUCGCCGAACUAGUGCACCUAUACAAUUUACCAUUGUAUUGGGUGUGUUGGGGACACAAGAGACUCUUUGUUAUUUGGUUGCAAGGUUGCUUGAGAGAGACCAUCUUCAUCCUACGCCUCCUAUAGAUUGAUAAACCUUAGGUCAUCCACUUGAGGGAAAUUUGCUACUGUCCUACAAAUCUCUGCACUUGGAAGCCCAACAAUGUCUACAAGAAGAAGGUUGUAUAGUAGACAUCAUCCAUAGAGGGAAUCAUAAUCACAAUCAUACAGGCUAGACUUCUAAGGUUUAGCCACAACGAUCUCGUGGUAGAUCAACUCUUGUAAUCCUCAUACUCAUCAAUAUCAAUCAAGCAAGACAUAGGGUAUUACCUCCAUCAAGAGGGCCCGAACCUGGGUAAAACAUCGUGUCCCCGGCCUCCUGUUACCAUCGACCUUAGACGCAUAGUUCGGGACCCCCUACCUGAGAUCUGCCGGUUUUGACAUCGACAGACGCGCUAGAGAAAAUGAUAGGAUUGUUAAAGAAAAUAUGGCAACAUGCAAAUAUGGGCCCAAAUUGAAAGAACUGUACAAUAGUCGAAAUCAAAGGACAAAAAUCUAUGAUUAAACAGAUAGGGUAAACAUGAUGUCAUGGAAAUAUGAGAGUAAUUGAAAGAACAAUACAUCAUUAAUUUGCCUAAUAUGGAAAGAAGAGAGGGGAAAAUCCCCUUUGACGUAUAUGGUGCAUGUGGCACCUUUUAUCCAAAUGUAGUAAUAUUUAGAAUAUGUUCAGGAAAGUAGGCCAUGUCAGCCGAUUUAGGGUGAGAUUGAACAUACCGCGCGCAUCCUCAAGUCAUCUGGUACAGUGAGAUGGAAUAUCUGGCGGAGGUCGCAAGGUCCCGAUGUGUCCGUGCACUGUACACUCUAUGAAUGGAAGAAAACCUUCAAAUUGGCUCGAAUAAAAAUGAAUUCACGCUGAUUUUGGCUGGGUGAUUAUAGGAGGCAGAUGAAUUGGGAUAAGAGAUGAGAUAAUAUCUCAUUAAAUUAGUUACCUUUUGUCCAUGAGAAAUAACCCUCAGUACAGCAGAUUCCCCAACCGAGCGGAGCUGGGUCGACAGCGAGCAGCGUCGAGAAAAGUCGAUGGUGAUAGGCGGCGGCAAGUGGAAGUGGUGAAAUGCGGUGGGCUUUGUUGGGAGCCUGGCGGCGACAGGCGUCAAGCUAAGUGAUUACUGCCGUGAUAGGCGGUGACAUGCAUUAGACACGGAGGAGCCUGUGCAGGUGUGGAUGGGGACCGGAGGGGGUGCUGGGCGGGGUGAGGGUUUUUGUGACAUGGGGAUGGUGAGGGUUUUUGUUUUUCUUUUUUUAAUUGGGUGGUGAGGGUUUUCUGUCCCACAAAGAAUUUUGGAGGCGACGGUUUGCUAGAGCCAACCAUGUGUGAUUGACGCAACAGGCAAAAUGAAAGUCAUUGCACACGGUUCCAAUUUUGGGAACCGUGUGUUAUUGACGUACUACCUCCGUUCUGGUUUAUUGGUCCCCUUUGUAAUUUUUACCAAAUUUUGACCAAAUAUUUAACUAAGAAAUGUUUAUGCAUGUCACCAAAAAUUAUACCAUUGAACACUAUGCUCAAAUACCCAUCCAACGAUAUAAUUUUUGCUAACUUGCACUAACAUUUUGUCAGUUAAACCUUUGGUCAAAAUUCAACACAAAUUACAAAGGGGACCAAUAAACCAAGACGAAGGUAGAUUCCAUCAACCAAACUGAUUGCAUCCAUAUCCCAUGGUUAGACAUAAGUAAACAUAGAUUAAACAUACUCAGACAUAGACAAUAAGCACACACGUACACAAGCAUAGUUCAACCAUAAGUACAUAGUUCACCCGUCAUUAAGCAUACUCAAGCGUACAUAGUUCGAUCCCACAUCUCAUAUCGCAUGCCGUCAUGAUACUGAAGCUUCUCUGGGUACUCGGCGUAUGCACCGUGCGCCACCCCGAGAGAAAACUUCUACUUGAAGCAGCCAACGACCCAUCCUCUUGCAUGCGCCAAAACACUUAGAUGCGCGUCAUGAAGCUUGUGGUUGCAAAAUGGGCAUCGAUAGCCGUCGUUUCAGGUCCUAAUACGCCUGUUAUGCAUUACCGCAUAAAGGUCCCUCGGGAUUUGCCUCUUGUACCUCCUCUGGCCAUCUUCAUCCUCGAUGUCCACAUCGUCAGACAACACCUAUACAAAUAGUAAAAAAUAGCAUCAAAUCAUUGUUUACAUGCCGUGAAGUAGGAUUAGGAAUCUAUGGCUAUUUAUUUAUACAUAUCCAUAUAUUAUGGUUCGAUUUUUAAGCACAGUCGUCUAUGUACAGACAAAUCUUGAAGAAAUUAAUGGCACAAACAUAUGUAGGUCAUUCAAGAUCAAUUGUCAAGUCCUGGCUAGGAAUUAUUAACACGAACACUAACCCUAGUAGGAUUACUAGCAGAAAUCAUUUGCACAGAUGAAACAACUAAUCACUUAUCACUUGUACCAUUCAAACAAUCAAUACACUACAUGGAUCUAACGAAACUUACUCAGAUUUCAUGGAUUGGGAGAACAUAACCAUAGGAUUUCCAUUCCAAAAAGGGGGAGGUAGGAGUAACCAGAGAAACCCUAUGAUCUAUUUGACACAUAAAUGGGUAUAGAUGACUAACCAGCUGUCUGUCGUCGCCGAAGUGGUCGUCGGAGUCGUGUAGGAGUCGUCACCAGAGUCGGUGUGGAACUCCGCCUUCGGUUGUUGAAGCUCGACGCUGUCGACGACGUCAGGGUGCAGCGAUAACUCGCCCACGGUGAUGGCAACCUCUGUCUCCAUCUCCAUGUCGUGCUCCGGUGCUUUAGCAGCCCCAGCGUCGCCACUCCCUCUGAAGGGGCACUUUGGCGGCGUCCUCAUACACUGACGGCUUUGACGACUGAGAGCGGCGUCAAGGAUGCAAGUGGAGAGAGAGGAUUGUGUGUGUGGCGAGGAUGGGGGGUGCGGCCACUCGGCGCACCAUUAAUAUGGAGUAGUGGGAUUUGUGGGAGAGAGGCAGGCGGCGGUCAAACCGAUGGCUCGCCUCCCGGUGAGCCUGCACACCGGACUGUUUGCAUGCCUACCAAAGUUUCACACAGAUACUUGCAUGCCUCUCUAUGAGACUGCGCAGCGAGCACGCCUUUGUCAAUUCACACACCUGCACGCAUGCCUCCCGGUCUGCCAGCACGGCAGACUGCUCACAUGCGUCCCGUCAACUCACACCUACUCGCAUGACACACGGGUCGCACGGCGGCAUGUAUGUUGUUUUUCUAUUUGGAUGAUUAAUGUUGCUGCUUUAUUGCUUAACCGAAGCAUGGCAUGUAUCCAUUGUUGGUCUAAUGCUCACGGUUCGAAUAAACAAUCCGUUUGGGAUAUUGGUUCCCAAUUAUUAAUAAUCUCCCAUUUGUGAUUAGAUAAACAUUAAAUCAAAACUGGUCUCAAAUUUGACAAAAAAAGUACAAUGCCACUUUGUAUUGGUGUCCAUAUGACAACACGAUAAGUUUCGUGAAUUUCAAAUAAGUUUUGGAUGUACUAGAAUUUAAAAAUCAAGAUUCUCAAUGUUUGAAAUUUGUUGCACGGGGAGUAAAGAUGCACCCAAUCACACACAUGUGUUUUUGCAAUCCAUUUAGGUGCACUUUCAUGUGUGCAUGUAGCACAAAUUUGAUUUUUGCACAUUAUACCAGUAGAAAAUCAAUCAAUUAAUGUACUAACACGUCUUAAUGAUCUCUGUUUUUUUUUCAAAAUUCAAACAUCCCUCCUUUGGUAACAUAUGUUCACCGUGGGAUAAUUAACUUAACAUGCAUUGUAGUUGCGGUGGAUUCGCGGUGUGUGUGUGGGUGUGUACGUCUGGGGUGCACUACAAAAAAAGACACAUCCGUGACAUUUUGGGCCGAACGAAAAAAAAUUUUGUCAUACAUAUGACACUUCUAUGACGAUAAUUGUGACAAAACCCGGUAUCAUCAUAGAUGUGGUGGGCUCCUACUUCUAUGACAAAAAAUCAUUAUAGAAAAUGAGCUUUUCGUCCUGGGCGGGCCAGAGAUGCAGUUGCGUGACAUUCUUUGGGCCGUCCAUGACGGAAAAAACCGUGGUAGAAGCGAGGGGGAGGAAAAUUUUGGGGAGUUCCCGGUUACGGUGGGAGGUCGGGGGCCAAGCGAUGCGCGUUUCUCUCAUACACGUACGCGCGUGUGUGCGAGGCGUUGGCUCUAACUGAACCCGAGAGAGGCGUUGGGCUCUAAUUAACUGAACCCGAGCGAUUGUACUGCAGGAUACGCGUUACUGAACCCGAGCAAUCGUUCGAUGGAUGUUAACUGAACCCGAUCGAGUGAUUCCUUCGCUACUGCUGCUAACUGAAGCUGAUCGAUGCUGCCUCUGGGAUGAACAGUGAGCGUUGCGGGGGGUUUGGAUGAACAGUGAGCGAUGGCAUUUCCUCUGGAUGAACAGGACCCCGUGGUAUGGUGGAGGGCUGGAUGAAUAAUAGACGGUGGAGGGGUGCCCGUGGAGGGGUGGUUCAACAGGACCCCGUGGUGUGGAGGGCUGGAUGAACAGUAGACGGUGGAGGGGGUGGUUGAACAGUAGCCGGUGGAGUAGCACGCGGUGGAGGCUGGAUGAACAGGAGCCCGUGGAGGCUCGAGGAGGUCGACGAUGGAGAUGAACAGUAUCCCGUGGAGUCCCGUUUUGCGGUACGCCACACCCUCCCGAUGAACAUGACCCCCGUUUCGACCGUAGGAGGUCCGUUUCGUCCGUUUUGCGGUACGCCACACCCCUCCCGAUCAACAGGACCCCCGUUUCGACCGUAGGAGGUCCGUUUCCUCCGUUUUGCGGUACGCCACACCCCUCUCGAUCAACAGGACCCCCGUUUCGACCAUAGGAGGUCCGUUUCCUCCAUUUUGCGGUACGCCAGACCCCUCCCGAUGAAUAGGAUCCCGUUUCGAACGUGGCCGGUCGAACACAAGGCCGUUUCCUCCGUUUUGCGGUACGCCAGGCCUCGUUUCCAUCGGCUGUUCCAUCCAAGCCCUCUCAAUGAACACGACCACUCAUUCCGUUCCGACCCAGCCGGUUGGCUCCCAUGCGUUCCGUUGCCUCCCGAUGAACACGACACAUUCCGUUGCCUCCCCAUGAACACGACGCAUUCCCUUGCCUCCCCAUGAACACGACGACGACGCUAUUUCUCCGUUCCGACCCAGCCAUCUACACGAGCCCUGGCCGUACGUAUGCGCGAGUAGGCGUUCGAGACCCUGCCCGUAUGUACGUAUGUGGCUGUAUUUUCUUUCUUGCACCCUGACUGGUGUACGUACGUGUACAUGCUACAUGCGCGCCUCUACUACGACACGUGCGCGCCUCUACGUCCACCAGUAUAUAUGUACGUACACGUUCGCGACCAGAAUGACAACGCUACAUACGCUUCGACCAGAUGGGUCCCGACUGUCAGGCACUUCCUUGCCUGCGAAGAUGUAGCUGGUGGGUCCCAACAGUCAGGGGGCAAAUCAUUUUGUUUGUUUUUUUACCCGGGCACACUUCCUUGCGUGCGAAGAUGUAGCUGCUGGGUCCCAGCAGUCAGGGGGGAAUCAUUUUUUUUUGCCCGGACGCACUUCGUUGCGUGCGAAGAUGUAGCUGGUGGGUCCCAGCAGUCAGGGGGGCGAAUUGUUUUUUUCGGACGCACUUCCUUGCGUGCGAAGAUGUAGCUGGUGGGUCCCAGCAGUCAGGGGGGCGAAUCGUUUUUUUCGAACGCACUUCCUUGCGUGCGAAGAUGUAGCUGGUGGGUCCCAGUAGUUAGGGGAAACAAUUUUUUCUUGAAAUACGGUGGCUCGUCCGGUGGGUCCCCGCUGUCAGGUGGAGGAAUAAUUAUUUUGCACGUAAUAAGGAGGCACUUCCUUGCUGCAGCCGUGGACCCAGCUGUCAGUCUCUCCACUUAUAGUCCACGUCCAAUGGAAGCCAUUCCUUGACCACGUUGACCACGCCGCGCUGAGAGCACCAGGGCGGUGGACGACAGCGUGGCCUAGGAGGGGGACGACGCAGAUCUGGGGAAGACGCGGCAGUGGAUGCCCACACAUAGAGGAGUAUGAGGGUUCACUCGUUCGGCUGCGGUGUGAGGCUGCCGUCACCGCAGAAUAACAGGGGGUGUGGGUGCAUAGAGGGAUGGCCUGGCCAGCGGUGGGACUAGUAGGGGGCGGUGAGGCCUCCACGGCAUCACAGCCGGCCACUGGCGGCAGGAGCAGGCGGCACGACCGGCGCUACUUUGGGCGGCUGGAGCAAGAAGACCAGAGGUUGAAGAAGCACUAUGGCCGUUGGAUGGACAUUGUACGGUCACUGGAGCUAGAAUCGUUCAUAUAUUGACUAAAGUUGACAAAGGCCUCCGUCCCAGUCAACUUAGUAGGCCCACAAGUCAGCCUCCCACCAGGGUGGGUCCCAGGUAGCAGGGGGGUAUUCAUUUUUUGUGCGUAAUAAGGAGGCACUUCCGGUGGGUCCGAGAUAACAGCGGGGGGAACGUUUUUUUCGUGAAAUACGGUGGCCCGUCCUGUGGGUCCCAGCAGUCAGGGGGAAACGUUUUUUUUCGCGAAAUACUGGUGGCCCGUCCGGUGGGUCCCUGCUGUCAGGUGGAGGAAUAAUUAUUUUCCGCAUAAUAAGGAGGCACUUCCUUGCGGCUGCCAUGGACCCAGCUGUCAGCCUCUCCACUUACAGUACUCUUUUGAUGGAAGUCGGUCGUGGACCACAUUGACCACGCCGCGCCGAGAGCACCACGGCGGUGGACGACGGCGAGGCCUAGGAAGGGGACGACGCGGAGCCGGGGAAGACGCGACAAUGGAAGCCCGCGCAGAGAGGAGUACGAGGGUUCACCGGUUCGGCUGCGGUGUGAGGCUGCCGUCGCCGUAGAAUAACAGGGGGUGUGGGUGAGUAGAGGGAUGCCCUGGCCAGCGGUGGGAGUAGUAGGGGGCGCUGAGGCCUUCACGGCAGCAUAGCCGGCCACGGGAGGUGGGAGUAGGCGGUCCCGCCGGCGCUGCUUUGACGGCUGGAGCAAGAAGAUCAGAGAUUGAAGAAACACGACGGCCAUUGGAUUGACAUCCAACGGUUACGUCUGCUAGAAUCGUUUGUUGACGUAUAUAAUAACUAAAAAAUCUUGCAUAUGCGUCAACUAAACAGGCCCACAAGUCAGACCACUCCCUCUUUUUUUAAUAAUUUGUAUAUAGCUCAUGGCAACUUCUUAUGCAAUUUAUCGCAGUCAUUUUUUUGGUUGGCCAGGGCCAAUUUCGCAUAUUUUUGUGGGUUCCAAACUAUUUUUAGUACCGAAAUGUCGAGCCAGAUUUAAAGUACUUUGAAGAUAUAUUUAAAUUAGGUUAAUGCCCAGUGAAAUAGGAAUCUGAAAAUGUGAAAAAAUUCAGAAAUUAUAAAGUAAUUGCCAAUUUGUCAUCUGUUUUUAUAUUUACAACCCAUUUCAUAUUACUUUCAAGAUUUGCAGGCGUCUUGAAAGAGUUGCAGCCCAUCAAGGCGUAGAAAAAUAAGUAGGCCAGAUUGGGUAUUCUUCAGACAAAAUAAACUGGGCUCAUUUUCACAAAGAAACAAUAGCUGGGCUGGUCACAUGGUGAACAUAAAAUAUAAGCCUCGGCUAGACUGGCCACAUCCCAGUUCAAACCCUACUUCGUCUCAACAAUACCAAACAAAAAAAAUUACUGCUCGAGUAGCUACGUCCCAGGUGUCAGCCGAUCUUGUGCUGUUCUCUUGUCUAUUGACUAUAUACGCUCACAAUGUCGUGGGUCCCAGAUGUCAGGAAAACACUAGGAGGAAGCAUUUUAUUUUUCCAUACGCUGAAGUGGUGGGCCCCUACUGUCAUCCUCUCCACAUACUUCUGCCGAUUCCUGUUGUUUGUUGACCAUGUUGACAAUGCGAGAGGGCGGUGCCGUGGCGAGCGCACCAAAGCGCGUGGAGGACAUCGGCGUUAAUGAUUUUGGAGACGGUGGGGCAGUGAUGCGUGCGCUGAGGCGCAGCCAGCCGUGGGAGGCAGAAGCAGGCGGCCCCACUGGCGCUGGUUUGGUUUUGGCGGCUGGAGGAAGACAUGACUGAAGAAACACGACAGACUAUAAAAGCAGCAUGAGUACUUAACAACCUUAACUGAAACCAGCAGGGGCACUUAACAACCAAAGCUGAAAGUAGUAUGAGUACUUAUACAGGUUCUACCGUACAAAGCACGCCUCGAACAGUGCUACUUCGCCUACAGUUAACCAAGGGUGAGGCCGCCAAGCCCCAGGACAAGGCCCAGGCGCCACCCCGCGCAUCCACAACCUUCUAAAAGCGGCUUCAUCUCGCAACAUGGUCAAUAAACAGGAUAUUCGCUUUAGAGCCAUGGAAAAGCAUGAACAUAAUCUUCUGUCCUAUUCUCCAAGAUGGACGGGCCUUCAUUAUUUGAGACCACCCAAGAAUAAGUAUCUUUUCACCUCCAAGGGGAAUUGAGUAGGUCGACAUAAACAUCAUGUUGGGACCAAGCGCAAGUAUGACCCGACCAUGGUCAGGCAUCUGUAUAGGAACAAUAGAACUCGGCAGUUCCUGUUUCAAGAAGAUCACAGCUGUAAAACUGUGUAUAAGCAAUAGUUUAUGAACAACAUAUAUAACAUAAAAUAGCUCGUACCAUAAGUUUCUCGACACAGUUGGACCUGUUCAACGGGUGCAGGAGUGGCACACAUAUCCCACGUGACCUUCCACCAUUGAAAUGCCCCACAAGGACCUCAAGACGAUCAAUAAAGUGUAGGAACUUGUGGAUGUCGAUCCAGUCAACUUCAGUGCCAUUAGUAACAGCCGAGUUAUUACAGAGUAACAAACGAGCAGACUGCUUAACUCUGAAAAAACCUACACGUGCCACCAAUUAUAAGAAAAUAUUAGUUAGAAGUAGCAUCUUCGUGAGAGAUUCAUUGCUACUUGUAAAGUUAAAUUGUGAUUAGUUAGACAUAAUAGGUGGAUUAAGAAGUAAUCGAGGAAACAAGCAAGAACCAGAUACAAAACUAACAUGGAUGAACAACUGGAACGACGUCGGGGUGGAAGAUCGCAGUGAAGAUGAGACCAGGUUCUGCUAUUUCCAUCAACAUUCGUGCGCCAACUUUCAGUCUGUAACACUUGAGAAAGUUUAUCCAAGUUUGGCCCUAAAAAAGCAGCAAUCUUCUUGGUUCAUGAACCCAACUCGGAACUUAUAUCCUGGCUUGUCUUUACUGUGACCAUUAAACUAGUGUAUUCAUUUAUGGCAAGGCCCAGCAUCUUGAGUACAUGUGUUCUGGCAGAGCAAAUAAUACACUGCAGGAAAAAUAAUAUGAGAACACAGCAUGUUCAAAAAAACCCCACCCUCCCGAAUAGAAAAGAUGAUUCUAGGAACAUAUUGUGCGCGUUUCAAAAUGAUGUGUUAGGAUGAGAAGGAACAAGUGUGGCGUCUCGCCGAGGGCGUAGAAACCUGUAGGGUACUCGCACUUUGGGCACUACACAUGAAACACACUAGAUUCAGUAGGAAGAAAAAUGCAUCAACGGCGGCGGCUACCAUCCUAGGAUUACCUGCGACCAAGGGACUUGGAUUUAUCGGGGAUGGACGAAGGAUUCGUACCUGGUUCUCCAUGAGAAAACCCUAUGCAAUCACCGAGAGGGGGUUUUCUCUGAACAAGCAGACGAGGGAGAAGGGGAUUCAGGCCCAGUGAAAUAUUGCCGCUUCGUCCGUCCAGCUUACUGCUAAAGCUGGAAAGGGGGGUUGUGAUUUGAUGGCUCAUUGGGCAUUACUGCGGCGCUACGACCGGGGUGUGUCUACCAUGAAGUUGUGCACUCUAAUUUGUGCAUAUGGCAUAUGGACCCCGUUGCCGGUUGCCCCACAUAUCAGCAAAAUGAAGUAGAAAGACAGGAGUAACUAGUUACGCAUAAAUAUAUUUUUUGACAGAGAGAUACUCCCUCUAUAAAGAAAUAUACAAAUCUUUUAUAUCACAGGCUCACAUUGCUGCUCUGCAACGCACGGGCAUUAUGGGGGUUCAGCUGAGAAUAUAAUACUCAGAUAGGCUCACGGUUCUGGACUUUGGGCCGCAGGCCGACCCUGCAUGUUUGGGGGCCCAUGUGUUCUACCUCAACGCUUUUCAUAUUGCAAGUGAUCGGUACGGUGCUGGUUUUAGAUGCUGUCGCAAGGCGAAUACACAAAAUUGAAUAAAGCAUGGCAGUUGUUGGAAUGAAAUCGAACGAUAGUUCCUAACCAGCAAUCAGAGUUGCAAUUCUAUCAACGAUAUACCAUGUGAUAAAUAAUACUGUCGUACUGCUUAUACACACAGGACACUUAUUUCACCAUGCAUGAUUAUUACAUCAAAAUCUCUCAGAGGAUAGACCAGUUCGGCAGUUGUGUGCUGCUACUGAAGAAUUUCAAAGUUGAUUUGGACCAGCUCUCCUUGCCGAGAAAGUUUGAUUUUGACAUCAUCCCCUACCGCAAGAUAUGAUUUAGAUUUGAACAUUGACCAUCCUUUAGCAUCAAUCAUCAUGCGACCAUCCUUUGUACUUACGGUAUAUUGAGCAGGUUCAUUCACACCAAGGCUGUGCAUGGUAAGAGAAACUUGGCCGCGGUCGCCCGGAUUGUUGAAUGACUCCCUCGUUGCUCUAGGAAUUCUCUGUUUGCAAACAAGAAGACAUACCCAAACAGUUAGAUCAAUAUAGUGAAUCAUGUGAAACAACAUGGAAAUAAAAAAGAACGAAGCACUUGGGCGGCCAAUGCUUACCAAGAAGGUGGACAUGUCGGUUUUUGUAAGGACUUUGGUAUAUGAAGUGCGAAUUGCAGCCCAGUCUAUUGUCGGUGCAACUGCACGGGCCGGAGCAGAUGCAAGUGCAAGUGUUGGUGCAGGUGCCGAAGCCGCCGCUGCUGCCGGAGAUGGUGCUCCUUGUAGAGCUGGUGCCGGUGUCAGAGCAGGUGCCGGUGUCGAUGCCCGAUCCUCCGGUAGAUCAGAUUGAUCCGCUGAUGCGGUCGGUGCCCAAUCCUCAACUGGACCAGACUGAGCUGCUGCCGCCAUCAGUGCUAGAGCAACUGCCGGUGCUCGAUCUGUGCGAGACAGUGGCGAUCGUGUCUGGUCUGCUAUGAUCAGCUUUCUAACUUGACUAGGAUCCGUGACCGUGAUCCAGGUUUUUUCUUCAUUUCUUUUAAACGCGAGAAGGGCUAAUUGUGGCGUUUUUGUUAAACCAAACUGCAGUUCAUCAUAGGGAUUCAGCUUGUACUCAGAUAACAGACUGAUCCAAUUUUUUCCAGUAAUAUAAGUGAUGACAGUGCCUUCGUUACUGACACGACAUAAGAAGUGAAACCUGCAAAAAAUAGCCAUCGUAGAGCAAACCAAACGGUUUAUUCUGUGAUGAAUGUCACAUGGCAAAACCUGCAUCGUAAAAUUGCAGGAAAAGAAAGAAAACAUGACAUUAAAUUAAUAAGAUUUAGACAGUAAAUCAAUAAGAUUUACUUGAUGUGACACGAGUGAAUCCUUACCAGGAAAUCACUAUGUUGAAGUACUAAAUAGAAGAUUGAUCGUCCAACUACGCGUGGCAUGCAGGGGCCCCGCCUACUCCCACAAGCAGGACAGUCCAAAGGUCGUGACAAAUCAUAUGGACCGAACAUCCGUGGGACUGGAAAUCCUGGUGGGUGCGAUAAACCCUGCAAUGCAUACAUAUAUUGGAGUGUAACCGUAAUUGAUAAACCGUCCUCACAAAAAAUAAGAUCUGGAUACUUAAAAAUAUACAGACUGAAUUGAGUGGACAGACAUUAACAUAGACCGUUCUCAGGACUGACCACACACCAAAAGCGGCAGUACUAAUAAACAAUACAGGGUUCACAAACACAAAUCAAGUACUAAAAAAUAGUACUUACUACAAACAAGCAAAGUUGCACUAACUAAACUCUGCAGACUAUUUCUUGCCACCGAUCUACGGGAUGAACCCCGCAUAACUGACUAGGCCAUGGACUUCGUGCGAGAUGUCUACAUGCACCAUCACCAUCUUGUCAACCUUGGAGAACCUAACAGAGUGGUCUUUCCACUCAUAAACAUGAUGAUGAAGACAUGCCGCAUCAGAUUUGUUGGGAAGCUUUAAAAGAACCACACCAUUCGUAAUCGAAGGCACAACCAGGAAAUUGUUGUGGUCAAGUACAACCUCGAGAACACGCCUGACAACAAUGCUAUAGGAAAACACUAGUUCAGGACACGUGGCGAUAAGGACACAUCAGCUGGAUAGUUCAGCAGUAGAACUCAUCAUCAGGUCUUCCAGUUCACACGCCAUGACUUUGAUAACUUCAUCUCCACCGCGGACCUGGUUCUAAUUCAAACAGAAACCAUAUUUUAUUACUACCUCCAUUCAGAAAUAUAAGAUGAUUUUUGAUAUUAUACUCCAUAUAUGACUACAUAUACGCACAUAAAUGAGUGAACAAAGACACUAGAACAUGUCUUCAAAGGCAUGAGAGCAAAGGGAUUACAUGCAAUAUCCAUAACACAAGUUACUGAGGAAAAUAUACCCUCUUAAAAGGUAGCAUUGAUGUUCAUAAAGUACUCCCUCCGUCCAAAAAUUCUUGUCUUAGAUUUCUCUAGAUACGGAUGUAUCAAGUCACAUUUUAGUAUUAGAUACAGCCAUAUCUAGACAAAUCUAGGACAAGAAAUUUGGGACAGAGGGAGUAGUUGAAAAAAUCUAUAAGAAAUUAGUUUCAACCUCUCACAUGUUUUGGUCAAAAGAGGAAUUUAGAACCGUCAUUUGGCACACUAAAAUCACAUGCAAGAUCACCAAGAAAGUUGUACUACCAGUACUAGUACUGCGUGUUAGAUGAAAAAACAUGAACAAGAUCGAGAAAAAGAUCAUCAACAAGAGACAUUACCUGGACUUGCUUAAUGAGGGAUCCCGAAGAGGGGGGCUUGGAUAGGGCGAUGACUUUGAGCUUGUCUGCGGUAGUCUCGGCAGGGUGCUUGCGCUUCUUCGUACCAUGAUCCUCGACGGUUUUGGCCAGAGCCAUAGACAUCACGUCGGUCGGUGCUCCGGCGUCCAUCCAAGAGAGGAAGCUGAGAGAGAAGAGUGAAAGGAGGAACGAGAUGAAGGAGAAGUGAAGCGAGUGGAGGUUUUCUUCAAGAGAGGAAGCUGAGAGAGAAGAGUGAAAUGAUGGUUGCUUCGUCCGUCCAACUUACUGCUGGAAAGGAGGGGAUUUUGUGAUUUGGGCAUUACUGCGGCGGUUCGAUCGGGGUAGUCUACCGUCACUCUACUACGAAGUAAUUUAGUGCAUGGCUGGUGGACCCAGGUGCUGGCUGUCCCACACGUCAGCGAAACCGAGUAAUUUAGUGCAUGGUUGGAGGAGGAUCCACACGGUAGAGCGUGUCCACUGUUUUUAUGAAGAAAAAAUGAUUACAGCAAGCGUUUCCACUCUUACGGCGGAGGAGUGCGAAACACGGCAGCCACUUGAACAUACACAGUGGUCCUACGACUAGGCAUGUGCAGUGGUUCAUACGUUAGUACUACACAAUCUUGUUGCUAGUGUAGUAAGAUAUGACGAUAACAAAUGAUGUUGUGCGCAUGUCAACUACUCCUAUAUGUAACAUAGUACCGCUUUUUCGACUGUCCGGUCGAGAAUGAACGGUGAAAUCAAUGUUAACAGAACUAGGUCCACAGCGCACGGAGAGUACGGUGCUACAGUACUCCACGAAACAUGAACCAUAUGAAGCAUGAAUGGAUUCCAGUGACGGAGCCCUGAAAGGAUACGCCCGGCAACGGCGACGGCAGCCCGCAACCCCUCCUUGUCCAGCUCAGCACCCACCAUCAUGCGGAGACGGCUCAGCUCCUCGGAGAUAUAGGUGAAGAAGGAUACUAGGUCAGGAAGCCGCAGCUCGUUGAUGUCGACCGGGUGGUAGAACGGGUUUAGCCCGACGGCCGGCAUCGUCGCGCUGGCACGACGGUAGGCAUCGCGCAGCCGCAACACGUGCAUGGCAACUUGGUUCACCAAGUGGCUGAGGCGGUCCUGGACCUCGUCACGAUCGGCCCGCUCGCGCUCCAGCCGGCUCCCCUGACGGCCUAUCGUAUCUGCCGCUUCCUGCAGCAACGCCACCGAUGCCUCAAGCAUCUUUGUGGUGGACGCCUGCCGCUUUUGAAGCUCUGUGAACUCCCGCACAUAACGGAGGAGCAUGGCACUCCUCUCCUCCUUGAGCUCAUGGAGCUCCACGUCCUUGGCCCUGAGCUCCGCAUCCUUGGCAUGGAGCUCAUGUGUCAGGAGGCUCACCUCGGACUCCGUGAUCUGCUGCGCCGCCAUGGCACCAGGUAGAAGCAAUGGGGAGAGGAAGCAAAGGGGGUGAAACGGCUGAAAGGCAAUGCAAUCUAUAGGAAGGUGGAGUGAGCAGUGUGUUUUUACAAGCGGAGUCAUCAUGACUAAUUGCUGUCGCGCCUGCUCCCGUCAAUCAAAAAAAUAAAAAUCCUGUCGCGCCUGCUCCCGUCAAUCAAAAAAUUAAAAAUCCUGCCGCACCCAAACAACAGAGCAACACCACGGUGGAUAUUUAAAUUUACCUGCCGGCAAGUAGAUAAAAAAAGGGGUGAAAAAGAAAUUGUGGCAGUGGCCUAGCUAAUCGGUCGAACUAGCCCAACUAGCUAGCCAUCGUGCUUCACUGAUGUACUCGGCGGGAAUGGCGGUCUUUCAUGAUUUGACGACUCAUUUACUUGCUUCGGCACUGCGACCGAGGAGGACCUAGAAAACGCGCGGUAGGGCGUCCCACGUCAGGAAGAAUAUAUGCGUGCACCACCUGGGAGGACCCCGAAACCGCGCGGUAGGGUGUGCCACGUCUCGGCACGGAGGAAAAAUGUGCGUGUAAAAAUAUACUAUAUCAGACGUAGUACCUAUGGUUCGACCUCGUGACCCAGCCAGUCGGUCGAAAACACCCCACUAGCCACACGCUUCAUCAUGAAAACGUGGCACGGAGGAUAGAUGUGGUUAGCUCCGUCUUGACCAGCCACAACGUCUCUUGUUCUAGGCGAUUCUUCUAUUCUAAUAACACCACGGCAAGCUAGUGCCGCUCUUCGUGUGUGCCCGUGCAAAUGUUAGACGAUGGAGAGAAGAGAGAUUGAGAUCGCAGACCUGGGACCCACCAGUAAGUGAGACAACGGUCAUGCACGUGCUGACGAGGCACUCCCUCUACUCUACUCAACACAAGUACUGUAUAAAAUCAAGUUAUGGGACAAAGCCAACAACCGUUCGUUUUUUCAGGCUAUCGACUUACGCUUUGUAGUCCAGGUUGCCAGUUCGAAUCUCGUCAUUCAGAUUUGUUAGUUUUAGGUCCAAAUUUGAUUAAUGACAAGUGGGACCCCCGUGUGUUGUUCUGAUAUUUCGGUGUAGGAUGGUUUUUUUGAACAAACAGUUUGCACGGUUAGACAAGUAACGGCACGAGUUACAUGUAUUUUGCAAGUUUACAAACAAAAAUGACAGCGGCAUAGAAUAUCACAUCCACCCCGCAGCUUAGAUACUAUGGUGAUACGAGUUUUUACACCGUUGGAAGUGAGAUCCAAUGGCUUGGGAGUAGUCUUUGUAAUUAUGCGCAAUUUCCAAACUCUCCAAAGGAUUUUUUGCAAAUAAAACAUUCAGGCCUCGUGUGUGCCGCUGCAUCUUCGAUCCAACGGCUCCCCGGUGCUCAUAUUAGGUGCUCCCCGUAGCUUAAUUACCCGCUAUGGUGAUAUGAGCAUCUAGGCACAUGCAUAGUACUUGUACUUUCUGCGCAUUUCCCAAACUCUAUUAGCCGUAUAUUGCAAAAACAUUCAAACCUCCUACUGUGGGCCGUUAGAUCUCAGUGAACUCGUAUCACCAUAGAAUCUACGGUGCGGGUGCACCUCAUACUCUCCCGUGCGAGAAAACAUAAGGUGUUAUCGCAGCUUGGAUGCUACGGUGAUACGAGCUUGGAGGUCAUUUGAUCUGAGAUCCAAUGGCAUCUGAGCAGUCUUUGUGCUUGUAAGCAGUGGCCGAACUUUUUUGGGGCUUUUCUGCAAAAAACCAUUCAAACCACCGAGGAGGUCUUGGGUCACAAAUCCAACGCCUCCGAAGAGCUUGUAUCACCAAAGCAUCUAAGGUGUGUUAGCACAUGAUAUUCUUAAAUACAAGAGAAUAUGAUGUCCUCCUUCAUCUUAGAUGCUACGGUGAUACGAGCUUCGAGGUCGUUGGAUAUGGGAUCAAAGGGCAUCUAAGUAGUUUUUGUACAAAUUGUGUGCAAUUCUCAAACUCAUCAAGGUUUCCUGCAAAAAUAUUAAGACACGUCAUGUGAGCUGCUAUAUCUCAGAUCUACAAGCUCCAAGCAACUCGUAUCGGCAUAUAGCAUCUAAGGUAUGGGGGCACAUGAUAUUCUCCCGGGGAGGAGGGGUGGGGGUGCACAACCAAUCGAUGGUUGGGAGGGUGGGGAUAAAUAUAAUCUAAACAACCCUAAACAGAGCUCCACAACUUUAUCUAAGGUCGAGGGGUUGACCCCCGACAAUCAUACCUCCGCCUAAACACAACAUUUGCAUGUACUGUAGUACUAGACUUAAUAUUCAUGUUUCAGUUUCAUGUUCAUUUUAAAUAUUGAACUAAGGACCAUGGAUGUCUUACAUUUUACUCCCUUCGUUCCUAAAUAUUAGUAUUUUUAGAGGCUUCAAAUGGACUGGCACAUACAAAUGUAUAUAGACAUAUUUUAGAGUCUAGAUUCACUCAUUUUGCUCCGUUUGUAGUCACUUGUUGAACUCUCUAAAAGACUAAUAUUUAGGAAUAGAAGGAGUAUUUUUGAAUUCGUGUCAUACAUGCAUGGUUUGGAAAAAUAGAUGCACUAUACUUAUUGGAUUAUUGUUGUGUUCAUGCGUGUGUGUCUCUCUGUGUGUGUGUGUGGUCAUAUCCUUGAUACAUACAAAGUUUUCUCACCUCCAUAUUGUUCAUCUUUUAAAUUUGAAUUUGCAUUGGAAAACUUACUAGGGAUACCAUGAAAUGUGAAAUCCACAUUGAGAUUAUUAUAUCACAAACUCACUCGAAUUCAACAACUCGUCAUAAAUCAAUUACCACGUUGAGAUUAGUAUUUGCAAGGAAAAUACGGGUAUUGUAAUACACAUAGAUUCAUUCGGCAAUUUAAAAGGUUCCUUUCGUAUUCUCGAAUGGUAGGACCCAACGGUGUACCAGCCAGACCUUGGCUCGUGUUGAUCCUAAAAAAACCGGGCCCAUGUCCUUCGGUGGCGUGCGUGGUACGCACAUUAGGCAAACCCAACCAGUCGAGCCUCAGCGUUUCAAGUCGAAAUAUCUGGCGGCCAGAAUUCCAGCCCUAGGAAAUUCCCCUCAUGUCCCCGGUCCAUAAUGACUACCGAUGAACAACGGAGGGAUGCUUUAGUAACUAGACAACGCUAAGAAUUGAGCCCGUUUGUUCGUGCCUAGUACUUGAGUUAAUAUAUCAGACAUUGCACUGGUACGGAGGGAUUAUCCUUUUACUCUGCAUAUAUAACUUGUCUGAAGUCUAACUAAGCAAAAUGUUUGACCAAAUCCUUUCUUAAGAAAUACAACAGGACAGAUGUACGGCUUGAAAAUUUAUUGCAUGAUGCAGGUUAUGAUAUUGUUUCGAAUCCUGGAUCUUAAAUUUUAGAAAAUCCAAAAGUGAGCAUAAAUUCUUGAAACUAAGCACGGUCACGUGAUAUGGCACAAAUAUUACUUCGUAAGAUUUUUCUUCAAUUUGAGACAAGCUGCUUAUGACAAGUUGCACAAAUGAAGAGCCAAGGUAUUUUGGAACAAAGAAAGACCUGCCACGUUAAGGCGAACGCUUUCACUAUUGAAACCGUGGGCGUUUACGUGUCGCCACGCGUCCCAGCUUCUCAUCGACAAGUAUCGUCCGAGCAAGCGUGUGAGUCGGCGGGAGGCGUGCGAGUAGACCGCUGCUCCAGCUGUCAGGGAGGCGUGCAAGCAGACCGCUGUGCAGGCUCACCGGGAGGCGAGCCCUUUGACCAGGCUCCGCCGCCCACCGUCGUCCCAACUGCUCCCACUUUUAAUGUCGCCGGCACCGCAGUUUAAAAUCAACCCCGCACUACCCGGUAUCGCUACAAUCCUCUCUCUUCGUCUCUGAUUCUCCUGUCGUCUACCUCCAACUAGCCUGACCUAAACGUACGCCAUGCCGCAUCACGAUGGUCUGCCCUUAGUGUUCCAGUUUCCUGAGGAAGACACCCAGCCGGAGUCUCAAGAUCAUAAGGCGAUUUGGGACGAGCUUGAACUGUCCUUGCGGGAAGACGUCGCGCCUGUCCUCACUCCCGUUCUGGCUCCCGUCGCCCUGACUGCACCAACGCCCAUCCCCGUGCACAUGCCAGCGCCUGCGCGUGCACUGACGCGCACGCCCGUGCCGGUGCCCGUGCACCUGCCAGCGCAUGCGCCUGCACGUGCACUAACGUGCACGCCCGUGCUGGUGCCCGUGCACACGAAUGUCUCCUCCGCGCCGUUGAUAGCGCCUGUCCCCGCGUGGGUGCCAGUGCCCCCCUCAGCGGCAUGGAUGGCCGUCAUCGACCGCUUCCUUGCACCAACGCCAGUCACCUCUGAUGAAGCUAUGUACCUAGGGUAGGGUCAUGGACCUGUCCUAACUGCCCUACCCAAGGACAUCUCUAGAAGAAACCACCUUUCAAUCGACUUGGAGGUGUUCCACUUGACAGACUCGAAGACGCUCGACCAAGAAGCAAUCGCUCGACCAAGAAGCAAUCACUCGACCAAGAUCCAACCACUCGACGGCCAGGAGACCUGAAGUCACUCCGCACGCUAACGGUCGGUCAUUAAGUAGCUUUUAUGGUCAUCAUAGCACUUCAUUACUAGCGUUACCAGUAACGCCCUGCCUUAAUGUACAUUGAACCCUUUGUAACGUGGGUUGGCCGGGGUCCUGGCGCACUCUAUAUAAGCCACCUCCCUCCUCCGAGACAAGGGUUCGGACCUCUGUAACUCAUACUCACAUAAUCCAGUCGACUGCCUCCGGGCUCCGAGACGUAGGGCUAUUACUUCCUCUGAGAAGGGCCUGAACUCGUAAACCUUGCGUGCUUACAACUUCUCCAUAGCUAAGAUCUUGCCUCUCCAUACUUACCCCCCUACACAACUGUCAAACUUAGAACCACGACAGUUGGCGCCCACCUUGGGGCAGGUGUUUUAGCGUUUGUUGGAGGAGUUGCGACCUUUUCCGACCCAAAUCAUCAUGGUUUUCGGCGGAGUUUCGGUGGAGGGCCGCGAGAUCCGUCUCGGCGCGCUCACGUUCAUUGUUGACGACUCUGCUUGGAUCCAGGAGGCUCCGCUCGACGUGGACGCACUCCCUGCUCGCGGGGAAACGCACUUUAGCGCGUGCGUCUGCGGCGUUCUCCUACGGCAACCGUUGACCCCCUACCGGUCGGCUCCUGUGUUGUCCUCCCUCCCCGUUUCCAGCCGGCGCAAGCGCUCCGGUCGGUCGAGACUUCAGCGGUGGGUGAGGCACGUGGUGGCACGUCAGUCGGCCAUCCCUCAAGUCGCGGCAAUCGAGCCCGACGAAUCCCUCUAUGGCCUAUUCGACCUGUCGACUGGCUCCGCAGAGACCGCAUCCGAGUGCGACAGCAGCGAUCCGGUGGCAGAGGUUCUGAUGGUCGAUGGAUCACCCAGUCCUCCCGGUUUUCCCCGCACCGACGGAGGCGCAGGUGGAGGCGAUCCGUCCCGUCUCCAUGAGGAGUAUCUUCCCGAGCCUCUCACUUCGCUGCAGAGAGAAGAACUUCACCGCCGGAACAUGGAUGCACUGCACACUCCUAUCGUUGGAGAAACCCCCGAGGAUCGCGCCUUGGAGGAUGCGCGCCUGGCAAACUUGGCCGAGCGCACUCGACUGGAGAACCUCCAGCGAGCACUCGAUGAGCGUGCGCGACAACGGGUUCCCGAAUCCAGUCGACGUCAGCUCUUCCCGCCCCUGCAAGUAUAUCGAACUCCAAUUCAGAAUUUAGCAGCUGCGGCCCGUAUAGCAGAGUCGAUUCAGCCUUCCCAGUCGGAGGCUGGCAAAGGCUUGCUGCAGAUCAGAGCGUUACUCCGGGCAGCAGGAGAUCAGAAUUCCGCUGUUUCUCAGUCGCGGAACAAGAUUCACAGCAGAUCCGUUGCCGCAGACACAGUCCAGUCGGCUCACAGCCCGAGAUCGCCCCCGAGGCGUGAGGGACAUGGAGACCGGCGUGACCAGUGUGGGAACCAUGAGCAGUAUGAUCACCGAGUCGAUCGUGACGGUCGAUGUCGAGUGCCCACGCCUCCCCCGAGGAGCGGGUCGUAUGUGCCUCGCCAUCAGGAUGACAGGCGCCCUCAUAGUGGUGGGCGAGGGAUUCCAAUCGACCCCCAAGGGCCAGGCUUUGACGCGAGAUCCAUUCUCGUCCAGGGUUUGGUCGACAGGAACAGGGCUCACCGAGAAGGUCACGACAGAGAUGCACCUACCAGUAGCAGAGUACAUAUUUCGGGGCCAGAGUGCUUUAGUAGAGCCAUCAGGGCCGCUGUGAUUCCUCCCAACUUCAGGUUGGCGACUAGAGUCAGUAAGUUCACUGGCGAGUCCAAGCCCGAUACUUGGCUUGAAGAUUACCGAGUGGCCGUCCAGAUCGGCGGCGGCAAUGAUGAAGUGGCCAUGAAGCACCUGCCUCUCAUGUUGGAGGGCUCGGCCAGAGCGUGGCUGAACCAGUUAGCACCUAGCAGCAUUUACACUUGGGAGGAUCUCUCCCGAGUGUUUGUCACCACAUUCGAAGGCACGUGCAAGCGACCGGCAGGGCUGACGGAACUGCGGUCUUGUGUAUAGAAGCCGAAUGAAACUUUGAGGGAUUACAUCCAGAGGUGGAUCACGUUACAUCACUCGGUGGAGAAUGUGCCUGACCACCAAGCAGUUUGUGCCUUCAAGGAAGGCGUCAAGUACAGAGAACUGAAUUUGAAAUUCGGUCGAACCGGGGAUAUGUCCCUGAAUCAGAUAAUGGAGAUUGCCACCAAGUACGCUAAUGGCGAAGAUGAGGAUCGACUCAGGAGUGGCAAACUCAAGUCAGUCGCCCAAGAACCUGGAGGCAAUCCCAAUCGGAAACAGAAGCGGAAAGCCGAGCCAGCGGCUCCCGGGGAAGCCUUGGCUUUAACCCAAGGAAAGUUUAAAGAGAAACCUAAAGGGCCUUGGAACCCCAAAAAGGUUAAAGACCAGGACGGAAAUGAUGUAUUGGACUUGCCAUGUCUCGUCCACACAAAGAAAGAUGAAGAGGGUAAUUUCAUUUACUCGAAACAUACCACUCGACAGUGUCGACUCUUGAUCCAGCAGUUCCAGAGCAAGCAGCCCAAAGGUAAGGAAAAGGAGUCGUACAAGGUCGAGCACAAAGAGGACAGUGACGAUGGAUACCCUCAAGUCAAUUCCACCCUGAUGAUUUUUGCUGAUGUUGAGAGCAAAAGUCGACUGAAAGUUAUCAACCGAGAGGUGAAUAUGGUUGCUCCGGCGACACCAAGUUAUUUGAAAUGGUCCCAGACUGCCAUCACGUUCGACCAGUCCGAUCACCCAACGCAUAUUGCCACCCCUGGGAGGCACGCUCUGGUGGUCGACCCAGUGGUUGAAGGCACUCGACUGACCAAAGUCUUGAUGGAUGGUGGCAGUGGUUUGAACAUAUUGUAUGCUGAGACGUUGAAAGGGAUGGGCAUUCCGAUCUCCAGACUCAGUGCCAGCAACAUGAGUUUCCAUGGAGUCAUUCCUGGGAAGAAGGCUGAAUCACUCGGCCAGAUUGCUCUUGAUGUGGUUUUCGGUGAUUCCAAGAAUUACCGCAAAGAGAAGUUGACAUUUGAAGUUGUAGACUUCUAGAGUGCCUACCACGCUAUUUUGGGCAGGCUGGCUUAUGCACGCUUCAUGGCCCGACCAUGUUAUGUGUAUCUCAAAUUGAAGAUGCCUAGCCCCAAAGGUGUGAUCACCAUUAUGGGCAAUCGGAAGAAAGUGGAAGAAUGUUUUCAGAAAGGUUCAAAGAUCGCAGAUGCUCAGAUGGCAGUAGUGGAGUUGCAGGAGUACCAGAAGACUGCAGACCCGAGUGAUUUGUUGCGAGCCAAGAAGCCCGCUACAGAGUCAGCUUUUCAGUCGACUAGCGAUACGAAGACAACUCACAUCCACCCGACCGACCCCAGUGCUGCUCCAACUCAUAUCUCGACAACACUCGACUCCAAAUAGGAAGAAGUGCUCAUCUAGUUCCUCCGUGAGAACUGGGACAUUUUCGCAUGGAAACCCUCUAACAUGCCGGGUCUUCCCAGGGAGCUGGCUGAGCACCGCCUAAGAGUCGACUCAAAAAUAAAGCCUGUCAAGGAACAUCUCUGACGGUCCGCCGUCCAGAAGAUAAAGGCCAUUGGCGAAGAGGUAGCUCGGCUCUUAGUGGCGGAAUUCAUCCGAGAAAUCUACCACUCCGAGUGGCUCGCCAAUGUUGUCAUGGUCCCCAAGAAGGACAAGUCACUUCACAUGUGCAUUGACUUUAAACAUAUCAAUCGGGCCUGCCCGAAAGAUCAUUUUCCUCUCCCCCACAUCGACCAGAUAGUCGACUCGACUGCGGGAUGUGAGCGACUGUCUUUUUUAGACGCUUAUUCCGGGUACCAUCAGAUCCGUCUGUAUGGGCCUGACGAGAUCAAAACAGCUUUCAUCACUCCAUUCGGGUGCUUCUGUUAUGUUACCAUGCCAUUCGGCCUCAAGAAUGCCGGAGCCACAUUCAUGAGGAUGAUUCAGAAGUGUUUGCUCACCCAAAUCAGUCGGAAUGUGGAGGCGUACAUGGAUGAUAUUGUGGUCAAGUCACGGAAAGGUUCCGACCUGCUGACUGACCUUGCUGAAACCUUUGCCAACCUCAGAAGGUUUGAUAUCAAGCUUAAUCCAUCAAAAUGCACAUUCGGGGUUCCUGGCAGAAAGUUACUCGGUUUUCUAGUUUCCGAAUGGGGAAUCGAUGCCAAUCCAGAAAAAGUCGGUACUAUACUCUGAAUGAAAAGUCCUGUACGAGUGCACGAUGUUCAGAAGCUUAAUUGGUGCUUGGCCGCCCUAAGUCGAUUCAUAUCUCGUCUCGGUGAAAAGGCAUUACCUCUUUACCGAUUGAUGAAGAAGUCUGACAAGUUCGAGUGGACUCCUGAAGCUGACACAGCGUUCACAGAGCUCAAAGCUCUGCUCUCCACCCAGCCAGUGCUUGCUGCCCCAAUCAGCAAGGAGCCUUUGCUGCUUUACAUUGCAGCCACAAGACAAGUCGUCAGUACGGUACUUACGGUCGAGCGGGAAGAAGAAGGGAAAACCUUCAAAGUUCAGCGCCCAGUGUAUUAUAUUUCUGAAGUCUUGACCCCAUCGAAGCAAAGAUAUCCUCAUUAUCAGAAGCUCGUAUAUGGGAUUUAUAUGACCACAAAGAAAGUUGCCCACUACUUCUUUGAUCAUUCCAUUACAGUCAUCAGCGAUGCUCCGUUGUCAGAGAUCUUGCAUAACAGGGACGCAACUGGUCGAGUGGCAAAAUGGGCGAUUGAACUCCUUCCUCUAGGUAUCAAGUUUUAGGCAAAGAAAGCUAUCAAGUCCCAAGCAAUCGCUGAUUUUGUCGCCGAGUUGAUUGAACAGCAGCUGCCGACUCACGUUCACUCGGAGCAUUGGACCAUGUUCUUUGAUGGUUCCAAGAUGCUAAAUGGUUCCGGAGCCAGAGUGGUGUUGGUCUCCCCCAGAGGAGAUAAACUCAGAUAUGUUCUUCAAAUCCACUUUGAUUCCUCUAACAACGAGGCAGAAUACGAAGCACUUUUAUAUGGGUUGCGCAUGGCCAUUUCACUCGGUGUCCGACGCCUCAUCGUCUAUGGCGACUCAGAUUUGGUGGUCAAUCAAGUGAUGAAGGAAUGGGACGUCAGAAGUCCAACCAUGACUGGUUAUUGCAAUGCAGUGAGAAAGCUAGAGAAGAAAUUCGAGGGGUUAGAGCUUCAUCACAUACCCCGACUGAAAAAUCAAGCAGCUGAUGAUCUGGCAAAAAUAGGUUCCAAAAGAGAAGCCAUUCCCAACAAUGUGUUUUUGGAACACAUCCACACACCAUCAGUCCAGGAGGAUCCCUUCACUGAAGAGGCCCCGCAGCCAAAAAGUGCCACGGAUCUGACUGAAGUUGAAGUUCCAGCUGUGGUCGACCUGAUCAUGGAAGUCUUGGUUAUCACUCCCGUCUGGACAUAACCGUACAUCGCGUACAUCCUGAGGAAAGAACUCCCAGAAGACGAAGAAGAGGCUCGACAGAUCGUCCAUCGAUCCAAGGCCUUUACAGUCAUAAAGGGACAGUUAUAUAGAGAAAGCGUGACUGGGGUCGGCCAGAAGUGUAUUACACCAGAAGAAGGUCAGAUGAUCCUUAACGAUAUGCACUCGGGGACCUGUGCUCAUCAUACGUUCUAUCGGACCAUUGUGGCUAAAGCAUACCGAGCGGGGUUCUAUUGGCCAAAAGCCAAUGAGAUGGCCAAAGAGAUAGUCGACAAAUGUGAAGGAUGUCAGUAUUACUCCAAUAUGCCACACAAGCCUGCGUCAGCCCUGAAAACCAUUCCACUCGUCUGGCCUUUCGCUGUUUGGGGGUUGGACAUGGUUGGACCACUGAGAACAGGCAGGAGCGGCUUCACUCAUGUGCUGGUAGCAGUCAACAAGUUCACCAAAUGGAUUGAAGCCAAGCCUAUCAAGAAUCUUGAUGCUUGCACCGCUAUCAGUUUCAUCAGAGAGUUGAUAUUUAGAUAUGGAGUUCCACACAACAUCAUCACCGACAACGGGUCAAACUUCGAUUCCGACAAAUUCAGGGCCUUUUGCGCCUCUCAAGGCACUCGGGUCGACUAUGCUUUGGUCGCUCACCCCCAGUCGAAUGGGCAAGCAAAAAUGGCAAACGGCCUAAUUCUCAAAGGACUGAAACCCCGAUUGAUGCGCGAUCUCAAGCACGUAGCAGGUGCAUGGGUCGACGAGCUUCCAACAGUCCUUGGGGAUUGAGGACAACCCCGAAUCGAUCGACCGGAAGAACCCCAUUCUUUCUGGUCUACGGGGCCGAGGCAGUCUUACCGAGUGACCUGCUUCACAAUGCUCCCAGAGUCGAGCUCUACUCAGAAGAUGAAGCAGAACAAGCCCGGCAGGACGCAGUCGACCUUCUAGAAGAAGAAAGGGAAAUGGCCUUGAUUCGAUCGACCAUCUAUCAGCAAGACUUGCAUCGAUUCCAUGCCAGAAACGUGAAGAGCCGAGCCUUCCAAGAAGGAGACUUAGUCCUCUGAGUUGAUCAGCAGAAACCACACAAGCUCGCCCCUACUUGGGAAGGCCCCUUCAUAGUCACCAGAGUCCUCCACAAUGGAGCAUACCACCUCUACAAUGUCGAUCGCCAGAUUGACGAGCCACGAGCCUGGAAUGCGGAGCUACUUCACCCCUUUUAUACUUGAAUUCUCACUCGGAUGAGAUGUAAUAAGAAAAACUCCUAUAGUUUAUUUAUCAAAGACAAGAGCGUUAUAAUUUUCCCAGUGAUUAUUAUUGUUUUUGUUUGCGUAAGAAAUCCCCAGUGGGUGGCUUAGUUGCGAAUCUGCUUCGCCUAAGUUUGUAAAAACAGUUUCCUACCGAGUGGCGAGCCAGCCUCCCACUCGGGGGCUUAGCUGCGAAUCCGUUUCGCCUAAGUUUGAAAAAAUCCUACUGAGCGGAGAGCAAUCCUCCCACUCGGGGGCUUAGCUGCAGUCUAGUACUCGCCUAAGUUCUCCCACUUAGAGACUUAGCUGCAGUCCGGCACUCGCCUAAGUUUGAAAAAAUCCUACCGAGUGGAGAGCAAUCCUCCCACUCGGGGGCUUAGCUGCAGUCCGGCACUCGCCUAAGUUUGAAAAAAUCCUACCGAGUGGAGAGCAAUCCUCCCACUCAAGGGCUUAGCUNNNNNNNNNNNNNNNNNNNNNNNNNNNNNNNNNNNNNNNNNNNNNNNNNNNNNNNNNNNNNNNNNNNNNNNNNNNNNNNNNNNNNNNNNNNNNNNNNNNNNNNNNNNNNNNNNNNNNNNNNNNNNNNNNNNNNNNNNNNNNNNNNNNNNNNNNNNNNNNNNNNNNNNNNNNNNNNNNNNNNNNNNNNNNNNNNNNNNNNNNNNNNNNNNNNNNNNNNNNNNNNNNNNNNNNNNNNNNNNNNNNNNNNNNNNNNNNNNNNNNNNNNNNNNNNNNNNNNNNNNNNNNNNNNNNNNNNNNNNNNNNNNNNNNNNNGCCUAAGUUCUCUCACUUAGAGACUUAGCUACAGUCCGGCACUCGCCUAAGUUUGAAAAAAUCCUACCGAGUGGAGAGCAAUCCUCCCACUUGGAGGCUUAGCUGCAGUCUGGUACUCGCCUGAGUUCUCUCACUUAGAGACUUAGCUACAGUUCGGCACUCGUCUAAGUUUGAAAAAAUCCUACCGAGUGGAGAGCAAUCCUCCCACUCGGGGGCUUAGCUGCAGUCCAGUACUCGCCUAAGUUCUCUCACUUAGAGACUUAGCUGCAGUCCGGCACUCGCCUAAGNNNNNNNNNNNNNNNNNNNNNNNNNNNNNNNNNNNNNNNNNNNNNNNNNNNNNNNNNNNNNNNNNNNNNNNNNNNNNNNNNNNNNNNNNNNNNNNNNNNNNNNNNNNNNNNNNNNNNNNNNNNNNNNNNNNNNNNNNNNNNNNNNNNNNNNNNNNNNNNNNNNNNNNNNNNNNNNNNNNNNNNNNNNNNNGAAUGGAGAGCAAUCCUCCCACUCGGGGGCUUAGCUGCAGUCCAGUACUCGCCUAAGUUCUCUCACUUAGAGACUUAGCUGCAGUCCGGCAGUCGCCUAAGUUUGAAAAAAUCCUACCGAGUGGAGAGCAAUCCUCCCACUCGAGGGCUUAGCUGCAGUCCAGAACUCGCCUAAGUACGAAACAGAUCUCAUUCCUCAAGGACAGCAAGGGGAAGGUCGACUGCCACCUUCUCCUGGGGAGCUUCGCCACAAAUACAAUGCGCGAUUCAUCCCGCUCUACAGUAGCGAAGCGCGGGUCGACUGCCACCUUCUCCUGGGGAGCUUCACCACAAAUACAAUGCGCGAUUCAUCCCGCUCUACAGUAACAAAGUGCGGGUCGACUGCCACCUUCUCCUGGAGAGCUUCGCCACAAAUACAAGACAUGGGUCGACUGCUUCCCUCUCCUUCGGAGCUGCGCUGCGAAUGCAAAAGUUGUCUCGAAUGAAGAAUGGGUUCACUCAGAAGGAGAUUCAUAAAGAUAUUCAACGGUAAACCAAGUUCAGCUAAAUUCUAAAGCUUCCGGAUCACAGAUCGAAGUACUCAGGCAUGCAGCCCAAAAAAGUUUAACGGUUACAAAAACCACUCGGCAUUCCGAGGCAAAUUUAAGGUGGGACAUAAGAGUUUGUUCACUCCGUGGGAGGAGGGCUGGCAGGCUCGACGAACUCAUCCAGGUCGACGCCAUCGGCUAUCCAAGUGGCUGCAGCGAUGAAAGUCUCCAUAAAUGUUUGAAAGUCAUGCUUCUGGGUGUUGGCAACCUUGAUUGCUGCCAGUUUGUCCUGUCGCACCUCCUUGCAGUGGACACGAACCAAAGACAGAGCCACGUCAGCACCACACCGAGCAGCAGACUUCCUCCACUCCUGCACUCGGUCGGGGAUUUCAUUAGUCGAGUCAUCAGGGACUCAAUAUCAUUUUGGAGCACAGCCUCUGGCCAAAGUGCCGGGUCAAUCCACGACAUGGUGACCUUCAGUCGAGCCAAGUAGUCCACGGCACUGUCGAUGUGAGAUUCCAGACGGAGCAGAUUCUUGGCAGUUUCAUCUUUCACGGGAGAGUUGAUUGGAUCCAAACCUGGUUCAAUCCACCCAGUCUCCUCUUCAAAGUUCUGGCAAAACUCUGCAUUCACGAUCCAAGGAUAAGUCAAUUUUCGUACACUGAGUCGACACAAAAAAAAUCAGUCGGAACAGAAUGUGCAACUUCAAGCUUGAUGAACAACAUCUUGGCAAGACUUCUCAGAUAGCUCUCUAGAUCAUCCCUCCUGCGAGCAAUGCCUUCCAUUUUCUUGCCCUGGACGAGAUUCGCCUUCUUCCAGCGUGAGCACUCCUUGUUGGAGUCAUUCAAAGUGGUCUUCAGCCUGGUAUUCUCUUCUUCCAACUGGCCGACCAAAGCUAGCUUCUGUUCUGCCAGAGCGGUCUUGUCGUGAGCCUCCUUACAAGCAGCGACCAAAUCCUGAUCCUUCUUCGCCAGAGCUUCUCUCAGUUUUUCUGCAAAGAAAUGACGAUUGAUUCAGAAAUAGCAGAAGGGUACUCAAGCCUAAAACUGACCAGUCGACAAACUCGUCUUACCUACGGCGCCGUCUCUGACCUUUUGCAGCUCUGUCCUGGCCAGCUCCAAGUCAAGGUUCAGUUGAAUCUGCUGCUUCUCCAGGUCAGCAAAGCGAGCUCCAAGAUCACAAGAUUUUUGAAAUCAAAGGGGAGAAGUUAUUUUUACAGCAAAAACAACAAAGGCAAUAAAUACUACGCCGAAGUCGAGUCCAAAAAAGGGGCAGAAAGAGAGAAAAUAGAACUCAGACUACAGUCGACUGCCAGCAGUCCACCGUAGUCUCGGGGACUACACCCAGUGGGUGCACUUAGCGUGCCCCCACCGGUUCUGAUCCCACUCGACCAGACCGAGUGGAAGAGACAAACUACCAGUUUGGUUUAUACAUUCGGCAAAAUACAAAGACUACAAUCGACUGCCAGCAGUCCACCGUAGUCUCGGGGACUACACCCAGUGGGUGCACUCAGCGUGCCCCCACUAGUCCAAAAAUUCAAUCGACGCACACAGUGGGUGUACAGAUGCAAAGGUUUUCAGAAAGAAUCUUCAGGUAGCAUAUCCUAACAGAACAAGCGGCAACCAACUAACCUGAACAUUGCUCUGGACAGCCGAGCUAGCAUCAUAGGUGGCUUGGCUGGCGUCUCGCACCGUCUUCAUCUUCUCCAUCAUAAUGCCCGCCUGGCGUAUGGCUUCCCUAGCAGCAUUCACCUCGUCCUCUGGGACAUGAUGGGUCGCAAAAAGUGAAGGCGGGUCAACAGGGGCUCGAGCAGUCGACGAAGAAGGCAAGGCACUCGACAGUGGCUCGGGUAAGGUAACAGAACCCCGAUUGACGUCGCCAGUGUCCUGAACGACUGGAUCCGCCCUCGGCGUCGACUGUAGUGCCUCACUUACAGGAGCUCGCCUAUUCUUCCUCGUCAAAGGCCUCUCGGACUCUUCAUCAUCAUCAGGGAGGUCAAUAAUGUUGGGAGCUGUGCAAAGUUCAAUUGCCAAAAUCACGUCACCCAAUGAUGCACAUUGUAGUUGAAUUGACCGAGUAAAGAUAGUAUGGCAGAAAUCAUACCCGGAUUAGAAGUGACCGCAUCCUCCAUCACCUCAUCAUCAUCCCUGUAAGCUAAGGUCCCGGAAGUGGUAGCGCUGGCAAUUCCAAAGUUCGUCCAGUCAAAACAAGAAACACAAACAGCGCGGAGCAUCGAGUGAAUACAAAGAGAGACACUCACGCGGAGGCGACGGGGAUAUCAAUCUUGAUCUUCGGCAACGCCUUCCGAGUCCUCGGCUCUGCAACUUUGGGGUGCUUUGGUGCCUUCUCAGUCGGGGUUGGUGAAGAGAUCCGAGGACGCUUCAAAGACUGACCAGCCUGAGUAGUUGCCUUGUCGCGGGCACUCUACCGUUCUUGGUCGAGCUUGGAUCGCCUCUCCCUGCGAGGGGGGACUCGACUUCUUCUCCAUCACUUGAGCCGUCGCUUCCUCCAUCCCUUUCACCAUCGGAAGUCCACUCGCCACUGUCGCCGCCACUCGCCUCGCCUUCCAGUGCUUCCUCUUGCUCCCCGUUGGGCAUUGAAUACAUUUCAAUAAUAGCCUGAAAGGAAGCAGGGAGAACAAAGUCAGUCGACGCAAUAUAGGUAGCUGUGCAAGUGAAUUCAGAUUACAAGCAAAAACUCAGAAUCAGACCUGCUCUGGUGCAUGAGAUUGGUUGAAUGGGGGAACUCUCCUAGCUCCCCUGGGAUUGUCCUUGUUCCCGGUAAUGCCCGACAGCCACUUCUCCAGUGUGUCGUCGUCGACCUCCUUCGGGUGAAUCCGAGUGGAGUCUUCAAGACCCGAAUACAUCCACAUCAGAUGGUCUUGAGCUUGAAGAGGCUGGAUGCGCCGCUGAAGGAAGACCUCCAAGAGAUCCAUACCAGUGACCCCGAGCUGGACCACUCGAUCGACCAACAGCUUCACGUGCGCCUUCUCCUCCGGGAGCACCUUCAAAGGGGAGGGUUUCUCCACUCGGUCCAUGGUAAAGGGAGGGAGGCCAGUCGAUUGCCCUGGCGUCGACUGGUCUUUACAAUAAAACCAGGUCGACUGCCAUCCGCGAACCGAGUCGGGAAGAAUCAUGGCCGGAAAGGAGAUUUUCCCUCUCGUCUGGAUGCCAAGACCCCCACACAUCUGGAUCACUUGGGUCCUCUCAUCACUCGGAUUAGCCUUUUUCACUGUCUGGGAGCGACAAGUGAAAAUAUGCUUGAAAAGAUCCCAGUGAGGCCGGCAACCCAGGAAAUUCUCACACAAAGAAAUGAAAGCGGCGAGAUAAACGACCGAGUUGGGGGUAAAAUGGUGGAGUUGUGCCCCAAAGAAGUUCAUAAACCCUCGAGAGAAAGGGUGAGGAGGCAAGGAAAAUCCACGGUCGACGUGGGUGGCAAGAAGAACACGCUCACCCUCCCGAGGUUGCGGCUCAGAUUCCUUCCCCGGAAGCCGCGCCGAGUCAUAGGGGAUCAGCCCCCCUUCGGCCAGGUCGUCGAGGUCUUCUUGGGUGAUCCUCGAGUGGAUCCAGUCGCCCUGGAUCCAGCCCCUCGGGAGGCCGGUCCGCGAGGAGGAUCCGCCCCGGCUGGUCACCUUCUUUGCCCGCUCCAGAGCUGCCAUCUUCUCCUUCCCCAUUGUCGCCGGCGAGACGCGUAUGGAGCGGUGAUGCUGGGGCGAGAGCGAGCGCAGCGGAGGGGCGUGAAGAGGAGAAGAGGAAAUGGGAAUGCACUGUUCGGGAGACCCCGGUCCAACGCCUUAUAUGAGGCCGCUUCCGAGUGGCUGACGGGUAGGCCCAGGUGGCUCUGUCAAAUCCCAUAACGAUCGCGCGCGCGGUACGUGGCGAAAAAGGCGGCGCGAGGAUCGAGGCAUCUCCGCUCUAUCCAUCCGAUUACUGCAGCCUCCCCCGUCCUGCGCGCUUCCCAAAAUUCAGAUCCCACGGAAUCUGCGGGCAGCAAACAAACUUGUCAGUCUAAAAGAUCUCCUCCGCACCGUCACUCGAAGCCUUACGAGUGAAGAAACUCACUCGACGAAGAAUUAAGAAUGGAUCAAGGCGACUGAAAAGGAAGUUGUUGUCAUCACUCAGGUCCAUUAAUCCGGAACAAGAUAUCCUCACGGCAUGAAAAACGAGUCGGAGAGGUUCUCAACUCCUUCCCCACUCAAACCUCGAUCCAUUCGGGGGCUAAUGAUGAAGCUAUGUACCUAGGGUAGGGUCAUGGACCUGUCCUAACUGCCCUACCCAAGGACAUCUCUAGAAGAAACCACCUUUCAAUCGACUUGGAGUUGUUCCACUCGACAGACUCGAAGAUGCUCGACCAAGAAGCAAUCGCUCGACCAAGAAGCAAUCACUCGACCAAGAUCCAACCACUCGACGGCCAGGAGACCUGAUGUCACUCUGCAUGCUAAUGGUCGGUCAUUAAGUAGCUUUUAUGGUCAUCAUAGCACUUUAUUACUAGCGUUACCAGUAACGCCCUGCCUUAAUGUACAUUGAACCCUUUGUAACGUGGACUGGCCGGGGUCCUGGCGCACUCUAUAUAAGCCACCCCCCUCCUCCAAGACAAGGGUUCGCACCUCUGUAACUCAUACUCACAUAAUCCAGUCGACCGCCUCCGGGCUCCGAGAAGUAGGGCUAUUACUUCCUCCAAGAAGGGCCUGAACUCGUAAACCUUGCGUGCUUACAACUUCUCCAUAGCUAAGAUCUUGUCUCUCCAUACUUACCCCCUCUAUACAACUGUCAGACUUAGAACCACGACAGCCUCCUCCCGCCAGUUGACUCGCUCCGAAGUCCAGAACAUUUUGGCCUUCCUUGAAGCUAGGCCAACGUCCAGGAGUAUGCCAACAACGGCGCAAGACGCCGCCAUCACCGUCGGUCAGUGGCCCGACGACACACAGAGCACGAUAGAGGAGCCGCUUCCCACCGCGAGACGCCCCCGCCACCGCAGCGUAAUCUAAAUUUGCCAUGAAAAACGUUCGAAUUGCCAUGCAUAAAAUCCGAACGUUUAUCAUUUCCAUUUAUUUUAUAUCGAUCAUCGUAUAAUUAAAAGUUGGAGUCGGACUGAACGAAAUGUAUGGUUUGAUCAAUUGAAUGUUCUUCUAGAGCCGUAUCAAAUUAAAUAUAAAACGCCAUCAAGCCACAUGUAUUCCUUGUCAUCCAAUGACCUAGACUGCUUCAAUGUCAAGCGCUCAACAUGUUUAGCGUGUAGUUAAUUUCAUGCCAAAAAUAGGUAUAAUCACAUGACAACACACAAAUAAUAUCCUAGUAGUUAAUAUCCGCAUGCACUUAAUAUACUUCCAAAUUGACGUGCAUUGCACUUACACACUGACUAGUGCUGCUAGUACGUGAAACUGGUGCCAUGACUUGUGAACGCGUCCAGAUAUGGUUAACGGCAACAUCGCCCGCGUGUUCUUCCUGUUUGCCCGUGCGUCUAAACGCAUAAGGGGAGGAGAGAGAGAGAGCACACAUGGAACCCACCAGUAAGUGAAGGCGAAUAGUACUAAAAAUAUAUUCCAUGUUAUCCAUUAAUUAGGCUGUGGUAAUAUAAAAACAUUAUGUGAACAAAGGGGGUACAACAAGCAUUGCUAUUCUAUGUAUGUUGCCUAUUGACGUGCGACUUGAAGGCCCGGUCGCAUGUUCGAUCCUCGUCCUUUAUUUUUUUAAUUUGUAUAUGGGUCCAAAUUUGUUUGAUGACAUGUGGGCCCCUCGGUGUGUAGUUUGUAGCACUUUAAUUUGUGGGUCGAAAUUUGUUCCAUUCCAAGUGGACUAUCGGUGUGUAGUUUUGUAGCUUAUUUAUAAUAAUUAAAUAGAACAACAUAGUUUUUUCAAUAAUACCAUGGUGCGACGUUGAAGGCGAGAAAGGAUGUGCGAGAGAGUGAUGACCGAGCCAGAGGGAAAUCAACUAGGGGAGUUGCGUGGGUUGCAACGAUGUUUGGAGUAGUUGUGGGUCGAAUGCUAUGAAAAUAUAAUCUAAACCGACCGGAACAAAUGCCUACACAAAUUAAUCCAAGGUUAGAGUGCUCCUCGCAAUGUAAAUAGCUCCGGCUUUGCGAGGGAUGGAGAGGUAGUAGCUUCAACGUGUGGAAGAUACGGUGUGAGAAAGCGAGGUCAAUCGAGAGACAUAUAGAUAGAGAGACAAAGUGAGUGUAGUUGGACAUUCAUUGAACAAAUAUAUAUGCUCUGGAGAGAUAUUGUCCGAUUGAGCUUUUUUCGCAAGGGUGAGGGCUGUAAGAUAGAGCUUGAGAGAUGAUCCAGUCACAGACGUGUAGAUAUAUUUUGUGCAUGGGAGGAAGCAAGGUCAACCGAUCACAUAGGGUCGCCGUGCGAUCGAAAGAGUGAGACGGGUUGGAGAGAGUGACCUAGAUAGUAUACAAUGUGAAUAGGUCGAAUUGGGCUCAAACAUGGUGAUAUAUCGUUUUUGUCGGAGAAAGAGCGAGGUCAAUCGAGACAUACGGAGAGAGAGAGAGAUUGAGUGAGCGUGGCCCACCAUGAGGUCGAAAGAGUGGCGGCGGCUUGGAUAGACUGACCUAGAUAGACAAUCUGUGUGAGAGAGUAUAGAGUGUGUCGAUUGAGGACCGAACAGGGAGAUAUAUCAUUUGUGUGUGAAAUAAAAUGAGGUUAAACGAGACUCAGAUAAAGAGAGCGAGAUUGAGUGAGUGUGGCCCGCUGUGCGGAAGAAAGAGUGAGACAGUCUCGAGGGAGUGACCUAGAUAUACAACGUGCGUGCGUGCGCACGAGAGGUUGGGGGGCUAGAGAGGCAAUGCAUGUAUUUAGCGCAAGAGGGUGAGAGGGAGAGGGGGGAGAGAGAGAGCUCGGCAUGCGGUGGAAUGGCGGGUGUGUGAGGUAAAUACAUUUGGUAAUAGAGUGGAAAAAGGGGUUGUGUAGUUGAGAGACUUAGAGAUCGAAACAUGGAGAGAAAGAAUGACCGUGUGUUGGAAACCGAUAGCUUCCUAAGNNNNNNNNNNNNNNNNNNNNNNNNNNNNNNNNNNNNNNNNNNNNNNNNNNNNNNNNNNNNNNNNNNNNNNNNNNNNNNNNNNNNNNNNNNNNNNNNNNNNNNNNNNNNNNNNNNNNNNNNNNNNNNNNNNNNNNNNNNNNNNNNNNNNNNNNNNNNNNNNNNNNNNNNNNNNNNNNNNNNNNNNNNNNNNNNNNNNNNNNNNNNUAUAGAUGUUUCAAUUCGGUGUACAUUGUAAGAUUUGAACCGAGGACCAGGCAUACGGGUAAUUAUUUCGAAUUCGUGCCAUACUAAGUUUCAAAAAGUUUACAUUGACUCAGUUUGUUGUGCUAUUUUGUAUGUCAUAUGUUUGAAUCCAUCCAAAAGUUUUCUCAGUACCAUGGUGUUCAUCAUAUACAUAUGAAUUUGUAUUAAAAAAGUAGCAUGGAUACAGUGAAAUGAGAAAUCCACGUUAGAAUUGGAGAUCGCUACAUGACACACACUCUAAUUCAAAUAACUAACUACGUGACACACACUCUAAUUCAAAUAACUAAUUAUGUGACACACACUCUAAUUCACGUUAGCAUGGGUACUGUUUUGAUUUUUUUCAAAUAACUCCUCAUCAAUUAAUUUAUAGUACUCCCUCUGUUCACUUUUACAAGACCUUGAAGACAUUUCAGACAAUGUGCAAAACAGCUCAUUUUAAGUUGUCUGAAACGACUUACAAAAGUGAACGGAUGGAGUAUCUCGUUUCGAAUGACUAAUUAUUGCAAGGAAAACACGGGCAUGGUACUACAUACAGAUUCAUUGGCAAAUGAAAGAAGAUUCAUUUGCAUUCUCAAAUGCAGGCGCACCAGGUAGACCAGGGUCGUGUCGGGGUGGACGCUGCUUCGGUGCCUUAAGGCACCGAAGCAUAGUCUUGUCAGGGUGGUCGCGUGUGUCGGACGGACGCGUAGCACCCAGCCACCCACCCCCUCCCCCCCAAAAAAGGACGACGACAAUAUAAGUUCACGCUUCCACGUUUCGGAUUGAAAUAUCUGGCGGCCCCAAUUCCAGCCCUGCAAAAUCUCUCUUCUCCACCGUCCCCUUCCGCACCCAGAUUGCUCAAAUCCCUAAUUCGCCGCCCAACCUCGAAUCGCCCCUCCUCUCAUCUCUUUCCCCACCGUUCCCCACCUCUAUGCCAGAUGAAGAAGACGAAGACGAUGGUCGCGCUUCACCACCGCACCGGAGCUACCUCAUCUAUGCCCUCGUCCACCGCACCGGGUGGUCCACCGACAACGUCGGCCGCCGCAACCGACUUGCCUCACAGACACCGAGUUCCACAGCAUCAGGUGCGCUUCACCGACGCCAUCUCCCAGCUCACCGAGGCUACUUCACCGAGCACAUCGUCGCAUCUCCGCCCCCCGAGGCCGUUGGGGCUUCACCAACGGUCUCGUCCACCGCAUCAUAGCGCUCUGCUGCCACUCAAGAUCUGCAUCCGUGCGCGGCCAGCCAACGCCAGCGCAUCACCCUUAACGGCUCUGAAGUGACCCGCACUCUAGCUACGCGAGCAUGCCCAAACGCCGGCCCGAACUAGGUAUCCACACAUCAGUCCCUUGUGCACUGUUCCGACGAUGUUUGGAUAUCAUUUCACUGCUCUAUUAGCUUACACGCCGAUGCAACUCUGACUUUAACUCUUAUUUCUUCUGGAGAUAUCAUCUGAAACAAGCAACUCCAUUUUUUAGCAAAGCAUGACGGCGCUAUGGGAUCUGGUACACAUCCUGCACACCCGUAUAACCUUGUAAGUAUCUGUCCCCCAGUACAACAUCAAUGUCGAUUCCUCUUAUUUGAUCAACCAUUCGCCGUGUCAAAAAUGCAGAGGUGGAUGCAAGGAGCACAAGGCCUGCACAUCCAAGCAAGUGGUAACAUGGACUUGUACAUGGAACAUCCCAAGCGCAAGCGGAGCUGCAGUGAGCCUGUACAACGAGCUAGCGUAAGUCCCUGCAUUUCAUUUAAUUUGUACUGGCAUUCGUGUAUGAUUUUUGUGUAGUGGCUGAUCCACGAAUUCAAGUUACCAGUGGCGAACAUUUAACUUAAAAAUACGAAGGCACUUGCACUCCGGAAAUCAACAUAACUUGAGAAAUGUGAAGCUACAUGCACUUAACCAGCUAAUGAUCCAAAGUAGUUCAGAUUAUAAACACUAAAUGAUGCAAGCACCAAAAAACACAAAAUGCAACAUGGUGUACAAGGACUGCAAACAUGGUCUGUACCUGCUUGAAUUAUUUGUUCUCUGGCUGAAAAUAUCGAAGUGUAAUUGCACGUAUGACCAGUGCGCAAACUGCAUAUCAAUAUAUCUAUCCCGCACAAGUAUGCCAAUAGUUUCAAACAACAGAUUCGAAAAGUAUUUAUGCUAUGUUGUCAUGAUACAGGGACUUUCUGGUAGAUGGACUCGACAUUUCCUCAAGCUAUGAAAAUGCACUAUAAUUUGUUUGUCAUCAAUGCCUGCAAAUCUCUGUCUCUCUCAACAUAGUAGAUCAUCAUUAGACACUAAAUCCUUCAAUGAGCUUGCAAAAUGCUUGCAUUAGAUUCCUCAUUAGACACUAUAUGUUCAUCACCAGGAGCAUGUAAAAUGUUUGCAUCAAAUCCUUCAUUAGAAAUCUGUUCAUUAGACACUUCAAGCUCAAGAACAACAUGAGCUUGUAUGUUUGCACUGGAAACUUGAUUAGAUACAUCAUAUUCAGUCACUUCAGUAUUGAUUGGGGGAGUUAUGAAAUAAGUAGAAAUUGGUUUCAUUUUCUAAUAGAUUCCCUAUAUACAAGCAGUUUUACAACAACGUCAGGUUUAACUAUUGGCCAGAAAUUGAAGAGUUGAAUUAGAUAUAAUCAGGGAUGUGAUGUACCUGCUCGUUGCGCAUGCUACUCUUGCAAGCUGCGAUUGUCCAUUUGCGCAAGCUCGAUGCCAUGCCCGUGCUGCCACCGCUGCCUCCCACGCAGGCUACACCCAGGGUUGGAUCUUCAUCUUCUUGUCCUUCUGUUCGCUUGAAGCCCGGUGACCGCCCUCCAAUGAGGACGCGAGGAAGUUCUGUGUCGGUCUGUCCAGCGGCGGCUAGGUUAGGAGCGAAUCAGACUGGAGGCUAGAGCGAAUGAAUUGGGAUUUUUCCUGCCAUCGAUUGAUAUGUGAGGCGCUUGUUUGGGCCGUGAGCCUGCUAUAGGGCCUGCCUUGCACUUAUGUUAUUGGCCCAUCCAAAUUGAAACAUGCUUCUUCAUUUUUUACAUUGCCUGCUCGUGCAUUGGGACGAAUAAAACUAGCGUGGGCCAACCUGGACGACUCAAAAUAGGUGCACACUUUCCAGCCACCUGAGGCGGUCGCCCAUACCAGCCCCUAUGGUGGCGUCACCCCUUUUUGCGUGUAUGAUUGGAUAGUGAAAAAUAUUCCAGUGGCGCUUUUGAUUUACCCACAGAAUGGUUGAAUUGCUUGUUUCUAAGAACUGAGUUCGCCAAUAAUGUGAAGGAUGCCAGUCUUUUCAUCCUAUUGUAGAUUGCUUAGAUCUCGAUAUGCCAAAAGUAAUCGCAUGAAAUAUAUAGUAAUAGCCAGUGUGAUGUGUUUGGCUACAACUAGUCUAACUACAUGUCCUCAUAUAACAUAUCAAGGACGCACCAUCUUACCAGAUUAACCAUUCGACUUACCCAUGCAGUGUGGGUAUUAGGACUGCGUAUGCAAGCAAUUGAUGCCAUGGACUCCUUCGUACAACCUUGUAAGCAAAAAAGAAGUUGCAGUGUGCCUGUACAAAGAACUAGCGUAAGUUCAGUUACCCGCUUCUAGGAAUUUUAGUUAGCCACUUAUUGCAAAGUUGUUCAAUUACGUUGCUUGGCUUAAUUUAGUUUCCUACUGAUUACAUAAUGGCACAGCCUGUUAAUCAUAUUGUAGACUGCGCCUAUCUAUGUGUUUGAUACUUACUGUUAAGAAUUACCUGUUUGCCUUAACUUAAAUAUCUACUUGUUUGUUUAACUGCUUUGCUGCUGCAACAACGGGUUACAAUGAUGUUAAUAACUACUUUUCAGCAUCCAGUUGAAACUCUUUAAUUCCUUGUUUGUUUAAUUGGUUUGCUAUUAUAACUCCCAAUUGAGAUGUUUUGCUAACUUCAACUUUUCUGAAUCCAAUCGGAACUUUAAUGGCAAAACAGGUUAGCCCAAGAUCAAAGGGCGAGGUCCCCAUGGACGUUGCAUCAUCCCACAGCAGUGGCACCGGCCCAAUCGUGCAUUAUGAAUUGCCAACUGCUGAUGCUCUAGAGGCUAAACUAGUGGUAGAAAGAGAUUCUGCUUCUGCACUUAGAGAUGAAGUUGACAUGUUGAGGAAGCAAACAGCACAAUCACAAGCAGUACUCAAGACAACCAUUAAAUAUUUGGUGGAUUUCAAAAUGAAGCAAGCUGAGACUGACCAGAUUGUUAAGGCCCUGAAGGAAAAAAGGAAAUUAAAUUCCUACUUGGUAAAUCAUAGGUGAAAUGUUCUUUCCAUAGUUGAAUAACCUUUGUGUUGUCCGUUCAUGUAAUCAAUCAAACCAUUUGUUUUAGAGAUCAUGUAAUAAUUGUUUUUUUGGUUUGUAAUUUUAUUUGAGCACAAGUCUGUAUUAAUUGAUAAGACUCGGAGACAUUUCAUUUGGAUUGCUAUGCCAGACCAACAAAUAUGCCAAUUGGGCUGAAUGUGCAUUCAGCAAUAGUAGUAGUAUAGAUGGACCAUAAGUGGCACACAUCGGAAAGGGCCAAGAUGUUGGCUAAAAAAAGGAUGCUGUUGUAGCCAAAAAAAAGUAUAGCGGUCUGGCUUAUGUAUGUUAGUUGAUAUUAUUGAUCCAUAUACUCUAUAAGUGUUUAUAUGUCUAUUAGUUCUGUACAUUCUUGGUUGAUUGACUCGGAAUUUGAAUCUUGAUACAUCGCUUGUGUACAUAUCUAAAUGGGAGUACACAUUAUGCCGCGUGUGACAUUUGAGUUGGACAUGAAGUGUUCCAAAUAUUCGAAUUCACCUUAAACUGGAUUCUAGUUUCUGAAUUUGAGUAUCGGCAUUUGUAAACCAUAUUCAUAUAUGACAGUGGAAUACAUCUUUGUCGUCCUUUUGAAGAUAUAUAAAAACACAUAGAAUGAUUUAUAAAGAUUCAUAUAGGAAUACAAAAUGGAUUCGAAUUUAGUUGCCAGUGUAAACGUGGAUGCUUAUUGUCCCAAAAUUCGAAAGAAGCAGCAAAAUGUCCACUCCCAGGUCGGCUGCCCGAAGCCAAGUGUUUGGGAGAUGGAAAUUACUAUCUACCCAUUACACAGACAAUCCAUCGGCCCACUUUCCACUGCUCUAAAUAUGGGUAGGUUAGUAACUUCAAUUAGACGUGACACAACCGCCUCUGAGCCCAUUCAGACACGAUGGGUGUCAAACAUGGGCGGCAAAACUCAUUUGAUUCAAGCUCUUCCGAAAGACCUCUGUUUCUCCCUCCAUUACCCAUUCAUACACGGCGGGUGGCAAAACAAACUCGACUCGGCCGAAAUCGAUGUAGGCAAAUAUUUUCAAUAGGGGCAGGUUUGUAACUUCACCCAGACGUGACACAACCGCCCUACCUAUCAGCCCCGUUCAUACACCAUGGGCGCCAACCAUGGGCGCCAACCACCCUCUCCUCGCCCGAAAUCGCUCUGGGCAAAUAUUGGCGAGAUGCGAGAUUACCGUCCUAUCCCCAACCGACGAGAUGUCCAAAUUUUAAACGGGGGCUAAGUUCGUAACUUUCCCAUAUUUCAGACAGGCGUGUCCCAAAAACAUGGUUCCCCGUACCUCUCCCUCCAUUUUCCCAUUCAUACACCGUCCGCGCUAGAACACCCCAUCCCCACACCAGCCUCCGUCUGCCACCCCAUCCAUCGCCGCCGUCCUCCACCACAUCCAUCGCCACCGUCCUCCACCAUGUCGGAGCGCCUGCCAAGACCGUGUCGUCCACUGCUAGAGAUGGAUGUUUCUCUUCCACGACGACGGACCAAUAGCCUUGCAUCGCGUCCUCUCGCUUCAUCAGCGCCGUCGUCCUCUUUGCCGGGGCCGCUCACACGACCUUCUCUUCCACCGCAAUGGGACUUAUCCCCUGAUGCACCUGUCUACCAUCGCAGAUCUGCUUCAACGCCACCGACAACCAUCGCACCCCUGAUGCCUACACGGUGCCGCAAGAGAGGUGGUACUUCAUAUCUCCUCAACUUUUUGAUCUCAACCAGAAAAUAGAUCUUAACUUGGUUACUCUACUUUCUUUUCAGCUCUUAGAAUUUAGUUAUUAGUUUGAAGCAAACAAUGGAUGCUAAAUAUUAUUUCUACGGUUUGCAGCUUCAAAUCUGCCAUGGCACAGCCAUAAUACGAUUUAAUUGAUCAUGCUUAGGGUUUAAUUGAUCAUGUUGGUUCCGUGGUGGUUUCUUUAAUAGAAAUUGGAGGGGAAACCCUCUUUUGCUAAAAAAAAUAUGCUUAGAGUUUCCCCCUUUUAUGAUCACUAUACAAUCAGAAUACGUGCUUCGUAUCAUAAUAACACUGCUCCACCCAUCAAGCUAAACAAGCUUAGUUGUUCAAAUACGAAUCUGAUAUUAUUAAAACAGAGUUGUUUAAUUGGUUAGCUAAAUGUUCCUAAAUUAGUUUCAAAAAUGCAUGUUCGCAGCUUGGGUGUGUAUCUCUAUAGGGUGCCCACGGUGGGUCGGCCCACCCUGGGAUUUUGGGUCAUCCCAGGCCCCGAUUCCCCUCUGUUCUGCUGCGUGCUUCCGAUCUCUACUCGCCCCCAGCCGCCUGCCUCGCCGGCGACUUGCCGUCCCCGGACGGCAUGACUCUAGGAGGAGACGCUGGACUAACAGGAGGCCAGGAGCCGCUCGCCCAACAGCGUCACCGCUGCCCAGGCGCGCCGCCGUGCCUACAUUCCCAGUCCGUAUAGGGCUCAGGCGUGCAGCACCCACCAAGCCAACCCAAUUUAUCCUGAGAUACGUCCUCAACACUCAGCAACCACUCCUCAUCACCCAUUUUCUAAUUGAUUCAUUACUCAUUAGGCAGGACUGUCAUUAGGGUUUGUUGUGUGCUCAGUGCUACCUACACUUAAUGGUUCAGAUGUAUUUCGGUAAUCUUUAGUACCUCUAAAGUUCACAGGGUUUUCAAAAUUCUGGCCCUCGGAAUAGAUAAUCUGACUACUUUUUAUGUUUUCAUGAAUCUCAGAUACUGAACAGCAUCAUAAUGAUUAUGAGCUUGCGCGCAUGAAAGGAAUAAAGCAGAAUAAUGCCAUGGCUGUCAAACUUGGCAUUAAGGGACUGAAAUCAAGUCUGGAUGCAAUGCAAUGCAAACGCUCUCCACCUACAGAUUCAUGCUCAGAAUAUGAUCCUAACAGUGAUUCUGAGCUAGAGGGAGACCUAAGUCAAUGUAGCUCCCUAGUGGAGGAGUCAGAGGAAGAUGCCCUAUCUUAUUCACCCAUCAAGGUACUUGCUCUAACUUUCCAAGGUUACAUUGCUCGCACAUAUCUUGCAACUGAUGAUUUGCAUUGCUUGUACUUUGUUGAACUGCCAUUAGCUUAGUUUACACAUCGUGUAUGUCAAUACGCCCUGCCUAUCCAUUUUCAGUACAUAUUCCAUCUGUCAUCACACCAUAUGUAUCCAUUCAAAUGAUGUUCUUGUGUAUCAGACGUUUAAAAGGAAGAGGGCGAUUGCUGAUCGUGGAGGAGCACAAGCAAAGUAUUUGGAAAAGGUAGUGGCACCUGAUACAUCAAAUAGCCCAUUAGGUGUAGUUGCAAUAUCACCUGACCCACAAAAUACCCCAACUCUAGCAGACUCUAGCCCUACUACAUUGGUCAUUUCUGAUGCCCCAACUCAGCAGAACCCAACUGCAGCAAACAGUAUGAUUAUGCCAGUUGACAUAGCACCAGCUGUACGACGCAAAACCCCAAUUCCAGCAAAGAGUACACCAAAUCCAGUUGCCAAAUCCCUUUUCGAACCAGAGAGAGCCCCAAUUGCAGCAAAUAGGACCCCUGUUCCAUUUCUUCCCAGUUUAGAAGAUGAAGCUUAUGUUGUUGUCAUGAACUUUGUGCGCAUCUUUCCUUCAUGGAAAUAUUAUACCGCAGACACAAAACAAUUUCCAGUCUUCCUCCGCAACUUAUGCGUAAGUAAUGUACUAAUGUUAUUCAUGGUCAUUACUGCAUAUGUUUCUGCUGACAGAAGACACAAGAUUUCAUUAUUUUAAAUAGGCGAGGAGAAAACUGGAUUGCGAUGACGAGCAAGGGUUGGUUGCGCUUUUCAAGCACUCGUUGAUGAAGUAUCGUUCCUACCUGAGGCAAGCGCACUUCAAUGGCAAGCCUCUGAACGAAAUUUCUGUAAAAUCUCCGGUGCUACAUUUAUCCGACGGUGACUGGAAUAAUCUUGUUACACAUUGGUCUCGGCUGCAGCAUAAGGUACUAUCUAUGAUAUCACAUCACAGUUUGAACUACAUUUCUGCAUUUGCCUUAAUGUCUCACUUGUGAAAACUGUUAGCAGAAGAACAUUCGUUCUCAAGGGACCACAGAAUCUCGCAACUAUACUGCACACUGCAUUGCUCUUGUGAGUACCUCUUGCCAUGUAUGACCAUACUUACUUUCAUAGCUGUUUGAUUAUGUAGCAUCACUGCGCAUGUUAGCCUCGUAAUCGUCCAUUUGGUGGACAUUAUAAGAUCUGUAUGGACUCUUACAUAAAUUUAGAAUCAACCCAAUGCUUUUGAAGAGGUUUAGCUCUGCAGUCCUCUUGUAAGGACUAAACGUGGUCUAUCACUUUUCUUACAUUAACAGCUACUCCCUCCGUCCCAUAAUAUAAGAACGUUUUGUAUAGUACACCAGUGUUCAAAACACUCUUGUAUUAUGGGAAGAGGGAUUGGUUCAUUUUGUAGCAUUCUGCAUCUUAUCUCCCUCACCCACCAUUUACUAAAAAAGAUCAGAUCUAUCUUUAAUCUUACCAACAAGUAGAAUACAUAGACAAUGUCAGUGCAGAAGUGUAGCCCAUUGCUCUUGUCAGUACAUUUUGUCCUGUAACGCUUGUACUUCCAGGGAUUGGUAGUUGAUUAUGUAGCAUCAAUCUGCAUCUUAUCUUCAUUAUCCUAUAUCCCUUCCAGUAUUAUCAUAUCUAUAAUUACUCUCUACAAAAUGUAGAGUACAGACAAUGCUUAUGAAGAAGAUUCUGUGCUGAAAUUCUUGAGUUAUCCUUCCCUUGACAUGGAGAAGGGCAUUAUAAAGCCGGUGUUAACUGUUAAUGUAAGUCAGUCCUUCUAAAGCCUUUAUCCUCAACUGCUGUUUAAUUUGCUCAUACUCCCUAUCGUUUACUGCUGUUUAGUUUGCUGUUUCUACCAAAAUGCAUGUUCGUAAGAACCGUAAGUUCUAAGUUUUACUUGUAAAACCAAAUUCCUUAUUCAUAUCAUGCACAUUACGUAAUACUCCCUAUAUGUAUGCUUGUUUUUGUGGAUCUAUAAUCCAGUGUGUGGUGAAGUAGCCCACGUUUGCACCUUGUCAUCUCCUGUUUUAUCUUACUGAUGUGGCUGAUGAUAUGAACAACAUGCCAUGCACAUUAUCCAAAAUAGAUACAAUGAUUUUCUUUGCCCUUCAUCCAUGCUUGUUAUGUUGACAUGGUAAUCCAGUAGUGUGGUGAAGCUCCCCGCAUUAUGAACAAUGCCAAAUUAUGCAAUUAAUAUUUUGAACUUCUCUUUAUUUUCUAAUUUGAAAUUGGAUAGAAUUGACAGAACAGUUAUCAUCUUUGUUUAUACACGUGUAAAACAUGUCAUCUCUCUGCUUUGUUUCAGGGUGAUAUGCCUGAUGGCAUGCACAAAUCUGCUGAAGGCUGUGAGACAAACCCAACACAUAUUGCAGCAAAGAAGGCAAAACAUCUUGAAGAUAGCGAGACAACCCCAAAGUCUUGUCUUGAUGCAGUGUUCAAGUUACUUGAGACUAACAGUCAGACAAGCUCACAGAAUUCGUUGUCUGAAUCAAUUCGACUUCUUAAGUCCCAAGUUCUAGCAGAAAGGCAUUCUACAACUCAACUUCGACUUGAAGUUCUAUGUCUAAGAAAGAUUGUGGAGAACACUAAUUAGAACCUCAUCGCUAAACAGCUACACCUGGAAGCUAUGACUGACAUGCUAGGCCGGUCUCACAGCCUUGCUCAGCAGCUUGCGCAGCAGUUCCCCCGCAAGGCUAACCUUUCUUGAACUGUCUUGGAGGUGGUCUCGGUUCAGUAUUAUUUUGUUACGCUAUAAUGGUGCCCAGUUUUUGUAAUCUGCUUCUUUGUUGCGCUUUAUGAUCACUGGUGGCAAACUUCGAUGCCCAGUGUAUGUAAUAUACCUUAAAUCCUUUAUUGUAUAGUGUAGGUUUAUUCUUAGUUAUUAUGCCGUAAUUUCUUUAUUGUAUAGAGUAGGUUUGUUCUUAAUUCCUACUAGUUACUGCCAUCAUUCGCUAUCUGAAAAAAAAUCAGAUGUAGUCGACCGUACCGAAACAUUCGCCUCUAACGGGCCAGGUUUUUAGUGGGCCUGAAACGUGCCGAACAGCUCACGGGCCGGCAGCAGCCCGAAAUAAACCUCGACCCAUGAUUGUGCGAAUCAAAUCACGGGCUUUUAAUAGGCCAAAAUUGUCUCGGUCCUUGUUUGGCCCAAUCAGAUAUCGGCUAUGAGUAGGCCGGAUGCAAAUCGGGCCGUAGUUAGGCCCAACUAUAUGACGGGCUUUUAACAGGCCGAAAUUAAUAUAGGGCCGAAAUGUUAAACGGGCCCUUAACAGGCCAAAACUAAUAUCAGGCCGAAUUACUAAGUGGGCCUUUAGCAAGUGGGCCUAAAAGCAUAGUGUCCAGUUGACGGGCCGAAUCUGAUAUGUGCCAUAAUUGAGCCCAAAGCCUCUUAAAGGGCCGGACCUAAUCUGAGCCAUUAUUUGGCCCAGAACGUGGUAGGCUUUUAACGGGCCGGAUCUCAUAUGGGCCACUAUUAGGCCCGGAGCUCGGCAGGCCAUUAAUGGACCAGAUCAAAUAUGGGCCGGCAUUUGGCCCAAAACAUGGCAGCCAAUUAAUGGGCCGGCCUACUAGGGUCCUCAAAAUCUUGUGGGCCUAUAGCUGGGCCGGCCCAUUAAUGUCGACGAAAUCUCGUGGGCCUUUAGCUAGGCCGGCUCAUUGUGAUCCUCAAGAAUCUUGUGGGCCUUUACCUGGGCCGGCCCAUUAUGGCACACAAAAAUCUUGUGGGCCUUUACCUGGGCCGGCCCAUUAUGGCCCGCAAAAUCUUGUGAGCCUUUAGCUGGGCCAGCCCAUCAUGGUCUGCAAAAUCUCGUGGGCCUUUAGCUGGGCCGGUCCAUUAUGGUCCGCAAAAUCUUGUGGGCCUUCAGUUGGGCCGGCCCAUUUAAACUUGAUGGGGCGGUCCACGUGUCAACAUAUCAUAGGUGCGUCUCGCCCAUUGGAUGAGUGACACCUGUGCCAACGCGGGCCUGACACGUGUCUCCUCCAGCCAAUGAUGAUUUUACACGUGGAAAAUCCCUAUUGGUCGGGGCUGUUAACGGGUUAUCGGAUCCAAAACCCGACCCGAUAGCUUAACGGCGUUCUGUUACGGUGGAUGCCACGUGUCGGUCACCCUUGACGAAAGCACUUCUGGGACGCGCGAUUUAUCGUCAUGGAAGUGGACACUUCCGUGAUGAUAAUUUUGGUAAUGUCAUGGAACACUUCUACGACAGCACAGGUAUGACUAUCUUGAUUUUGUCAUAAAUUUGUCAUGGAUGUACAUGCAUGAAAAAAAACGCGACCUACUGUGACAAACACGUAUCAUCACGGAAGUGUAUUUUUUUGUAGUGGUGGCGGGUGGCUCGCAGUACACUACGAGUUGUGAGCCACCGUGUGGGUUGGCCGUUUUUUAGGCAGGCCGAUGCCACAUCAAAGUCGUGAAUUCGUUAUUUAAAACAUUACACAACCCUUUCAUACAUACAUGUUUUGGCCACAUGCAGUCGAUGGUUGUCCUACACGACACUCGAUACUCGCGUGUGACGCUUUCUGUGGGCCCGCGAGGUCAUCGUCCAUCACUUUGACAAACAGCCGGCAGUGAGGUUAAUUUGACUAGCAAGGUAUAAUCUUUUUUGUUUGUGUUAUGGUGGUAUAUAGUACGCAUCGAAGAUGUGGGAGGGGACUAGCAUAUAUACUAUAUGUACGCGUCCGUGAACAAGUACACCUCACUCAGUGUCAGGACUUUUUGGUUUUUGAGGCACGUGCCACAUCAAAAUUGUGAAAUUGACUAUUCAAACAUCACACAACACCUCAUUGGGCCACAUGCAUGCACACUGUGGUUAUCCUAGCUAGGACACUCACGUGUGACACUUCCAUCUAUGGGCCCAUGAGGCCAUCAUCUAUGCAUGCAUGCAUCACUUUGACCUACAUCAGGAGAGGUUAAUUAAUUUCACUAUCGAUGAGGAUUCUUUUGGGUUGUACAUAUUACGGUAGGAGCAUAUAGUAUGCGUCCAAGAGGAGGGAAGGGGACCAUCAUAUGUAGUAUGCUUCAUGAACCUCGCUCUGUGUGGGUGCAUGGUUUACGGUUUUGAGGCAUGUGGCACAUCAAAGUUGUGCAUUCUGGGUAUUCAACAUAUAUAUGUUGAAUAACCAAACGUCACAUUCUUGCAAUGGUGGCUUGACCAAAGGAGAAGAUUCAUAGGGAAGACCAAGAGAAGCGUGGAUUCAAUCGUGAUUCUCAUCGCGUGGGCACUCUGGAAGCAACGCAAUGCACGAGUCUUCAACAACAGGUCGUGACAGAGAUCCCCCUUGUAGCUUCGAGACGAAAUUCAAGAUGAGAUUGAGGAUUGGAAGAAGGCCGGUCUCGGCGGAGUCGGAGCUUUAGAUACUUUUAUGAGAGAGUAGUCUACGAUCUCAAGGGUGUAGGAGUGGCAUGUGUCCCCCCGACGACUUGUUUGCAUCUCGUUGGGCUCUUGUACAUAAACUUCUACCUUCUAUAAAAAUAUGGUAUGCCAUUGGCGUACUCUCGAAAAAAAACAUAUAUAUGUUUGGCCCACAUGCAAAGCGAUGGUGGUUGUCCUCUUGUACCCACUUAAGCGGUUAUCAGCGAUAUCGACGCUUUCCAUUUGUGGGCCCGCUUGGUCCACCACUACUUUUUUCCUGACAACGAGAGAGAGGUUAAUUUGACUUUGGAGGGGAUUUUUUGCUUGUAAUACGGUAUAUAUAUAUAUAGGUCAUGCUCUCGGAUGACAUGCAUGAUACAGUUUGAGCACACACACAUGCAUGUGUAUGCAUGAAUCCCUCCCAUCGAUUCGAAGUGGUUAGUACAAUGACACGUCAUGAACCGAUCUCGCUCUAUGUGGGGAGUGUAUGAUUUUUGAUACACGCGCCACAUCAAUGUUGUGAAAUGGUAUUCAAACAUGCAUGCACGCAUCACCUCCAUACAUAUGCAUGUAGUGGUUGCCUUCGAACGGUACACUCCCUCGCGUGGUUAUCGACGACAAGCCUAUGGACAUCCAUGAUCACCUUGACUGACAACAAGAUAGGUUACCAUGGCAGAUUCUUCAUUUGGUUCGUGUUAUCGUAGUAUAGGUCAUGGUGAGAUUCAGACCUAAUUAAGUUUGAGCGCAUCUACUAUGCACGCAUGCAUGCAUGAAUCCCCAUCGUUGGCUUGAAGUGUGGUGUAACAUACAUACGCAUCAUCAACGUAACCCUUAACAUGUCUCCAUCGUAUCUAUAAUUUUUGAUUGUUCCAUGCCAAUAUUCUACAACUUUUACAUACUUUUGGCAGCUUUUUAUACUAUUUUUGGGACUAACACAUGGAUCCAGUGCCCAGUGUCAGUUCCUAUUUCCUGCAUGUUUUUUGUUUCACAGAAAAUCCAUAUCAAACAGAGUCCAAACGGGAUAAAAACUUAUGAAGGUUUGUUUUGGAAUAUAUGUGAAUUUUGGGAGAGGAAUCACCGCGAGACGAUGCCCGAGGGGUCCACGAUGGUGAGGGGCGCGCCCCGGGGGGUAGGACGCGCCCUGGGCCCUCGCGGCCACUCCAUAAGGUAGUUAGAGCCCUUCUUUCGCCACAAGAUAGCCAAUAUCCGGAUAAAAACCAUGUCAAAAUUUCAGCCCAAUCGGAGUUACGGAUCUCCAAGAAUUUAUGAAAUGGUGAAAGGGCAGAAUCGGGGAGCGCAGAAACAGAAGGAAACACAGAGAGAGAGAAUCCAAUCUCGGAGGGGCUCUCGCCCCUACGCCGCCAUGGAGGCCAUGGACCAGAGGGGAAAGCCUUGUCCCAUCUAGGGGGAAGGUCAAGGAAGAAGAAGAAGAAGGGGGGCUCUGUCCCUCUCUGUCCCAGUGGCACCGGAACGCCACCGGGGGCAUCAUCGCGACAACGAUCUACACAAACAACUUCACUGCCCUCAUCACCAACUCUUCCCCCCUCUAUACAGCGGUGUAACCCCUCUUUUACCCACUGUAAUCUCUACUCAAACAUGGUUCUCAAUGCUAUAUAUUAUUUACCAAUGAUGUAUGGCUAUCCUAUGAUGUUUGAGUAGAUAUGUUUGGUCCUAUGGGUUAAUUGAUGAUCGUGAUUGGUUUGAGUUGCAUGUUUUAUUAUUGGUGUUGUCCUAUGGUGCUCUCCGUGUCGCGCAAGCAUGAGGGAUCCCCGCUGUAGGGUUUUCAAUAUGUUCAUGAUUUGCUUAUGGUGGGUGGCGUGAGUGACAGAAGCACAGACCCGAGUAAGUAGGUUGUUUGUGUAUGGGAGUAAAGAGGACUUGAUGCCUUAUAAUUCUAUGGUUGGGUUUUACCUUAAUGAUCUUUAGUAGUUUCGGAUGCUUGCUAGAGUUCCAAUCAUAUGUGCAUAUGAUCCAAGAAGAGAAAGUAUGUUAGCUUAUGCCUCUCCCUAAAAUAAAAUUGCAAUAAUGAUUACCGGUCUAGUUAUCGAUUGUCUAGGGACAAAUAACUUUCUCAUAACAAAAAGCUCUCUACUGAAACUAACUUAGUUGUGUCUUUAUCUAAACAACCCCUAGCUUUUAUUUACGUGUUCUUUAUUAUCUUGAAAACCUAUCCAACAACACCUACAAAGUACUUCUAGUUUCAUACUUGUUCUAGGUAAAGCGAAUGUUAAGUGUGCGUAGAGUUGUAUCAGUGAUCGAUAGAACUUGAGGGAAUAUUUGUUCUACCUUUAGCUCCUCAUUGGGUUAGAUACUCCUACUUAUCAAAGAUGCUACAAUUGAUCCCUAUACUUGUGGGUUAUCAAGACCUUUUUCUGGCGCCGUUGCCGGGGAGCAAUAGCGUGGGGUGAAUAUUCUCGUGUGUGCUUGUUUGCUUUAUCACUAUGUGGAUUUUAUUUGCUUUUCUAAGUUGUUCUCUAUCUCUAGUUAUGGAUAUGGAACACGAAAUACCAAGAAAAUUAGGUGUACUUGCUACUCAUGGUGAUGGGGAACCUCCUAAAACCCUCGAUGCUCAUUAUGUGAAACAUAUUAUGCACUACUUUAAUAAUCCUAAGAAAACCCUGUUCAAUUAUAUAAUGGGAGACACGUUGGAUCAACGUGAAUACUUUAGGGAUUAUCGCUUGACUCAAAAAGGGAAACUAUUAUGGGAUCAAAUUUAUAUGUUGCAUUGGUAUGCUCGGCAACUAUGCUUGAGAUAUGAUUAUACUUGUUGCUCUAGGAUGAAGGCUCCACACCUCCCCUUUUCAUGCAAAUUUAAUGAUAAUGAAACCUUAACUUCUUAUGCUAAUGGUAUAUAUGAUUACUAUGAUGUGGAAUGAAUAGAAGAAUUUGUUUCUUUUAAGGGUGCUUGUGAAAUUGAAUCUUUGUUUAAAGAGUUUGAAGAUUUUGAUGAUUCAGUUUAUAGACCUGAAAAUUUAGCUAUCCUUAAAUAUUGCUAUGAGAAUUAUAAAUACAAUUAUGAUAUUGAUGAAUUUAUUGAGAAAGUCUCCGCUGUCCGAGAAGAGACUAAUAUUUUGCACGAGUCUAUGGAAGAAGAAAUUGAUGAAACUAUGAGCUCAUUAGAUGAAAAAGAUGAUGAGGAGAGCGAAGAACAAAAGGAGGAAGAUCAGAUUAGCUACCCAUGCCCACCUUCUAAUGAGAGUAACUCUCCAACUCAUACAUUAUUUAAUGUUCUGUCGUUCUUACCGAAGGAUGAAUGCCGUGAUAAUUGCUAUGAUCCCAUUGAUUCAUUGGAAAUAUCCCUUUUUGAUGAACUUGAUGCUUGCUAUUCUUGUGGCCAAGAUGCCAAUAUGAAUUAUGCUUAUGGAGAUGAACUUGCUAUUGUUCCUUAUGUUAAACAUGAAAUUGUUUCUAUUGCACCCACACAUGAUAGUCAUAUUACCUUUUUGAAUUCUCCAAACUACAUUAUAUCAGAGAAGUUUGCACUUAUUAAGGAUUAUUUUGAUGGGUGGCCUUUUACCGGUGCACAUGAUAAUUUUGAUGAAUGUAAUAUGCAUGGGCUUGCUGCUCCUACUUUCAAUUAUUAUGGGAGAGGAACUACAUCUCCGCCUCUCUAUGUUUCCAACACGAUAAAAUUGCAAGAAACUUCUUAUGCUAUGCAUUGGCCUUUACUUGAUGUGCAUGAAUUGUUCUUGUAUGACAUGCCGAUGCAUAGGAAGAGAGUUAGACUUCAUAAUUGCUUGCUAUAUGUUGCUUUGUGCUCACUACUAAAUGUCAAAUCAUUGCUAAUUCAAAUUGGCUUUGAUAUACUUUGGGAUCCGGGUGGAUUCAUUACUUGAGCACCUUAUGCCUAGCUUAAUGGCUUUAAAGAAAGCGCUGCCAGGGAGACAACCCGGAAGUUUUAGAGAGUCAUUUAUUUCUGUUGAGUGCUUUUAUAGAGUUUAUAAAAAUAAAAAUAAAAAGGGGAACCCAAAACUUUUCAAAAAGGAAAGUGAAAGUGAGAGAGACAAGCAUUGUUGAAGUGAGGGAGCUCCUUGAACUUCGUUCAUGCUCACGAAAACUUUGUGAAUCUUGAUUACAGAAACUUUUCAACAAAAAUAAUUAUUCCCUUGUAUUAUAAAAAUAAUGUGCCAAGAUUUGCCUUUAGGAUGUUUACAUUGCUUGUUGGUUUGUGCGGUGCAAAACAGAAACUUUGGCUGUAGUGCGUGAUUUUACAUUUUUUUUACUGGAACGUAAAAUGGUUUCAAAACUUUUUGCAAUGUCUUUAUAUACAAGUUUUUUUAUUUUUAGUAAUUUUUUCAGAAUUCUUGGAGUACCAGAAGUAUGGUGAAUGUUCAUAUUACUACAGACUGUCCUGUUUAAGACAGAUUCUAUUUUUGAUGCAUUGUUUGCUUGUUUUGAUGAAACUAUCGAUUUCUAUCAGUGGAUUAAGCCAUGGAAAAGUUAUAUUACAGUAGCUUCAAUGCAAAAAAAUAUGAAUUAGUUUGCGACAGUACUUAGAGUAGUGAUUUGCUUUAUUAUACUAACGGAUCUUACUGAACUUUCUAUUGAGUUUUGUGUGGAUGAAGUGAUCAAGGAUCGAGGAGGUCUCGAUAUGAGGAGAAGGAGGAGAGGCAAGAGCUCAAGCUGGGGGAUGCCCCGGAAGGCAUCCCAUCUUUCUUCAACAAGUACCAGUAUGUUUUCGGUUCCGUCUCGUUCAUGUGAUAUGUGCAAAUCUUGGAGCGUCUUUUGCAUUCUGUUUUCACUUCUCUUUGAUGCACAAUGCUGGUAUGAGAUAGUCCAUGGUUGAUUUAUAGAAUGCUAAUUGCACUUCACUUAUAUCUUUUGAGUAUGGCUUUAUAGAAUGCUUCAUGUGCAUCACAUAUAUCAUUUGAAGUUUGGAUUACCUGUUUCCCUACACAUAGAAAACCACCAUUUGUAGAAUGCUCUUUUGCUUCACUUCUAUCUAUUAGAGUGUGGGCAUAUCUUUUGUAGAAAGAAUUAAACUCUCUUGCUUCACUUAUAUCUAUUUGGAGACAUGACAGGAACUGGUCAUUCACAUGGUUAGUCAUUAAAUCCUACAUAAAACUUGUAGAUCACUGAAUAUGAUAUGUUUGAUCCCUUGCAAUAGUUUUGCGAUAUAUAGAUGGUAAUAUUAGAGUCAUGCUAGUGGGUAGUUGUGGAUUGUAGAAAUACUUGUGUUGAAGUUUGUGAUUCCCGUAGCAUGCACGUCUGGUGAACCGUAAUGUAACGAAGUUGGAGCUUGAGGUAUUUAUUGAUUGUCUUCCUUAUGAGUGGCGGUCGGGGACGAGCGAUGGUCUUUUCCUACCAAUCUACCCCCCUAAGAGCAUGCACGUAGUACUUUGUUUUGAUGACUAAUAGAUUUUUUGCAAUAAGUAUGUGAGUUCUUUAUGACUAAUGUUGAGUCCAUGGAUUAUACGCACUCUCACCCUUCCAUCAUUGCUAGCCUCUUCGGUACCGUGCAUUGCCCUUUCUCACCUUGAGAGUCGGUGCAAAGUUUGCUGGUGCAUCCAAACCCCGUGGUAUGAUACGCUCUAUCACACAUAAGCAUCCUUAUAUCUUCCUCAAAACAGCCACGAUACCUACCUAUCAUGGCAUUUCCAUAGCCAUUCUGAGAUAUAUUGCCAUGCAACUUCCAUCAUCAUCAUAUACAUGACUUGAUCAUUUAUUGUCAUAUUGCUUUGCAUGAUCGUAAGACAGCUAGCAUGAUGUUUUCAUGGCUUGUCCAUUUUUUUAUUUCAUUGCCACGCUAGAUCAUUGCACAUCUCGGUACACCGUUGGAGGCAUUCAUAUAGAGUCAUAUCUUUGUUCUUGUAUCGAGUUGUAAGUAAAUAAAAGUGUGAUGAUCAUCAUUAUUAGAACAUUGUCCCAUGUGAGGUUAUCAAAAUAAAAGUGUCCAGAGAAGCCCCCAAAGAGAGAGAGGCCAAAGAAGCCUACAAAAAAGAGAAAAAAAUGAAAAAAAUGAGAGAGAAGAGAGAAGGGGCAAUGUUACUAUCCUUUUACCACACUUGUGCUUCAGAGUAGCACCAUGUUCUUCAUAUAGAGAGUCUCCUGAGUUAUCACUUUCAUAUACUAGUGGGAAUUUUCAUUAUAGAACUUGGCUUGUAUAUUCCAACGAUGGGCUUCCUCAAGUGCCCUACGUCUUCAUGAGCAAGCAAGUUGGAUGCACACCCACUUAGGUUCAGUUUGAGCUUUCAUAUACUUAUAGCUCUAGUGUAUCUGUUGCAUGAUAAUCCCUACUCCUCGCAUUGACAUCAAUUGAUGGGCAUCUCCAUAGCCCGUUGAUUAGCCGCGUCGAUGUGAGAUUUUCUCCCUUUUUUGGCUUCUCCACACAACCUCCAUCAUCAUAUUCUAUUCCACUAAUAGUGCUAUAUCCAUGGCUGACGCUCAUCUAUUGCGUGAAAGUUGAAAAGGUUUGAGAACAUCGAAAGUAUGAAACAACUGCUUGGCUUGUCAUCGGGGUUGUGCAUGAUUUGAAUAUUUUGUGUGAUGAAGAUGGAGCAUAGCCAGACCAUAUGAUUUUGUAGGGAUAACUUUCUUUGGCCAUGUUAUUUUGAAAAGACAAGAUUGCUUUAUUAGUAUGCUUGAAGUAUUAUUGUCUUAAUGUCAAAUGAUAGACUAUUGCUUUGAAUCACUUGUGUCUUAAUAUUCAUGCCAUGAUUACAUUACAUGAUCAAGAUUAUGCUAGGGUAGCAUUCCACAUCAAAAAAUUAUCUUUUUUAUCAUUUACCUACUCGAGGAUGAGCAAGAAUUAAGCUUGGGGAUGCUGAUACGUCUCGGUCGUAUCUAUAAUUUUUUAUUGUUCCAUGCCAAUAUUCUACAACUUUUACAUACUUUUGGCUAUUUUAUACUAUUUUUGAGACUAACAUAUUGAUCCAGUGCCCAGUGCCAGUUCCUAUUUGUUGCAUGUUUUUUGUUUCACAAAUAAUCCAUAUCAAACGGAGUCCAAACGGGAUAAAAACUCACGAAGAUUUUUUUGGAAUAUAUGUGAAUUUUGGGAAGUGGAAUCAAUGCGAGACGAUUCCCGAGGGGCCCACGAGGGUGAGGGGCACGCCAUAGGGGGUAGGGCCCGCCCUGGGCCCUCGUGGCCACUCCGUAAGGCGGUUGGUGCCCUUCUGUUGCCACAAGAAAUCCAAUAUCCGGAUAAAAAUUGUGUCGAAAUUUCAGCCCAAUUGGAGUUACGGAUCUCUAGGAAUUUAAGAAACGGUGAAACGGUAGAACCGGAAGCGCAGAAACAGAAGGAAACAAGGAGAGAGAGAGAGAGAGAGAGAGAGAGAGAGAGAGAGAUCCAAUCUUGGAGGGGCUCUCGCCCCUUCGCCACCAUGGAGGCCAUGGACCAGAGGGGAAACCCUUCUCCCAUCUAGGGGGAAGGUCAAGGAAGAAGAAUAAGAAGGGGGGCUCUCUCUCCCCCUCUCUCCCGGUGGCGCUGGAACACCGCUGGGGCCAUCAUCGUGACAACGAUCUACACCAACAACUUCACCACCGUCAUCACCAACUCUCCCCCCUCUAUGCAGCAGUGUAACCCAUCUUUUACCUGUUGUAAUCUCUACUUAAACAUGGUGCUCAAUGCUAUAUAUUAUUUCCCAAUGAUGUAUGGCUAACAUAUGAUGUUUGAGUAGAUCUCUUUGUCCUAUGGGUUAAUUGAUGAUCGUGAUUGGUUUGAGUUGCACAUUUUAUUAUUGGUGCUGUCCUAUGGUGCUCUCCGUGUCGUGCAAGCGUGAGGGAUCCUUGCUGUAGGGGUUGCAAUAUGUUCAUGAUUUGCUUAUGGUGGGUGGCAUGAGUGACAGAAGCAUAGACCCGAGUGACGGUGUCCUGGACUAGGGGGUACUCAUCAUGUCGUCUCCUGAUCAGUUGAAUUGGGCCGAGGACUCCCAUGGCCGCAUACUCAUGGGCCAGUUCGGACAGUUGCCGCGUACAAGGAAGAUUCCACAAGACUUGGCGAUCAAGACAAGGACUCCUCCCCACCGGCGUAUUCGGCUAGGACUCUUGUUAUCCUAGGCCUCUGGUGCAUUAUAUAAACUGAGGCCAGGCUAGUCGAUAGAACAUAUACAACAAUCAUACCAUAGGCUAGCUUCUAGGGUUUAGCCUCUCUGAUCUCGUGGUAGAUCUACUCUUGUACUACCCAUAUCAUCAAUAUUCAUCAAGCAGGACGUAGGGUUUUACCUCCAUCAAGAGGCCCCGAACCUGGGUAAAACAUCGUGUCCUCUGCCUCCUGUUACCAUCCGCCUUAGACGCACAGUUCGGGACCCCCUACCCGAGAUCCGCCGGUUUUGACACCGACAUUGGUUCUUUCAUUGAGAGUUCCGCUGUGUGAUCGACAAAAGGAUCGAUGGCUCAUCUGCAGGUCAACUACGAUGACGGCAUCUUCGUCGCCGGCUCGACUGAUCACCUUGGCUCGACCGAGGACCGUGCUCCAUCUCCGAUCACCAUGUUCGGACGAGGGCCUUCAUCAACAUCAACUCCGAUCUCUAUCAAGAUCAUGGAGGAAUCAUCCAUGGAGCUCGGGGGCUCAACGUCAACAUUGCCCUCGGGCGACCGUGCUGUUUUUCCGAACAACAAACUUGUAUCCGAUGCCACCACCUCUUAGAGCAUCACUUUGACGAUCCCUUUGGUGUAAUUGUGCGGAAUUGAGUCGACACAACCAUGCAAAAUUUCGUCGAGUUCCAAUGGAGGAAUCUCCGACAAUCUACGAUAUACCAGAGCCCUGUCAAAUCUGGAUGGGAAUCUGGACGAGUUUAGGGCAUGGUCUCCAGAGCGUAGAUCGGAGGUCCUUUGGAAGAUCCAACCGUUCAUCUACUGCGUAAUUCCCAUAUCUACCACCCCUCCAAAUUUAAGCUCGAUCUGACGGUCCAAACUCCGGGAACCUUUCGAUGAGUGGAUCAAUUUUCGGAUCCGUUUUUUGCGUGAAUACGGAUCCGACCCGAAUUCAUGUUUCUUUAUGAACGUGACAUCGGACAACCUUUUUAGAGGAAUUCUCUUCGAGGGUAUUGUGCGUUGUUUUUAAACAUGUGCCUGUAAAUUUUUAAGCCUCCCCUGAGGUCGCCUUCAUCAUCAUGCUGGUGUCAAACUAGUCCGGCGAUAUUGCUCCAAGGCUGCCGACCUGCGCUAGACACGUCGUCACUUUGUUGAGCCGAGCUCAACUUCUUCGGAUCAUCAUCUCGGCAAGCCGAACAAGAGUCCAGCAUCGCGAAGGAUAAAUCAUCACCAACAUCACUGCCCCACAGAUUACACGGAGCGGGCAUACCGGCAUCACCGCACGGUCACUUCAUCAAGUCGGCAUCGACCACGUCACGACCUGCAUCAGUAGGGCCACACUAUUGCUUCUUCAAGCUGGUGUCCAUCACGCCGACCUACUUCGACUCAUCAGAUGACAUUGAGGCUUGGACAUCUCGGCUGGACCGGGGGCUUCGCCAUCAACCUACUCCGGAGACUUCGGCGUCACUAGCCGACCAGCUCUGUCACGUUAGCUGGACCGAGGGCUUUGCCUCGGCGAGCCAACCUUUGCCAGCAUUGCCAUACCGUCGCUUUAUCGCCCAUCAGGCAAUGGGUGUGCGGAUCGAGUCCCAAUUUUGGGAAUCACCUUUCUUCGGAUUGCUACUACAAAUAAACCAGGUGCUAUUAAUCCUAGUAUUUUUUUGCUUGUUUGGGUUUAUUUUUCCCAAGGAAUUAUUACUCUGAUUUGUCCAUCAUCUAUACACAGGUCUAUCAAAUGAUGGCCGCAUUAACGAUGGUUGCGUGGUGGUUCGGUCGGUUUCCGUACAUAGUCCGGCGAACACCGCAUCCAGAACUCGGACCGACCUGUGAAUUCAGGCUUUGCCACGCCUUUACCGCAUCACACCGACACCCUGCAUCGACAUUGACUUCGGCGCCAGGCCAUAUUUCUUUUAUUACUCACUUUGCAUAAAUUAUUUAUUAUGCAACAAUUUUUUUAAUUAUUAUUAUUACUAUUAUCUCCGGUUGCACUAUUUUUUGUGCAUGGGAAAGUGAUCCGGGCACUUCGACGUCACUCUGCCGGUCUGCAUUGACCGUGCUAUGUCACCACUUCGGCGUGUCGAGCUCUCCGCUCCGCCACCUCGGGACCGGCUUGGGGGAUGGAACCUUGUCCCGCAUCAAGCUCGGACCGCGUCAUCAAUGUCGAACACAUUAACCAGCUAAGUCGCUUUCAUGCUCACAGUUUUAAUUUUUAACUUGUGUUCGGUUCGACCAAGCAUUAUACUUUUUUUGGAAAAGAAAUUCUUGUAAAAAAUUUUCCUUGUCCAAACUUUGUUUGUGACACACAUAUUCAAAUACCCCGUUUAUUUGAGGGCUUCCUUUAUGAAGCUUUUCCUCUUGCAUAUGAUUAUACUUGUACGGCUUCAUUCCUUGUUCGUGUAUUACGCCACAAUAUGCACCAUAUUGACUUAAGCGAUUUGCAAGCUGGGUUGCCUGGCUCCUGUGCUUACCCCUACGUUCCCGAUUGUUCGGCUAGGGAGUAAAGGGAGCACCUCUGCGAUUGUCACAACCGGGUCCUCCGAGCUCUGACCUCAAACUGGGUGAAGCCGAAAGCUAGCGCUCUUAUUGUUUUCAAUCAUGGUCGGCACACAACGGAACUCAUGAGUACAAAAAAUAUAUUGCACAAGUCUCAUAGUAAUAAUGAGCACCGAAGAAAGGUAUCGGUGGGGGUACUAUUUUCUUCGAAGAUGCUUCUUACACUUGGUCUGUAAUAUAGCAUAAGUUCCCUGAGCGCGCUUUGUCUGUUACAGCCUUCUGGUCCGGUUGCCUGGUUAUCAGAAACACUGUCGAUAUUCUCGACAGGUGGAGUACAUAACACUUUUCGGUCCUUGACCGAAGAGGGAGAAGCCGACGGUCGGUUAAGACGCGUUUAAAGUUCGGUUGAACAAAGAUAUGAUAUUAGUACUUCGGUACAUACAAUCAUUAUACAUAAAAUUCUUUUACCCAAGUCACUUGGGGGCUCUUAAAUUUAUAUGAGCUAUUUUAUAGUAAAUGUGUUUUCUUCUUGGUUGUUGCAAAGUCUUUAUUUACCACUCCCUUUUUCGACACGAGUGUGUGGUCACUAGCCGGGGAGCCUAAUUUCUCUCUCAAAGCCGCUAGAGUUUAGUUUGCUAAACUGGCCUAAUGAGAAGUACUCCGCCUUUGGGAUAGGAGGUUGAAGCCGUAGGCUGACCCGCUUGAAGUCUUGAGAUAGGAUGUGUCAUGUUAAAGCACGACAGAAGCACUUUUUUUUUCUAAAGUCCAAUUUUCAGAUUGGCACCGAACACUUGAUCUUGUUCGGACGUCAAGUUUUUACUGACGUUUUUUGGUUUUCCAAGCUUAUGGCACUUUCAAACUAUUUGUGUGUUUUCAGCACAAGUCUCGCAGUGCAAUGCCGGACACCUUUAUAGAUUCGGCAAAAACAUUCUCGGAUCUCACUAUAGAUGCAUUGGUUUCAAAUUGUGUCUUCGGUCAAUAGUUGGGUUGCCCGGCUCCUGCGCUUGCCUCCUACGUUCCGCUUUGUUCGGCUAGGUGUGCAAAUGGAGAACCACUGCGAUUGUGUUUCCAGCUCACAUGGUAAAGCACCUCAGUGGAGAAAGCCGAAAACUGACUGUCACAAUAAGCGUAAACUGGUCAGCAAUCCGAUGACAGUGUUAAAUGUCGGGCCAUUCAUAACAAUGGCCGAAGUGUUUACGGCUUGACCUCGAUUGUCGCCGAACACUACCGGGGGCUAUUAACUGGCCUCCCAAACUAAAUCCUCGAUAUUUUGCUCUUACAUUAGAGCUGAGGCUGCAUGUUCAUGCUUAGCAUGACAACCCAAAGAAAGGAACCGAUAGCGGGACUAUUUUUUUUGGAAGACAUUUCUUAUGUUAAACAGUAAUAUAACAUAUCUCUCUGCGUACCUUUGUUUAUAAAACCGUAUGGCCAGCUUUGCCCUCAUAAAGGCUUUAUAAAGUAGGACAAACACUCCUCGGCUACUAGCCGAGGAGGUGGAAGCCGAUGGUCGGUUAACAAAGUUUUGUACAAUGCGGAUCCGAGCAUUAGUGUCGUAAAGUACUUGGAUACAUAGAGUCAUUACACAUAAUUUGUGAUUUUACUAUGGAUAUCGAUCCUUAAUUCGGCCACCCGUGCCCACAUUAAGGCUCGAGGGCUACUGGGCUUCGGGCUUAUUAUUUACAAAUAUUAAAGGGGCACAUCGAUCCCCUGAUCUAGUGUUGCCACCCGACCAGUGUCUCGGGGGCUACUGUAUUGCCUGUUCAAUGUAGAAAAGUUUAAGUGCAAUACAGUUUCCGAGGAGAUUUUGAUCCUCAGGUUGAUCGGCCACACCCAACCUAAGUCUCGAGGACUGAGAACGCCGCUUUUUGUAUCCCGAAGUAUUCUGCCGAGCUAGGACUUGAUCCUCAGGCCGAUUUUGCAAAUCAACCUGAGUCUCAGCGGCUACUGGGAUCAGUGGUCUUACAUCAUCCUUCAAGUGCAUCUCGGGUUUUAAAACCGACGCACACCUUGAGGGCUACUGGAUAUACAUAUACCGGUUAUAUAUCUCGGCAGAGAAUAAAUUGCACCAAUAAAAAAUAUUCACAAAAUAUCAGCCCGCUGUCGGGUGGUGCACCACGUCAAAAGCAGUCCGACAUAAAGCUCGGGCGCUAGUGGCUGGCUCCAUAGAGGGCAUUUCCAGCAUUAAGCUCAGCUAAACUCCUUCAACUUUUUUGACCAAGAUGAUCUAUGACAUCUUGGAUAUAGUCCGGCAUUGGAGCUUGGACACAGUCCGGCAUUGGAGCUCGGAUACAUGUCGGCAUUGGAGCUUGGAAGCAGUCCGACAUUGGUGCUCGGCUACAAAAGAUACCUCGAAUGCAGUCCAGCGUUAGAGCUUGGACGCAAGAGGAACACUGCCUCCCAGGAACAACUUCAAACCCAAGGGGUGGCAUAAAAAUAACAAGGCAUUGAUAAAGGCCAGAAACUUAAAGGGGCUCCUCAGAUACCCGAUGUGUAAACUCGUCGAAUGCAUUUCAGCGAUCCUCAAGAUCGAAGAUGAGAAGACUUGUUGAACCAGUUUUCAAGACCGACAACCGAAGAUGAAGAACAGUUCGGAAGAACCGAGGAGCGUCCCUAACUUGAAGACCGGUUCAGGGGGCUACUGACGGUGUCCUGGACUAGGGGGUACUCAUCACGUCGUCUCCUGAUCAGUUGGAUUGGGCUGAGGACCCCCAUGGCUGCAUACUCAUGGGCCAGUACGGACAGUUGCCGCAUACAAGGAAGAUUCCACAAGACUUGGAGAUCAAGACAAGGACUCCUCCCCACCGGCGUAUUUGGCUAGGACUCUUGUUAUCCUAGGCCUCUGGUGCAUUAUAUAAACCGAGGCCAGGCUAGUCGAUAGAACAUAUACAACAAUCAUACCAUAGGCUAGCUUCUAGGGUUUAGCCUCUCUGAUCUCGUGGUAGAUCUACUCUUGUACUACCCAUAUCAUCAAUAUUAAUCAAGCAGGGUGUAGGGUUUUACCUCCAUCAAGAGGGCCCGAACCUGGGUAAAACAUCAUGUCCCCUGCCUCCUGUUACCAUCUGCCUUAGACGCACAGUUCGGGACCCCCUACCCAAGAUCCGCCGGUUUUGACACCGACACCAAGUAAGUAGGUUGUUUGCAUAUGGGAGUAAAGAGGACUUGAUGCCUUAUAAUGCUAUGGUUGGGUUUUACCUUAAUGAUCUUUAGUAGUUGCGGAUGCUUGCUAGAGUUCCAAUCAUGAGUGCGUUGAUCCAAGAAGAGAAAGUAUGUUAGCUUAUGCCUCUCCCUCAAAUAAAAUUGCAAUAAUGAUUACUGGUCUAGUUAUCGAUUGUCUAGGGACAAAUAACUUUCUCGUGACAAAAAGCUCUCUACGAAAACUAACUAAGUUGUGUCUUUAUCUAAACAGCCCAUAGCUUUUAUUUACGUGCUCUUUAUUAUCUUGCAAACCUAUCCAACAACACCUACAAAGUACUUCUAGUUUCAUACUUGUUCUAGGUAAAGCGAAUGUUAAGCGUGCGUAGAGUUGUAUCGGUGGUCAAUAGAACUAGAGGGAAUAUUUGUUCUACCUUUGGCUCCUCGUUGGGUUCGACACUCCUACUUAUCGAAAGAGGCUACAAUUGAUCCCCUAUACUUGUGGGUUAUCAACCCUCACUCAGUGUGGGGAUUUCUAGUUUGAAAUCAUGGUGCAACAACAAAGUUUUUCCAUUGUGUACUCAAAACACACCUCUCCAUACAUAUGUUUGGGACACACGCAUGCAGUGGUUGUCUUCGGGGACUAGCUACUUGCGUGAUUAUUGGUGAGCUAGCCCAUCUCCGGGGUCGCAUGGACGGCCAUCACUUUGACCAACAACAAGAGAGAGGUUGUACGACCAAGGUGGAUUAUUCUUGGUCCGUUUUACGAUCCAUCUUGGUGAGAUAUGCCUCUUUGGCCCGCUGACUGAAAGUGUGUGGGGGGCUGCUACUUCGCACUUCUCUAGGUGAACCUUGGUUGGGGGGCAUGCAUUCAUAGCCUAGGAUUCCCUUCAUGCAGACAUGAGGGAGGCUGCUAGCUACUUCGCACUCUUUUAGGUGAACCUCGGUUGGGUGGGAGGGGCAUGCAUUCAUAGCCUAGGAUUCCCUUCGUACCGACACGGGGGAGGGGGGCUGCUAGCUACUUCGCGCUUUGUUAGGUGAACCUCGGUUGGGGGGAGGGGGCAUGCAUUCAUAGCUUAGGAUUCCCUUCGUGCUGACACGAGGGAGGAUGGGGCAAGCAAUACCGUGUGCUUUGCGAGAUAGGUGCCACAUUGAAGUUGCAUUUGGUAUUUGAAAAUCAAACCACCCUUUUCAUACAUAAAUUUGGUCCACAUGCAAGUGUGUUCAUGUUCUGACCCUCUCCCGCAUCAUUUUUUGCCAAAUUUAUGAACAUUAGACAAGUCAGGUGACGCAACAGACACAGUUCACUCAAACUAACCGUGUGCAUUGGGCUCCACGAGGCUUCCCCUCUCAAAAAUAUCUACCUGCCUGUAGCUUUUUUCUGUUUGAUAACACACGGUUAUUGUGUUUCGACCGUGUCUGAUGUUUCUUGUUCCCAAUCCUGCUUGCAUCCCUCGAAAAUAUCUGCCCGCCUUGAGGGUUUUUCUAUUUCAUAACACACGGUUGUUAUCUUCGGACCGUCUGCGAUGCACCAUCAUCAAAAUUUUCAAUAGCCCCGACAUUUCACUCCCGCGUAAUAAAUUUUUCAGUACCCACAUCAUUUCCUUAAACACACACCCCUCCACACAGACACACACCAAAACCUCCUCGGGCGUUCGCACACACACACACCCUCCCUCGCUCAAAACGCUAGCAAGGUCCCCAUCGCCGCCGCCACAAGGCCUGCAUUUUUCAACAUUUGCCGGUUUGCCCGUGCAGCUUACCCACCGAUCUCCAUACCUAGGCCACCCUGAGUUUCUUUGAUGACGCCUGCCAAACACCCCCUUUCCCACAGAUCCCCAUCCCCACCCCCACCCCAGAGCAUCGUAGCCUAAGUCCGUUUCCUCCGUUUUGCGGUAUGCUAGACCCCUCCUGCUGAACAGGAUCCCGUUUCGAUCGUGGUCGAUCGAACACAAGGUCGUUUCCUCCGUUCUGCUGUACGCCAGGCCUUGUUUCGACCGGUUGUUCCGUCCAAGCCGGUUUAUACCUGAUGAACACGAUGACGAUGUAGUUUCGCCGUUCUAACCCAGCCAUGUACAUGAGCCCUGGCCGUACGUAUGUGUGAGUAGGCGUUCGAGACCCCGCCCGUAUGUACGUACGUGGUCGUAUAUACUUUCUUGCACCUUGGCCGAUGUACGUAUGUGUACACGUUAUUAACGGGACUGCGUGACAUGCUACGUGCGCGCCUCUACUACGACACAUGCCCUUCCUUACACGGCCACGGUUCAUCACUUCAGCCAGCAGACAGACCGAUCGACCAGUAUGUACGUACACGUUCGCAGCCAGAAUGACAAUGCUAUGUAUGCUUCGACCAGGUGGGUCCCGACUGUCAGACACUUCCUUGCGUGCGAAAAUGUAGCUGGUGGGUCCUAGUAGUCAAGUGUGAAUCAUUUUUUCCCGUAAUAUGGAUGCAUUUCCUUGCGUGCGAAGAUGUAGCUGGUGGGUCCCAGCAGUCAGGGGGGAACGAUUUUUUGUGAAAUAAGGUGGCCCGUCUGGUGGGUCCCUGCUGUCAGGUGGAGGAAUCAUUAUUUUCUGCAUAAUAAGGAGGCACUUCCUUGCUGCAGCCGUGGACCCAGCUGUUAGCCUCUCCACGUAUAGUACUCUUCUGAGGGAAGUCGUUCCUUGACCACAUUGACCACGCCGCGCCGAGAGCACCAAGGCGGUGGACGACGGAGAGGCCUAGGAAGGGGACGACGCGGAGCCGAGGAAGACGCGGCAGUGGAUGCCCACGCGGAGAGGAGUACGAGGCUUCGGUGGUUUGGCUUUGGUGUGAGGUUUUCGUCGCCGCAGAAUAACAGAGGGUGUGGGUGAGUGGAGGGAUGGCCUGGCCAGCGGUGGGAGUAGUAGGGGGCGGUGAGGCCUCCGCGACAGCAUAGAUGGCCACGGGAGGCAGGAGCAGGCGGCAAGACCAGCACUGCUUUGGGCGGCUGGAGCAUGAAGACCAGAAGUUGAAGAAGCACUAGGGCCGUUGGAUGGACAUCGUAUGGUCACUGGAGCUAGAAUCGUUCAUAUUGACUAAGUUGACAACGCCCUCUGUCCUCGUCAACUUAGUAGGCCCACAAGUCAGCCUCCCACUAUGCCGGCUCCCAGCUAGCAGGGGGUAUUCAUUUUUUUUGUGUAAUAAGGAGGCACUUCCUUGCGUACAAAGAUAUAGCUGGUGGGUCCGACCUGUCAGCGGGGGGAACAUUUUUUUGCAAAAUACUGAGGCCCUUCCGGUGGGUCCCAGAUGUUAGGUGGAGGAAUCAUUAUUUUGCACAUAAUAAGGAGGCAUUUCCUUGUGUGCGGCCGUGGACCCAGCUGUCAUCCUCUCCAUGUACAGUCCACGUCCGAUGGAUGUCGUUCGUUGACCACGUUGACUAGGCCGCACCGACAGCACCAGGGCGGUGGAUGACGAUGAGGCCUAGGAAGGGAACGAUGCAGAGCCAAGGAAGACUAGGCAGUGGUUGCCCAGGCGGUGGGGUGUAUGAGGGUUUACUAGUUCGGCUGCCAUCGCCGGAAAAUAAUAGGAGGUGUGGGUGAGUAGAGGAAUGGCCUGGCCAGCAAUGGAGUAGGGUGGGGCAGUGCGGCCUAUGCGGCAGCGCAGCCGACCACGGGAGGCGGGAGCAGGCAUUCCCACCGGCGCUGGUUUGGGCAGCUGGAGCAAGAAGAUCAGAUAUUGAAGAAGCAACAUGGCCAUUGGAUUAACAUCCAACGGUCACUACUGCUAGAAUCGUUUGUGGACUAAGUUGACUAAUCCUUUCGUACACGUCAACCUAGUAGACCCACAAGUCAGCCUCCAAAUCUGUCCCAAACAGCAUACGGCCCGAAAUUUCUAGCCAGAUUCAAAUUAAUUUAAAAACUAAACAUACCUUAAUUUAAAUCCAAUGAAAUUUUAAAAUAUCAAAAUCCAAAAGAAAAAAGUAUUUUGGAACUAAUUGCAUGUUUGUUGUAUUUUUCAUUUUACAGCCCAUUUAUUAUUACUUAUAGCCCAUUUCUUAUUACUUAUAGCCCAUUUUCUGGGGGAAAUGCAUCCCUCCUUGUCUUGGAAGAUUUCCGGCCCAGCAGGGCGUAGAAAAGCAAGUAGGCCUACGUUGGUUAUUCUACAAAAAAACAAAAUAGCUGGGCUAGCCAUUUUUAGAAAGGAAAAAAAUAACUGGACCAGUCAUGUGCUAAACAUAUGAAAUAAAAGCCUGGGCUAGGCAGGCCACAACUCCCGCACACCCAAUUGAUACCCUUCUCCAUCCCAAAAAAACAAAAUUACUAUGUGCAUUGAUGUGUCCCUACUAUCAUCCUCACCAUGUACAACCAUCUCCUUAUUCCUCUCGGUUGUCGACCAUGUUGAUAACAACGGAGGGCGGCACCGCGGUGAGCGAACCAAGGCGGACGACGAUGGUGAGGCCUCGGACGGGAAUGAACAGGAGCCAGGGAAGAUGCACAGAGUUUUAGGGUGUGAUGUGGCCACAUUGUGUGUGCGGCAGCACAGCCAUCCGUGGGAGGCGGGAGUAGGCGGUCCCACCAGCGCUUGUUUGGCUUUGGCGGCGGGAGGAAGAAGAGGCUGAAGAAACACGAUAGACGUUGAAUGUCAAUCCAACGAUGAAGGUUGGCACAAACGUUUGUUGACUAAGCCGACACCAAGUAGCAUACUUUUUUAUAUAUGGGUAGAAAAGAAAAAAUGGGCUCAUUCGCCUGAUAACAUUCCCGAAACUACGACCAUUCGAUCUUCUGUCGCAACUAAAACUGUGAGGAAAAUGCAUUCGUCCGCCAUCCUCCUCCCAGGGAAUGUUUGCGUCAUGAGUGACUAGCACCCUUGGUUUUCAACCGAGAGGUCUUGGGUUCGAGUCCGAGGAACUUCAAUUUUGUCCUCGGCAGGUCCUGGGGCCUGUGGGUUAUGGCCCAUCUCAUCACUUGUAAACCUUGAGCUCAUCCUAGGGGCAACUGAUUAUUUUCCCAAACAUCCAGCUUCCUAGUAUUCUUAAAUCCUUCCAUUUGUAUUGUCUUACUUCCUUCUAUUGGCACCAAACUAAGACAUGAUUACUCAGACUCAUCAUGGAGUUUCCAUUGAUCCAUACUUCCGACAUCGUACCUCCUUUAUAUCCAAUAGUAAUUUAUCUCUUCAUCCUCGUGGGUUAUCCCACAUACCGAGAUAUAAACUUAUACUUAUGGAGUCCAUAUUCCACUUCGUGGAACAUCAUUAUCCUUUCCAGGGUCAAGUGUCCUUACAGGGGAAUAUUGGCCAUCUCUGCAUGGCACUCCUUCAACUAGGAAACGUGAAACACAUCUUGAACUCCUAAUAGUCCUUCGGGUGACUCCAUCUUGUUGGCCACUUCUCUCAUACGCUCCAAAACUCUGUAUGUCCUGCAAUUCUUGGGGCAAUUUUUUUUAACUCCAAAUCGUUUAACUCCUCGCAGAGGGGUCACAUGAAGACAUGCUCUGUCUCCAAUUUCAUAGACUACCUCCUUGCGUUUUAAGUCUGCGUAACUCUUCUGCUUGGACUGAGCUACCUUCAAUCUAUCUCGAAUCAACUUAACACUCUCUUCUGACUCCUUGAUCAUGUUUGGUCCAAACAACUGACGUCUCCAACUUCAUCCCACAUACUCUUGGGGCAUCACACAUAUCGAGACAAAACUCGUAUUCAUUUUUGUCCGAAAUCCACUCAGUGGAGUAUCCUUAUCUUUUCCAGGGGUCAAUGGUUCUUACAGGGUACUACCACCCUUAAAAUGCACAAAUCUUCCAUAAACCAUAUUUCUCAUAUCCUCAAAAUGGUCAAAAUCCUUCUUCAUAGAGUAACAACUCAUAAAAUCCAUAUCAGUACCAACGAUGCUACUUUAUUCAUUCUCAAAUGAUUACAAUCUCUCGCUUUUCCAUUACAUGUCUCAACUCAACUCCUCAAUAUAAAAGAAAAUGUUCUCACUUCUACUACUCCAUUUCUUUUGUUGCAAACUCAACUAUCUAGCACAUGUUUCCUUCUCCUUGGGGCAUUCUCUGGCAAAGUGCCCUGCUCCAUUACCAUUAAAACAUAUUACUUCUGACAAGUAUCGAGGUUUCCUUUUUGGGCAAUUGUUGAGGUAGUGCCCUGACUCCUUGCACUUAUAACAGGUGACAUGACUAAGAUCCUUCCUGGAAUCCAAUCUACUUCUCUUUCUGGACUUUUCCAUUCCCAUCAGAGCUUCUAUUUCCAGUGGGUCAUACUCUACUUCCUCUGUCGGGAAUUCUACUAAAUCCCCAUUCAAACAAUUCUGGGAGAUGUGUCCUUCUUCUCCACAUGAAUAGCAUGACUUGGUGCAGGGUUUAAUUGGCUCUUCUUUGGGUGUGUCCUCCACAUCUUCCUUCAUCACAGGUUCUUCUAAACUUUCCAUAAGGGCUCCUCUCGUUGCUUCUUUCUUCUGCUGGAUGGUUCUUUGUACCAUGGGGUAAAUGUGACACUGAGCAGGGUAGUGGGUAGUCCCUUCACACAAGAAACAAGUGAUCUGCCUAGUUGGGCAUUCUUCAGCUGGGUGACUUCCUUCACAAUUAGGGCAUUCAUCCUUGUGUUCUUUAUGGUUGUGUCCUAUUUCUCCACAAAGCUUGCAUGCACAAGUUUUUUUCAUAUCCUUUCCAUAAGGCUUCAAUUUCUGGGACACAAACUGAGACUUUAGCAAAGUCAACUUAAAUUCUUUCCAAGUGGUUACUCCUUGCCAUCCAUUGAUGGUUUGGUACAUCCUCCACCAAGUAGCAGCACCUCUUUCAAAGCACUAAAGAGCAUGCUGGGUCAUAUCAUGUCCAACUAUAGGGUUAUUCUCCAUGUGAUCCUCCAUGUUCUGAAUCCAUAGGUCCGUCUCCAAUUGACUCAUCGGUCCCGAAAAUACAAGCUCAUCUCCAUUCAUCCUCUAUUGGGUCCAUGGGUUUUGGGGGUGAGAUAAGAGAGAUAGAGAGGGAUACACACAAUGCAAACAAUAGUUUUUGAAAAGACAGAUUUUAUUGCGGUUGUUGAGAAAAACAUCAACUAAUGACAACUUACAAUCGUCGCAUCUAACGUAGUUAUAUAACAGGGGUUUGGUCUUCUAAAGGUCAAUAAAUCUUCAACGUCUCCAAAUUCUUCAAGUCUUGGUCAUGUCUCUGAUGGCUUCUUCCGAUCAUGCUUGUCUUCUCAAGUUCUUUUGCCAGAUCAUCUCUGUUGACGUGAAAUCUCUCGUGACAUUCCUUCAAUAUUUCUGGCGUUGCAUUCCAAACUUCUGGGUUUCAUUAUCCUUGGCAUUAACCAUGGUCCUACUGUCCUUCAGUUCCUGACGAAUCUCCUGUAUCUCAAGGUUUUACUUCUCUAGCUUGGCUGCUUUCAACUUCUGGUCUUAAGUUCUUCACGAAAUGCUUCCUUAUCAAUUAAUGCUUAUUUUAGGUCCAUCUUAACUUCUUGAUGUAACACUCCAGAUCCUGGUGAUACACCGGCUAAGGUUAAAACUUCAUCUUGCUGAUAGGUGCUCCAUCAGCCUUCUACCAUUUAAUCCUUCCAUGCAUAUGCAUGCUUAACUCAGCACGGUGACAAUAGCAUAAGCGGGCGAUAACCUCAUGGAUAGCUGUGGUUGUUCUCUUGUCAUUUCCAUGAGCUUUCUCUCCAUAGUUGAUAUAUCUUGCCUUAGGGUUUUCCUUGACAAAUCCUUGAGUUCUUAAUUCUACAUGCUCCGGUCUUUCUCCAACACACCUUGAUCUCGGGCAUUGACAACUCCCAUAGUCUGCCAAGUUCCAUAAGGGGAGCAUUCCUAGGUCAUACAAAUCUGGGGAUUCUUUAGAGCCUCCAAUUCUCCUAGUCUUCAGAGUCUUCAACAACUGUAGUUUCCAUUAUCAUAAUGUAUGGUAAAAUCCUCUUCAUUCCGAAUGGUCUUACUUGUCUGAUAUCCUGUACUUCUUGGAGUGGUCUCAUCAGUCGAAUCUUCAAGUGGUCAAAAGGGAAAGGGGUAUGGUUUCACUAAAGGGAAAUUUGAAUAAACUCAGAAGAGAAGAGAGGUAAAAGAUCCUUUUGAAAGGGAAAGUUGUAGAGAAAAGUCUUUGCUAUGGGCUUGCCAGUUUCUAGGGUCACGUCCUACAGUCAACAUGUGCUCUGAUACCAUCUUGUAGCGACCCGACCCAAAUGGAUCAAGUCUCUGUGCUUAAGUGUCAUCCCUGGAUUGGUAUGCUGACACACACAGUACUCGAGGAUUUAUAACAAAGGUAAAUCACAUGUAUAAGUAAUGUAAAUACUAUUACCUCAAAUCCAAAAUAGCGGAAGUAACAAGGUUGUGGAUUCCCAUCAACACCAACGGCAAAGUUGAGUGUAGAAAUCGUAACCCUAACGUAUCACUUACUCGUCGUAAGAAACCUGCAACAUGGGACGUUGCAGCCCAAAACGGGUUAGUACAUUGAAUGUACUGGCAAAUUCACACCAUAGAGAAAAUGAUGAACAAUGGCUAUCACUAUAUGCAUAUAUGGCUGGUGGAAAAGCUCUAUGGUUAUAAGGUUUUUGCAUAAAGCCAAUUUUUCCCUACUGCAAAGGAAUAAAUUUUAUUUAACUAUCAUGGUGGUUGUUGAACAUUGAGAAUGGUUGACAGCAUUCUCAAUCCCAAUUAAGUAACAUCAUUAAACCCAACAAUAUUCAUUUAAAGUAACGUGAUGAUAUCACAGGAUAAUCCAAGAACUAGAUACUCCAGACGUCCAUAACCGGGGACACGACUAAUCAUGAUUAGUUUAUACACUCUGCAGAGGUUUGCGCACUUUUCCCCACAAGACUCGAUCUCCUCCGUUGGUUUUCUCGCACUACAUGGUGUUUGAGAAAUGGAUGACCGAGACAUAGCCUUUCAGAAGCGCUAGCACCUUACGUUGGAUAGACCGGUACACCUACUUUCCCCUACAUCUGUUAGUCUACCCUGUAAGAGUUCGCACGACUUAAUCAACUAUGCCAGAGCCCAUAAUGGCUUGUGGCUGCACACGGAAGUUUCUAGUAUGAAUAAUCUCAUGAUCCCUUUGAGCCUGGGUGGCGGACCGUAGGAUGAUCACACGGUAUAUCCCCGGGAUCUCCUAGGACAACACUGGUAUAUCCCCAGGUGUCCGGGCAAGUCCACUAGUAUAUCCCCAGGGUGCCCCUAGCAAUCCACCCAGAUGUGUAUUCAAGUUGCCACCUUAAGUUGAACCAUUAAAUAACAAUCUCACAUCUGUCAUGGAUUUCACUCAUACCCAAACCACGUCUACGAGCAUAGCAUGGCAAUAUAAGCAUAACGUAAAAGUAACUCCCAAGGUUUGAAUGCAGGGCAAUAGGUUCCUACCUCAUCAACUAGUUCCCAAUACCCACAAUUUAAUUAGAUCCCAAUCAUGCAAUGUGUGAAGAUUGAUCUAAUGCAGUAAAACUGGGUUGUAGAAAAAGGUAUGAUCAAAGUUUGAACUUGCCUGCAAUGUUGAUGAAGAUGAUUCGCACUCAAAACUCUUGAUAGUUCUACUCGUCACACUCCGGUCAAUCUAUCGUAAGCAAGCAAUAGUAACCACACAUAAGCAAUCACUCCAAAGAUCAGAAAGAACGAAUAAGACGAUUCGGAAACAUCAAAACGAAGCAAAUAACUCUUGCAACAUAAAACAAUUUCUAACAGUACCAAAAUUAUGUGAAUUUGGCCUUAUUAGAAUGUUUAGGUCAAGAGCUUCGAUUUGCAAAAAGAAUCAACUCAAACGGAGCUACGAAACUCAAGUUAUGACCAAACAAAGUUUGAAUUCAAAUCUGAUCUAAUUUAAAUUUUAAACUUGUCAAAAACAUGUUUGAGUUGGAUUAAUGGAUAGAGGGGAUCAUAACGAAGACGUGGGCGUUGGUUUCGUUGGAUUUGGAUAAACGAGUAAAAAGAUGUGGUCGUUUGAAGUACAGGGACAAAUCUGUAAAGAAAUCCUCACAUAUAGGUCCCUGGCCGAAAAUUAAUAGGAAAAAGGAAAAAUCUAUCGAGCGAACGGUCGCUACAGAAACCUAAUGAACACAUUCGUUCGCUCCGGAGACUUAGACAACGAACGUUCCCUCAAUAAAGGCGAACGUUUAGAGAAAAAAAACAAAAGGAUCCGGAUCGCCCGAUCCAGAUCGGACGGACGGGGUGGGGCGACGGUUACUACGGCGGCUGACGGCGUCGGCGGCUCGGCUUCGAGCGGGCGGCAGCUCCGGUGGUUCGCGGCGACGGUGGGCGGUCGAGGAAGGGCGGCUCGGCGAGGCGGAGACGACGGAGGGGACGGCGGUGGUCGAAGGCGGCGGCGUCGUGAGCUGGUGGUGGAGCGGAUCUCGUCGGAGUUGGAAACUCCGGCGAGUGCAUUUGGCUGGCUGCGAGGGGCUCCGAGCGUGCGAUUUGAUGAAAAAGAGGGCUGGGGUCGGGGGUAUUUAAAGGAGGGAGGCGUGGAGGAGGGGCAACACGAGGGGAGGCGCCCGCGUCGGGCAAGGCAGCUGCGGUGAACUCGUGCUGGAGAUGGACUCCAGCUGGAGGACGGGGACGAACCCGACAGGUGGGUCCCACCUGUCGGUGGCUGAGCGAGGCGGCGGCCGAUAGCAGGCGCGAGCGGGCGAGCGAAGCGGAGCGGCUUCGGGCGCGGCUGGGCUUCGGCUGGGCACUGGGCCGUGGCCUGGCCUGGGAGCUGAGCCGGCCCAGUCGGUGAGGGAAGUUCUUUUUUUAAACAUUAUUUUCCAGACAAAUAAAAUAAUAAAAGCAAAAUAAUUAAAAAUAUUAUAUAGGCAUAUAAUAUAUCAAAAAUUUCAGAAAAAGAUUUUCUACGACAUGAACAUUUUUAUAACUUCAAAUAAAAUCCACACAAAUUCAGAUAAAUCAAAGAGUGCUACUGGUCUAUUAAAAUCCAACUAAAAUCAUUUUUAAAAAAUACCAAAAUGAUUUCAAAUUAAUUUUUCUCCAAUUUUAUAAUGUAGGAAAUCAUGUUACCCUAUUUUCCAUAUAUUUUAUUUUUGGAGAAAAAUAAUUUGAAUAAAACUCAAAUAAAUCCAAAUUGAAAAUUAAUUCCAAAAGGACUUGAAAUUGAUCCUUUGAAACUCCCAACUCAUAUUUCAUAAUUUGAAGAAGUCAUUUUAUCUUCUCUCAUGAAAAUCAUUGAGUUGCAUAAAGUUUCUGAAUUGGAAAAAUAUUUCCCAAUGGAAUUCAAAUAUUUUUCAAACACCCUUUUCAUUUUAAAUGGAAGAAGUCAUGUCAUCUUCUCUCCAGGGUUUCGUGAUGAAAAAAAAGUAUUUGAAUUCACGGAGAGCAAAAUGCAAAAAAUGAAAGUUUGGGAAAGUCCUUUUAUUCCCUCUCAUUUAACUUUCAAAAAGUUUCGAGUUUCACUCACUUUCAGACAAUCAAUCAAACAAUCAAUCAAAUAUAUCUAUUUAUUAUAACAUUCCAAAAUUUAGAAUUUUGGGAUGUUACAUAAUCCUUCCGGAACAGAACACAAUUAUUCUUACAAACAUGGAUCAUGCCAUAUCCAAUUCCAACUGCACGAAGGAAAUUCUUCAUUUUACUGUAGGUGUGUGGCAGCUCAGACGCAUCUAUAAAAGAUUUGCUGAAAGCCGCCAACAUCGCAUCGAAUGAUUUGUUGGUCAUACGCUCAGAUGUCUUCACUUGAAGAAAGGUGACCAUAGCUGAUAAUACUGACAGCUUAUUUCCUGGGGUGACAGCCACGUUACAUUGUUCCAACAUGCGGGCCCACCAUUUUUCUUCUGCAGGUGAAAGUUCACGAAAUGCACAAGCAUUUUGUAGCAUUGUUUCAAUGUUGGUCAAACUCAGUGGCUCUGCCACCACCACCUCCUCCUCCUCUUCCACCUAAGCAUCAGGCAUAUCAGAUGGUGAUCUGCUGCUUCCAUGUAGUCAGUAACAUUAACGUUCAUAGCUUCACCAUGAUGAACCCACCUAGUAUAUGUGACCGACAUCCCAUACAAGUGUAGAUGAUUUUGUACAGUUGACUGGGGUCUUGUAACUGAAUUCAUACAAUAGCUACAUGGGCAGAGCACAUCUGAUUUUGGACAAUCGUACUCAGCUCUAAUAAAGUUCAUGAAGUUUUCAACCCCCUCGACAUAUGCAGCGGAUAAUCUUCGAGCAGAAGCUAUGCAAGUCAUGUCCAUCUGUUAGACAUACAAAUUAGUUCUUCCACUAUAUAUUACAGGAAAAACAUAUAUGUUUUUUAUGAAGUCCAGAAAAAAUACCUAGGUCGAUGUCUAAAGCUAUGGCAAGAUAUUUGGACGAGCAGAUCUAAGUAACGAAAUAUAUGUAAAGCUAAUUGAGGAAACAUAUUUGAGUGCUAAAUUAUGGCAGGUUGUUUCAGUAGUCAAUGAGGCCGAGCACACAGUCAUCGAACUAUCGAAGGCCAUCGCAGCAACAAAGAUCGAGUAUAAAAUGGUGUAGAGCUAUUUCACCUAACAGAUUGGCUACUAGACCAUGGCAAUCUACGUCACAAUAAAUAUAUGGCAGGAUAUUUUAGCAACUAAUCGGGCUUGGCAUGCCAUCUUAGAUAAGAAGAUUGAGUGCAGAACAGGGCAAUGAAGCUUCUUAAGCAGAGAAUAUUGACUGUAAACUAGUUCGGCAAACACUAAGAUUAACAGAGUCUAUCAGCUAACAUUCAGCGCUACACCAACAUGCACGGGGCCUCGGUCUAGAAUGUGUGUACCGUGGGAGAAGCUGACCACCGUGCGACUCCACACGAACGUUGCCAGUGGUGGCGGCGCUGACGGCCGUGUGCCUCCACAAGAACGUCGCCAGCGGUGGCGGCGCGGCUAGAGGACGGCAGUCUAUGAGAGUGUACUGUGGGAGCGAGAGGAUCGCUGUGCGUCCCCUCGACGGACCGCGGCGCUGACGUAUCAGCGCGGCAGGGAGGGCGGCUUUGGCGGAGCGAAUGAAGUGGAGGGGGAGGGGAGGGGGUUUGGGGAAUAUUAUUAGCUAGUUGGCCGAAGGGCGGUUGAAUUUGGGAUUUGGGGGAAUUUUUUUUGGGGGGGAGGGGGUUCGCGCGGUGGGCGGGGGGUGUUUGGUGCAUGGUCGAUUUCUCCAAGUGCAGUCCCACGUGUCAGUGAAGAGGCAAGCCGAAGCGUGUUCCAUUUGCUUGAGCCGUGUGCAGGACCGAAAGUGUGUGGGGUGCAAUGUGACUGCGACAGGGGUGCUAUGAGUGUACCGCCUUUUUUCCUUUUAAACUAGGUGCUUCGCCCCCUCAAAAAAAACUUGGUGAUCCCGACUAAAAUGGAGCGGCUGGGUCUUUUCCCGCGCGAUAUGCUGGGAUGUUGGCUUAGUUGGGUUUUUUAGGAUGACUAAUGCUACACCUACGUAAUCCCAGUUACGUAAUUAACAUAAUGUGAAACAUGUGAGUUUUUGAUUGUAGAUUGGGGGGGGGAUGGGCCCACCACCAUGAAAAUCAGGGAGGAGAGAGAGAGGCAAUUUAUGUUAACCCUUUUGUAGGUUCCCGUAGAUGUAGAAAGAUGUGAAAUGCGUGAAUGUGUAGUGGACGUACUAUUGGAGUGCCUAAGAUAAAUUGUGUAUGUAGACCCUAUGUGUUUAUUUACUUUGCAUGUUAGCUUUGUCUUGGUUCAAUAAAAAACAGAGUUGGUGAUGAUGUUGUGCCUAUCAUCCUGCAAUAUAGGCCGUAUGAUCUAUAUCUAACGGAUAGGAAGGAAACUAUGACAAUUUACCCGCACUCCUCUCCACAUUUUUGGAUAAGGCCUUCCCUCGUUCAUACUUUUCUCCCACAAGAUCUUGAUGUUCCGUGCAACGCACGGGCAUCUUGCUAGUACUCCUACAAUAUACUAUAUUAUUGUGAAAGUUCAUAUACACCGGCUGAGAUUAAUGCAAACACGGCAGAUACUCAUUACAUUUUGAACUUCUAUAGGACAGAAAAUAAAAGAAACCCGACCCUAAACCUAUUCUACGGCAGCGACCGACGUCCUCCAUCUACGAUCUCCAUGUACGGGGACGGGGUUCAAGACCCGUGAAGUGAAGGUGCGGUCUCAGGCGAGGAAGAGUAGAACACGAGAGACGGACCAGCCAGUUGGCACACCAUGCCCUGCCGCCUCCCAUGCCCUACUCAUCCUCGGAGGACUCCCCGGCCUCGGCGGUGCCGGACGUUGGACGGCGGCAAGUAGGACGCGUGGCUGACGGUGCUCCCAUCGUCGGCCGGCAGCAUGGCCACAUCUUGUGCGGUCGCGUCCGCGUCCAGCUAUGCUACUAUUGCAUCGCAAGCGGCGACUUGAGCGAGGGCGGCGACCUCGAGCUUCAUCCCCAAAGACAAGCUCUCUCGCAGAGCAUUUGCGCUUGUGGUCAUGGAAGAUGUGGUGCCAGGUAGCAGGACGAUGCGUUAUGGUGUGGAGGUUAGUUGGGCGUUGCCGCUUUAAGUAGCGCAUUCCGGUGAGGCCAAGCAUCCGGGUGCGUCAUUAAGUCGCCGGAGUUGGUUCCUCGGGCACCGAGCCUCUUAACGACGGCAUACGGACGGAUGACAUGAAUGCGGGCAGCUGGCGCCGGCUGGGAACGCACAGCGCGACGACACGAGGGACGAGGGUUCUUGGUGUGCCAGGGUAGUCAGCUGUGGUCGUGGCAACAUUGGGGAUGCCCUUUGCUCACAUGCGAUCCCCACAUGUCUAUACCUACUAAUAAAGCAAGGUGCGUUUCUCCAAUUUUUUCAUCCGUUCACUGUCGAAAAGAAUUUAUUUUUUCUAUCCGAGGUGGUACUAAACUUUUCUGCGUCUAUCCGCUAGAAAAGAAAAAUUGUUUGUCCAGUAUUCCGUAAUUGGCCAUGCACGCUUCGGCCCAACUAAGCCAGCCCACUUACCAUUACCCAAGCAGUUGGGAAGACAUUAUGUCGCGCAUAGAGCGAUAAAAUAGCAGAAGCUGUCCAUAGGGCGCCUAAGACUGGGCCGCCCCGUUUCCCCUUUUUGGGUGUUCUAUUUUUUUUGUUCCUUUCUCUUUCUCUUUUAUAUUUCUUUUUUCUAUUUACCUUCUUUAUUUUUAUCUUUUUUCAAUUAAAAAUUUAUAAAAAUAUUCAGAAUUUCAAUUUUUGUUCAAAUAUUCAAAAAUGGUAAUAAUUCAAAAAAACAAUUUCUUGAUUUGAAAAAUGUAUGAAUUUUUUUAAAACUAUUCCGGUUUUGAAAUUUCUCAUUUUUUUAAGAAAUCUUUGUGUUUUUUCAAAAAUUCUGAGUUUUUAUAUAAAGAUUAAUUUUUUUUAUAAAUGUUCCAUAUUUUAAUAUAUUCUUAUUUUAGUUAAAUGUUCACAAGUACAAAAUAAUAUUUUCAUCUAAUAAAACAUUUCCGAAAAUUGUUUUAAAUUCCCCCUUUUAAAAAAUCCAAAAAUUCACCAAAUUGUGUGUUUUUAUAAAAUUUUCAUGUUUUCAAAAUAUUUUUGUGAAUUUCAAAAAUAUUAAUGUUUCUAAUUUUGUUCGUGUUUUUCCAAAAAUAAUGGAAAUUUUAAAAAACGGUUGUUCGCAUUUUUUUCAAAAUUGUUCAGGAUUUAAAUAAUUGUUCAUGUUUCCAAGAAUAUUCGCCAAUUUAUUUUUUUAAUGUUUGAAAAAAAUAUUUCUAAUCUGACGCCAUUGGCAGUGCGUGUUCGUUCUAUGCUGGUUGACUAUAAAUAAAAGUAAUUAUGGGCACGUGCCAACAAAAGAGAAUAUGUUGUUUGGCUUUAAUUAGAGAAAAAAAUAUGGGCAAUUGUGCACUAAAAUAAUCAAAAAGAAUAAACCCUCAAAAAGAAGGAGCAUUCAUGCCUGAUUAUGCUAAUAAAAUGUGAUUUAUGCGUUGCAAUUAAUAAUCCACCUAGUUACGCCGUCGUAGGAAAUAGUGGUCGAGACAACCGUGUCCGAAGGUUGUCUCACAGCCACCAAAUAAGGAGGCAGGCACAAUCCCAAGUUGAGUGCUCGCUACCACGCUGACCAACCGCAUCACUAUCAAGAUUUCCCAUGUCAAACAUGUCAAGUGAGAAGACCAUAACAACUUUAUUUGGCGCCUACCAUUGUGGAGACAAUUUUAAUGAUGAAAAAUCUAUUGUCUUUUCCGUUGCUUCUCGCAAAAAAAUAUCUCUCCCGUUGCAACGCAUGGGCAUAUGUGCUAGUCAUUGAAAAAGCAAGAUGACCCAGCAUGGUCUCAUGUCCUGGGGAUGCAGUUGGCCAUGCUACACCACUCUGCGAAUGCGUCACGGCGUGCGUGCACUUCGGUGCCCCAUGCAUCCUCGACAAGCCGGGUGUAGAUCUACUGGUUGUGCCAUAGCGCUAACGCCACCCUCGGCACACUGAAACCGACCGUAUCGAGCGACGAUGAGUGUGUCGCUAACCGCAUCGCAGUGUCCAGAGAUGGUGCUGGAGCUGCGCCACAUUGCUGGUCACCACCCUUUUCCUUUUCAAGUAGUGAAGCGUAACACUUGAUUAAGUAACCGGAUGGUGUGCUAAAUGUAGGUGUCUGGCUGUUUGAAAGAAUAAUUGAGGUGUGCCUGGUCUGUGCCCGCAUUUAAGGGUCCAACUUACCAUGUUCCAGCAGUAGUAACUAUACUAGUCCCUGUGUACUGCCUCUGUUUUUAUUUACUCAGCAUUUUAGCUUUGCUCAAAGUCAAACAUUGCAAACUUUAACAAAGUUUAUAGACAGAAAUAAUAACAUAUACAAUAACAAAUCAAUACCAUUAGAUUCAUUAUCGAAUAUACUUUCACGUCAUAUAGAUUUGCUAUUGUAAAUGUUCAUAUUUCUACUCUUACCAGCAAGAUGCCUGUGCGUUGCACAUAACAUCAAGAUGCAUUUGUAUGACUAGUUUAUCUAGGGAGAGAAAAGGAUGAACGGGGAAGGCCUUAUUUGCAAAUGUGCAGAGGUGUGUGGGUACCAUUUUGCAAAAUUGCCAUAGUUUCCUUCCUAUCCAUCAGAUAUAAAUGGGACGGCCUAUAUUGCGGGAUGGCAGGGACACCAUCGUCACCACCUCUAUUUUUUAUAAGAGUCCAUCAAAUUUAUAUCUGACAGAUAGGAAGGAAACUAUGGAAAUUUGGCAAAAAGAUACCCACACCCCUAUCCACAUUUGCAAAUAAGGCCUUCCCUCAUUCAUCCUUUUCUCCCACAAGAUAAACUACUCAUACAAAUGCAUCUUGAUGUUCUGUGCAACGCACGGGCAUCUUGCUAGUCUACUUUUCUUUUAAAAAAUAGAGUUGGUGAUGAUGGUGUACCUGCCAUCCUGCAAUAUAGGCCGUCCGAUUUAUAUCCAACGGAUAGGAAGGAAAUUAUGGCAAUUUUGCAGAAAGAUACCCACACCUCUCUCCAGAUUUGCAAAUAAGGCCUUCCCUCGUUCAUCCUUUUCUCCCACAAGAUAAACUACUCAUACAAAUGCAUCUUGAUGUUUAAUGCAACGCAUGGGAAUCUUGCUAGUGUAGAUAAAAGGCAGAGUUGGUGAUGAUGGUGUGCCUACCAUCCUGCAAUAUAGGCCAUCCGAUCUAUAUCUAACGGAUAGGAAGGAAACUAUGACAAUUUAGCCGCACUCCUCUCCACAUUUGCAGAUAAGGCCUUCCCCCAUUCAUCCUUUUCUCCCACAAGAUCUUGAUGUUCCAUGCAACGCAUGGGCAUCUUGCUAGUUUUCUAUAAAUUUGGUCAAAUUUUAUGAAGUUUGACUUCAGUCAAACCUAAUAUUCAGAGUAAAUAAAAACAGAGUGAGUAUCUUAUUCCCUGACCAAGAUGGAAGGGAAAGCGAGACAACUUAUUGUUUAUUUGAGCCGUUCAAGUAUAAUCAUGUGGCGUUGAUUAUUUAUCAUUCCUCUCCAACCCUCUUCUCCAUCGAUCAUGCCGCCCUCGGGUCGAGUCCAUCCUCCCGCAUGGCUCAUUUGAACAUUCCGCCGGGUAUCAUUCGCAUGUGGGCCUAGACCAUGCUUGUAUUUCCAAUGUUGUAAUUUUCCUGACAUGCAUACAAACAAAUGGUUUGUUUAAAGUUUCACUUUGCCUCCACUACGUGUCGCUUCCCGUCUUAGUUUUGUCGUCCCAUUCGGUUCAUGCCCCGACACAUCUUGACGAGAUCGAUUGAUGUUGAGAGAUCAAUUGUGUGUCAUGCAAGGAGAUAAAGGUUUGGUUUGUUUCUAUGAUAGAAAUGACCCGCGGGGGGUGGGGGUCGGUGGGGAUCAGAGGGAGUAUAUUGUAUGUUCAUAAGCAAAACGAACGUAUUGUACCCACCCUAGUCCUCUUUCAAUCAAUCUUCGGACCCUGAGAUGAAAUCGAGAGAGAACGAGUGGGUGCAUGUGUGAUACCGAAGGCGGAUUCAAAAUUUUGAACCGGUGAUUAUAGCAUCCGGAAAUCAUAUAUAAAGGGUAUUCAAUGUUCGUUUCACUUUUGAACGUACAAUAUACUCCCUCCGACCCUUUCUAGUUUACAUAUAAGUUUUAUGUGUAGUCAAAGUAUCUCUACUUUGAUCAAACUUAUAGAAAAAAGUAUCAACAUUUAACAACGCCCAAUCAAUAUUGUUAUAUUCGUACGUACUCCUAGAUUUGUAUUCAAACAGAGAUGGUUUCCAAUUUGUUUUCAACCACGUGAAUGUGCUUGUUCUCGCGCAUGCUCUUCCUACUAGGAUUUCUCCACGUAUAGCCAGUCCAAUAGUAACUUUUUAAGCUCCAUGUCCAAUAGUACUAGUGGAGUACUGACAACAUCUGUAGUAGAGUAUGCAGUGCUCAUAGUACUCCCUGUUUCCAUUUAUAUAGGGCCUAAGAGCAAGUACAAUAGUGGGCUUAUAGCCCGCUUACAUGGCACUUUGCCUAUGUGGAGGAGAGAGAUGUGAAAAAGUAAGGGGAGUGAGCUCUCAUGCAAGAGUCUAGCUAUAUACGCAUUCCUAGGUAAAUACAAUAAAUAUGAAGAAAGAGAUAGAGAGGAGAUGGAAAAAAGUAAUAAUACAAUAGCCAACCUUAUUUUUUUUGUGGGAAAUAGCCAACCUGAUAGCCCACACUAUUGUAUGAGUGCAUAUAGAUGAUGGCUAUAGAUGACAUGGCAGUUCCUUAUAGCCAUCGGUUGGCUAUAUUACUAACCAUGCUCUAAUGUGUUUUUCAAAACUGCCUUUGACUAUUGACAAGAUUAAUAGUACAUGAGAUGUAUAAUGUGAAAAUUAUAUCAUUGGAAGCUCCUUUCACAUAUGAAUUUGACCAUAUGCUUUGUGUAAGUUGCAUGUCAUAUAUUAUUACUCUAACAUUUGAUCAAAGUUAGCCUUGAAAAAUGCAUUAGGCCAUGUAUAGUAGAUGGAAGGAAGGAGUAGUAGUGGAAGUGGAUCCUCUGAAGUAGGUAUCCCUGCCUUACCCUCCCUUUCGGUCACUUACUGGCGGACCCCAUGCUUGCUAGGCUCCACAUGUCAGUUACUCAAUGGGUUCGGCCACAUCAGGGGAUCCUCAUCCAUAGUAUACCUCCCUCUGUUUUUAUUUACUCCGCAUAAAACAGAGGGAGUGGUAGUAUAAAUGACACGGGCGGGGGAGGGGAGGGACAUCGGUUUGCUCUCAACUGCGGUCCCACAAGUGAGCGAAAACGCAAGACGAAGCGUGUUCCAUUCGGUGAGCGACGUGGAGGGUCCAGCGUGUCGGGGUGCAACGCGAACGCGACAAGAUCCAUGUACAGUCAAAACCGAUUGACCGGUCGUCACCAGAACCACUAUUCACACCAGAACCUUCGCUGCUCGGCCUACGCCAGCCACUGCCCCAAAACCACACCUCCUCUCCAGCCCAUCCCCCCACCUUUCGAUCCCCUAGCCCGCAUCAAGCGUCCCCUAGUUCGUCGGAAAGCCAUGGCGCGCUGCAAGAUCGCGUACUACAAGAUGCUGACGCCGGAGCGCCGCGCAGAAAUCACGGUGGCGGUCGGCGCCACAGACCUCCAUUCCCAAGCUCGCUUUGCGGCGCGCCAAUCCUCGAGUUCUCUGGAGCCAAGCUACAAGGAGGAGGAAGCCGAUCCAAUGUUCAUGGCGGAGGUCACGGCGCAGAAGGCCCUGAAUGGGUAUGAGACAACGGACGUUGACUUCGUGCCGGCGUCCGGGUCCCCCAUGGUUCAGGCAGACCAGCGGUUCAACCUGGUGAUACUAAAGGAGGACUGGGAGGGGGAGGCUCAACUCUACGCGGAGCACACGCAUGCCGCUACCAUCGAGGCUCUCCUGCAGACGGAACCGGAUGUCGUGGAUGUGAACCGGGCGACGGAGACUCAACUUGACGUGGAGCGCACGGAUGCCGCUGCCAUCGAGGCCCUCCUGCAGGCGGAACCGGAUGGACUUGAACCGGGUGGCAGAGGCUCAACUCGACGCAGAGCGUGUGGAUGCCGCUGCCAUCAAGGCCCUCCUGCAGGCGGAACCGGACGUCCUGGACUUGAACCGGGCGGCGAAGGCUCAACUCGACACGGAGCGCGCGGAUGCCGCUGCCUUCGAGGCCCUCUUGAGGCAGAACCGAACAUCCUGGACUUGAACCGGGCGGUGCUCUCAUCCGUGCAGAGCGCCCACAUGCUCCGCGUGAACGAGUAGCUGGAGGCUGACGACAACCAUGGUGCAGAGACACACGUCGACAGCUACGACUGGUUCGCAUCGGCAGCCAAAGACGACGAGGCCGUCUCAUUCCGUGAGCAUUGGUAGUUUUUCUUUAUGUCCUUGUUUUUAUGGGUCUUUUGUUGUGUAAAAAAGCAUAUAUUGUUAUGCAAGUCGCCCGAUUUUCAUCAUUUGGGUCAGUCUACCAUUUCAGGCGGUUGGAUGAAUAUCCUACGUCUCUUAACGCUUCUUUCUCACCUUUUCUUCUUCCCCAACAGACCACCGCAUGGGCCGUACGGAUCCACCCCAACAUGCGGUUGGACAAACAUAAUGUAUGAACGAAAAUUAUGUGUCAGCAGUAGGAUGGCUGAGUUUGGUUUGAUCACAUGAGGUAGCACGUGUCAGUGAGGGGUGCGUUCCCUUGGUUGGGUUUGCGGCAUGCAGGAGCGACUUUGUGAGGGUGCGGUGCGACCGCGGCAUGCAGGAGCGACUGUGUGAGGGUGCAGUGCGACCGCGACAGCCAUGCGCAAGUGUACGUCCUUUUAAUUUUGAAAACUUUAGGCAAGCUUGGCAAAAAUGUGUGGCGAAGUACGGCAAUGCAAGGCCUAGACCCAAACAGGAUACAAGUACGUACGUACUAGGAGUACUAGUGUUAGAAAAGAAAGGUGAGGUUUUCCUUCACGGGAUUAGUUGAUACAAAUCCUUGUUUGACGUGUCAAUUAAUGCGUAUUUGUUUCUCCAAAUCCCAAGGAGCUAACCAUCUCACUCCUCAUCGCUUGAUUAAUGCAGCGCCAUGCAAACCAACCUUCUCAAGUCCGCAUGCAUCAAGGGUAUAUUAAUGUCCUUGGUUGCUAGUAUGAGGCAAACCCCGUCAAUUUUGCCUCGAUUAGUGUUAGUGGCCUUUUGCAAAUUGUAAUUUUGAUAUACUGGCCUUGUGUACAAAAAAUGGAGGUAGUGACUAUUUGACUUCCUUCCCCAUUCGGUGACGUCGACGAUAUCUCGAACGUUGUGGUUUGGCGAAGUGCAUUCGACGGAGAACACCAUUGAGGGAGACCACGGUAAGUCAUUCGCAAGUGCCACGUGCAAGCCGAGAAAACUGCCUUAUUUGCAUCCAGGAAGUCCGUUGAACCAAAGGAUGCAUAAACGUACUAGCACUACUAGUACACAAUAGCAUCAUCCAUCCAACUUAGUGGGGUGAGGUGGUUUCUCGAAGAACACGAUGGAGAAGCGGAGUCAGCGAAGAGUGAAAUGAUGGUUACUUCGUCUGUGCUUUCUGAUUUGAUGCCUCACUGCUUUGUGAUUUGUGAUAGAAGGGACAUGGGAGUAGACUCUGUGCUCUAUAUUGUACAUGCGUCCAAGCACGGGAGAAAGAGGAGAGACGUUGCAUUUUUUAUUCCUUCAAUCAAUCAAUCAGGGAGCUUCGGUUCCAUCUUUUUGGCUUUGGCAGCGCCGUCCACAAUGGUUCCCAUCGAUGCCAAAAGCUAUUUUCACAUUGGCCUACACAUUGUGGAUGCCCUUAACCGUACCACUUGGUUUUGCUCCUGUGUGCUAUCUAUACAAAUCUCAAUUAUAUUGAUCUAAAAAAUUAUAGAAUCAAGAUUAGUAAAAAAGGAGGUGAUUUUGCCGCGCGGAUGGCGGGGGAGGUUUCCUAUUUUUAGAGGACGUUGGCCUGGAAGUUUGCUAACAUGCAGUCCCACGUGCCAGUGCUUUACCAAGCCGAUUCGCGUCCCACAUGAGGCAGAACAACGUCAGAAGCAACACGUAGUUAACUUGAAGAAGAUGAGAAGCGGAUUCAACAGCAAGUGAAAUGAUGGUUGCUUCGCCCUUCCAACUUCUUUUUUUAGCAUUAUUACUUCGUCCCUCCAACUUAACUACAGGAAAGGUGCAGCUUGUGAUUUGAUGCCUCAUUGCUCAUUACUACGACGGUGCCAUGACUGGGGUGCUUCACCCCUGCUGCUCUGCACUGUAUUUCGGUAUGGCACGUGGACCCGGUAGCUUUAUGUCCCACAUGUCGGCGAAAGGGACUAGAACAUUUAUGAAAGCGAGCGCUCCACUCUUAUGACGGAGGAGUACACGACACGGCGGCCUAGUGAACUGUUACUUGUACUGUAUAGUACUAUAGUAUUGCUGGUUCACGCGAUCCAUCGAUACAAAACCGAUUAAACAGGAAAGGGCGGGAUUUUUCCCACGCGGUAGAUGAUACUGACCAUACAUUUCAAUGGCAAUUUUAAUGUAUGCAAACUGAAUAAUUAAGUAACAAUAUGAUAUAUAGUAAAACUAAAAACACAUAUGAUUUAUUGUGUUAGAGUGUAGUAGUAGUGUUGUAUUGCAUAGUUGUUAGAUGUAACAUGCGAGAACGUGUAGAGAUGUAGUUUUGGAGGGCCUACAGAGAGAAAAGCGUAAUACAGUCACCGGAAAUCAGAAUACGCUCAUUACGGUCACUAUAUAUGUUUUGCGGUGAUUAUAUGAUCACUUGCUCACCAUUCAGCAUCGGAUUGCACUCUGUUGACCGGCCAAAUAGUCUGUGUCACCAUGUUGACUAGUUAAAUUGACCAUGUUCCUUGUGGGUCCCACCUGUUAGUUCGCAUAGGAAAAAGGUCAGAUAAACACAAAUUUACGUAGGCGCGACAAGACUCUAACCCAUGCGCGGGAACCACCUAGUUGUGUAUGUGUCUAUCAGGGCCUGAUGUGUGCGCAUGCACGUGUAGGUUGAGCACUUGAGCGUGAGAGAGUGUGUUGGUCAUGUGGUGUGUGCGUGUGUGCGUGUGAGUGUUGCAUGUGUGCGUGGCUGCAUGUGUAUGUGUGAGUGUUGCGUGCGUGCGUGGCUGCAUGUGUUUGUGUGAGUGUUGCGUGCAUGCAAUUCGUGUGCAUUCGUGCGUGUGUGUAUAAUCACCACACCAGCUCCUGUGUGUUAAAACAGACAUCUCAGCAUACCAAUACAAGGCCACCUUGUCUGUUGUGCCCGUGGUCAUGACUUCGAACCACCGUCCAAUAUUUUUUUGUCGUUUGUUUUCAUUCUUACUAGCAAGAUGCCCGUGCGUUGCAUGCAACAUCAAGAUGUAGUUGUAUGACUAGUUUAUCUUGUGAGAGAAAAGGAUGAACGAGGGAAGGCCUUAUUUGCAAAUGUGGAGAGGUGUGUGGGUACCUUUUUGCAAAAUUACCAUAGUUUCCUUCCUAUCAGUCAGAUAUAAAUCAGACGGCCUAUAUUGCAGGAUGGCAGGCACACCAUCAUCACCAACUCUGUUUUUUAUAAGAGUGUAGAGUAGAUACAAGCCGACAGGUGGGCCCAAUGGUAGUGAGAUAAUGUGAUGCAACACUAGAGGUGCCACGUGGAGCGUUUAACUGGUCAACUAGUCGUGUCUUGAGCAAAUACAGAGCUAUACGGUGAGCCCGUGACUGUAUAAUAACCACAAAACAUAAAUGGUGACCGUAAUAAGUGGAUUCUGAAGUCCAAUGUAUGUAUCGUGCUUUUGCUUGAAAUACAAUGAUUGUCACUGUAUAUAUCACGAGAGAAAGAUGGAACAUGCGUGAAUGUGCUGGGGGCGUACUUUUAGAGGACUUGGAGCUAGUUUGUGUGCGUACGUGAAAGGGGCAUAGAGGGGGUGUAUGUGAUGGAGAGAGAUGCUCUUCAUUUCUCUUUAUUAUGACUAACUUUAUACACAGUAUAAAAAUAUAAAAAUUCACAGUGCGGAAUAAAUAUCAUUGUGGGCACCAUGCAAUGCAAAUUAACGUUCAUACUCCUCCAUAUAACUUUGUAAUGUUGUAUAUAUGUAGAAAUUCUAAAAUAUUUUUUGGCCGCACUUUAUUCAAAAGGAAUGUUGUAUGCGAAAUAAAUGUGAAGAGAGGGCUUUUUAGAUCAAUGGGGUACAUGAUGUAACAUGUGUGAAUGUGUAGUUGAUGUAUUUGGUAGGGACUAGAGAGGUAUGUGUGUGUAUUACGUAUUCGAGAGAGGCAUGGAUAGAGGGGCCGGCGUGGAGAGGGGGCGUGGGAGAGAUAGCAUGAGAAAUGAGAGAGGUCUAGAGAGAGAGAGACGAAUAUGAUGUCAUGGCGAGAGAUUCCCUUGAGUGUGUAUAUGCAAGGGGGGGCAUAGAGGCAUAAGGAGAAUUUUUGUGUGUGGCGUCCGUGUUGGUAUGUGUGUGCAGAGGGUGUGUCACCGCGUGAGGUCCGGUGGGCCGAGGUGAGGCCCUUGGUUCGGUUCCAUCCUGCGCCACAUUGGUCGACCCAUGAUGCAUUUAGGGAGACCCAUGGAUGACUAAUCGUACAAGACAAAGAUAGCAGAAUCGUGAAGGACUCUGUGUCCACUAACAAAGCCGACUAGGAAUUGUAACCCUAGGUCCUCGGACUAAGGUCACCCAUUAUCUCUGAUAUUGCUAUUCAUCCAACCUAACUUUCAGGGGCAUCCUACAGAAUGCUCUUCUAGAAUCAUACUCGUCGAUUAGGAAGAGAGGUGUGAGACAAUGCGUGAGAGACAGGCCUAAAGAUAAUGUGUGUAGAGGAGACACGUAGGCAGGUCUAUGUAUAUAGAAAGGGUCAAUGGGGAUUGUGCGUGUGUAUGCUUGUGAGAGGAAGAGUGCUUGUGAUAAAGGUUAGUGAAAACAGUCGUAAAUGGUUACGAGAGGGAGGGAGGGUUAUAUCGAGAGCAUGUCUAUGAGAAAGACACCUCGGGAGAGUGUGUACGAGCAUGUGUGAGAGACCACCGAUGGAGAGUGAAACUACACGUAAAAGACUAUUGUACACAUUGAUUAAAGAUAUAAAUUGUAUCCAAAUAUUAGGAUGGGAUCAUGAUAUAUGCAAUUCGCGUAAGGAACGGUUAUUGAUCCAUCAUACAUCUAGAUUAUAUCGAAUUUGAGCAUGUCUAUGUUAUUAUUCGACAUAAUUGAUCCACAUUGUUAGUAUUUUGAACUCCAGACAAUGCAUCACUUUAGCAAUCGAAUAUAAACGUGAGUAUAGUUCAUGUUGUGUGUUUAAAGCACAUUAUACAUAUGAAAGUUACACAAUGAACAUUAUAAAUAGCUAGGUAUGAACUAGAAUACAGUUGAAUUCAACUUAAGGUGGUUUAAAAAAAUCGAAUUCAACAUGAAGUCCAUUCAAUUAUUUGAAUUCGAUAUCAUGGCAUUUGUAAAUCAUACCUAAAUUAUGGGGCACCAAUCUUUGCUCUGCUUUUGUACAUAAUAGCAUAUAUAGUCCUGUACAAAAUAGAUUCAAAUUUAGUUCCUCCAUUCCAAAAUAAUCAUAGUUAUAGGAUUUUCAAGUGUCAAAACUUCAAAAAGAAGCAGAUAAUUUAAUGAGGUUUUCAAACAUACAAGGUCAAAUUUAACGUUGUCUAUUUAGAUCAAUCCUCAAAGUUCAAGAGUACUUAAACGUGAAUGCUUCUAUUUCAAACUUUCGAACAAAGCGCCAAAAGAGCCUCUACUCGCCCGAAACUACGUGAGACCAAUGUUUGGUAGUAGAAGGAAAUUAUGUUUCUAACUCCGACACGUGAAACCUACCGGCCCGACAUCCAAAGGUCUAAACCGGGUUAGGUUUAUAGCUUCAUCUAGACGCCACGCAACCGCCUCCGAAAAACAUUCAUACACGAUGGCCGCCUAAGCACACAUGCGCGCGGCCGAAAUCGCUCCCGCUCACUAUUUGGGACACCUGGGAUUACCAUCCUACCGCCGACCCGUAGUAGGUCCAAAAUUUAAGAGGGGGGCAAAGUUUGUACUUUCCCCAAAUUCCAAACAAGCACGUCCCAUCUGUUCAAAAAAGCCAAAAACAAGCGCGUCCCAGACCGAAACAUGGUUCUACCUUCGCUCCCCCUCCCCCGUCCGAUUCCCCAUUCGUACUCCAUGGGCUCCUAAACUACCUCUCCACCAGCCGUGGAACCCCGACGUCCUCCGUCCGCCACCCCAUCCCACCCAUCAACCACCGCCCUCCUCCAUCACGCCAAAGCCGAUACCCCGACAUCAUCGUCCACCGCAACCUCAACCGCAACGCCCUCCACGGAUAGCAGUUGAAGCCGAGGCGGAGCUGUCCGUACCCGAGCCAGUUCAAGCACGUCGUCCUGCGCCUCACCGCUGCCGCUCCAACUUCGCCACAGUCCACCGCACUGGAGUUGUUCCUUCUACGCCGUCCUUCGCCGCCUCAGAUCUGCUUCCCCUCCGCCGACAUACGGCCACGGCAACACAGUCAACAAUUUAGCCAUGGGUUUGUCCAAAGCUGCACCCUCCUCCAAAACAUCGGUUUCCCUGACAAAAAGAAGAAAAUCGCCGUGACAUAUGAAGGACACAAUACUGGCAACCGGAAAUGGUACUCCUCUUCCCUUAUUCGUGCAAAUUUUACGUGUCUGCUUGCACGAUAUUCAUCCCACAGAAGACACUAGUUGACCGCUCCUUCUUGAUACUAGAAGUUCCUAGUAACUCGCAAUGCACAAGGUUUCUCCUCAUAUACUAUUUCACCUUAACUAGAGGUCCGUCGCCCACUGGAUUUCAAUUCCUGGUCAGUUGAUUCCCAAUUAACGGAGGCAUUCCCUAGCGUAACAGACGCUAGUCCACCUAUUACAUCGAGGAAGCAACGCCUCGGUGUUUAUCUUAGGGGCGUGUGGGGCCUAGAGCUGCUGGCACCCGAUCUGGAGGUCGGCCUAGAUUAAAGGGAUGGCCUGGGGGCGCUGCCAAGCACGGCGGUGGUGUGAGGUCGAGGGGAGGGCAGGGUGGCGGAGACAGGGGUCUGAGCCGGUGGUCGCUGGCGGUUCGAGAAAGAUCGUGAACACUGACUGGCGGGAGGUAGACGAAGGCCAUCUGCCCGUUCCUUAUAGAUCAGACGGUUCAUAAAAAAUCGACUGGCCUAUUUAUUUUCAAUCGACUGUUAUUUUGAUAGGACCACAUGUGGUGGUGUGCUGGAGGAGUACCUGCAUUUCCCAGCCAUCCCUAUGCUCAUAUAUUACAAAAUCGUACGGAGUAGAAUCUAAUUUUUGUUUGCCAUGCAAUGUUGUAGAGCUAUCAUAUGUCUCCUGUCAUUUAUUUUUCAGCCACCUGCUAUCUGCUACUUUUACAGUGCACUAGUUCUGUACACACUUCACCCAUACUCCCACUAUUGUGUUUUUAUGCAAGGGUAUUUCAGACUCUGCUGCCUUGACAGAAGCAUAAAAGAAAAGAGAGAAGUCGCUCCAGUUUGGUACGUGGUUAGGCCAGACACGUUUCAGCAAUUUAAAGAGUGUAGUGUCAGCAGAUGGAGACGGUAAACGUAGCUCUGAAGUUGAUGAUCUCACUCGCAAUGAACCACCAUCCCAGGUGCCUGCUUGACCUUCGCAGUGUCAUAUGUGGUUGCAUGUUGCACAUGGUGUCUAGCUUGUAUUCGAAAGGCCGAAGUUGGCCUUCAUUAAGAUAAGGAAAUAUAUAUUUUACAUGAACCACCAUCCCGGGAGCACCAGAAAGAAGACAAAUAGCUAGUCAGGUCACUGGCCGAGCCAGUGACAAGCCCAACACAGACAUGCAUCACCUGGAAGCCAACUAAAAAGCCACGAUGGUGGCGAAGCAGCGAGCCUCCCACCAGGCUCUUAGGUCCUCGAUGAUCAUGCUCACCACUCCAGCCGGAUGUCUAGCUUGUAUUGCUUCCAAUUUGGUUAAAUUGCAUCUGCUUACCUUACACAUUAUACCUUUGAAUAUGACAUGCAUUCCUAUUUUUGGUACAUACUAGUACAUGUGUCUAUUAACCAUGUUUUUACAUCAAACUAAUGUUCUUGUGUAUCCCUCAUCAAUCACUUAUGAUGAGACAACCACCCUAGUGGGUUACUUUGAGAAAAGAUUCUCUUUUGAAGAAUGCAGUGUCAGCCACCCCACAUGAUUCUCAAGAAACAACAAGGCUAGAUAAAGAUAGUGAACGUAGCUCUAUAGUUGAUGACCGCAUUUCCCCUACACCAGCAUCGUAGGUGCUUUCUCUAACUUGGUAGCAUGAUAUGUGGUUGCAUGUUGCAUAUGGUGUCUAGAUUGUAAUUCUUCCAAUAUGGUUAAAUUGCAUGUGCUAUUCUGCUUAGUUUAUACAUUAUACCUGUUAAUGUGACAUGUCUUCCUGUUUUUAGUACAUAGUACAUCUAUCUAUUAAGCAUGUCCUUACAAAAAAUAUUGUUUUUUGUAUCCCGCAUGAAUCAAUAUGAUGAGACACCUUUAGUAUAUGCAGUGUGAUAUUAGUUGCAUCUUUCAUAUGAUUUAUAGCAUGUGCUGCUUCUAAUUUGUUGAAACGCCAUUUAUGAUGGGACGCUUUUAACUUGGCAGAGUCGUAUUGGUUGCAUCUUUCAUGUGGUGUCUAGCUUGCAUUGAUUCUUAUUUAUUGAAAUGGCUUCUGCUUAGUUUACACAAGCAGUUGUGAAUAUGCCACGACGUCCUAUUUUUCAUACAUAUUCCAUCCUGGUAUCAUGUGUUUGCCUUACAUCAAAGUAGUGAUUGUCAGUACCAUGCACGAAUGAGUUCCGAAGAGUGAAUUUUGUUGCUUUUUCUUGUCGGUUUUACUUGACAAUUCAAAAUUAAUAAAGCGGACGGAAAGUAGCAAGGCAGCGGAUAUAGGUGCUCCUUCCANNNNNNNNNNNNNNNNNNNNNNNNNNNNNNNNNNNNNNNNNNNNNNNNNNNNNNNNNNNNNNNNNNNNNNNNNNNNNNNNNNNNNNNNNNNNNNNNNNNNNNNNNNNNNNNNNNNNNNNNNNNNNNNNNNNNNNNNNNNNNNNNNNNNNNNNNNNNNNNNNNNNNNNNNNNNNNNNNNNNNNNNNNNNNNNNNNNNNNNNNNNNNNNNNNNNNNNNNNNNNNNNNNNNNNNNNNNNNNNNNNNNNNNNNNNNNNNNNNNNNNNNNNAGACACUCAAUGUAGCUGUGUUGAUGAUGACCACGUCUCCCCUAGUGCACCAUCACAGGUGCUCCCUCUAACUUGGCACUGUUAUAUGUGGUUGCAUGUUAUGUAUGAUGUCUAGCUUGUAUUGCUUCUAAUUUUGUUGAAUUCCAUCUGCUUACUUUACACAUUAUACUCGUGAAUAAGACGCAUGUUCCUGUUUCUAGAACAUACAAUAUCUUUCUAUCACACCAUGUUCUUACAUCAAAGUACUACUGUUGUGUAACCUGCAACAAUCACUUAUCAUAAGACACGUUUGACUUGGGAGUGUGAUAUAGGUUACAUCUCGCAUUCUUUUCUAGCUUGUACUACUUCUAAUUUGUUGAAAUGGCACUCAUGACGAGACAAUUUUAACUUGGUAGAGUGAUAUUCGUUGCAUCUUUCAUAUGGUGUCUAGCUUUCAUUGCUUCUAAUUUGUUGAAAUGUCUUCUCCUUAGUUUACACAUCAUAAGUUGUGAAUAUGCAAUGAUGUGAAUAUGCAAUGGCACUAAUGACGAGAGACCUUUAACUUGGUAGUGUGAUGUUGUUUGCAUCUUGCAUAUGAUUUAUUUGUUGUACUACUUCACAUUUGUUUAAACGCCAUUUAUGACGAGACACUGUUAACUUGGCAGAGCGAUAUUUGUAGCAUAUUUCAUAUGGUGUCUACCUUACAUUGCAUUGCUUCUAAUUUAGUGAAAUGUCUUCUACUUAGUAUACACAUCAUAGUUCUGGUUAUCUCAUGUCGUCCUGUUUUUCAUACAUAUUACAUCCUCCUAUCAUGUGGUUGUCUAACAACAAAGUUUAGUUUGUCUGUAUCACGCAUCAAUUUUUUUUGAAGAACUAAAUUGUUAUUCAUUUUUCUUGUCGGCUUGACUUAACAUGGCACAGAGAAAGAGGAAGGAACACAGAAUGACACGGAAAGGGAAGCAGAAGAAUCCUACAGAUUCUGCUGGUACUGAUGGUGCAAUAGAAGCUCAAAGUCCAACGAAAAAUUGUACAAACAGAGUAUCCCGUGCUACAUGAGUUGCAGAACAAGCCAAACAGAAACCAAUAGCUGCCACCAAAAAAGCAGAGACAGCCCAAGUUGUUGCAACACCUUCCACAGUACCACCAACUGCACGAGUUACUCAUUGGUCAACUCAGCUAGUAGCACGUUCCCAACCUCCCUUGCCACCUGUCACUACUUCCAAAGCACUCUUGAUACAAGACGAGUUGGCAAGAUCAGAUGAACUUUGUGAGCUUCAACGGCAAGAAGGUAGUUGCUGGAGUCAAGUUAUAGUUGCAUGCUUCUUUAUAUGUAGUCUCACAGUUUGAUGUACACUAACACUUCCUAUGUUUGUUGUUGGACUAGCACCUAGGCGCAAGAGGAAACAAACAUCAAGAAUAAUGCUCGAUAGGUUAACUAAAUCUAGAGGAGGAAGAAUGGAGAUCCGCUUUGAGGCAGGUUUAAAAAGGCCACGUGAUGCUACAGAGUCAGCCAAGUUAGUAUCAGAGGCAGCAGUUACCGCUAGGUGUCAUGUACGUAUCCUCCCAACAUGGAUUCAAUACAGGAAUGACAAAGACAAAACCCAGUUCAACACCUUCCUCGACCAUUUAUCUAUAAGUAUGGUUAUGUAUGGAAACUAGUAAUAUCGUCUUGCUCUGUCCCAUACUUUCUAGGUUGCUGAUAAUGAGACUCCCAUGAUUUUCAACAAGUGAGGUUCAAGUUGUAUAACGCCCAAGAUGCGAUUCUAUCCCAAUCGCGUGAUGAAUUCAUGAUUGGGGCACAACCACAUUUCGAGCGCAUAGCAAGGUGGAUAUCAUUACAACAUACCAUGUACAGAAUAGAUGAGAAUACAAGAUAAAGGCUUACACUUGCCACAAAUUACAUCAUUCAUACAACAAUACAUCAAUACAUGGCAACCAUCAUACAGAAGAGCAGGAUCCGACUACGGAUGAAAUCAAUGAAAAAUAAGAACGACAUCCACCCUGCUAAUCCCAGGUUCCCCGACCCGGAACCAAUCCCUUGAUCUUAGAACAAGAACCAUAAGAACUCCAAACAAGCAAGCAUCACACUCGCAUCAUAUCAUCGCAUUACCUGUACCUGCAACUGUUAUUGUAGUAAUUUGUGAGCCACGAGGACUCAGCAAUCUCAUUACCAUGGGUAUCGAGACUAGCAAAGCAGUGAGGUUGCAGCAAACGACUAAGCAAUAUAUGGUGGCUAACUUACAAGUACAAGAGUAAGAUGAGAAACUACGCAACAGUCGCAAACUAGUAAUGAUCAAGAAGUGAUCCUGAACUACUUACGUUCAAACAUAACCCAACUGUGUUCUCCUCUCGAACUUCCCCGAAAAGAGAUAGUCACGGUUACGCACGCGGUUGGUGUAUUUUAAUUGAGUUUACUUCAAGUCCUCUACAACCGGAUAUUAACAAAUUCCCAUCUGCCACAUAACCGCGGGCACCACUCCCGAAAGAUGAAACCCUGCAGGGGUGUCCCAACUUAGCCCAUGACAACCUCACGAUCCGCGGAGACAAUCCUCCAUCGCGGGGCACCCAAUCAGAAUCGGAAUCCCGGUGCACAAGACAUUUCGACAAUGGUAAAACUAGUCCAGCAAAACCUCCCGAUGCACUGACCUAGCCUGAUAGGAGUUGCGCGGUCUCGUUCUCAGGGUACACCACAUGAGUGAAGCAUACAGGUAUAUACCAAAUACCCCAAGUUGCCAAGGGUCGGCCCUGCACGAUGCUCUAGUUUGGACCAACACUCAUGUGGAGCACUGGCCCGGGGGUUGAAUUAAGUCCACGGGGGCCGGCAAGUCCCUAUGCAAGUUUUAGUUGUUAUUAGGCAACUGUUAAAACCAAUGUUGGGCCUUGCUGGAAGAGUUUUAUUCAAAGUGAACUGUCAAGAGGGUCCCAUACCCCUCAUCGUGUUAGGGACGCAAAAUCAGGGAACAUAACAUUGGUAUGACGGAAACUAGGGCGGCAAGAGUGGAACAAAACACCAGGCAUUGAUACGUCUCAAACGUAUCUAUAAUUUUUUAUUGUUCCAUGCUAUUAUAUUAUCUGUUUUGGAUGUUUAAUGGGCUUUAUUAUACACUUCUAUAUUAUUUUUGGGACUAACCUACUAACCCAAGGCCCAGUGCAAAUUGUUGUUAUUUGCAUAUUUCAGUGUUUAGCAGAAAAGGAAUAUCAAACGGAAUCCAAACGGAAUGAAACCUUUGGGAGAGUUAUUUUUGGAACAAACGUGAUCCACGGGACUUGAAGUAGACGUCAAAAAAGAAGCGAGGAGGCCACAAUGUAGGGAGGCAUGCCCCCACCCUCGUGGGCCCCUCGCAGCUCCACCGAUCUACUUCUUCCUCCUAUAUAUAUAUCCAUAUACCCCGAAAACAUCCAGUAGCAACACGAAACCCUAUUUCCAACAUCUCAACCUUCUGUACCCAAGAGAUCCCAUCUUGGGGCCUUUUCCGGAGCUCCGCCGGAGGGGGAAUCGAUCACGGAGGGCUUCUACAUCAACACCAUAGCCUCUCCGAUUAUGUGUGAGUAGUUUACCACAGACCUUCGGGUCCAUAGUUAUUAGCUAGAUGGCUUCUUCUCUCUCUUUGGAUCUCAAUACAAAGUUCUCCAUGAUCUUCUUGGAGAUCUAUUCGAUGUAAUUCUUUUUGAUGUGUGUUUGUCGAGAUCCAAUGAAUUGUGGGUUUAUGAUCAAGUUUAUCUAUGAACUAUAUUUGAUUCUUCUCUGAAAUCUUUUUGGUAUGAUUUGUUAUCUUUGCAAGUCUCUUUGAAUUAUCAGUUUGGUUUGGCCUACUAGAUUGAUCAUUCUUGAAAUGGGAGAAGUGCUUAGCUUUGGGUUCAAUCUUGCAGUGUCCUUUCUCAGUGACAACAGGGGCAGCAAGUCACGUAUUGUAUUGUUGCCAUCGAGGAUAAAAAGAUGGGGUUUAUAUCAUAUUGCUUGAUUUUAUCCCUCUACAUCAUGUCAUCUUGCCUAAUGCGUUACUCUAUUCUUAUGAAAUUAAUACUCUAGAUGCAUGCUGGAUAGCGGUCGACAUGUGGAGUAAUAGUAGUAGAUGCAAAAAAAUUUCGGUCUACUUAUCGCGGACAUGAUGCCUCUAUACAUGAUCAUGCCUAGAUAUUCUCAUAAUUAUGCACUUUUCGAUCAAUUGCUCGACAGUAAUUUGUUCACCCACCGUAAUACUUAUGCUAUCUUGAGAGAAGCCACUAGUGAAACCUAUGGCCCCCGGGUCUAUCUUUUAUCAUGUAAGUUUCCAAUCUAUUUCACUUUGCAAUCUUUACUUUCAAUCUAUAUCAUAAAAAUACGAAAAAUAUUUAUCUUAUUAUCUCUAUCAGAUCUCACUCUCGUAAGUGACCGUGAAGGGAUUGGCAACCCUUUUAUCGCGUUGGUUGCGAGGUUCUUAUUUUUUUGUGCAGGUAUGAGGGACUUGCAUGUAGUCUCCUACUGGAUUGAUACCUUGGUUCUCAAAAACUGUGGGAAAUACUUACGCUACUUUGCUGCAUCACCCUUUCCUCUUCAAGGGAAAACCAACGCAGUGCUUGAGAGAACCUUUGGGAAGACUUGGGGGAAGUUUUUUGGUUCUGUUUAGUAAUAAAUAAUUCAUCCAGACUCUGUUUAGAUGUGGUUUAUGCUUUUAAUUAGUGUUUUUGCCAAGUAGAACCUUUGGGAAGACUUGGGGGAAGUUUUUGCGAUCUUCCUGUAAAAAACAGAAACUUUAGCGCUCACAAGAUUUGCUGCCAUUUUUUACUGGACAGUGAGAUUAGGUUGAUUAUUUUUGCAGAUGAUUAAUAGAAAAAUUACUAACAUCCACCAAUUUAUUUCAGAAUUUUUGGGGUUACAUAAGUAUUCAAAAUCUACAGAUUACUACACAUUGUUCUGUUUUUGACAGAUUCUGCUUUCGUGUGUUGUUUGCUUAUUUUGAUGAAUCUAUGGCUAGUAUCGGAGGGUAUGAACCAUAGACAAGUUGGAAUACAGUCGGUUUAACACAAAUAUAAAUAAAGAAUGAUUUCAUUAUAGUACCUUAAGUGGUGGUUUCUUUUCUUAUACUAACGGAGCUCAUGAGAUUUUCUGUUGAGUUUUGUGUUCUGAAGUUUUCAAGUUUUGGGUAAAGAUUUGAUGGAUUAUGGAAUAAGGAGUGGCAAGAGCCUAAGAUUGGGGAUUCCCAAGGCACCCCAAGGUAAAAUUCAAGGACAACCAAAAGCCUAAGCUUGGGGAUGCCCCGGAAGGCACCCCCUCUUUCGUCUUCGUUCAUCGAUAACUUUACUUGAGGUUAUAUUUUUAUUCACCACAUGAUAUGUGUUUUGCUUGGAGUGUCUUGUAUGAUUUGAGUCUUUGCUUUUUAGUUUACCACAAUCAUCCUUGCUGUACACACCUUUUGGGAGAUACACACAUGAAUCAGAAUUUAUUAGAAUACUCUAUGUGCUUCACUUAUAUCUUUUGAGCUAGACAAUUUUGCUCUAGUGCUUCACUUAUAUCUUUUAGAGCAUGGUGGUGGUUUUAUUUUAUAGAAAUUAUUGAUCUCUCAUGCUUCACUUAUAUCAUUCUGAGAGUCCUUUAGAAAAGCAUGGUAAUUUGCUUUGGUUAUAAAAUUGGUCCUAAUAUGAUAGGCAUCCAGGAUGGGUAUAAUAAAAAAACUAUCAUAAAAAGUGCAUUGAAUACUAUGAGAAGUUUGAUACUUGAUAAUUGUUUUGAGAUAUAAAGAUGGUGAUAUUAGAGUUGUGCUAGUUGAGUAGUUGUGAAUUUGAGAAAUACAUGUGUUGAAGAUUGCAAGUCCCGUAGCAUGCACGUAUGGUAAUCGUUAUGUAACAAAUUUGAAACAUGAGGUGUUCUUUGAUUGUCUUCCUUAUGAGUGGCGGUCGGGGACGAGCGAUGGUCUUUUCUUACGAAUCUAUCCCCCUAGGAGCAUGCGCGUAAUUCUUGGUUUUUGAUGACUUGUAGAUUUUUGCAAUAAGUAUGUGAGUUCUUUAUGACUAAUGUUGAGUCCAUGGAUUAUACGCACUCUCACCUUUCCAUCAUUGCUAGCCUCUUCGGUACCAUGCAUUGCCCUUUAUCACCUAGAGAGUUGGUGCAAACUUCGUCGGUGCAUCCAAACCCCGUGAUAUGAUACACUCUAUCACACAUAAACCUCCUUAUAUCUUCCUCAAAACAGCCACCAUACCUACCUAUUAUGGCAUUUCCAUAGCUAUUCCGAGAUAUAUUGCCAUGCAACUUUCCAUCGUUUCAUUUGUGACACGCUUCAUCAUUGUCAUAUUGCCUUGCAUGAUCAUGUAGUUGACAUCGUAUUUGUGGCAAAGCCACCAUGCAUAAUUUAUCAUACAUGUCACUCUUGAUUCAUUGCCCUUCCCGGUACACCGCCGGAGGCAUUCAUAUAAAGUCAUAUUUUGUUCUAGUAUCGAGUUGUAAUCAUUGAGUUGUAAAUAAAUAGAAGUGUGAUGAUCAUCAUUAAUAGAGCAUUGUCCCAAAUAAAAAAAGGAAAGGCCAAAUAAAAAAAGAAAGGCCCAAAACAUGAAAAAAAAUGAAAAAAGAGAAAUAAAAAGGGACAAUUCUACUAUCCUUUUUUCCACACUUGUGCUUCAAAGUAGCACCAUGAUCUUUAUGAUAGAGAGUCUCUUGUUUUGUCACUUCAAUAUACUAGUGGGAAUUUUUCAUUAUAGAACUUGGCUUGUAUAUUCCAACAAUGGGCUUCCUCAAAUGCCCUAGGUCUUCGUGAGCAAGCAAGUUGGAUGCACACCCACUUAGUUUCUUUUGUUGAGCUUUCACACAUUUAUAGCUCUAGUCCAUCCGUUGCAUGGAAAUCCCUACUCCUUGCAUUGACAUCAAUUGAUGGGCGUCUCCCUAGCCCGUUGAUUAGCUGCGUCGAUGUGAGACUUUCUCCUUUUUUUGUCUUCUCCACAUAACCCCCAUCAUUAUAUUCUAUUCCAUCCAUAGUGCUAUAUCCAUGGCUCACGCUCAUGUAUUGCGUGAAAAUUGAAAAAAGUUUGAGAUUACUAAAGUAUGAAACAAUUGCUUGGCUUGUCAUCGGGGUUGUGCAUGAUGAGAGCAUUCUUGUGUGACGAAAAUGGAGCAUGAUCAAACUAUAUGAUUUUGUAGGGAUGAACUUUCUUUGGCCAUGUUAUUUCGAGAAGACAUGAUUGCUUAGUUAGUAUGCUUGAAGUAUUAUUAUUUCUAUGUCAAUAUUAAACUUUUGUCUUGAAUCCCUCAUAUCUGAAUAUUCACGCCACAAUAAAUAAAAUUACAUUGAGAAUUAUUCUAGGUAGCAUCCCACAUCAAAAAUUCUGUUUUUAUCAUUUACCUACUCGAGGACGAGCAGGAAUUAACCUUGGGGAUGCUUGAUACGUCUCCAACGUAUCUAUAAUUUUUGAUUGUUCCAUGAUAUUAUAUUAUAUUUUUUGGAUGUUUAAUGGGCUUUAUUACACUCUUUUAUAUUAUUUUUGGGACUAACCUACUAACCCAAGGACACAUGCAAAUUGUUGUUUUUUGCCUAUUUUGGUGGUUCGCAGAAAAGGAAUAUCAAAUGGAAUCCAAACGGAAUGAAACCUUCGGGAGAGUUGUUUUUGGAACAAACGUGAUCCAGGGGACUUGGAGUAGAUGUCAAGGAAGAAGCGAGGAGGCCACGAGGCAGGGAGGCAUGCCUGCCCCCCUGGGCGCGCCCCCUACCCUCGUGGGCCCCUCGCAGCUCCACCGACCUACUUCUUCCUCCUAUAUAUCCAUAUACCCCGAAAACAUCCAGGAGCACCACGAAACCUUAUUUCCACCGCCACAACCUUCUGUACCCAAGAGAUCCCAUCUUGGUGCCUUUUCCGGAGCUCCGCCGGAGGGGGAAUCGAUCACGGAGGGCUUCUACAUCGACACCAAAGCCUCUCCGAUGAUGUGUGAGUAGUUUACCACAGACCUUCAGGUCCAUAGUUAUUAGCUAGAUGGCUUAUUAUCUCUCUUUGGAUCUCAAUACAAAGUUCUCCUCGAUCCUCUUGGAGAUCUAUUCGAUGUAAUUCUUUUUGCGGUGUGUUUGUCGAGAUCCGAUGAAUUGUGGGUUUAUGAUCAAGUUUAUCUAUGAACAAUAUUUGCUUCUUCUCUGAAAUCUUUUAUCUAUGAUUUGUUAUCUUUGCAAGUCUCUUCAAAUUAUCAGUUUGGUUUGGCCUACUAGAUUGAUCUUUCUUGCAAUGGGAGAAGUGCUUAGCUUUGGGUUUAAUCUUGUGGUGUCCUUUCCCAGUGACAGCAGGGGCAGCAAUGCACGUAUUGUAUUGUUGCCAUCGAGUAUUAAAAGAUGGGGUUUAUAUCAUAUUGCUUGAGUUUAUCCCUCUACAUCAUGUUAUCUUGCCUAAUGCGUUACUCUGUUCUUAUGAACUUAAUACUCUAGAUGCAUGCUGGAUAGCGGUCGGUGUGUGGAGUAAUAGUAGUAGAGGCAGAAUCAUUUCGGUCUACUUAUCGUGGAUGUGAUGCCUAUAUACAUGAUCAUGCCUAGAUAUUCUCAUAAUUAUGCACUUUUCGAUCAAUUGCUCGACACUUAUUUGUUCACCCACCGGAAUACUUAUGCUAUCUUGAGAGAAGCCACUAGUGAAACCUAUGGCCCCCGGGUCUAUCUUUUAUCAUAUAAGUUUCCAAUCUAUUUUACUUUGGAAUCUUUAAUUUCAAUCUAUAUCAUAAAAAUACCAAAAAUAUUUAUCUUAUUAUUUGUAUCAGAUCUCACUCUCAUAAGUGACCAUGAAGGGAUUGACAACCCAUUUAUCGCGUUGGUUGCAAGGUUCUUAUUUGUUUGUGCAAGUACGAGGGACUUGCGUGUAGUCUCCUACUGGAUUUAUACCUUGGUUCUCAAAAACUGAGGGAAAUACUUACGCUACUUUGCUGCAUCAUCCUUUCAUCUUCAAGGGAAAACCAACGCAGUGCUCAAGAGGUAGCAGGCAUAAGGCCGAGCCUUCCACCCUUUACCAAGUAUAUAGAUGCAUUAAUUAAAUAAGAGAUAUUGUGAUAUCCCAUGAUAUCCAUGUCCCAACAUGGAACAACAUCCACCUGCAACUAGCAACGCUGUAAGAGGGGCUGAGCAAAGCGGUAACAUAGCCAAACAAAGGUUUGCUAGGAAGGGUUAAAAAGGUUAGAGGCUAUCAUGGCAAUUUGGGAGGCUUGAUGAACAAGUGGUAGGUAGCACGACAUAGCGAUAGCAUCGGGACAACUAGCAUAGCAAAGAUAGUAGUGAGAUCCAAGGUGACGGUCAUCUUGCCUGAAAUCCUGCUAGGAAGAAGACCGAAUCCAUGAAGAAGAAGAUGAACCAACAUAGUUGAACGGAUCCUCACAAUAGCAAUGUAACCAAAAGGAGAAGCCCAACCGGAAAGAAGCAAAUGACAUAGUAAACAUGCAAGCAUAAUCAUGGAAUGAUGCACAAUCAAGUAUGAUGCAUGUCCGGUUUAAUGAGGCAUGGCAAAGUGCAACAAACUAAACUACAAAUUAAGUGGAGCUCAAUAUGCGACGAGUUGCAUAUUGACGAAACACCACAUUUCAAUUGUUUAGUUCACUCUAGUUUAUGUGUCCAACAAUAUUAAAUGUUGUUAAACAUGGUAAGAGGUGAAGCAUAACAAAACUAUCUAUCUAGGCAAGUUUAAAUGAGGUCGGAACAACAAGCAACAAUUCCAGAAAAUCCCCAUAUGCAUAUUUCGAAUUUGGUACUGUUCUGCCCUAUACACAAUUUUAAUGUUUUUAAACAUGCAAACUAAGUGCACCAAGUGAAACUAUCCAUUUUUCACCCCAUUUACAUAUAAAGUUUAUUAAAUUCGGAGCUACGGUUAUUUAGUUAUGAAAUAAAUCAUUUUAGAAAGUUAUUUAUGCAAAUUUAAUCAAACAGCAAGUUAAACAUUUUAAACAUGGAUGAGAGCAGCAUAUUAUGAAAGUACAUGAAAAACUAAGAAUUUUUACAUAUAUAAAACAUUUUAAACCGAUGCAUGGUUCGUGAGUUAUUAAAUGCAUGAAGAUUAGGGUGUUUUCUGCAAAUCUCGUAAACUCUGGAUAAAUGGACAAAUUCGCGGCACAUAGAAAAAAACAACUAUGGGCUGAAACUACACAGGCUGGGCCUACAGAGGGGGCUGCGGGGAAGCUCACUGAUACGUCUCCAACGUAUCUAUAAUUUAUGAAGUAUUCAUGUUAUUAUAUUAUCCAUCUUAGAUGUUUUAUAUGCAUUUAUAUCCUAUUUUAUAUGAUUUUUGGGACUAACCUGUUAACCUAGAGCCCAGUGUCAGUUUCUGGUUUUCCCUUGUUUUUGAGUAUUGCAGAAAAGGAAUACCAAAUGGAGUCCAAUUGAUGUGCCAAUUUGCGAUGACUUUUUAUGGACCAAAAGAAGCCCCGGGAGUAAAAGAGUUGGGCCAGAAGAGUCCCGAGCCAUCCACGAGGGUGGGGGGUGCGCACCACCCCACUGGGCAUGGGCCCCUAUCUCGUGGACGACUCGGAGACCCCCCUGAUGUGAAACCGAUGCCAAAAAAUCCUAUAAAUACAGAAACCCCUAGAAAAUAACCUAGAUCAGAAGUUCCGCCGCUGCAAGCCUCUGUAGCCAUGAGAAAUCAAUCUAAGCCCUCUCUGGCACCCUGCCGAAGGGGGCCAUCAUCACCGGAGGCCAUGGAGGACGAUCUCGGAGGGGCCAUCAUCGCCAUGAAGGCCAAGAUCCAGAGGGAGAACCUCUUCCCAUCCACGGGGGAGGCCAUGGAGGAGGAAGCACAAGGGGGAGAACCUCUCCUACUCUCUCUCGGUGGCACUGAAGUGCCAUCGGGAGGGGAAUCAUCGUCGCGGUGAUCGUCUUCAUCAACAUCACCAUCAUCAUCUCUUUUACGCGGUCCACUCCCACACCCCGCUGUAAUCCCUACUUGAACAUGGUGAUUUAUGCCACAUAUUAUGAUCCAAUGAUGUGUUGCCAUCCUAUGAUGUUUUGAGUAGAUAUCCUUUGUCUUUGGGUUGAUUGAUGAUCUAUAUUGGUACGAGUUGUAUGUUUUAUUUUGGUGCAAUCCUAUUGUGCCCUCCGUGUCACACAAGCGUGAGGGAUUCCCGCUGUAGGGUGUUGCAAUACAUUCAUGAUUCACUUAUAGUGUGUUGCUUGAGUGACAGAAGCAUAAACCCGAGUAGAGGGGUUGUUGCGUAUGGGAUAAAGGGGACUUGAUACUUUAAUGCUAUGGUUGGGUUUUACCUUAAUGAUCUUUAGUAGUUGCAGAUGCUUGCUAGAGUUCCAAUCAUAAGUGCAUAUGAUCCAAGAAGAUAAAUUAUGUUAGCUUAUGCCUCUCCCUCAUAUGAAAUUGCAAUGAUGACUAUCGGUCUUGUUUUCAAUUACCUAAGACAAUUCCGCACACCGAUCAACCAUUAUUCCACACUCGCUAUUUAUAAUAUUUAGUAAUAUAUUCUAACUUUAUGAUAGCAGCCCCUACUUUUAUAUUUCAUCUCUCUGAUACCAUGCAAAGUUAUCCUCUCCAUACCCACAACGUAUUUUUAUUUCUUGUUUCUAGUUGGAAGCAAAUGUUCGGUGUACGUAGAGUCGUAUCAGUGGCAGAUAGAGCUUGAGAGAAUAUUGAUCUUACCUUUAGCUCCUUGUGGGUUCGACACUCCGUACUUAUCACUUCCACCAUUGGGAAUUGCUACGAUGAUUCCCUGCACUUGGGGAUUAUCAAGCUCUUUUCUGGCGCCGUUGCCGGGAAGCAAUAGCAUGAGGUUGAUAUUCUUGUGUAUGCUUGUUUGCUUUCUUCACUAAGUAGAUUUUGUUUUUGCCUUUUUGUUUCUGUUUAGUUGUGGGUGAAACAUAAAAAAAAUUAAAGAAUGAAAAUACAAAAAAAAUACUUGCCUCUCAUGCCUAAAAAGUUUUUCAAUAAGACAAGUGAUUGGAAGAUUAUGCAUUGAAGAAAUGAGGGUCGACCUUGAGCACUUGUGUUCAUGCUCCUAGAAACAAUGUAAAAAAAUUCAUGGAAGCUUCUCUGAAAAUAAUUAUCCACUUGUAUAUAUCCAUUGUAUUAUAAAAAUAACGUGCCAAGCUUCGGUUUUAGGAUGAUUAGAUUGCUUGUUUAGUUUGUGCAGUACAGAAAUAGAAACUUUGGCUGUAGCGCGUGAUUUUACAUUUUUUACUGGAAAGCCAAAUGGGUCUGAAACUUUUUGCACAUUACUUCUGUACAAAUUGUUUAAAUUGUCAUAAUUUUUUUAAUUUUUUGGAGUUACAGAAGUUUACUAAACUUCCAGAUUACUACAGACUGUCCUGUUUUUGACAGAUUCUGUUCUCUAUGAGUUGUUCGCUUAUUUUGAUGAAUCUAUGGGUACUAUCGGGGGGUAUGAACCAUGGUGAAGUUUUAAUACAGUAGAUAUAGUUCUAAUAUGAAAUUGUAAUAAGUUUGCGACAGUACCUAAAGGUAGCGAUUUGCUUUAUUUACACUAACGGAUCUCACAAAGUUUUUGUUAAAGUUUUGUGUGGAUGAAGUGUUCGAAGAUCGAGGAGCUAUUUGUAACAUCCCAAAAUUCUAAAUUUUGGAAUUUUAUAUUAAAUAGAUAGAUUUGAUUGAUUGUUUGAUUGUGGUGUGGUUGCUUGUGUGAAAUUGAGUGAAAUUCAAAAAAUUGAAAGUUAAAUGAGAGGGAAUAAAAGGACUUUCCCAAACUUUCAUUUUUCAUUUAUGAUCUCCAUGAAUUCAAAUUCUUUUCAUCACAAAACCCUAGAGUGAAGAUUAUGACUUCUUCCAUUUAAUUAAAUGAAAGGGGUUUUUGAAAAGAUUUUAAUUCUAUUUGGAAAUAGUUUCCAAUUCAGAAAUUUUAAGCAACCUACUGAUUUUCAUGAGAGAAGAUAAAAUGACUUCUUCAAAACAUAUGAAAUAUGAGUUGGGAGUUCCAAAGAAUCAAAUUUGAAGUCCUUUUGAAAUUAUUUUCAAAUUGGAGUUAUUUGGGUUUUAUUCAAAUUAUUUUUCUCCAAAAAUAAAAUAUAUGGAAAAUAGGGUAAAAUGAUUCCCUACAUUGGAAAAUUGGAGAGAAAUAAAUUCGAAGUCAUUUUGGUAUUUUUUUUAAAAUGAUUUUUAUUGGAUUUUAUUAGAGUAGUAGGACUGUUUGAUUUAUUUGAAAUUUUGUGGAUUUUAUUUGAUGCUAGAAAAAUGUUCUUGUCAUAGAAAAUCUUUUUAUGAAAACUUUGAUAUAUUAUAUGCCUAUAUAAUAUUUUUAUUUAUUUUAUUUUUAUUAUUUUUGUUUGUCUGGAAAAUCUUUAUUUAAAAAAACUUCUCCCGACUGGGCCGGCCCAGCUCCAGCCAGACCCAGCCUAGCCGUGUCGCGCCGCACCGCCCCCAAGCUUGGGAUGGAGUCCCGAGCAUCGCCGCCGCCAGCCGGAUUCCGGUCGGACUCCGCGUCUGCCUCCCGCCCCCUCCUCCACGCAACCCUGCGCCGCCUUCCCGCCUAUUUAACCCGAAACCCCGGCCCCCUCUCUCUCCCUCCUCGCGCCGCGCCGCCGCUGCAGAUCCCGCCGCCGCGCUGCCUGUCGCCACCGCCGCGUUGCACUUCCCCGCCGCCGCCGCUGCUGCUUGCUUGUGCCGCCAUCGCUCGCCAACGCCACCGCCCCGCCUCGCCUCUCUUUGCCCGUAGCUGCCCCGCGCCCCCGCCGUCGCCGGAGUUCAUCGCCACCGUCGUCGGUUCUAUACGCCGGAACCGCCAUGGACCGGUAUAAACCAAACCCUAGAUCGGUUUCCUAGUUUUUCUUGGUUUCCUUUAAAAAACCCGGCUUUUAUUUUUAGUCUAUUUAUAUAGAGAACGUUCGCCGUUUAGACCUUCGUGAAGAACGGUUUUCGUCGGUUUAGGUUCUGUAGCGAGCAUCCGCUCGAUAGAUUUUUCUUUUUCUUUUUAAUUUCAGCCAGGGACCUAUCCAUAGUGUUUUUUAUAGAUUAGUCCCUAGUCUUAGAACGAUCACUACUUUUUGCUCGUUAGUCGGAAUUAGAUGAAACCAACACCCACUUCUUCAUUAUGAUCUCCUCUAUCCACUAAAACAACUUAAACAUGUUUUUGAAAGUUUUAAAAUUUGAAUUCAAACAGAUUUGAAUCUGAACUUCGUUUGAUCAUAACUUGAGUUUCGUAGCUCCGUUUGAGUUGAUUCUUUUUGCAAAUUAAAGCUCUUGACCUAAAAUUUCUGAUAAGGCCAAAUACACUUAAUUUUGGUACUAUUAUAAAUUGUUUUAUGUUUCAAGAGUUAUUUGCUUGGUUUUGAUGUUUUCCGAAUUAUCUUCUUCGUUCUUUUCGAUCUUUUCCAUGAUUGCUUAUGUGUGGUUACUAUUGCUUGCUCACGAUAGAUUGACCGGAGUGUGACGAGUAGAACUAUCAGGAGUUAUGAGUGCGAAUCAUCUUCAUCAACAGUACAAGGCAAGUUCACACUUUGAUCAUAUCCCUUUUAUACCCAGUGUUUAUGCAUUAGUUUCAACCUACACUGCAUGGUUAGGACUUGAUAACAUGUGGGUAUUGGGAAGUAGUUGAUGAGGUAGGAACCUAUUGUCUUGCAUUCAACCAUGGGAGUUACUAUGUUAUGCUUACUGCUAUGCUAUGCUCAUAGACGUGGAUUGGUUGAGUGUAUUCAUGACAGAUGUGAGAGUUAUCAUUAAGGGUUAACUUAAGGUGGCUACUUUAAUACACAUCUGGGUGGAAUGGUAGGGGCACCCUGGAGCACCCAGUGGUUUGCCCGGGCACCUGGAGAACCCAGUGCUUGCCCAAGGGGAUCCCGGAGGACCCGUGUGAUCACCCUAUGGAAUGCCACCUAGGCUCAAAGGGAUCAUAAGAUUAUUCAUGCUAGAAACUUCCGUGUGCAGCCACAAGCCAUUAUGGGCUCUGGCAUAGUUGAGUAAGUUGUGUGAGCUCUUGAAGAGGUGGACUAGCAGAUGUAGGGGAAUUGUAGGUGUACCGGUCUGCCCGGAGUAAAGAGUUAAUGCUUCUGAAAGACUGUCUCUCGGUCAUCUGUUUCUCAAACAACAUGUAGUGCACGAAAUCCAACGGAGGAGAUCGAGUCUUGUGAGGAAAAGUGCGCAAACCUCUGCAGAGUGUAUAAACUAAUCAUGGUUAGCCGUGUCCCCGGUUAUGGACGUCUUAAGUCUCUGGUUCUUGAAUUAUGAUGUUGAUCUCAACACUUUAUUUAAUUAAUUUGAUGAGGUUAAUGAUUAGUAUUUUGGGAUUGAGUUGGCGGAACCUUCUCAAUAUUUAUCAACCAACUUUGUAGUUAAAUAAAAUAUGUUCCUUUGAUGUAGGGAAAAAUUGGCUUUUCGCACAAACACUAUAACCAUAGAGCUUUUCCACCAGCCAAAUAUGCAUGUAGUGAUAGCCUUUAUUCAUCAUUAUCCUAUGGUCUAAAUUUGCCAGUACGUUCAAUGUACUGACCCUUUGUGGCUGCAACGUCUCAUGUUGCAGGAAUCUUACGACGAGUAAGUGAUACAUUAGGAUUAUGAUUUCUACACUCAGCUUUGUCACUGGUGAUGAUGGGAAUCCACAACCUUGUUGUUACUUCCUCUAUUUGGUUUGAGGUAAUAGUAUUUACGUUACUUUAUACAUGUGAUUUACCUCUAUUAUAAAUCCUCGAGUACUGUGUGUCGGCAUACCGAUCCGGGGAUGACACUUAAGCACAGAGAUUUGACCAUCUGAGGUCGGGUCGCUACACUAUCAAUAUGAGAAGAAUAAAGAGAGGCAAGAGCUCAAGCUUGGGGAUGCCCAAGGCACCCCAAGUAAAUAUUUCAAGGAUACUCAAGCAUCUAAGAUUGGGGAUGCCCCGGUUGGCAUCCCAUCUUUCUUCUUCAACAAUUAUCGGUAUACCUUGGUUUUUGUUUUGUUCACAUAAUUUGUGUCCUUUUUGUUUUUGUUUUUCCUUUAAGAACUAUGCUAGUAUGAGAUAGCCCUUUAUUGAUUUAUAGAAUACUUCAUGUGCUUCACUUAUAUCUUUUAAGUAUGAUCUUAUAGAAUUGCUCUUUGUGAUUCACUUAAAUCUUUUGAGUAUGGUUUUAUAGAAUGCUUCAUGUGCUUCACUUAUAUAUUUUGAGCUUGGAUGUUGGUUAGUCUAUAUUAAUUGUAGAAUGCUCCAUGAACUUCACUUAUAUCUUUUGGAGUGUGAAUAAUACUAUCAUCUAAAGUGGAUUUAGAAGAAGUUUGCUCCCACUAUUCCAAAUGAGGAGAAUUUUGCUUAUGUGGAGACUAGUGAAAUUUAUAUGCUUGUAGAUCAUGAACAGAAUGCUUUAUGUGCUGGUUAUAUUGUUGAACUCAUUCAUGAUGCUACUGAAAAUUAUUAUGAGGGAGUAAUACAUGCUUGUAGGAGUUGCAAUAAUAUCAAGUUUCCUCUCUAUGUGCUUAAAGUUCUGAAGUUAUACUUGUUUUGCCUUCCUAUGCUAGUUGAUUCUUGUUCCCAUAAAUUGUGUGCUCACAAAAUCCCAAGGCAUAGGAAGUGGGUUCGGUUUAAAUGUGCUAGUAAUAUUCUUCAUGAUGCUCUCUUUAUCUUUCAAUUCUUAUCUUUUAUGUGAGCAUCAUUAAAAUCAUCAUGCCUAGCUAAAAGGCAUUAAGGAAAAGCGCUUGUUGGGAGACAACCCAAUAUUUACCCUUACUAUUUUUGUGUGUUUUCAUGACUAAGAUACUAUAUUAAUCAUGUAUUAUAUAUUUUGUUUCAAUAAAGUGCCAAGUAAGACCUUUGGGAAGACUUGGGUGAAAGUUAAUGUGAUCUUGCUGUAAAAAACAGAAACUUUGCGCUCAUGAGAUUAGCUGUCAUUUUUUUUACAGAAGAGUGUGAUUGAGUUGAUUUUUUUCCAGAAGAUUAAUAGACAAAUUCCUCACGUCCACCAAUUUAUUUAAUAAUUUUGGGAUUAGCAGAAGUAUGGUUAGUGUUCAGAUCAUUACAGACUGUUCUGUUUCUGACAGAUUCUGUUUUCAUUGCAUAGUUUGCUUGUUUUCUAGUUUCUAUGGCUCAUAUUUCUCAAUAUAAAUUUUAGAAAUGAUAUGGUAUAGUAGGAAUUGUGUGAGAACAAUUAUGAACUUUGUCUUCGACAGUACCAAAGUGAAUUGUUUACUCUUUAUCAUACUAACCUAUCUCACAAAGUUCUGUUAAGUUUUGUGUGAUUGAAGUUUUCAAGCUUUGGGUGAGAUGUCGAUAUGAGGAGAAUAAGGAGUGUAAAUACCCUAAGCUUAGGGAUGCCCAAGGCACUCCAAGGUAAUAUUCAAGGAAGACUCAAUCGCCUAAGCUUGGGGAUGCCCCGGAAGGCAUCCCCUCUUUCGUCUUCAAAACUAUCGGUAUACCUUACUCAGAGCUAUAUUUUUAUUCGUCACAGGAUAUGUGUUUUGCUUGGAGCGUAUUUUCAAUUUUAUUUGAUGUUUGAAUAAAAUCAUUGGAUCUGAAAUCUUUAAUGAAAAAGAAUCAUCCCAUGUCUAGUUAAUUAUUUUACUAAUCAGUGUUAUUCACUUAUAUCUUUUUGGAGUAGUUUGUCAUUUACUCACGUGCUUCACAUAUAUCCUAUGAGUAAAUGGUUGAAUGAAUUGAAUAUCAUAAAUUUGAAUUUAUAUACGUUUCAUAUGCUUGCAACAUGGGGAAUAAUGACUUCACACAUAAUAAGUAUAGGUAGUAAACUUAUUGGAAGUUAGCAAACGCAGAAUUGGUCACUUGAACAAUUCAUGAGAGAAUAUUGAAGGAAGAGAGAUUUCACAUAUAAAUAUACUAUCUUGGAAAUCUUUUGUAAUUGUGAGCACUCAUUAAAAUAUGACAUGCUAAAAGGUUGAUGUUGGAUAAGGAAGACAACUUAAUGGGUUAUGUUUUCCUAUAUCCGAAAUGUUAUAUUGUCUUGGAUCAUCUAACAUGUUGAGCUUGCCUUUCCCUCUCAUGCUAGCCAAAUUCUUUGAACCAAGUAGAGAUACUACUUAUGCCUCCAAACAUUCCUCAAACCAGUUUUUCCAUGAGAGUCCACCAUACAUACCUAUGGAUUGAGUAAGAUCCUUCAAGUAAGUUGUCAUCGGUGCAUGCAAUAAAAAUUGCUCCCUAAAUAUGUAUGAUCUAUUAGUGCGAAGAAAAUAAGCUUUAUACGAACUUGUGAUAGGGAAGAAAUAAAAGCGAUGGACUGCAUAAUAAAGGUGUCUAUCACAAGAGGCAAUAUAAAGUGACAUUCUUUUGCAUUAAGAUUUUGUGCAUUCAACCAUAAAAGCGCAUGACAACCUCUGCUUCCCUCCGCGAAGGGCCUAUCUUUUACUUUUAUCGUCUACCCUUAUACAAGAGUCAUGGUGAUCAUCACCUUUCCUGUUUACACUUUUUCCUUUGGCAAGCACUUUGUGUUGGAGCGAUCUGCAUAUAUAUAUCCACUUGGAUGUAGGUUCUCAUAAAUUAUUAUUGUUGACAUUACCCUUGAGGUAAAAGGUUGGGAGGCGAAACUAUAAGCCCCUAUCUUUCUCUGUGUCCGAUUAAAACUUUGAACCCACAAAUAUCACAUGAGUGUUAGCAAUUGUGAAAGAUUAAAUGAUAGUUGAGUAUGUGGAGUUUGCUGAAUCAAAGCUCUUACAUAGACCCUUCCCGAAAAUAAGAUGAAUUGCAAUUGUUUGAUGACUAAGGGCACGGUUUGUUAGUUUUCAAGAAAGUUUAUGAUCUAUACUUUAACAUGUGAAUAGCUUGUUACUUGAAAUGAGACAUUUUAUGAAUUGAGCUACUGUUAUGAUAUAUAAUGAUGCUAUAAAAAGUGAUUGAAACUAUCAUUGAUCAAACUUAAGAACUUGCUAGCAUUAUGAUAACCCACAAGUAUAGGGGAUCGCAAUAGUUUUCGAGGGUAGAGUAUUCAACCCAAAUUUAUUGAUUCGACACAAGGGGAGCCAAAGUAUAUUCUCAAGUAUUAGCAGCUGAGUUGUCAAUUCAACCACACCUGGAAACUUAAUAUCUGCAGCAAAGUGUUUAGUAGCAAAGUAAUAUGAUAGUGGUGGUAACGGUGGCAAAAGGUAACGGUAGCAAAAGUAAUAUUUUUGGUGUUUUAUAGUGAUCGCAACAGAAAAGUAAAUAAGCGAAGAACAGUAUAUAGAAAGCUCGUAGGCAUUGGAUCGGUGAUGGAGAAUUAUGCCGGAUGCAGUUCAUCAUGUAACAGUCAUAACAUAGGGUGACACAGAACUACUCCAGUUCAUCAAUGUAAUGUAGGCAUGUAUUCCGAAUAUAGUCAUACGUGCUGAUGGAAAAGAACUUGCAUGACAUCUUUUAUCCUACCCUCCCGUGGCAGCGGGGUCCUAGCAGAAACUGAGGGAUAUUAAGGCCUCCUUUACUAGAGUACCGGACCAAAGCAUUAACACAUAGUGAAUACAUGAGCUCCUCAAACUACGGUCAUCACCGGGAGUGGUCCUGAUUAUUGUCACUUCGGGGUUGCCGGAUCAUAACACAUAGUAGGUGACUAUAGACUUGCAAGAUAGGAUCAAGAACUCACAUAUAUUCAUGAAAACGUAAUAGGUUCAGAUCUAAAUCAUGGCACUCGGGCCCUAGUGACAAGCAUUAAGAAUAGCAAAGUCAUAGCAACAUCAAUCUCAGAACAUAGUGGAUAGUAGGGAUCAAACCCUAACAAAACUAACUCAAUUACAUGAUAAAUCUCAUCCAACCCAUCACCGUCCAGCAAGCCUACGAUGGAAUUACUAACGCACGACGGUGAGCAUCAUGAAAUUGGUGAUGGAGGAUGGUUGAUGAUGACGACAGCGACGACGGAUUCCCCUCUCCGGAGCCCCGAAUGGACUCUAGAUCAGCCCUCCCAAGAGAGUUUAGGGCUUGGCAGCGGCUCUGUAUCGUAAAACGCGAUGAAUCCUUCUCCUCUAGUUUUUUCUCCCCAAAAGUGAAUAUAUGGAGUCCAGGUUGAGGUCGGUGGAGCGUCAGGGGGCCCACGAGGCAGGGGGGCGCCCAGGGGGGCAGGGCGCCCCCACCCUCGUGGACAGGUGGGACACCCCCUAACGUGGAUCUUCCUUCCAAUCUUCAUUAUAUGUUCCAUAAUAAUGCCCUGUUGAUUUUCAGGUCAUUCUGAGAACUUUUAUUUUUGCACAAAAAUAACACCAUAGCAAUUCUGCUGAAAACAGCGUCAGUCCGGGUUAGCUCCAUUCAAAUCAUGCAAGUUAGAGUCCAAAACAAGGGAAAAAGUGUUUGGAAAAGUAGAUACGACGGAGACGUAUCAACUCCCCUAAGCUUAAACCUUCGCUUGUCCUCAAGCAAUUCAGUUGAUAAACUGAAAGUGAUAAAGAAAAACUUUUACAAACUCUAUUUGCUCUUUUUGUUGUAAAUAUGUAAAGCCAACAUUCAAGUUUUCAGCAAAGAUUAUGAACUAACUAUAUUCACAAUAACAUUUAGGUCUCAUGUUUACUCAUAUCAAUGGCAUAAUCAACUAGCAAGCAAUAAUAAUAAAUCUCGGAUGACCACACUUUUUCAAAACAAUCAUGGUAUGAUAUAACAAGAUGAUAUCUCGCUAGCCCUUUCUGAGACCGCAAAACAUAAAUGCAGAGCACCUUUAAAGAUCAAGGACUGACUAGAGAUUGUAAUUCAUGGUAAAAGAGAUCCAGUCAAGUCAUACUCAAUGUAAACUAAUCAGCAAUGAAUGCAAAUGACAGAGGUGCUCUCCAGCUGGUGCUUUUUAAUAAGAGGGUGAUGACUCAACAUAUAAGUAAAUAGAUAGGCCCUUCGCAGAGGGAAGAAGGGAUUUGUAGAGGUGCCAGAGCUCGAUUUUGAAAUAGAUAUGAAUAAUAUUUUGAGCGGCAUACUUUCAUUGUCAACAUAACAACCAAGAGAUGGCGAUAUCUUCCAUGCUACACACAUUAUAGGCGGUUCCCAAACAGAAUGGUAAAGUUUAUACUCCCCCUCCACCAACAAGCAUCAAUCCAUGGCUUGCUCGAAACAACGAGUGCCUCCAACUAACAACAGUCCCGAGGGAGUUUUGUUUGCAAUUAUUUUGAUUUGAUUUGCAUAAAGCAUGGGACUGGGCAUCCCAGUGACCAGCCAUUUUCUCGUGAGUGAGGAGCGGAGUCCACUCCUAUUGAGAAUAACCCGCCUAACAUGGAAGAUACGGACAGCCCUAGUUGAUACAUGAGCUAUUCAAGCAUAGAAAACAGAAUGUAUAUUUGAAGGUUUAGAUUUUGGCACAUACAAAUUUACUUGGAACGGCAGGUAGAUACCGUAUAUAGGUAGGUAUGGUGGACUCAUAUGGAAUAACUUUGGGGUCUAUCGAAUUGGAUGCACAAGCAGUAUUCUCGCUUAGUAUAGGUGAAGGCUAGAAAAAGAUUGGGAAGCGACCAACUAGAGAGCGACAACAGUCAUGAACAUGCAUUAAAAUUAAUUAACACCGAAUGCAAGCAUGAGUAGGAUAUAAUGCACCAUGAACAUAAAUAUCGUAGAGGCUAUGUUGAUUUUGUUUCAACUACAUGCGUGAACAUGUGCCAAGUCAAGCCACUCGAAUCGUUCAAGGGAGGAUACCACCCCAUCAUACCACUUCACAACCAUCUUAAUAGCAUGUUGGCACGCAAGGUAAACCAUUAUAAGCUCCUAGCUAAUUAAGCAUGGCACAAGCAACUAGAAUCUCUAAUUGUCAUUGCAAACAUGUUCAUUCAUAAUAGGCUGAAUCAGGAACGAUGAAGUAAUCAUAUUUACAAAAACAAGAGAGGUCGAGUUCAUACCAGCUUCUCUCAUCUCAAUCAGUCCACCAUAUAUCGUCAUAAUUGCCUUUCACUUGCACGACCGAACGAUGUGAAUAAUAGUAAUAGUGCACGUGCAUUGGACUAAGCUGGAAUCUGCAAGCAUUCAAUAAACAGGAGAAGACAAGGCAAUAUGGGCUCUUGGUUAAAUCAACGACAAUGCAUAUAAGAGCCGCUUUAACAUUUUCAUUAUGGUCUUCUCCACUCGACCCCCAAAGGAAAGAAAAGAAAUACAACUAUUUACACGGAAAAGCUCCCAACAAGCAAAAGAAGAAUGAGAAAUCUUUUUGGGUUUUCUUUUUAAUUACUACUACAAGCAUGGAAAGUAAACUAAUUAAAAGCUACAACUAAUUUUUUUUUGUUUUUCUUAAGGUUUAUUAAACACACAAGAAGAAAGCAUAAAAAGAGAAAAUAAACUAACAUGGAUAUUACAGUGAAAGAGUAUGAGCUCCGACAUCUAGCCAUGAGUGUGUGAACAUAAAUGUAAUGUCGGUGGGAAAUACGUACUCCCCCAAGCUUAGGCUUUUUGCCUAAGUUGGUCUAUUGCCAUGGAUGGCCUGGCGGAUAUCCAAAGUUGUAGUUGGGGUCGUACUGAGAUGGAUACUCAGAUUGCCACUGGCUGGCAAUCACCUCCGGAUCCCACUGGUAAUCAGACUGUCGUGGAGGAUCAAAUUGUGGUUCUGGCUCUGGCUCUGUAGCUGAUGUAGGGUUCCGGUAGGCGUGAAUGGCCUCCAACAGAUCAAGGUACUUGCGUGCAGAUAAAUCAAACAAGGAAGGAGCAGGCAGGGUAAUAGUCUCAGGAUGAUGUUUAUCAAAGAACAAAUUGUAUUUAAGCUCCCUUUCCCUAUUCUUUACAAUAAAAUCAUGCGCUAUCAUACUCUUAUAAUCUAAAUAAACAGUAGGCAGCAAUUUUUCUUCCUUUUCAUAGUGCCUAAUAGGUAUGUUAUAGUAUGCAGCAAGGCGUGAAGCAUAGACACCUCCAAAGAUGGGGCCCUUUGUAUGGUUCAGACUUAACUGUUUGGCAAUAAUAACGCCCAUACUAACAGAGUCGUCACAGAAUAAACCAUGGAACAAAAUAAUAAUAUCAGAAACACUAAGGUUUCCAUAGUUUCCGCGACCAAUUAAGCAACGACUAGAAAAUAUUGCAAAGUAGCGUAAAACAGGAAAAUGUAUGCUAGUGAUUCUUGCAUCGGAAACUUUCCUAGUUUCCCCUACAGUAAUAGUGUCAAUAAACCCGUCCACAUCUCUACGAUGUGGUUCCUCGAAGCUACCUUCGAAAGGUAUUUUGCAAACCCUGCAAAAUUCAUAUAGUGACAUCUUCUUAACCACAUCAUAUAAAUGAAACUCUACUAAAGUAGGUGAUUCCUUAUGAUAAUAGUAGAAGUUUUGCACAAAAGUAUUGGUGAGUAAGAUAUAUUGUUCGUGUUGGUCGCAGAGGAAGUCGGUGAGGCCUGCAUUCUUAGCCAAUUUAUAAAAAUCAUCAUAAAUCCUGGCUGCUCUCAAUAAAUCAUUGGAAGGCCAUUCACACGGCCGAACCUCCGCGGUGCGAGGCAAAUUAUAUCUAGGCCUCUCUGUUUCUUCAUUUUGCUUUUCCUUCGAGCUUCGGCUCGAUGAGCCCCUCAAAAAUCUCUUCAUUAUUUUCUGAAAAAUUCUGAAAUUUUUAGUAACUUCAAAUAAAAGUGAACCAAGCUUAACAAAAUUGAUAGGAACUACUCCUACAAGUGCCUAGGACCUAUAUCAUGCAUUAGAACUACUUGGAACCAUAUAAAUUUGACAUGCAAGCUCAAGAACAUGGUCACCUAGGCAACACAAAUUUGCAAUGAAUAAAGUACUAGAACAAAAACUAAUUGGACCAAUGGAGGAGUCACAUACCAAGGAACAGUCCCCCAAAGAAGUUUUGUGAGAGGUGCUUUGAGCAAGGAGAUCGAAAAUCGUAGCAAAAUGAGCUAGAACCCGUGCUUUAGCUGGAUGGUGAUUUCUUUGGGAGGAAGGAGAAGUGUGUGGGUGCAGGAAUAAGUGGAGGGGAGCCACCAUGGGUCCACGAGGUAGGGGGCACGCCCAGGGGGUGGGCGCACCCUGGACCCUCGUGGCCAGGUGCUUGCUCCCCCUAAUGUGUUCUCAGUGCCAGAUAUUCUCAAAUAUUCCAGAAAAAAUCAUAUUAAAUUGGCAGGGCAUUUGGAGAACUUUUAUUUUCAGGGUAUUUUUAUAUUGCACAGAUAAUUUAGAAAACUGACAGAAAAUACUAUUUUUAUGUUAUUUCAACUAAAUAAUAGAAAUUAAAAGGAGGGUACAGAAGGUUGUGCUUUCUAACUUCAUCCAUCUCAUGCUCAUCAAAAGGAAUCCACUAACAAGGUCGAUCAAGUCUUGUUAGCAAACUCAUUUCGAGUAACAUGAAACCGGAGAAAUUUCGAAUGACAUUAUGUUACCUCGAUGGGGAUAUGCACAUCCCCAACAAUAUGAAUAUCAUAUUUCUUCUCGACAGUAGGAAGAGGAAAUUCAAAACCUCCAAAAAUAAUCGAUGGAAUUUUUCCAAUAGAAUUGAUACUGUGGACUUGAGGUUGUUUCCUCGGAAAGUGUACCGUAUGCUCAUUACCAUUAACAUGAAAAGUGACAUUGCCUUUGUUGCAAUCAAUAACAGCCCCUGCAGUAUUCAAAAAAGGUCUUCCAAGAAUAAUAGACAUACUAUCGUCCUCGGGAAUAUCAAGAAUAACAAAGUCCGUUAAAAUAGUAACGUUUGCAACUACAACAGGCACAUCCUCACAAAUACCGACAGGUAUAGCAGUUGAUUUAUCAGCCAUUUGCAAAGAUAUUUCAGUAGGUGUCAACUUAUUCAAAUCAAUUCUAAGAUAUAAAGAGACUGGCAUAACACUAACACCGGCUCCAAGAUCACAUAAAGCAGUUUUAACAUAGUUUCUUUUAAUGGAGCAUGGUAUAGUUGGUACUCCGGGAUCUCCUAGCUUCUUAGGUAUUCCACCUUUAAAAGUAUAAUUAGCAAGCAUGGUGGAAAUUUCAGCUUCCGGUAUCUUUCUUUUAUUAGUAACAAUUUCUUUCAUAUACUUAGCAUAAGGAUUCAUUUUAAUCAUAUCAGUCAAACGCAUACGCAAAAAGAGAGGUCUAAUCAUUUCAGCAAAGCGCUCAAAAUCCUCAUCAUCCUUUUUCUUGGAUGGUUUAGGAGGAAAAGGCAUGGGUUUCUGAACCCAAGGCUCUCUUUCCUUACCAUGUUUCCUAGCAACAAAGUCUCUCUUAUCAUAACAUUGAUUCUUUGAUUGUGGGAUAUCAAGAUCAACAGCAGGUUCCGCUUCUACAUCAUCAUCAUUGCUAGGUUGAGCAUCAACAUGAACAUUAUCAUUAACAUUAUCCCUAGUUUCAUGUUCAUUACUAGAUUGUGUUUCAGCAUCAGAAAUAGAAAUAUCAUUGGGAUUCUCAGGUGUGUCAACAACAGGUUCACUAGAAGCAUGCAAAGUCCUAUCAUUUUUCUUUUUCUUCCUCUUAGAAGGACUAGGUGCAUCAAUAUCAUUUCUCUGGGAAUCUUGCUCAAUUCUCUUAGGAUGGCCCUCAGGAUACAAAGGUUCCUGGGUCAUUUUAACACCUCUAGUCAUAACUCUAACAAUGUUAUCAUUUUUCUUACUAUUUAAUUCAUUGAGCAAAUCAUUCUGAGCUUUAAGUACUUGUUCUACUUGAGUGGUAACCAUAGAAGCAUGUUUACUAAUGAGUUUAAGUUCACCUUUAACUCUAGACAUAUAAUCACUCAAGUGUUCAAUCAUAUAAGCAUUUUGUUUCAAUUGUCUACCAAAAUAAGCAUUGAAGUCUUCUUGCUUAACCAUAAAGUUAUCAAACUCAUCCAAACAUUGGCUAGCAAACUUAGUAGGAGGGAUUUCAGCUUUAUCAUAUCUAUAGACAGAAUUUACCUUUACUACCUAUGUCGAGUUAUCAAGACCAUGUGUUUCUUGAAUAGGUGAUGGAUUAAGAACAUAUAUUUCUUCAACAGGUGUUAAAUUAAGACCAUGUAUUUCUUCAAUAGGAGGUAAAUUCUUAACAUCUUCAGCUUUAAUACCCUUUUCUUUCAUGGAUUUCUUUGCCUCUUGCAUAUCUUCAGGACUGAGAAAUAGAACACCCCUUUUCUUCGGAGUUGGUUUAGGAAUAGGCUCAGGAGUUGGCUCAGGAGCUGGCUCAGGAAGUGUCCAAUUAUUUUCGUUUGUCAACAUAUUAUUCAAUAGAAUUUUAGCUUCAUCUGGUGUCCUUACCCUGAAAACAGAACCGGCACAACUACCAGGUAAUCUCUGGAAGCAUCGGUUAGUCCAUUAUAAAAGAUAUCAAGUAUUUCAUUUUUCUUAAGAGGAUGAUUAGGCAAAGCAUUAAGUAAUUGGAGAAGCCUCCCCAAGCUUGUGGGAGACUCUCUUCUUCAAUUUGCACAAAAUUAUAUAUAUCCCUUAAGGCAGCUUGUUUCUUAUGAGCAGGGAAAUACUUAGCAGAGAAGUAAUAAAUCAUAUCCUGGGGACUAUGCACACAACCAGGAUCAAGAGAAUUAAACCAUAUCUUAGCAUCACCCUUUAAUGAGAACGGAAAUAUUUUAAGGAUAUAAAAGUAGCGAGUUCUCUCAUCAUUAGUGAAUAGGGUGGCUAUAUCAUUUAAUUUAGUAAGAUGUGCCACAACAGCUUCAGAUUCAUAGCCAUGAAAAGGAUCAGAUUCAACCAAAGUAAUUAUAUCAGGAUCAAUAGAGAAUUCAUAAUCCUUAUCAGUAACAAAGAUAGGUGAAGUAGCAUAAGAAGGAUCAUAUUUCAUUCUAGCAUUCAGAGUUUUUUGUUUAAGCUUAGCUUAUAAUUUCUUAAGAUCGCUUCUAUCAUUGCAUGCAAGAAAGUCUCUUUUAGUUUCUUCAUCCAUAACAUAGCCCUCAGGCACAACAUGCAAUUCAUAUUUAUUGGGAGGGCCUUCAUCAUCACUUUCAUCAAUAUUAUCAGUUUCAAUAAUUUCAUUCUCUCUAGCCCUAGCAAUUUGUUCAUCAAGAAAUUCACCAAGUGGCACAGUAGUAUCAAGCAUACGUAGUUUCAUCAUAAGUAUCAUGCAUAGCAGAAGUGGCAUCAUCAAUAAUAUGCGACAUAUGAAAAUUAAUAGCAGAAGCAGGUUUAGGUGUCGCAAGCUUACUCAAAACAGAAGGUGAAUCAAGUGUAGCGCUAGAUGCUAGUUCCUUACCUCCCCUCGUAGUUGAUGGAUAAAUUUUUGUUUUCCCAUCUUUCAAGUUCUUCAUAGUGACCAGCAGAUAUAAAUCCUAAGUGACUCAAAGAAUAGAGCUAUGUUCCCUGGCAACGGCGCCAAAAAAUAGUCUCGAUAACCCACAAGUAUAGGGGAUCGCAACAGUUUUCGAGGGUAGAGUAUUCAACCCAAAUUUAUUGAUUCGACACAAGGGGAGCCAAAGAAUAAUCUCAAGUAUUAGCAGCUGAGUUAUCAAUUCAACCACACCUGGAAACUUAAUAUCUGCAGCAAAGUGUUUAGUAGCAAAGUAAUAUGAUAGUGGUGGUAACGGUGGCAAAAGCUAACGGUAGCAAAAGUAAUAUUUUUGGUGUUUUAUAGUGAUCGUAAUAAUAGCAACAAAAAAGUAAAUAAGCGAAGAACAGUAUACGGAAAGCUCGUAGGCAUUGGAUCGGUGAUGGAGAAUUAUGCUGGAUGCGGUUCAUCAUGUAAUAGUCAUAACAUAGGGAGACACAGAACUAGCUCCAGUUCAUCAAUGUAAUGUAGGCAUGUAUUCCGAAUAUAGUCAUACGUGCUUAUGGAAAAGAACUUGCAUGACAUAUUUUGUCCUACCCUCCCGUGGCAGCGGGGUCCUAGCGGAAACUAAGGGAUAUUAAGGCCUCCUUUUAAUAGAGUACCAGACCAAAGCAUUAACACAUAGUGAAUACAUGAACUCCUCAAACUACGGUCAUCACCGGGAGUGGUCCCGAUUAUUGUCACUUCGGGGUUGCCAAAUCAUAACACAUAGUAGGUGACUAUAGACUUGCAAGAUAGGAUCAAGAACUCACAUAUAUUCAUGAAAACAUAAUAGGUUUAGAUCUGAAAUCAUGGCACUCGGGCCCUAGUGACAAGCAUUAAGCAUAGCAAAGUCAUAGCAACAUCAAUCUCAGAACAUAGUGGAUACUAGGGAUCAAACCCUAACAAAACUAACUCGAUUACAUGAUAAAUCUCAUCCAACCCAUCACCGUCCAGCAAGCCUACGAUGGAAUUACUCACGCACGGCAGUGAGCAUCAUGAAAUUGGUGAUGGAGGAUGGUUGAUGAUGACGACCACGACAGAUUCCCCUCUCUGGAGCCCCGAACGGACUCCAGAUCAGCCCUCCCGAGAGAGUUUAGGGCUUAGCGACUGCUCUGUAUCGUAAAACGCGAUGAAUCCUUCUCCUCUAGUUUUUUCUCCCCGAAAGUGAAUAUAUGGAGUCUAGGUUAAGGUCGGUGGAGCGUCAUGGGGCCCACGAGGCAGGGGGCGCGCCCCCACCCACAUGGACAGGUGGGACACCCCCUGACAUGGAUCUUCCUUCCAAUCUUCAUUAUAUGUUCCAUAAUAAUGCCCCAUUGAUUUUCAGGUCAUUCCGAGAACUUUUAUUUCUGCACAAAAAUAACACCAUAGCAAUUCUGCUGAAAACAGCGUCAGUCCGGGUUAGUUCCAUUCAAAUCAUGCAAGUUAGAGUCCAAAACAAGGGCAAAAGUGUUUGGAAAAGUAGAUACGAUGGAGACGUAUCACAUUCCCGCUUCAUAAAUUAUCUCUUUUAUCAUUUACCUACUCGAGGACGAGCAGGAAUUAAGCUUGGGGACGCUGAUACGUCUCCAACAUAUCUCUAAUUUAUGAAGUAUUCAUCCUAUUAUAUUAUCCAUCUUAGAUGUUUUAUAUGCAUUUAUAUGCUAUUUUAUAUGAUUUUUGGGACUAACCUAUUAACCUAGAGCCCAGUGCUAGUUUUUGUUUUCCCCUUGUUUUUGAGUAUUGCAGAAAAGGAAUACCAAAUGGAGUCCAAUUGACGUUCCAAUUUUUGAUGAUUUUUAUGGACCAAAAGAAGCCCCCAGAGUAAAAGAGUUGGGCCAUAAGAGUUCCGAGCCAUCCACGAGGGUGGGGCCGCACCCCACCCCCUAGGUGUGGGCCCCUAUCUUGUGGAUGACUCGGAGACCCCCCUGACAUGAAACCGACGACAAAAAUUCCUAUAAAUACAGAAACCCCCAGAAAAUAACCUAGAUCGGAAGUUCUGCCACCGCAAGCCUCUGUAGCCACGAGAAAUCAAUCUAGGCCCUCUCUGGCACCCUGCCGAAGGGAUCCAUCAUCACUAGAGACCAUGGAGGAGGAUCCUAGAGGGGCCAUCAUCGCCGUGAAGGCCAAGAUCCAGAGGGAGAACCUCUUCCCAUCCAGGGGGGCCAUGGAGGAGGAAGCACAAGGGGGAUAACCUCUCCUCCUCUCUCUCUCGAUGGCACCGGAGUGCCAUCAGGAAGGGAAUCAUCGUCGCGGUGAUCGUCUUCAUCAAUAUCACCAUCCUUAUCUCUUUUAGGCGGUCGACUCUCCUGCACCCCGCUGUAAUCCCUACUUGAACAUGGUGCUUUAUGCCACAUAUUAUGAUCCAAUGAUGUGUUUCCAUCCUAUGAUGUUUUGAGUAGAUAUCCUUUGUCUUUGGGUUGAUUGAUGAUCUAGAUUGGUACAAGUUGUAUGUUUUAUUUUGGUGUUGUCCUAUUGUGCCCCCUGUUUCACGCAAGCGUGAGGGAUUCCCGUUGCAGGGUGUUGCAAUACGUUCAUAAUUCGCUUAUAGUGGGUUUCUUGAGUGACAGAAGCAUAAACCCGAGUAGGGGGGUUGUUGCGUAUGGGAUAAAGGGGACUUGAUGCUUUAAUGCUAUGGUUGGGUUUUACCUUAAUGAUCUUUAGUAGUUGCGGAUGCUUGCUAGAGUUCCAAUCAUAAGUGCAUAUUAUCCAAGAAGAGAAAGUAUGUUAGCUUAUGUCUCUCCCUCAUAUGAAAUUGCAAUGACGACUAUCGGUCUAGUUAACAAUUACCUAAGACAAUUCCGCACACCAAUCCACCAUUAUUCCACACUCGCUAUUUAUAAUAUUUAGUAAUAUAUUCUAACUUUAUGAUAACAGCCCCUACUUUUAUAUUUUAUCUCUCUGAUACCAUGCAAAGUUAUCCUCUCGAAGUAGGGGCAUGGCGCCAUGCAGCAGAGGGUGGAGAAGUUCGGCCGGGACAACAUCUGAUGAGGGGAUGACGAGGAACGACAGAAUGGGGCGGCAUAGAGUGGAUCUAGAUGGGGGUCGAGCAGGACGACGGCGACUCAGCUCUAGCGGCUCCGGUUGGUGGUGAGCUGAAAUCCUGUUCAGAGAAAUAGAGAGGAGAGAUCAUGAGGGAGAGAGGGAACCGGAGGGAAGGGAAGAAACGGAGGAAGGAGAUGGUAGGGUGGCAUAGCAGGGUGGUCCUGGUGGUGGAGAGGACUUGGCGGCAUCGCAUCGGCGACCGAGCAAGAGAUUGGGGAUGAGCAUGAGGAGCUCGGGACGGGUGCGUCCCUUGGGCGCGCGAUGAGGAGGGUGCAUAGGGAGGCGAGGCGGCUCCUGCGAAGAAGCUGGCGAGGUGAGGAAGGGCUUCGGCGUCGUCGGUUCCUGGGGCAGCACGGAUCAGAAGCAGAGGCGGGCUCCAAAUCCAUGGCGUGGACGGUCGGCGUCGGGCAGAGGAGGAGCUCCUGCUGGAUGGCGCCAUGGCUGCUGCCUGGGUUCCUAGACAGAGAGAGAGAGGAAAUGAGAGAGGAGGGGCGCACGGGAAGGAGGAGGGAGGACAGGGAGGAGGCCGGUCCUGGUCGUGUCCGCCGGCAGCGGGGUCGCUGGAGGGCGCGGCCUGCAGGGUCGGUGAGGCUCAGGCGCGAGGGCUCCUGCUGGAUGAAGGAGGAGGUAGGGGACUUGAAUGCGGGUUGGUGGGGAGAUAUAGAGAGGUGGUUGGCCAGUUGGGGAAAUCGAGGGAGGUGGUGGAUCGGCUGCUGGAUCGGGAUGGAUCCCGAGGAAGAGAGAAGGCAGGUAAGUGGCAGCGGGCAGGAGGAUGGAUGGGACAACGCCCCUACAAACUAGGGUUAGGCUGAUUAUAUAGUAGGUGGAAUUUAGGUAGGAGCUAUCUAGGUCCCUUUGAUCGUAAUCGGACGGUCUGAGAUAAAUAGGUUAGGAGAGUCCAAUGAGAAACCGAUGAUGAUUUAGGGAUGUUUGGGGAUGAUCCGGAUCCAACAGUCAUGACUGCCCGGGUUGGGUCUGGGAAGUUUCAGACACGCAUGAAAAGGGGAUUAGGCGGUCACGGUCAAGAGGGAAGCGAAAACCCGAUUGGUCUGGAACGGUCAACGAAGGAAAGGGGUUUAAUGGUCUCAGAAAAGAGAGAGAAGGGAGUGGUCCAGCUAGUCUAAGAGAAGGUCAACAGAGACAACGAAGAAGCAGUGACUACGAGCAGAUGCAACUUUUGAAAACAUGACAGCAACAGAGUACCAAUGCAAUGCAGAUGCAAUGCGCAUGAUGUGAUGAACGCAACAAAUAAAUAAAACAAACAACAACAACGAAAUAACUAGAAGGCUUCUGGAGCGUCGGUCUCAGGUCGUUACAACUCUCCUCCACUUACAAGAUAUCUCGCCCCGAGAUCUAGGGAUGACAAACGAAGAGGAGGAGAAGAGGUAAAACUAAGUUGCUUCUUUACCAAUAAGUGAAACCAAUGAAUCUUGAGUGGUUGAAAACUUGAAAGAAAGAAGACAACAGAGUUGACAGAAAACUUAGAAUUGAUCUCGCGAAUGGGUAAAAAGAUAGGAUUAGCCUGAAGAGAAGCACGCUGGUUGGAAAAGAAUUGACAUGACAAUCUCGAUAAACAAGAAGGAUUAGCAUCCACAUAGAAAUAUGAGAACACCACUUAGGGAAGGUAUGGAAUCAACACUUGACAUUGAAGCAACUCGACUACCACAAACCAAAACAAAACAAGGAUUUGACUUGCAGAAUAAGCCGGAACAAACACAUAUGAUAGAGAUUUACCCAAUCCCAUAUCAUGCAUCUGUCGGAAAUAUAUUCUAGGAGCUAAUUUAAUUCCCACCUAUUAUCUCCCAAAACUUUCUGGUUAUGCAAUCCGGUGUUGGGGAUACAGGGAGGCACAAUAUAUAUCACACAACUAACAAGCCCUACGCUCCACUGUAUCCAUCCUUCGACACAUAACCAAGAAAACUCCGAAAAUCAUGUACCUCAACCUUCGAAAAGCAUCCGUUAUACAAGUUGUGGCAAUACUCCCGAACUCCCUCCUCGGUACUAGGUGGCAUCGAGGUUAUCUCACCACUAACUGCAUAAAAGAGAUUUUCGAUGUUGGCAAGCUCAGGUAUGCCAGAACUGCAACGAUAAAAUUGUGACGACAACACCUCGGAGCUCAACUCCCCGGGACACUGCCACAACCCCUAAAUGUCAGGAGGCACCAAGAACAAUGUUCUUGUCACAAAAAUAUCGGAAUGAUCCCAAGAUACUCAUGUGAUCCUAAAAAAAUAUUUAGUGAAAAUGAGGAGAGGAAAGUCAAAACAACUACAUCAGGAGACCUCACCAGAGCGACGAAGGGGGCUGAGGAGUAAAAAGAAUCCUACUCUCCGAUAUAUAUAAUCCUAAGACUCAAAACAUUUUUGUUCUAGACUCAACAAUGGUAGCGGUUCGAUUAAUCAAGGGGUCUCCUCAGGUCGGUAAGGCUCUGAUACCAACUUGUAAUGCCCAAGAUGCGAUUCUAUCCCAAUCGCGUGAUGAAUUCAUGAUUGGGGCACAACCACAUUUCGAAUGCAUAGCAAGGUGGAUAUUAUUACAACAUACCAUGAACUGAAUAGAUGAGAAUACAAGAUAAAGUCUUACACUCGCCACAAAUUACAUCAUUCAUACAACAAUACAUCAAUACAUGGCAACCAUCAUACAAAAGAGCAGGAUCCGACUACGGAUGAAAUCAAUGAAAAAUAAGAACGACAUCCACCCUGCUAAUCCCAGGUUCCCCGACCCGGAACCAAUCCCUUGAUCUAAGAACAAGAAGCAGAAGAACUCCAAACAAGCAAGCAUCGCACUCGCAUCAUAUCAUCGCAUUACCUGUACCUGCAACUGUUGUUGUAGUAAUCUGUGAGCCAUGAAGACUCGGCAAUCCCAUUACCAUGGGUAUCAAGACUAGCAAAGCUUAAUGGGUAUGGAAGGGAUAAGUGGUGAGGUUGCAGCAAACGACUAAGCAAUAUAUGGUGGCUAACUUACGAGUACAAGAGUAAGAUGAGAAACUACGCAACGGUCGCAAACUAGUAAUGAUCAAGAAGUGAUCUUGAACUACUUACGUUCAAACAUAACCCAACCGUGUUCUCCUCUUGGACUUCCCCGAAAAGAGACAGUCAUGGUUACGCACGCGGUUGGUGUAUUUUAAUUGAGUUUAGUUCAAGUCCUCUACAACUAGAUAUUAACAAAUUCCCAUCUGCCACAUAACCGCGGGCACGGCUCUCAAAAGUUUAAACCCUACAGGGGUGUCCCAACUUAGCCCAUGACAAGCUCACGAUCCAUGGAGACAAUCCUCCAUCAUGGGACACCCGAUCAGACUCGGAAUCCCGGUGCACAAGACAUAUCGACAAUGGUAAAACUAGUGCAGCAAGACCUCCCGAUGCACCGACCUAGCCUGAUAGGAGUUGCGCGGUCUCGUUCUUAGGGUACACCAGAUGAGUGAAGCAUACAUGUAUAUACCAAAUACCCAAUGUUGCCAAGGGUCGGCCCUGCACGGUUAUCUAGUUUGGACCAAGACUCAUGUGGAGCACUGGCCCGGGUGUCGAAUUAAUUCCACGGGGGCCUGCAAGUCCCUAUGCAAGUUUUAGUUGUUAUUAGGCAAAUGGUAAAAUCAAUGUUGGGCCUUGCUGGAAGAGUUUUAUUCAAAGCAAACUGUCAAGAGGGUCCCAUACCCCUCAUCGUGUUAGGGACACAAAAUCAAGGAAUAUAACACCGGUAUGAUGGAAACUAGGGCGGCAAGAGUGGAACAAAACACCAGGCAUAAGGCCGAGCUUUCCACCCUUUACCAAGUAUAUAGAUGCAUUAAUUAAAUAAGAGAUAUUGUGAUAUCCCAUGAUAUCCAUGUCCCAACAUGGAACAACCUGCAACUACACCUGCAACUAGCAACACUAUAAGAGGGGCUGAGAAAAGCGGUAACAUAGCCAAACAACAGUUUGCUAGGAAAGGUGAAAAAGGUUAGAGGCAAUCAUGGAAAUUUGGGAGGCUUGGUGAACAAGUGGUAGGUAUCGCGACAUAGCGAUAGCAUCGAUACAACUAGCAUAGCAAAGAUAGUAGUGAGAUCCAAGGUGACAGUCAUCUUGCCUGAAAUCCUGCUAGGAAGAAGACCGAAUCCAUGAAGAAGAAGAAGAAGAAGAUGAACCAACGGAGUUGAACGGAUCCUCACAAUCGCAACAUAACCGGCAGGAGAAGCCGAACCGUAAAGAAGCAAACGACAUAGUAAACAAGCAAUCAUAACCAUGGAAUGAUGCACAAUCAAGUAUGAUGCAUGUCCAGUUUAAUGAGGCAUGGCAAAGUGCAACAAACAAAACUACAAAUUAAGUGGAGCUCAAUAUGUUGCAUAUUGACGAAACUCCACAUUUCAAUUGUUUAGUUCACUCUAGUUUAUGUACCCAACAAUAUUGAAUGUUGUUAAACAUGGUAAGAGGUGAAGCAUAACAAAACUAUCUAUCUAGGCUAGUUUAAAUGAGGCCGGAACAACAAGAAACAAUUUCGGAAAAUCCCCAUAUGCAUAUUUCAAUUUGGUACUAUUCUGCCCUAUACACAAUUUUAAUAUUUUUAAACAUGCAAAGUAAGUGCACCAAGGUAAAAUAUGCAUGUUUCCACCCCAUUUACAUAUAAAGUUUAUUAAAUUCAGAGCUACGGUUAUUUAGUUAUGAAAUAAAUCAUUUUAGCAAGUUAUUUAUGCAAAUUUAAUCAAACAACAAGUUAAACAUUUUAAACAUAGAUAAGAGCAGCAUAUUAUGAAAGUACAUAAAAACUAAACAUUUUACAUAUAUUAAACAUUUUAAACCGAUGCAUGGUUCGUGAGUUAUUAAAUGCAUGAAGCUUAGGGUGUUUUCUGUAAAUCUGGUAAACUCUCGAUAAAUGGACAAAUUCGCACCACAUAGAAAAAAAACUAUGGGCUGAAACUACACAGGCUGGGCCUACAAAGGGGGCUACGGGGAAGCUCACCCAUGGGCUUUGGCCCAAGGCGGUGGAGAGGAAGCCGGGCAGGCCGGGAGAGGGGGUGCUUGGGCCGGCCUUGUUGCAUGCCUGGCAUGGGAUCCAGCCCAUGUCGGCGCCUUGCUCGCUCGCCCGCUCGAAGUAGGGGCAUGGCGCCGCGCAGUAGAGGGUGCAGAAGUUCGGCCGGGACGCGAUCCGACAAGGGGACGACGAGGAACGGUAGAACAGAGCGGCACGGAGUGGAUCUAGACGGUGGGGUCGAGCAGGACGACGGCGGCUCAGCUCCAGCAACUCCGGUUGGUGGUGAGUUGAACUCCUAUGCAGAGAAAUAGAGAGGAGAGAUCGUGAGGGAGAGAGGGAACCGGAGGGAAGGGAAGAAACGGGGGAAGGAGAUGGCUGGGUGGCACGGCCUGGUGGUCCUAGUGGUUGAGAGGACUUGGCGGCAUCGCAUCAGGGACCGAGCAGGAGCUUAGGGAUGAGCAUGAGGAGCUCGGGACGGACGCGUUCCUUGGGCACGCGAUGAGGAGGGAGCACAGGGAGGCGAGGCGGCUCCUUCGAAGAAGGUGGCAAGGUGAGGAAGGGCUUCGGCGUCGUUGGUUCUUGGGGCGGCACGGAUCAGAAGCAGAGGCGGGCUCCAAAUCCAUGGCGGGGACGGUAGGCGUCGGGCAGAGGAGGAGCUCCUACUGGAUGGCGUCAUGGCUGCUGCCUAGGUUCCUGGACAGAGAGAUAGGAAAUGAGAGAGGAGGUGGAGCACGGGAAGGAGGAGGAAGGACAGGGAGGAGCCGGUCCUGGUCGUGGCCGCCGACGGCGCGGUCGCCGGAGGGUGCGGCCUACAGGGUCGGCGAGGCUUGGGCGCGAGGGCUCCUGCUAGAUGAAGGAGGAGGUAGGGGACUUGGCUGUGGGUUGGUGGGGAGAGAUCGAGAGGUGGUUGGCUAAUUGGGGAAAUCAAGGGAGGUGGUGGAUCGGCUGCUGGAUCGGGAUGGAUCCGAAGGAAGAGAGAAGGCGGGUAGGUGGCGGCGGGUAGGAGGAUGGAUGGGACAUCUCCCCUACAAACUAGGGUUAGGCUGAUUAUAUAGUAGGUGGAAUUUAGGUAGGAGCUAUCUAGGUCCCUCCGAUUGUAAUCGGACGGUCCGAGAUAAAUAGGUUAGGAGAGUCCAACGAGAAACCGAUGAUGAUUUAGGGAUGUUUGGGGACGAUCCGAAUCCAAUGGUCAUGACUGCCCGGGUUGGGUCUGGGAAGUUUUGGACACGCACGCAAAGGGGGUUAGGCGGUCACGGUCAAGAGGGAAGCAAAAACCUGAUUGGUCUGGAACGGUCAACGAAGGCAAGGGGUUUAAUGGGCUUAGAAAAGAGAGAGAAGAGGGCGGUCCGGCUGGUCUAAGAGAAGGUCAAUAAAGACAACAAAGAAGCGGUGACUACGAGCGAAUGCAACUUUUGAAAACAUGACGGCAACGGAUUACCAAUGCAAUGCAGAUGCAGUGCGCAUGAUUGAUGAACGCAACAAAUAAAUAAAACACACAACAACAACGAAAUAACUGGAAGGCUUCUGGAGCAUCGGUCUCGGGUCGUUACAAGUUGGAUAGCCAAGAUGAUGCAACCAGACAAGCUUGCGCCCAUGUUUUCAAGUCUGCUCUGUGACAGUAUCGGUAUAACUUGAGGAAAACUCAGUUUAAGCCAAGGCUAAUAGAGAACUUGCCCAAACAUAUCCAGUGGAAAAUAUAUCGGAUGAAGACUGGAGAGGCCUCAUUAAACACUGGUUGAUCCAAAGUAUCAGGUACAUUAUAUAUAUGUGAUAAAAUCACAUGUUGAAGUCCUAUUUACGCAUGUGCCUCACAAAUCUAUCUUCUUGUAGGUGAACUGUUGAAAGAAUAAGGCCAACCGUAUGAAAGUGAAAUUCCAACAGAUGACAGGGUCUCGUAGCUAUAUUGCACACUGCGAGGCUCUUGUAAUUAGCUGUUGUUUCACUCUUUUCGUUGUAACAUAUUAUCAGAUCUAUAUUGACUUGUUCGAAAUGCAGAGGAAAGCCCACAUGGACCAAAAAUUACCUGAAUCAAAUGUUGUGGAAAUCUUCAAGGACUGUCACACCAGCAAGACGAACGACAUGACUACACCAGUCAAAGCCGCUGUUGUAAGUCCUUAAUCCUCAUGCCUUUUAACUACUACUUACUCUGACUUGUGCCUUGAACUGCAUGGUUAGCAGCCAAUGUCUAUUACUCUUUUCAAUUUUAUACACAAUUGUUUUAGCGUAUCAUUGCACCUUACAAGGUUUAAAAGAGAGGAGUGAUGUUCCUUUGAUGUUGAUCUAUAAUCUAGUUAUGUGCUGGACUUGACCACACAACGUUAUAAUUGCCUGUUUGUCUGUUCUUGGUUGUUUUGUGAUAUGAAUGAUGUCAUACUAUGCUUACUGUAUUAUAAAUUUUGUCCCUUUAUUCUUAGUUGUCAAUACAAUGUGAAGAAAGAGACAAUACAUUAGCCAUGGUACAUGGUCAUAUGUUUGGAACCUGGUUUUAUUAUGUACUUUGCAGUAAGAUACAACUAAUAUUUUGCAUGGGUUCACCAGAAUAAGUUCUGUAUAUAGACCAAAGCUAUUUUAUUUGGUUUUGAUGCCUCCUUAAUAUCUUCUGUUCUGGUACUACUAAUGUAAAAACUCAUCUUUUCACCAAGCUAUGGAAAAAAUGGUGGAACCGCCACCUUCUGAAGAUGGCGAGGCAACUAUAACCGCAAUGUCAUCUCUGGCUGCAGUGGGUCGGUACUUAUCCACUAACAGUGCUAAAAGCACGUUCCUGCGUAAUACUGGGUUGGUUGUUAAGGCAAUCUCGUCAAAACUGCCUCAUGAUCAAGAUAUGCAAGCUCAAAACAAUGUUAUAUCUGCGCUCCAGACACAAGUCAAUUCCCUAACAGAGACUGUUUGUGAAACAAGGACAGACAUUGUUCGAUGUCAUCAAGAUAUGCAUGGUUUUAAAACUAGACUAUCAGACAUUUGCUAUGUUGUUCAGGAGCCUAGAAGAAAUGAAGGCGAAGGUUAUGGUGCUCCAUCGGACAAUACAUCAUGAAAACGUAACAAUCAGGUCAAAUGAACUGAGCUUCUGAACUUCUGGUGGUGCAUUUGUUUGCCAGACUGUUAACUUUUAUGCCAACCUUACUUUUGUUUUAUAGUUGUAAUUUUUUUUGUUGCGAUACAAAAUUUGUUCUUAAUGUGCAGUCACCGGCUGAAGAAAUAGCAAGCCAUUUUUGUAUAGUGUAGGGUGUUCCCUAUAUUUGCACUGGUGGCGAUCUUUGAUGCCCAGUUGAUGUAAUCUGUGCAAUCGCCCUGAUAGCCUAGCGUUAGUUUCGGGCUUCUUUAUUUCCUAGUCUUCUUUUUCCCUGGUUUGCUAGUGGCCGCAACAACCAUGGGCCAUAUAUGGACUGUGGUAACCUUGACCCUGCUACAGGUCGUAGGAUCCUUGGGCCUCCUACGGGCCGUCGAUAAAUGGGCCUCCAAGAGGGCCGUAGAAUCGGUGGGCCUCGGGCCGUCAUAUAAAUGGGCCUACAUGGGUCAUAAACGGGCGUAAUUGGUAUCGGCCCAGGACGGUAAUGGGCCAUUAACAGGCCAGAGGAUAGCAAAGGCUUAAUUCUGUCACAGGAAUAACAGUCGUUAAUGGGCCAGAAUAUGGGACGGGCUGGAAAUGGCGCAACGGGUUAACAGGCCACAAACGAGCCGACUCUUGCCACGGGCUGAAUUGGACCCAUUAGGGGAACAUGCCAGUAAUGGGCCAUAAGUAAUCAAGGGCCGGAAAGGAGCCCAAGAACGUAUGGGCCAUCAGUAGGCCGAAAGCUAACACGGGCUGGAAACGGCCCACGUGAAUCAUGUGUCGUUAAUGGGUACAAAGAAAUUUACUGUUCAUUAUGGGCUAGAGUCACCGUGGGCCUCUAAAGGGCUUAAAGAUACAAAAGGCCUCAUAUGGGCCAAAAGACAUCGUGGGCUAUGAGGGAGUCCUAUAUUAGGGGGACCCCGGGCGUCUAGGACUCAUGACGUGGGAUGGACUGCUGGGCUGUGAAGAUACAAGAUAGAAGUCUUCCCCCCAUGUCCGGAUAGGACUCUCCUUUGCGUGUGUGGCAAGCUUGACGUCCGGAUGUAUGGUUUCCUUCCCCUGUAAACCGACUCUGUACAACCCUAGGGCUCUCCUGUGUCUAUAUAAACCAGAGGGUUUAGUCCGUAGAGGCAACAAUAAUCAUACAUGCUAGACAUCUAGGGUUUAGCCAUUACGAUCUCGUGGUAGAUCAACUCUUGUAACCCCUAUACUCAUCAAAGUCAAUCAAGCAGGACAUAGGGUUUUACCUCCAUCAAGAGGGCCCGAACAUGGGUAAACAUCAUCUCCCCUGCCUCAUCUUACCUUCGAUCCUUAGACGCACAGUUCGGGACCCCCUACCCGAGAUCUGCCGGUUUGGACACUGACAUUGGUGCUUUCAUUGAGACUUCCUCCAUGUUGUCAAUAGAAGGAUCGACGGCUUGCCUCUUCAUUAAUGAAGAAAUCACAUCUGGACAAGCCCUAGCUCCUGGGCGGAUCCUCCAGAUUGGCAAUUUUGCCAUAGGCGCCUGCCCGGCCAUCAAGUCCAAGGCGGUCCCUCGGAUUGCCAAAAAUCAACUCCGCAUUAACCCCGAAAGCAUCGAUAAGAUGGAUCCCGCAGAUGUUUCGUCUUUAAGCGAACUGCCAGAUCGCAUCGCCGCCCUGGGGGUCGCAACGGAUUAUGACCUAAUUGGGCUUAAACCCGAUCAGAGGGAAAUCGGGUCUCCACCUGUGACCCACCUGGUGACUAUUGUGGAAGAACAAGUUGAGGAUACCGCUCCUCCUAUGCUAAAAACAAACUAUGUUCGGAUCUCUGAGCCCUAUGAGCCGGAGACUCAUCUUCAAGAAGGGACUAUCUGUCUCUCGAACAUAGAAUCUGGCACUGAUUCUAAAAAAACCCCGGACACUUCGGGCCCUGGGCCAAUGAUCUCAGACAAUUUUCAAAAUCCAGAUUCCACAAUGGGUCAAGGUUCAGAUUCAAGCCCACCCACCCACCACAAUCAAUACUCUCCAAGCAAUUCCGGUCCCCCGGCUAUACGCGAUUUAAUGUAUAUAUGACAGCAACCUCUGGAAACAGUCCAUCACUUUUGGGCUAGAUUCCUACUUGUUAAAAACAAGAUCAAAGAUUGCGGCGACAACUAUGCGGUAUCAGUCUUUUGCCGCAACUGCACAGACGAGGGCAUCCUCAACGCCCUCAAUCGACGCCGCAUUCCACACUUUGCAGAUUUGGCACACAUAGUAUAGAAGUACUGCGCAAUGGAAAGUGCUUGGAAAGCCCAGACGACUCGGUGGGAGCCACCGGCCUUUAAGCCACCCACCGGCCGAACAAAAAGGAUGCACCCUUAUGGGGCACCUGAUCAUUCUUCCACGUAAAGAACAAUUCAGCCCUUACCGGGACACAGAACCGUCCUUGAUGGAUGGCUCGACAAGCCCUGUCAGAUACACGCGAUGCCAAACUCCGAGCCAACUCAUAACCUUCGGGCAUGUUGGAUACUAUGGCAGGUGGCUAAAAAUGGGGGGGCUAUCCUCGCCAACACUACUCGUACAAGGCAUUCCCCCGAGGAUAAUGACCUUGGCGUGUUUACGGUCUUCAAGACCUUCUCUUCAAACAACCGGUCCAAAAGGGCGCUCCGCAACCUCGCCGAAGUCAAUCACGUAGCCACAAUAAAUCCUUGGAAUGAUAUGGCGAUAACCUUCAACGCCAAUGACGAGCCAAGGGACCGAUCAGUCCGAGCACCAGCCGCUUUGGUUCUAAACCCAAUUGUAGACGGCUUUCGCCUCACUAAAGUGCUCAUGGACGGCGGCAGCAGACUGAACCUCAUCUAUGAAGACACACUCAAUAAAAUGCAGAUGGACAGGAGUCGCAUUAAGCAAAGCAAUACAUCCUUUCGAGGAAUCAUCCCCAGUCGGGAAGCAAGAUGCUCAGAGAAAAUUAAACUAGAUGUGGUAUUCGCCAUAGUGGAGAAUUAUAGGUCUGAAGAGAUAAUCUUCCAGGUGGCCCCUUUCAACAGCGGAUAUCAUGCCCUGUUAGGGCGGGAUGCAUUCACACGCUUUCAAGCCAUACCUCAUUAUGGGUACAUGAAGCUCAAAAUGCCCGGGCCCAAUGGUGUUAUAACUAUCUCCGGUGAUCCGGACAUAGCACUCCGCGCCGAAAAAUAAACCGCAUCCCUAGCCCUUGAGACACUGAGCAAAGCCCUGGCGGCCGAGGAGCUCACCGCUCUACAUUCCACGAUGGAUAAAGAUGAUGUAAUUCUUGAUAAAAGGCCUAAAUCCAGUUCUUUCAAGCCAACGGAUAAGAUAGUCAAAUUUCAAAUUCACCCAACUGACCCCAAGAAGACAGCUUCCAUGGGGGCACAGCUGGAUCCGGCGGUCGACGCCGCAUUCACUACAAAAAAUACACUUCCAUGAUGAUAUGUGUUUGUCACAGUAGGUCGCAUUUUUUGUCAUGCAUGUACAUCCAUGACAAAUUUAUGACAGAAUCAAGAUAGUCAUACCUGUGCUAUUGUAGAAGUGUUCCAUGACAUUACCAAAAUUAUCAUCACGGAAGUGUCCACUUCCAUGACGAUAAAUCGCGCGUCACAGAAGUGCUUUCGUCAAGGGUGACUGACACAUGACAUCCACCGUAACGGAAUGCCGUUAAGCUAUCGGCUCAGAUUUUGGAUCCGAUAACCCGUUAACAGCCCCGACCAAUGGGGAUUUUCCACGCGUAAAAUCAUCAUUGGCUGGAGGAGACACGUGUCAGGACCGCGCUGGCACAAGUGUCACUCAUCCAAUGCGUGAGACGCGCCUAUGAUAUGUUGACACAUGGACCGGCCCAUCAAGUUUAAAUGGGUCGGCCCAACUGAAGGCCCACAAGAUUUUGCGGACCCUAAUGGGCCGGCCCAGCUAAAGGCCCACGAGAUUUUGCAGACCAUAAUGGGCUGGCCCAGCUAAAGGCCCACAAGAUUUUGCGGGCCAUAAUGGGCCGGCCCAGGUAAAGGCCUACAAGAUUUUUGUGUGCCAUAAUGGGCCGGCCCAGGUAAAGGCCCACAAGAUUCUUGCGGAUCAUAAUGGGCCGGCCCAGCUAAAGGCCCACGAGAUUUCAUCAACAUUAAUCGGCCGACCCAGCUGUAGGCCCACAAGAUUUUGAGGACCCUAGUAGGCCGGCCCAUUAACUGGCUGCCAUGUUUUGGGCCAAAUGCCGGCCCAUAUUUAAUCCGGUCCAUUAAUGGCCUGCCACACUCCGGGCCUAAUAGUGGCCCAUAUGAGAUCCGUCCCGUUAAAAGCCUACCAUGUUCUGGGCCAAAUUACGGCCCAGAUCAGGUCCGACCCUUUAAGAGGCUUUGGGCUCAAUUAUGGCCCAUAUCAGAUUCAGCCCGUCAACUGGACACUAUGCUUUUGGGCCCACUUGCUAAAGGCCCACUUAGUAAUUCGGCCUGAUAUUAGUUUUGGCCUGUUAAGGGCCCGUUUAACAUUUCGGCCCUAUAUUAAUUUCGGCCUGUUAAAAGCCCGUCAUAUAGUUGGGCCUAACUACGGCCCGGUUUGCAUCCGGCCUGCUCGCAGCCGAUAUCUGAUUGGGCCAAACAAGGACCGAGACAAUUUUGGCCUGUUAAAAGCCCGUGAUUUGAUUCGCACAAUCAUGGGCCGGGGUUCAUUUCGGGCUGCUACCGGCUCGUGAGCUGUUCGGCACGUUUCAGGCCCAACCUACAUCGUGAUUGCAGGAUGGCCCGAUUAUGUAUCGUAAUUUUACGGUUUGGCCGGUUUACUGCGAAGACAUGAUAUAUAUAUAUAGUAAAAUAACUACAACAUCAUGAAUAAGAAAAAACCUAGACUAUACAAUAAAGAAAUUACAGCAUAUUACAUCCAAUGGGAAUCAAAGUUUGCCACUAUGAUAAUGAAGCACAAGCAGAUAGCAGAUUACAUACACUGGGCAUCAAAGAUCGCCACCAGUACAAAUAAACACGCCGACAAAAUAAUAUACAAAACCGAGAGCACUUCAAUAGAGUUCAAGAAAGGUUAGCCCUGCUGGGGAGCUGCAGCACAAGCAGCUGAGCAAGAUGAUGAGACUGUGCUUGUCCAACACUUAUAUCUUCCCCACUAUGAAAGAUAAACAAGCAGACAGAUGACAGGUUUUGCACAUAAAAGUAUCAGUGCUAACAAUUCAUCACAUUUCUUACUGACGAAUAAAGUGACACAGUUUAAAAUUGCAUUAACACAAUAUGGUAUUAUUCAGGUCAAGACAUGGCAGGAAAUUACAUUGUGAAGGAGUUGGCAGCUUCACGACACCACUGGAUUACAGAUCAAGAACUCAUAAGUAUCAAUGGUUAGUGUGUUGUCAAUUUAUACCAUUUCAGAUUGGAAAAUAAAGAGAUGGUUUAAAUAAUAGUAGAAUGAUAUGACAUUGUUCAUAGUUAAGACAUUGCAAAAUAUGACAUUGUGCUGUAGUGGGUAGGUUCACCACACCACUGGAUUACGGAUGAAGAACAGAAGCAUACAUGCAGUGCAAAAGAAGAUCACUUGCUAUGUAUAGUUUAAUUUACAUGGUAUGAAGAAGGAACUUGGUUGUACAACUGAAAACUUAAAUUGAGAAAGGACAAACUUUUGUUUAUGAACUGCAUAAUAAACUUUAAACAAGCAAUUUGAUGCAAACACCAAAAAUAAACAGCUGUUGCAGUCAUGCCUAACCAAAUAUAUACAACAAAGUUUGAAGGCUUGAGAUGGAAAAACUUACAUUAUUGGUGAAGACAGGCUCUAUAAAGGCCUUGUCCAUGCUGAUGGGGGGGUAAUUCAAGAAGUUUACCACAGAAUCUUCUUCAAAAGCAUUGCAUUUAUUCUACAUUUUUGUUAAGAGUAAAUAUAGAUGUGAUAAUAUACGGAAAAAAAUGGAGAAUAUUUAAGAUAAGAUGAAGAGUGAUGCUACAUAACCAAGUAGCUAUAAAUGUAAGUGCAACGAUACAGGCAAAAGGUACAAGCAAGAGCAAUGCACAGCUAAACUUCUUCAGUGCCAACCUUAUGGUAAGAGUAAAGGAAAAUAAGCUGCAGAGUGAUGGUACAUGAACAACUACCUGUCAUUAUAAGUACACUGAUAAAGGACAGCAUGUACUUACAAGAACAAUGCAGAGCUAAAAAAACAUUGGCAUUGGAUAUAUUCUACACUAAUGUAACCAUUCAUACAGAUCAGAUAAUUUGGAGCGAACAAUUGAUAAGCAAGCUAUCAUGCAUACUGUUGUCACAUAAUGAACCAGGUAUGUAUGCAAGUACAGUGAUACAGGACAUCAGGUACUAACAAGAGCAAAGCAGCAGGCAGCAUAUUUGUGAUAUCUUGUCGUUCUUGUCAAACCGGAAUUCUUCUUCGAGCAGAUUUCCUGCAAAAAAGAUCCGUAAGGCACAUGCGGAAAAGUAGAAGUUCAAAUUGUCAUGUGAUUUCAUAGACAGUACCUCAUCCUGGGAAUGAGACCAGUGCAUAACAAGGUUUUUCCAUUCAAUGUCUUCUAAAUUUAGCACAUGAGACUUCACCGGAAAUUCGUUUAUAGACUUGCCAUCAAAGUGUGAUUUCCUCAGGUAACACCGAUACUGCUGCAAUGCUUCCUUGAAAAGCACAAGCAAGCUUUGCUCGUCAUGACUAUCCAGAUUGACCCUCGCCUAGUUACAACAAUGUAAUGUAAAUCAUUGAUGUGUUCAAUCAGCGGAAAACAUGAAAAUAAUAACCAUGAAUAAUAGCACUUACACGUAAGUUGGACAAGAAGAUGUGAAAAUGGUGUUUGUCUUCACAAUAAUCUUCCCAUGAUGGGAAUAUAUGCAUGUAGUCCCUAACAACAUUGAAAGCAUUGUCUUUUAAACUAGGAAUAAAUGGAAUGGGGUUCCAAUCUACAUGAAUUGGCAGUCUAUGCAGUUGGGAUAGGUCUUCGGCCAGUGGACUUGCUGUACUUUUUGCUGGAGUGGGAUUUUUCUAUGGUACAGCUGGUGCUAUGGCAAAUGAAAUUGGUAUACCUUUUGCUGGAGUGCAGGUCCUGUUUGGUGGGGCUAGUGGUGUGGCCAGUGAAGUAUGGGUACAGUCUGCUGGAGUCGGUCCUACUUUUUGUGCCGCUGGUUGUACAACUAAUAUAAGUGGGGUGCUGUAUGAUUUCUCCGGCACCACCAUGUUUUUCAAGGACUUUGCUGGUGCUCCUUCAGGUUCGGCAAUCACCCUCUUCCUUUUUGAUGUCUGAUGCACAAGAACAACAUUUGAGUGGAAAAACAUGGUAUGAUGACAGAUGGAAUAUGUAUUGAUAAUGGAUGGGCAUGGCAUCUCGACAUAUAUGAUGAGUAAACUAAGCAGAUGGCGGUGCAACAAAGUAGAAGAAAUGCAAGACAACAUAUGCAAGAUACCCACAAUCAAUAAAACAUUGCCAAAUUAGAACAGGCACCUUGAUGGGUGAACUGGACAGGCCAUCUGCCUUUGACUCCUUGAGGUUAGAAUAGUCAUUAGGAUCAUAUUCUGAACAAGAAUCAACAGAUGGGGAGCGUAUGAGUUUCAUUGCAUCUAGAAUGGCACUCAAUGCCUUGGUGCCAAUUUUGUAAGUCAUUGCAGUGUUUAGUGAUGACCCACAAGUAUAGGGGAUCUAUCGUAGUCCUUUCGAUAAGAGAGAGUGUCGAACCCAACGAGGAGCAGAAGGAAAUGAUAAAUGGUUUUCAGCAAGGUAUUCUCUGCAAGUACUGAAAUAAGUGGUAACAGAUAGUUUUGUAAUGAGAUAAUUUGUAACGAGCAACAAGUAACAAAAGUGAAUAAAGUGCAGCAAGGUGGCCCAAUCCUUUUUGUAGCAAAGGACAAGCCUGGACAAACUCUUAUAUAAGGAAAAGCGCUCCUGAGGACACAUGGGAAUAUCGUCAAGCUAGUUUUCAUCACGUUCAUAUGAUCCGCGUUCGGUACCUUGAUAAUUUGAUAUGUGGGUGGACCGGUGCUUGGGUGUUGUUCUUACUUGAACAAGCAUCCCACUUAUGAUUAACCUCUAUUGCAAGCAUCCGCAACUACAAAAAAAGUAUUAAGGUAAACCUAACCAUAGCAUGAAACAUAUGGAUCCAAAUCAGCCCUUAAGAAGCAACGCAUAAACUAGGGUUUAAGCUUCUGUCACUCUACCAACCCAUCAUCUACUUAUUACUUCCCAAUGCCUUACUCUAGGCCCAAAUAAUGGUGAAGUGUUAUGUAGUAGACAUUCACAUAACACCACUAGAGGCUAGACAACAUACAUCUCAUCAAAAUAUUGAACGAAUACCAAAUUCACAUGACUACUAAUAGCAAGACUUCUCCCUUGUCCUCGGGAACAAACGUAACUACUCACAAAGCAUAAACAUGUUCAUAAUCAGAGGGGUAUUAAUAUGCAUAAAGGAUCUGAACAUAUGAUCUUCCACCAAUUAACCAACUAGCAUCAACUACAAGGAGUAAUUAACACUACUAGCAACCUACUAGCACCAAUCCCGAACUUGAAGACAAGAAUUGGAUACAAGAGAUGAACUAGGGUUUUGAGAUGAGAUGGUGCUGAUGAAGAUGUUGAUGGAGAUUGCCCUCUCCCAAUGAGAGGAGCAUUGGUGAUGAUGAUGGAGAUGAUUCCCCCCUCCGUGAGGGAAGUUUCCCCGGCAGAACAGCUCUGCCGGAGCUCUAGAUUGGAUCCGCCAAGGUUCCGCCUCAUGGCGGUGGAUUUUCAUCCCGGAAGGUUGCUUCUUCUUUUUUUUCUCGACAAAAGACUUCAUAUAGGAGAAGAUGGUCCUCGGAGAGCCACCAGGGGGCCCACGAGGCAGGGGGGCGCGCCCUAGGGGGCGCCCCCACCCUCAUGAGAAGGGUGUGGGCCCCCUGGUCUUCAUCUUUGGCGAGGAUUUUUCAUUAUUUAUUCUAAGGUGUUCUGUGGAGUUUCAGGACUUUUGGAGUUGUGCAGAAUAGGUCUCUAAUAUUUGCUCCUUUUCCAGCCCAGAAUUCCAACUGCCGACAUUCUCCCUCCUUAUGUAAACCUUGUAAAAUAAGAGAGAAUAGCCAUAAGUAUUGUGACAUAAUGUGAAAUAAUAGCCCAUAAUGCAAUAAAUAUCGAUAUAAAAGCAUGAUGCAAAAUGGACGUAUCAACUCCCCCAAGCUUAGACCUCGCUUGUCCUCAAGCGAAAAGCCGAAAUCAAAAAAUAUGUCCAGAUGUUUAGACAUGAAGGUGUGGAUACAAAUAAAAUACGGACAUGAGGGCAUCAUGAUCAUUCUUAUAACAGCAACUUAUAUAUUUUGUGUCAUAUGAUCUCUAAUGCUAGAGUAAUAAUUCAACCACAAUAUCAGGUAUGAAUCAUAAACUUCAUUGAAAACUAAGAAACUACAAUCUCGGUCAUUGAAGCAAUUGCAAUUUAUCAUAACAUAGGAAAGAGUCAAUGUAUAAGAGCUUUUCAGCAAGUCCAUAUACUCAACUAUCAUAUAAUCUUUCACAAUUGCUGACACUCGCGCAAUACUUAUGGGUAUGGAGUUUUAAUCGGACACAGGGAAAGAUAGGGGCUUAUAGUCUUGCCUCCCAACGUUUUACCUCAAGGGUAAUGUCAAUAGUAAUAGUUCAUGAAAACUCACAUCCAAUUAGCCAUAUAUACCAGGAUCUUUCCAACAUACUGUGCUUGCCAAAUGAUAAAGUGUAAAAAGGAAGGGUGAAAAUCACCAUGACUCUUGCAUAAGGUAGAAGAUAAUGAUUAAAGAUAGGCCCUUCGCAGAGGGAAGUAGAGGUUGCCAUGCGCUUUUAUGGUUGGAUGCACAAAAUCUUAAUGCGAAAGAACAUCACUUUAUAUUGCCCCUUGUGAUAUGAACCUUUAUUAUGCAGUCCGUCGCUUUUAUUACUUCCACAUCACAAGAUCGUAUAAAGCUUAUUUCUCCCACACCAAUCAAUCAUACAUAUUUAGAGAGCAAUUUUUAUUGCUUUGCACCGAUGACAACUUACUUGAAGGAUCUUAUUCAAUCCAUAGGUAGAUAUGGUGGACUCUCAUGGCAAAACUGGUUUAAGGGUAUUUGGAAGCACAAGUAGUAUCUCUACUUGGUGCAAUGAAUUUGGCUAGCAUGAGGGGGAAAGGCAAGCUCAACAUGUUGGAAGAUCCAAGACAAUAUAAUUUAUCUCAGAUGUAAGAAAACAUCACCCAUUACGUUGUCUUCCUUGUCCAAUGUGAACUCUUUAGCAUGUCAUAUUUUAAUGAGUGCUCACAAUCAUAAAAGAUGUCCAAGAUAGUAUAUCUAUAUGUGAAGACCUCUCUUUCUUUAUUACUUCCUAUUAAUUGCAACGAUGACCAAAACUAUGCUUGUCAACUCUCAACAACUUUUAUUCAUCAUACUUUUUCUAUGUGAGCUCAUUACUCUCGAUGGGAUCCAUAUGAUCUCUUUGUUUCUUUUUAUUUCUUUCUCUUUUCUUUUAUUCACUUAGGAUAAUGGCAAAACAAUCAAGCCCUUGAAUCAACACUAAUCUUUAUUAUAUAGCUCACGGACUCGAUUACAUAGAAGGAUAAUGAAGCAAAACACACAACUAGAUCAUGCCGCAAACAUUAUUCUACUAGAUCAAAAUACUACUAAUAAGAUCAAACUAAGGAAAACGGUAAAGAUAGGAGUUGUGAUAUGAUACCGGGGCACCUCCCCCAAGCUUGGCGGUUGCCAAGGGGGGUGCCCAUACCCAUGUUAUUAUAUCUCCUUGGUUGGUGAAGAAGGUGGAGGUUUUGUUGAUGAUGGAUAGUCGCACAUCGAGCGUAGGAGGUCUUCUAACUUGUGGAUAAUGCCCUUGAGUGCAAGGAUAUGCUCCUUCAACAAAAUAUUUUCACGUGUGAGAUACUUAUUUUGUAUACGAGCCAACACAAUCAUCUUGAAAGCUUUGAUUUCUGUAGGGGUAAGAAGAUUAUGAUCCAGUUGAAGGGUGUCUUCUGUUGCUGGGACUUGGUCCUCCAUGGCCUUCUUGAUCCCUUCAUCCUUAUUGAUCUCCAUAGGUUCUUCUCUCUUUAGCUCUAUCUUCAUUAGCCAAGCAUCAUUGCCCUCAUGGUUGGAGGAGGAGGGAGACGAUAUAGUGCCUGGUCUUGAAAACCCUGACAGAAAAUAGCUCUAAAGAAAGACAGGAGAUUUUUGCGUGACACGGGAGUCAAAACCCCCGGAAGAUUAUAUAAUGAAUUUUUACCGACCAAAAUACGUAUCGUGCAAGAAAAUGGAGUCCGGAAGGCACACGAGGAGCUCACGAGGUAGGGGGCGCGCCCUAGGGGGCGCCCUCCACCCUCAUGAGGCCCUCGUGUCCUUCCCGGACUGCUACUUAAUUUUCUAUUUUUCUAAAUAUUCCAAAACGGAGAAAUAUUGCCUUAAAAAUUCUUUUGGAGUCGGUGUACUUACUGUACCACACACCUAUUCCUUUUCGGAGUCUGAAACGUUCUGGAAAGUGUCCCUUAUGUAUUCCUCCGAGGUUACGGUUUCAAUAAUAUUGGUUUCAACAUUUAUGGGAUUACCUGAAAUAUAAUGUUUGAUUCUUUGACCGUCUACCACCUUCGUAUUUGUGCCUUCGAAGUUGUUGAUUUUUAUGGCACCGGAACGAUAGACCUCCUCGAUAACAUAGGGGCCUUCCCAUUUAGAGAGAGGUUUCCCUGCAAAAAAAUCUUAAAUGAGAGUUGUAUAGCAAUACAUAAUCACCUACAUUAAACUCACGCUUUUGUAUCCUUUUGUCAUGCCAUCUUUUAACUUUUUCUUUAAACAACUUGGCAUUUUCAUAAGCUUGGGUUCUCCAUUCAUCAAGUGAGCUAAUAUCAAAUAACCUCUUUUCACCGGCAAGUUUGAAAUCAUAGUUGAGCUCUUUAAUAGCCCAAUAUGCCUUAUGUUCUAGUUCGAGAGGUAAGUGACAUGCUUUUCCAUAUACCAUUUUAUACGGAGACAUACCCAUAGGAUUUUUAUAUGCAGUUCUAUAGGCCCAUAAUGCAUCAUCAAGUUUCUUGGACCAAUUCUUUCUAGACCUAUUGAUAGUCUUUUGCAGAAUUAAUUUGAGUUCUCUAUUACUCAAUUCUACUUGACCACUAGACUGUGGGUGAUACGGAGAUGCAAUUCUAUGAUUUACGUCAUAUUUAGCAAGCAUUUUACGGAAAGCACCAUGAAUAAAAUGUGAACCACCAUCAGUCAUUAAAUAUCUAGGGACUCCGAACCUCGGAAAAAUAACUUCUUUAAGCAUUUUAAUAGAAGUGUUAUGAUCAGCACUACUAGUUGGAAUAGCUUCUACCCACUUAGUAACGUAAUCAACAACAACUAAAAUAUGUGUAUAUCCAUUAGAGGCUGGAAAAGGUCCCAUAUAAUCAAAGCCCCAAACAUCAAAUGGUUCAAUAACAAGUGAAUAAUUCAUAGGCAUUUCUUGACGUCUACUAAUAUUACCAAUUCUUUGACAUUCAUCACAAGAUAGGACAAACUUACGGGCAUCCUUGAAAAGAGUAGGCCAAUAAAAACCGGAUUGCAAUACCUUAUGUGCAGUUCUAUCUCCCGCUUGGUGUCCUCCAUAAGUUUCGGAGUGGCACUUGCGUAGGAUCUGUUCCUGUUCAUGCUCAGGUACACAACGUCUAAUAACACCAUCUACUCCUUCUUUAUAAAGAUGUGGGUCAUCCCAAAAGUAAUGUAUCAAAUCAUAGAAGAACUUUUUCUUUUGUUGUUAUGUGAAGCUAGGUGGUAUAAAUUUAGCAACUAUGUAAGUAGCAUAAUCAGCAUACCAAGGGGUACUACGAGAAGUACUUAUGACAUUUAAUUGUUCAUCAGGAAAACUAUCAUCAAUAGGUAGUGGGUCAUGAAGAACAUUCUGUAACCUAGAUAAGUUGUCUGCAACGGGGUUUUCAGCUCCUUUUCUAUCAACAAUAUGCAAAUCAAAUUCUUGUAGCAAGAGAACCCAUCUAAUAAGUCUAGGUUUAGCAUCUUUAUUUUCCAUAAGAUAUUUAAUAGCAGCAUGAUCAGUGUGGAUAGUUACUUUAGAAUCAACAAUAUAAGGUCUGAACUUAUCACAAGCAAAUACAACUGCUAAAAGUUCUUUUUUAGUAGUAGCAUAAUUUCUUUGAGCAUUAUCUAGAGUCUUACUAGCAUAAUGGAUACCUUUUAGUUUCUUAUCAACUCUUUGCCCUAGAACAACACCUACAGUAUAAUCACUAGCAUCACACAUAAUUUCAAAGGGUAAAUUCCAAUCAGGUGGCUGAACAAUAGGUGCGGAGACUAAUGCUUUCCUAAGUAUUUCAAAUGCUUCUACACAAUCAUCAUCAAAGACAAAUGGUAUAUCUUUUUGUAAUAAAUUAGUCAGAGGCCGAGAAAUUUUUGAGAAGUCCUUGAUGAACCUCCUAUAAAAUCCGGCGUGACCAAGGAAACUUCUUAUACCUUUGAUGUCCUUGGGACAUGGCAUCUUUUCAAUAGCAUCAACCCUGGCUUUAUCAACUUCAAUACCUCUUUCAGAAACUUUAUGCCCCAAGACAAUACCUUCAUUAACCAUAAAGUGGCACUUUUCCCAAUUCAAGACAAGAUUAGUUUCUUCACAUCUCUGCAAAACUCGAUCAAGAUUGCUCAAGCAAUCAUCAAAAUAAGAUCCAUAGACGGACAUCCAUGAAAACCUCACAAAUCUUUUCACAAAAGUCAGAGAAUAUAGCCAUCAUGCAUCUUUGAAAGGUAGCAGGUGCAUUACAUAAACCAAAAGGCAUACGUCUAUAAGCAAAAGUACCAAAAGGGCAUGUAAAAGUAGUCUUUGAUUGAUCUUUAGCCGACACAGGUAUUUGAGAGAAACCAGAAUAACCAUCUAGAAAGCAGUAAUGUGUAUGUUUGCAUAAUCUUUCUAGCAUUUGAUCGAUAAAAGGUCAGGGGUAAUGAUCUUCCUUAGUAGCCUUAUUUAAUUUGCGGAAAUCAAUUACCAUCCUAUAACCGGUAAUAAUUCUUUGUGGAAUCAAUUCAUCUUUAUCAUUAGGAACAACACUAAUACCUCCCUUCUUAGGGACACAAUGAACAGGACUUACCGACUGACUAUCAGCAACGGGAUAAAUUAUACCUGCCUCUAGAAGCUUUAGUAUUUCUUUUCUUACCACUACUUUCAUUUUAGGAUUCAGAAGUCAUUGAGGAUCACGAACUGGUUUGGCAUCUGCUUCCAAAUUUAUUUUAUGUUGACAUAGAGUGGGACUAAUGCCCUUAGGAUCAUCAAGAGUAUAUCCAAUAGCAGCACGAUGCUUCUUCAGAGUUUUCAAUAAUCUUUCUUCUUCAUGCUCUGAAAGGUUAGCACUAAUAAUAACAGGAUAUAUCUUAGUUUCAUCAAGAUAAGCAUAUUUAAGAUUAUCAGGCAACGGUUUAAGCUCAAACACAGGAUCACCCUUAGGUGGAGGAGGAUCCCCUAGGAUUUCAACAGGCAAAUUGUGUUUUAUCAUAGGUUCUUGUUUAAAGAAUACUUCAUCUAUUUCCCUUCUUUCAUUCAUAAACAUAUCAUUCUCAUGGUCUAGCAAAUAUUGUUCUAAAGGAUCAUUAGGAGGUACGGCAAUAGAAGCAAGACCAAUAAUUUCAUCCUUACUAGGCAAUUCUUCUUCAUAGUAUUAUUUACUAAAUUUAGAGAAACUAAACUCAUGAGUCAUAUCAUCCAAACCAAUAGUAACAACAUUCUUUUCGUAGUCUAUCCUAGCAUUAACUGUAUUCAAGAAGGGUCUACCAAAUAUAAUGGGACAAAAGCUAUCUUGUGGAGAACUAAGAACAAGAAAAUCAGUAGGAUAUUUAGUUUUCCCGCACAAGACUUCAACAUCUCUAACAAUUCCCAUUGCUGAAAUAGUAUCUCUAUUAGCAAGUUUAAUUGUGACAUCAAUAUCUUCUAACUCAGCAGGUGCAAUUUCAUGCUUGAUUUCUUUAUACAAGUCAUAAGGUAUAACACUAGCACUAGCACCCAUAUCACAUAAGCCAUGAUAACAAUGAUCUCCUAUUUUAACAGAAAUAACAGGCACGCCUACCACAGGUCUAUGUUUAUAUUUAGCACAAGGUUUAGCAAUUCUAGCAGUUUCACCGCAGAACUGGAUAACAUGCCCAUCAAUAUUAUCAGACAAGAGCUCUUUAACAAUAGCAAUAUUAGGUUCAACUUUAACUUCCUCAGGAGGUCUAUAUGUUUUAAUAUUGCUUUUACGAACUAAAGUUGAAGCUUUAGCAUGAUCCUUUAUCCUAACAGGGAAAGGUGGUUUCUCAACAUAAGAAGUAGGAACAAUAGGAUCAUUAUAAGCGACAGUCUUUUCUUCAACUUUAAUAGGUGCAGCUACUUUUACUUAUGGGAGGAUGAUAUUUAAACCACUUCUCCUUAGGUAGAUCAACAUAAGUAGCAAAAGAUUCACAGAAAGAAGCUACUAUCUCAGAAUCAAGUCCAUAUUUAGUGCUAAACUUACAGAAAACAUCGGUAUCCAUGAAAGAUUUAACACAAUCAAACUUAGGUGUCAUACCUGACUCCUUACCAUUGUCGAGGUCCCAAUCUUCAAAGUUGCGUUUAAUUCUAUCCAAUAAAUCCAAUUUGAAUUCAAUAGUCUUCAUCAUAAAAGAGCCAGCACAAGAAGUAUCAAGCAUGGUGUGAUUGUUGUCAGAAAGACGAGCAUAAACAUUUUGAAGAAUUGUUUCUCUUGGAAGCUCAUAAUUGGGGCGAGAAUAUAACAUUCAUUUAAGCCUCCCCCAAGCUUGAGCGAUGCUUUCUCCUUCACGAGGCCAAAAAUUAUAUAUAUAAUUGUGAUCACGAUGAACAAGAUGCAUAGGGUAAUACUUUAGAUGAAAUACCAAUUUCAAUCUUCUAUACUUCCAUGAUCCCAUAUCAUCACAUAGCCUAUACCAUGUCAAUGAGUCUCCCUUCAAAGAUAAAGGGAGGACCUUCUUCUUAGCAACAUCAUCGGAAAUACAUGCAAGCUUAAAUAAUCCACAAACUUCAUCCACAUAUAUUAGGUGUUCAUCAGGAUGCUUUGUUCCAUCUCCUGUAAAAGGAUUAGCUAGCAGUUUUUCUAUUAUACUUGAAGGAUACUCAUAAGGAAUUUCAUUUUCAAUAGGUUCAGUGGGUUGAGGAGCAACUCUUUGCUCUACUGGUCGGGGUGAAGAUACCCCGAACAAGCCCCUCAGAGGAUUACUUUCCAUAGUAACAAGUGACAGUAAAUUUCAGCACACUAUAUAAAAUUUUCCUUACCAAAGGCGCUUCACUCCCCGGCAACGGCGCUAGAAAAGAGUCUUGAUGACCCACAAGUAUAGGGGAUCUAUCAUAGUCCUUUCGAUAAGUAAGAGUGUCGAACCCAACGAGGAGCAGAAGGAAAUGAUAAACGGUUUACAGCAAGGUAUCCUCCGCAAGUACUGAAAUAAGUGGUAACAGAUAGUUUUGUAAUGAGAUAAUUUGUAACGAGCAACAAGUAACAAAAAUGAAUAAAGUGCAGCAAGGUGGCCCAAUCCUUUUUGUAGCAAAGGACAAGCCUGGACAAACUCUUAUAUAAGGAAAAACGCUCCCAAGGACACAUGGGAAUAUCAUCAAGCUAGUUUUCAUCACGUUCAUAUGAUUCGCGUUCGGUACUUUGAUAAUUUGAUAUGUGGAUGGACCGGUGCUUGGGUGCUGUUCUUACUUGAACAAGCAUCCCAAUUAUGAUUAACCUCUAUUGCAAGCAUCCACAACUACAAAAAAAGUAUUAAGGUAAACCUCACCAUAGCAUGAAACAUAUGGAUCCAAAUCAGCCCCUUACGAAGCAACGCAUAAACUAGGGUUUAAGCUUCUGACACUCUAGCAACCCAUCAUCUACUUAUUACUUCCCAAUGCCUUCCUCUAGGCCCAAAUAAUUGUGAAGUGUUAUGUAGUCGACGUUCACAUAACACCACCACGGGCUAGACAACAUACAUCUCAUCAAAAUAUUGAACGAAUACCAAAUUCACAUGACUACUAAUAGCAAUACUUCUCCCUUGUCCUCAGGAACAAAUGUAACUACUCACAAAGAAUAAACAUGUUCAUAAUCAGAGGGGUAUUAAUAUGCAUAAAGGAUCUGAACAUAUGAUCUUUCACUAAUUAAACCAACUAGCAUCAACUACAAGGAGUAAUUAACACUACUAGCAACCUACUAGCACCAAUCCCGGACUUGAAGACAAGAAUCGGAUGCAAGAGAUGAACUAGGGUUUUGAGAUGAGAUGGUGCUGAUGAAGAUGUUGAUGGAAAUUGCCCUCUCCCGAUGAUAGGAGCGUUGGUGAUGAUGAUGGCGAUGAUUCCCCCCUCCGGGAGGGAAGUUUCCUGACAGAACAGCUCUGCCGGAGCUCUAGAUUGGAUCCGCCAAGGUUACGCCUCGUGGCGGCGGAGUUUCGUCCCGAAAGGUUGCUUCUUCUUUUUUUCUCGAUGAAAGACUUCAUAUAGGAGAAGAUGGUCAUCGGAGGCCACCAGGGGGCCCACGAGGCAGGGGGCACGCCCUAGGGGGGGCUCCCCCCACCCUCGUGAGAAGGGUGUGAGCCCCUGGUCUUCAUCUUUGGCGAGGAUUUUUCAUUAUUUAUUAUAAGGUGUUCCGUGGAGUUUCAGGACUUUUGGAGUUGUGUAGAAUAGGUCUCUAAUAUUUGUUCCUUUUCCAGCCCAGAAUUUCAGCUGCCGGCAUUCUCCCUCCUUAUGUAAACCUUGUAAAAUAAGAGAGAAUAGCCAUGAGUAUUGUGACAUAAUGUGAAAUAAUAGACCAUAAUGCAAAAUGGACGUAUCAUUUAGCUCCAAGAGUGGACUGCUGCUAGUGCGACACAAAGCAGCUACACAGAUCAUAGUGUAGAUAUAACGGGAAAACCUUAAGCAUCAGAGUAAAAUCAGCAAAGUGGAACUUGCUGGAAUAUAUGUGCUAGUAUUGCUGGUACGGCUAGGAAGGCUUCGGAUACCAGCUCUCUUCAAGUGAAGGUGCGGUACUAUUAAUAUCAGUGUAACUCUCAAAGGCGACACAGCUCCUCGCAUUUCCUUGCUAUUCUUAUAGGAUUCAAGUGGGCAGGCCACUACAAAUCAUAUUCCUAUGUUUACAAGAUCCUACGAAUCAAAGAGGCUCAAAGUGUCCAUCAUAACCGACCGUAUAGACCUCUACACUGCAAAUGUCCCUGCUCAUCUUUAGUACAAGGAACAUACUGUACUACUAUCAUACUCCCUCCAUUCCAAAAUAUAAGUCUUGGUAGAGAUUUCCACUAUGGAUCACAUACAGAUGUAUCCAGAUACAUUUUAGAGUGUAGAUUCACUCAUUUUGCUCCAUAUGUAGUCCAUGGUGGAAUCUAUACAAAGACUUGUAUUUAGGAACGGAGAGAGUACAUAUUAAAGAAGAACGGAAGACGAACAUGGUAAAGAAGAGCAAGCGGAUUUUGGAUAAUAAAAUGUUGGUUGUGCAGUGCCCACACAUGAUGAACCAGAGCGCAUUAAGAAUGCAACUCCCAGCUGUCUCUCGACCAUUUCAGGCGGUUGGAUGAAGAUCCUACGUCUCCUAACCCUUCUUCUUCCUCGUCUCUGAUUCUUCCCAUAUAGAACACCACACGGGCGGCCGGCCGAACCACCAGCCCCCACCGCCUGUGUUCCUCCGCCACCCCCACCCCCACCCCCACGCCCGCCCCAACCCCCACCCGCGUCGAGUUUUCUUUGUUCGGCGAGGCCCCACAACCACUGUGAUUUAACUAGUGUGGAAUAUAAAAGGGGGAAACCAUAAGCAUUGGGAGUAUAGUGUUGAGCAUGCCAUGGAGGAUCUGAAGGUGCAAACCGGACAAAGGAAACUUCACAACCAAGACAAGAAAUCAGAGUAAAGCAGUGGUGAUCUAUUUUCUUGCUGUGAUAAAUAAGUUGAGCAGAUACGAAAGAGUACCGCCUCUGGUGCGGCGCCGUGUAUGCAUCUACUGAGAAUUUGACGGUGCUGCGGUAGCGAUGGCUGUCGGUGGCGUGGAAGCAGAUCUAGGAGGGUAGACGAUGGUGGCGGGGUGCGGUGGACGAGACGGUCGUAGGAGCGACGCCGGCAAGGUGGACGACGGCGGGGAUGAAGUGAGAGGACGGGAUGCAAGGAUCCCGGUCCGAAGCCGUGGAUGAGAGAGGUCGAUCUCUUGUAAUGGACGGCAGCGUCGGGGUAUCAGCUCCGGCAUGGUGGAGGAGGACGGCGGUGGAUGGGGUGGCGGACGGCGGCGGACGGAGGAGGGUGGGGUGGAGAGGGUGUUUUGGCGCCCACGGAGUACGAAUGGGGAAAAGGGAGGUAGAGAGGAAGGGGGGAACCAUGUAUUCAGGGCGCGCUUGUCUCAAAUGCGAGGAAAUUUACAAACUUAGCCCCCGUUUCAAAUUUCUACUACAUCACAGCAACAUUAGUCGGUUGGGGAUAGGACGGUAAUCUCGCAUACACCGAAUAUUUGCCGACGGGAGUUUGAUUUUGGCGCCCACCAUGUAUGAAUAUGAAUCGGGGAGGGAGUCGAUUUCGGCCGAGGACACACUGUGUUUUGGCGCCCACCGUGUAUGAAUCCAGGUGAGAGGCGGUUACGUCAUGUUUGGGUGAAAUUACAAACCUACCCCUAUCGAAACCUAUAGAAAUCCAGCAGAUAGGCUUUGCGUGGCAGGGAUAGGCAGUAGUGAUUUCCAUCUCGCAGAUUUUGGUUUCGGGCGGUUACUGCGACUUUCCCCGCUUCGUUCAAAUUUUGCAGAGUGCACGUUUACCGUACCAACUCAAUUCAAAUCCCGUUUGUAUUCUAUUUUUUUCGGGCGGGAUCCAUUUUCAAUUGGAAUUACAUUCUAUAUACAUCAUUUUUUAUAUAUACUUUCAAAAUCACAACACCAUUUAUACAUAAAUAUGGUUUACAAAUGGCAUGAUCUCAGAUUCAUAAGGUUGUAUCCAUCAAUUUGGAUUUUCAAAUAUUUGAAACCACUUUAUGUUGAAAUCCAAUGUAUGCAUUCCUCGCUAACUGUCUCCAAUUAAUGUGUGUUUCAUGCGGGUUUUUUUACUUCUCAAACAUGUAUAAUGUGUUUCACACAUGCAACAUAUAGUGUAAUCCCGUUUAGACAUUAAUUGCAUAUAAACCAUGCAUUGUUUGUAAUUGAAGAAUCUAUGGAUCACCAAUAUUGAUAAACUAUAUAACAUUACACGUGUGCCCAAAUUCAAAUGAAUAUGCAUGUUUGAUACACCAAUUUGCGUUAUGAUAUUAUCGAUGUCGUGAUCUCCAGUUUAAAUAUUUGAAUCCCCUUUAAUCCAGAUAUUCGUCUCAUAUAGCUACCACUCAUGCUUAUAUAGGACUAUCUCUCUGGACCUAUACGCGUUCAUCGUCUCUCAGGUAUCUGUCGUCCUACAUGUAUGUCGACAAUGAUCUUUUAUCUUCGUAACACACUGAUGGUACUCUCUCCCUCGACCUUCAUCACUCUAUCUCUCUCUAAGUAUAUCUCGCUCCCUGCUAUGUGUCUCUAACUAUGAUUCUCCAUGUGGAAUCUCUUUCUCUCACACAAACACAAAACUUUGUCUCCCGGGGUCUCAUUUCUCUCUACUAUUCCCAUGUGUGCCACUCGCACACCCCUCAUAUAGAGAUGUCUUUUGCUCCUUAGAUAUGAGAACCUAGGACUCUUCCUCUUCAAUAUCUCUUUCUCACACACAAACACAAACUCUGUCUCCCGGGGUCUCAUAUUUCUCCAUUGUUCUCUUGUAUGUCGCUCACACACACCCUCUCUCCCUAGAGAUAUCUUGCGUUCCCUCGUAUGUCUCUCUAGCUAUCACUCUCGUUGUGAAAUAUCUUUCUCUCUCGCAGACACAAAACUCCAUCUCUCUGGAUCUCAUUUCUCUCUGAUAUCAGUUUGUAUGUGACUCACAUGCACCCUCUCUCUAUCUCUCUCACACCCACACACAUAACCCAGCCUUCUGAUCCACUCGACUCCUAUCUCUAACGCACACUAGCUAGCAUCUUUAUCUUUCUAUUUAUUUGUUUCUCCAUCAAACUUCUUUCUCGCCCUCACUCUUGAUUCCUAUCACGCACACUACAUAUGUUUCUCUCUACAUGCAGUCAAGUGCCCUCUCACACACAUAUAUAACUUCACCCUUUGAACCACCCGACGGUCAUCUCCAACACCCAAACUAGCGGAUGUCCCUCUAGCUAGCAUAUCCAUCUCUGUAUCUAUCUGUAGUUUCUCCGUCAACAUAUCUUUCUCGCAUGGAGUCUUGCUUCCUAUCACCCACACUAUAUAUGUCUCUCCAUACAUAUGCAUUUAUAGGUUGGUCUCUUUUGCACAAUCGUUGCACCUCACUCCCUCUACUCGCCAUAGAUGCAUGCUCCAGCCCACGCCACUAUCUCUUAAAGACAAAAACACAUGCUCAAUUGUCGGGCCUUCUUCCCUGCAUUCUCAUAUGCAUGAAUAUUGUCAUACCGAUCCGUCUCUCCCAUGUCGUUGAUCUUAUGACUUAUGUCUUCUUUAUUUUAUCUCGAUCAUGCGCGCGCGCACACACACACAUCCCACGUAUACAUGUAUACCUCUCACACAUGCACGUUCAAGGUCUCUAUGUCUCCAUACAUAGUUAAUUACCCUCAAUCCUAAUGCCACAUUGAAUCGUUCUCCUCUUUUGUGCACAUAACUUCCGCCUGGAUGGGUAAAACACACACUCACACUUAACAAUCUCCUUCUAGCUACACCCCCCCCCCCGCCUCUCACUCUUCCCCUAUAUCCCCGAAACCAAUAAGACCAUCCCUUUGUUUAAUUCCCGCCUACAUGCACCAUCGAUAUAUAGUAGUCUUCCUUGGUGUCUCNNNNNNNNNNNNNNNNNNNNNNNNNNNNNNNNNNNNNNNNNNNNNNNNNNNNNNNNNNNNNNNNNNNNNNNNNNNNNNNNNNNNNNNNNNNNNNNNNNNNNNNNNNNNNNNNNNNNNNNNNNNNNNNNNNNNNNNNNNNNNNNNNNNNNNNNNNNNNNNNNNNNNNNNNNNNNNNNNNNNNNNNNNNNNNNNNNNNNNNNNNNNNNNNNNNNNNNNNNNNNNNNNNNNNNNNNNNNNNNNNNNNNNNNNNNNNNNNNNNNNNNNNNNNNNNNNNNNNNNNNNNNNNNNNNNNNNNNNNNNNNNNNNNNNNNNNNNNNNNNNNNNNNNNNNNNNNNNNNNNNNNNNNNNNNNNNNNNNNNNNNNNNNNNNNNNNNNNNNNNNNNNNNNNNNNNNNNNNNNNNNNNNNNNNNNNNNNNNNNNNNNNNNNNNNNNNNNNNNNNNNNNNNNNNNNNNNNNNNNNNNNNNNNNNNNNNNNNNNNNNNNNNNNNNNNNNNNNNNNNNNNNNNNNNNNNNNNNNNNNNNNNNNNNNNNNNNNNNNNNNNNNNNNNNNNNNNNNNNNNNNNNNNNNNNNNNNNNACGCACGCAUGCACGCACCCCCCCCACACACACACACUAAGACUCCAUCUCUCUCACACACACACACAAACUAAGACUCCAUCUCUCUCUCUCUCUCUUACACACUAAGAAUCCAUCUCACACACACAUGCUCUAGGCGGAGCAUUUGUUCCUACCACCCUUCAUCCAACCUUACCCGUAUGAUAAACAAUCACCUUUAUUUACUUGCAUAACAUGGACAAAUUCUACUUUACUUUAGUAGUCAGCAAACUUAUCAUCUGUACCCUUAUAAAAAAAUGAGUUGGCAGUGAUGGUGUGCCUGCCAUCUUGUAAUACAGACCGUAUGAUCUAUAUCUGAGGAUAGAAAGCAAACUAUGAUAAUUUUACAAAAGAUACCCGCACCUCUCUCCACAUCAUUAUCUCUAGCAACCUCAUUGCUCAGCAAUUAAAAAAGGAAUAAGUCUCUGGAACAAUCUAGCAUGCAUGGUGGCAGUUGCCGCCUGCCGGCGCCGUCCAUCCCCAUGCCUCCGCCCAUUCCGACCACCAGUCACCACCACGCCCCACUCCUCCUCGCCUUAUCUCUCAUCUUUCAUUUUUUCGAUGACAUUCUCAAGAUACCAGUUUUCGGAUAAAAUUCUCAAGAUAUCAUUAGUUUUUACACAUGGGAUUACUCCUGCAUGGGCCAAUCACAACAGGUGUUUUAAAAAAAAUGCAUAUUGAUGUUCCCUGCAAUGCACGAGAAUCUUGCUUGUAAUUAUAUAACGCAAAUCACGAGCAGGAAGUGACAUUUUUUUGACACAACCACAUUAACAUGGCCACGUAAAUCACUAGCUAAAGUAAAUACCAUUAUACUUAUAUCCCGAUGCAAAAGGUUGAGUACAUGUCCGAAGAGUAGAGUCGCACACACGCACUCUGUCUCUCACAAUCUCUCUCACAAACACACCAGUCACGUGACACCCACUUAAGAAGACAUGUAUGUUACAAUUUGUGCACCCGCGGGUACACGUGGUGUUGCGCAUUUAUUUAAGCCGGAAGGCGAACCCAAACAGUAGCUGCAUUCAUUCCCCUCCCACCGCCUCUUCUCUGGUCACCGUCGCCCGGUAGCCAUGGGCCGGCCGAAGGUAACAACAUAUGCCAUACUCCCGCCGGAGCGGCGCUUUAAUAUGGAAAUUUUAGUGGUCAUGCAUGCAUCUUUUUGUGCUAGCACUCCUAUAUAAGGGUUGACCGGUCGCUUCCCGCGGACAUGCGCGGGCGGUGGAAGAGGAAGGAGAAGGGAAGCGGGCUGUGGAGUAACGUUUUUACCACAAUUUCUUAGGAAACUGAGUGCAAUAAUUGAGUAGUUUUGCAAACUACCAGUACUACACCUGAAACGGUUCCAAACCUAUACUCCCAUGCCAGCGCGCGCUUCUCGCGUGAAACGGUCAGCGUCGCCCUGGAGCGUCAGUGCUGCAUUAAUGCCCGGCCAGAGUAGAGGCGACCUCUCACUGGCGCCGGCUUUGAAGUGGCGCGACGGCCGAGAGAGCGCCGCUUCCCAAUGCACGCGACUGCUCCGCGUCGAGACUGGCCAUAGGCCCUGUUUGGAUCCAAGGAUACUCUAACACAGUUAGAGUUAGAGUUAUUUUCUAACCCACUCUAACCCAAAUAAGCAUCUCUCCAUCGGGAUAGUUGGGUUAGAUGAAACUAACCCACUCUAACCAUCCCUGUUUGGAUACUUUUGGGUUAUUUGAGCCUCCAACUAACCCAAACUAGCUCUAACCCCAUGAUCCAAACAGGGACCAUGGGUUAGAGUUAGUUUGAGCUAGUUGGGGCUCAAAUAGCCCUAAAGUGUCCAAGCAUGAGGGUUUAAAUUGGAGCAAGUUGCACUGAACCCACCAAAAAAAACUAUCCCACCCAAGAGGUGCUAACUGGAGAUAGUUCUCAUUAGGACCACUGAAAAAUCACUUUUCUCUCUCCAUGAAGUGCAUUUAUUGUCAAUCUAACCCUGUCACCCAAACACCUCUUUGGCUACAGUUAGUUCAGGGUUAGUCAUGAGUUAGUCUAACCUCUAGCUAAGUUAGAGUAUCAAACAGGAGCAGUAUAGGACAUGCAAGUUGCUGAAAGCAUACAGGCAAAUUCGUACGUGAAAGGAUUUUUUUCUUUUUGAAAACGGAACGUGAAAGGAAUUUUUUUAGAAUGCUCUUGGCAUGUAGCUAACAUGUGAUAGUUAACCGACCUCAAUAGACAGUAGAAACGCCAGCCCGCCGCACUUUGAUAGAGACGAGGAGGGAGAAGCGAUACGGGCUGCUGGAUUACUGGAGAUAGGUGUUGCACGGAAGCCAAGAAAUAGGGUGAUAGCGUGGGUUAGCCAUGUACUAGUAUGAUGUAACUACACUGGGCUGCCGUGUUUCGUACUCUUCCAGUCCACUGUGGAGAUGAUUGGUUAAUUUUAUAUCGCUGAAUAAUAUUAAAUAUUAUGAGUGCAGACGCUCCACCACGAGGUUCCUUGCUCCUUCUCGGCCGUCCGGAAUCUAUGUUCUUCCACUCUAUUUUUUACGUGAGCUUUGUUCAUCCUUUUGCCAACACGCGAGACAUCUAGCAUCAAGGUGCACGUGUUAUGCAAGGAUCGUUCCAUCUAUAUGAAGAACACGUGGGACUGGAACUACGAGACGGACAUGUAUCCAGGAGUGGACGUACGAACCUGAGUAAUGUAGCGCAGUAAGUGAAGUAGAAAGGCACACAUGGUAUGAACAUGCGUGGCAUAUAGGGUGUGUUUGGUUGUGUUCUCGUCUCAGCAUAGUUGUUCCCUCUUCAUGCAUGCUCAACUCAACACCCCUCUUCAUGCAUGCUUCUAGUGUAUUUGUGCUAAACUAGUGUGGACUCAUGCACCCUCCAUACACUCUACCAAACACCUAAAAGUAGGUCGAGAAGGGAACUCUUGGGCGGCAUUUGUCUCUUACUACGUACUACCACUAAAUGUUGUACGUGAAAUGCACGGUGAUGUUAUGGAGUAUGUGCCUAAGUACUCUACUACUACUAUAUUAGUUGGAGGCACAUAUUAACUUUUAUAUUUGUUUACGUGUAUGCCCCGAGACCUUCCAACUAGACGUGUCUUUCUCUCCAGGCCGCACUUUGUAUCGUUCAUACCACUAAGUACUACUACGUGUGGUCUCCGACCCGGAAGUGGAAGAAGUGGAGAUGCUCUACCACGCUGUUGUUUUACGCUGGGCUCUACCAUGCUAUUCAUGUCCCACUCCUUUCGCUGACGUGUGGGACAUACAGCACGUGCCGUGUUUGGCACCCUUCGUCAUAAGAGUUGAAAUGCUAGCAUUCAUCAGAAAUAAAAAAUACUAAUUAUAAAUCGGCAGUGAUACUAUUUUUUUGUGAACCAAUCAGCAGUGAUACUAUACCACGCAGUUUCCUUGCUCCUCAAUAUCGGAAAGAAUACUUCCGUUCGCCAACAUGUGGGACGUCGACCAUCCUGGUCCACUUGCCAUGCACGCAGAACUCCAAGGGAGAGUCACCCAGGUCGUCGCACCGCAGUAACAAUGACUAAUGAGCCGUCAAAUCACAGGCCCACUUCCCACUUUGAAGUUGCUCGGACGAAGGAACCAUCAUGACUUCUUUGAAUUCUGCUUCUUGAAAAAACUACUAUACCAGCAGUACUACUAGCUACAGUAGUUACUCCAACAGAGGCCUCCUUUCGUUCAUAGGAUAGGAAUAUGAAAAUCAUAGGAAGUGAGAUGACAUGCAUCUCAAUUCCUAUAGAGAAAGAGAUGACAUUUGAUGCUUACGAUAGGAAUUUUUUCAUUUAGUCUAGGCUAAUGUACUGGUAAUUUGCUCUAAAAAGUACAGUAGUAACUAGUAGUAUUGGUACAUGCUCGUACUCAGACACAGACACACACACUAACUACUAGUACUACUACUUCUCACAUGCUGGCCAGACGCCGUUGUUCUCCUUCCCGGCUUUGUCGUGACACCCCACCAUGCUUGGAUCCCCGCCGACCUCUCCGUAGCAACGCGUGCGUCCUUUUCUUUCUUGCAGCGGCGGUCCUCUCUUUUCUUGAGUGCUUUCUGACUUUUCCGCUCCCUCUAUGCGGCUUUGGCCGCCUCUUUCUCUACCGCCCAUUCGGCCUUGGCAUCUUCAAAUUCCUACCACAUAGUUGUGAGGUGAGCGGCAAUGAACUCGGCACGGCAGGAUGCCAUCGCUUCCCUACCAUUUUGUGUGCAGUCAUGGGCAGCGAGGAACUCGGCACGGCGGGAUGCCAUUGCUACCUUACCUGUUAGUGUGCGGCGCGGUGGCAUGAACGGCGCUUGGUGAGGGCUCUGGGGUGAAGUGGUCGGACAAUCGUAUAAUGCAUUGGUUUGUCAAGAGCUCAAGGACAGAAGACGAAGCAAAUUUGGAUUCCCCUUCAAUCCUGGUCAUUUAUUACCGAGUAAAAUGCAUUGGCGGUCAUCGAACUUGUCUUGAUAGCUCACUUUGAUCAUUGUAUACGAGAUAUGCUGAUUAUACGGUCACUGACUCAGCGUAUAUCUCCGUAUUUGUCUGGUUGACCAGUCAAACAGUCCACAUGCGCCUCAUCAGCUCAUGUUCUUUAUCUAUCUACGCGGGCCUACCUGUCAAUGGAGAAAGAAAUACUGUAAAAACCAAAAUUAUGCGUAUGUGGGGAAUCAAACCACAGACUCGUCGAUGCAACGCACCCUCGUCAGCCAAAUGUAAAUGAAAUACUUUGCGUCAGAUACUCACGCUCACGCUCUCAAAGCAUGCUAAUGCAUGCACGUCGCCCUCUAAAUCAAAGUCCUGCUCAUGGCGCAACGCAAACGGCGAGCCCAUCACCUGCGCGCCCUGGUGGUGCCUGACAUUACUGUUUAGACGUUUGAUGGAGGCCUACAUGAACGCCGAGCAUGUAUUCAUCUGGCUCAACACCAACGGUCAUACUCGGACCGCCUUGCUCAUGUAUAUGGGUACUAUAGUAGUAUGGUACGGAGUAUGUACUAUCAUGAGCGACCGAUCUUAGUGCCACUGCACACCGAAACCCCUUCCAUCGCUAGCACGCGCUUCCCGCCUGAAACGGUCACCGUCUCUCCAGAAUGUCAAUGCCGCAUUCACCGGACUUAACUGCAGGUGCAAUUGGUGUGUCACUGACAUGCGGGCCAGAUGCCCAUUGGGCCCACAUGUCAGUAACCCAAAUGCAUCCGCAGUUAAGUCACUGAAGCAAUGUCUGCAUUCAUGCCCGACGAACCUACUCCAGCGCCAGUUGUCCAUCCGUCUGCCGCGGCUCAUUGCCAUUCGCCUGCUAUAUUAACUUGAGCCCCAGCUCCCAGCCAUAGCCAAAGACCCACACUUAUUCUCCUCCGGUCCCUUCCUUCUGUUGGCACCACAUCAACCAUGGCCUCCUGGCGCUCCGAAGGUCUCUUGGACGUACUGUCACAGGAGCAGACGAGGUACAUCGGCAGCUCCGCUCCGGGCGCGCUCCAAAGCUCUCUUUGACGUACUGUCGCAGGAGCAAACAAAGGAGACCCCCCCGGGCCGCCCUCCGCCGCCACAACCACGAAGCCAGCACGCGUGCGCGGGCGCAGCCGGCAGUGCGGAAGAGUAGUACAUGGUAGGUCGCCGCCGCUCUGGUCCCGGGAAGGCCACCGCUACACCACUCAGUCGACGCCAAGCUUGGUGGGGUAAACAUCGGCGACCGAUUAGCCGCUUGAUGGCGAUGUGGAGGCGAAAAUCUUCAUAACCCUGUGCUCCGAAGGAAGAGCUUAUCGAGGCGGAUGAGGAGGAGGCAAAGGCAAUGGCCGGCUUUCUCGGGUUCAUGGCCGGACAUGGUGGUCGGGCGCCGCAGUGAAAUUGCAAGACAACAGUUAUCCCUCGAUCAAAAUCAGAUCCGCGGUGUUUCGCACUCCUCCUGCGUAAGUGUGUAAACUCUUACUUACGUAAAAAUGGAGCAAGUGGACGGCACUGUAGCACAUCAUAUCACUCGAACUAGCCCGCCUAACGAGCGGGAAAGCACCGCCCUCGUCAUUUUGUUCUGGAUUUCUAUCGAUCGAUCGCGCGAAAAUGUUACGCUUCGCAAGUUCUAAAGGAAAAGGCGGCACACUUACGACUCGUACGCGUCACAACCCCGACAGUCCGGCUCGCACGCCGCUCACCAGAGGGGACACGCGUUGUCUUGCAGUUUCACUGACAUGUGGGACCGUAAUUGAAUAAACUGUCGAUAGCCGAAAUCUAAUCGCUCGGUGGGCGUCGGCUGAGAAGAGAGAAACGGGGGAGGGAGAAGAGAUCGCCCACCUGCCGCGCACGGACUCCAAGAAAUAUAUGGUGAUAAUGUGAGGUGGGCCAUGCUGGAGUCCGGACCGCUUCCGGAGCCCGCUCUCACCGCCCUAGCCCCUCAAGACGCCAGCUGCCCACCGCAUGCAUGCAUAGCAAGUAGUACUCCUUAUGUGGAGGAGAGAGAGGCAUUGCCAAAGUCAAGGAGUGGGCUCUGCAAGAGCCCGUCUCUACACGUGCUCCUAGGUAUAAAAAAAUAAUUCUAAAAAAAGGCAUAAAAACAAUUGUGUCUUAAAAAAGAAAGGUAAAAAAACAUUUGAGAGUAAUAGAUAAAGAGAAAGUGAGAAAAAGCUGUAACCUGGGCAUUACAUGAGGAAGGAGGGAGUGGUGCACAAGCCAAGUUCACUGGGCUGUCAUGUUUCACACUCCUCCGUCGUAAUAGUGGAGACAAUAGCUUUCAUAAAAAAUAAACGAUGAAUACUCGUUGCUGGUCCUCUAUAUCGGAAGGAAUACUUUCAUUCGCCGACAUGUGGGACGUCGACCAUCCUGGUCCACCUGCCAUGCACAAAAUUAUCCUGGUCUACCCCGGUCGUAUCGCAUGCCCAACCUUUCCCACUGUAAGUUGUUCGGACGAAGGAACCAUCAUGACUUCGUUGAAUUCCGCUUCUUCAAGAAAACUUACUGUACCCGCAAUACUACUACCACACGCGAAGACUCGACGACAUUGUACCACGUCAUAUCACUGAAACCCACUAGGCCAAACUAGCCCACCUAGGUCAUCUAUUUUGGAACGGAGGGAGUACGUCUCUGCAUUACUAUGAUUUUGUGUUGCGCGUUCUCUGUACUUUUGCUACGAUUUUCCUACCCUAUGAACCAAAUGAGGCCUGAAUGUAUGUCGACAAUUUUCUGAUCGAUCGCUAAGCCUACAAUUUUAGGAGCUAGGGCUAUUGGUCGAUCGACGAGGGAUAAGUAUAAGCGUACCACGAGCUCAUCAGCCCCAACAUUUCUCUUCGGUGAGUGUUUUGCAAGUACUAUAGCUCGCACAGUAGCUAGCCUACUAACACUAAGAAUCAUCAAACAAGCCCUGCUGAUAUGAUAAAUAGUUCGAACUUACAUCUAAGCAUGCCAUAUAUUACAUCAAAAGCUGGUGAGGAUACAUCUGUUUCCAUAACUCGGAGAGGGUUCGCAUGAUUCAUCGCAUGAUUCUCUAUCAAACAAAAGUAGCAAGAUCCGCCCACACAAGACAGUGCACUAGCCCUAAGAUGGUUUGAUAACAUGCAUCGUUCUAGUAAUUAAACACAGGGAAAUGCAAACUACCCUGAAGGAUUAGCGCGACCAACUAUUUCUUGUCAUCGAUCUCUCGGGCAAUGACCACAGCACGAACAGCGGCAUGGGAAUUGAUUUCUGGGGCGAUGUCCACAGGACUGACCACGACAUCGAAAUCGAUCUCUGGGGCGAUGUCCACAGGAUGGACAGCGGCAUCAGAAUCGAUCUUCGGGGCAAUGCCAACAGGACGGGCCAUGACAUCGGAAUCAUAAAGGAGGUCCACCGGCACCUGCACAACCCUAACAUAUUAGCAAGCACAUUGCAAAUAAUCAAAAACCACAACUAUGGUAAUAAGCCAUUAUUUUUUACCUUGUGCAGCUCACCAGGGGAUCUCAUCCCUCCGGGGGGGCCAUCUCCUCGUCCUCGAUGGGGGCCAUCACCUUGCCAGGGGAAUACUGCUUCUCAAUGGUGACUAUCUCCUCAAACUCGGUCUUGAGCCUCACAUAGGUGGCAAUCAGAGUUCCUGGGGUAGGCACGGUGGGGCGCUUGCUGUUCUUCAAACUUCCUUUGAGGAGUUCGUCCGCCAAAGUCCUCAACUCUUUGGCCAGUGCUUGUUUCUUGGAGUUCUUUGUCUCCAUGGGUUGGCCCGCCAACAUGGUCAACUCGUUGGUCGAUGCUCGCUUCCUGGAGAUCGCUGUCUCCAGUGGGUUGUCCGCCGGCAACUCUUUGCCUAGUGCUCCAGGAUCCAUCAAUGAACUAACAAACAAAAAGAAAUCGAAAGGAAACCACAAUCGCAAUGAAAACGGGAAAAGAAUAGGAUGUGAGAAUCGGUCGGUGCUUCGCAAAAAGAAGAUUCUUGGAAUGAAAAUAUAGCAGCAUAACUGAUUCGCCCACCUUUCCUUCAUCGGUACAGAAGAAAAAUGGCAGAAGUGAGUAGCCUGGAGUGAGGUUUUCUUCAAGGAAGGGAAGAAAGGGCUUGAAUGAGCGUUCUAGUGAAAUGAUGGUUGCUUCGUCCAGUCCAACUUGGAGGCCACCUUACCACUGCUGGUAAAGAUGUGGGUUUUGUGAUAUGACGGGUCAUGACGGCCACACCGGGGUUACAGGUGAGUCUCGACUGUAGCACCUCAUUGUGAUUUGGUGGAUGGCACGCGGGCCCGGAUGCUUUGAAAUGUCCCGCAUGUAGAUAGAGCGGCUAGUCAUAUAGGAGUGCUCAAUAUUGUGCACCGCAACCAAGGUGCAGAGGAAAACGAGAGAACUACGUAAUUAAUGCAUGUGUUUAAUUAGGGUAGUUUUGUAAAGUACGAGAUACAUUCCUCCAAUCGCAAAAUGCCUUGGUUCAUGAGAUUUGAGGUUUGAUCCCUAUAAACCGGAAGGGAGGGAGUACUGCACACGGUGUAGUCUAGUCACUUGUUGAAAUCUCUAGAAAGGCAAAUACUCCUUUCCGGUUUACAGGGCUAUACUACUCCCUUCGUCUAGGUGUAUAAGUCAUCUUACGAAAACCAAAUAGUCCCAAAACACUUAGGCGCGGUGCAUUAACUUCUACCUUGUUUCUUGUUUCUUGACAUAUCAACCAAUAAGAGAUGAGAGGUGUGCAUGCUUUUAAUGACUUGCAAUGGCUAGUUCAUUGCAUGCAAUGCUAUUAAUUAGCAAAUAAACAUUGGUGACCCUAGGAGGAAACGGUGCUAAGCGCGUGGACCUAUGCAGAAUGAGUAUCAACCAAUGGAUAAUGGAGUUUAAUUGUUAAACAAUAGCAAUUUUGUCUCAUGCAAGAGCCUGGCUAGUACUCCAAGGAACCGCACCACGCGAGCGUUCACAACUGCCAAUUCAAGAAGACGAACAAUGAUGUUACUCCUACUUCUACAGUAUCGAAUCCGCUGCUGCAUGUCCGUCCACCUCGUGCGGGAGGGAUAGCGUGUAGCGAAAGCUUCUACUUACUGCUCCUGCCUUUGCAUCUAUGACAGGUGGGCCCAACAGGUGGUUGGUCCUCCUGUCAUGCAGCCAAAGGCAGGUGCAGUUAAGGCACCGGAGCUCAGUCCGCGAGGCAGAGGGCGUUGUAGUAAUCAAAUUUCUUGGUCUUGUACGAGUUGACGCGACACAUCAAAGAACUGCACUCGAUAUAAGUCUUUUUACACAUUUCAAGUGGGCUACUUCGUAUGUAGGAGUAGACAUAUUCUGCUUCGUAUGUAGUCACUUGUUGCAAUCUCUAAAAAGACUUAUAUUUGGAAACGGAGGGAGUACAAUGCAUGCAUGCAUGUCGUGACUUUCCUUUUGAUACUUGAAUGUGUUCAUCUGAUGCACCUUGCCAAAUUUUGACUAUAAAUUUAACUAACCAAAUUUGCAUGCAUGUCACAAAAAAUUACGGGGCUGUUUGGAUUGUGACUAUGUUUGUCUUAUGUUGCCACAUUAUUUUUCCCACACUUGCCACACUUGCCUAACCUGAGUUGCUCAAAUUGUUAGACACACUUUGGCUUGCCUAAGGGAAUCUUGCCACAAUUUUUGUGUCUAUGACAUGUGGGGUUCACUGCUAAUAAACAAAUUCUUGUCUUAGGUGUGGCUAAUAAAAAAGACUUAUAUUUAGGACGGAGGGAGUAGAAAAUAUAAAUAAUAAUGCAUGUUGGGGCAACCCAUGUUUCCGCUAAUUUUAGCCGUGGGCUUGUUCACAAUUUUUAUGAGGGGGUGGUUGUUCAUUUAAUGGAGGGACUUGUAGUACCAGACUUGAACGAUACAAAGUGCGACCUGGCACACCGUAACACCACUUGGAACAAGCGGGUAUCUAUCUCAAAAAACAAUCAACAACUAAAAAACGCGACCUGGCAUGUAGUAGUACACAAUUUUAAAUUAUUGUUUUGAUGGAGUGAAAAAGGAAAACUACCCCACUACAUAUACAUAGGCCGGAGCCUCCGAGCUUGCUUGCUAGGGUUGCUCUAUUCACACACUCUCAUCCUCUCCAGAUCUAAACAAGAUAGGGGUAGUAACACUAUCGUUCUCCCUUCAAAAAACAUUGGCUUUCUAUCCUCACCGCUGGUUACAGAUCCGGACGUAUCCCCCUCCGCCGGUGAAGGGGAGGAGGGGCAGAGUUUAGGUCGUCGUCGACAGCGAGGGAGGAGACCCACUACCGGCCGCACCGUUAUCCCUGGCCGAGCUCCGACGCGGGAGGUCCUCUGAUCCCUUCUUCGUUGCCUGUGGGCGGAUCUGGCCUCCCGCCGCCCACCUAUCCACAUCCCGACGACCUUCGGGUAUAUCUUUGUUCGAAACCGCCUUAGCUCUACUUCCCCAGCUCGCUACGUCGCUGCAUGUGCAUCAUUUUCUACCUCUCAGCCCCUCUCGAUCGGAUGGUCCAACGUCACAUUUUUUCUAUUGUUAGAGGUAAAGCUACUUCAUGGAGUCGAAUCUUGUAGUACUUGGUUCAAACAAGAAAUAAAGUGGGGGUGGGGGAAUUUAGUAUGUACAUCGGACUUGGUACAAACAGGAAGGAAAGGGGGUGAAAGUAGUACAGACUGGUCAUCCAAUUGGUCUCUUGGUCGAAAAGGGAAAUAUAGGGGUAAUGCUAUACACAGUGGUAUGACCAGGACUAGAUUUGCUAUCCACACAUAGGAGUAGGUGGCUAGAGUGAACAAAAAUGGUACCAACCUAGAUAUGUUUCUUGGAUGUUUGUUUCUCGGGGCAACAAACUAUGAAUCACCACUUUAUGCCCCUGUUUACGUACAUGGUGCUGGACUGCUGGUGCACCCACUGUUCUUAGUCUAAUGUCCCUGGUAAAAAUGAAGCCAUGCCACUGUUAUAAGCCAUGAAAAUUUUAGCCAAAUGUUUUUGCCUGUAAUUGUUUGAGACUCUUACUGUUUCGUCUGUGCCUUUUUGUGCAAACAGGGAUAUCCAAUUCACCUGGUUGCUGUUGUGAACUUUUGGUGCACUGCACAAAACUCUUCUUAAAAGAAGUGACUUUUGUGCUGUUUAACUGGAAUGUCAGAAUGGAACGGUUGGUUCAUUUUGGUGGAACUGCACAAAGGGAGAUCUAUGUUCUAAUCCUCAUCAUCCAUAUUUGUGCCAUAACCUUCCUUUGGGUAAGAAUGAUAUUUAAUGCAUGUGUUCAUCUCUAUUUUCCGACUGCCAUGAGAAAAUAAUGUUGUUUUUUACUAGUACACUUGUACUCCCUCAUUGACAAAACCAAUUCUGAAUUAGAAGGCCAAUCAUGUACUUGGUUUCACCAACAGGUGAGGAGAAAGAGAAAGAGAGCAUGAAGAGGAAGAAGAAGAAGAAGAAUAAACAGUGCCAAGGUGAUCUUGCUGAAGCCUGAGGCCUCAGUUGAGGCCAUUCAAGGGCUCCGGUAACGACUACCUUACAUGUGAGACGAUCCUCACACAGGUUGGUACUGGUCUUUAUCCUGAUUAUUGUGCCUAUCAUAUGUAUUGGUAAUUUGGUAUUGUGCUACUGUUUGCCGAUUUCAUAAAGGAGUAAUUUGGAGCCUGAACUUGCAGGCAAAUCAUUACAUCGGGUGAUUUCAGUAGAACUGCACAAAAUGAUCAGAUGGACAGGUACUUCGGCUGCUACUAUGUACUCCAAAGUUCACUCAGACAAGCAUCGAUGUUGACAAGAAGUGCCUAUAUUCAUUCGAGUAUCAACCAGCGUCAACCAAUUGUCAAACUCCAAGUACUAGGAGAGUGAACGCCAAAAAUAUUGCUUGGUGCAUAGCCCAGAAAAACGCAGUCCAGUCUUUGGUCCCAACUUGUGCCUUUUGGUUAUCGACACAUAUGGUAGCGAACUAUAUGGCAUGGAGUCUAAAGAUUCCAGACAAGUUGGUUGACGCGUAUAUUCAUCUGGCACUUAAUCAGUCUGCACGCCAAGGAUGCUCCAUUUCAGUUGAACUGCACAAAAAAUUUGGGUGGUUCAUUUUCUCAACCGCCUCCUUUCUCGUCUGCAAUGUAGAAUUUUGGCGAGAUACAGGUCCAAGAUGAGCCAGUAAACUAGUUGGAUGAAGGUAGUGGCCAAGUUGCUCAAACCUCCCUCGGCACGAGGCCACUAUUUGAGGAUAAACCUACAAGCAAUGUUCAGAUUGUCUGUGCUGCCUCUUAUGUACUCGAAAGUUUACUCGUACAAGAACUAAUUUUAGCAAGAAGUACCUCCGAUUGAACACCAUCUACCAGUCUGUACCCUAGGUAAUUAAAGUUCGUCCAUGGAUCAUAUUGGCUGUGAUCUCAAUCAUUUGGAUGCAUAAACAUACUGAACAUGUGUAUAUCUGAAUCUUUUUGUGAAUUAUGUAUGAAUAUUGUUGUGUGAUCUAUCAAUCAUUUGGAUGCAUAGAUAUGCUGAGCUUGUGUAUAUAUGAAUCUUUUGAGUUGUUGAUAGUGAAUGUUGGCUAUGAAUAUGAACGUGUCCUGUGAACCUGAGUUUGAUAUGAAUGUUUACCUUUUCUGUUGUAUUUGUGUGUGAACUUGUUAGUAUGCCUACUAUGGGGUAUAAAACGCAGGUCUCUUAUAAAAUUAAUGUUGUGUCCAAUUUAUGUUUUCCCUUCUAACCACAUUAUAUGUACUAGCAAAAGGGCCCGUGCAUUGCAACGGGAAAAAAUAUGGCACACACUUACGUUCUAUUCUUCUUUACCGGGUCUGUCAUUACAUGUGCUCCGGUGUAAUAACAUCAUAAAUUACCAAACUGCCUUAGGAGUUUUUGUCUCAGGCACCACAGUGAGAAUGAUUGACAAUAUGAGCAUCACCAGCCUGAAGAAAGUUGUUGCUGUUAUGACCGGCAUGGCCAAGAGGAUAUAUGAUGCGCACUAACAUCCAACAACAACAUUUCUCAUGGUUUCGGUUUUUUUUUCUGAACCAGUGCUAUAUUUGAUUAUUUGGCACAAAAAAGUUGUAAUUCUUUCACUCCAACUACGGCCAACAUGGCUCGUCAUUCUUCCAAAAGAUGUCCCUUAUGAUAUAUUUUUCAGAAAAAAGGAGUGCAUUAUCUCCUUGCUGUCAUCUAACUGAAGGAAACUGAAUGUGAAAAUUUAAGUGUAUAUAGACUGACCCACUCGGAGUGCAUACAAAAAUAUUUUUAUCCAAGUCAUUAGUGCAAACACUGUACCUCCAAUGUCCAUCUGCAUCUACAUGUCUAGGUCUAAUCUUAACCAAGAAUGAAACUACCAAGCAAACUGAGACAACAGUAGCCGACCCCGGGCAGCAGGUGGUCAGGGAUCAUCAGCAGAGAAACAUGAAGUCGGCUGACGACCGCCGAGAAUGGAUAGGCCCAUCUCGCUCUCGUGGCUGCUGUGGUGGCUCCCGGGCCUCUCCAUGGCCCCUCCACUCUGAGUCCAUAGCCCGACCUCGGCAUUCCGCCUCCAUCCUCCUCCGCCCUCUGUCCCGCAUGCUCCUCCACACCUCCCUCUCCAAGCCGACGAAUCCGACCUUCCCCUCACUGGAUCCGGUCCACCACGAGCCUCAAGCCACCCUGCCGCCACGCUCGUGUCCAUGUCGUGCGUGGUGUAGAAGUGGCCAGCGUGUGGAAUAGGCUGCGUCGUAGGCAUCUGCGUGCUGCGCCUCCGCCGGACUGCCGUUUUGUUGUACAAUUUCCCUUCGUUCUCAUUCUGUGUUUGUUGAUUCAAGAGGCUUGUUGUUGAUAUGCAAUUUUCCUAGGUAUAUAAACUGGUAGACUUUCAUGUAAGCAAUCGAGGUGGGAUUACUCCGAGUACAUGUGUGAAAAUCAGGUAAGGUACAGAUACGGAAGCGUGCAUGCAGACCAAAACAUGCAUGCAGGCCCAAUAAGAGAAUGUGGAUGUGGACUAAUUGGAUGGACAAAGUUUUUAGUACCGCCUCGCAGCAAUUGGACGGACUGUCGAUCAAAACUAACGGAAAAAAACAGAAAGCGUAAAUUCAUGGAAAGAAGCGUAUUCUGACGGUGAAACCAAAGAGUCAAUCCGUGCUUUAUUAUUAGGGAAAGAUUUAUAUUAUUACUAUUAUCGUAUAUUUUAUAGAGACUCAUAUAUACAUUAUAAAAACAUCCCACGUGUUAUUAACUUAUUAAAGUAAAUGUUUAACGGAAGUUGGCAAGGAAAAUCCUGGUUGUUUUUGACUCACAGGCAAGGAAAAUCCUGGUGAUUGCGUACAAAAGCUUGCGAAGAUUUUAAGGACCAAUUUAAUAAUAACGCGCUCAUUUUUAUUUUGAGCAAUAACUUGCUAAUUUCUUAAUUAUAUAUAUAUAUAUGUGCCUCUCCGGUUUAUUCUUUGAUAUUAAUUGCUCCUUCUAACAUAACAUUAUAUAUAUAACGAGCCCACCUAAUACGUGUAUUUCAAGGAAAUGCAAAUGGGCUGGGAUUUCUUAGAAAAUAUAAAUGGGCCUCAUUGACGUGUGGACUGUACAUUCUAGAAAACAUGGGUUAAAUAUAUGCCACAUUUUUGCAGGCUGACAUGUGGGCCAAUAGGUCAAAGCCUACGCAGAGCGUUGUCCACUUGGUCAACAAAUGAUUGUGUCAUCCAUAGCCAUUGGAUUUAUAUCCAACGGCCGGCAUGCACCUUCAAUCUCUCAUAUUCUUCCUCCAGCAUCGCCGGAACCGCCUGGUCCGGCCUCCAACGGCUAGCGGCUCUGCUUAGCACGCAUCGCUGAGAAGCGCUACCCCACCGCUGGCCAGGCUAUCCCUCCACCCCUCGACACCUCCUGUUAUUCUCCACAGACUACAGCCCCACGCCGCAACAGAACCAGUUAUAACUCUUCUCCUCCUCUCAAUCUGCGACUCCACUGCCGCGUUUUCCCAUCUCCGAGCCGUUCCCAUCCGGGGCCUCGCCGUUGUCCACCGCCUCGCUGCAUUCGGUGUGGCAUGGUCAACAAACGAGAGUCGUUGGAAGAGGACUAUACGUGGAGAGCCUGACGGCUGGGACCCACGAGGUCCAUGGUCGCACGCAAGGAAAGUUCCUCCUUAUUAAGCUGGAAAAAAUAUUUCCUCCACCUGACAGCUGGGACCCACCGGCUGUAUCUUCGCACGGAAGGAAGUGCCUCCUUGUUUUGUGAAAAAAAAAAUUAUUCAUCCCGCUGACAGCUGGGACCCGUCAGAUUUGGUGACUGACUUGUGGGCCUACUAAGCGGACAUGUACGCACGGCUUUGUCAACUUAAUCAACAAAUGAUUCUAGCAGCUGGACCGUUGGAUGUUAGUCCAACAGCCGUGCUCCUUCUUCAACCUCUGUUCUUGCUCCUGUCUCCCGUGGGUGGCACCGCGUCUGUGCUGCCGCGCACCCGAACCAGUGAAGUUUCCCACUCCUCUCCAUCUGCAACUCCACUGCCCCAUCUUCCCCAUCUCCUGGUCGUUCCAGUCUGGGUGCGCUCGGCACGGUGUGGUCAACAUGGUCAACAACCGAGAGUCAUCGGAAGAUGACUGUACGUGAGAGGCUGACAGUGGGGACACACCAUGCCCAUGGACGCAUGCAUGCAACGGAACGCGGCGAGGUCAACGUGGUCAAGGAACGACUUCCAUCGGAAGUAUACUGUACGUGGAGAGUCUCAGCUGGGUCCACGGCCGCAGCAAGUAAAUGCCUCCUUAUUACGCGGAAAAUAAUGAUUCCUCCAACUGACAGCAGGGACCCACUGGACGGGCCACCGUAUUUUGCGAAAAAAAACAUUUGCCCCCUGACUACUGGGACCCACCUUAUGGGCCACCGUAUUUCGCGAAAAAAAUGAUCCCCCCGCUGUCAGCUCGGACCCACCGGAAGUGCCUACUUAUUAUGCACAAAAAAAUGAAUACUCCCCCGGCUACCUGGGACCCACCUUGGUGGGACGCUGACUUGUGGGCCUACUAAGUUUACGGGGAUGAAGGGCUUUGUCAACUUAGUCAAUAUGAACGAUUCUAGCUCCAGUGACCGUACGAUGCCCAUCCAACGGCCUAGUGCUUCUUCAACCUCUAGUCUUCUUGCUCCAGCCGCCCAAAGCAGCGCCGGUCGUGCCGCAUGCUCCUGCCUCCCGUGGCCGGCUGUGCUGCCACGGAGGCCUCACUGCCCCCUACCAUUCCCACCAUUGGCCAGGCCCUGCGGCGACGGCAGCCUCACACCGCAGCCGAACCAAUGAACCCUCGUACUCCUCUCUGCACGGGCUUCCACUGUCGCGUCUUCCCCACACUACUAGAAAAACCCCUACUAAUGGCGCACCUAGUAUAGCCAUUAAUGGCGCAUCUGUGGUGCGCCAUUAACAGCACGCCAUUAGUAAUUUUUACUAAUGGCGCACCACCUGGUGCGCCAUUAGUAUCUGGUAUACUAAUGGCGCACCGCGGGUGCGCCAUUAGUAUAGGCCAGGGUGCGCCAUUAGUAUGCCUCCCAGGGGCCAUGUAUAUCCAGGUGCUUUGGCAUACUAAUGGCGCACCACCACUGGAUGCGCCAUUAGUAACCAUGGCAUAUUAAUGGCGCACUUACCAGUGAUGCGCCAUUAGUAUGCUUUCUCAUACUAAUGGCGCACUGUCAUGUGAUGCGCCAUUAGUAUGAAUAUUAGGUUUUUUUAUUUUUUUAUUUUCUGUUUUUUGCACAGGUUACAGAAUGUAUAAUUUGACAAAAUAUAGACAGCACACAUCAACAACAGAUUCAUCGAAUACAAUAGAAGAUUAGUCUUUGAAUACAAUUCAUCAUAUUAGUCUCCUAAUACAAUUCAUCAUAUUAGUCUCCGAAUUGAAAAGACCGAACAAAGAUAGAACAUUAUAUUACAAGUCUCGAGACCGCGAGUAGCGAGUUUGUCUUCACAUUACAAGUCGAUAUCGAUCAUCUAAACUACCAUCACAUAGAAGAGAGCUGCGGUCAUCACGAUGAGCAUCAUCACGAUGAAACUCGUCUUCAUCCGGUUCCUCCAACGCUCCCUCCCCUCUCCCGCUAGAUAGCGGGCGUAUCUAGAUUCGGCCUCGGCCCUAGUGGUGUACCCUUUGUAACUGUUACCGCUAAAUCGGUGAACCUGUCUCCAACACUCCUCCCAGUCAUCGUAGACUCCGGGAACCUUACCCUUGUACACGACAUACGUCGGCAUCGCUAUGCACUAGCCAAACGAAACGUUAGUACCAAUUCACAGACAAUACAUAAGCAAUAUAUAAUUAUGCAACAGAACGAUCGGAAGAGAAAAGCAAGACAUUAAUAGCAUCGAUUACAUCUAAGUUGAACGACUCUCGAAACCAAAGAGACAUACUACAAGUUCAUUAAAGUUUAAUUACAACAUGAGCCAAUCGAUGUUUCAGAACUAGACACAGCAUCACUGCUUUCGACUCGACUCAAGGGACCGGAGCGUGGAUGAAGCCGCCGUCUAUCGUGGAGUCAUAAAAUAACGGUCGUUGUCAGCCUGCAUUUGUAGCAUUGUGUCGAUGUCACUGUUGGACGGUUGAUUUCUAAGGUAGAACUGCCCCGAGGUACGAAGGACAUCUUGAUGGAUGAUUUCCGCAAACUCCGACUGGAUGUGAAAGAAUUCUUGUCGGAGGUCCGCGUCCUGGAUUUCCGACACGCUCGCGGCCCAAUCUUUGAGUUUACUCGGUAGCAAAAGUUGAUGAUGGUCCCGUACGAUCGCCCGCAUGUGAUGGAUGGCGUAGUAGGCACCCUUCUGACCGCCAGGCGGCUGCUUGACGCAGCAGAACGUCGUAUUGUGGGAGAACACGUGCUUGCUGUACUUACGAAUAGGCCUGGUGAAGGUGCCUCCAGAUUUGGCAUAGCCGGGGAGAACAUCAUCAAGAACCUUCUUGACAUUUGUGUAGUCUACGUUCGACUGACGGUCCGGGUCGAAAUACGUGGCCAUGGAAUAUUUGGGGCUUAGGAGGAUGAGCGUGCAACGUGUGUCACUGCAGAAAACACGGAAUGUUAAAAGAAAAACGAUCGAAAUGUAAGAAUUCAUAUGUUACGGGCCGGUUGAGGGGAGGACUUACUCGGGAAAGUAAGGCACGAGGAAGUUAUCCUUAUCUUGGUUUGCCAGAAUGACGCCUUCGAGGUAAGAACUCGCGACUUGCCGGUCCCCAGCGCUGCCCAAGAUCUUGGCACGCAUGUAGAAGGGGUCGACUAUCACGAUGUCCGGGGUCUUGUCGCGAAUGAUCCGCAUCUCCAUACUCAGCGAAAAUAGCCGAACGAAGGUGUAGUGCAGCGGAUGAAGGUUCAACAUAGCAUGGAUGUCAUCAAAACGCAGGACAAUCGUACGCCCGAUGGAGUUAUCCACAAAGCCCUUGCCCUCUGGCACCUUGGCCGCGAAAAUUGGGUAUGCCACAUCCUUCUCCCUGAGACGCCGCUUCUCCAAAGAAAGAACAUUGUCAUGCAGACUCCGCAUAGCACCGGUUGCAGCAUUGAGCAUAUUUGUCGGUAGCAUCGCCCUACCCACCACAUGCACCCUCCUCGGGAUAUCCUGCGGUGAAGGUGGCCCGUCCUAAGCACGGAUCGUACUCGGUGCCGGCUGGCUCGCACCCUUCUUAGUCUUUCUUUUGCGUGCCUUCUUCUUCUCCUGUAAUGGGACCGAGUUCUGCUCACAGACCGCCUUCUUGAGUGUGUUGGGGCUGAUAAUAUUUGGCACCUCGCCUAUCUGAGGCUCGGUGAAGUCGGCAGCUGGAGGCGUCUCCUGAGAGCUGAACGUCAGACGGCGCCUGUUGCAACUUGGCUUCUCCGCGGUACCAGCUAGAUCGCACACGUCUUUUGUUGGGUUUGGUUCUUGAGAAGGAGGCCCCAUGAAGUCGCCAUCGUACCCAUGAUCGGCAAAGUACUGAUCGACGUUGCCAAAUGUAUCGUCGUCGUCGUCGUCGUCGUUCUGAUCUUGUGCCAUAUGCAUGUUUGGAUCCAGUGGCAUAGGGAUGUCCGGCACCGUUACGGCGGUCUUGCCAUGGGGCCGACUUGGCGCCGGCACGACUGGCGGUGUUGUCUUUGGGGUGGUGUCCCCCGCCCCCAAACGAAUCUGGCUCUUCGGCCAAAGCAGGGGCCAGCUCAGGCAGGCGCUAAGGGUCAUCACGUCUUCAUCGUCAGCCCCGACGGGUCGAAUCGGAGGUAACAAGUCGUCGCAGCCUGGUAGCACCCGAACCAGUUGAACCCUAAACAAGUUGGGUGGCAUCUGGGUAGUCAUUUCCGGUCUUCUUGGCCUUUUUGCCUUUGCGAUGACUUUAUGUGUCCUGCUUCGCCUCAUCAUCAUCAUCAUCAUCAUCAUUAUAUAUAGCGUGAAGCUCCUGCCUGAUGCCCAUUGAUUUCAAGUCUGCCCUUGCUUUCGGCCCAUCUUUGGUCCUCUCUGGCAUGUUGAGCAGGGUACCAAGCAGACUCUCGCACACGUUCUUUGUGAUAUGCAUGACAUCAAGGCUGUGAGGCACACGGUGGAUCUUCCAGUACGGCAAGUCCCAGAAAACAGACCUCGUUUUCCAUACCUUCAGCAGCGGCUCUGGCGCCUUUUGCUUCUUUCCCGGCAGUGGGUAGUCUUUCCAAUUUUUCAACAGCUUGUCUAUUUCCUCGCCGCUCCUCGUACACGGGCGUUUUCGGGGUUCGGUUUCACCAUCGAACAGAUCCUUGCGUUUCCUCCACGGGUCAUUGUCGCGAAGCCACCUUCGAUGUCCCAUGAACACGGUUUUCGAAGACCCGGGAUCUCUAUCUAGCUGGCGAUACGUUGUGUCAUCCAUGCACCUUACGCAUCCAGAAAAUCCGUGGACUACCUGCCCCGCAAGAUAUCCGUAACCGAGAUAGUCGUGCACCGUCGUGAGCAGUGCGGCUCUCAUAGGGAAAUAUUCUUUCUCUGCGGCGUCCCACGUAUUGGCUGGCGUUUUCCACAGCGUGUCAAUCUCCUCUUUCAGCAGCCCCAGAUACAGAUUGAUGUCGUUCCCUGGUUGUUUCGGCCCUUCAAUUAGCAUACUCAUGUAAAUGUACUUCCUCUUAAUGCACAACCAGGGGGGAAGGUUGUACAUCCACACGAACACAGGCCAGGUGCUAUGUGUGCUUCUCUGGCUGCCAAACGGAUUGACUCCAUCGGUGCUCGCGCCCAGCAUGAUGUUCCUUGGAUCGUUCCCAAAUUCUGGGUAUUCGAAGUUCAACGCUUGCCACUGGCUCGCAUCCUUAGGGUGACUCAGCAUCUUGUCUUUUUUAUCUAUCUCCGGAUCAUUUGCGUCAUCUUCUCGCUUCUUCUCCUCCCUAUCCGCGUGCCAACGCAGGAUCUUUGCUACCUUAGGUUCCGCGAAAUACCGCUGCAGACGAGGAGUGAUCGGAAAGUACCACACCACUUUUCGAGGAGCUUUAUUCCUCUUCUUGUAUCGAGUGACACCGCACACCGGACAUAUGGUAGACUCCGCGUGCUCGUCCCGAUAAAUGAUGCAAUUGUUCAUGCACACAUGGUAUUUCACGUGCGGUAAACCAGAGGACACACGAUUUUCUUCGCCUCCUCCAAACUGGUCGGUCACUUGUUCCCCUUGGGAAGACGUUCGUGCCAGAAUGACAUGUUCUCGCCGAAGCAUGCGUCGGUCAUUUUGUGUUUUACCUUCAUCUCCAGAGCCAUGAGCGUUACUUUCAGGCGGGUAUCCUCGGGCCUGCAUCCUUCAUACAAUGGAGUAACCGCGUCUAACUCAAGUUGAUCCAUCUUGGCUUUCUCUCGGGCGGCAGCUCUUGCGUUAUCCGUCUGCUUGAGAAGCAGCUCUUGAAUAUGAGGGUCCUGCACCCAGCCCAUCGAUGGUCCAGCGUCGUCUGCUCCGCCGGCAUCAUCAUCAUGUCCUGCAUCUUCUACAUGAUGACUGUGUACAGCAUCACCAUCGUGAUCAUCUCCUGGGGAUUCUUCGUCUUCUCGCCCCCCGAGCCGCGGUGGUUGUCUUGCUGCCCUUCCUCAUUUCUUGCCCGGCCCCCAUGGACGACUUCGUAGUCAUCUUCAUCACCUUGCCACCGAUAGCCAUCCAUGAAACCACGCAAGAGCAGGUGGUCCCGCACCUACCCGGAAUCCGGGUCCGCAAUAAGGCUAUUCAGCUUGCAUCUUCGACACGGACAUCUUAUCUCCGUCUCGUUCUUUUGAAGCAUCUCGGCCUUCGCGGACCUCAAAAACCUAUUCAUGAUGCCUUCGGUCAUCGUGCGGACCAUGGUCGCCUGCGGGGUAGAGCAAAACGAUAUUUUAGAACCAAGAAAAAAUUUGGCAUGACUUUCCCUAAAAAUAGGACCAAAAAGAAUGCUUAAUGCCAAAAUUCUCGCCGAAACGGAAAUGAAUCAACAUUCCGGCAAAAUAUUGGCAACUAUCGCAUUUCAAAUACCGGUACACCUCCAAACACAAACACAUAUGCAACACCACAAACAUAUGCAACACCACGAACAUACAUAGAUCUAGAUAGGCCAUAAAAAGUGCAUGUGCACAUUGUUGUAGGGAGAACAACAUAAAUAUAGCUUCCCCCCUUACUUACCUAGCAAAAUAAGGUAACUUAACCACUUAAUUUGAAUGAAUCUAUGGUGGAAAUGAGGUGAAAAAGAGGAGGCACCCGAGACAAGGAGGAGGCGGUGGAGAGAAUGAAGUGGGGAGAAAGUGAGUGUGGGAGGAGAGGCUGUCCAAAAUAUCUUGUUGCUGCCCACUUACUAAUGGCGCACCAGCAACAAAUGCGCCAUUAGUAAUCCAGGUUACUAAUGGCGCACCCCCUGGUGGUGCGCCAUUAGUACUUUUGCAAAAAAAGGAAUAAAAACAAUAAUAAAAAAAAUAACAUUAGUGGCGCACCUUCUGGCUGGUGCGCCAUUACUAGUUACAACUAGUAAUGGCGCACCACCAGUGGAUGCGCCAUUAGUAUGUUUGGACAGGCGCACUAGUUCAAAAAAAUGGUACUAAUGGCGCACCAUGGGCAGGGUGCGCCAUUAGUAGUUUCAACACUAAUGGCGCAUCAGAAGGUGGUGCGCCAUUAGUAUAUACUAAUGGCGCACCACAUGUCUGGUGCGCCAUUAGUGUCAUUUCCAUCUAUAGCCCUUUUCCUAGUAGUGCCGGCUCCGUGUCGUCCCCUUCCUAGGCCUCGCUGUCGUCCACUGCCGUGGUGCUCUCCGCGCAGUGUGGUCAAUGUGGUCAACGAACGACUUCCAUCAGAAGAUAUUGUAUGUGGAGAGGCUGAUAGCUGGGUCCACGGCCACAGCCCAGUUUUUUUGUGAUUUCCCAAGUAAGUCGCUUUGUCAGGCCUGUUGGGAUGCAAAUCUUUCAAGACGAGGAGAGCUUUCAUUCGGCUGGCCGAGAAAAUGUCCCAUCAGUAAUGAGAAAUGGGUGUCCCAACUUAGCCCAUCACAAGCUCUCACAAUCAACGAAGGAUAUUCCUUCUCCCGGAACAACCCGAUCAGACUCGAAAUCCCGGUUAUGAUACAUUUCGACAAAGGUAAAGCAAGACUAGCAAGACCGCGUGGAUCUGCCGACAAAUCCCGAUAGGAGCUGCACAUAUCUCGUUCUCAGGGCACACCGGAUGAACACUACAUACAGCUAAAACCAGCCCUCAAGUUUCCCCGAGGUGGCGCUGCAAGUGGCUCUAGGUUGGACCAACAUUCGGGGGGUUAAAAUAAAGAUGACCCUCGGGCUCGCGAAAACCCAAGGAAAGUUAUAGGUUGUUAGGAAAAUGUAAAAACCAAGGUUGGGACUUGCUGGAGGAGUUUUAUUCAAAGCAAACUAUCAAGGGGGGCCCAUAACCCCAACCACAUUAGGACCGCAAAAUCAAGGAACAUAAUACCGGUAUGACGGAAACUAGGGCGGCAAGAGUGGAACAAAUCACCAGGCAUAAGGCCGAGCCUUCCACCCUUUACCAAUUAUAUAGAUGCAUUAAAAUUAAACAAUAGAUAAUAUGAUAUCCCAAACAUAUCCAUGUUCCAACAUGGAACAACCUGCAAGACACUUGCAACUAGCAACGCUAUAAGAGGGGCUGAGCAAAGCGGUAACAUAGCCAAUCAAUGGUCUGCUAGGAAGGUGGGUUAGAGGCUUGACAUGGCAAUAUGGGAGGCAUGAUAAACAAGUGGUAGGUAACGCGACAUAGCGAUAGAAUGAACAACUAGCAAGCAAAGAUAGAAGUGAUAUCGAGGGUAUGGUCAUCUUGCCUGAGAUCCCGCAAGGAAGAAGAAUGAGUCCAUGAAGAUGACAAACGGAUGUAGUCGAACGGAUCCUCAGAAACGCAACGUAACUGGAACUAUCAAGAAGAAGCAACACCGGAAAGAAGCAAACAAUAUGGUAAACACACAAGCAUAAACCUGGCAUGAUGCACAAUCAAGUAUGAUGCAUGUCAAGUUUAAUGAGGCAUGGCAUGGAAAAGUGCAGAAACAACACUACAAAUUAAGUGGAGCUCACUAUGCAACGAGUUGCAUAUUGACGAAACACCACAUUUGGUUAUUUAGUUCUCUCUCGGUUAUGUACCCAACAAUAUUAAAUGUUGUUAAGUAUGGCAAGAGGUGAAGCAAAAGUAAACUACACAUUCUAAGCAAUUUAAAUGGGGUCAGAAACAUCAAACAACAAUUCCGGUAAAUACCCAUAUGCAUUUAACAAUUUAAUGCAAACAACAAUUUAAACAUUUUAAAUGUUGUUAUCAUGAUGCGGAUGACAUGUGCAAGUUUUUAUACAAUCUUUAUGAAAAGGUUACAUGAGAAUGUUAUGAAUAGCCAUGACGAAAUGAAAAGGGGUGCCAUGGCGGUGAAUCCGAAAAUGAUGCCAUGGCAACAUAUCGAUUCCGAUAGCUCACGGAGAUAUGGUGCAAAAGAAGCAAGUGUGCGGAUGUGUGGAACACGCAAGAGAUGGUGGGGUGCUCCCGGUUACCGGGUUCCCACGGGUCGACGGUGGUGUCAAACGAGGGAACAACUAACGUUCAUGGGCGGAUACAACAUCCAAACAUGCAUCUCAUACUGUCGGCGUUCUGGGAACGGGGGUCCCUAGACUUGCCUGCCUGCGGCCCAUGGCGUGGCUGAGCUAGCAGGCCCAAGCGGCCCAUCUUCAUUGACAAGGCAUUCAAGACCCUCGCGAGGGGCCAAGCCUCGCGAGGCGGACGAUGCAAGACCUCCUCAGGAGCGGCCUCGCCAGGCAGGCUCACGAGGGGCGGAGAGAUCAAGGCAAGGCAAACCUCGCGAGGUCCUCGUGACGUGAGCCAUGAUGAUCGAGACCAGGCGGGCGCCAGCGCGUGUAGUGUCCUUGCUUCCUCUUUGGUGCCAAGGGGGCAAGCGCAGGCGCGGAGUACCGAGGCAUCAAGCAAAGGUUUCCAUACUGGUGCAACGAGACCAAGACUAGAAGGACGGCUGGACGGAGGUCACCAUGGAGCCCAAGACAGCGUCACCACCAGAGCCUUUACCAGGCGAAGACUACUUUUGUCAGGAUAAGCUGUACUAGUUGUCCCCUUUCGAAUUGGCCGUUGUGGCAUCCCUUCCCGCUCAAUAUUUGGGGAGAGGACCAGGGCCUAUAUAAGUAGAACUAGCUACCACAAUAGGGGGGCUGAUUGGGGACGGAUCCAAGAUCAUCUCACCCACACAAGUUCGCCAAGCACAAGAGCACCUAAACCUCAGGAGGCUGUUCUUCCCCUUGUACUGUUCAUCAUCAGCCCAAGAGGCAAUCCACCACCACCACACUGGAGUAGGGUAUUACACCACAACGGUGGCCCAAACCAGUAUAAAUCUCGUGUCUUUUUGUGUUGUGAGUUCGUCGAGUUCGUCCGCGAGAUCUUAGAGAGCUAGGAUGUGGAUCGAUAGGGAGAAAACCUUCACGCGCACCCCAGUGUUCGAACCUUGAGGGUUUUUCGGAACCCGUGAUCCAACAUUUGGCGCGCCAGGUAGGGGUGCGCCAAAGCUUCCUUCCGUCGCUCCACGCUCCGUCGCUUCGUCGUCCCCAUGGCAGACACGCGCUGCGCUCGUGCUGAGCGUCGGGCUGCCCUCACCGCCCACAUCGCUCAGACGGCUCCCAUCGGCGGGCCCGGCAGGGAACGAGCAGCAAGCAUCCUCGCUGCACCCCUCGGUGCGGCGGGACGGCUGCACCGCCACUCCAUCGCUGACCCCGGCAGGUUCUUCUGCCCAUGCACGUCGCCCUCCCAUGGAUGCACGGGCCGCGCUCCUCAUGGCGCACAAGCUCAUGCGCUACCGACCAGUCGAUGACCUCUACGAGGACUGGCUCGACCGCAUCACCGAGCUUGUCCGUACCGCAGGGGGCUCUCCAGUGCCGUCCCUCUCUCUGCCUCGCCCUCCACCAGCUACGGGCGUCGUGGCUCCCGGAGCGCCUCCGCCACCUCUGCCCCAAGACGGCUCCCUGGAGCCAAGGUGUGCGGCUCCACGACGCGACCCGCCGCGUCCCACGCCCGCACGUGAAGAAAGAAGCUGUCAAGAAGUCCCUCGAUCGCAAGCAAACGCUCCGCCACUCCUCGCGCCACCGCGCCAGGACCGGCUUCCGCGGCAAGACCGCGCGCCACCUGUAGCGGUAGGGUGCGGACCCCAUCAAGACCAAGCUCCACUCCCAAGGCGGGCCCUGGUGACCACAGCUGGCUGCUGCGCUUUCACCCCAAGCUGCGUAGCGUCGCUUGGCUGGGCAAGUUCAAGCCGGAUCUGCCUCCUCGCUACGACGGCACCCCCGACACCGCGGAGUUCUUGCAGCUCUACGAGCUGAGCAUCGCAGCGGCCAACAGCGACGAGAAAGUCAGGGCGAACUGGUUUCCCAUGGCUCUCAAAGAGGGCGCCUGCUCCUGGCUCCUGAACCUACCUCCAGACUCGAAUCUCCUCCUGGGACGAGAUGCGCAACCGCUUCAUCGCCAAUUUCCAGGGCACUCGCAACCGCCCCCCGGUCGCGAGCGACCUGCACCGCAUCAAGCAACAUCCAUGAGAGACCCUGCAGAAGUACAUUCAGCGCUUCAACAACGCACGGAUUAAGAUCCCAAGGUGACCGAUGAGGCCAUCAUCUCUGCCUUCUUGAUAACCCACAAGUAUAGGGGAUCGCAACAGUUUUCGAGGGUAGAGUAUUUAACCCAAAUUUAUUGAUUCGACACAAGGGGAGCCAAAGAAUAUUCUCAAGUAUUAGCAGCUGAGUUGUCAAUUCAACCACACCUGGAAACUUAAUAUCUGCAGCAAAGUAUUUAGUAGCAAAGUAAUAUGAUAGUGGUGAUAACGGUAAAAAAAGGUAACAGUAGUAAAAGUAAUGUUUUUGGUAUUUUGUAGUGAUGAUAGCAAUAUGAUAGCGCGGGGACCGGGGCUACGACCGAGGAGGAGGACGUGGAGGCGGACUCCUGGACGACCGUGGCCCGCGCCAUGAUAGCGCGGCGACCGGGGCUACGGCCGAGGAGGAGGACGUGGAGGCGGACGCCUGGACGACCGUGGCCCGCGCCAGGAGUGGCGCGACCGGCCUCGCGAGGACCGCUGGCAGGAUUAUCCUUGCGAGGGCGCCUGGAGGGAUCAGCCUUGUGAGGAACGUCCUCAAGGCAAUGCCAGACUCCCUCCACUGGUGCCACCGCCAAGAAGGAAUGACGAACACCAUCAAUACGAGGGGGCUGGGGGCUUCCAGGAACCGCGUGCUAUCGCCUGCAUCUUGGGCGGUGCCCAGGCCCUAGCCUCGUAGCGUAUCUUCAAGCAGUUUGCUCGUGAAGUGAAUGCAGUCCUCCCCAAGCUCGAGGCCACACGCCCACUCAGAUGGUCCCAGUGCCCCAUCACGUUCAAUUCGGCAGAUUAGCUCAAGUGUGCGGCUACCGCUGGCGCACUCCUGAUGCUUUGCUCCCCAGUCAUCAGCAACAUGCAAGUUACCAAGACCCUCAUCAACAGCGACGCAGGGCUCAACAUCCUGUCCGUCGACACAUUCGACAGCCUCAAGUGCCAUAUGACCAACUUCAGCCCACCAAGCCUUUCUCAGGAGUGACCGACGGUUCCACCACACCGAUAGGGCAGGUCCGCCUCCCUGUCACCUUCGGCGAAUGCAAGAACUACCACACUGAGCUCAUCGACUUCGACGUCGCGCACAUUCAUCUGCCAUAGAAUGCCAUCCUCGCGUAUCCAGCCCUGGCUAAGUUCAUGGCGGUGACCCAUCACGGCUAUAAUGUCCUUAAGAUGUCGGGAAGCGGCGGGAUCAUCACGGUCCCAUGUGAAGAAAGAGAUGCGGUGUGCUCCCUCGAGUGUGCCUUCCAAGCAGCAGCAAUCGACGGCCCCGACAGCAAGGGCGAGGGCCCUCCUUUUAAUAGAGAACUGGAACAAAGCAUUAACACAUAGUGAAUACAUGAACUCCUCAAACUACGGUCAUCACCGAUAACUAUCCCGAUUAUUGUCACUUCGGGGUUACCGGAUCAUAACACAUAAUAGGUGACUAUAGACUUGCAAGAUAGGAUCAAGAACACUAAUAUAUUGAUGAAAACAUAAUAGGUUCAGAUCUGAAAUCAUGGCACUCGGGCCCUAGGGACAAGCAUUAAGCAUAGCAAAGUCAUAGCAACAACAAUCUUAGAACAUAGUGGACACUAGGGAUCAAACCCUAACAAAACUAACUCGAUUACAUGAUAGAUCCCAUCCAACCCAUCACCGUCCAUCAAGCCUACGAUGGAAUUACUCACACACGGCGGUGAGCAUCAUGAAAUUGGUGAUGGAGGAUGGUUGAUGAUGACGAUGGCGACGGAUUCCCCUCUUCGGAGCCCUGAACAGACUCCAGAUCAGCCCCCCCGGGAGGUUUUAGGGCUUGGCGGCGGCUCCGUAUCGUAAAACGAGAUGAUUUCUUCUCUCUGAUUUUUUUCUCCCCGAAACUCAAUAUAUGAAGGUGGAGUUGGAGUCGGAGAGGCAACAGGGGGCCCACAAGGUAGGGGGCGCGCCCCCCACCCUCGUGGCAAGGUGGUGGCCCCCUUGCCUUCAUCUUUGGCACGUAUUUUUCUUAUUUUCUGAGAAGUGUCUCCGUGAAGUUUUAGGUCAUUCCGAGAAUGUUUGCUCCUGCACAUAAAUAACACCAUGGUAAUUCUGCUGAAAACAGCGUCAGUCCGGGUUAGUUCCAUUCAAAUCAUGCAAGUUAGAGUCCAAAACAAGGGCAAAAGUGUUUGGAAAAGUAGAUACGUUGGAGACGUAUCAACUCCCCCAAGCUUAAACAUUUGCUUGUCCUCAAGCAAUUCAGUUGACAAACUGAAAGUGAUAAAGAAAAACUUUUACAAACUCUGUUUGCUCUUGUUAUUGUAAAUAUGUAAAGCCAGCAUUCAAGUUUUCAGCAAAGAUUAUAACUAACCACAUUUGCAAUAACGCAUAGGUCUCAAGUUUACUCAUAUCAAUAGCAUAAUCAACUAGCGAGCCAUAAUAAUAAAACUCGGAUGACAACACUUUCUCAAAACAAUCAUAAUAUGAUAUAACAGGAUGGUAUCUCGCUAGCCCUUUCUGAGACCGCAAAACAUAAAUGCAGAGCACCUUUAAAGACCAAGGACUGACUAGACAUUGUAAUUCAUGGUAAAAGAGAACCAUUCAAGUCACACUCAAUGUAAACUAAUAGUAAUGAUUGCAAAUGACAGUAGUGCUCUCCAACUGGUGCUUUUUAAUAAGAGGAUGAUGACUUAGCAUAAAAGUAAAUAGAUAGGCCCUUCACAGAGGGAAGCAGGGAUUUGUAGAGGUGCCAGAGCUCGGUUUUGAAACAGAGGUGAAUAAUAUUUUGAGCGGUAUACUUUCAUUGUCAACAUAACAACCAAGAGAUGGCGAUAUCUUCCAUGAUACACACAUUAUAGGCAGUUCCGAAACAGAAUGGUAAAGUUUAUACUCCCCCUUCCACCACAAGCAUCAAUCCAUGGCUUGCUCGAAACAACAAGUGCCUCCAGCUAACAAGAGUCCCAGGGGGAGUUUUGUUUGCAAUUAUUUUGAUUUAGUUUGCAUAAAGCAUGGGACUGGGCAUCCCGGUGACCAGCCAUUUAUCUCGUGAGUGAGGAGCGGAGUCCACUCCUCUUGAGAAUAACCUGCCUAACAUGGAAGAUACAGACAGCCCUAGUUAAUACAUGAGAUAUUCGAGCAUACAAAACAUGAUAUUUAUUUGAAGGUUUAGAGUUUGGCACAUACAAAUUUACUUGGAACGGCAGGUAGAUACCGUAUAUAGGUAGGUAUAGUGCACUUAUGUGGAAUAACUUUGGGGUUUAAUGGAUUGGAUGCACAAGCAGUAUUCCCGCUUAGUACAGGUGAAGGCUAGCAAAAGACUGGGAAGCGACUAGCUAGAGAGCGACAACAGUCAUGAACAUGCAUUAAAAUUAAACAACACCGAAUGCAAGCAUGAGUAGGAUAUAAUCCACCAUGAACAUAAAUAUCGUGAAGGCUAUGUUGAUUUUGUUUCAACUACAUGCGUGAACAUGUGCCAAGUCAAGUCACUUAAAUCAUUCAGAGGAGGAUACCACCCUAUCAUACCACAUCAUAACCAUUUUAAUAGCAUGUUGGCACGCAAGGUAAACCAUUAUAACUCAUAGCUAAUCAAGCAUGGCACAAGAAAUUAUGAUCUCUAGUUGUCAUUGCAAACAUGUUUAUUCAUAAUAGGCAAAAUCAGGAACGAUGAACUAAUCAUAUUUACAAAAACAAAAGAGGCCGAGUUCGUACCAGCUUUUCUCAUCUCAGCCAGUCCACCAUAUAUCAUCAUAAUUGCCCUUCAUUUGCACGACCGAACAAUGUGAAUAAUAAUAAUAGUGCACGUGCAUUGGACUAAGCUGGAAUCUGCAGGCAUUCAAUAAACAAGAGAAGACAAGGCAAUAUGGGCUCUUUUGUCAGAUAAACAAUAAUGCAUAUAAGAGCCACUUAAAUAAUUUAAUUAUGGUCUUCUCCUAUUGACCCCAAAGAAAAGAAAAGAAAUAAAACUAUUUACACGGGAAGGCUCCCAACAAGCAAAAGAAGAACAGGAAAUAUUUUUGGGUUUUCUUUUUAAUUACUACUACAAGCAUGGAAAAGUAAACUAAUUAAAAUCUACAGCUAAUUUUUUGGUUUUUCUUAAGGUUUAUUAAACACACAAGAAGAAAGCAUAAAAAGAAAAAUAAACUAGCAUGGAUGAUACAAUGAAAAAGUAUGAGCACCGACAUCUAGCAAUGAGUGUGUGAGCAUAAAUGUAAUGUCGGUGAGAAAUACAUACUCCCCCAAGCUUAGGCUUUUGUCCUAAGUUGGUCUAUGGCCACGGCUGGCCUGGCUGAUAUCCAUAAUAGUAGCUGGGGUCACACUAUGAUGCAGCAGCUAUCGCUUGCUGAGCUGCAGCGUGGCGACGAGCGACCUCCUCUCUCCUCUCGUACUCAUCUGCCUCCUCUCUGGUAAUAGUAUAUCCUCCUCUUGCCUGAUAAUCAAAGAAAGCAGGAGCAGGGAGAGUAAUACGGACAGCACGGCGUCUGUUAAAGAUUAGUCGAUACUGGAGAGGUGAUUCGUUCCUCUUGAAAAACUGGUGGUGAACCAUAGCAUUAAAAUCUAGAUAGGCAGGAGGCAAUUCAAUAUCAUCUUCGCGUACAUCUAUACCAAGAAAGUUAGCUACGCGGGUUGCAUCAAUUCCAUCAAAAAAAUCUCCAUUAAAUCUAUUAAGAUGCAACCUACGUGCAACAAUGGCUCCCAAAUUAUAAGAUUGGUCUCCUAACACAGCACUCCUAAGAAUACUGAGAUCGGGGACACACAUGUGACAUGCCUCAUCUUUACCAUUAAUGCAUCUACCUAUGAAGAGAGCAAAAUAAUGUAUAGCGGGAAAGUGAAUGCUCCCUAUGGUAGCUUGUGUAAUAUCUGUAGAUUCUCCCACAGUUAUGCUAGCAAGAAAAUCUCUAAAUUCAGAUUUGCGAGGAUCCAUUAUACUACCCCACUGUGGAAGUUUGCAUGAAGUGGUAAAAUCCUCUAAGUGCAUGGUAUAAGAUUUAUCAUAAAGAUCAAAUAGGACAGUUGGAGAAUUACGUGAAGUUGAAAAUUCAAACCUCCUCACAAAGGAACUAGUGAGAUUCUGAUACUGACUGCACUUCUCUUCCUCGAAGCUCACGAGAUCAGCGUUACGAAAAUAUGCGUUGAAUUCUUCUCUUAUUCCCGCUCGAUCCAUAAAAUUUUCAGAAGGCCACUCACAAGGACGCACUGGAGCGUCUCUUGGUGGCUCUUCGUCAGCAUCACGCAUUGCAAGCCUAGGUCCUUGCUUCCUUGAAGAACCACCUUGGACAUUUUCCUAAGCAUUUUUCUUCCUCUGAAAAGUUCUGAAAAUUUUUAGUAACUUCAAAAUAAAAGUAAACCAAACUCAAUAAUAUUUAUAGUAACUACUCCUACAAGUGCCAAGGGCCUAUAUCAUGCAUCAAAACUACUUUUGACCAUAUAAAUUUGACAUGCAAGCUCAAGAACAGGGUCACCUAAGCAACACAAAUUUGCAAAGAAUAAAGCACUAGAACAAAAACUAAUUGGACCAAUGGGGGGUCACAUACCAAGGAACAAUCUCCCCAAGCAGUUUUGUGAGAGGUGCUUUGAGCAAGGAGAUCGAAAAUGGCAGCAAAACGAGCUUGGACUUGGGUUUGAGCUGAUUAUUCGUGUUUGGGGGGAAGAAGGGGUGUAUGGGUGAAAGGAUAAGUGGAGGAGGGCCACCAUGGGCCCACGAGGCAGGGGGCACGCCCUAGAGGGGUGGGCGCGCCCUCCACCCUCGUGGGCAGGUGGUUGGCCCCCCUGGUGUGUUCUCAGUUCCAUAAAUCCUCAAAUAUUCUAGAAAAAAUCAUAUUUAAUUUUCAGGGCAUUUGGAGAACUUUUAUUUUUGAGGUAUUUUUAUAUUGCACGGAUAAUCAGAUAACAGACAGACAAAUAUUUAUUUUUAUUUUAUUUAAUAUAAAUAACAGAAAGUAAAAGUGGGGUACAGAAGAUUGUGCCUUCUAGUUUCAUCCAUCUCAUGGUCAUCAAAAGGAAUCCACUAACAAGGUUGAUCAAGUCUUGUUACCGAACUCAUUCCGAAUAACAUGGAACCGGAGAAAUUUCGAAUAACACUAUGUUACCUCAACGGGGAUAUGCACGUCACCAAUAACAACAAUAUCAUAUUUCUUCUUGACAGUAGGAAGAGGAAAUUCAAAACCUCCAAAUAUAAUUGAUGGAAUUUUUCCAAUAGAGUUGAUACUAUGAACUUGAGGUUGUUUCCUUGGAAAGUGUACCGUGUCCUCAUUACCAUUAACAUGAAAAGUGACAUUGCCUUUAGUCCAAACAAUAACAGCCCCUAUAGUAUUCAAAAAGGGUCUUCCAAGAAUAAUAGACAUACUAUCGUCCUCGGGAAUAUCAAGAAUAACAAAGUCCGUUAAAAUAGUAACAUUUGCAACUACAACAGGCACAUCCUCACAAAUACUGACAGGUAUAGCAGUUGAUUUAUCAGCCAUUUGCAAAGAUAUUUCAGUAGGUGCCAACUUAUUCAAAUCAAGUCUAUGAUAUAAAGAGAGAGGCAUAACACUAACACCGUCUCCAAGAUCACAUAAAGCAGUUUUAACAUAGUUUCUUUUAAUAGAGCAUGGUAUAGUGGGUACUCCUGGAUCUCCAAGUUUCUUUGGUAUUCCACCCUUAAAAGUGUAAUUAGCAAGCAUGGUGGAAAUUUUAGCUUCCGGUAUCUUUCUUUUAUUUGUAAUAAUAUCUUUCAUAUACUUAGCAUAAGGAUUGGUUUUGAGCAUAUCAGUUAAUCACAUACGCAAAAAGAUAGGUCUAAUCAUUUCAGCAAAGCGCUCAAAAUCCUCAUCAUCCUUUUUCUUGGAUGGUUUGGGAGGAAAGGGCAUGGGUUUCUGAACCCAAGGCUCUCUUUCUUUACCGUGUUUCCUAGCAACAAAGUCUUUCUUAUCAUAACGUUGAUUCUUUGAUUGUGGGUUAUCAAGAUCAACAGCAGGUUCAAUUUCUAUGUCAUUAUCAUUACUAGGUUGAGCAUCAUUAUGAACAUUAUUAUUAGAAUUAUCACUAGUUUCAGUUUCAUUACCAGGUUGAGUUUCAGCAUCAGAAAUAGAAAUAUCAUUUGGAUUCUCAAGUCUUUCAACAAUAGGAUUACUAGAAGCAUGCAAAGUCCUAUCAUUUUUCUUUUUCUUCUUUUUAAAUGAACUAGGUGCAUCUAAAUUAUUUCUGUGAGAAUCUUGCUCAAUUCUCUUAGGGUGGCCUUCAGGAUACAAAGGUUUCUGAGUCAUUCUACCACCUCUAGUCGUAACUCUAACAGCAUUAUCAUUAUUCUUAUUACUCAAUUCACUGAGCAAAUCAUUUUGAGCUUUAAGUACUUGUUCUACUUGAGUGGUAACCAUAGAAGCAUGUUUACUAAUAAGUUUAAGUUCACCUUUGACAUUAGCCAUAUAAUCACCCAAGUGUCCAAGCAUAUUUGAAUUAUAUUUCAGUUGUCUACCAAAAUAAGCAUUAAAGUCUUCUUGCUUAGCCAUAAAUUUAUCAAACUCAUCUAAGCAUGGGCUAGCAAUUUUAGUAAAUGGGAUUACAACUUUAUCAUAUCUAUAGAGAGAAUUUACCUUUACUACCUGUGUCGGGUUAUCAAGACCAUGAGUUUCUUCAAUAGGUAAAGGAUUUGGACUAUAUGUUUCUUCAACAGGCGGUAAAUUAAGACCAUGUAUUUCUUCAAUAGGAGGUAAAUUCUUAACAUCUUCAUCUUUAUAACCUUUUUCUUUCAUAGAUUUCUUUGCUUGUUGCAUAUCUUCAGGACUGAGAAAUAGAAUACCCCUCUUCUUCGGAGUUGGUUCAGGAAUAGGCUCAGGAAUUGGUUCUAGAGGUGUCCAAUUAUUUUCAUUUGUCAUCAUAUUAUUCAAUAGAAUUUCAGCUUCAUCCUAUGUUCUUUCCCUGAAAACAGAACCAGCACAACUAUCCAGGUAAUCUCUGGAGGCAUCGGUUAGUCCAUUAUAAAAGAUAUCAAGUAUUUCAUUUUUCUUAAGAGGAUGAUCAGGAAAAGCAUUAAAUAAUUGGAGAAGCCUCCCCCAAGCUUGUGGGAGACUCUCUUCUUCAAUUUGCACAAAAUUAUAUAUAUCCCUUAAAGCAGCUUGUUUCUUAUGAGCAGGGAAAUAUUUAGCAGAGAAGUAAUAAAUCAUAUCCUGGGGACUACGCACACAACCAGGAUCAAGAGAAUUAAACCAUAUCUUAGCAUCACCCUUUAAUGAGAAUGGAAAUAUUUUAAGGAUAUAAAAGUAGCAAGUUCUCUCAUCUUCAGUGAACAAGGUAGCUAUAUCAUUCAAUUUAGUAAGAUGUGCCACAAUAGUUUCAGAUUCAUAACCAUGAAAAGGAUCAGAUUCAACCAAAGUAAUUAUAUCAGGAUCAACAGAGAAUUCAUAAUCCUUAUCAGUAAUAAAGAUAGGUGAAGUAGCAAAAGCAGGGUCAGGUUUCAUUCUAGCAUUUAGAGAUUGCUUACUCCAUUUAGCUAAUAAUUUUUGAAGUUCAGUUCUAUUUCUGCAAGCUAAAAUGGCUAAAGAAGCAUCUUGAUCAAAAACAUAACCCUUAGGAAUGGCAAGUGGUUCUUCAUCAUCACUUUCAUCAGUAUCAUCAGAUUCAAUAUUUUCAAUUUCUCUAGCCCUAGCAAGUUGUUCAUCAAGAAAAGCACUAAGUGGCAUAGUAGUAUCUGCCAUAGAGGUAGUUUCAUCAUAAGUAUCAUGCAUAGCAUAAGUGGCAUCAUCUAUAACAUGCGACAUAUCAGAACGAAUAGCAGAAGUAGGUGUAGGUGUCGCAAGCUUACUCAAAACAGAAGUUGAAUCAAGUGCAGAGCUAGAUGGCAGUUCCUUACCUCCCCUCAUAGUUGAGGGAUAGAUCUUGGUUUUUGGAUCUCUCAAGUUCUUCAUAAUGAUAAGAAGACAUAUAUCCCAAGUGACUCAAAGAAUAGAGCUAUGCUCCUCGGCAACGGUGCUAGAAAAUAGUCCUGAUAACCCACAAGUAUAGGGGAUCGCAACAGUUUUCGAGGGUAGAGUAUUCAACCCAAAUUUAUUGAUUCGACACAAGGGGAGCCAAAGAAUAUUCUCAAGUAUUAGCAGCUGAGUUGUCAAUUCAACCACACCUGGAAACUUAAUAUCUGCAGCAAAGUAUUUAGUAGCAAAGUAAUAUGAUAGUGGUGAUAACGGUAACAAAAGGUAACAGUAGUAGAAGUAAUGUUUUUGGUAUUUUGUAGUGAUGAUAGCAAUAGCAACGGAAAAGUAAAUAAGUGAAGAACAAUAUAUGGAAAGCUCGUUGGCAAUGGAUCGGUGAUGGAGAAUUAUGCCAGAUGCGGUUCAUCAUGUAACAGUCAUAACCUAGGGUGACACAGAACUAGCUCCAGUUCAUUGAUAUAUUGUAGGAAAGUAUUCCGAAUAUAGUCAUACGUGCUUAUGGAAAAGAACUUGCAUGACAUCUUUUGUCCUACCCUCCUGUGGAAGCGGGGUCCUUACGGAAACUAAGGGAUAUUAAGGCAUCCUUUUAAUAGAGAACCGGAACAAAGCAUUAACACAUAGUGAAUACAUGAACUCCUCAAACUACGGUCAUCAUCGGUAAGUAUCCCGAUUAUUGUCACUUCGGGGUUAACGGAUCAUAACACAUAAUAGGUGACUAUAGACUUGCAAGAUAGGAUCAAGAACACUCAUAUAAUGAUGAAAACAUAAUGGGUUCAGAUCAAAAAUCAGGGCACUCGGGCCCUAGUGACAAGCAUUAAGCAUAGCAAAGUCAUAGCAACAUCAAUCUCAGAACAUAGUGGAUAUUAGGGAUCAAACCCUAAAAAAACUAACUCGAUUACAUGAUAGAUCCCAUCCAACCCAUCACCGUCCAGCAAGCCUACGAUGGAAUUACUCACGCAUGGCGGUAAGCAUCAUGAAAUUGGUGAUGGAGGAUGGUUGAUGAUGACGAUGGCGACGGAUUCCCCCCUCUGGAUCCCCGAACGGACUCCAAAUCAGCCCUCUCGAGAGGUUUUAGGGCUUGCCGGCGGCUCCAUAUCGUAAAACGCGAUGAUUUCUUCUCUCUGGGUUUUUUCUCCCUGAAACUCAAUAUAUGGAGGUGGAGUUGGAGUCAGAGAGGCAACGGGGGGCCCACGAGGUAGGGGGCGCGACCCACCCUCAUGGCAAGGUGGUGGCCCCCCUGGCCUUCAUCUUUGGCAGGUAUUUUCUUAUUUUCUGAAAACUGUCUCCGUGAAGUUUCAGGUCAUUCCGAGAACGUUUGCUCCUGCACAUAAAUAACACCAUGGUAAUUCUGCUGAAAACAGCGUCAGUCCGGGUUAGUUCCAUUCAAAUCAUGCAAGUUAGAGUCCAAGACAAGGGCAAAAGUGUUUGGAAAAGUAGAUACGUUGGAGACGUAUCACUUCUCUGACGGCGUCCGCGACGUCAAGAUGAAGGAAGAGCUCGCUAUCCACGAGAGUUGUGCACGACCCUGGAGCUGUUCAACAUCGUGACCAAGUGUGCCAGAGCUGAGGAGGGGUGCCUCUCCCUCCUCGAGCUCCCUGCUGCAGACCCAGAGGAGAAGAAAGCCAAGGCCAAGAACAUGAAGCGCAAGGGAGCAGCCGUGCUCGCAGCGGAACUAGACACCAAGCGUGGCAGAGACCAACUAGAGUCACCCAAGAGCAGCCGCCUGUUCUGCGCCUUCCACAACCUGAACACCCACAACACCAGUGACUGUCAAGAGCUCAGAGCCAUUCACGAAGGACACUUCGGUCGACGCCCCCAGCACAGCGACCGGGGCUACGGCCGAGGAGGAGUACGUGGAGGCGGACGCCUGGACGACCGUGGCCCAUGCCAGGAGUGGCGCGACCGGCCUCGCGAGGACAGCUGGCAGGAUCAUCCUCGCAAGGGCGCCGGGAGGGAUCAGCCUCCUGAGGAACGUCCUCAAGGCAACACCGGACUCCCUCCGCUGCUGCCACCGCCAAGAAGGAAUGACGAACACCAUCAAGACGAGGGGGCUGGGGGCUUCCAGGAACCGCGUGCUAUCGCUUGCAUCUUGGGCGGAGCCUAGGCCCCAGCCUCGUAGCGUAUCUUCAAGUAGUUUGCUCGUGAAGUGAAUGCAGUCCUCCCCAAGCUCGAGGCCACACGCUCGCUCAGAUGGUCCCAGUGCCCCAUCACGUUCAAUUUGGCAGAUCAGCUCAAGUGCGCGGCUACCGAUGGUGCACUCCCGAUGCUUUGCUCCUAGUCAUCAGCAACGUGCAAGUUACCAAGACCCUCAUCAAUGGUGGCACAGGGCUCAACGUCCUGUCCUCGACACGUUCGACAGCUUCCAAGUGCCAUAUGACCAGCUUCAGCCCACCAAGCCUUUCUCAGGAGUGACCGACGGUUCCACCACACCGAUAGGGCAGGUCCGCCUCCCUGUCAACUUCGGGGAAUGCAAGAACUACCGCAUCGAGCUCAUCGACUUUGACGUCGCGCACAUUCGUCUACCGUACAAUGCCAUCCUCGCGUAUCCAGCCCUGGCUAAGUUCAUGGCGGUGACCCAUCACGGCUACAAUGUCCUCAAGAUGCUGGGAAGCGGCGGGAUCAUCACGGUCCCAUGUGAUGAAAGAGAUGCGGUGUGCUCCCUCGAGCGUGCCUUCCAAGCUGUAGCAAUCGACGACCCCGACAGCAAGGGUGAGGGCCCUCCUUUUAAUAGAGAACCGGAACAAAGCAUUAACACAUAGUGAAUACAUGAACUCCUCAAACUACGGUCAUCCCUGGUAAGUAUCCCGAUUAUUGUCACUUCGGGGUUAACGGAUCAUAACACAUAAUAGGUGACUAUAGACUUGCAAGAUAGGAUCAAGAACACUCAUAUAUUGAUGAAAACAUAAUAGGUUCAGAUCUGAAAUCAUGGCACUCGGGCCCUAGUAACAAGCAUUAAGCAUAGCAAAGUCAUAGCAACAUCAAUCUCAGAACAUAGUGGACACUAGGGAUCAAACCCUAACAAAACUAACUCGAUUACAUGAUAGAUCCCAUCCAACCCAUCACCGUCCAGCAAGCCUACGAUGGAAUUACUCACGCACGGUGGUGAGCAUCAUGAAAUUGGUGAUGGAGAAUGGUUGAUGAUGACGAUGGCGACGGAUUCCCCUCUCCGGAGCCCCGAAAGAACUUCAGAUCUGCCCUACCGAGAGGUUUUAGGGCUUGGCGGCGGCUCCGUAUCGUAAAACGCGAUGAUUUCUUCUCUCUGAUUUUUUUUCUCCCGGAAACUCAAUAUAUGGGGGUGGAGUUGGAGUCGGAGAGGCAACAGGGGGCCCACGAGGUAGGUGCGCCCUAGGGGGCACGCGCGCCCCCACCCUCGUGGCAAGGUGGUGGCCCCCCUGGCCUUCAUCUUUGGCAGGUAUUUUUCUUAUUUUCUGAGAAGUGUCUCCGUGAAGUUUCAGGUCAUUCCGAGAACGUUUGCUCCUGCACAUAAAUAACACCAUGGUAAUUCUGCUGAAAACAGCGUCAGUCUGGGUUAGUUCCAUUCAAAUCAUCCAAGUUAGAGUCCAAAACAAGGGCAAAACUGUUUGGAAAAGUAGAUACGUUGGAGGCGUAUCAACUCCCCCAAGCUUAAACGUUUCCUUGUCCUCAAGCAAUUCAGUUGACAAACUGAGAGUGAUAAAGAAAAACUUUUACAAACUCUGUUUGCUCUUGUUGUUGUAAAUAUGUAAAGCCAGCAUUCAAGUUUUCAGCAAAGAUUAUAACUAACCACAUUUGCAAUAACGCAUGGGUCUCAAGUUUACUCAUAUCAAUAGCAUAAUCAACUAGCGAGCCAUAAUAAUAAAACUCGGAUGACAACACUUUCUCAAAACAAUCAUAAUAUGAUAUAACAGGAUGGUAUCUCAAUAGCCCUUUCUGAGACCGCAAAACAUAAAUGCAGAGCACCUUUAAAGACCAAGGACUGACUAGACAUUGUAAUUCAUGGUAAAAGAGAUCCAGUCAAGUCACACUCAAUGUAAACUAACAGUAAUGAAUGCAAAUGAUAGCGGUGCUCUCCAACUAGUGCUUUUUAAUAAGAGGAUGAUGACUCAGCAUAAAAGUAAAUAGAUAGGCCCUUCGCAGAGGGAAGCAGGGAUUUGUAGAGGUGCCAGAGCUCGGUUUUGAAACAGAGGUGAAUAAUAUUUUGAGCGGUAUACUUUCAUUGUCAACAUAACAACCAAGAGAUGGCGAUAUCUUCCAUGAUACACACAUUAUAGGCGGUUCCCAAACAGAAUGGUAAAGUGUAUACUCCCCCUUCCACCACAAGCAUCAAUCCAUGGCUUGCUCGAAACAACGACUGCCUCCAACUAACAAGAGUCCCAGGGGGAGUUUUGUUUGCAUUUAUUUUGAUUUAGUUUGCAUAAAGCAUGGGACUGGGCAUCCCGGUGACCAGCCAUUUAUCUCGUGAGUGAGGAGCAGAGUCCACUCCUCUUGAGAAUAACCCACCAAACAUGGAAGAUACAGACAGCCCUAGUUGAUACAUGAGCUAUUCGAGCAUACAAAACAGGAUAUUUAUUUGAAGGUUUAGAGUUUGGCACAUACAAAUUUACUUGGAACGGCAGGUAGAUACCGUAUAUAUGUAGGUAUAGUGGACUCAUGUGGAAUAACUUUGGGGUUUAAGGGAUUGGAUGCACAAGCAGUAUUCCCGCCUAGUACAGGUGACGGCUAGCAAAAGACUGGGAAGCGACCAGCUAGAGAGCGACAACAGUCAUGAACAUGCAUUAAAAUUAAUCAACACCGAAUGCAAGCAUGAGUAGGAUAUAAUCCACCAUGAACAUAAAUAUCGUGAAGGCUAUGUUGAUUUUGUUUCAACUACAUGCGUGAACAUGUGCCAAGUCAAGUCACUUAAAUCAUUCAGAGGAGGAUACCACCCUAUCAUACCACAUCAUAACCAUUUUAAUAGCAUGUUGGCACGCAAGGUAAACCAUUAUAACUCAUGCUAAUCAAGCAUGGCACAAGAAACUAUGAUCUCUAGUUUUCAUUGCAAACAUGUUUAUUCAUAAUAGGCAAAAUCAGGAACGAUGAACUAAUCAUAUUUACAAAAACAAAAGAGGUCGAGUUCAUACCAGCUUUUCUCAUCUCAGCCAGUCCAGCAUAUAUCAUCAUAAUUGCCCUUCACUUGCACGACCAAACGAUGUGAAUAAUAAUAAUAGUGCACGUGCAUUGGACUAAGCUGGAAUCUGCAGGCAUUCAAUAAACAGGAGAAGACAAGGCAAUAUGGGCUAUUUUGUCAGAUAAACAAUAAUGCAUAUAAGAGCCACUUCAACAAUUUAAUUGUGUUCUUCUCCUAUCGACCCCCAAAGAAAAGAAAAGAAAUAAAACUAUUUACACGGGAAGGCUCCCAACAAGCAAAAGAAGAACAUGAAAUAUUUUUGGGUUUUCUUUUUAAUUAGUACUACAAGCAUGGAAAGUAAACUAAUUAAAAGAUACAACUAAUUUUUUUUUGGUUUUUCUUAAGGUUAAUUAAACACACAAGAAGAAAGCAUAAAAAGGAAAAUAAACUAGCAUGGAUGAUACAAUGAAAAAGUAUGAGCACCGACAUCUAGCAAUGAGUGUGUGAGCAUAAAUGUAAUGUCGGUGAGAAAUACGUACUCCCCCAAGCUUAGGCUUUUGGCCUAAGUUGGUCUAUGGCCACGGCUAGCCUGGCUGAUAACCAUAAUAGUAGCUGGGGUCGCACUGUGAUGCAGCAGCUAUCGCUUGCUGAGCUGCAGCGUGGCGACGAGCGGCCUCCUCUCUCCUCUCGUACUCAUCUGCCUCCUCUCUGGUAAUAGUAUUUCCUCCUCUUGCCUGAUACUCAAAGAAAGUAGGAGCAGGGAGAGUAAUACGGACAGCAUGGCGUUUGUUAAAGAUUAGUCGAUACUGGAGAGGUGAUUCGUUCCUCUUGAAAAACUGGUGGUGAACCAUAGCAUUAAAUUCUAGAUAGGCAGGAGGCAAUUCAAUAUCAUCUUCGCGUACAUCUAUACCAAGAAAGUUAGCUAUGCGGGUUGCAUAAAUUCCACCAAAGAAAUCUCCAUUAAAUCUAUUAAGAUGCAACCUACGUGCAACAAUGGCUCCCAAAUUAUAAGAUUGGUCUCCUAACACAGCACUCCUAAGAAUACUGAGAUCGGGGACACACAUGUGACAUGCCUCAUCUUUACCAUUAAUGCGUCUACCUAUGAAGAGAGCAAAAUAAUGUAUAGCAGGAAAGCGAAUGCUCCCUAUGGUAGCUUGUGUAAUAUCUCUAGAUUCUCCCACAGUUAUGCUCUAGCAAGAAAAUCUCUAAAUUCAGAUUUGGGAGGAUCCCUUAUACUACCCCAUUGUGGAAGAUUGCAUGCAGUGGUAAAAUCCUCUAAGUCCAUGGUAUAAGAUUUAUCAUAAAGAUCAAACAGGACAGCUGGAGAAUUACGUGAAGUUGAAAAUUCAAACCUCCUCACAAAGGAACUAGUGAGUUUAUGAUACUGACUACACUUCUCUUCCUCGAAGCUCACGAGAUCAGCGUUACGAAAAUAUGCAUUGAAUACUUCUUUUAUUCCCGCUCGAUCCAUCAAAUUUUCAGGAGGCCACUCACAAGGACGCACUAAAGCGUCUCUUGGUGGCUCUUCGUCAGCAUCACGCAAUGCAAGCCUAGGUCCUCGCUUCCUUGAAGAACCACCUUGGAACAUUUUCCUAAUCGUUUUUCUUCCUCUGAAUUUUUUUAGUAACUUCAUAAUAAAAGUAAACCAAAGUCAAUAAUAUUGAUAGUAACUACUCCUACAAGUGCCUAGGGCCUAUAUCAUGCAUCAAAACUACUUUUGACCAUAUAAAUUUGACAUGCAAGCUCAAGAACAGGGUCACCUAAGCAACACAAAUUUGCAAAGAAUAAAGCACUAGAACAAAAACUAAUUGGACCAAUGGGGGAGUCACAUACCAAGGAACAAUCUCCCCAAGCAGUUUUGUGAGAGGUGCUUUGAGCAAGGAGAUCGAAAAUGGCAGCAAAACGAGCUUGGACUCGGGUUUGAGCUGGUUAUUCGUGUUUGGGGGAGGAAGAAGGAGUGUAUGGGUGAAAGGAUAAGUGGAGGAGGGCCACCGUGGGCCCACGAGGCAGGGGGGCAUGCCCUCCACCCUCGUGGGCAGGUGGUUGGCCCCCUGGUGUGUUCUCAGUUCCAUAAAUCCUCAAAUAUUCUAGAAAAAAUCAUAUUUAAUUUUCAGGGCAUUUGGAGAACUUUUAUUUUCGAGGUAUUUUUAUAUUGCACGGUUAAUCAGAUAACAGACAGACAAAUAUUUAUUUUUAUUUUAUUUAAUAUAAAUAACAGAAAGUAAAAGUGGGGUACAGAAGGUUGUGCCUUCUAGUUUCAUCCAUCUCAUGGUCAUCAAAAGGAAUCCACUAACAAGGUUGAUCAAGUCUUGUUAACGAACUCAUUCCGAAUAACAUGGAACCGGAGAAAUUUCGAAUAACACUAUGUUACCUCAACGGGGAUAUGCACAUCCCCAAUAACAAGAAUAUCAUAUUUCUUCUUGACAGUAGGAAGAGGAAAUUCAAAACCUCCAAAUAUAAUUGAUGGAAUUUUUCCAAUAGAGUUGAUACUAUGAACUUGAGGUUGUUUACUCGGAAAGUGUACCGUGUGCUCAUUACCAUUAACAUGAAAAGUGACAUUGCCUUUAGUGCAAUCAAUAACAGCCCCUGCAGUAUUCAAAAAGGGUCUUCCAAGAAUAAUAGACAUACUAUCGUCCUCGGGAAUAUCAAGAAUAACAAACUCCGUUAAAAUAGUUACAUUUGCAACUACAAUAGGCACAUCCUCACAAAUACCGAUAGGUAUAGCAGUUGAUUUAUCAGCCAUUUGCAAAGAUAUUUUAGUAGGUGUCAACUUAUUCAAAUCAAGUCUACGAUAUAAAGAGAGAGGCAUAACACUAACACCGGCUCCAAGAUCACAUAAAGUAGUUUUAACAUAGUUUCUUUUAAUAGAGCAUGGUAUAGUGGGUACUCCUGGAUCUCCAAGUUUCUUUGGUAUUCCACCCUUAAAAGUGUAAUUAGCAAGCAUGGUGGAGAUUUCAGCUUCCGGUAUCUUUCUUUUAUUUGUAAUAAUAUCUUUCACAUACUUGCAUAAGGAUUGGUUUUGAGCAUAUCAGUUAAUCGCAUACGCGGAAAGAUAGGUCUAAUCAUUUCAGCAAAGCGCUCAAAAUACUCAUCAUCCUUUUCUUGGAUGGUUUGGGAGGAAAGGGCAUGGGUUUCUGAACCCAAGGCUCUCUUUCUUUACCGUGUUUCCUAGCAACAAAGUAUUUCUUAUCACAAUGUUGAUUAUUUGAUUGUGGGUUAUCAAGAUCAAUAGCAGGUUCAAUUUCUAUGUCAUUAUCAUUACUAGGUUGAGCACCAUUAUGAACAUUAUUAUUAACAUUAUCACUAGUUUCAGUUUCAUUACCAGGUUGAGUUUUAGCAUCAGAAAUAGAAAUAUUAUUUGGAUUCUCAGGUGUUUCAAAAACAGGAUCACUAGAAGCAUUUAAAGUCCUAUCAUUUUUCUUUUUCUUCUUUUUAGAAGAACUAGGUGCAUCUAAAUUAUUUCUCUGAGAAUCUUGCUCAAUUCUCUUAGGGUGGCCUUCAGGAUACAAAGGUUCCAGAGUCAUUCUACCACCUCUAGUCAUAACUCUAACAGCAUUAUCAUUAUUCUUAUUAUUCAAUUCAUUGAGCAAAUCAUUUUGAGCUUUAAGUACUUGUUCUACUUGAGUGGUAACCAUAGAAGCAUGUUUACUAAUAAGUUUAAGUUCACUUUGACAUUAGCCAUAUAAUCACUCAAGUGUCCAAGCAUAUUUGAAUUAUAUUUCAGUUGUCUACCAAAAUAAGCAUUAAAGUCUUCUUGCUUAGCCAUAAAUUUAUCAAACUCAUCUAAGCAUGGGCUAGCAAUUUUAGUAAAUGGGAUUACGGCUUUAUCAUAUCUAUAGAGAGAAUUUACCUUUACUACCUGUGUCGGGUUAUCAAGACCAUGAGUUUAUUCAAUAGGUAAAGGAUUUGGAUUAUAUGUUUCUUCAACAGGAGGAAAAUUUAGACCAUGUAUUUCUUCAACAGGAGGUAAAUUCUUAACAUCUUCAGCUUUAAUACCUUUUUCUUUCAUUGAUUUAUUUGCCUCUUGCAUAUCUUCAGGACUGAGAAAUAGAAUACCCCUCUUCUUCGGAAUUGGUUUAGGAAUAGACUCAAGAAUUGGUUCCGGAGGUGUCCAAUUAUUUUCAUUUGUCAACAUAUUAUUCAAUAGAAUUUCAGCUUCAUCCUAUGUUCUUUCCCUGAAAACAGAACCAGCACAACUAUCUAGGUAGUCUCUGGAGGCAUCGGUUAGUCCAUUAUAAAAGAUAUCAAGUAUUUCAUUUUUCUUAAGAGGAUGAUCAGGCAAAGCAUUAAGUAAUUGAAGAAGCCCCCCCCCCCCAAGCUUGUGGGAGACUCUGUUCUUCAAUUUGCACAAAAUUAUAUAUAUCCCUUAAAGCAGCUUGUUUCUUACGAGCAGGGAAAUAUUUAGCAGGUAAGUAAUAAAUCAUAUCCUGGGGACUACGCACACAACCAGGAUCAAGAGAAUUAAACCAUAUCUCAGCAUCACCCUUUAAUGAGAAUGGAAAUAUUUUAAGGAUAUAAAAGUAUCAAGUUCUCUCAUCUUUAGUGAACAGGGUAACUAUAUCAUUCAAUUUGGUAAGAUGUGCCACAACAGUUUCAGAUUCAUAACCAUGAAAAGGAUCAGGUUCAACCAAAGUAAUUAUAUCAGGAACAAUAGAGAAUUCAUAAUCCUUAUCAGUAACAAAGAUAGGUGAAGUAGCAAAAGCAGGGUCAGGUUUCAUUCUAGCAUUUAGAGAUUGCUUACUCCAUUUAGCUAAUAAUUUUUUAAGUUCAGUUCUAUUUCUGCAAGCUAAAAUGGCUAAAGAAGCAUCUUGAUCAAAAACAUAACCCUUAGGAAUGGCAAGUGGUUCUUCAUCAUCAAUAUCAUCAGAUUUAAUAUUUUCAAUUUCUCUAGCCCUAGCAAGUUCUUCAUCAAGAAAAGCACUAAGUGGCAUAGUAGUAUCAGGCAUAGAGGUAGUUUCAUCAUAAGUAUCAUGCAUAGCAGAAGUGGCAUCAUCUAUAACAUGCAACAUAUUAGAACGAAUAGCAGAAGCAGGUGUAGGUGUCGCAAGCUUACUCAAAACAGAAGGUGAAUCAAGUGCAGACCUAGAUGGCAGUUCCUUACCUCCCCUCGUAGUUGAGGGAUAGAUCUUGGUUUUUGGAUCUCUCAAGUUCUUCAUAAUGAUAAGAAGACAUAUAUCCCAAGUGACUCAAAGAAUAGAGCUAUGCUCCUCGGCAACGGUGCCAGAAAAUAGUCCUGAUAACCCACAAGUAUAGGGGAUCGCAACAGUUUUCGAGGGUAGACUAUUCAACCCAAAUUUAUUGAUUCGACACAAGGGGAGCCAAAGAAUAUUCUCAAGUAUUAGCAGCUGAGUUGUCAAUUCAACCACACCUGGAAACUUAAUAUCUGCAGCAAAGUAUGUAGUAGCAAAGUAAUAUGAUAGUGGUGAUAACGGUAACAAAAGGUAACAGUAGUAAAAGUAAUGUUUUUGGUAUUUUGUAGUGAUGAUAGCAAUAGCAACGGAAAAGUAAAUAAGUGAAGAACAAUAUAUGGAAAGCUUGUAGGCAAUCGAUCGGUGAUGGAGAAUUACGCCGGAUGUGGUUCAUCAUGUAACAGUCAUAACCUAGGGUGACACAGAACUAGCUCCAGUUCAUUGAUAUAAUGUAGGCAUGUAUUUCGAAUAUAGUCAUACGUGCUUAUGGAAAAGAACUUGCAUGACAUCUUUUGUCCUACCCUCCCGUGGAAGCGGGGUCCUUACGGAAACUAAGGGAAGGCCUCCUUUUAAUAGAGAACCGGAACAAAGCAUUAACACAUAGUGAAUACAUGAACUCCUCAAACUACGGUCAUCACCGGUAAGUAUCCCGAUUAUUGUCACUUCAGGGUUAAUGGAUCAUAACACAUAAUAGGUGACUAUAGACUUGCAAGAUAGGAUCACGAACACUCAUAUAUUGAUGAAAACAUAAUAGGUUCAGAUCUGAAAUCAUGGCACUCGGGCCCUAGUGACAAGCAUUAAGCAUAGCAAAGUCAUAGCAACAUCAAUCUCAGAACAUAGUGGACACUAGGGAUCAAACCCUAACAAAACUAACUCGAUUACAUGAUAGAUCCCAUCCAACCCAUCACCGUCCAGCAAGCCUACGAUGGAAUUACUCACGCGCGGCGGUGAGCAUCAUGAAAUUGGUGAUGGAGGAGGUUGAUGAUGACGAUGGCGACGGAUUCCCCUCUCCGGAGCCCCGAACGGACACCAGAUCAGCCCUCCCAAGAGGUUUUAGGGCUUGGCGGCGGCUCCAUAUCGUAAAAUGUGAUGAUUUCUUCUCUUUGAUUUUUUUUCUCCCCGAAACACAAUAUAUGGAGGUGGAGUUGGAGUCGGAGAGGCAACAGGGGGCCCACGAGGUAGGGGGCGCGACCCACCCUCAUGGCAAGGUGGUGCCCCCCCUGGCCUUCAUCUUUGGAAGGUAUUUUUCUUAUUUUCUGAAAACUGUCUCCAUGAAGUUUCAGAUCAUUCCGAGAACGUUUGCUCGUGCACAUAAAUAACACCAUGGUAAUUCUGCUGAAAACAGCAUCAGUCCGGGUUAGUUCCAUUCAAAUCAUGCAAGUUAGAGUCCAAAACAAGGGCAAAAGUGUUUGGAAAAGUAGAUACGUUGGAGACGUAUCAUUUCUAUGAUGGCGUCUGCGACGUCAAGAUGAAGGAAGAGCUCGCUAUCCACGAGGAGUUGUGCAUGCCCUGGAGCUGUUCAACAUCACGACCAAGUGUGCUAGAGCUGAGGAGGGGUGCCUCUCCCUUCUUGAGCUCCCUGCUGCAGACCCAGAGGAGAAGAAAGCCAAGGCCAAGGACGUGAAGCGUAAGGGAGCUGCCGUGCUCACAGCGGAACUAGACACCAAGCGUGGCAGAGACCAACUAGAGUCACCCAAGAGCAUCCGCCCGUUCUGCACCUUCCACAACCUGAACACCCACAACACCAGCGACUCUCAAGAGCUCAGAGCCAUUCGCGAAGGACGCUUCGGUCGACGCCCCGAGUGCGGCGACCGGGGCUACGGCCGAGGAGGAGGACGUGGAGGCGGACGCCUGGACGACCGUGGCCCAUGCCAGGAGUGGCGCGACCGGCCUCGCGAGGACCGCUGGCAGGAUCAUCCUCGCGAGGGCGCGUGGAGGGAUCAGCCUCGUGAGGAACGUCCUCAAGGCAACGCCGGACUCCCUCCGCUGCUGCCACCGCCAAGAAGGAAUGACGAACACCAUCAAGAUGAGGGGGCUGGGGGCUUCCAGGAACCGCGUGCUAUCGCCUGCAUCUUGGGCAGAGCACAAGCCCCAGCCUCGCAGCGUAUCUUCAAGCAGUUUGCUCGUGAAGUGAAUGCAGUCCUCCCCAAGCUCGAGGCCACACGCCUGCUCAGAUGGUCCCAGUGCCCCAUCACGUUCAAUUCGGCAGAUCAGCUCAAGUGCGCGGCUACCGCUGGCGCACUCUCGAUGCUUCGCUCCCCAGUCAUCUGCAACGUGAAAAUUACCAAGACCCUCAUCAACGGCGGUGCAGGGCUCAACGUCCUGUCCAUCGACAUGUUCAACAGCCUCCAAGUGCCAUAUGACCAGCUUCAGUCCACCAAGCCUUUCUCAGGAGUGACCGAUGGUUCCACCACACCGAUAGGGCAGUUCCGCCUCCCUGUCACCUUCGGGGAACGCAAGAACUACCGCAACGAGCUCAUCGACUUCGACGUCGCGCACAUCCGUCUGCCGUACAAUGCCAUCCUCGCGUAUCUAGCCCUGGCUAAGUUCAUGGCGGUGACCCAUCAGGGCUACAAUGUCCUCAAGAUGCCGGGAAGCGGCGGGAUCAUCACGGUCCCAUGUGAAGAAAGAGAUGCAGUGUGCUCCCUCGAGCGUGCCUUCCAAGCUGCAGCAAUCGACGACCCCGACAGCAAGGGCGAGGGCCCUCCUGAGGCCAUCCCCAAGAAGAAGAAGCAGUUGCACCGUGCAGGACCUCAAGAGGGUGGCGUCAGAGGCGGAGCCUCGUCAGGAUCAGCGCCCGCUCUAGGGGCGCCUCCCUCCAUCGCAUAGGAAGGCGCGCCCGGCGCCCUUCUCGAGCAGGGCUCGGGGGCUUUAUUCUGGAAGGCCUCAGACCUUGCCCACAUCAUGCGGGAGGCGCUUGGGCACCACUUGGAGGCGUGCUUCACGACACGUUUCCCUCGGGAGGGCACAUGGCAAGGAUUGUCCACCGUUCAGGAGUUCAUCACUGAGACCACCCAGGAAUUGCAAGACGCAAGGGCCAUGCGCGGAGGCCGUCACUCACGAGGCGCAGCUUCCCAUCCAGGCGAGGAUACCGGGCUGCGCGUCUGCAUCAACGUUCUAGGGCUCAACAGGGCCGCUUCUCAGGAGCUUUUCUUGCCUUCGCGCGUGGGACGCUGCAAGGGCCCACCGCACAGCUACGUUCGCAUGCCCUUUGGCCUGCCGAGCGUGUCGUCUGCCUACCAGUGCAACUUGCGGCGCAUCCUAGCGGCUCAGGAGGCCAGGCACCACGUUGUCCUGAUGGAGAUGGAGACGGUCCUCAAGGAUCCACCUGAGCCUCCAGAGCCUCCUGAGGCUCGGGGCCCCAGCGGCUCGUGAGGAGCAACCCCUUUGCUGUGCACCUUCAGCUACCCCAACUCUCCUUCGUCAACAUAACCAGGUGACAUCUUUCCAAGUUCAUUUAGCUGGGAGCGCCCCUCGGGCUGCAUCAUUCCCAGGCCGCGUGGGUCCGUCCCUGUGGCAUGUAUCCAUUUUUAUGUCUUUAGCUUACCUUGUUGGGAGCGCCCCUAGGGCUGCAUCAUCCCCAAGCCACUCGGGCCUGACCCAGUGGCACGUAUCUCCCAUGCACUUACUUAAGCCUGCUACUCUCAUGAUUAAUCUACCUAUGAUUACUACUUGCUCGAUCGCCACCAAUCAUGGGGACCGCGCGCCGGCUGUCUUUCUUCAGGACCCUUCGCGUGAGUAAGUUGAGCACGGCGUCUGUGCUCGGGCCCGUCCCUGCAGCGUCGAUAAAUCCAACGGCUGAGCUCUGUCUGGCAGGACGGCCCCGUUUACAUCACCUCCUGGGGCCGUUGGUGCUUGGCUUUCUCACAUGAUAACCUCAGGAGAUUCGUUCGGCGCAGGUUGUCUGACCACCUCGCAGGACAAACACAGCGAACAAGAACCAAGACCAGGCGCAACCAGCCUUGAGGUAGGGCCUCGUGAGCCCCGCGCUGGCUCAUGAGUGCCCAGAUACACCUCGUGUAGCCUCGCCGUGCAAGCCACGUGUCAGGGUGGGGCUGUACAUGCCCCGGGGGCUCUCCAUAGAGGGAGCCCCCCUCCCAUGCACAAGUGGAAGCACCAUGCUCUGCACUGGCCGUGGACACUACUGAGGAGCGGCUAUGCCCGUGCACAAGCAGAAGCACUAUGCUCCGCACUGGUGAUAAACAACUGAGGGCGGCUUCAUGGUCGUAAAAACCUCAGGGAGCCCAAGAGCUCAACGUCCGGCCUCAUCGCAACGCCUCCCCUCGGGAAAGCCACGCAAGGGGGCUGGGCACGGGGGCUGUGCUCGGGUCACGCCCAAGCGUACGUCGCCCAGCCAGGUCUCCCGGACCUGGUCAUCGCAUGCCCCUCCCGAGCCGAGCCUCGGCGAGGGCAAAGGUAUAGAGAUUGUUUGCACGUCAAGGGGGACUCCUAAGCAUCGCGACUCAGGAGCCUAACUGGUCACAUAGCCCCUCACCCCUUGGUCUGUCCUGGUCUCCGGUCGGCCCAACGGCGGUUGAGGUAUGCACGGGGCCGGGCUCUGCCGACACAGAACACAAAGCAAAUAGGAAGAAAAUCGCAAAAUCUCGAAGCAAAUAUUACAAGACAUAUUGUUCUCACAAUAUCAAAUGAAAGUUUAACGCCUCCACGAGGCCUGAUGCAUAUCGCAGGAAUGAAACAGGAAAGCAGCCGCAAGUCAACCCUGGACACCGCCAUCGCAUGCAGAAGUUGCUCCUCCCUUGGUAGUGUCGCCUUCACCCACAUCACCAGCCACAGGAUCGGUGACAUCGCCGGUCGAGGGCGCGAGGACAAAGCCGCGGAACUUCUUCAGCAGGGCCUCCACCUGACCUUUCACGGCUGCGGCGACGGCCGCACAAUGUUCAUCAGCUACAGGCUCCAGCAGCUCAUCGAAACGAGCAUUGGGGUUGCGAAGGUACUGAUGGCUGAAGACACGCGUCAGCGCAGCUAAAGAAAGGACAAGAGCCUCUGCCUCAGCCAUGGGACCGAUGCCCUCCACGACUUCCUCAAGUGCCUUCACCAAGUGGGGAAGCAGCUGAGCGGGGCCAUCCUCGUCGGUGGUCAGCGGCUUCUCUAGGCCCUUCUCGUACAGUGACUUCAGCGCCACGAUGGACCUCUUCUCAAGAAGCGAGAAGGUCGCACGGUCUCCGGCCAGGACCUUCGCCUUGGCGUCGAGCUCGGCCUCCCUCGCCUUCGCCUUCUGUUCCAGCCCCUCCAGUCGACUGCACUCUGCGGCCUACGCCUUCGUCAGCUACCCCAGCUCGGCGUCGCGGCCCUUGAUGGCAUCCUCUCGAGCCUUCAUCUCCUCCUCCCUCGCUUCACGGUCACGUGCUUCUUUUGCGUGCUCAUCGCGCAGCCUCUUCACCAAACCCUCUAGCACUCGGUAGCGGUCGCGGGCGGCCUCGGCGUCCUUCAGCGCCACCUCACGAUCGGCCACAGCUCUAGCGGCAGCCUGCUUCUCCUUCUCGAAGGUCGUCGCGGCCUGGCUCAGCGACGCUUGAACCGCCGAGUUGGAGUGAAGCCAGCCUGAGGCCAGCUCUAGGAGCCCGGCCACUAGGUGCGGGUCCGUGCCUAGGAGGUCUUCCCGCAGCUUGGCCAUCCCCGAGAAGACGCGCUCCAAGACUAUGGAGGGAGCAGAAGAACUUGGGGCCGGAGGCACGGUAGGAGGAGGAGGCGACGUCAUUACUAGAGCCUGGAAGAUCAAGGGCUUCAGAGCCCUUGGGACCUCAUCAGCAGAGCCAGGUGCCGGCACUUCCAGAGCCAGCGGGGCCAUGGGGGCUGGUUCAUCAUGUCGAUGCUCCUCUUGGCCUCGCGAGGGCGACCGGGCUAGGGAGGUGCGGGUGUUGUCACCUCUCUUCUCCGCAGAGGGGGGCACGGCCGCGGCAUAUGGAAGCACAUGGAGGUCACAAAAAAUAUGGAAGUCUUCUGGAGCAUCGGUCUUGGGGUGUCACAGGAUGCCACAUGUCGGUCACCCUUGACGAAAGCACUUCUAUGACGCGCGAUUUAUCAUCAUGGAAGUGGACACUUCUGUGAUGAUAAUUUUGGUAAUGUCAUGGAACACUUCUACGACAGCACAGGUAUGACUACCUUGAUUCUGUCAUAAAAUCGUCAUGGAUGUACAUGCAUGACAAAAAACGUGACCUACUGUGACAAACACGUAUCAUCACGAAAGUGUAUUUUUUUGUAGUGCAUGUCCGACACUCAUACAAUGAUUAGCUAAUCUUCUUAAUUAGUUACCGCAUAUGGUUUGGGAAAAGCAAAUGUGUGUGAUUGUAUGCUUAUCAUACACAUUCUAUCAUAGUGAACCAUCUGUUAUGGGUCGCGCAUCGUAAACGUAGCACCACAGAAUACCGACUGCGAUGGCAAUGCAAGCACAAACGAGUAGGAGUACUGUAUACGCAUCUUGGCUCCCUAUCCCUGACGGUUUCUGGUUUGUGUGGGAAGGACCCCCCCUAUCGACGUCACUCACUAGGCGACAGUUCCAAAUGUCGUCGUGGAAAGGGGUUAAAAACCGUUUGUAUAGCACCGAUGUGUACAUGUGGUUGUUCGGGUUUUUGCUGACCACAAAAGGCCCUUCCCAAGGUGGGGAUAAUUUGUGCAUAUCUGUUUGAUCCUGGAUGAGCCGGAGCACCAAGUCACCUUCUUGAAAGGUCUGGGUUUUAACCCGGCGACUAUGAUAACGACGUAGAUCUUGCUCAUAGAUUGUUGAAUCAGCCACCGCAAGGUCACGCUCCUCAUCCAGGAGGUCAAGAUCAUCCUUACGUGCUUUUUCAUUAUCAGCUUCAACAUAAGCCGCCACUUGGGGCGAGUCGUGACGAAUGUCACUGGGAAGAACCGCCUCUACUCUGUAAACCAUGAAGAAAGGCGUAUAACCCAUGGACCUAUUGAGGGUAGUAUUUAUACUCCAAAGCACCGAGGGUAACUCCUCAACCCAAAAAUCCGGCGUCCUCUGCAAAGGAACCAUAAUCCGGGGCUUUAUGCCUCUCAAGAUUUCCUGAUUGGCUCUUUCAGCCUAACCAUUGGACUGGGGGUGAGGCACUGACGAAACGUCAAGACGAAUAUGCUCUCAUUGAGAGAAUUCUUUCAUAGAACCUUUGGACAGAUUAGUACCAUUAUCAGUUAUGAUGCUACGAGGGUAGCCAAAACGGAAAAUCACUUUUUUGAUGAAUUGAAACGCCAUUGCUGCAUCACACUUGCUGACUGACUCUGCUUCAAACCACUUUGUAAAUUUAUCAACCGUCACCAAAAGGUGGGUCUUUUGUCUUUGGACCUCUUGAAAGUCCCACCAUAUCCGGCCCCCAGACUGCAAACGGCCAAGUGAUUGGAAACAUCCUCAAUUCUUGAGCCGACACAUGAGCUCGUCUGGAAAAUUUCUGACAGCCGUCGUACUUUCUAACCAGAUCUUCUGCAUCAGCAUGAGCCGCCAGCCAAUAAAACCCAUGAUGAAAAGCCUUAGCCAUGAGAGACAUAGAACCGACAUGAUGGCCAAAAUCUCCCUCAUGAAUCUCUCGUAGAAUCUCACAGCCCUCCUCGGAAGAAAUACAAUGCUGAAACACCCCUGUGACACUGCAUCGGUGCAACUCGCCAUUGACAAUGGUCAUUGACUUAGACUGUUGGGUUAUUUGCCUGGCCAAAGUUUCAUCUUCAGGUAACUCACCCCGGGCCAUAUAAGCCAAAUACGGAACUGUCCUAUCAAGAAUAGCAUGCAGAGCUGCCACCAACUAUGCCUUCGGGUCAGGGAUAGCAAGAUCCUUCUCCGUAGGAAAUUUCACUGAAGGAUUAUGCAGAAUGUCAAGAAAGACGUUAGGUGGUACCUGCUACCUCUUGAGCACUGCGUUGGUUUUUCCCCGAAGAGGAAGGGAUGAUGCAGCAAAGUAGCGUAAGUAUUUCCCUCAGUUUUUGAGAACCAAGGUAUCAAUCCAGUAGGAGGCUACGCGUGAGUCCCUCGUACCUGCACAAAACAAAUAAACCCUCGCAACCAACGUGAUAAGGGGUUCUCAAUCCCUACACGGCCACUUACGAGAGUGAGAUCUGAUAGAUAUGAUAAGAUAAUAUGUUUGGUAUUUUUAUGCUAAAGAUGCAAAGUAAAAUAAAAGCAAAGUAAAAAAGCAAAGGAAAUAACUAAGUAUUGGAAGAUUAAUAUGAUGAAGAUAGACCCGGGGGCCAUAGGUUUCACUAGUGGCUUCUCUCAAGAGCAUAAGUAUUCUACAGUGGGUGAAUGAAUUACUGUUGAGCAAUUGACAGAAUUGAGCAUAGUUAUGAGAAUAUCUAUGCGUGAUCAUGUAUAUAGGCAUCACGUCCGAGACAAGUAGACCGACUGCUGCCUGCAUCUACUACUAUUACUCCACUCAUCGACUGCUAUCCAGCAAGCAUCUAGAGUAUUAAGUUAAUGAAAACAGAGUAACGCCUUAAGCAAGAUGACAUGAUGUAGAGGGAUAAACUCAUGCAAUAUGAUGAAAACCCCAUCUUGUUAUCCUCAAUGGCAACAAUACAAUACGUGCCUUGCUGCCCCUACUAUCACUGGGAAAGGACACUGCAAGAUUGAACCCAAAGCUAAGCACUUCUCCCAUUGCAAGAAAGAUCAAUCUAGUAGGCCAAACCAAACUGAUAAUUCGAAGAGACUUGCAAAGAUAACCAAUCAUACAUAAAAGAAUUCAGAGAAGAUUCAAAUAUUGUUCAUAGAUAGACUUGAUCAUAAACCCACAAUUCAUCGAUCUCAACAAACACACCGCAAAAAGAAGAUUACAUCGAAUAGAUCUCCACAAGAGAGGGGGAUAACAUUGUAUUGAGAUCCAAAAAGAGAGAAGAAGCCAUCUAGCUAAUAACUAUGGACCCGUAGGUCUGAGGUGAACUACUCACACUUCAUCGGAGGGGCUAUGGUGAUGAUGUAGAAGCCCUCUGUGAUGGAUACCUCCUCCGUCGGAGCUCCGAAAUAGGCCCCAAGAUGGGAUCUCAUGGAUACAGAAAGUUGCAGCGGUGGAAUUAGGGUUUAGGCUCCGUAUAUGAUCGUUUGGGGGUACGUAGGUAUAUAUAGGAGGAAGGAGUACGUCGGUGGAGCAACAGGGGCCCACAAGGGUGGAGGGCACGCCUGGGGGGUAGGUGUGCCCCCCUACCUCAUGGCCUCCUCCUUUGUGUCUUGAUGUAGGGUCCAAGUCUCCUGGAUCAUGUUCGGCGAGAAAAUCAUGUUCCCGAAGGUUUCAUUCUGUUUGGACUCCGUUUGAUAUUCCUUUUCUUCGAAACCCUAAAAUAGGCAAAAAAAACAAUUCUGGGCUGGGCCUCCGGUUAAUAGGUUAGUCCCAAAAAUAAUAUAGAAGUGGAUAAUAAAGCCCAAUAAUGUCCAAAACAGUAGAUAAUAUAGCAUGGAACAAUCAAAAAUUAUAGAUACGUUGGAGACGUAUCAAGCAUCCCCAAGCUUAAUUCCCGCUCGUCCUCGAGUAGGUAAAUGAUAAAAAUAGAAUUUUUGAUGUGGAGUACUACUUGGCAUAAUUUUAAUGUAAUUCUUCUUAAUUGUGGUAUGAAUAUUCAGAUCCGAAAGAUUCAAGAUAAAAGUUCAUAUUGACAUAAAAAUAAUAAUACUUCAAGCAUACUAACUAAGCAAUUAUGUCCUCUCAAAAUAACAUGGCCAAAGAAAGUUCAUCCCUACAAAAUCAUAUAGUUUAUUCAUGCUCCAUUUUGGUCACACGAGAAUGCUCUCAUCAUGCACAACCCCGAUGACAAGACAAGCAAUUGUUUCAUACUUUAGUAAUCUCAAACCUAUAAACUUUCACGCAAUACAUGAGCGCGAGCCAUGGAUAUAGCACUACGGGUGGAAUAGAAUAUGAUGAUGGGGGUUAUGUGGUGAAGACAAAAAAGGAGAUAGUCUCACAUCAAUGAGGCUAAUCAAUGGGCUAUGGAGAUUCCCAUCGAUUGAUGUUAAUGCAAGGAGUAGGGAUUGCCAUGCAACGGAUGCACUAGAGCUAUAAAUGUAUGAAAGCUCAACAAAAGAAACUAAGUGGGUGUGCAUCCAACUUGAUUGCUCACAAAGACCUAGGGCACUUGAGGAGGCCCAUUGUUGGAAUAUACAAGCCAAGUUCUAUACUGAAAAAUUCCCACUAGUAUAUGAAAGUGACAAAACAAAAGACUCUCUAUCAUGAAUAUUAUGGUGCUACUUUGAAGCACAAGUGUGGAAAAAGGAUAGUAGCAUUGUCCCUUCUUUAUUUUAUUUUUUUAUUUUUUUUAUUUGGCCUUUCUUUUUUUGGCCUUUCUCUUUUUUUUAUUUGGGACAAUGCUCUAUUAAUGAUGAUCAUCACACUUCUAUUUAUUUACAACUCAAUGAUUACAACUCAAUACUUAGAACAAGAUAUGACUCUAUAUGAAUGCCUCCGGUGGUGUACCGGGAUAUGCAAUGAACCAAGAGUGACAUGUAUGAAAGAAUUAUGAACGAUGGCUUUUCCACAAAUACUAUGUCAACUACAUGAUCAUGCUAAGCAAUAUGACAAUGAUGAAUGUGUCAUGAUGAACGGAAUGGUGGAAAGUUGCAUGGCAAUAUAUCUCGGAAUGGCUAUGGAAAUGCCAUAAUAGGUAGGUAUGGUGGCUGUUUUGAGGAAGAUAUAAGGAGGCUUAUGUGUGAAAGAGAGUAUCAUAUCACAGGGUUUGGAUGCACCGGCGAAGUUUGCACCAACUCUCAAUGUGAGAAAGGGCAAUCCACGGUACCGAAGAGGCUAGCAAUGAUGGAAGGGUGAGAGUGCAUAUAAUCCAUGGACUCAACAUUAGUCAUAAAGAACUCACACACUUAUUGCAAAAAUCUACAAGUCCUCAAAAACCAAAGCAUUACGCCCAUGCUCCUAGGGGGAUAGAUUGGUAGUAAAAGACCAUCGCUCAUCCCCGACCGCCACUCAUAAGGAAGACAAUCAAAUAACACCUCAUGUUUUCAAAUUUGUUACAUAACGUUUACCGUACGUGCAUGCAACGGGACUUGCAAACUUCAACACAAGUAUUUCUCAAAUUCACAACUACUCAACUAGCACGACUUUGAUAUUAUUACCUCCAUAUCUCAAAACAAUCAUCAAGCAUCAAACUUCUCUUAGUAUUCAAAACACUCAUAAGAAAAAAAUUAUUAAUCUUGAACACCUAGCAUAUUAGGAUUAUUUAAGCAAAUUACCUUGCUAUUUAAGACUCUCAAAAUAAUCUAAGUGAAGCAUGAGAGAUCAAUAGUUUCUAUAAAACAAAUCCACCACCCUGCUCUAAAAUAUAUAAGUGAAGUACUAGAAUAAAACUAUAUAACUCAAAUGAUAUAAGCGAAGCACAUAGAGUAUCUUAACAAAUUCCAAAUCAUGUAUGGCUCUCUCAAAAGGUGUGUACAGCAAGGAUGAUUAUGGUAAACUAAAAAUCAAAGACUCAAAUCAUACAAGACGCUCCAAGCAAAACACAUAUCAUGUGGUGAAUAAAAAUAUAGCUCCAAGUAAAGUUACCGAUAGAAGUAGACGAAAAGAGGGGAUGCCUUCUGGGGCAUCCCCAAGCUUUGGCUUUUAGGUGUCCUUAGAUUAUCUUGGGGGUGCCAUGGGCAUCCACAAGCUUAGGCUCUUUCCACUCCUUGUUCCAUAAUCCAUCAAAUCUUUACCCAAAACUUGAAAACUUCACAACACAAAACUUAAAGUAGAAAAUCUCGUGAGCUCCGUUAGCGAAAGAAAACAAAAGACCACUUCAAGGUACUGUAAUGAACUCAUUCUUUAUUUAUAUUGGUGUUAAACCUACUAUAUUCCAACUUCCCUAUGGUUUAUAAACUAUUUAACUAGCCAUAGAUUCAUCAAAAUAAGCAAACAACACACGAAAAAAGAAUCUAUCAAAAACAGAACAGUCUGUAGUAAUCUGUAGCUAGCGCAAGAUCUAGAACCCCAAAAAUCUAAAAUAAAUUGAUGGACGUGAGGAAUUUAUCUAUUAAUCAUCUGCAAAAAGAAUUAACUAAAUAUCACCUUCCAAAUAAAAAUGGUAGCAGUUCUCGUGAGCGCUAAAGUUUCUGUUUUUUACAGCAAGAUAUCAAGACUUUCCCCAAGUCUUCCCAAUAGUUCUACUUAGCACAAAAACUAAUUAAACACAAAAAACACAACCUAAACAGAGACUAGAUAAAUUAUUUAUUACUAAACAGUAGCAAAAAGCAAGGAAUAAAAAUAAAAUUGGGUUGCCUCCCAACAAGCGCUAUCGUUUAACGCCCCUAGCUAGGCAUAAAAAGCAAGGAUAGAUCUAGGUAUUGCCAUCUUUGUUUUUCAACUUUUUAGCGGAAUCAAGCUCGAAUCCGGGAGGUUCUUUACGUUUCCCUUCAUAUUCUGAAAUUUUUAGAUCUAACAAAUCCAACCGCUUAUUGCAAAGGGUAAUCAACAUAUUCAUGCGGUGGAGAUUCCCGCUAACGUUUUUAAGAGGUUCAAGAGACUUUUGUAAAAUCUUGGUUACUUCGCAAAUUUUCUCAAAAACUUGUGUUUCCUCUUGGGUAUGAUGAGGCCCCUUUUGUUGAGGUAUAGUUCCUACUAUACCUUCUAUAAUUUCAUGCGCAAUACUGGGAUCAAUUUCAAUAAAAUUGCCUUUGGCAACGCAAUCCAAGAGUUGUCUAUGAGACAUAUUUAGUCCAACAUAGAAGUUGCGAAGCAAAAUUCUAAAAUUCACCUCUAGGGUACAAUUACGAUAAGAUUCCAUCAUUCUAAACCAAGAAUCUUUUAAAUUUUCUCCUUGCCUUUGUUUGAAGUGAAGAACCUCAAACUCGGGAGACAAAGGAGCAGAUAAGGGACUAGCCAUAACGACAAGCAAACGGAAAAGAGGCAAACGGAAAAAGAGAGGGAGGAUAGAGAGAGAUGGCGAAUAAAACGGCAAGGGUGAAGUGGGGGAGAGGAAAACGAGAGGCAAAUGGCAAAUAAUGUAAUGCGGGAGAUAAGGAUUGUGAUGGGUACUUGGUAUAUUGACUUUUGCGUAGACUCCCCGGCAACGGCGCCAGAAAUCCUUCUUGCUACCUCUUGAGCACUGCGUUGGUUUUUCCCCGAAGAGGAAGGGAUGAUGCAGCAAAAUAGCGUAAGUAUUUCCCUCAGUUUUUGAGAACCAAGGUAUCAAUCCAGUAGGAGGCUACGCGCGAGUCCCUCGUACCUGCACAAAACAAAUAAAUCCUCGCAACCAACGCGAUAAGGGGUUGUCAAUCCCUACACGGCCACUUACGAGAGUGAGAUAUGAUAGAUAUGAUAAGAUAAUAUUUUUGGUAUUUUUAUGCUAAAGAUGCAAAGUAAAAUAAAAGCACAGUAAAAAGCAAAGGAAAUAACUAAGUAUUGGAAGAUUAAUAUGAUGAAGAUAGACCCGGGGCCAUAGGUUUCACUAGUGGCUUCUCUCAAGAGCAUAAGUAUUCUACGGUGGGUGAACGAAUUACUGUUGAGCAAUUGACAGAAUUGAGCAUAGUUAUGAGAAUAUCUAGGCAUGAUCAUGUAUAUAGGCAUCACGUCCGAGACAAGUAGACCGACUCCUGCCUGCAUCUACUACUAUUACUCCACUCAUCGACUGCUAUCCAGCAUGCAUCUAGAGUAUUAAGUUAAUGAAAAUAGAGUAACGCCUUAAGCAAGAUGACAUGAUGUAGAAGGAUAAACUCAUGCAAUAUGAUGAAAACCCCAUCUUGUUAUCCUCGAUGGCAACAAUACAAUACGUGCCUUGCUGCCCCUACUGUCACUGGGAAAGGACACCGCCAGAUCGAACCCAAAGCUAAGCACUUCUCCCAUUGCAAGAAAGAUCAACCUAGUAGGACAAACCAAACUGAUAAUUCGAAUAGACUUGCAAAGAUAACUAAUCAUACAUAAAAGAAUUCAUAGAAGAUUCAAAUAUUGUUCAUAGAUAGACUUGAUCAUAAACCCAGAAUUCAUCGGUCUCAACAAACACACCACAAAAAGAAGAUUGCGUCAAAUAGAUCUCCACAAGAGAGGGGGAGAACAUUGUAUUGAGAUCCAAAAAGAGAGAAGAAGCCAUCUAGCUAAUAACUAUGGACCCGUAGGUCUGAGGUGAACUACUCACACUUCAUAGGAGGGGCUAUGGUGAUGAUGUAGAAGCCCUCCGUGAUGGAUACCUCCUCUGGCGGAGCUCCGGAACAGGCCCCAAGAUGGGAUCUCGUGGAUACAGAAAGUUGCGGCGGUGGAAUUAGGGUUUUGGCUCCAUAUCUGAUCGUUUGGGGGUACGUAGGUAUAUAUAGGAGGAAGGAUUACGUCGAUGGAGCAAUAGGGGGCCCACGAGGGUGGAGGGCGCGCCUGGGGGGAAGGCGUGCCCCCUACCUCGUGGCCUCCUCCUUUGUGUCUUGACGUAGGGUCCAAGUCUCCUGGAUCAUGUUUGGCGAGAAAAUCACGUUCCCGAAGGUUUCAUUCCGUUUGGACUCCGUUUGAUAUUCCUUUUCUUCGAAACCCUAAAAUAGGAAAAAAAAAUAGCAAUUCUGGGCUGGGCCUCCGGUUAAUAGGUUAGUCCCAAAAAUAAUAUAAAAGUGGAUAAUAAAGCCCAAUAAUGUCCAAAAGAGUAGAUAAUAUAGCAUGGAGCAAUCAAAAAUUAUAGAUACGUUGGAGACGUAUCAGUACCGGCGUACGCUGAGACCCCAGCCGGCUUAAAGCAUCAGUCCUCUCAUUUUCCUGCGAUCAACAUGUUCCACUUGAUAGCCCUUGAAGUGACCAACAAUACCAUCAACUGCCCGACAAUAAGCCGCCAUGAGUGGGUCCUUGGAAUCCCAAGUUCCUGAAACUUGCUGAGCCACCAAAUCUAAAUCGCCAAAACACCUGGCCCGGCUCAGGUCCAUCUCUUUUGCUAUUCGAAGACCAUGGAAAAUGCCUCAUAUUCAGCUGCAUUAUCAGUGCAAGGAAACAUUAGCCUUAAGACAUAACGAAACUUAUCACCUUGUGGGGAAGUCAAAAUAACUCUAGCCCUCGAGCCUUCCAACUGCCUGGAUCCAUCAAAAUGAAUAGUCCAAUGUGUAUUAUCAGGCUUCUCCUUAGGCAUCUACAACUCUGUCCAGUCAUUGAUGAAAUCCACAAGCGCCUGAGACUUGAUAGCUAUCUGAGGCAUAUACUUUAAACCACGGGGUCCAAGUUUAAUGGCCCACUUGGCCACCUGGCCUGUAGCUUCUCUAUUUUGAAUAAUAUCCCCUAAAGGAGCAGGACUGACCACAGUGAUGGGAUGACCAAGGAAAUACGGCUUCAACUUACGAGUAGCCAUGAACACUCCAUAAACUAGCUUCUGCCAAUGUGGGUACCUUUCCUUAGAUUCAAUUAAUACCUCACUAAGAUAGUAAACCGGCCUUUGAACCGGAUAUUCCUUGCUCGACUCCUUCCUUUCCACAGCAACCGCUACGCUGAUGGCUCUGCUGUUAGCUGCCACAUAUAAAAGCAAGGGCUCCUUAUCAAUGGGAGCUCCAAGAACCGACGGCUCAGUCAACUGCUUUUUAAGCGCCUUGAAUGCCUGAUUUGCAGCCUCACUCCAGACAAAGUGAUAUCUUUUCUUCAUCAUCUGGUAGAGGGAUAGCCUUUUCUCCCAUGCAGCUUAUAAACUGGCUCAAAGCCGCAAUACGACCCGCCAAACGCUGGACGUCAUUGAUACAUGUCGGCUUAGCCAAAGAAGUGAUAGCCUUCAUUUUCUCCGGGUUAGCUUCAAUGCCUCUCUCAGAAACCAAAAAACCCAACAGCUUGCCUGCUGGCACACCAAAGACACAUUUGGCUAGGUUAAGCAUCAUCUUGUAGACCCGGAGAUUGUCAAAGGUCUCCUUCAAAUCAUCUAACCAGGUGUCCUUCUUCCUGGAUUUCACAAUGAUGUCUUCCACAUAAGCAUGAAUUGCAUCCAAUCUGGUUGUGGAGGCAAUUCUGAACACACCGCUAAUAAGUCGCCUGGGCACUCUUGAGCCCAAAAGGCAUAGACACGUAGGAGAAGGCUCCGAAGGGAGUGAUGAAAGAUGUUUUCUCCUGGUCCUUAACUACCAUCUUGAUCUGAUGAUAACCAGAAUAAGCAUCCAAAAAACUCAAACGCUCACAACCCGCCGUAGCAUCAAUAAUCUGAUCAAUACGAGGGAGAGCAAAAGGAUCAGCCAGACAGGCCUUGUUAAGGUCUGUGUAAUCCAUACACAUGCGCCAAGUGCCAUUUUUCUUAAGUAACAGACCGGGUUAGCCAACCAUUCAGGAUGAAAAACUUCAAUAAUAAACCCGGCUGCCAAGAGCCGGGCCACUUUUUCACCAAUGGCCAUGCACCUCUUUUCAUUAAAACGACGAAGGAAUUUCUUGGCCGGUUUAAAUUUUGGAUCAACAUUGAGAGUGUGCUCAACGAGUUCCCUAGGUACACCUGGCAUGUCUGAAGGCUUCCAUGCAAAGAUGUCCCGGUUCUCAUGGAUGAACUCGAUGAGCGUGCUUUCCUAUUUCAGAUCCAUAUUGGCAUUGAUGCUGAACUAUUUAGAUGAAUCACCGGGAACAAAAUCAACCUGCUUGGUGUCAUCUGCCGACUUAAACUUCAAUAAAGGGUCAUGCUUUAUGGUUGGCUUCUUCAAGGGAGUCAUAUCCGCCGGGUCAACAUUAUCUUUGUAGAACUUCAACUCCUCUGUUGCACAAACAGACUCGGCAUAGGCAGCAUCGCCCUCUUCACACUCCAAAGCUAUCUUCCUAUCACCAUGCACCAUGAUGGUACCCUUACGACCCAGCAUCUUAAGCUGCAGAUAAACAUAACAAGGUCGGGCCAUAAAUUUGGCAUAAGCCGGCCGUCCAAACAAGGCAUGAUAAGGACUCUUGAUCUUGACCACCUCAAAAGUCAAUGUUUUGGCCCUAUAGUCAUGCUCAUUUCCAAAAGCCACUUCCAAGACUAUCUUACCCACCGGAUAUGCCAACUUACCAGGCACCACCCCAUGAAAAACAGUAGAAGACAUUUUAAGAUCUUUGUCAGUCAAAUUCAUACAGCGAAAAGUAUCAUAAUAAAGGACAUUGAUACUGCUGCCCCCGUCCAUAAGCACCUUCAUGAACUUGUAUCCUCCAACCUAAGGAGCAACCACCAAAGCUAGCUAACCCGGGUUGUCAACCCGGGGCGGGUGAUCCUCAUGGCUCCAUGCAAUAGGCUGCUCUGACCAUCGCAAGUAUCGAGGGACAGCUGGCUCAGCCGCGCUCACCGCUCGUUUAUGAAUCUUCUAGUCUCGCUUGCAUAAGCUCAUGGUAAAAACAUGAUACUAGCCACUAUUCAGCUGCUUUGGAUUACUCUGAUAACCGGACUACUACUGAUUGCCUUGACCGGGUGCUGAUUAAAACCGCCUUGAUUGCCUUGGCCUUGAAAUCCAGAAUUUGAGUCGCCACCUCCAAAGUCGGGCCCGUGAGAGCCGGAUCCUGACCUGCACUGCAGGCCAUGAUUGUCCUGAUAAAAGCCAGAAUUUCUAUACUCCCUCAUGAUGAAGCAAUCUUUCCAUAGAUGAGUGGCCGGCUUGUCUUGAGAACCGUGCUUUGGGCAAGGCUGAUUCAUUAUCGCCUCAAGGUUGAACUUUGGCCUGCCAAACCAGGGCAUUGAUGAUUUCCCCUUAUGAUGCUGAUUAUUAUUCUAUGUAUUGGUAUUAUCCAUAAAGUCUGAACUGCUGUCAGUUUGCUUGCGCUUACCAUUAUUACCUUGACCCGCCGUAUUAUGUUGUUAUCCCUUUGCAUUGCCGUUUUUCCCCUUGCCGGCCUUUUCCUCAUCAGACUCGGGGUCUUUAGUACUAUCAGAGUCAGCGUAUUUGAUGAGAGCCGCCAUGAGCACUCCCAUAUCAUCGCGGUGGCGCUUAAGCCGCCCCAGCUUCUUCUUGUGGGGGCGAUAAUUUUUCUCCAAAAUCAGCACGGCUGAGCCGGUGUUGAUGCUUUUUGAUGAGUGGAUAAGAGCCGAGAUCUGGCGUACCCAAUGGGCGGUUGACUCACCCUCACUCUGGAUACAAGUGUCUAAAUCAAGAAUCGACAGAGGCUGCUUGCAUGUGUCCUUAAAAUUAUGAAUAAAGCACAUUUUCAAUUCAGCCCAUGAUCUGAUGGAGUUAGGGGGUAGUCCUUUUAACCAGGUGCGAGCCGGCCCAUCCAACAUCAUGGUGAAAUAUUAAGCGCACACAGUGUCAUUAACGUCCAACAUCUCCAUGGCUAGCUCAUAGCUCUCAAUCCAAGCCUCUGGGGGUUGAUCCGUUGUGUAAUUGGGCACCUUGCGGGGGCCCUUAAAAUCCUUGGGUAGGCUCUCAUUACGCAAAGCCAGCACUAGGCACCGCACACCAAUGGUUCUAUAAGUCAUCCCAGCUUCCACACACACCAACAGGUUAAGCUGAGGUUGCUGAUGAGCCGCUAGCUGAGCCGCCAGCUCAGCCUCCCGACGUGCCCUGGCCUGGUCCACCAAAACCUGGGCAUGGUUAUCAGCAUGCGGCGGGUCACGCCAACGAGGCUGGUUAUGGCGCCGCUCACUGCUCAAAACCGUCGGCGACUCAAUAUGUCGGCUAUAACUCCGACUGGGGCAUGGAGUCGAAUGAAUCCGAUCACGACUGUAUGAGUAAGCCGCCUGCUGAGCUACUACUGUCAGAAGAAGCUCCCCUGCCUUUCGUAUCUCCAUCGCGGCAGGAGACUCGGCUUCAAUGGGAAGAUCCGCCAGCUGCGAUGCCUCAGCAAUCAUGUUGUCCAAAGGGUUAGAAUAAUGACCCAGCGGUGUCGGCACCUGCUGAGGCGGGUUAAAUUCUAAUGAGGCGGGUCUGCAACAUGUGGCUGAACCGUCGCCCCAGUCACGGGCGCCUCAACAGCCUGGUUUACCUUGGGCGGAUUACUUGUUCCAGCCCCAGGCAUGUUGAAAACAUUCCUCGCAUCGUACUCCAAAGGUAAACGACUUUGGUGCCUCCUUCGUAGAACGGCGUUAGAUGCAUUCUGAUCCAAGCUUAACCGGAAAUUUUCAGCUUGAAUCCGUUGUGACGCAGCGUCUAGGGCGGCUCGUAACGUCGCCAUCCUAGCAUUCUCAGCAUUACACUCCUCCUUGGCCUGAGCUAUCUCAUCUUGCAGUUUCGCGACAUCCACCUUAUGUUGUGCUUGCGUCUCUGGUGUUACCUCUGCAGCUAAUAAGGUUGCCAAAGCAUCCAAGAGCUCGAAUAAAACCUGAGCCAACGGGCGCACAGAGCCGCUCGCUACGGCUGUCGCCACGACCGUCGAGCUGGAAAUCGUAGCCACAGCGGUUGAUGAAUUCUGCACCGGUUGCGUGCCUACCAUGAAGAUCAUGACUCUAUUUGGUGGCUCAUAAGGGCCCGGAAUACUGUUGCCAUCGGAAUAGCCCCCAAGCCCGCCAUCUUGUAGUUGAUACAUUGAAUCAGUCUCGCCGGUUGAGGAUUCAUCAUCAGAAUAGAUGGCCGUCUCUCCACCGGAUACAGAUCCUUCCUCAAGAUCCGCCCUGUGGAUGAAACCAACAAAAGAGUGCUUCACGACGGUUUUAACCUUGGCGGGUCAUGCGCGCUGAGCCGUCUCCAUGAUGUCGGUGCAGGUGUCCUGCUCAGGCUCUAACUCGCCGAUCUUGCCGAUGAAGACGUGGAUUCCACCGAAGGGGGCCCGGUACCCGUACUCGAUUGAGCCGGCCUCGGGGCCCCAGCCAGCGUCGUCGAUGUAGAGCUUGCCGCGUCGGCUCUUAGUCAUCCAGCCUACGGCAUAUCCCUUGAUCCCUGCGAAGUUGCCCUUCAAGAACUCAAAACAAUCAUGCUCUGGACCCACGGUGGGUGCCAACUGUCAUGGACUUAACACGGCAGAUGUCCUAGCUAAAGGACUUCGGUGUGGAGCCAUCGCAGCUAGGUUAGCUUAAAGGGGUUGAACGGGACAAAGAACACAAAGAGUUUACCUAGGUUCGGCCCCUCUCAAUGAGGUAAAAGCCUACUCCUGGUUUAGGUUGUAUUGCUUGGGUUUCAAUCACCGGGGAGCGAAUACGCUUGACCUAGUUGUCGAUUGAUUAUUUCUUGAGGUAACCCACCACCGGGUCACCCAUUUAUAUACAGGUUGAUGCCCGGUGGCUUAUAGAGUCCCGGCCGGCUCACACAAAUGUGACUGUCUCGGUUUCUAACUAAGCUUGCCUUACAAAACAAGUUAACAUAUGGCGGCUCACCCCUUUGGGCCCCAAGUCGCCUCCGGGUUUUGGGCUUUCAAUAGGCUUGCUCUAUGAACCGCCAUCUUCAUGUCUUCUUGGACCUUAUCAGGCCUCUUUGUCUUUAAGUCGCCCAUGGCAUGACCCGACCCCUUCUGGGCGGGUCAUACCUAGUAGUUAUAUCCCCAGCAUCAUCCGAGGAAGAAGAAGCCUGAUCUGCAUGAUGUAGAGGCACCGAGCUCGAACAGGUGGCCGUAGAUGAAGUAGGCGAGGCAGGCGAUGCUCCUGGUGAGGUUUCAGCCGGUGGGGACAAAGGUGGCCACGAGAACAAUGACGACACAGUGACGGCAAGCUCGGUCAAGCGCGGGGGAAGAGCAAAGCUGCACGAGGGGGAAGGGUGCCAGGUUAGGGUUUGUCUAUGAGGACGGGGUGAUCUUAUCCAUCUAGGGGUGUCGUGGAUGCUCGACACAAGACUAAUCAGGCAUGUGGAUGGGCGUACGCGAGCCACACCAUGGCACAGCCUCCUCUUGUAGCGUGAGGAAGGAGAUGGCCCUGUCGGGCUGGGCCACAGUGCACUGUGGCACUUAGGCCCAGUUGCGCACAGCGUCACACCUUUUAUUUUUAUUCUAUUUUGUUUUCUUCAUUCCUCCUCUAUUUUGCAUUUAGUUUACCUAGUAAAUGAUUUUUGCUCAAUAUGAAACUUGGCACAAAAAUACGGGGCAAUAUCCUGGGUUGGUACAAAAAGUUUUAAAGCAUUUGGGAGUAUUCAACUAUUUUUAGAAAUUGAGAAGGUCAAUUUAUUGGUUGUUGGUCCACUGUUAUAAUUUCCAGGGGCAUUGUAAACAUCUCCAGAAAUGUUUGUUGAUGCAUGACAAUUAUGUAGUGAAUAUUUUCAACCUAAGGAGCAUUUCUUAUUUACUAUUUUAUAAAAUUAUUAUUUGACUUUGCAUUUGAAUUUGGAAUUGACUUCAAUUUUUAUUAAGUGGCAAUUUGCAUAGUAAUCAUGAUGACAUGGCCGUCAUUAGGGGGAGAUUACUAUAGCAUGAUUCUCGUUACAGAUAAGGAAGUCUAGGAGCAUAGCAUAUCCAUUAUUUUUCCAUUUUGGAUUAUAGCUAUUGCGAGCAAUAAAAUUCACAACACUAGUACCUUCAUUAGUGAUGGCAUUUAUCUUUACCUUUGAUUACGGAGAUGAGUUCAUCAAGCUUGGCUGUCAACUCUGUAUUGUUUUAUUCAAUUACAUUCACCCUCUUGGUGAUGGUCCUUUCAACAUGCCAUUGUGCAUGGUUCUUUUUCAUAUCAUCAAGUAGUUUCUUGACAUCAUCUAUGCGCUUUCCCAUGAUUGUUCCUCCUGCAGCUGUUUCAAGCAUCGUUUUUGACAUAUGAUUCAAACCAUUAUAAAAUAUAGAGGUUCUCUCGCAAAAAAAUAUUAAAAAAAUAUAGAGGUGAUAUCACUAAUAGUCAUAUAAUUUGCUUAGGAUGUUUAGUUUGAUGCUAAAACUAUAAAAAAUACAAAUUUGUAGUCAUCUAACUUGUUGUUUUGUGCAAAUACGAUGAUUUUCUACUAUAUCCAACGUACAACUACGUGCAUGGCAUGCCAGUAUGGGAGUGGCCCACAAGUCAGUGGCCAGAGAAUAUUUUUCUAGAUAACUCCAUGGAUUUUUUUUUCUAAGUACGCACUCGUGUCAGUGUACAGUAACACCCCGGAUGUAACUUGCCAUAAUUGUAACUCCAACUCUGCCAUUUUCGGCUUUAAGUUAUGAGAUUUCCCUUCGUGGUUGGGUUUUUAUCUUCGUUUUACAUUUUGUUCAUGUCAUUCAUUUCAUAUCAUAUCAUCAUGUGCAUCUCAUUUGCAUAUGUGUUCGUCUCAUGCAUUCGAGCAUUUUCUCCGUUGUCUGUUUUGCAAUUCGACACUCCUACGUGCACCGGCGCACCCCUCUUGCCUCUUUUUGUGAGUGGGUGUUAAACGUUCUCGGAAUGGACUGAGAUUUGCCAAGUGGCCUUGGUACACCACCGGUAGACCGCCUGUCAAAUUUCGUUCCAUUUGGAGUCCGUUUGAUACUCCAACGGUUAACCGGGGAACUGUAAAGGCCUCGUGUGUGUUGCAGCCCAACACCCCUCCAAAACAGCCCAAUAACCCAUCCAAACCACUUCCAUGUCCUCCGUCAUCGGAUCACGAUCGUGUGGGCGAAAACUACACUCCAUUUGGACACUCAUACCUCCUCCUAGCUAUAAAUAUGUGAUCCCCUCCAUUUUUUCGCGCAGACGAAACCCUAGCUACCUCCCUCUCGGCAGUCGGACAACUUCGCCACCGCACCCGCGCCAAUAGGAGCGCUCCAUGUGUCCCGUCCGCCCCCCCACGCCGUCGGCCCAGUGAGGCCCGGUUCGGGCCCCCCGAGCCCAUCGCGCCUCCCUCGAGCGCGCCGAUCCACCGCCGCCCUCUCCUCGCGCGCCGGCCGCCGCCCCGCGCCGCCUUCCCCGCCGACCCUCGCCGACGCUGCCGCGAGCUUGCCGUGCCGCAGAGCUCCCCGUCUCCCCGUCGCUGCCUCGUCCUGCACUGUCGUCGUCUCCGGAGGCCGGAUCCGGGCGGCGUCGCCCCGGAUCCAGCGAUCCCCUUCCUCUCCGGCCACCUCUCCUCUCCGGCGAGUUUUCCGGCGAGUACUCCGGCCCUGCCUCAAUUUCCGCGCCAAAGUCAAACCCUAGAUCUAAGAUCCAGAGGGUAUUUUUUCGUCUAAGCCCUUUUCCCCUUGCUUUUUAUGCCUUUGUUCAUUGCAUCAUAACUCCAUGACUGUAGCUCCGUUUCAUGCGCAUGAUAUAUCAAAAUGUUCAUUGGGAGAUGCUCUUCAUUUCAUUACAUUGUGGCAUUCUUGUUUGAGUGCAUAUUGAUUCCCAAAUCAUUGAUGCAAGAGUGCUAUAAAAUGUUUACUCCUGUUACUUAGCAGAUUAUGAUGAUUUGUCAUUUUUGUCACAUUUGUUGUGUGCAUAAUAUGGGCAUGAGCUCUACAUGUGUUUUGGGAUAUGCCAUGCCAUCUUUACAAGGGUUCUUGCCAUGUACUUUUUUUGAUAAAUGUGGUGACUAGCACAAGCAUGCAAAGUAGCCUUCAUGAUAUUGCUGUUUUUAGGGAUAGGUUUUUCCUAAGUUUUUGUUCUGCUGUUAUUUUGAUGCCAUGUAAACAUGAUUCUACAGUGAGAUACAUGCUUAUUUUGAGUAUCUUCAGUAAGGAUGUUUUGAACAUAUGGUUAUGCUCUAUCCAUCCAUUCCCCUGUUUGCAAUUAUGGAGUGACCUAGCAUGUCUUAAUCUUGCUCUACUUUUGCUAUAAAAUGUUCCUGGUAGAUUAUUUACAUGUUAAUCAAUUUUGCCAUGGUUUUUGCUAUUGAUCCAUGCAUGAUAUGAACUUGCUCUUGCCAUGGAUUAGCUUCAUGAACAUGUCUUCUUGCUGUUAGUAUGCUUAUCUUGUCAUGCAAUGCCUUGUGGUGAGUGAUUUGAGCUCGCAAAGAUGCCUUCAUAAUUCUGUUUAUGCCAUGCUCAGUUUUCUGCUAAGUCUGAAACUCAUAAUAAAAAUUGCUAUGUUUACAUGGGUGCCAUCAUGUCUUCUGUGCCUUUUUGGCUCAUGUUCAGUAAGGGAAUUUUGAUCUAUGCUUUUAGUAGAAUCAUGCCAUGCCUUUAUUAGCUAUGAUAUGUUCCUAUAGCAUGUUGUUUGCUAGCUCUAAACAUGGCUUCCUGAUGCUAAUUCUGGCAUGUUAGUAUUUUCACAAAGUCUGUGAUGCUGAUAUCUUUGCACUUUUGCCAUGCUUGUUUGAACCUGCUAUUUUGUGAUUCAGCCGUAGAUCAGUGCUCAUGUUUUGUAAAGCAUCUUGAGUACAUCCCUGCCAUAUACUUUGUUGUUAUGUUGGAGUGCAGUAGCUUAGUUUAUUGUUGCAUUCUAGAUGGCAUCAUGUUGUUAAUCGCAGAAUUGUGUCAUUCUUUUUUUGCUUGCCAUUUGCAAACCGUGCCUCCGUUUCCAGUGAUCUCUAUAUCGAUUUCGACCGAAAUCAUCUCACCUUUCCAGCGGCACACUUGGGUUGCCAAUGUGAUGCCUUGAUCAUUCUUUCUCUUCCGGAGCAUGCAUAUGCAUUGCAUAUCACAUCUCGCAUGCCAUGCCAUAUUUUGCAUCAUGUUGAUUGUGCGUUGCACCGUGAUUGAUUGUUGGUCAUUUGCUUGUGUUCUUGCUUUGGGUAGAGCUGGGAGACAAGUACGUGACUGAGGAACCUGUUGAGUACGCUAACGAGGAUCAAGCUUUCGUCAACUCUGAGAACUUUGCAGGCAAGAUGACCAUACCCUCGAAAUCACUUCUAUCUUUGCUUGCUAGCUUUUCGCUCUAUUGCUUUGCCACGCUACCUACCACUUGCUAUAUCAUGCCUCCCAUAUUGCCAUGUCAAGCCUCUAACCCACCUUUCCUAGCAAACCGUUGUUUGGCUAUGUUACCGCUUUUGCUCAGCCCCUCUUAUAACGUUGCUAGUUGCAGGUGAAGAUGAAGUUUGUUCCAUGUUGGAACAUGGAUUCUGUUGGGAUAUCAUUAUUAUCUCUUAUUUACUUUAAUGCAUCUAUAUACUUGGUAAAGGGUGGAAGGCUCGGCCUUAUGCCUGGUGUUUUGUUCCACUCUUGCCACCUUAGUUUCCAUCAUACCGGUAUUAUGUUCCUUGAUUUUGCGUUCCUUACACGGUUGGGUGUUAUGGGAACCCCUUGACAGUUCGCCUUGAAUAAAACUCCUCCAGCAAGGCCCAACCUUGGUUUUACCAUUUGCCACCUAAGCCUUUUCCCCUUGGGUUCCGUGGACUCAAGGGUCAUCUUUAUUUUAAACCCCUGGGCCAGUGCUCCUCUGAGUGUUGGUCCAAAACAGAGCCACUUGCAGCGCCACCUCGGGGAAACUUGAGGGUUGGUUUUAGUUGUACGUAGUGUUCAUCCGGUGUGCCCUGAGAACGAGAUAUGUGCAGCUCCUAUCGGGAUUUGUUGGCACAUUCGGGCGGCUUUGCUGGUCUUGUUUUACCAUUGUCGAGAUGUCUUGUAACCGGGAUUUCGAGUCUGAUCGGGUCUUCUUGGGAGAAGGAAUAUCCUUCGGUGACCGUGAGAGCUUGUGAUGAGCUAAGUUGGGACACCCCUGCAGGGUAUAAACUUUCGAAAGCCGUGCCCAUGGUUAUGGGCAUAUGGGAAUUUGUUAAUAUCCGGUUGUAGAGAACUUGACACUUAACUUAAUUAAAAUGAAUCAACCGCGUGUGUACCCGUGAUGGUCUCUUUUUUGCGGAGUCUGGGAAGAGAACACAGUCUCGUGUUAUGCUUGAACGUAAGUAGCUUCAGGAUCACUUAUUGAUCACUAUUAGCUUCUCGGCCGUGCUUUGCUUCUCUUCUCGCUCUCAUUUGCAUAAGUUAGCCACCAUAUAUGCUUAGUGCUUUGCUGCAGCUCCACCUCACUACCCUUUCCUACCCUUAAGCUUAAAUAGUCUUGAUCGCGAGGGUGUGAGAUUGCUGAGUCCCCGUGACUCACAGAUACUUCCAAACAGAUGCAGGUGCCGAUGAUGCCAGCACAGGGGACGCUACUGAACUCAAGUGGGAGUUCGACGAGGAUUCAGGCCGUUACUAUGUUUCUUUUCCGGAUGAUUAGUAGAUGAGCCCAGUUGGGACGAUCGGAGAUCUAGCAUUUGGGGUUGUCUUUAUUUAUGUUGGUUCCAUAGUCGGACCUUGAUUGUAUUCUGGAUGAUGUAUGACUAUUUAUGUACUGUGUGAAGUGGCGAUUGUAAGCCGACUCUUUAUCCCUUUCUUAUUCAGUACAUGUGAUGUGUAAAGAUUACCCCUCUUGUGACAUGCCUACCAUGCGGCUAUGCCUCUAAGUCGUGCUCCGACACGUGGGAGAUAUAGCCGCAUUGUGGGUGUAACACGUGCACACCAUGUUAACCACCUCGCCCAAUGACAACUAAUAAUUAUGUAGGAUAGCUAGUUUCUAUAUCCCUUCCCUUAAAAUACGUGGGCCUGUCAGCUCAAAUGGGCAGCCCAUUUUGUACCUUUGUUUUUCUUUAAUUUGUAUCUAAAUUAUUGAUCUACGGAUUACAAUUUUUUGUAUAAUUUAAAAUAAUAUAAAUAUUUGUAAAAUGAAAAUUCAAAAAUAUUAUACAAAAAUUGUAUUACUUUUGAUUAGUCGAUGCCAUAUAGGUAGCAGGAUGUGUUUAAGUUAAUUUGAUCCAAGGGUAUUGGUUAUUCUAUAUACAGUUUGUUGUGUGACUUUAGAAUAAUUUAUAUUUGCUCUUUUAAUAGUAGUGUACAUGUAGAUAUAAAACUUGUUGUCCUUUAAAUUAGUUACCUGUCAUUUGGCAUAUUGGUUACAGCGUAUGCGCGUAUUUAGAGCAACUCCAAUAGGGUGACCCAAACGAACACGGAUUUUGUCCCUUUUUUAUCCGUUUGGGUCAUCUGUCCACCUAGUGGACAUGGGGCGGACAAAUGCGGCCGGUGGAUCCACCCAACGCACAACACAUAAAAGCGGACGACAACAACAACAACAACACAUAAGCGGUCGAUCCCCUUCUCUGCUUCCUCUCCCGUGCGUGUCGCCGACACCUUCAUCCUCUGCUCCGGCCGUUGCCGGCUGGCUCCGGCGCCGCCACGCCCUGGCACUGCUCCACCGCCGCCUUCUCCUCUGAUUCUCCGCCUUUCCUUGACUAGUUUGGCCCUUGUGUGCCCAAUCGAGGCUGCCCCCAUGAACGUCCAUGGCGCUGCAGUUCCCCUCUAUUGUGAAGCUCGUCCAUGGUGAUGCCCUUCUGGAUUUCCUCUCCUCCUAAAGCGAGAGCUCCUCUCAGCUCACUCUCUGCCAGCGUCGCCACGACCUGGCGCUGCUUCGCUGCCGCCUUCAUCGUGUCAGCCGCCGCAGAGCCGAACUCCCCCGACCCUCCCAGCUUGAGGUCGCCGGAGCACUCGGGCUGGCCAAGCAGCCGCGACAACGAUGCCCGCUGCGUCUGGAGCGGCCAUGGCUGACGCCCCUUCGACGAGAUCUGCAGCUCACCAGGUCUCCUCGGGCCCAUGUCGCCUGCCUGCGUUUCCCGACAGCGCCAUGAUCCAGUUCCCCGGGCCUGCGCAGUGAUGUCUUCUACACAACCUUCUUCUUGUAGACGUUGUUGGGCCUCCAAGUGCAGAGGUUUGUAGGACAGUAGCAAAUUUCCCUCAAGUGGAUGACCUAAGGUUUAUCAAUCCGUGGGAGGCGCAGAAUGAAGAUGGUCUCUCUCAAGCAACCCUGCAACCAAAUAACAAAGAGUCUCUUGUGUCCCCAACACACCCAAUACAAUGGUAAAUUGUAUAGGUGCACUAGUUCGGCGAAGAGAUGGUGAUACAAGUGCAAUAUGGAUGGUAGAUAUAGGUUUUUGUAAUCUGAAAAUAUAAAAACAGCAAGGUAACUAACGAUAAAAGUGAGCACAAACGGUAUUGCAAUGCUAGGAAACAAGGCCUAGGGUUCAUACUUUCACUAGUGCAAGUUCUCUCAACAAUAAUAACAUAAUUGGAUCAUAUAACUAUCCCUCAAUAUGCAACAAAGAGUCACUCCGAAGUCACUAAUAGCGGAGAAGAAACGAAGAGAUUAUUGUAGGGUACGAAACCACCUCAAAGUUAUUCUUUCUGAUCGAUCUAUUCAAGAGUCCAUAGUAAAAUAACAUGAAGCUAUUCUUUCCGUUCAAUCUAUCAUUGAGUUCGUACUAGAAUAACACCUUAAGACACAAAUCAACCAAAACCCUAAUGUCACCUAGAUACUCCAAUGUCACCUCAAGUAUCCGUGGGUAUGAUUAUACGUUAUGCAUCACACAAUCUCAGAUUCAUCUAUUCAACCAACACAAAGAACUUCAAAGAGUGCCCCAAAGUUUCUACCGGAGAGUCAAGACGAAAACGUGUGCCAACCCCUAUGCAUAAGUUCACGAGGUCACGGAACCCGCAAGUUGAUCACCAAAACAUACAUCAAGUAGAUCACGUGAUAUCCCAUUGUCAUCAUAGAUAAGCACAUGCAAUACAUACAUCAAGUGUUCUCAGAUCCUUGAAGACUCAAUCUGAUAAGAUAACUUCAAAGGGAAAACUCAAUUCAUCACCAGAGAGUAGAGGGGCAGAAACAUCAUAAGAUCCAACUAUAAUAGCAAAGCUCGCGAUACAUCAAGAUCAUGCCACCUCAAGAACAUGAGAGAGAGAGAGAGAGAUCAAACACAUAGAUACUGGUACAUACCCUUAGCCCCGAGGGUGAACUACUCCCUCCUCGUCAUGGAGAGCGCCGGGAUGAUGAAGAUGGCCACCGGAGAGGGAUUCCCCCCCCCUCCGGCAGGGUGCCGGAACGGGUCUAGAUUGGUUUUCGGUGGCUAUGGAGGCUUCUGGCGGUGGAACUCCCGAUCUAUUAUGCUCUCUGAUGUUUUUAGGGUAUAUGGACAUAUAUAGGCGAAAGUAGUCGGUCAGGGGAGCCACGAGGGGCCCAUGAGGGUAGGGGCGCGCCCAGGGAGGUAGGGCGCGCCCCCUGCCUCGUGGCUUCCUCGAAGCUUCCCUGACGUCUACUCCAAGUCUCCUGGAUUGCUUCUGUUCCAAAAAUAACUCUCCCUAAGGUUUCAUUCUGUUUGGACUCCGUUUGAUAUUCCUUUUCUUGAAAUACUGAAACAGGCAAGAAAACAUCAAUUUGGGUUGGGCCUCCGGUUAAUAGGUUAGUCCCAAAAAUAAUAUAAAAGUGUUUAGUAAAGCCCAUUGUCGGAUCAAUAUCCGGCGCAUCGCGUGGUAGGGGUCCUAAGCUAGGCGUCUUGGAGUGAUGGUAACAUGGACACGGGAUUUUACCCAGGUUCGGGCCCUCUUGAUGGAGGUAAAACCCUACAUCCUACUUUUGAUUAUAUUGAUAUGGGUGUAGUACAGGGUACAUGUUUCUACCAAGAGACUGAUCUAAUGAAUAUGAGAUUGUCUAUUGACUAGCCUGGCCUCGGUUUAUAUAAGACACUGGAGGCCUAGGGUUUUAGGAGAGUCCUUGCCUUGGGUGCCAAGUCUUGUGGAGUCUUCCUUGUAUGCGGCAUGGGCUGUCCAAACUGGCCCAAUAGUGAACCGCCGUGGGGGUCCUCGGCCCGAUCCAGCUGGUCGGGAGACGACGUGGUGAGUACCCCUAGUCCAGGACACCGUCACCCAUAAACAUCCAAAACAGAUAAUAUAAUAGCAUGGAACAAUCAUAGAUAAAUUGGAGACGUAUCAAGCAUCCCCAAGCUUAAUUCAUGCUCGUCCUCGAGUAGGUAAAUGAUAAAAACAGAAUUUUUGAUGUGGAAUGCUACCUAACAUAUUUAUCUAUGUAUUCCUCUUUAUUCUGGCAAGAAUAUUCAGAUCUGAAAGAUUCAAGACAAAAGUUUAAUAUUGACAUAAAAAUAAUAAUACUUCAAGCAUACUAACAAAGUAACCAUGUCUUCUGAAAAUAACAUGGCCAAAGAAAGCUAUCCCUACAAAAUCAUAUAGUCUGGCUAUGCUCUAUCUUCAUCACACAAAAUAUUUAAAUCAUGCACAACCUAGAUGACAAGCCAAGCAAUUGUUUCAUACUUUUGAUGUUCUCAAACUUUUUCAAUCUUCAUGCAAUACAUGGGCAUGAGCCAUGGACAUAGCACUAUAGGUGGAAUAGAAUGGUGGUUGUGGAGAAGACAAAAAGGAGAAGAUAGUCUCACAUCAACUAGGCAUAUCAACGGGCUAUGGAGAUGCCCAUCAAUAGUUAUCAAUGUGAGUGAGUAGGGAUUGCCAUGCACCGGAUGCACUAGAGCUAUAAGUGUAUGAAAGCUCAACAAAAGAAACUAAGUGGGUGUGCAUCCAACUCGCUUGCUCACGAAGACCUAGGGCAUUUUGAGGAAGCCCAUCAUUGGAAUAUACAAGCCAAGUUCUAUAAUGAAAGAUUCCCACUAGUAUAUGAAAGUGACAACAUAGAAGACUCUCUAUCAGGAAGAUCAUGGUGCUACUUUGAAGCACAAGUGUGGUAAAAGGAUAGUAGCAUUGCCCCUUCUCUCAUUUUUUUUUAUUUGGGCCUUCUUUCUUUUUUUUCCUUUUGGCCUCUUUUCUUUUUUUAUUUUUCAUCUAGAGUCUCAUCCCGACUUAUGGGGGAAUCAUAGUCUCCAUCAUCCUUUCCUCACUGGGACAAUGCUCUAAUAAUGAUGAUCAUCACACUUCUUUUUACUUACAACUCAAGAAUACAACUCGAUACUUAGAACAAAAUAUGACUCUAUAUGAAUGCCUCCGACGGUGUACCGGGAUGUGCAAUGACUCAUGAGUGACAUGUAUGAAAAAAUUAUGAACGGCAGCUUUGCCACAAAUGCGAUGUCAACUGCAUGAUCAUGCAAAGCAAUAUGACAAUGAUGGAGCGUGUCAUAAUAAACGGAACGGUGGAAAGUUGCAUGGAAAUAUAUCUCGGAAUGGCUAUGAAAAUGCCAUAAUAGGUAGGUAUGGUGGCUGUUUUGAGGAAGGUAAAUGGUGGGUUUAUGGUACCGGCGAAAGUUGCGCGGUACUAGAGAGGCUAGCAAUGGUGGAAGGGUGAGAGUGCGUAUAAUCCAUGGACUCAACAUUAGUCAUAAAGAACUCACAUAAUUAUUGCAAAAAUCUAUUAGUUAUCGAAACAAAGUAUUAUGUGCAUGCUCCUAAGGGUAUAGAUUGGUAGGAAAAGACCAUCGCUCGUCCCCGACCGCCACUCAUAAGGAAGACAAUAAAUAAAUAAAUCAUGCUCCGACUUCAUCACAUAACGGUUCACCAUACGUGCAUCCUACGGGAAUCACAAACUUUGACACAAGUAUCACUCAAAUUCACAACUACUCAACUAGCACGACUCUAAUAUCACCAUCUUCAUAUCUCAAAACAAUCAUCAAGUAUCAAACUUCUCAUAGUAUUCAAUGCACUUUAUAUGAAAGUUUUUAUUAUACCCAUCUUGAAUGCCCAUCAUAUUAGGACUAAAUUCAUAACCAAAGAAAAUUACCAUGCUUUUUAGGAAUCUCAAAAUAAUAUAAGUGAAGCAUGAGAUUUCAUCUAUUUGUUCAAAAUAAAACCACUGCCAUGCUCUAAAAGGAUAUAAGUGAAGCACUAGAGCAAAUGACAAACUACUCCGAAAGAUAUAAGUGAAGAUCAAUGGGUAAUCAAAUAAUUAUGCAACUAUGUGAAGACUCUCUAACAUUUAAUAAUUUAAGAUCUUGGUAUUUUAUUCAAAUAGCAAGCAAAACAAAAGAAAAUAAAAUGACGCUCCAAGCAAGACACAUAUCAUGUGAUGAAUAAAAAUAUAGCUCCACGUAAAGUUACCGAUGAACGAAGACGAAAGAGGGGAUGCCUUCCAGGGCAUCCCCAAGCUUAGCCUCUUGGUUGUCCUUGAAUAUUACCUUGGGGUGCCUUGGGCAUCCCCAAUCUUAGGCUCUUGCCACUCCUUAUUCCAUAGUCCAUCGAAUCUUUACCCAAAACUUGAAAACUUCACAACACAAAACUUAACAGAAAACUCGUAAGCUCCGUUAGUAUAAGAAAAUAAAUCACCACUUAGGUUCUGUUGUGAACUCAUUCUAAAUUCACAUUGGUGUAAUAUCUACUGUAUUCCAACUUCUCUAUGGUUCAUACCCUCCGAUACUACUCAUAGAUUCAUCAAAAUAUGCAAACAACACAAUGAAAACAGAAUCUGUCAAAAACAGAACAGUCUGUAGUAAUCUAUAUUAAACGUAUACUUAUGGAACUCAUAAAAUUCUGAAAUAAAUUGGUGGACAUGGGGAAUUUGUCUAUUAAUCAUCUGCAAAAAUAAACAACUUAAUCUCACUCUCCAGUAAAAAAUGGCAGCAAAUCUCGUGAGUGCUAAAGUUUCUGUUUUUUUACAGCAAGAUCGCAAAGACUUCACCCAAGUCUUCUCAAAGGUUCUACUUGAUACAAACACUAAUUAAAAGCAUAAAACCACAUAUAAAAAUAGGCUAGAUGAAUUAUUUAUUACUAAACAGGAUAAAAAAGCAAGGAACAAAAAUAAAAUUGGGUUGCCUCCCAACAAGCGCUUACGUUUAACGCCCCUAGCUAGGCAUGAUGAUUUCAAUGAUGCUCACAUAAAAUAUAAGAAUUGAAACAUAAAGAGAGCAUCAUGAAGAAUAUGACUAGCACAUUUAAGCAUAACCCUCAUCCUAUUCAUAGGGAUUUUGUGAGCAAACAACUUAUGGGAACAAUAAUCAACUAGCAUAGGAAGGCAAAACAAGCAUAACUUCAAAACAUUAAGCACAUAGAGAGGAAACUUGAUAUUAAUGCAAUUCCUACGAGCAUAUAUUCCUCCCUCGUAAUAAUUUUCAGUAGCAUCAUGAAUGAAUUCAACAAUAUAACCAUCACAUAAAGCAUUCUUUUCAUGAUCUACAAGCAUAAAAAAAUACUACUCUCCACAUAAGCAAAAUUCUUCUCAUUAAUAGUAAUGGGAACAAACUCAACAAAAUAACUAUGAUAUGAGGCAUAAUCCAAUUGAAAAUUAAGAUCAUGAUGAAAAAUUUCAUGGUUAUCAUUGUUCUUUAUAGCAUACAUGUCAUCACAAUAAUCAUCAUAGAUAGCAACUUUGUUCUCAUAAUCAAUUGGAACCUCUUCCGAAAUAGUGGAUUCAUGACUAAAUAAAGUCAUGACCUCUCCAAAUCCACUUUCAUAAUUAUCACAAUAAGAUUCAACAUCCUCCAAAAUAGUGGGAUCAUUACUUCCUAAAGUUGACACUCUUCCAAACCCACUUUCAUCAAUAUAAUCAUCAUAAAUAGGAGGCAUGCUAUCAUCAUAAUAAAUUUGCUCAUCAAAACUUGGGGGACAAAAUUAUCAUCUUCACCAAACAUAGCAUCCCCAAGCUUGUGGCUUUGCAUAUCAUUAGCAUCAUGGAUAUUCAAGGAAUUCAUACUAACAACAUUGCAAUCAUGCUCAUCAUACAAAGAUUUAGUGUCAAACAUUCUAAUGCAUUCUUCUUCUAACAAUUUGACACAAUUAUCGGAAUCCUUAUUUUCAUGAAAGAUAUUAAAAAGAUGAAGCAUAUGAGGUACCCUUAAUUCCAUUUUUUAUAAUUUUCUUUUAUAAACUAAACUAGUGAUAAAACAAGAAACAAAAAGAUUCGAUUGCAAGAUCUAAAGAUAUACCUUCAAGCGCUAACCUCCCCAGCAAUGGCGCCAGAAAAGAUCUUGAUGUCUACUACACAACCUUCUUCAUGUAGACGUUGUUGGGCCUCCAAGUGCAGAGGUUUGUAGGACAGUAGCAAAUUUCCCUCAAGUGGAUGACCUAAGGUUUAUCAAUCCGUGGGAGGCGUAGGAUGAAGAUGGUUUCUCUCAAGCAACCCUGCAACCAAAUAACAAAGAGUCUCUUGUGUCCCCAACACACCCAAGACAAUGGUAAAUUGUAUAGGUGCACUAGUUCGGCGAAGAGAUGAUGAUACAAGUGCAAUAUGGAUGGUAGAUAUAGGUUUUUGUAAUCUGAAAAUAUAAAAACAGCAAGGUAACUAAUGAUAAAAGUGAGCACAAACGGUAUUGCAAUGCUAGGAAACAAGGCCUAUGGUUCAUACUUUCACUAGUGCAAGUUCACUCAACGAUAAUAACAUAAUUGGAUCAUAUAACUAUCCCUCAAUAUGCAACAAAGAGUCACUCCAAAGUCACUAAUAGCAGAGAACAAACGAAGAGAUUAUUGUAGGGUACGAAACCACCUCAAAGUUAUUCUUUCUAAUCGAUCUAUUCAAGAGUCCGUAGUAAAAUAACACAAAGCUAUUCUUUCCGUUCAAUCUAUCAUAGAGUUCGUACUAGAAUAACACCUUAAGACACAAAUCAACCAAAACCCUACUAUCACCUAGAUACUCCAAUGUCACCUCAAGUAUCCGUGGGUAUGAUUAUACGAUAUGCAUCACACAAUCUCAGAUUCAUCUAUUCAACCAACACAAAGAACUUCAAAGAGUGCCCCAAAGUUUCUACCGGAGAGUCAAGACGAAAAUGUGUGUCAACCCCUAUGCAUAAGUUCACGAGGUCACGGAACCCGUAAGUUGAUCACCAAAACAUACAUCAAGUAGAUCACGUGAUAUCCCAUUGUCACCACAGAUAAGCACAUGCAAGACAUACAUCAAGUGUUCUCAAAUCCUUAAAGACUCAAUCCAAUAAGAUAACUUCAAAGGGAAAACUCAAUUCAUCACAAGAGAGUAGAGGGGGAGAAACAUCAUAAGAUCUAACUAUAAUAGCAAAGCUCGCGAUACAUCAAGAUCAUGCCACCUCAAGAACACGAGAGAGAGAGAGAGAGAGAGAGAGAGAGAUCAAACACAUAGCUACUGGUACAUACCCUCAGCCCCGAGGGUCAACUACUCCCUCCUCAUCAUGGAGAGCGCCGGGAUGAUGAAGAUGGCCACCGGAGAGGGAUUCCCCAGCCCCCUCCGGCAGGGUGCCGGAACGGGUCUAGAUUGGUUUUCGGUGGCUACGAAGGCUUCUGGCGGCGGAACUCCCGAUCUAUUCUGCUCUCUGAUGUUUUUAGGGUAUAUGGACAUAUAUAGGUGAAAGAAGUCGGUCAGGGGAGCCACGAGGGGCCCACGAGGGUGGGGGCGCCCAGGGGGUAGGGCGCACCUCCCUGCCUCGUGGCUUCCUCGAAGCUUCCCUGGCGUCUACUCCAAGUCUCCUGGAUUACUUCUGUUCCAAAAAUAACUCUCCCAAAGGUUUCAUUCCGUUUGGACUCCGUUUGAUAUUCCUUUUCUCGAAACACUGAAAUAGGCAAGAAAACAACAAUUUGGGCUGGUCCUCCGGUUAAUAGGUUAGUCCGAAAAAUAAUAUAAAAGUGUUUAGUAAAGAUCAUAAACAUGCAAAAUAGAUAAUAUAAUAGCAUGGAAUAAUCAAAAAUUAUAGAUACGUUGGAGACGUAUCACGCAGGAGGCCUCGUCGGCGAGCAUGGCGGUCCCACCGCAGGUGGACUCGCCGGUGCGCCGGUCUUCGCUCGUGGUCAUUGAUAUGUGGGUCCAGAGCGGACACGAGCGGAUGAGAGUGUGCGACGAGAGUGUCUGCUUCUGUCUGUCGCGGGCCCAUUUGUGGCUCAUAUUUGGGCUUAGUGUGGGUCGAGACGGACAGCAGGCGGACGCUGUGCCCGUUUGGGUCGCCCCGUUGGGCCAACUUUUGUGUCCGGAUGACCCAAACGGACGAAAUGGGUCGCCCCAUUGGAGUUGCUCUUAGUUGGUCGCGAGUUUGAAUCCUGCCAACUCCUUAUUUUUGUUUUAUACACUGCUCACUGACAAUGGGUCUCACCUGGGCUUCUCUACGUACUUAAACAAAAAACCACGGAGUUAUCUGAAAAAAUGUACUCCAACCACUGACAUGUGGGGGCACUCUCAUGCUGUCAUGCCACAUAGGCAGGUCAUACGCCAGAUAUAGUAUAUAGCAUCGUAUUUGCACCACACAACAAAUUAGAUUACCACAAAAGCGUAUUUUUAAAGUUUUAGCAUCAAACUGAACAUUCAGCGCAAGUUCUACGAAUGCCAAUGAUAUUACCUCUAAAAUAUAUGAAGGAUUAACCAUUCCUCCAUUCCAUGGUUAGGAUAGUUCCUUAUGGCUUAUUUCAUUCUAUCCCACGUAAGCGCUAGUGGCUCACGUUCUUCCUGCUUAAAACCUGUAAUCAGAGAACGUAGUUGCAUAAUUUUUGCAGGUAGACAAAAUUUAGAUAAAAAUUUGCUGCAAAAAUCAACCCAAGAAGUUAUAUUGCUUAUAGGUAAAGCUAGAAGCCAUUCUUUUGCUUUUCCUCACAAAGAGAGAGGAAAUAGAUGCAACUUCAAAGUACGUCCCCGUGAAGCGGUAGGCAACCAUCCAACGCUAGUCGUAUACAGUUUCGCAACAACUCAAACCAACCAGACGAAAUUCAUGCAAACAUAGUGUAUUUUGCUAUAAACAUGGUGGAUUUCUUUGAGAGUAGGAUAAUUUGCACAUAAAACCGGACGAUAUUUCGUCCGGUGAACUAAAAACCUAAAACUUGUUGGGGAACGUAGCAGAAUUUUAAAAUUUUCUACGCAUCACGAAGAUCAAUCUAUGGAGUCAUCUAGCAACGAGAGAGAGGAGUGCAUCUACAUACCCUUGUAGAUCGCGAGCGGAAGCGUUCAAGAGAACAGGGUUGAUGGAGUCGUACUCGUCGUGAUCCAAAUCACCGAUGACCGAGCGCUGAACGGACGACACCUCCGCGUUCAACACACGUACGGUUGGGGAAGACGUCUCCUCCUUCUUGAUCCAGCAAGGGGGAAGGAGAGGUUGAUGGAGAUCCAGCGGCACGACGGCGUGGUGGUGGAAGCAGCGGGGAUCUCGGCAGGGCUUCGCCAAGCUCAGCGAGAGGGAGAGGUGUUACGAGGGGAGAUGGAGGCGCCAGGGACUAGGGUGCGGCUCCCAUGCGCCUCACCACUAUAUAUAGGGGUGGAGGGGGAUGGUUUCUUGCCCUCCAAGUCCAUUGGGGCGUUGGCAAAGGUGGGGAAAGAAAUCCCAUCAUUUCCCUUCCCCACCGAUUGUUAUCCCCCCUUUUUAGGGAUCUUGAUCUUAUCCCUCCGGGAUAUGAUCUUAUUCCUUCUAAGGGGGGAUCUUGGUGUGCCUUUACCAGGGGUGUGGGGCCUUGCCCCCACUACCCACAUUCAUGUGGGUCCCCCCAUGCAGGUGGGCCCCACUCCGGAACCUUCUAGAACCUUCCCGGUACAAUACCAAAAAAUCCCGAACAUUUUCCGGUGGCCAAAAUAGGACUUCCCAUAUAUAAAUCUUUACCUACGGACCAUUCCGGAACUCCUCGUGACAUCCGGGAUCUCAUCCGGGACUCCGAACAACUUUCGGGUUACCGCAUACUAAUAUCUCUACAACCCUAGCGUCACUGAACCUUAAGUGUGUAGACCCUACGGGUUCGGGAGACAUGCAGACAUGACCGAGACGACUCUCCGGUCAAUAACCAACAGCGGGAUCUAGAUACCCAUGUUGGCUCCCACAUGUUCCACGAUGAUCUCAUCGGAUGAACCAUGACAUCGAGGAUUCAAUCAAUCCCGUAUUCAAUUCCCUUUGUCCAGCGGUAUUGUACUUGCCCGAGAUUCGAUCGUCGGUAUCCGAUACCUUGUUCAAUAUCGUUACCGGCAAGUCUCUUUACUCGUUUCGUAACACAUCAUCCCGUGAUCAACUCCUUGGUCACAUUGUGCACAUUAUGAUGAUGUCCUACCGAGUGGGCCCAGAGAUACCUCUCCGUCACACGGAGUGACAAAUCCCAGUCUCGAUUCGUGCCAACCCAACACACACUUUCAGAGAUACCCGUAGUGCACCUUUAUAGCCACCCAGUUACGUUGUGACGUUUGGCACACCCAAAGCAUUCCUACGGUAUCCGGGAGUUGCACAAUCUCAUGGUCUAAGGAAAUGAUACUUGACAUUUAGAAAAGCUUUAGCAUACGAACUACAGGAUCUUUGUGCUAGGCUUAGGAUUGGGUCUUGUCCAUCACAUCAUUCUCCUAAUGAUGUGAUCCCGUUAUCAACGACAUCCAAUGUCCAUGGUCAAGAAACCGUAAGCAUCUAUUGAUCAACGAGCUAGUUAACUAGAGGCUUACUAGGUACAUGGUGUUGUAUAUGUAUCCACACAUGUAUCUGAGUUUCCUAUCAAUACAAUUCUAGCAUGGAUAAUAAACGAUUAUCAUGAACAAGGAAAUAUAAUAAUAACCAAUUUAUUAUUGCCUCUAGGUCAUAUUUACAACAGUCUCCCACUUGCACUAGAGUCAAUAAUCUAGUUCACAUCGCCAUGUGAUUAACACUCACAGGUCACAUUGCCAUGUGACCAACAUCCAAAGAGUUUACUAGAGUCAAUAAUCUAGUUCACAUCACUAUGUGAUUAACACUCAAUGAGUUCUGGGUUUGAUCAUGUUAUGCUUGUGAGAGAGGUUUUAGUCAACGGGUCUGCAACAUUCAGAUCCGUAUGUACUUCGCAAAUCUCUACGCUAUAUUUGGAGCCAUUUCAAAUAACUGUUCUACUUGGAGCUAUUCUAAAUUGUUGCUCCAUUAUACGUAUCCGGUAUCUCUACUCAGAGCUAUCCGGAUAGGUGUUAAGCUUGCAUCGAUGUAACUCUUUACGUCGAACUCUUUAUCACCUCCAUAACCGAGAAACAUAUCCUUAUUCCUCUAAGGGUAAUUUUGACCGCUAUCUGGUGAUCUACUCCUAGAUCACCUUUGUACCCUCUUGCCAGACAUGUGGCAAGGCACAGAUCAGGUGCGAUACUCAGCAUGGCAUACCGUAUAGAGCCUAUGGCAAAAGCAUAGGGGAUGACCUUCAUCCUUCCUCUUUCUCCUGUCGUGGUCGAGCUUUAACUUCAUAACUUCAUACCUUACAACUCAGGCAAGAACUCCUUUGACUGAUCCAUCUUGAACACCUUCAAGAUCAUGGCAAGGUAUGUGCUCAUUUGAAAGUACCAUUAAGCGUUUUGAUCUAUCCUUAUAGAUCUUGAUGCUCAAUGUUCAAGUAGCUUAAUCCAGGUUUUCCAUUGAAAAACACUUUUCAAAUAACCCUAUAUGCUUUCCAGAAAUUCUACAUCAUUUCUGAUCAACAAUAUGUCAACAACAUAUACUCAUCAGAAAUUCUAUAGUGCUCCCACUCACUUCUUUGGAAAUACAAGUUUCUCAUAAACUUUGUAUAAACCCAAAAGCUUCGAUCAUCUCAUCAAAGCGUACAUUCCAACUCCGAGAUGCUUACUCUAGUCCUUAGAAGGAUUGCUGGAGCUUUGCAUACUUGUUAACAUUUUUCAGGACUGACAAAACCUUCUGGUUGUAUCACAUACAACCUUUCCUCGAGAAAAUUGUCAUGGAAACAAUAUUUUGACAUCGUAUCUGCAAGAUUUCAUAAACAAUGCAGUAACUGCUAACAUAAUUCCAACAGACUCUUAGCAUCGCUAGAGUGAGAAAGUCUCAUCGUAGUCAACUCCUUGAACUUGUCGGAAAACAUCUUAAUGACAAGUCGAGCUUUCUUAAUGGUGAUACUUACCACCAUUGUCCGUCUUUCUUUUAAAAUCCAUAUGUACCCAACAGCCUUAUGACCAUCAAGCAGUUCUUCCAAAGUCUACACUUUGUUUUCAUACAUGGAUCCUCUCUCGGAUUUUAUGGCCUCGAGCCAAUUUUCGGAAUCCGGGCCCACCAUCGCUUCUCCAUAGCUCGUAGGUUCAUUGUUGUCUAGCAACAUGACUUCCAAGACAUGAUUACGUACCACUCUAAAGUAGUACACAUCCUUGUCGUCCUACGAGGUUUGGUAGUGACUUGAUCCGAAGUUUCAUGAUCACUAUCAUAAGCUUCCACUUCAAUUGGUGUAGGUCCCACAAGAACAACUCCAUGUGCCCUACUAUACACUGGUUGAAGUGACGGUUCAAUAACCUCAUCAAGUCUCCACCAUCCUCCCACUCAAUUCUUUCGAGAGAAACUUUUCCUCGAGAAAGGACCCGAUUCUAGAAACAAUCCCUAUUGCUUUCGGAUCUGAGACAGGAGGUAUACCCAACUAUUUUGGGUACUCUAUGAAGAUGCAUUUAUCCGCUUUGGGUUCGAGCUUAUCAGCCUGAAACUUUUUCACAUAAGUGUUGCAGCCCCAAACUUUUAAGAAAUGACAGCUUAGGUUUCUCUAAACCAUAGUUCAUAUGGUGUCAUCUCAUCGGAAUUACGUGGUGCCCUAUUUAAAGUGAAUGUGGUUGUCUCUAAUGCCUAACCCAUAAACUAUCAUGGUAAUUCAAUAAGAGACAUCAUGGUAUGCAUCAUAUCCAAUAGGGUGCAAUUAUGAUGUUCGGACACACCAUCACACUAUGGUGUUCCAGGCUGUAUUAGUUGUGAAACAAUUUCCACAAUGUCUUAAUUCUGUGCCAAACUCGUAAUUCAGAUAUUCAUCUCUAUGAUCAUAUCAUAGAUAUUUUAUCCUCUUGUCAUGACGAUCUUCAACUUCACCCUGAAAUUACUUGAACCUUUCAAUAAUUCAGACUCGUGAUUCAUCAAGUAAAUAUACUUAGCAUCUACUCAAAUCAUCUGUGAAGUAAGAAUAUAACGAUAUCCACUACAUGCCUUAGCACUCAUUGGACUGCACACAUCAAGAUGUAUUACUUCCAACAAGUUGCUUUCUUGUUCCAUCUUACUGAAAACGAGGCCUUUCAGUCAUCUUGCUCAUGUGGUAUGAUUUGCAUGUCUCAAGUGAUUCAAAAUCAAGCGAGUCCAAAGAUCCAUCAACAUGGAGCUUCUUCAUGCGUUUUAUACCAUUGUGACUAAAAUUGCAGUGCCACAAGUAUGUGGUACUAUCAUUACUAUCUUAUAUCUUUUGGCAUGAACAUGUGUAUCACUACAAUCGGGAUUCGAUAAACCAUUCAUUUUAGGUGCAAGACCAUUGAAGGUAUUAUUCAAAUAAACAGAGUAACCAUUAUUCUCCUUAAAUGAAUAACCGUAUUGCGAUAAACAUAAUCCAAUCAUGUCUAUGCUCAACGCAAACACCAAAUAACAAUUAUUUAGGUUUAACACCAAUCCCGAUGGUAAAUGGAGCGUGCGAUGCUUGAUCACAUCAACCUUGGAAACACUUCCAACACAUAUCAUCGUCUCACCUUUGACUAGUCUCCGUUUAUUCCGUAGCCUUUCAUUUCGAGUUACCAACACUUAGCAACCAAACCGGUAUCUAAUUCCCUGCUGCUACUAGGAGUACUAGUAAAGUACACAUUUAAUAUAAUCUAUGUCCAAUACAUACUUCUUUCAACCUUGCCAGCCUUCUCAUCUACCAAGUAUCUAGGGUGGUUCUGCUUCAGUGACCGUUCCCAUUAUUACAGAAGCACUUAGUCUUGGGCUUGGGUUCAACUUUGGGUUUCUUCACUAGAGUAGCAACUAAUUUGUCGUUUCAUGAAGUAUCCCUUUCUUGCCCUUGCCCUUCUUGAAACUAGUGGUUUUACUAACCAUCAACAAUUGAUGCUCCUAUUUGAUUUCUACUUUCGCGGUGUCGCGAAUAGCUCAAGGAUCAUCAUAUCUAUCCCUGAUAUGUUAUAGUUCAUCACGAAGCUCUAGUAGCUUGGUGGCAGUGACUUUGGAGAACCAUCACUAUCUCAUCUGGAAGAUCAACUCCCACUCGAUUCAAGUGAUUGUAGUACUCAUACAAUCUGAGCACAUGCUCAACGAUUGAGCUUUUCUCCUUAGUGUGCAGGCUUAAGAAACUUGUCAAAGGUUUCAUACCUCUUGAUGUGGGCACUAGCCUGAAAUCCCAAUUUCAGUCCUUGGAACAUCUCAUAUGUUCUGCGAUGUUUCAAAACGUCUUUGGUGCCUCAAUUCUAAACCAUUUAGCAUUACGCACUGAACUAUCAUGUAGUCAUCAACACGUGUAUGUCAGAUGUUCGCAACAUCCACAACCGACGUUCGAGGGUCAGCUCACUGAGCGAUGCAUUAAGGACAUAAUCCUUCUGCGCAGCAAUGAGGACAAUCCUCUGUUUAUGGACCCAGUCCGCAUAAUUGCUACUAUCAACUUUCAACUAAAUUUUCUCUAGGAACAUAUCUAAAACAGUAGAACUAAAGCGUAAGCUACGACAUAAUUUGCAAAGUCCUUUUGACUAUGUUCAUGAUAAUUAAGUUCAUCUGACUAUUUAAUGAACUCCCACUUAGACAUCCCUCUAGUCAUCUAAGUGAUACAUGAUCCGAGUCAACUAGGCCGUGUCCGAUCAUCACGUGAGACAGACUAGUCAUCAUCGGUGAACAUCUUUAUGUUGAUCGUAUCUUCUAUACGACUCAUGUUCGACCUUUCGGUCUUCCGCGUUCCGAGGCCAUGUUUGUACAUGCUAGGCUCGUCAAGUCAACCUAAGUGUAUUGCGUGUGUAAAUCUGGCUUACAUCCGUUGUAUUCGAACGUUAGAAUCUACCACACCCGAUCAUCACGUGGUGCUUCGAAACAAUGAACCUUCGCAAAGGUGCACAGUUAGGGGGAACACUUUUCUUGAAAUUAUUGCGAGGGAUCAUCUUAUUUUAGCUACCGUAGUUCUAAGCAAAUAAGAUGUAAAACAUGAUAAACAUCACAUGCAAUCAAAUAGUGACAUGAUAUGGCCAAUAUCAUUUUGCUCCUUUUGAUCUCCAUCUUCGGGGCGCCAUGAUCAUCAUCGUCACCGGCAUGACACCAUGAUCUCCAUCAUCAUGAUCUCCAUCAUCAUGAUCUCCAUCAUCGUGUCUUCAUGAAGUUGUCUCGUCAUCUAUUACUUCUACUAACAUGGCUAACAGUUUAACAAUAAAGUAAAGUAAAUACAUGACGUUUAUGUUGACACGCAGGUCAUAAAUAAAUUAAGACAACUCCUAUGGCUCCUGCCGGUUGUCAUACUCAUCGACAUGCAAGUCGUGAUUCCUAUUACAAGAACAUGAUCAAUCCCAUACAUCACAUAUAUCAUUCAUCACAUCCUUUUGGCCAUAUCACAUCACACGGCAUAUGCUGCAAAAACAAGUUAGACGUCCUCUAAUUGUUGUUUGCAUGUUUUACGUGGCUGCUAUGGGUUUCUAGCAAGAACGUUUCUUACCUACGCAAAAACCACAACGUGAUAUGCCAAUUUCUAUUUACCCUUCAUAAGGACCCUUUUCAUCGAAUCCGAUCCGACUAAAGUGGGAGAGACAGACACCCGCUAGCCACCUUAUGCAACUAGUGCAUGUCAGUCGGUGGAACCUGUCUCACGUAAGUGUACGUGUAAGGUCAGUUCGGGCCGCUUCAUCCCACGAUGCCGCCGAAUCAAGAUAAGACUAGUAACGGCAAGUAAAUUGACAAAAUCGAUGCCCACAACUACUUUGUGUUCUACUCGUGCAUAGAAACUACGCAUAGACCUAGCUCAUGAUGUCACUAUUGAGGAACGUAGCAGAAUUUUAAAAUUUUCUACGCAUCACCAAGAUCAAUCUAUGGAGUCAUCUAGCAACGAGAGAGAGGAGUGCAUCUACAUACCCUUGUAGAUCGCGAGCAGAAGCGUUCAAGAGAACGGGGUUGAUGGAGUCGUACUCGUCGUGAUCCAAAUCACCGAUGACCGAGCACCGAACGAACGACACCUCCGCGUUCAACACACGUACGGUUGGGGAAGACGCCUCCUCCUUCUUGAUCCAUCAAGGGGGAAGGAGAGGUUGAUGGAGAUCCAACAGCACGACGUCGUGGUGGUGGAAGCAGCGGGGAUCUCGGCAGGGCUUCGCCAAGCUCAGCGAGAGGGAGAGGUGUUACGAGGGGAGAGGGAGGUGCCAGGGGCUAGGGUGCGGCUCCCAUGCGCCUCCCCACUAUAUAUAGGGGUGGAGGGGGCUGGUUUCUUGCCCUCCAAAUCCAUUGGGGCGUUGGCAAAGGUGGGGGAAAGAAAUCCCAUCAUUUCCCUUCCCCAUCGAUUGUUAUCCCCCCUUUUUAGGGAUCUUGAUCUUAUCCCUUCGGAAUAUGAUCUUAUUCCUUCUAAGGGGGGAUCUUGGUGCGCCUUGACCAGGGGUGUGGGGCCUUGCCCCCACUACCCACGUUCAUGUGGGUCCCCCCGUGCAGGUGGGCCCCACUAUGGAACCUUCUAGAACCUUCCCGGUACAAUACCGAAAAAUCCCGAACAUUUUCCGGUGGCCAAAAUAGGACUUCCCAUAUAUAAAUCUUUACCUCCGAACCAUUCUGAAACUCCUCGUGACAUCCGGGACUCCGAACAACUUUCGGGUUACCGCAUAUCUCUACAACCCUAGCGUCACUGAACCUUAAGUGUGUAGACCCUACGGGUUCGGGAGACAUGCAGACAUGACCGAGAUGACUCUCCGAUCAAUAACCAACAGCGGGAUCUGGAUACCCAUGUUGGCUCCCACAUGUUCCACGAUGAUCUCAUCGGAUGAACCACGACGUCGAGCAUUCAAUCAAUCCCGUAUUCAAUUCCCUUUGUCCAGCGGUAUUGUACUUGCCCGAGAUUCGAUCGUCGGUAUCCGAUACCUUGUUCAAUCUUGUUACCGGCAAGUCUCUUUACUCGUUCCGUAACACAUCAUCCCGUGAUCAACUCCUUGGUCACAUUGUCCACAUUAUGAUGAUGUCCUACCGAGUGGGCCCAGAGAUACCUCUUCGUCACACGGAGUGACAAAUCCCAGUCUCGAUUCGUGCCAACCCAACAGACACUUUCAGAGAUACCCGUAGUGCACCUUUAUAGCCACCCAGUUACGUUGUGAUGUUUGGCACACCCAAAGCAUUCCUACGGUAUCCGGGAGUUGCACAAUCUCAUGGUCUAAGGAAAUGAUACUUGACAUUUAGAAAAGCUUUAGCAUACGAACUACACGAUCUUUGUGCUAGGCUUAGGAUUGGGUCUUGUCCAUCACAUCAUUCUCCUAAUGAUGUGAUCCCGUUAUCAACGACAUCCAACGUCCAUGGUCAGGAAACCGUAACCAUCUAUUGAUCAACGAUCUAGUUAACUAGAGGCUUACUAGGGACAUGGUGUUGUCUAUGUAUCCACACAUGUAUCUGAGUUUCCUAUCAAUACAAUUCUAGCAUGGAUAAUAAACGAUUAUCAUGAACAAGGAAAUAUAAUAAUAACCAAUUUAUUAUUGCCUCUAGGGCAUAUUUACAACAAAACUAAAACUAAAACCCUAAACUAUCCUAUACUUCACGGUGAUCUCGUAGCCAAUGCUGGGCUGGUCGGCUGCUCCUCCUCCGUCAUCAUCGCCUGACCCGUCGUCAGAGUCGGGCUUGGGGCGACGAAAGGUGGUGGCGCGGUGGCAGGGCUUCCCGGCGGCCUCCUAAUGCUCGCGGAUGAUCCUCUCCACCUCUUCCUGCGUCGUGCGCAGUGCAGUCGCGGCCACCGAGGAUGUGGGUUGGGGGAGAGGGCAGCGAUCUCAGCGAGGAACUAUUCCUCGCCGUACCUGGCUAUCUCCCUGUCGAGGCGGCGAAGACGGCGCUUGGCCAUCUCCGACGUCAUCACGGAGCGGUUCAGGGUCCGCCAUUAUGUGUGGCGCGCGGGACGUCGAAAUCCGUGAACUGGGAUUGGCCCACGACGUUGCACCUGUCUCAUCGCCGCUGCUCCCGAUCAGUGUACUCCUUCGUCGUCAUGGUGCUCUAGGACAACGACGAGGAGGAGCCGCUGCAGGGGUAGUGCAGAAUGCUCCCGCGUGCCUUGGGCAGGGGCGGCGGCGACGAACGACGCUCCUCCUUGACGAUGCGGCGAGGUAGCGGCGAAAGGCGCUCCACCUUUACGACGUGUCGUGUCGGUGGCGAGAGCCGCUCUUCCUUCACGCGGCGUUCAAUUUGGACACUGCUGCUGGGCGACGAUGGAGAGCGUGGAUGGGAUGCCGGCUCCGACUUCAUGGGAAGGAGCGCCCCCGGUGGCAGAGUCGGGUGUUGGUGUGGGCAACAGAUCGACGGAGCAUCAGCUCCAUCUGCUCCUCGAACUCCGCGUCAGUGUCGGCGUAAACCUAGCCCGACACCGCUGGCGUGGACUUCGGCGGCGACUGCUUGUCCUCCUUGCCCCCGCAGGAGAUGAUGAUCUCCUCUCGCGUCGAGUCACCGCCAGCCGACGAGGACGACAGCGUCUCCACGAGUCGCCAGAUCCUGCACCAGAACCGCCUGCCAGCAUUGACGCCCAGGACUUGCCCAUCGCCGAAGAUGUGGAGAAGGGUGCGACGAGGAGGAGGAAGAGGAAGGAGGAGGAUGUGAUGUGGACGGCACCGGAGCGCGGCUUAAAUAGCCGCGACUAGGCCAUGUGAAGGGCCGGUCAGCCGCUUCAAUGCGGCGCAAUGGCCAGAGUUGGUUCCUCGGGAACCUGCUCCGCAUUGAAGCGGUGGCUGCCGAGAGGCCACGUCGGUCAGUGCCGCCCUCCCUCUGGUCACAUUGCGGCAUCAAUGCCGGCUUCCGCGUGCUGUGGGCUGACAUGAGUGCGGCGUGGUAAGCAACACGUGCAUCGAAAGGAAAGCGCGGGAGGGGCAUGUGACGGGUUCUUGUUGGGUCAGGACGGUCAAAAACGGGCUUGAGAGCGGCCAGGACUCCCACAAACCUCCUCCAUUUUUGUCUCUGGUUUGCGAGAGAAAUCGCAUCCAGAUCGCCCCGCGAACCGAUACAGGUCGACGUUGGAUGGCUUCCGUGAUCCGGACAACACGGUCCAAACAAUUUUUUUUAAGGGAUACACGGUCCAAAUAGUUGCAAAAGACUUACGUAUCCGACUUGAAGAUACCCUAAGAAUAUAGCUGGCCAAAUGGGCCGGGCUAACCAGGCUGGCCCGUGAGCGCCGGCACGGCCCGCCAUGAACCUGACACGGGCUAAACGGGCCGGGUCCGGCACGCGGCAUGCCCUGGGCCGUGUUUGGGACGGAAAGCAGUGGGUGGUCCCACGUUGACACGCCCCCAGAAUAUCAGCCGGGUGCUUUUCACGCGGAGGCAAAAGCGAAAACCCUAAAGCCGCCGCCCACACAUCCCCAAGGAAUAAAACCUCAAGGCCGCGGCUGACAUCCCUCCAAGCUUACACCUAGCCGCCGUCGCCGACGAAAUCCACCCAAGCCGCCGAGCUCGUCUCGCCGUCGUCGCGCUCUAGGCUUUUGGGAUGGAGGCCGAGACGGCGGCGAAGAGGGCGCGGGAGAACGAGGGCGCUGCGGCGGCGGACGGAGCCGGGGAGCAGGCGGGGAUCUCCGCCGUCAUCCCCGGAUGGUUCUCCGAGAUCAGCCCCAUGUGGCCCGGCGAGGCGCACUCGCUCAAGGUGGAGAAGGUCCUGUUCCAAGGCAAGUCGGACUACCAAGACGUGCUGGUUUUCCAGUCCUCCACCUACGGGAAGGUGCUCGUCCUGGAUGGGGUGAUCCAGGUGACCGAGAGGGACGAGUGCGCCUACCAGGAGAUGAUCACCCACCUCCCUCUCUGCUCAAUCAAAGACCCCAAGAAGGUCCUGGUCAUCGGGGGCGGGGACGGCGGCGUUCUGCGUGAGGUCUCGCGGCACUCCUCGGUGGAGCAGAUCGACAUCUGCGAGAUCGACAAGAUGGUGGUCGAUGUGUCCAAGCAGUUCUUCCCUCAUCUGGCCCUCGGGUUCGAGGACCCUCGCGUCUCCCUGCACAUCGGCGACGGCGUCGCCUUCCUGAAGAAUGCUCCAGAGGGCACCUACGAUGCGGUUAUCGUCGAUUCCUCCGACCCAGUAGGCCCUGCCCAGGAGCUGUUCGAGAAGCCGUUCUUUGAGUCCGUCUCCAGGGCUCUGCGUCCGGGCGGGGUCGUCUGCACCCAGGCGGAGAGCAUAUGGCUGCACAUGCACAUCAUAGAGGACAUCGUCACCAACUGUCGCCAGGUUUUCAAAGGCUCGGUGAACUACGCAUGGACUACGGUGCCCACAUACCCAAGGUACGCACCACUGAUCCUUCCUGUCUAUGUGACCGAAGUCGGUUUUCCUUUCUUUAGCCACCGAGUUUAUGAUUCAGCUUAUGAUUCUUGGUUGUUGUUGCAGCGGAGUGAUAGGUUUCAUGCUCUGCUCCACGGAGGGGCCUAGUGUUGAUUUCCAGCACCCUGUCUUCAGCAUUGAAGAGGACGAAUACUCCACAAAAUCCAAGGGGCCGCUCAAGUUCUACAAUUCUGAGUUCCACACUGCAUCGUUUUGUUUGCCAUCAUUUGCGAGGAGGGUCAUUGAGGCCAAGGCUAACUAGAUUCUCAUGAAGAUGGUCACUGGAACCAAGGCCAACUAGAAUAACUGGUUUGGUUUCAAUUUCAACACUGGGAGCAAUCUGUCUGAGCGUAGACAGAGGAAAAGCCCCCCCUUUUUUUAUUAACUUGCAAUAAGCCCACAUGGAAAUUAUUGGUACCUGUGAUUCUGUCUGCUGUAUGUCUCAGGUUGUAUUUCCUGGUUACCUGGUGGUAUGAGAACCUUCUGAAUUUAGUUUUUUGCCCUGCAGUUUUCUUAUCUUAUCUUAUGCUUCCUCUGUAUCAAAAUGUCAGUUCCUUCCUUCAAGCGUUUUUUUUUUGUUUGCAAAAACUGCCAUCCAUUGGAUGGAGAUCGUGUGAUUCAUGGGGGUUCGCUGGCAAAACGUCCCUGGGG